GUUCUCUUAAGCAACAAAUCCGCUAUCUUACCAGCUACAACACAAACAUUCAGAAUCUUCGAAGCCAAGUUUCAGAAUUAAAACUAACAAGAGAAGGAGUACAAACCAGAGUGGAGGCGGCUCUAAGGAAUUUGGAGGAGCCAUUUCCAAAUGUGCAAAAGUGGCUUGAAGACACGACCGAGGAAAAACUUGACGAACAACUGAGGGAUUUCGAUGAAGCCAAUAUUAACAAGAAAUGCUUCAAGGGACUCUGUCCAGAUCUUAGCUCACGUCUCAGGCUAAGUAAACAAGCAGUGAGAUUGGCAGAGACCUUCCAUACCCUUCAAGAAAAGGGGAAUAACUUCCCCGAAACUGGAAUAUCGCAUCCACGACCUCCUCCAAAUGUUGAACUUGUCCGCACUACUACCAUUGUUGAGAACAUUUUGCCGAGGGAUUCUCUUAUGAAUGAUUUGAUGGUGGCAUUGGGAGAUUCUAAUAUCAGAUCUAUUGGCGUGCAUGGUAUGGGGGGUAUAGGGAAGACAACUCUUGUGGAAAAAAUCAACAAUGAACUUGCUGGACACAUACUCUUCAACAAAGUUAUAAAGGUCAUUGUGUCCAAAGAUCCAGACUUGAUGAAAAUCCAAGAUGAAGUUGCACGGCGGCUAGAAUUGAAUCUUGAAGCUACUUCAACAAAUGUAAGAGCAAGCAGAUUGUUUGAAAGGUUGGAAGCAGAGGAGAAGUUGUUGAUAAUUUUGGACGACGUGUGGAAACCACUUAAGGUGGAGGAUAUCGGACUUCCUAGAGGCUGUAAACUUAUAGUCACUACUCGAUAUCAUCAGGAAGUUUGUGUCCAAAUGGAUCUUCAGAAAAUAAUCAAGGUGGAGCCUCUUUCCAAGGAUGAAUCAUGGGUUUUAUUUAAAUCAAAAGCAGGUGAUGUAGUUACAUUGCCCAAUUUGGAACCUAUUGCGCAAAAUAUUGUAGCAAAAUGCAAGGGCUCGCCUUUGGCGAUUGAUGCUCUGGGAUCGGCACUGAAAUCUGUGGAGGAAGAAUAUGUAUGGAAUAAUGCAUUGAAUGUAUUAUCAGAUCCUACUCGAAGUGGUCUAGAAGGUAUAAUGCCAGAAGUGGUAACAAGCUUAAGCUUUAGUUUCGAACGGUUAGAGUCACUAGAAAUCAAGAAGUGUUUUUUGUUUUGCUGCCUGUUUCCUGAAGAUUACAAUAUUAAUUUGCGUGAUCUGAGAGAUUAUGGCAUCGGAGAACGAUUCUUGAAGGUGGGUGGGACUUUAGACAAUGCAUCUGACAAGUUGCUCACUUUUAUUAAGAAACUAAAAGAUUGUUGCCUAUUGUUGGAGGGAGAUGAAGAGUAUUCUGUAAAAAUGCAUGAUGUAGUUCGCGAUGUUGCGAUAUGUAUUGGUGGAGAUGCGGAGUAUGGGUUUCUUGUGAAUGUUGGUGAAGGAUUGAUUAAAUUUCGAGAAUCAGAAGAUCUGAAAGAAAAGAAGCGAAUCUCAUUUAUGAAGCAUUCGAAUGAUGUGUUGCUGGAUCCACUAGAAUGUCCCCAACUUCAGAGUUUAUUAAUAAGAGAAAAUGAUGAUAUAAGGAUAGAUCAAGAGAGUUUCUUUGAAGAUACUAAAUCACUUGAAGUCCUUGAUUUGAGAGGAUGGUGGAAAUGGGAUGGUGGAAAUGUGAUCAUCGUGCCAAGUACACCACAAUCAAUCUCGUGUCUCACAAAUCUAAAGACACUACAUUUAGUUGGUUGUGAUGUUUCAGACAAAAUCUCCUUGUUAGGAGGUUUAAGAAAACUUGAAAUACUCAAUUUGAGAAAUUCAAUCGUAAAGACACUGCCAGAAGAAAUUGGCAACUUGGUCAGUCUAAGAAGCUUGGAUUUGAAUGAGGUAGAACUAUCGUUUGUAGCAUGGAAUGUUAUAUCAAAAUUAUCAUAUUUGGAGGAAUUCUAUAUGAAGAAUAAUUAUACAGAGUGGGACACAAUGACAAGUGGAGGAGAAUACAAUGCUAGCUUGAAGGAGGUGGAGUUAUUAAGUCGUCUCUCAAGGUUGACCAUUUGUAUAAAAAGUACGGAAACCGAGCCCCAUGUCUCAUGGUCCAACAAUCUGAAACAACUAUUCAUUAAAGAAACAAAUAAUACUGGGUCAUAUUAUGAGCGUGAUCCCCAGCAUCAGCAUCAGCGUGUGGUAUUGAAUAAAGUUAAUCCGUUGGAGUAUUGGCAUUGGGUUUACAAGUUGAUUUCCACCUCAGUUGGGUUAAACCUUGAGUUAUUUUUGUGUUUUGGAAUUAAAAAUGUUGCAGAUCUUGUUGCAUCGAGGGAUUUGAAACAAUUGGAAGAACUCAAGGUUCGUGAUUGUGAUGAUAUUGAAUAUCUCAUCGGCAUUGAUGAAUCAAAUAAGGAUUCACAAGAUUCCUUCAACACGUUGAAGAAGAUAAGAUUAAUGGAAUUGAACGGAAUGAAGAAAAUCUACCAUGGCCCAACUCCAUCAACUCGAUUCUUUGGACAAUUAAGAUUCUUACAAGUGAUUGGUUGCAAUCAAAUAAAGAACAUCUUUUCAGCUAAUUUGUUGUUAGCUAUUAAGAGACUUGAACAUCUUUCUGUAAGGGAUUGCUCCAGUUUGAAGGAAAUAGUUGGAGGAGAAAAUGAAGAUGAAGUGCCAGACGAUUAUUCUUGUUUGUUACCUCAACUCAAAACUCUCCAAUUGUGGGACUUGAGGAGUCUAACAAGCUUCUACCAAGGCGAUAUACCUAUCAGUUGUCCUUUGGAAAAGAUUGAUGUUUUUAGAUGUAGGAAUUUGAAGAAGUUUCCCCUUGCACCACAAACUGCUUCCCAUCUACAAACUUUCGAAGCAGAAACUGAUUGGUUCGAUGCAUUAGAAUGGGCAGAUCAAAGCCAUCACGCAAUAUUCCAGCCUUUCUUUGAAGAGGUAGAUCAUUUAUUUUAUUUUUUCUUCCUUUUUACAUAUGCUUUACAUUUGGGUCUAUGAUUAGGGUGCCAGUAGAGAUUGCAAACUUCUUAUCAUCUGAAUCCAUAAUACUGCUAUGACAUGUUCUUCCAUUUUUUUCUGACAUAUGAAUAUUUUAUUUCGUGAUUUACUAUCCAUAAUACUGCUAUGACAUUUUAUUUUUAUUUUUUUUCAAAAGAUGGCUGAAAGUUAUUACUAGAUUUCUUCUUUUCUUUUUCUGCUUUUCAUUAUCAAAAUGGAAAAUUUUGAAGAUAGGUUGGGGAAUUGUCAGAUAUUAGUCAAAACUUAUUGUGAGAUUUGCUGCAAUAAUCGACAAAAAAAAAAUUGUAUGAGAGUAUGACUAUGAGAUUUCAGGCCAUUGCUUGUUUAGUUAUAGCUUAUUCUUUUUCUAAAGAUAUAUUUGACCGAUAAAACCUAUAUCAAUGCUUUCUAAAUGAAUUUUACGGUGUUAAAAUUAUGUAGCUUUACUUAAAGAAAUUAUGUUUGAUGCAGCAGGCUUAAUUAGCAUCAAUAACAGGAGAUGGUACUAUAAACCAUUGUACCGUCUACCUACUCUGCUACUCAGUUAAGUUUGUCAGAGAUAUACUCUAUCAAGUUAGUAAUAUCCGUAAACUUUAAUCUGAAUUACAUCUUUUUAUUUUUCUCAUAUUGUUCUUGUCUUACAUUUUUGCAGUAAUUCAAAUCUUGAUAAGGAAAAUUUGAUUCCAGACAGCGAUGUUUAAAAACUUGCAGCACAUCAGACUCUUUGGAGUAGCUUCGUCUAUGUUUAUUGUGAUUGCGAUGACCUGGUGUGUAAUCUUACAACUUUUAGUUGCUUUCUUCUUUGUUAUGUUGUUAUUGUGAUUGCGAUGAGCAGAAACUGAUUGGUUCCAUAAAUUAGAAUGGGGAGAUCAAAGUCUGCAGGCAAAAUUCCAUGGCUCAGACAUGCGUUCAACUUCGGUAGAACCAAUUAUAUUGGACAGUUUUGACUUCUUCUCAUUUUGGUUUAUAAAAAAAAUGUACUAUCUGCUUCUGCUUCUGCUUUUCCAAUGGGAGCCAUAUUAAUACUGUUACAGCUGUUUUUUUUAUUUUUAAUUAAAAAAACUGCAGCACGUGCAUAUUCACAUAGUGUAUUGAAUAUGGUAAUUGUAAGCCCACACCAUUAGGUUUCAAGAAGCUUACUAGCUCACUGCUUACACCUCCGGGUGUAGACUACCCAUAUGCAUUGUGUCACAACUCCACCCUUGAAAACAUUGAUUAACAGAUACAGAUCUCAUUAAAUUUUUGUUAAUGAACAGUUAAUUUCUCUGGCGCAAGAUGGACAUGAGAUAACAGAAGGCCUCCUUAACUCUACUGGUAUGAAAAAAAGGAAGUAGCCUCUUAACCUGUCUUGUAAUGGAGAUACUGUUUGGUGUUUUAUUCAAGUAUGUACUGGUUGGUUGUAAUCCACUGAAUGCAACGUAUGUGUUUUGUGUUGCAGUUGACUUGGAAGAAUUUGGAUGCAUUGUUAGCAGUAAGCAUAGAUUUUGUUUAUGACAUGAAUUAUAACUAAAUUUGUUUAGAAUCUUGCGGUGUUCUUAAGUAUGGUUGUUUCUUUUCCAGAAAAAACGCUCACCCAAAAAGGAGUCUGAAUUUAAAGGUAAUUAGCACAAUGUUAGCAUAACUUACAUCAGUCUUUUAUAUUAGUAACACAUUUCUUAAUCAGUCAUUGUCAUGGUGCAGUUAAUUCUCCGCCCAAAUCAUCAGUAUCAGCUCAAUGGUUUACCACGAAAUCUGUAAAGAAGGUAUUUUGGUGCUGUUUUGUACAUUAUAGUAUACAGUAUAUUUUAUUUGUUUUGUUAAGAUUUUAGUGAAAUUCCUAUUAUUGUUAAUAUAUUAUGAUUUUUUACUUGUAUUUAAGCUUCUAUAUCAUGGUGAAAUUGAUAAUCAUAGUUUUGAUUGAUAUGCAUCUUGCUCAUUUUGAAGCCUAGUUGAGCUGAUGUUUCUACCAUAGUCCAUAUCCUUCUCUUGUCUUCAACUAAUUAACUUUUGUACAUUUUGACCUAUUCAAACUUCAAAGCAGAGCAUGCUUGUUCUCCACUAAGUUUUCAAACUUCAAUCAACAAAGACCACAUAUUAGUCAAACGCAAGGACGUGACUAGAAACUCAAAAUCUCCCUAUGAUAAUUGUCCACCGUGAUCUUAUUGAUCUAUUUGUACAAUGCACAGUCCAUAUUCAUGAACAUAAUAUAUACCAGUGGUGUUCGAACACACUAGGUCUUCAAUAACCUACAGAUAAAACUGUAACAUGAACAUAUUAAGUAUUGUAGGCACUCAGUACGACAAACUUGAGGAUGUCCAAAUAGCCUUCGGAUCUUGGGUUAUAACCUCAACUCCUCAAGUCUAGCGCAGUUGAAGUGUAAACCUAUAGGCCUAGCCUAAUAUGAAAAUCACUGGAUGAGCGUAAUCGAAUUUGCUUUAAACAGUACCAAAUCAUAAAUUAUAGAUUUCCAAGCCAUGCUCGAGUCAGAGUUUAAACCUAGCUAGAAAUCAUAUUUUAUCUGUUAAGCCUGACUUGAAAAGCUUAGGCAAAUCAGUAGAGGUCCAAUUUGAACCAUACAACAGCCUUCAAUGCAUUAUCUUGAAAAUAUUUUAUCCAGGUUUUUUAGUGCGAGUUUUUUUAUGCAAGGAAUCAUGACUUCACAGUAAACUCUGUUAAAACAAUGGAAGUGUUAGUGGGUAUAUGAGAGUCAAGAAGAAGAAUAUGACCAAAUAACAAGUUUAUAAAAGAAACUUUGUUUUUAUUACAAAAGGGGACUUCUAGUACUAGAGAACUUCUUUUCUUGAUUGAUUUCCAAACAACAUAUUCACCUCCCUAUUUAUAGGACACUUCUAUGAACUAGAUAAUUCUUUAUGCUUCUAGACACUUCUAUGGACUAGAUAAUUCUUUAUGCUUCUAGACACUUCUAUGGACUGGGCUUUUCUUGGACUUGGACAUUACAGAUUACAUUUUUAACAAACUCUUCCUAUACACAUAUUUGUUACACAAGGUAUGCAGAACGACAAAGAGGGCCUAGUUUUCAUCCUUCUCUUCUUUCUCUUUCGUUUUAUCUUUCUUCAUCAUUGGGUAGGGAGUGUACCUGACAUUACUGUGUCAAAAGGCUUCUUUAUUAUGAAUAGGAGCUCACAUUGGUCCGGAGCCUACAACUGACAGAUUUGUGGUUGUUAUGGUAAACACUUCCAUUUCUUCUCACAGAUGCAUACAUAAAUCCCUCUUUAAUCUUCAUGAAAAAGUAAGAUUCACAAAGGUUUAUACUCAAGGAGAAGCUCUCACGAAAUACUGAGUACAUGCUUGACAAUAUUUGCUUUCCUGUUGAGAUAAUGAUUAGAUGUUCUGAAAACCAACAUUAAUUUAAGAUCAAACAUAUGCAACUAUGCAAGGGUUUUCGAAAAAGGACUUUGUGUAUCUUAGAAAAUUGCAGAAUAUAUAAACAUUUUUCUAUGAUCUCUUUUGACCAGAAGAUAGUAUUUCAGUGAGUUUGCUUCAGAAUGCUCUAUCUGACCUAGCUACCAAAGCUAAUAUGUGUUUAUUGUCUUCAUAUGAACAGCUGCAUUACUAUAGCUUUUGACACAGUAAUGUCAGGUUAAAUAAAUUUUGUAGUGUCAGAUUGUUCUUUGCCAUUUAGAUUGUUCUUUGCCAUUUAGAUUUUGUAGUGCAUAAGGAUUUUAGAAGUUAAAUAAAUAACUUUUCAGCUUAAUUUGGUUUGCAUCUAUUGCGUUUUUUCCAUCUUUUCUUUAUCCAUUUCACCAAAUUUGUCUCUUGGCCAUGACAUUUUCACCUCAGUCAGGACCAGAUGAAAGAAGUAUUCCUGGCAACACUAUAGCUGUUCAAGCAGACAUGCCAUUCAGUGGACUUACAACAUUUGGAACUGCAUUUUUAUCCAAAUUUCAGUGUUCCCAAAUGCCACAUCCAGUGAGUUUUUUUCUUCAAUGUUUUGUAUUGACGUCAAAAUCUAAGUUUUGUUUUUCUUACAUUUGCUGUGAUUGUCUUCCUCCUCAAUAUUUGGGUGAAGCUUCUAGAGCACAUCACAUUUGUGGACACUCCUGGAGUGUUAUCCGGUGAAAAACAAAGGACGCAGCGAAGCUAUGAUUUCACUGGGGUGACGUCGUGGCUUGCUGCAAAAUGUGAUCUCAUUCUCCUUUUAUUUGAUCCUCAUAAACUGGACAUCAGUGAUGAAUUCAAGCGUGUCAUUGGAUCUCUACGUGGUCAUGAUUCAUGACAAGAUACGUGUGGUUCUUAAUAAGGCUGAUCAAGUGGACACACAGCAAGUAAGGAAAUCUGUCAAUUUUAUCCAAUAAGAUAUCGUUAUCUGUAUCUGAAUUGACAUUAAUCUGUCAAUGUAUAACCCUUUUUUAUAACCUACCUAGUCCUGAAUCUAUUCUAAAAGCAUUGCUAUUCUGGUUGAUCAUUAUAUAUGGUAUUGUAGGAGAAGAUGGGUAUCCUACUUAUCUAGAAACUAACAUUUUCUUUGACUUGGACAGCUCCUUCAAUGACAAACCUGUAAAUGAAGCACUAAUUGGUCCAAAUGGAAAAGAGCUAUUUGAGAAAGAACAAGAUGACCUUCUGUCCGAUCUGAAAGAUAUUCCAAAGAAGGCUUGUGAUCGUCGAGUAUGUUCUCCAUACUUGUCUGAAAAACUAGCCAUCUUGUAUGCCAUUUGUCAUGUUCUUCCCGAUAACAUAAAUGGUAUUUUUGAACGUAGAUAAAUGAAUUUGUGAAACGUGCUAGAGCUGCUAAGAUUCAUGCCUAUAUAAUGAGCCAUCUUAAAAAGGAGAUGCCUGCAAUGAUGGGCAAAGCUAAGGCCCAACAAAGACUCAUUGAUAAUCUUGAAGAUGAGUUUGCAAAGGUACUACAAUGAUGCGAGUAAUAUUAUUGAUGUACUCAUUGCUUUGAAAAUGGAAGCAUUUGACAACUAUUACUUGUUUGUCAACAGGUCCAAAGGGAGCAUCAUCUACCAAUAGGCGACUUCCCAAAUGUUGAACACUUCAGAGAGGUUUUGAGUGGUUACAGCAUCGACAAAUUUGAGAAGCUGAAGCCAAAGAUGGUACAAGCUGUUGAUGAUAUGUUGGGUUAUGAUAUACCAGAGCUCCUGAAAAACUUUAAGAAUCCAUAUGAGUGAUACAAGUGAUAGAUCGACAGAUGAUCUACCAAUAUAAAGAAUAGAAUGAAUGGUCAAUAUAUACUUGUUAUAGGAGGAACGUCGCACAAUUCGGAAGUUUCCAGUUCAUAAUCUCUUCCAUCUUCUUUGGCCAUCAUUUUUAUAUAUUUUGUACUAUUAUAGCUAUGACUCAUAGCUUUUGUAAACCCAACAUCAAACAUUAUGCACAUGACAUCAGUCAGUCCUCCCAGGUUGAGUAACAAGAUAUUGGAAGCUCCGGAGUUAUAUGUUCAGACUUAUUGUUUACCUUUAAGUAUAGCUGAAGUCGAAAAUAUAUUCAUCAGUUGCAGUCUUGUAGAUUGUUCAGAGUUUCAGACUUUCUUGUUUUACCAAUCAUCCUUAUUAGAAUUGAGCCUUUGUGAACAUUUACAUCAGUUACAUUUUUUCCUUAGUUGCGUCUCAAGUACAUAUGUGUUAUAAAUUUAGAAUGUCUGGGCAUCUGCUGCUGAUCCUUAACCUCGUAAUUUAUGUUUCAUUCGACAUCUGUGUGAUGAUGUAUAGGUUGUUAUGUCGUCAUUGUUCUUCUCCCCCACUUGGUUUAGAUUGUUUGAACAUUCGUAUCUUUGGAUUGCUGGUUGCCUGGUUGUAAGCGCUCUCUAUCCAUUGGUCUUCCUCGUCGAAUAUCACGAUUUUUAACUAUGGUUGUAACUCAGUUUUUGUGUAUACUACAUACAUACAUCCAGCUUUUAUAACCUGACUUCAUUUUUUUCACUGCUCAUCCAUAACCAUGUACCAUUGCCACAUCAUAUAUUGUCAAUCACUUGCAUUCAAGUGCUUUUACGGCCACCUUCUUUCAUAUCAUCUAAACAAAUUACACAUACCUUCCUACUAUGAACAAUCUCAAUUACAGGAUCAAAUUUAUUCAUAUAUAACGACGAUGUCGUCAUAAUCUCCAUAUCAGAAUGUGAUGCUAAAUGUCGUCUCGAUGAGUUUACUACAAUCAUACGUGCAGAUGAGUUUACUACAAUCAUACGUGCAGUUAAUCUUACUCGAGUUAUCAUCAUCGCAUUACAACUAUUCAUACUUAAUAACCUAAAACGAUCUAAACUCUAAACCAUGACCUUCUCCCUACCUCCUUUUUUAUACAUUUUCAGAACUGAAGAAUAUAUUCUGCAUAAUCGUCACCUGCUUAUCUUGCUGUUAACAUAUUUCAUCUCCACCUCCUGCUUAUCACAUUCCAGUAGAACUGUAUUAUCAUACCAACAUUUAAGACAUAUUACAACAAGUCGACAAGUGGUAUGAUCCAUAGUACAAAAUAUGGUAUCGAUCUCCAAAAAAUAGAUAUAUCAAGAUAUAUUGGAAUCUAUCGGUGGAUAUUUUACAUCGAAUGUAUCGACUAAUAUAUCAAUUUGUUAUACAAAAUAUAUAUAAAAUCAAAUUUGGAAGUAUAUUAUCAUAGUAUUUACCUAAAAAACUGUGCGCAGCGGGAAAACUUAUGCCACCAAAAUAUGAUGAUUGGAACUAAUAUUUCGAAAGUAAAAAUGAAAACCGGCCAAAAAUUAACCAAGCAACCCCCACCCAAGACACAAAAAUAUACGUGGUUCGGCAAUAUGCCUACGUCCACGGGGAGAAAGGAUGAUGCUUUUCUUAUCUAGACAAUUGUACAAGCCCUCAUGAAGAAACCGAAGUCUUCUUCCUCACAAAAGUUCUCUCAAACUCUCUAAUGGCUUCUCACAAUCUCUCUCUCAGAAAAGUUAAUUAGGUUUUCCACUUCUAUUUGGCUUUAUACCAUAGCCUUACAAUAGACCACGAAUUGGGCUUAAACAGGCCCAAUUGCACAAAACAAGAGGAGGACGUACGUACGUCGAAAUCACGUACGUACGGUACAACACGGAAUCAUUAUCUGGCAUACGGGACGUUCGAACGCCCUAACCACGUUCGUACGUUCUGUCCCGAAAAAGUUGUCUGCCACAUUGGACAUAAAACCCAACAAUUCUCCACCUCGGCGAAGAUUCAAUAAAUCUAAGCCGACACCAAGAAUCACAAGUCACAAACUCCCACACAUGUCCCGAAAGACCACCUCGGCUGCACCACUUCAUGGUUGCCUACGUACCCUCCUCCUAAGGGAUCAAGCCAUCGUAGUUCACUCCAAGAUAUACUAUCAACUCGAAGGAAUGAUAUGAACCAAUUCUAACCAAUAGAACUUAGUCCCAUACACCACUUUAGUCACGGUAAUAUUCCAAGCUUCUGUCGGAGACAAAGCAACCAUAGAAUGUAAUGUGAACAAUCUGCUGAUAGAUCUCACUGCCAAUGUAAACACAUAUCCAAGAGUAGACCAACGUCUAUCAAAGUGACAAUCAUACUCAACAUCCACAUAACCACCACACCGCAGACUCAAAGUCCUUCCAUGUUGAACUAACAAACCAACCUCCACACUACCUUGAAUGUAGUGGAACAUCCAUUUCACAGCUUCCCAAUGUCUCACAUCAGGAUCAUGCAUGUAUCUACCUACAAUGCCCACUGCUCGUGAAAUAUAUGGUUUGAAACACACCAACUCAUCAUACUUUGCAACUCCAAAACCACUAGGCUGAGACAUAUAUAUCUCCUCAUCUAGCUCACCAUGUAAAACAACCGUUUUCACAUCAAACAGAGCUAAUACACAAUCAGAUCGCACUACCAAGGCCAUAAGGAUGCAAACGUUUACCUUCAAGUGCACAUCUUUACCUGGAGAUUCUUCUUCCUUCUUAGGUAAUCUAGUUGCAAUUGGACCCUCAUCAAUAGGAUCACCAUUUUCUGCAUCUCCAAUCGUCUCAUCAUCUGUCAUGUCAUCAGAAUUUGAAACACCCAAAACCCUUACAAGAGUUUCCACAUUAGAUACAGAACCCACUGGAACAUAUGGAGAUAUGCAAAUCUCCACCCACUGCAAAACCUCUUUGGUCUUGUUCUCCACCUGUUGAGAACUCUCAGGCUUCAACAUAGAAACCUCCAUAAGAGUUUUACCACUUAUCACAAUCAAAUGCAACCUGUUAAUAAGAUGACAUGUCUCAACCCGAAACACUUUGCCUAAUCCAGCCAUAGACAACAUGUGUUCUGCCACCCUAUUCUGUUGCAGUGUCUUUCUCACAGUGAAGUGACGCUCAAUACCCUCAGUCUGACAUACUUGCAAGACCGGAUCAUCUUUGUACUCUAUGCUAUUAUCUAAGCACAAUACCAUGAUCUUUCUGUCAAUUCGGGCCUCAACUAGCUUCUUCCACUUCAAUAUUUCUAGGACUUCAUCCUUAUGCUUCAUGAUGUACAUCCACGCACGCCUAGAAAACUCAUCAACUAAAGACACAAAAUAAGACUUACCUCUCCAAGCUGUGUACUUGGUAGGUCUCCAGACAUUCAUGUGAACAUAAUCAAGAACUCCACUCAUACAAUGGAUAGUUGUGCCAAACUUUGCUCUUGUCUGCUUGCCCAGAUCACAAUGCUCACCGAACUCUAACUUGCAGGCGAUAGCACCCAUAAAAAACCUUUGCUCCGUCAUUGUCUGCAAAGAUUUUUCACAUUUAUGCGUCAACCGCAUAUGCCACAAUUUGGUAGUCUCUCUAGCAAACUUCGUUGUAGCCUCUGACAUGGCCACAUCACAUGUAACUGUACUACCCUGCAAGAAGUACAGGUUACUUCGUCGAGUACCCUUUAGUAAUACCAUUGCACCAACCAUAACCUUUAGAACACCAUUCUGAGCUACUACCUUGUAACCUUUGGCUUCUAAAGUACCAAGUGAAAUAAGGUUCUUCUUCAAAUCAGGAACAUAUCUUACAUUCCUCAACUCUCUUAUCUUUCCAUCAAACAUCUUCAAUCGAAUAGUACCUAUCCCCAAUACAUGACAAGGUUGAUCAUUCCCCAUCACUACUGCACCAUUAUCUAGCCUUUUAAAGCUAGGAAACCAUUCCCUUAUGGGACACACAUGAUAAGUACCAGCCGAAUCUAAUAUCCACUUUUUAGCAUUAGUGGAACAAUCGAUGGAUGAAACAAAUAAAGAGUAAUCAGAACCAUCAUCUUCAUCUCUAUUAUUACGUGCAAUAUUUACCUCAGAGUUCUUCUUCUUGUCCUUUGCCUUGGCUUGAAGACAAUCUUUCUUCCAAUGCCCUUUCUCAUGACAAAAGGAACAUUCAUCUUUUGCUAGAAACCCCCUCUUCGGCUCCCUACGAGACUCACCCCUACUAUUGUAGCUUCCCCUUGCCACUAAGACCUCUGGUGUUGAGCUUUUGGACUCUUCUUUGUCCUUCUUCAUACACGCAUGAUUUAACAAUGCUGCAGAAAUCUCACUAUACACCAACUUGUCUUUUCCAUAUGUAAGUGUGAUAGCCAAGUGUUCAUAUUCGUCCGGUAACGAAUUGAGGAGACACACUGCCUUGCUUUCAUCACUUACAUCUGCUCCAAGAUUCACCAAGUCGGCAAUUACCUUGGUAAAAUCAUUAAGAUGCUCCGCCAUGGAAAUACCUCUUCUCAUAUCUAUUCGAUAAAACUUUCGAAGUAGAUAGUUUUUAUUAUGGAUAGUCUUUGUCAUGUACUUCUCCUCCAAUUUUCGCCACAUCUCCUUUGCAGAAACAUCAUUCAUCACAAGAUAUUUAACGUCUUGUGCCAAACACGAUCUUAUGAUUCCACAAGCUCGUUUGUUCAUCUUUUUCCAAUCCUUCUCUUCCACAUCUUCUGGCUUAUCCUCCAGAACAUCUUCUAGGUCUUGUUGACAUAGAGCAUCCAUUACCUCACACCUCCACAUGCCAAAGUUAUUGGUGCCGGUAAACUUCUCUACAUCAAUCUUUGCUUGAUGGUAAACCACUGUCUUGGUUUCCCCCUUCGAAUCCUUCAAAUUCAAUUCUUUUGUCAUCUUACCACCAACUUUUAUGCACUAAACAAUCACCAACCGAAGGUAAACAAAUCUGAAAUUCACACCGGAAUUUCAACAAACACCUUCUAUGCAACCCACGAACAAAAGGUAGAACCUUGGACUUGAAACACAAUUAAGAAACUCACUGCGGAAUUUCUUCAAACACCUUCAAGACGCUCAAGAUCUAACCGAAGCUCUGAUGCCACUUGUUGUGCGCAGCGGAGAUUAAUGCACAAAUAUGAUGAUUGAACUAAUAUAUGAAAGUAAAACGAAAAACGACAAAAUAAACAAGCAACCACACACAAGACACAAGAUAUACGUGGUUCGGCAAUAUGCCUACGUCCACGGGGAGAAAGGAUGAUGCUUUUCUUAUCUAGACAAUUGUACAAGCCCUCAUGAAGAAACCGAAGUCUUCUUCCUCACAAAAGUUCUCUCAAACUCUCUAAUGGCUUCUCACAAUCUCUCUCUCCGAAAAAUUAAUUAGGUUUUCCACUUCUAUUUGGCUUUAUACCAUAGCCUUACAAUAGACCACGAAUUGGGCUUAAACAGGCCCAAUUGCACAAAACAAGAGGAGGACGUACGUACGUCGAAAUCACGUACGUACGGUACAACACGGAAUCAUUAUCUGGCAUACAGGACGUUCGAACGCCCUAACCACGUUCGUACGUUCUGUCCCGAAAAAGUUGUCUGCCACAUUGGACGUACGAACGCCCUAAAGCCGUUCGUACGUUCCUGAACAAAAAACUUCCCCUUCUCCUGAAUUGCACAUAAAACCCAACAAAAACAUUAUAUCUACUAAAAAUGGAAUAAGCAAAUUAUUUCUAAAAAAAAAAAAUAUGCAAAAAAAGAAUAUAUUUCCAAAAAAUAUCGGAAAAUAUCAACCAAUAUCGGUAAAUAUCAGAAAAUAUCGGUCGAUAUUUUACAAAAACAUUAAACGGUAACUAUCGGGAAUAUAUCGUAUCGUUUUGUCAAAAAAUAAUAUAUAUAUAUAUCGCGAUGAUAUUUUGUACUAUGGUAUGAUCAUAAUUUUAUUUGCAUGCAUACAUGUUUCUUUGUAUACCUAACCAUAGCUCAAAAUGCUCAUAUUUUGAGUGAAAUUUCGAAUUCUGAAAAAACGGAUUUUACCAAGAUUUUUAUACUAGAAACUAAUUUGAAGAUCGAGUAUUCGUGUGAAUAUUCGUGUAUUCGAUUUCUUAAAAAAAUCGGCAUAAUUCAUGAGAUAUUCCGAUAUUUUGAACCCUUUAAACUAUGCACCUAAGAACGAAGUCCAUAUUAUAGAUUAAUUAAAUAAGAUAAGGUAAGACAAAACUUGCCAAUGUUGAAAAUGUCAGACGUACACCUGCACACACCUUCAUUUUCAUGGUAACAAUUUAAAAUCCAGCUACCAUUACCAUUGUUAUUUGUCAGUAUCAUACUUAUAGAACACUAGUGUCUUAGCACAGGUUAAUUUUAAUUUAUCUAUGUAUGUCUGAUUACUAUUGGAGUUUUAAGUUAUUAAUUUUAUUAAAUAUUAUAAAUUAUAUCAAUUUAUUAAAUUUUAUAAAAUAAUUAUUUUAGUAAAUUUGGUUAAUUUUUUAAUAUUUUAUAAAAGUUCAUUAUUAAAAAUUAUUGAUUCUCAUAAAAAAUAAUUAUAAGUGUUACCAUUUAAAAUUAUUAUUUCAUUAUAUUUUCUUAAUUUCUCUUUUUAAGUUAUUGGACCUUUUGGACUUUUGGUUGUUAAAAAAAAAUCGAUCAUAAAUAAAAAUAUGUUAAAUUACAGUAAAACUAUUAUUUAAAAGAUAUAAUGUAAAUUUACCAAAAAACUAUGACUAAAAGGGUAAAUUUACCCUGAAUUUUAUUCAGGUUUAUAAUAGUAGUAUAGAUAGAUAUCCACUCCCACUUCCAUACACACUAGAGUAAUAAAUGUAAAAAUUUGUGAAUAUUUGAUGAAUAUAUAUAUUUUUUUUUAAAUUGGAUAUCAAAAUAUUUGUGAAUAUUCAACAAAUUCUGACGUAUACAGUUUGUUUUUAGUGUCGGAAUUUUGGAUAUAUCUAUUUUUCUAAAAAUUGGAUAUCCGCACAAAAUUGAAAUUUUAAACUAUAACUAUAGAGUAAACCCGAGGACAAAAUAAAAAUUGCAAGCACCUCAACUAUAAUGUAGAAAUUGCCAAAUUACAGAAGCAAAACCUAUUCUAAUAGUGCAUUCACACUACCUAAAUAUCUAUUGUAUGUGUCAGUGUGUAAAAAAUACACGCUGACACAUGACUUGCUCGCAACAACCAUAUCAUGUGUCAGUAUGUAAAAAAUACAUGUUAACACAUGAUUUGCUCGCAAGAACCAUCUUAUGUGUCAGCGUGUAUGAAUAAUAACGCUGACACAUAACUUGGUCCUAACGCAGAAUAAAGUAGUGUGUCAGCAUAGAAUUAAUAGUAUCUCAAUGAUCUCAGAUAACUUUACUUACUAGGUUAUAACUUACCUACUAGGAGUCUACUAGUACAUUAUCAAACAAAACAAUCCUCUUCAAAACAAAAUACAUUUAAAAACCCAUGAUCACAACUCAAUCUUGUUUUCAGUAAAACUUCAUCGAAAUCAUCAAAACUCUAAAAAAAAAAAAACCCAAUCUUUGAUAAAAAAAAAGAUGGCUUUGAUGAAGAGAUUUCAAGGCAAAGUAGCCAUAAUUACAGCAUCAACACAAGGAAUUGGUUUUGGUAUUGCAGAAAGACUUGGUUUAGAAGGAGCUUCUGUUGUAAUUUCUUCACGAAAACAGGUUUGUAAGAUAUGGGUAUUUAUUAAAAUUCUGUUUUUUUAAUGGGUUUGUUUCAAAAUUUGAUCUUGUUAAUGGUUUUUUGAAGAAAUUUUUGAAUCUGGGUUUUUGCAGAAGAACGUUGAUGAAGCUGUUGAGAAACUUAAAGUUCGUGGGAUUGAUGCUUUGGGUAUUGUUUGUCAUGUUUCAAAUGCUCAACAAAGGAAGAAUCUCAUUGACAAGACUAUUGAGGUAGUUUUUUUUUUUUUUUUUUUUAUUAAACGAAAAUUUUAUUGAUAAAUCUAGGAAUUACAUAAAGGUAGAUGACAAACGCGCUGUAAACUGCGCUGCAAGUCCUUUCUGAAUAGCAAAACCGAUCAAUCGAGGAAUUACAUAAAGGGAGAUGACAAACGUGUUGUAAACUGCAUUGCAAGUCCUUUCUGAAUAGCAAAACCGAUCCUUUUAAAUUAAACGGAAAUUUUAUUGAUAAGUUGUGGAAUUAUAUAAAGUUAGAUGACAAGCGCGCUACAAACUGUGUUGUAAGUCCAUUAUGAAUAGCAAAAUCGAUUCUUCUAAAUACAUAUUCGUUCGAACCAACAGUCAUCAUGUUGCUAACCAUUACCUUCUGCACUCUCUUGAGGAGCUCCACUGCAUCUGAGGGCAAUCUUGAUUUUGGUAAAAUAACAAUUUCAAAGAAGGGUUUUGAUUUUGAUUUUAAUUGAAGUAUAGUUUUGUAGGUUUAAAUUUGUUGAUGAGUUUCAUCUAGUAUAACUAUGUUGACCUUGUGUAGCAAUCAACAAUGCUCAUGGGAGCCUAAUAUGUUUUUACGCACCUACAAGGCUUUACAUUCACAAGGUUUGAUUGUACAAAACAUUGCGUCACGGCCUAACUCACUGGGUGCGAGGCAAGUCUGACCCAUGUUCAUAGUGUUGCUUAAGCCUUUAAGGGUUUGUUAGUAGUAGUGCUGCAGAGCUUAUUUUAUGCGUAGAGACUAGUGAGCUCCUGUUUAUAGAGUAUAUGUUUCUUUUGUUUAGAGAUUUUUUAAGUUUCACUUUUGAUGUAUGACCAGUUUAUGUAUCAGACUUUUCAGGUGGAACUUUUUUCAUUGAUUUUUCUCUUGAUAUAUUUUACCUUUAAUGUCAGAGCUAUCUUUUUCGAUACCGUGGACUUUUCCACGGUUUACCCACUUGAUUUUCAACUGUGUAUCAACUUUAAGUAUUCUAUCUGUGGUUAUGAUCAGAUAGGGUUCUAGUUCAUUAAUUCAAACUUGUUUGUCUGCAGAGAUAUGGGAAAAUAGAUGUAAUCGUAUCCAAUGCUGCCGUCAACCCAUCUGUAGAUAACAUUUUGGAUAGUCAAGAAUCUGUCCUCGAUAAGCUCUGGGAGAUCAAUGUCAAGGCUUCCAUACUUCUCUUAAAGGUAAUUCACUUUAUAACAAUAGCAGUUUUUAGGCCAUUAGAAAAGUGCAAGUGUCUACAAAGUCAUAAACUAAUUGCAAAGUCCCUCGAAAUAGCUGUCAGAUGUCCCUAAUAUUCUGCUCGCAUCUUUUAUAAGUUGGAAAUUAAUACCGGAUUAUUGGCAAUCAUGAAAACCGAUUUGACGAUGACUGGUCUGAUUGUCUUGCAUCAUCAAAACCAAUUACUUCUUUCACAUAGGACAUAAGUGAUUGGUAUAUCUAAGGCUGUGCCGUUGGUUGAUCACCUGUACUGUAGAUGUAAAGAUUUGUUUAGAUAUCCUCACUGCAAUCUCUUAAGCUUCUAUUUUGCAAUGUUGUCACCACAGGACGCAUCACCUCACUUGGAAAAGGGAUCAUCAGUUGUUUUUAUUUCUUCUAUCGCAGCUUAUCAACCGCAGUCAUCAAUGGCCAUGUAUGGGGUGACAAAAACAGCUCUUCUUGGCCUUACAAAGGUAAUUCUGUUGGUUAAAAUACCGAACUAUGCGUGCUUGCUUGUUUAUAAAUUGCUUUUGAGUUUUGACUACAAAGAAAGAUUAUCUCAAGUGUAUAUAAAUAUGAGCACCAUCCACGAUGUUACCUAAAUUCCAUGCCAUGGACAUAGCUAGCCAUUAGCCGAUCGAUCAAUAUUGACAAUUCAAUUGGUCAGCCCUCUAUUUGUUGGAGCAGAACCUAGAAAAAGAAUUUGCAGUAAAUUUCUGUUUGUUCUUAUACAAGACAAGUUCAAAGCCAUAAAUCUAAAGAAAAUAUCGACGGCAAGAAAAGAUGGCUGGAGCAAGUUGUUUUUCAUGUAUCCUUGACAUUCUUCUCCUUUUCUUUUUAGGCUCUUGCAAACGAGAUGGCUCCUGAUACUCGAGUGAAUACUGUUGCUCCAGGGUUCGUACCCACUCACUUUGCAGAUUACAUCACAAAAGACGCAUCUGUGGUGAGUACAUAUGCUCCUAAAUCAGUUUCUCGUUUCUCUUAAACUUUCUUUCGGAUUUGUAAAUUCAGAUCCUUGCUGUUAAACAGACUGAGUAGAACAUGAUAAAAGAAACUGAUUACUUUGGCGAUUUAUGUAUAUGUCAGAAGUCCUAACGAAAUGUAUUUCUGCUAGAAUUUCAAUUUGCACGUUUGCUUCUUUCUUAUUUCUGAAUGUGAAUGAAUUCUGUAAACAGAGAAAGAGGCUCGAAGAGACGACCUUACUUAACAGACUUGGAACCACAGAAGACAUGGCUGCAGCUACUGCCUUCUUGGCAUCUGAUGAUGCUUCCUACAUCACAGGAGAAACUUUGGUAGUCGCAGGAGGGCUCCCUUCAAGACUAUAAAUUUUGCGAAGUACUUCUGCUGCCUGUUGUAGUGAUAAUAAGAUAUUCUCUUUGGUUCUCGUGUAUCCAAGGCGAAGUCAACAAGUUCUUAAUUCCCUAGUGAUUGGUAUCUCAUCAUACAUAGGAUUGGCCUGUCAUAAAUCGGAAUAAACAUUAGUUUAAAUGCUUUUUACGCACUACAGCUUGUUAAUGUGGAUCUUUGAUCAUUUUGUGAUGGAGUUGUAUCAAUGUUUUGUUUCUCUUGAAAGCAGUGGAAAAGAAAAGAACAUGAAAUUCGCGGAUUGUAUUUUGACUAUGGUCGUUAUGCUGUAAUAUCAUUUACUGAAGUUCCAUGUUCUAUGUCAUACAUUUUUGUGUCAUCAUCCAUAGAUGUGAUUGCACUUCAUAUUAACCCAGGCCGUGGCAUAGAUUUUAAGGUUUUGUUAUUCGCCUGUUGUUGUUUUGGCUUCUGGUAAGGCUCUAGUAAACAAAUUUGGAUUUCAUUCACAGAUGACAACAUACAAGUGUGUUGCUUGUGUUUGCUGAUAAUUUACAGAAGAAAAGAAGUUCAUUAUACAACUGUUGUCACAUGGCUUAUCUAGUGGGCAUUAAUGACAGUAUUAGGGACAACAUUGACAGGGCAUCAUGAUAGAAUUGAAAAGGACAUAAAAACAAGAGCAAAGCUACAAGUGGGCAGUCACAGCUAAACACCACCUCCUCCGCCACCAGCACUACCGCAACCACCACUGCUGCCACAACCACCACCAGAGACAACAACAACGGGAGUGUGCUUGUUGUGACGCCUUCUUGACUUCUUUUCUGAACCUUCACCACAAGCGAGGAUUACCAUUGAAAUAACUGAGAUAGAUGCAACAAUAAUGCAAAGCAUAAGCAAAGCUCCUGAAAUUUGAAAUAAAUUCCCACUUCCUCCAUUGCCAACAAGAUCAACUGCUAAUGUCCUUGCCAUCUCUUAUGUUCAAAUAACUGCAGAUAAUAAAACCACCAGAGAUCCUACACCUUUAUAGCCAGACUUGGUACAUUAAUAUAUGACUUUUAAUUUGUAGUCAAAAGUAAGCUAACUUGUCUCUAAAGCCUUAAUCAUGUACCAAAAAGAAUUGCAAAAAGAGCGUUGACUCCCAAGUUGCUUUGUAUGUCAAAAAGUGCAGAUUCCAUCACAUUUCUCCUAGCACAUCUGCAAGGCUUUAGGUCACUGGUUAUUACCAUAAAAAGGCGACAAUGGUAAAACCCCACCUUUUAGAGGUAUAGCUUGGUGUUAUUCCAUAAAAGGGUAGCUCGUUAGCAUUUCUCGCAGACAUAGUAAAUAGAGAAAAGACAUACUUGUCUAUACUAAGAUUUGAGUGUGUUUGAAACAUUCUAAAAAACAUAACGUAACACUAACUGGUGGUAGCAAAGAAAUCAACCUUUGGAGCAUCUCUGCUUCUAUGUACAUAGCUCAGCCACGACAACUAUAGCACAAUACAAACAACUAUAAACUGCUUCAAAGAGAGACGCUUUUUUAAACUUGGUGUUCCAUCAUAGCUCAACCAUAUUUCAUCCAUGCAUACAUUUUCUGUGUAUUACGUGGUCUUCCAUGGACUUUAUGCUUGGCAUCUUCUGGACCAUUUACAUACACUUUACACAUGGAAGACAUGGCUACUGAUUGCCGUGCAUGAUUUUUUUUUUACACUCGGUUUACCUUCCAAUAUUCUUGGGAUGGAUAGCAACUUCUAAAGAUCAAACACAAAUUUACACGGGUACCACAUCUGCAUCCUGGCUCUCAUCGCAUUUCAAAAUGAGACCUUCAAUAUAAGUGGGGAGAAGGCAACGCAUCCACUGACAACCAGUGGAGGGUGGCUGUGGUGAAGGGACAAUCAUCAGUACAUUCUCCUGGCGCUGGACGAUACCCAUCACGCUUACAGUGCUUCCUUCUUUGAUAUACCUGAUACAUAGCAAUCUCUUUGAGAAGUCUUCAGAAAGCAGCUUAUAAAGGUAAAUAGGCUGCAAUCAUACAACAGCUAGGCAACACCUAUAAAACUGAGUAUGGAAGUCAAUACACCAACUGAUAGCUUACCCUUCUUUGAGGCGCAUGAUGCGUUCAUCACUAGAAAGCUUGCGAUCAGAUAGCCAGUUUAGAAAGCUAGGGGACAACUCUCGAUUUUCCGUUGUUAUAUCAACUACAGUUGUAGGUUUAACAAAAGGAGCAACUUUUGCUCCAUUUCCUGCCUUAACCAGUGCUCUCAGGCCUGACUGAAAGUCCGAGACAUAAAAAUCUGCAACAUGUUUCUGUUCAAAAGGAUGAAAUCAGCUCAACAUUGAUAAGAGAUGCUUCAAAACCAGAUUACAUGUAAUCCUUAACCUGUAGUAAUAAAUUUUACAUCUCAGAUCAUUACACAGUAAAGCAUACGCACAAGCAAGAUGCUUAAAGUAUUUCAGAACUUAACUGCUGGUCAUGUACUAGGAAUAGCAUCCACAAUUAAACCUCAAUAGAUUUUUCCUCGUAAAUUGGAAGUGCUCUAAGUUGUGCGGGGUGGGAAGAAUGAUGUGGAAGCUCCUAUUUCAUGCUGUUAGUUGGGAAUAUGGCUGGAACGCAACAGAAGAUUGAUUGAAGACAAAGCAUUAAUACCGAACCGGCUGAUCACAUCAAUUAAAUAUGCUUUAUGGAACUGGACAUCUUUUCUGCCUUGUAUGAGAAUUAUAAGACUGGAAGCUGUAAUGGGAGACUAGACGUAGUUGUAUGUAAGCCACAUUGAUGUAACCUCUCGGAACUACUGUGACUAUCUUUAUAACAUUUCUUAUUAAUAAAAAAUUGUUAGCCUAUCAUUAAAGUUCAGUUAGCUUCCUAUAACAGAAUGUUAAAAUUAUAUUUGACACAUGGACGUUCUAAAUCAUAAAUCCAUUCAAUACAAUCAUUCUCACCAAAAUUGGAUUGCAUCCAAUUCUUCAAGAAUUGAAAUUUGAAAUUGAAAUUCAGAAGUCCAGAAUUCAGAUAAUAGUCAUGACUGUUGGAUUCAAACGAUUUCCAAACUGUAAUCAAGUGAUUACAGUGUACCAAGUGUUCCAGGGUUUCUUUAAUGAAUCCUAUAGGGUAAGUCUACACAUCUCUGCUGUUAGCUUCUAAAAAAAUAGGGUGCCACAUGAUUUUAUAGCUCAGGUUGAAUAGGUUGGAAUUUUCGUUAAUUCCGAUUUGAUAAAAAACGGGAAAAAAAAACCUAAAUUGAGAAAUUAAGCAUUCUCUAAAAUUUCCCCGAGUUACUGGAUCCUGACAUUUAGGGGUGUGCCAAUCCCUCCAUGCUCCAAUAUCAUGAAAUCCUGAAGGUUUUUGUUCUUAAUUCUUUAGAUUUCUUACCAGUGAGUAUAUUAUUGUAUUUGGACUCAUCAACGCAAACAAAGAAAAUCAUGAUAUGUGAAAGACAGAAGAAACAGAAAGUGACAUGUAAAGUUAAAUAGAGGAUGAAAGCACUCAAUAAGCAACUUUCAUAUUUCCAUCAGCAUAGCAGUUGUGCAUUUCUUGAUUAAAGUAAACAUAUGAUCUAAUGCGCAAUUAUAGACUAAAAUAUAAGAGAACUCCUCUCUUCAAGAUUUGUAAUUAUUCAAUCAACAGAUAUUAUUAGUUCCAGACAAAACAUUAAAAGUGUCUUCAUAGGUAGCUCAACAUACUGACCUCAGAAUAUCGCAAUCCCCAUGAGAAGGGACAGUGUUUAGAGUUUGCAGACUUUCCACCCCAUCCUUUAUAUUCAUACAAUUCUGUAGAUACAUAUGCACACCUAGGGACCCUCUGGUAAGAUGAUUCAAGAGGAAUACUACCACAGGUCACAACCUGCAUAUAGAGAUAUUCAAUACACUAUUUUGUGGAUAAGAAUCUUAAAAGUAAAGACCAGUAACAUAUGAACUUUAAGAGCAAUAGUCUUAACUCUUAAAACCCCCUUAGAAUUUUAAAUUAUAAUUAGAGGAUGAUAAAUCCAGAUGUAAUAAACACUAAGAACUUAAUUAUAUACCAAUGACAACUCCAUCGUGAGACUCUCAUCGAUGGAAAAGAGAAACAACUUAAAAUGGUUCUAUAUUCGGGUAUGACAUUACAGUAUUGAGACUGUCUUAUGUCAGCGCCAGAUACUCAUUAUAAAUUCACCAGGACUUACAACUCAAAAACUCAUAUGGUAUGGAAGUCAAGAAAUAUAUGAUCUAAUCUGAUAAGUUAUUUCAAUCCAUAGAAAAGUUCAAUGAAGUUUACUUGCAUUAACCAACUUGAGUUUUACUGGACAAUUCAUUCGCCGUAGUGAUACAAAGCCAAUGAUGGUAAAGAGUGAGAGAGAACCCCACAAAAGUAACAGGAGGACAUAUAAGGGAGUACAAAGUGGUCAGUCUUGGAUAGAUAAUGUCACUCCUAUCACUCAUUUGACCCCAAACAUUGUUGUUCUUUAACACAUUUUACAAUGAAGCUUUACCUAGCAAACUCUGGAAAUCAACAUCACGUCAAGUUUUUCCUGUAGUCAUACACUAGAACAUAUUGUGGGCUAGAAGGCAACUAAACAUAGGUGCUUGACAAUUUAAGCCAUCUACCAUGUGCUUUUCGAAAUCCCAGCACUGCUGGUACUAUAAAAUUGCAGGGAAAAAAAUAGCGAAAAUGGGAUUAAGAGUUCAAAAUCAAGAGUGAUCUUAUUGAUUGUUAUUCUGAUGCAUAAGAAAUCCAGUCUAUCCCACAAAGACAUCUCCAGAGUGUGAUGGGUUUGAGGAGAAAGUAUCAAACAAGUGAGUGAGAAAAAUCUAAUUCCAAAUCAAGGUCAACUUUUUUUAACUACUCCAGAUUCCACUUUCUGCUUAAUUUGCUAAAAAUAGCCAAUUUGACGGUAAGACUAGAUUUGCAUAUAACAAAUCCCAGAUUUUAAAUAUAUCAAACAAACCAAUAUAGCAAUCAUCAACAUUACUUGAACAAACAACAAUAAGAACAAAAAUAUGCAGGCCACAACAACUAUGAAAAUGACAUAAGUAAGUCUGCAACAAAUAUUGUUGAUACUGAUAACAACAGUAACGAUGAUCAUAAUAUACAAAAAUGCAUUAAAAUGUUAAAGCACGACAAAGGUAAAAAAAAAAAAUUACCCCAGUAACUUUGACAAACUGUCCAUCUUUUGCACUUCUAAGCUCAGCAUCAGGAUAUCUAUUUACAAACCCUAACAACCCUUUUUUCCUCCAAGCACAAUUCCAAAUUACAACAACCAAAACUGGCACAAUAAUUGCUCCUACCGCGACUAAUAUUAUCGCAUUCUUCACUGUCGCCAUCAUAAAUACACCAACUACUAACCCCAUCAACACCACUAUCCCAAAAACCCACAUUAUUGCUUUACUUACCUUAAACCCAAAUUUCAAAUCUUCCUUAAUACUAGUUACAGCUACCCCAUAAUUCAUUUUCCCCAUUGUAACCGACAUUUCUGACCGACGAAUCCCCCCACUACUUCCAGUCCCAGAAUUCCAUUGAAUACCACCAGAAGUAAUUAAUCCAGUUGGUUGUAAUGGAAAUGAACCAGAAUUUGAAGAUUUAGUAACUUGGGGACCUGAGUUUGAACCAGAUCGAAGUGAUCCACUAUUAUGUUGUGAAGAUGAAGAUGGUCUAGAUGGUUUAUUUAAUGUUGAAGAUGUUGUUGUUGUUGUUGAAGAAGUAGGAUCAAGUAUAGGUAUAUCAAACAUUUUUCCUAACUCACCAGAUUUCUUCACAUCACCACCUGUAUAUGGUACUACACCUCUAGAUCCCAUUGUUUGUUGUCUAUCUUUCAGUUUUUCUUGUCUACCUGAUACAUAUAGACCACUACUUAACUGAUGUGAUGGGAUUCUUGUUGCCAUUUCUAUAUACAGAAAAAAGGGUAUGAAGAGAGAGAGAGAGAGAGAGAGAGAGAGAAAGAGAGAGAGAAACUUGGGUUUUUUUCAGAAAGAGAGAUAGUGUUGCAGAGAGAGAGAGAGAGAGAGAGUGAAGAAGGGGGAGAGAGAGAAAGGGGAAGUGGAGGAGAUGAGUGAGGAUGAAAUGACAUAAAUGGUGUUAAUUAUUUUUGAUAAUGACUUGUCUAUAUACAAUGAUUUUUUAUUUUUUUAUUUUUUGGUUUUUUUUAUUUAGUAAAAAUCUUUUUACAAUGAUUUUUUUUUCACUUAUGGUAAAUAUUAAAAAAAAAAAAUUAAAGGUAGUUUAUUCUUAUAGGAAAUUAGGAAUUCUACGUUAAAUCGUUAACAAACUCAAUCAUCGUCUACACUCUACAUACACACCAAUAACCACGUGGUAUAAAAGUUGUGUAGACGUAGUCUGGUAGAUGCUUGAGUUUGUUAGCAUGCAACUAUUACUUUAAAAUCGUGUUUUUUUUUUUACAGUUAAUUUUUUUACGAUGUACGAUGAGUUUGUAAUUGUACAUUGAGGUAAAAAUAAAAAAAAAAUAAAAAUUACCUCAACAAAUAUUAGUCGAUUAGAUAACUGCACGUGUAAAAACCACUCUGUUUUAAAAUUUACACGUUUAAGUGAAAGUUAAGAUUCUUUUAGCCACGAAACCCCUAUGUAAAUCGGUAGUUAGACUAAACACCACUAAAUUUAUAUCCGACAAAUUCAAUCCGCUAUGUUAAAAUUGAUUGGAGACACAAAUAAUCAUUAAUAUAGGAUCAUUUUAUUGUAAGGCUUCUUUGAAGAACAUUUUAAUAGUCGCUCACAUACAUUUUUUUUUUUUUUUUGCCAGUCACAUACACACUCAUAUACAUAUACAAAUAGUAUAGUCAUUAAUUAAUUAGUCAGAGUCUAAUAUUGGUAAGAAUUUGAUUAUUUUAUAAGAGCAAUGAGCUAAUAUUCCACAUAGAUGACUUAAAAGGAAUGAUAAAUCUUCUUCUCUCAGUUAAUAUUCUUAUACAUUAAUUAAAGAAUGAAGAUCUUUCUAAUCAUGUUUAUAUAUCUUAAGCUAUAUUGGAUACUUUUAGUCAUGCACUUAAUCAACUAGCUGGAUGCCUGGAUGUGGAUGGACAUUUUCAAUUCAAACAAUAUAAUCAUUUUUAACCAAAGGAACUCUUUAAUGUUUAUAACCUUCUUCUAUUACCUCAGAUAUUUUGUAGUUUGUAGAAGUGAUGAUUGAUGACAUUACUCGAAUAGUGCAUGGCAUAAUAUUUUUACCAUAAACACAUGUUUCUCACCUAAUUCUUAGGUGGGUCAGUCUUCUGGCUUGGUUCGAGAUUAAGAGACCCAUGCUCUUAUGAUGAGGAUGUGGUUAGGUGUUCUCUCAUGAUGAUGAUGUGGCAACAUAUUCUUCAGCAAAAACAAGUCCCUAAGUAACAAAAUUACUCGAGUUGUGAGGUGGCGGUGUGGACACUUAGGUGGUAACAUCAGUAGCCUUCGGGCUUUGUUUUUGUAAGCCUUUUAGACCUGUCCUUGUAAGCCUUCGGGCCAUCAUAUAAUUUUUUUUUUCUUAAAAAAAAACCCCACGUACUUAUAGGCCACACAAAUAAAAUUCACGCUAACAUAAUACCUGUUAUUUGUCGAAUUUUAUUUUUUUUCCUUAAAAUAAUUUUAUGGGUUGUAACACCCCGAGUCGGCAGGUGGUUUCCCGAGGGGGUGGGUCCUAUGACACGUAAGAGGGGGAUGUCAUGAUAUUGGAAUAUAGGUAUAGAUCUGUCAUAUAUAAUCACCGAGGCCUUUUGGGCUCACUUGGCUCGAGAGUUCGAAAGAACUCCGGAGUUAAGCGUGCUCGGGUGGGAGUAAUUCUCAGGAUGGGUGACAUCUUGGGAAGCAGGCUGCUGUCCAAUAAAAUCCCACACUGUCGGACAUCCGCAGUGGCUAAGUGGAGACAAUAUCGGUGGUGAUAUAGGUCAGGUCGUUACAUGGGCGAAUGCUCACUAUUAUAAAUAAAAUUGGAAAUUGCCACCCUUUUGAACUUUUAGGUAGUCAAACCACCGUUGACCUAAUCAAGUUAUGGUCUCUUACUUAAUAUAUUCAUGGAGUACUUUUCAUGAGCCACGUUGGCUCAUGAAAGGUAUUCCAUAAAUAUUAAAUAAAAGACCACAACUUGACUAGGCCAAUGGUGGUUUAAUUUGAACUUUUAGGUAGUCAAACCACCGUUGACCUAAUCAAGUUAUGGUCUCUUACUUAAUAUAUUCAUGGAGUACUUUUCAUGAGCCACAUUGGCUCAUGAAAGGUAUUCCAUAAAUAUUAAAUAAAAGACCACAACUUGACUAGGCCAAUGGUGGUUUAAUUUGACCAACUGAAAGCGCAAAAAAAUAGAUGAUCUCCAAUUUUAUUAAAAGUAGUGGGUUAUCGCAAAUUACAUCUAUUAUACUCUAUUAAAGCAGGAAAUACCCCUAAGAAAAUAUCUCUUCAAUUAGGCUAUCAAUUAGAUUAAAAUAGAUAGCCUAAUUGAAGAGAAUUUUAAUUAAGUUUGGGUAUAUUUGUAAUUACGCAAAAGUGGACCACCAUCACAGAUAUAAUCAAGCCCAAUUAGACCAAAUCAUGGGCAUAAUUAAGCCCAAUAAAAAAGUUAAAAGUAUACCCAAUCCCAAGUAUAAUCAAGUCCAGCCCAUACCCAGUUGGACUAAAUCACAAGCAUAAUUAAGCCCAAUAAAAAAAAUUAAAAGUAUACCCAAUCCCAAGUAUAAUCAAGUCCAGCCUGUACCCUAAGAAAAUACAGUAAAACCUCAAUAAAUUAAUAGCCUUGGGACUAGAAAAUUAUUAAUUCAUCGAUUAAUUAAUAAACUAUUAAUUUACAUAAUUAACAGUAUAUUUUCAUGUGUAUCUUUCUUUUGGGGGGCUAACAUGAUGAAAUUGGACAAUCGUUUUAUUCUAGAACCCGUUCCACGAAAAGAAACACUAAAAUCGAUAAUGAUAUUGGAAUAAUUUCUUCUAGCAUUACAAAAUACAACACCAGAUCAACUCAUCACACUACAAAAAUUCGAAGACGAGGUUCAAACCAAAAUCAAUUUUGGGAAAAACAAGCAACAAUUGACUUUUAUUAUAAAAAAAUAUAAUAUAUAUUUGUAUAUCAAAAAAAUAUUAAUUUAUAUAUUAGUUGGGCAUUCAAGGAUUUUUCUAAAAUGUAUUAUCUAAUAAAUUUAGCGAAAUAUUAAUUUAUCAACCUAUGCCCAAGUUGGGACCAACUAAAAAUAUUAUUUAAAGAAGAUAAUUAAUUUAUCGGGUAUUAUCUUAUCGAGGUUUUACUGUAUCUCUUCAAUUAGGCUGAAAUUGAUAACCUAAUUAAAAAGAAAUUCAUUCAAUUUUGGGUAUUUUUGUAACUACACAAAAUAAAUAAAAAUGGGUCAAUAUGUAAUUCCACAUCUUAAAUAGAACCACUUUCAUAAGUAACCUUAACUCGAAUUCUUUAUAGGCAGUAAACCAAAUUAUUACCACUAGAUUUAAUACCAGUUAUUGACUACCAUUGAUAAAAUGCCCUAACUCGAAUUUCUUUUAAUUCAACAAUUUUAACUUCAAUAAGUUUACCAGUAAUCUUUUUUUGAAUAAGUAGUUAAAUAAUUAUCUGGUGGAAGUAGUGAUUUACAAGUAUCUCCAAGAUUUACAUUGAAAUCACCAGAUGAUAUACUACGUUUGUACAACUUCUCCAUCUUCCUCUUUACUCAAAAUCUAUAUUUGUUUAUAUGCUUAUAUUUGAUGCUUGUUGAAGAUCUCUCGACGACAAAGAAAUCAAAACUCACCAAUAUUUUAAGUCAAAUGGGCAGGUAUACAAGUUUAUUAAUAAAAUCAUUAAUAAUAUUAAUAUGAUAUUAUUGUGGACACACAUCAAACAUGUUUGUGAUGGUCAUUUUGAAGUACAUUCUCAACUUGACAAAAAGUAUAUUUUGCAGGAAUAUGGAGAACCAGUAAUCUAUUUCUUUUUUUUGCACUUAGUAGACAUUAACAAAAAGUAAAUGAAAAUAGAAAAUAGACUCCAGUAAAGAUGAUGAUAUAAUCUUCAAUACAUUUCAAUGGUGGGGAUAUGAAAGGGGACCCAAGUAGCAGUAAGACCUGCAAUUUCAUGAAAUUUGAGUUUCCCUUAAUUUGUGAUGUAAUGUAUGUAAAUGUGUUGCAGAUGAGACUAUAUAAAAAAAGGUCGCAAGAUUCACACAGACAUGGAUCGUAUGGUUGUCUUCCAGAAAGGCUUAAUUACAUGGGCCAAAAGGGAUCUCUCCGUCAUAUUAUAAGUAAGCCAUUUUUAUCAUCAUAAUAGUUUGCUAAAUAUUUUGAAUUUUCGGGAUGUUAACUGUUACAAGCAAUUAAGAGACGCUCGACUGCUAAUGGACUACAGUGAAAAAAUUGUUUCCCAAAGUGAUGAAGCCUCAACAACCGAGCCAAACCAAAUUUUAAUUGAGACUUUGAGAAUUGAGAGUGCUGCAAAAUCCCACUCUCCUGGAUAUUUUCAACUACUUUGGGUUUAGUUUUCAUGUAUAUAUAAUAAUCAUUCAAUUUCAAUACUCAAAGAUUUAUAAUAAUUCUAAACGAAAUCAUACCAAAUCAUAAACUUUUGAAAUAGGCUAAACAAAAUAUUACAAGUUACAAACCAAAAGCAACAUAAAACCCCCCCAAAAAAACUUUAAAACAAUCAAAUUCACCCGUGCUUUGCAUGUGCCUAAGGACUUGUUUUUAAAUUAAUAGGCAAUUGCUAAUUCAUUCUAAUUUUAUUGAUAAAUCGAGAAAUUACACAAAGAUAGAGGAUAUGCAUGCUAUUUCAAAACCAAACCCUCCAAAAUUCGUAUUCGGAAUCAGGUGUUCGGAUUUUAAUUAUUUUUAUGAUAUUUUUUUGAAAAAAAUAACAUAAAUAUACUAUUUUAAGACAUAAAUUCAGGUUACUUGGAUUAUCAGGUUUUAUUCGGGUACAUAUUAAAAACCAAACCCUCGGUUUUCGGGUACAUUCGGUUAAUCCAAAUCCGAUUUCCUUCCCUGCCCUAGGGCCUAGGUACAUGCCAAUCUCAACAGUAAAAGGCCAUUGUCACUAUUGGGCCUAUAAAUGGGCCUAAAAGGUCCAAAGAAGUAAAAGUCCUGUGUUGUGCUCUUUCUUCUUCUUCACUCACUCUUCACACACAGAGAGAGAGAAUGUUGCCACAACUAGCAAAGAAAUCCAUUACAGAGAAUCCAAAGAAGUUAGCAAACUUAAUUGAUUUAGUUAAUCUACCUUUAACACUUCGAGAUUUUGUGGGUCAAUCUCAGAUUUCUCGUUUAGGUUGUUUUAUGCGUGUUUGGUCUUACAUUAAAGCCAACAAUCUACAGGUUUGAUUUCAUUUUUUUGUAGUUUUUUUUGAGUAAAUAUGAUUUGGGUUUUGCUUGAAAUAAGUGAUUUAGUUCAUAUGUAAAUGUGUUGCAGAUGAGACUAUAUCAAAAAAGGUCGCAAGAUUCACACAGACAUGGAUCGUAUGGUUGUCUUCCGGAAAGGCUUAAUUACAUGGGCCAAAGGGGAUCUCUCCGUCAUAUUAUAAGUAAGCCAUUUUUAUCAUCAUAAUAGUUUGCUAAAUAUUUUGAAUUUUCGGGAUGUUAACUGUUACAAGCAAUUAAGAGACGCUCGACUGCUAAUGGACUACAGUGAAAAAAUUGUUUCCCAAAGUGAUGAAGCUUCAACAAUCGAGCCAGACCAAAUUUUAAUUGAGACUUUGAGAAUUGAGAGUGCUGCAAAAUCCCACUCUCCUGGAUAUUUUCAACUACUUUGGGUUUAGUUUUCAUGUAUAUAUAAUAAUCAUUCAAUUUCAAUACUCAAAGAUUUAUAAUAAUUCUAAACGAAAUCAUACCAAAUCAUAAACUUUUGAAAUAGGCUAAACAAAAUAUUACAAGUUACAAACCAAAAGCAACAUAAAACCCCCCCAAAAAAACUUUAAAACAAUCAAAUUCACCCGUGCUUUGCAUGUGCCUAAGGACUUGUUUUUAAAUUAAUAGGCAAUUGCUAAUUCAUUCUAAUUUUAUUGAUAAAUCGAGAAAUUACACAAAGAUAGAGGAUAUGCAUGCUAUUUCAAAACCAAACCCUCCAAAAUUCGUAUUCGGAAUCAGGUGUUCGGAUUUUAAUUAUUUUUAUGAUAUUUUUUUGAAAAAAAUAACAUAAAUAUACUAUUUUAAGACAUAAAUUCAGGUUACUUGGAUUAUCAGGUUUUAUUCGGGUACAUAUUAAAAACCAAACCCUCGGUUUUCGGGUACAUUCGGUUAAUCCAAAUCCGAUUUCCUGCCCUGCCCUAGGGCCUAGGUACAUGCCAAUCUCAACAGUAAAAGGCCAUUGUCACUAUUGGGCCUAUAGAUGGGCCUAAAAGGUCCAAAGAAGUAAAAGUCCUGUGUUGUGCUCUUUCUUCUUCUUCACUCACUCUUCACACACAGAGAGAGAGAAUGUUGCCACAACUAGCAAAGAAAUCCAUUACAGAGAAUCCAAAGAAGUUAGCAAACUUAAUUGAUUUAGUUAAUCUACCUUUAACACUUCGAGAUUUUGUGGGUCAAUCUCAGAUUUCUCGUUUAGGUUGUUUUAUGCGUGUUUGGUCUUACAUUAAAGCCAACAAUCUACAGGUUUGAUUUCAUUUUUUUGUAGUUUUUUUUGAGUAAAUAUGAUUUGGGUUUUGCUUGAAAUAAGUGAUUUAGUUCAUAUGUAAAUGUGUUGCAGAUGAGACUAUAUCAAAAAAGGUCGCAAGAUUCACACAGACAUGGAUCGUAUGGUUGUCUUCCGGAAAGGCUUAAUUACAUGGGCCAAAGGGGAUCUCUCCGUCAUAUUAUAAGUAAGCCAUUUUUAUCAUCAUAAUAGUUUGCUAAAUAUUUUGAAUUUUCGGGAUGUUAACUGUUACAAGCAAUUAAGAGACGCUCGACUGCUAAUGGACUACAGUGAAAAAAUUGUUUCCCAAAGUGAUGAAGCUUCAACAAUCGAGCCAGACCAAAUUUUAAUUGAGACUUUGAGAAUUGAGAGUGCUGCAAAAUCCCACUCUCCUGGAUAUUUUCAACUACUUUGGGUUUAGUUUUCAUGUAUAUAUAAUAAUCAUUCAAUUUCAAUACUCAAAGAUUUAUAAUAAUUCUAAACGAAAUCAUACCAAAUCAUAAACUUUUGAAAUAGGCUAAACAAAAUAUUACAAGUUACAAACCAAAAGCAACAUAAAACCCCCCCAAAAAAACUUUAAAACAAUCAAAUUCACCCGUGCUUUGCAUGUGCCUAAGGACUUGUUUUUAAAUUAAUAGGCAAUUGCUAAUUCAUUCUAAUUUUAUUGAUAAAUCGAGAAAUUACACAAAGACAGAGGAUAUGCAUGCUACUUCAAAACCAAACCCUCCAAAAUUCGUAUUCGGAAUCAGGUGUUCGGAUUUUAAUUAUUUUUAUGAUAUUUUUUUGAAAAAAAUAACAUAAAUAUACUAUUUUAAGACAUAAAUUCAGGUUACUUGGAUUAUCAGGUUUUAUUCGGGUACAUAUUAAAAACCAAACCCUCGGUUUUCGGGUACAUUCGGUUAAUCCAAAUCCGAUUUCCUUCCCUGCCCUAGGGCCUAGGUACAUGCCAAUCUCAACAGUAAAAGGCCAUUGUCACUAUUGGGCCUAUAAAUGGGCCUAAAAGGUCCAAAGAAGUAAAAGUCCUGUGUUGUGCUCUUUCUUCUUCUUCACUCACUCUUCACACACAGAGAGAGAGAAUGUUGCCACAACUAGCAAAGAAAUCCAUUACAGAGAAUCCAAAGAAGUUAGCAAACUUAAUUGAUUUAGUUAAUCUACCUUUAACACUUCGAGAUUUUGUGGGUCAAUCUCAGAUUUCUCGUUUAGGUUGUUUUAUGCGUGUUUGGUCUUACAUUAAAGCCAACAAUCUACAGGUUUGAUUUCAUUUUUUUGUAGUUUUUUUUGAGUAAAUAUGAUUUGGGUUUUUCUUGAAAUAAGUGAUUUAGUUCAUAUGAUACUAGUUUAAAUGUAAAGUUUCGAUUUUUAUGUUUUUUUUUAACUAGAAAAUUUGAGUGGAAAAUUAUGAUUUUUAUGUUUUUUUAUUCAUUUUUUCUAGUUUUGUUUUUUUGAGUAAAUAAGAUUUGGGUUUUGCAUGAAAUGAGUGAUUUAGUUCAUAUGAUACUAGUAACUAGUUUGAGUGGAAAGUUUCGAUUUUUAUGUUUUUUUUUUUUUUUUACUAGAAAUUUGGAGUUUUUUUAUUCAUUUUUGGAGUAUUUUUGAGUAAAUAAGAUUUGGGGUUUGCUUGAAAUGAGUGUUUUAGUUCAUAUGAAACUAGUUUGAUUGGAAAGUUUUGAUUUUUAUGUUUUUUUAACAUGUAAAUGGGGAUUGUGUAGUUAUAAGAAAUUGUGCAAGAGUUUGAUAGAUUUUGCAAAAUGUAGUAAUUACUUUUAUGGAAUUAGAUACGAACUAUUGCAUAUUUUUAGCUUAAUUUUGCGAGCCCAUUUAUUGCAUGUUGGUAUAACAUGAGUGUUACAGUUCAUCAUAAGAGCUACACAAUUUGAUUAAAAAGUUCUGAUUUAUCUAUGUAGCUACAACUGAGUAUAUAGUAGUUUAGACUUUAGAAUAGGAAGAUUUUCUGAAAAAUUAAGGAACUAGUAUUUAAAGAGAUCGACACAAGAUAUUUUCAUGGCGAGUAGCAUUGUAGGGUAUGUUUUUGUAGAUUUGCGAGAAGAAUUGGACUUUGUUAUACCAUUAUUUUGUAUUAGGUUUUCAUAAUGAUGUUAACUGAAAUGUAUUUUGUAUUAGGUUCAUUUAAGUACAGAAUCCCAACAAACGUAUUUUCCUUUCAAAUUUUUAGUCAUGGAAUAGGAUAAGGUAAUAUUCAGUUCAAAUGGUCGACAAUAUUUUCAUUAGUGAAGUUUGACAAAUGUAAGAAUGAAAAGGGUUGAUAGAUACUUCUGUUAGCAUUUUGAUUAUUUGUUUGCUAAGUGCUUGUAGAGAAAUGGACGGGUUUGGGAUAUUGAGCAUAAUAUAAUGGCAAAUGCUAGGCAUAUUACUAGAAUAGCGUAGGGUUUUGAAUCCAGAAGAUUGUCACCAAUAACAUAAACUUGAGGCAAGGUUCUUUAUCAAUAUAUAGUGAGGUGUCACCAAUAACAUAAACUUUUGUUUCUGAGCCUUAUACUGAGAGUUCUAUGUCGUGCAGCACUAAUAAGCUAUGACAGUUGCCUCUUUGUUAUGAAACACGGUUAUUAUCAUUUGAAAGAUCUUGAAAAAUUAUUUAAACGACCAAAUUAUGAACAGAUUAAUAUGUUGAUCAAAGUAAGCUUCAAGGUAACUCAAGAAAACAAAAACGUAUUUUUGAAGUCUUACAAGUCUAGAAGUACAAUAUAGCUCUUUCUAUACUAGUCAUUUACAUGAAUGCCGCUUUGAUGUUUUUAAACUUACUCCUGCACUAACAUAAGCGGUCAAUAUGUAAGGUUCCAUCCGACUUUUAUCUCCAUUAGUCCAUUAUAGUGCAAUCGUAGCCAGAAUCAAUGCCUUUUUUGCUUGAGACUUGUUUAUGAUGUAAAAUCCUUUCCUCCCUUAAUUCCUUCAUUUCCAUAAAUCCUUUUUUGAAUGAAAAAAAAAAAACAUGCUUAGUUAGGAGGAGAGUUUCAUCUUAUUAUACUAGAAACUCAUGAGUCACGGCUUUCUUAAAAUCUCAUGUUUUCACUUUCUAGAAACCGAGGCAUAUACCAUCAAUAUUUUAGCCUCUGAUAUGUGCUUGUUUACUAAAAUUUUUACCUGUACAUAUUUGAAUGAUUCCUUAUAAAAUUCGUCGCACUAAUAUAUUUUUUCUUACAAAAAUUAAAUUCAGAUGUAACUGGAGAUGUUCUCUGUUUAUUUUGCAGGAUCCAAACAACAAGAAUGUGGUUAACUGUGAUAAGCAACUGAGCAAAAUUUUGUUAGGUAAGUCUCAAGUUGAGUUGGUUGAGCUCCCCACACUAGUCAAGCUCCAUUUUCCUAAAGAGCCAAAGUAAUUAGUUUGAUCGUUUGUUGCUAUUGGUCUCAUGAAAAAUCUCGAGAAACUUUCGUAGCUAGUAUCAGUCUCAACAGAUUUUCUGUACAACUUAAUAUUAUGUAAAGCUUAUGAUGUAUCUCUUGGCAACUCAAUAACCAGAGAGAAUGAUAUGAAGCACUGCAUCUUAUUUACUGCAGAGAACAGUAAGAUACUAUUUCUCGAUAAUGAGAUGUUGUUGACAGCUAUCUUCUUAUCGUACAUUUAAUGAAGUUUUUAUUUCUCAGAAUCUUUGACAUAGGUAACUGUAGUUUCUCUCUUUUAUCUUUUCAAACGAUUGUGUUUUGCCCAAAAGUUGCUUGCAGCUAGGAUAAUUUUAACCUCAUCCCCUAAGGGUGCUGUCUUUCUCCCCAGUGUUUCUUGUCAUUUUUUCUUUGAAUCUUAUGUUUUAAAUUUGGAAAUCUCAAAUUCUUGGGACGCAACACCUUACAGUUCACUUUCUUGUAUGAACCACGCUACAAUCUUCAAUACCACACCAUUUUGUAAAGAUUGUGCCCUCCGCAGUCUGUUUCCCUUCCAUUAUUAGUUGAAAGACUUCUAUUAUAGUGUGGUCAUGAGUAAUGUACAUGAACCAUUGCUUUCCCUUGCCCUAGUUGCAGGUACAUGCCAAAUUGUUAAUGGCAUGUUAGUUAAUGGCCUGUAUUUUGUUUGCAGGUCUGAUAGAUGUUGACAUAUUUUUUUUUUGUCUGGCUACUCCAAAAAGUUGACUUUGGAAGUUAUUUAGUGUUAUACAUGACCUAGACUUUGGAAGUUAUUUAGUGUUAUACAUGACCUAGACUUAGGAAGUUUUAGUGUUAUACAUGACCUAUGCCGGCAAUAUUUUCGUCUUAGGACUAAGUUGAUCUCAGCUCUGAAGACUCAUUUUAAUAUUGGCUUCAUGGAAAAGUUUAAGAGAUUACUAGCUAAUUUUCCACCAACUUAUGACAGAUUAAACCUCCCUCAACUAGUUCACUCCCCUCUAAGCAACAGAUUAGGACAGACCAAAUGACCAACUAAUACAGAAGAUAGAGACAAUGCACUGCAAUGUGGUAGACUCCAAGAACUUGUAUAUUGGUUUCUGAAAGACACAUUUGGCAAAAACAUGUAAUCUUGCAGCACUAUGUUGUUUUUCAAAAAAGUUGACCUCCUAGUAGGACCCAUUUUAGUGAUGGGUCCACCACCAGAAAUGUGCCACAUGUACACAUUACAAAUUUUUGGAUAAAGAGACAUGCAAGCCAAGUAUAUAAACAGAUAACAAUGUUAAAUAAAAAAAAAAUCACAAGUGCUCUAUGUAAUUUGUCAAUCAAAUUGCCUGAUCAACUGUAGCCACUGCACUUCACAGUUCACAUUAAUAAAAAGUAAAAGAAAGUAUAUCAGAUGAAUUCAGUCCAGAAAAGUUCUCUCUAUAUAUGUUUUUUUUUCUUCCUUUUAUACUACUUGUGCUACUUUUUUAACCAAGUUAUCACAAGAUAUCCUUGAAUAAUCUUUCUUUAUAUUCAUCACUUGAACAACUUCUUCAUCUCUACAUAUUCAUCACUUACAUCUACAUAAGAUAAGUUUGAUAGAGUAAAAGAAAUCAAAAGUAACUACUUUAAAAGAAACUGGGCAAUUUGUUUCUUUGUUCUUGUUGUUGUUGUUGUUGUUCUUGUUCUUGUUCUUCUUCUUCUUAAAAAACCCCUUCAAGUUUCUUCAAGAGAAACAAGACCAUGUUUCCUACUUUGUAUGUCUCUUAACCAUGAUUGUUCUGUGUGUUGUGAUGGAAUUUUUAUAAUUUAAUUUUGUUUUUUGUUUGUAAACUCAUGAAAACCCAUUCCCAUAUUUCUUUAUCCUUCAAACACAUGUCUUCAAAUCAGUUUAUUCUCUUCUUAGAAUCAGCUCUUAGUCUAAGAAGAAAAGAUCUAACUAGUUCUUCAAGUGAACCCUCUUGGUUUUCUUAGCUGAAGUUUGAAGGAAAAAGAAAAAAGAAAAAAGAAAAAGAAAUGACCUACUUGUGUCAUAGUAUGAAAUUCUGUAGACCUAUCACACACUUCACUUCAUAGGCUUCUCUAGUGGGAGGAACCUUAAAGAAGUGAAGCAAUGGCACCUUCUCUCUUUCGAGCAUUUAGGCUUCGAAAGGAGAAGAACAAGCCUCUCCCAAUGUCAUCAUCAUCAAGGAGUUCAGAUAUGGGAAAUAUGGAGAAGAGAAGAUUUGAUAGUUUGGAAUCAUGGUCCAUGAUAUUGGAUUCGGAAAAUGUGGAUGCUUGGGAGGUGCCCCCUGAAGAGCAUGAGGACUGGACUGCUGAUCUUUCCCAGCUUUUUAUUGGAAAUAAAUUCGCUUCGGGUGCUCACAGUAGAAUUUACCGGGGAAUUUAUAAGCAGCGUGCUGUUGCAGUGAAGAUGGUGAGAAUUCCAACUCAUAAUGAGGAGACUCGGGAAUUACUUGAGCAACAGUUUAAGUCUGAAGUUGCCCUGCUUUCGCGUCUUCUUCAUCCUAAUAUAGUUCAGGUAACUUCUUAGUUCUUACACAUAUGUGAAUUGGUUUUUUUCUGAGUUCAUUCCUUACUAUAGCUAGUAGUGCAUUUUUCGGUAUAUUGGUUUCGUAUGCAUAACAUGGUAAUUUUUCAAGUGUUUUCAGUUUAGAAUUUUAGAAUACUUAUUCAGAUUGCCUUAGAAAAUUUUGCCUGAUGUACAUGAGUUCAGCUUGAGGGUAAGUCUGCCUUAGAUGCUAAGAAAUGCACACUUCACAUAGGCUGCAUGGUCUGAGUUAGUAGAUAAGCACACAGACACAACAUACUAAUUACUGUGUGAACGGUUAAGUACUAAACUUCUCCAGAAGGAGAGGAUACAGAGAUAAGUUGGGAGAACAAAAUGCAAGAGAGCUCGAGGAAAUGUUGGGGAAGUAAGACAUUAGAACAGGGAAGAAAUGGUUUUAGGCUUUUGACAUGAAACAAUCGUGUGGCUCUCCUUAAAUGAUAUAAAAAGGAAAUUUCUUUCGAGAGAGUCGGUAUUAGUCCAGUUCUGUAAUACCGAAACAUCACCUUUAUACAACCAGUAAUACGAAACAUCACCUUUAAAAUAGUAAACUUUGUAGUCUAUGUAACAGAUUAUGACAUUUUUAUUGGUGCAGUUUAUUGCAGCCUGUAAAAAGCCUCCUGUGUACUGCAUCAUUACGGAGUACAUGUCACAAGGAACUCUUAGGAUGUACCUCAACAAGAAACUACCAUAUUCACUCUCAACUGAAACCAUCCUGAGGUUAGCCCUUGACAUCUCCCGAGGAAUGCAGUAUCUUCAUUCACAAGGGGUGAUCCAUAGAGAUCUCAAAUCCAAUAAUUUGCUCCUCAAUGACGAGAUGCGUGUUAAGGUGGCAGAUUUUGGCACUUCAUGCCUUGAAACACAGUGCCGAGCAUCUAAAGGUAACAUGGGAACUUACAGGUGGAUGGCUCCAGAGAUGAUAAAAGAGAAACCAUAUACAAGGAAGGUCGAUGUGUAUAGUUUUGGCAUUGUGCUCUGGGAGCUCACAACAGCUCUGCUUCCGUUUCAAGGGAUGACCCCUGUGCAGGCUGCAUUUGCUGUAUCAGAGAAGGUAGCUAACUAAUUCUUUCACUUGAUUAAACUGAAAUUUGUCUGAUUAACUCGGUGUUCCUCACCCAACGCUAUUCAGUUAAAUCUAUUAUUAUAUCACUUUUAGUUUCUCUGUUUGUAUCUCUUGGGCUUUUAGGUAAAUCUGCUUGUAGAGAUUUACUAUCAGGUAAUUAGUGUUAUAUUGUGUUGAGGGAGGAAAUUUAACGAUUAGGCUGGUCAUAGAUAUCUGGAAAUCGCUGCCUUUUGUUUCAUAGGAGAAGAAUGUGAUCAGUUCAAUGAUUAGACUCAAUAUACUGGUAGGAAUUUGACCUAAUAGAUCUGAAUGUGACAUAUGAACGAUAGGUUCUACUAUAUCCCGUCAGUUUUCACUACAUAUGUCAUCAUGUUUGAAAGCUUAUCCUUAUCCCUCGGUAGAUCUAUAACUCAUACUGUUGUGUUAUGCAUACCAAUCAUCAUAUUAAAUGGUUGUUUGCAAUUUUCUUUACAUCCAAAAUUUAGUAUCCUAGUGGGUGAGCGCUAUACGUAGUUUCGAAGACUUAUGUUUAGAAUCAGGAUCUUCUACCACCAAUCAUAGGUUCUAAGCACGAGUAGAUUCCAAUUGGGAAAACAUGGCUAGCCUCUUGAUCUGUGAGAGACUGAUACAAAGUUAGUCUCUUGGUCUGUGCAGGCCACGAUCCUGACGCUAUGUUUGUGAUCAUGAUUAUAAAUGAAGUCACUGUACUUUUGGAGUUUCAAAUGAUUGAGUUGCUGGGACUCCACUUCACUGCUAGAAUUUCACGUAUGGAGGUGGGAUGAAGGAUUCCUACUUCUUGGUGCUGCAUCUGCAUUGCUUGGCAAAAAUGAGAUCUAUGAUAUGGCUUGGUUUAGGUAGUUGGCCUUUGAGACCUUGAAAUGAACCGUGCUUGAGACUUUGAGAGCAUUUAGCGUCCAACUUACACAAAUGAAAAUUCUGUUUUGAUUUGGUUUUCCACUCUUGAUUGCUUAUGAUAUGUAGAGGGUGUCCUAGACAAGUAGAAAUGUUCCUAGAGGGUCAAGGGGUUUCUGUCGAUUUCUUUCCCUAUCGUUGGAUCAACCUGGUUUCAGAGUGAAUCCAUAAGGAUAUUUGUUUUCCUUCCAGACCUAAUCUAAAUCUCGAUUAUUGUAGUCUCCUUCCACAGUUGUGAUUGCUCUUAGAAUUAGGCCGCUUUUAUUUCAUAUAUGCUGUUUCUUUUGCACCCUUCGAGAUCCUUUCACAUCUCUUGCUUCUAAAGUCACAAGUCAUUAUCAGGGGAAAAGACACUUGGUUUCUUACCUAUUUGAAUGCGGCUUUACACUUAGUAUUUUAGUACAUUUUUGACACUUCUCGUCCACUAACCUUCCGCCCUAGGUGAUUAAAUCUGGUUGUCUUUACAUGACUCUGGGAACUCUGCGCCUUUUUUAUUGCAUGCGCAUAAGAUUCAGAGUUUCAACCAGCUAACUUGUAAGGUUCAUAGUUUUACAGAUGAGCACAAGAGUCUGCGGAGAGCCCAAAGCCAACUUGUUUUCUCAUUUAGAAGUGUUUUUAUUUUUCUUUCAAUUAUUAGUGUUACUGGUUAUAUACACAUUUUCGUACUUGACAUAUCGAAUAGUUUCUUAGUAGUGCCUUUCGUUUCUUGUGGCAGAAUGAACGACCCCCAUUGCCAGAUAAUUGUCAGCCCGCCAUUGCAAGCCUUAUAAAACAUUGUUGGUCUGCAAACCCUUCUAAAAGGCCUGAUUUCAAUGAUAUUGUGGCUCUCUUGGAGAAAUUUGAUGAGUGCAUCAAGGACGGACUCCCUCUCCCGUCUCAUUCGGGAUUGGUCAGUCGAAGUGCGAUUCUUGAGCGCUUCAAGGGCUGCAUUUCAAUGAGCUCAUCUAUACCUGUGUAUGUUUGACCUCAGUGGUAGGUACCAUGGUAUCUUAUAGAUCUUAAUGUUGAUAGCUUAAGAUACAGAACUGUAAAUAUUGGAAUCGAUCAUCUAAUCUAGUUCUAUAGACAAACACAUGGUAAAUUUUCUAGAAGAUAAGGACAACCAAUUCUUUGUGUGUCACUGUGGUGUAAAAGGACUUUGUCCCUUUUCGACUUUCCAUUGGAUGGCGAUGAUUUCCCUUGCCAAUGCUGCUGAAGGGUGCUGAAGGGUUCUGUUUACCUCAAAGUUCCUCACGUUUAUCACUGUUUACAAAGCAUUCUUUUAUAUUGUUCUUACACUGUAUAGUUCUCAUGUAUUGAAAUUCACAUGUUGGAGAAGUUUAUGAUAUUAAUCUAAUGUGGUUUCUCUGUGUUCGAUCUUCUUUGUACCAUAUUUUCAUAUAGAUUGUAUGAACAAUGAUGUCGAUUGUAGUCUGUUUCUCGUCGUAUCAGAGUUAUACACUACUUAUACUUUAUCAGAGGAUAACCAAUAUUGCUGAAACUUACGAAGAAUGCCAGCCAGAGCCAUGUUCUGGCUUUGGUAGAAUGGUUUGUAACAAAGUUUUGAGAGGGCUGUCAGGGGAGUUUAUGGCAUUCAAAAACAGGGUUACAAUGCAAAUUGGAAGUAGUCUUUUGCAGACUGGUUGGGUAGCCAUGUGGUGGAGGAUUGGGUGUAACCCUCUAACUAUGUUGCCGAAUUGAAGGCCAUCAUCGACAAUGCUUGAGAUUUGCAUAAACGUUUAAAAUGUAUGGUGAAUAUUGAUGCUUGGGAGAGCACUUUGCUCCUAAGUGGGUAUGGAGAAGUUUUUCUGCAUAGGAACCCUGCAUGAACCCGUAUGACUCCAUACGAACGAGCUAAUUUCAAUAAACGGAUUUUCAGGCGCCACGCAUGGACAACUAUGUGAUGACCGCAAGAUGUAAUUCAUCUGGAUUUUGACUUUUUCAAAAGGACAAAUGUUUAUGAUCAGACUUGUAAUCAUAUAAUCACACUUUUUCAAUUUUUUUUUUUUACCCCUAUAUACAUGUAAUUGUCAUUAUGAUUAUACGCGUGAUCAUACACACUUGUCCCUUUGAUUUAUGUGAUCACAAUUGUAAUCAUACUCAUGAUCAUAAAAUGUUUAUAUGUGAUCAGGAAUAUGAUCAUAACAAGUAAAUGUGAUUAUAUGUCUGAUCAUAACAAAUAAAUGUGAUUAUAAGUAUGUAUAUAUAUACAUGUGUUGUGAUUUAUGUGUGAUCAUAAUUGUGAUCAUAACGAAUAAAUGUGAUUACAAGUCUGAUCAUACCAACUAAUUGUGAUUAUAGGGUCUGAUCAUACGGUUGCAUAAGAUCGCAUCCCAACAAGAGUUCAUUUGGGUAGGGUAUAGUUUUAUUGCAUUUAGUGUUAUGUAGUAUAUGAUUAGACAAUAUGUGAUCAAAUAAUUAUAGGUCUAAUCAUACGGUUGCCUAAAGUCGCAUUAAAACUAGCUAGGGUUCAUUGAGGUAGGAUAUAGUUUUAUUGUAUUUAGUGUCAUAUAGUAUAUGAUUAGACCCAUGAUCAUUUGAUUAUAGGUCUGAUAAUAAGGUUGUUUAAGAUUACAUUCCAAGUAGGGUUCAUUUAGGUAGGGUACAGUUUUAUUGCAUUUAGUAUAUGAUUAGACAUGUGAUUAUAAAGUUAUACAUCUUGUCAUAAACAGUUUUUUUUGUUUUUUCAAAUUUUUUUGUUUGUUUACGAGGUUAGAGGACGUAAUUCAAAGGGUAAUUUUGACUCGUGAAAAUUAUAAAGUAGGACAAAAGGCUUGUUGGGGAAGAUGGCACCAUAUCAGGACCUAUUUAGAAAGUGGCACCUAAACAUGAGGCUUUUUUUUUGAGAUAUUACCCUUGUUUUUAUUAUUAAUACGAGUACCUAAGCCGAAUUAGAUUUAUAAUAUAGGUUAUCAACAUGAUGUUUUAUGCGAAAUUUUGGAAUUUAGCAAAUGACUUAUUUUUAAGUACUUAUAAUAAAUUAAGUAACAAAAAAUUAAAAUUGCAGCCAGCUUGUAUUUGGUUAUGGCAUGGAACAAAAAAGGUUAGACUAACAACAUUUUGCAAUUUUUGAUUCCAUUUUAGUCAAAGUGCAACCAUUUUUUGUUCCAUUUUGCUUAUAACCAUAGACUUAAAAUUACUGUUUGAUACAGUAAUUAUUAGUUUUUCUUUCUUUCAUCUUCUAAGAGUUCAUGCAAAUUGCAAUAGCCAACAACAACAACAACAACAGAAGCUGUAUAGUACAGAAAUUCAGGCCAUGGCCAACAUAACAACAUCUUCGAUAGCGUAUGAAGCUUGGAUCUGUAUCGGAGAUACUUCUAUUACUUCAAAUGGUCUGUUUAGAAGUGAUAUUAAUCCUCUCUAUUACUCUACUACCAUCAUCCUGCUGCAAUCUUCUUUAGCUACGUUUAUGGGAUGUAUCACAGCAGCUCUAUUCUUGCCUCUUGGAGUCCCUUCCAUGGUUACCCAGCUUAUGGUUAGUUACCUUUCAUCAACUCUUCUUUCUCUUAAUAUUUCCAGUUUUCUACCAUACUUUUUGAUUGAUUUUACGUCUAAUUUCUAACCACGCGUUGUACUUACUUUUGCUGAUCUAUUAGGCUGGUAUGUCACUAGGUCCUACGUUGUUAGGACGUAUCAAGAAUUUUCCAACAGAUAUAUUUCCCCCCAGAAGUUACAUACCGUUGCACACGUAUAGCGACUUUGGAACAGUUAUGCAUAUAUUCUUAAUGGGGGUACAGAUGGAUAUUACUACGGCUAUUAGGCCAGGGAAAAAAGGAGUGAUUACUGGCAUUUCCGUAGUUGUUGUUCCCCUCGCAUUAACAACCCUUUGGACUUUGUUUUUAACGAAAUCCAUUAUUGACGAAACAGGUAAGUUGUCUAAUUAUCUUACGGUAGUUGGAAAGGUCGAAUCCUUAGCUACCUUUCCUGUCAUUGCUGGUUAUCUUAUUGAGCUCAAUAUCCUCAAUACGGAGUUUAGCAACUUAGCGUUUUCUGCUUCAAUGAUUAGCGGCGUUCUCGGUAACAUGAUAGUUGGAGACAUUAUGGGGAAUCGACAUAAAAAGGACUACAAGACAGAGGGCGCAGUAGGUGCUAUGUCUCUCAGUUAUCUAAUUGUGGUGAUAUUAACCAUUGUUCUACUAGCACCAACAAUAAGGUGGAUUAUUAAAAAAACACCAGAUGGACAAAUGGUUAAACAGGAUCACUUGAAUGUUGUACUUUCGCUGAUUUUUCUGACAGUUUAUAUAUGCUUUCAAGGAAGCCUACAUAUAUUGUUUCCGCCUUUUAUCGCAGGGCUUAUUAUACCUUCAGGACCACCUUUGGGAUCCGCCUUAUUGGAAAAGUUUGAUUUUUUCAGUAAAUGGAUGGUCAUGCCAAUUUUCUACGCCACACAUGCGAGCAUGAUGGCUGAUAUCUUUGAAAUUCCGUUAACAAAAAUUUUUCUCGUCGGUUCGCUUAUUUUUGUUAGUUUCAUAGGAAAAUUUUUGGGAGCAUUUCUACCAGCUGUAUUCUUCAAUAUGUCCUACAAGGAUGCUACCUUACUCGGUCUCACCAUGAAUACACAAGGCUUUCUUGAGGUUCUGUUGUUUGCAACUUUCGCGGACAAGGAGGUACGUAAGACAAAAUGUCAGAACCAUUUUUUUUUUUUUUUUUCUGGCAAAGUUUAUUAAUAACUCUAGUAACAUUGUGUUGUAAUGACUUGCAGAUAAUUGACGCAGAAUGCUUCACCAUAAUGUGUUUCUCAUUGAUAAUAUUGACAGGUGGUUCGGCACCCCUAGUGAGAUAUUUGUACAAGAGUACCAUGAAAUAUAACCUCCAUAACCGAAGAACCAUUCAAGACACUGUACCAAAUAGUGAACUCCGUGUUCUAGGGUGCGUGUAUGAAGAAGAUAACGUACCUUCCAUGAUCCAUGUUUUGAGGGCUACCAAUCCAACCAAAGAGAACCCCAUCUACUUGAGCAUCAUUCAUUUUGUGGAGCUUGUCGGUCGUACAACCCCACUCGUUAUUUCUCACAAAGUGCAUAGAAAUCUUCCUUCUGCCGCUGCAGUUUCCCAACACAUUGUCAAUGUGUUCAAAUCCUAUGAAGAUAGCAAUAAAGGGAUCAUUUCAGUACACCCGUAUACGAUUGUGUCAAAUUUCCCAUCUAUGCACAAUGAUGUGUGUAAGCUUGCGUUCCACAAAAGAACUUCCCUCAUUCUUCUCCCCUACCACAAGAAUUUAGCAACUGGUUCCAUCAAUCCAGGCAUAAGGACAGUGAACUGUGAAGUCCUUAACAACUCUCCAUGCUCUGUUGGCAUCCUAAUAGACCGAGGGCUUCAGAAUGGUGGUAAGUUUCUUUUUACAAACUGGGUGUCCUAUCAUGUUGUGGUGGUCUUCUUAGGGGGUGCUGAUGACCGUGAGGCACUAGCUCAUGCGAAAAGAAUGUCUGAACAUCCAGCCAUUUUACUGACAGUUUUUCGGUUCCUCCCUAGUAGCGGUAUAGGUACUGAUACUGAUACUACCGAGAGGAAUCUUGAUGAUGCUGUGGUUGAAGAAUUCAAACUUGAAACUACAUCUAACCAUAAAGUCAGUUACAUAGAGGAGGAGGUUGAGGAAGGGUUAGGGGUGAUCAAAGUCAUUAAUUCAUUUGCAGAUAAAUAUGAGUUAAUCAUAGUCGGGAGGCGUCAUGAUGAAAAAUUACCAUUUAUAAUUGAUCUUACAGAUUGGAACAAGUGCUCUGAACUAGGGACUAUUGGUGACAUAUUCACAGUAUCUGGUUAUGGGGGAAAGGCAACAAUAUUGGUGAUUCAACAACAAUCAAAAGUAGCAGCACGCUCACAAUCUUCUCAGGAUGUUGAAUCGAAUGUUAGUUAUGAUGUCGAUCGAGAGCAGAAAUCAUUCCAUUUGGAAAGUUAGUUGCCGAAUCAUCUUGUCAUUUUAAUGAAUUAUCAUUAGUCAUAGGAUUUUUUUCUUUUUUUCUUUUUUUUGUGCUAAAAAAAUCAAAGGAGGUUGUAGUAGUUCUGAUAGCUUAUAAGCUAUUAGAAAAUCCGAAUGUAUAUGUUUGAUUUUACAUCUAGUUAUGGUCUUAUAAGCUCUUCUAGUAGAAAUUCGCUAAAAAAGUGGCGGUUACUAUAAGCUCCAUCCCCAAGCUCAUAGCUAGUAACUUAUAAGCUAUAUAAGCUACUAGACAAAAAAAAAAACAGUGUUUUUGGUAUUUUUCUGUCAUACAUAUUUGUAGGUCAAGAAUCUAUAUUUUGAAUCAAGGAUCAUGUUCUAAAACCAACACUCAUCCAACUAAACAAUAUUUGUUACUUGUGACUUCAAGAAUUCCUUGUGGAACUGUGUGUGCAUUAAGGAUACACCACGCGUAAACAAAACAGAAAACAAAACCAAUCAACACCUCAAACGAAAGCUGAUCCCUUCUUAGCUGCCAUAUAUAUCAGCAGAAAAGUUUGCUUCCCUGAAGUUGUGGGAAAUUUUCAUUUCCUGGAAAAAAACUAGCACAACUUCUCCAUCGAGCAUGAAGUUGCCAUUUGCCAUGGUGGUAGACCUUGACCCAUAGCCUGAACAGCAGCAGUAGAGUCUGAUUCAAUCCAUAUUCGAUUCCAUCCCUUCUCCUUUGCCAUUUCUGCAUUUCUCACAAUGACAAAGCAUUCUGCAAAGAAGUUUGUACAAAUUCCCAACCCACCCCAAAGCACCAUCUUCAAGUCACAAAAAUUGUCUGUGAAAACAACCCCAAAACCUCCUCUGCCAGGGCUCCCAUUCAGUAUUGAUUUUAACUACCAAUGCCUCAGGUUGUUCCCAGUAGCAGAUCUGAUGUGAAAGAUAGCUAGAAAUUUUGUCCUGUAUCUUCCAUUUUCUUAACACAUUCUUGCCAUUACUAUAACCUUUAGCCUUGGAUAGUCUUGUUGUGAGUUUCAUCUGAGAAUAAACCCCAUACUUGAGCUGUUUGAGGGUAUAGCUGCAUUCCAUAACUGUUUGAGAAAGGGGCUCCAGUGUUGAGACAGGUCCAGGGUUUCCUUCAUAUUACAAAAACCAUCUGUAGUGUAGAACUGAUUUCUAAUCCAUUGCCAAUGAUCAUGAGAGAACUUACAUUCUCAUAGUAAAUGAGACAAGGACUCUUCACUUUUUUUUUUUUAAAAAAAAAAAAUAAAAAAAAUGGUAUAUUAAUCAUGGCCCGAAGGCUUACAAGGACAAGGCACAAAGGGCUUACAAAGACAACGACGCCCGAAGGCUACUAAUGUUACCACCUAAGCGUCCACACCGCCACCUUGCAACUCGAGCAAUUAUGCUACUCAGGGACUUGCUUUCGCUGAAGAACACCUAGCCACAUCAUCAUUAUGGGAGAACACUUAACCACAUGCAUAUCAUCAUCAUAAGAGCAUGGGCCUCCUAAUCUCGAACCAGGCCCGAAGGCUGACCCACUUAAGAAUUACUUGAGAAAUUCCCCCAAACAGGAAUUGAACUCACAGCAACCUCUCACUCGUGGGAGUGUUUGAGAGGGAUAACAAACCAACUGAGCUAGCUAGCAGUUGUUUGGGGGAUAACAAGGGCUCUUCACUGUUUUUGCAAAGUUGGCAAAUAGAAACCACCAUAUAAUGCCCUUCUUUUUAAUGAUGUCAUCAGUAGCAGCAAAAGAAUUCACCAGUUUUCGAGCAAUUGCAGAAAGUCUUGGAUGAAUAUGAAAGUUCCAGAUAGCUCUAUGCCAUGCAAUUUUAGGUAUUUUCUUUCUGAUGGUAUCAAAAAAUGAUGAUAAAUGUGAGUUUACGAUAUACAUGAUGUUUUAUGCGAUAUUUUGGAAUUUAUAAAUGACUUAUUUUUAAGGACUUAUCAUUCUUAUAAAUCAAGUAAAAUAAUUUAAAGAAAUAAAUGUUGUUUAUAAACAGUGAAAUGAAUUGUACACAGAAGUAAUCGGAACAACUUGCCCAUAGCAUAACUCCAAUAGCCAUUCUAUGGGAGAUAUGGAAAGAAAGGUGUGCAAGGAGAUUCGAUGAAGCGCAUACAUGGAAUAUAAAUCAGAGUAGAUUAAUCAUUCUGAAAGUCAGAUUCUGGUUGGUUAGCUUAGGUCAGCAUUUUUCACCAAAAUGCAGAUCUAGUUCUAAUUUUGACAAGGUAGCCAUGCAACUGGGAAUAUGUUCCAAAAACCCACCUAUAAAGCCACCAAUUAUUGUGUACAGGACUAGACCUCCAGGAAGGUUUUGUAGCCCUUAAUAUUGAUGGUGCUGCUAAAGAGGGCUAUGCUGCAGGAGAGGGGUUGUUAGAAGCACUGACGGUAUCCAUAUCUCUAACUUCUUCUCCUACUAUGGUCUUGGUACUAACAAUCUUGCUGAAACAAAAGCUAUACUAGAUGGUUUAGAUUUGUGCUUGUUAUUGGGAUAUUCUAAAGUACAGAUUCAGACAGACUCCAAAAUGGCUACAAUGUGGUACAACAAUGAAAUUCCCAUCCCUUGGCAUCUAAGUACAUGGUGGAGAUAUAUCCAGGCAAGAGCAACAAGAAUGCAGAUUAUCAUUAAGCAUACCUAUAGAGAAGGCAACUGCCUAGCAGACUACCUCUCAAAGCAAGGUAUGCAUUUCAAAUGUAAUGGAGCAAUCAAUCAUAAUAGGGAUGCAAAGUUUAAACAACUACAAGCUGGAGACAAGGCAGGUAUCCCUUAUAUUAGACAUGUCAGAUAGCAUACAAAAUUAAAAAAAAAAAAAGUAAUCGGAAGUGAUGAAUUUGAUUUUUUUUUUUUUUUUUUUUUAAAAAAAGAAUGAAUUAUGAAUAGGGACAAGCCAUGUCCCUAUGGUUGGGAAUUGGGAUUCCGGUUCAAAAUGCCGACAUAUUUCGAGAAAUUUCGGCGGAAUAUGCCGGUUUUUAGAAAAUCGGCAUCGUAAAUUCCGGGAAUAUUCCAGAUAUUUCAGGUGACAUAUUUGUUUCGAGGGUCAGAAUGUCAGAAUAUACCGUUUUUUCUGAAUCCGAAAUUUCGCAUGGAUUCAGAAUUUUGAACUAUGGUUGGGAAUACUUCCCCACGGCCUAUAUUUCUCAAAAACAGUUUGGGUCAGUUUAAUAAAAAGGUAAGACUUGGUAAUUUUCAAUUUUAUUCUAGUCAAAGUGCAACCAUUCUUUGUUUCAUUUUUUUCUAUAACCAUAGACCUAAAGAACAGUUUAGGAAUUAGUUUUUCUUUCUUAUCUUUUUUUGCAUUUAUCUUCUUGUUCAUGUAAAUUGCGCGCGAUAGCCAAAAACAACAACCGAAGCUGCAUAGUACAGAAAUUCAGGCCAUGUCGAACACAACAGAGUCUUCCAUAGUGUAUGACGCUUGGACCUGCAUAGGCGAUAGUUCUAUAACUUCGAGUGGUCUGUUUAGAAGUAACAAUAAUCCUCUCUAUUACUACACACCCAUCCUGCUGCUGUAAUCUUCUUUAGUUACGUUUAUGGCAUAUAUCACAGCAGCUCUAUUCUUGCCUCUUGGAGUCCCUGCCGUGGUUACCCAGCUUAUGGUUAGUUACGUUAAUUAACUCUCCUUUCCUCUUAUUUGCUAUUAUGUUUUCGUUCGUUCUGGAAAAAAAAUGUUAAUAGACUUCACGUACGUCUAAUUUCUGACCGUUGUACAUAUUGUUUCUGAUCUAAUAGGUUGGUAUAUCACUAGGUCCUACCGUGUUAGGACGUAUCAAGAAUCAUACUCGGGAGGCGCUAUGAUAAAAAUUUACCAUUUAUAAUUGAUCUUACAGAUUGGAAUAAGUGCUCUGAAUUAGGGACUAUUGGCGACAUAUUCACAACAUCUGGUUACCGGGGAAAGGCAACAGUAUUGGUGAUUCAACAACAAUCAAAAUUAGCAGCACGCUCACAAUUUUCGCCAGGUUGUUGAAUCAAAGGUUAGUUAUGAUGUCGAUCGAGAGAAGAAAUCAUUCCAUUUAGAAAAAGAUAGGUGCCCAAUCAUGUCGUCGUUUUGAAUUAUCAUUGGAUCAUAAGAUGUUGUAGUAUCAAAUACUACAAUGUCGUAGCAUGUCCUAAUUGCCAGUUGUUGUCAGAAGGCACACAACAAUGUUUUUGUUUAAAACACUUGAAACAAAAAACCCUUAAAUGCAAUGCUGGUUCUUUUAGGUACAUGACUUAGCCAUGAAAAAGGUGCAAAAGCCUUAUAUGAUGUUGCAGGAAGUUGAUAUAUAGUUGUCCCUCACGCAUUUUUAUAUAAUUCCUUGAACACGGUCAGGUUGUUCACAAGCAUUAUAGAUUUUUCCCUGCCAAGAUUGAGACACUUCUUAAUUAUUAGAGCCUCCCACAGCUAGGAAAAAUUGCACAGACAUUAAGGGGAAAGAGGUUCUUGGCAAGAAGUAUUAACUGACAAGCUAACCUCAGCAGAGGAACAAAAAUAGUGCCUGCAGUGAAGAGAACGCUUUCGCUUUUCAAAGCUAACAAGAAAAUGUUCUCAACUGCAUGCUAAAUAUCAAUCAUUCUGCUCAUGUCUUCAAAAACUCGUCAAGUUGACUCGGAACUCGGCCGAGUCGACUCGACUCAACUGAAAACUGAGCAGACUCGCUUACAUUACCCGGUAGUUAUGACUCGCCGAAUUGAAUGAGAAACCUGGUCGAGUUGGGCCGCGUUAGUCUGAGUCAAAUCACAAAUUAUUGUUAAAAUUUUAAUCUAGUGUGUAUUGAAUAAUAGCUACAUGUUAGUAAUUCCAUUUUCAUUAAAAAAAAUGCCUACAAACUAAAAUCACCAACAACAACUAUUUCUUGGCAUUAAUAUAGACUAAAUAUAUGUAUGAGACUACCAUAUAUUCAAGUGUUAGCAUAUUCACGACUCACCGAGUCGACUCUCGAGUUUUUGAUUAAACUCGACCCAAUAAAAUUUCGAGCGAGCCGAGUUUUUGAGUUUUUGAACUCGACUUUAUAUGAGCAAAAAAUUAUGACCUUCCCAUUCAAAACAACAUGCUUGCAACAUUUUCACGUACGCCCUUCUGGAUGUCCAUAUGUCCACGUUCAAUUUUCAUGGGCCUCGGCCCAAUUUCUCCUUUUCUCUUUGUUUAGGUUAAAUAGGUUUUUGGAAAAACAAUGGAGUUAGUUCUUCGGCUGUCUUCUUCCCUUCUUCUUGACUCAAGUGUUUUGGUUGUUUAGAACUCAUUCUUCCUCCCCAAUCAUUCUAAACUCGAUCAAUCGGUUGUUUAGAACUCAUUCUUCGUCCCCAAUCAUUCUAAACUCGAUCAAUCAUCAUUGUUUUCGUUAUGAGAUUGACUUCGUAAGUCCUUUGUGUGUGCAUCAAAAAACUCUGGUGAACUCAAGGUAUUAGAGAUAACCUGUAUUGUCAAGUAGCAGGUGUAUGCGGUAUUGUUUGAUAGACUUGUCAUCUCUUGCUUAUAGUGGAUUGUUUUGUUGUCACGAAGACAACCGUGGACGUUUCCCUAGCUAUUUGGGUUUUACCACGUUAAAAAUAUCGCAUGUCCAUUUAUUGCUUUAUUGUUUUUCUAGUUCAUUUGUACCAUUAUUCACUUGCAUUCAAACCUUGUACUACUAGUGCACCCAAAGUCCUUUUUUUUGCUCAUCUUGAAUCUGUCCAAUCAUCACUUCAUCCCAUCUGAAUAUCAAGUCCGAUCCUCCAUCUGUUAAAGCAAUCCCAAUAGAGGGUGGAUUUAUCCACCUCCACAUAGGAUAAAUCCAUCUUAAUGACUUAAAAGUAUAAGGUGGAGAGUUCUUAAGGCAAAGUGGACUCUUUGGGAGAGAAAGUGGAUUUUAUAAAAAAAAAAUCGAACGACAUGUUACGUGCCAUCCAUUUUUUUUUUAAAAAAAUAAAAAAUAAAAUAAACAUUUUUGACAUGUCAUCUGAACAAAAAAAAAAUAGGACGACAUAUGACAUAUCGUCAUUGUCUUUUCCGAAAAAUGGAUUUCAAAAUGGAUUCUCCUACCUUGAAAUCCACCUGUGAGAGGAAAUUCCACUCUGCAUUGGGAUGUUAUUUUCUAGCUAAAUUUUUGUUCUAAUUUUGAUUGAAAAUACACUCUACCUCAAAUUAUUUAUUGAGAAUCAAAUAAACCCUUAUUUUUUAAUAAAAUAAGGUACCUAAAAAAAUCUGACUAAAUCAAAUGUUCCUUAGACAAUAUGAUAAUCUAAAUAAAACCCCCCAACAACUCUUCAAACCUCUCUUUCAAUCAGAACCACAUCAAGAGAGAGAAAACCCCCUUCUAAGAGAGAAAGAGAGAGAAGAAAAAAGGAUAGAAAAGAAAUGAAGAAACUCUACAAGAAGGGCAAAGUUCAUCCAUCACCACCUUUAAUCUCUGAUCAUUUAGCUUUUCUUCCAGCUACAAUCUUAACACUUACAGUUGCUCUUUCUCCUCAAGAUAGAGAAGUAUUAGCUUAUCUUCUUCUUUCUUGUUCUACUUCCCCAACAACCAACUUUUCAACUAGCAAUAACAAGAAAAAUUCUCAUAAGAACAUUAAUAAAAAUAAUAGUAAUGGUGUUGGUAGGGAACAUCCUCCUUUGUUUUACUGCAACUGUUUUAGAUGUUAUACUAGUUAUUGGGUUAGAUGGGAUUCUUCACCAAAUCGUCAGUUAAUACAUGAUAUCAUUGAUGCUUUUGAAGAUGAAUUAUCUCAGAAAAAGAAGAAGAAUAACAAGAAAGAAAGGAAGAAGAAAGGGAUUAAUGGUUUGAAAAGGCUUGAAGAUGCUUAUGAUGAUGAUGAUGAUUCAAGUCAAGUUAUGUCAGGUAAUUUGUCUGCAGAAUCAGUUGUAGUGAAUAGUUGUCUUGGUCAUCAUGAUAAUGAUAAUGAUUAUGGUACUAGUAGUUGUAGUGCCGAGCAUUAUGAAGAAGAAAUGGAGAAUUUGAAAAAGGUCAGUAAGAAAAUUUGUUAGUUUUAUUGGAGAAACUAUUUGGGGAGUUUGGAAUUAAUGAAAGAAGAAGGUGGAUUGAGAGUUCUUGUUUCUUCUCUUCCAUAGAUUUUUUUUUUUUUUUUUUCACUUUUUAAUGUAUAUUACUUACUCCUUUUUUUUAAGAAAAAAAUGAGUAUUUUUGAAUUACCAUGAUUUUCAUCCAAAGAAAAAGAACCCUUUUUGGUGUAAAUUACCACUUUUAUAUAUGCAAUUUGUUCUUAUAUGUUUUAAUUUAUUUCCAUUGUUUUAGUAUAAAUGUGUUGAUAAGCAUUUGUCAUCCAUUGUGUAAUAACUUGUUGAACUGCAGCAGAAAUAUACUGCUAUGGACUAUGGUACAGUUUAUUGGUGAAGUUGGGUUUGUUUGGUAGUGUAGUACAGUUUAUUGUGUGAAGCAAAAGCUAUCUAUAUAUUUCAUUGGUGGUGUGUGUCCUUUUGAAUUUUUAUGAUGCUUUGACACUCAUAGUAUCAUACAUUGUGAUGUGAAUCUUGAAGAAAUUUUUUAGUUAAUUAAUGAAUUUAAUUUUAAUUGUCAUUAUUAAUUAUUAAUUAGGGUCAUCAUCAAAAGGGUUUUUCGAUUAAAGCAAGGGUAGAUAGAAAAAAGCAGUCCCCACUAAAACAGCUUUCCAGGCCUCAAUUUCAUUGAUAGUUGUGUUCUCCAAGAAUUUAUUCUUUGCAUUAUAGUAUCAAUUUAUUCAGUGCUAUUUACCUUCUUUGUUUAUUAUAUUGAAGAGACUAUACUACCCUUCAUGUAAUGUGGUAGCAUGCAUAGUUCAAAAUGCCAGAAAUAUAUUUUACGCAAUUUUGGUGGAAUAUGCCGGUUUUUAAAGAAUCGACAUUAUAAAAAUCCAGAAAUAUCCGAAAAUAUUUCUGAAAUUUCAGGUGACAUUUUUGUUUCGAGUGUCGGAAUAUUGGAAUAUACCGUUUUUUUUCAAAUCCGAAAUUUCGUCCGGAUUCGGAAUUUUAAAAUUAUGGUAGUACAUAUAUCUAUUUUUUCUUGGUUCUUGGUUUUUGAUAUUUGUUGAUGAAACAUGUUGCCAUUUUUUUGUUAUGCUAUUAAUGUUGAUUUGAUAAGUAGUUAUUAUUUUAUUUUUUUUAAUAAAUUUUUUUUUUUAUUAAAUUUCAAGGCCCAAAGACUACAUCAUUAGUCGUGAAGGGUUAUAUCUGAAACUAGACCAUAGGUUAUUCAAUAAUUUGUUGCCACCUAAGUAUUCACGUCGCAUCCACAUCACCUAGAGUAGCCACACUCUGAAGACUUGUUUUUGCUUUGCUCUACCUAAACAACAACAUCACCUCAAAGCAAUUAAAAAUCGUUGACAAAUGACAGUUUUUUCAUCUAACAAAGAAAUACACUAACCAAAAAACCAAAAUGUGUUUGUGUGGCAAAAAAUGUUUUUGGUUUUUUAUAGGAAAUGAAUGUCAUAUUAUAUAAAAAGGGUAAUGUUGGUAAUGAAUCUCAAAAAGCCUUAUAGAAUUUCUUUUUCAUUAACUAUGUUCCCUUGUCUUUAGCUUUCUGUCACUGUGAAUGGAUGGCCUAUAAUAACUCCAAGAUCAAAAGGAAUAACAACCUUUUUUUCUUCUUCCUUUGCUUUCGGUGUGUUUUGUUCACCCUUUUCCGGCAAGCCUAUAGGAAACAGUGUUUGGCUCUAAAUCUUGGUAACAACUACAACAUAUUCAAUUCAUUUGGAUGACAAAUAUAUACAUAUAUCACCCUCACAAGUCACACCUCUUUUGGGUUUUUCUAAGAGCAUCUCUAAUGCAAUGUGUAUAUUAAUUUAUAUUCCAAACCAUAAGAUUGGUCACACGUAUAAUUUACCAUACGUGUGGUUCCACAUUUGAAAAUUAAAUAUAUAUUCUGAUGUCAUGAACAUAUAUAUCAAGAAAAAAAAAGAAUUUAUAAUGUAUNNNNNNNNNNNNNNNNNNNNNNNNNNNNNNNNNNNNNNNNNNNNNNNNNNNNNNNNNNNNNNNNNNNNNNNNNNNNNNNNNNNNNNNNNNNNNNNNNNNNUUUUUCGAAAUCUUAUUGGGUUUGAACGUCGUAUUAUGGAUGAAAUAGGUCUACACUAGAAGAAGUGUUUUACGCGUAAGCAUUUCAGAUGUUCUAAUAUUUUGGAAAAUCGAGAAAAACAUAAUACUGGAUGAGGUUGAUAAUGUACUAAUCUAGCAGAAAUAUAUUUAUUCGCCCGUGUGAUCUUAGCUUCUUCGAAAAUAGAUCAAAUAGUCAAACACAUCCUAAUUUGAAGAGUCAUCUAUGGCCAGUCAUCUUCAAAGUUAGACAUGAAUAUGUAAGACUGUUUCAGCCUUUCAGGUAAGAAUGUGUCAACACUCUUAACACAAAGUGAAGUUAAAAUAUUGAUCAACGAUCUUAAACAAAUAAUGAGAAUGUGACAUAAGGCCAUGGACUUUUUUUCUCAUUGAAAUAAUUGUGACUAUUAAUGAGUUGUGAUAAGACUAAAGAGUCCAUUUCUUGGUAGCUAGGUUAGAUGUUUGUAUUAGAGAAAAAGAGUCAAAGAAAGACUACUCUGUCAAGUUUUUUUUUAUGACCAACUUCUUCAACAAGGCUAGCUCUAGCUUUGUCAUGCAUAUAUGACUGCAUGAGAAUUGAAGGUUACUUUGCCCUGAACCAUCAUCAACUUUGUUGAUCAACAUUAGAUUGAAAUUCUUAUCAAUUGAAGAAUGUUUUUUAUAUAUAAUUAUUAAUCAAAAAAAUUAAUCUAAUUUAAAACAAUUAAUAAUUUUAAGAGCUAAUUUUAAGUGAUUUCAUAUUUUUAAAUAUAAUUAUCUCAUCUAUCGUUAUUUAAUUUUUUAUUUUAAUAAAACUAAAAUAUCAAAUAUUAUAUUUAUACAAAAAUAAAUAAAAAAUUCUCACGUUACCAACACUUGUCUAGCAAUAAGCCAAUUGUUUUGUCUACAUUUUAGUACUCCAAAUGAGUAUGUUUUAAGAAGAACUAAGUGAAUAUGCACGUUUGUGCGUGCUGUAUAAGUGGGGUAUUAUAUUAGGUAUGGACGUAAAUUUUUUUACAGUUUGCUUAUAUAAAUAAAGUAAGAAAUAAAACUAAAAUUAUUAGUAUGUUUAUGAUGGUGACACGUCAGGUUUCGUAAACCAUCUUAUUUUGGGGGUGUCUUUAUAAAGUACUAGAGAUUCCCACCUUGUAGCGCAUUUGUUUUUCACUUUUUCAUAAUUUUUUAAUUUUAUUAUUAAAUAUUAACCAACAUAAUUUUUUAACCAACAUAAUUUUUUAACCAACAUAGUUUUUUAACCAACAUAGUUUUAUCCCCUUUGGUUAAUAUUUAAUUUUAUUAUUAAAUAUUAAUCAACAUAAUUUUUUAACCAACAUAGUUUUAUCCCCUUUGCAUUUGACACAUUUGGAUUGCUAGGCUCAGAAGCAGUUGAGCUUCUCAGGAGAGUGCAGAAGAUAAUGGAUAGCAACGUGAUGAUUGCAGGUUCGAACGAAUAUGUAUUUAGAAGAAUCGGGUUUGCUAUCCAGAAAGGACUUGCCGCGCAGUUUGUAGCGCGUUUGUCCUCUACUUUUGUGUAAUUCGUUGAGCUUAUCAAUAAAAUUUGAAUUAUAUUUAAAAAAAAAAAAAAAAAAAAUUUGAAAUCCUUCACAAGUAUUUCCAGCAGGACACCAGUAACUUUGGCAGUCUGUACAGUCAGUGGGGUUGUUGACAUGUAUUGUCCUAUAUGAUGGGACCUAUCUAUACCCAUCAUUUCUUCCUUCUCCGUAGUACUACACUGCUACUACAUAGAAAGAAAGAAUAUAAUAUCCAUAGUUCAAAAUGUCGAUUUCGAAUGAAAUUUUGAAUUCUGAAAAAAAAAAAAAAAAAAAUUUUUAUCGAGAUUUCGACAUUAGAAAUAGAAACCGAUACGAAGGUAAAUUAUUCGUAAAUAUUCGUGUAUUCAAUUGUUCGUGAAUAGUUGUGUAUUUAAUUCUUAAAAAUUCGGCAUAAUUUGAAGUUUGAAAUAUGAUAAAAUUUAUAUAUAUUUAGAGUUAUUUAUUUAUUUAUUUUUUUUAUGUUAAUGGAGAAUCAAGUGUGAGGUCCCACCAACGUAGGUUCAAUGGUUUGAUCAAAAGUUAUGGGUCCACUUUACUCUCAAGGAUUUGGUUCAUGAACUAAUAAGUAAAGACAUUUUUCCUGGUUCAUGUGAUUGUGAGAAGCAAACAGAGAUGUAUAGCUACUUCUGCAGUCUUUUUGGAUGAUUUACUAGUGACUAUUACAAAUACAAUUGUUUGAGAUCCUUAAACAUUUGAUGUCAAACAUUUGAUGUGCUAAAAUUUUGGAUAUUGUUUUAGUGUAGUUCUUACAUGGGCUGAAUUUGAUCAUAUUUGUGAUUAGUAAAAAAAAUAUGUUUGGGGAAAUUUAAGCUUUUGUAAGUAGAUCUUGAUUCAAAACUCUCUACUGCUAGGUAUCCAUAGUGAUUAAAAGGGGACAUAAUGAACGCUACGAAAAGGGGUUUUUCAAGUAUUUAGAAAAAAAUAAGUCCAUUAUAAGAGCUGGAUACAGUUUUGCCCCACCCCUAGUCAAAUUUUAGAUUGACGGAUGUUUGAAUUUUGAAACAGACAUUUGGUUUCAAGGUUUGACAUCAUUUUGUGUAUGUGUCAUCAGUUAUCUCACCCGAGCUUCAUUGUUUUUUUGAAAUAGACAUUUGGUUUCAAGGUUUGACAUCAUUUUGUGUAUGUGUCAUCAGUUAUCUCACCCGAACUUCAUUGUUACGCCGAACCUUGGUAUGUGUGUCAUUCUUCAUUCUUUCCUCUAUCAUCGUUUGUACAAGUUUCUCAGUUUUUAGUCUGUUAGAAUUUGGUUCGAACGAAACCUUGUUUCAGUUUUUUUUUUUGUUUAAGGGUGAUUAAAUUUAUAAAAUAAUGAAGAUUACAAAAGUGAGAAGGAAUUUAUAACUGCAUUCUUGUCUCAAAAAUUAAAAAAAAUCUAUACUAGACAGAUUUGUGGCUCUCUAAAGGUAAUUGAAUUGGGGUUUGUCCCAUCUCAAUCUCUGCUUUGCCCGGAAGUGAGUACCCUUCCUAGCGCAUAUAUCUGCUGCGAAGUUAGCUUCCCUUUUGUUUGUAGUGAUCAGCAGAUUCAGUUGCAGGUUUCUUAUUUCUUCCCAUUGCGGCUUUAGUUUCCAAUGAGGUUUGUUGUUCCAAAGAGCUAGCUGCAAUAGCAGCCUCUGAAUUUGUCUCCCCCCAAAUGUUUCUCCAUCCCAUUUCAAUUGCCAUUAGUGUACCUUCUAUGAUGCCUGUCAUCUCUGCAAUGUAACAUGUUUCGACGCCCAAACCACCAAUAACUACACCUGAAAGUUCACCAUCAUCUCUUCUGAACACAUCCCCCAAACCUGCGACCCCAGGGUUUCCUUUUCUGGAUAAGGAUAAAUAACCUUGUUCCAGGUUAUUUAUCCUUAUGCAGAAAUUGGAAUAUGGUUCGAACGAAAUGCUUCGAGUAAAUUUUUCGUCCUUAUGGUUUGUUUAUUUUUUUCUAGCUAGAGUUCAUAUAAAUAGGUUUAUACUCUUAUUAAAAAACCUAACUCCUCUCUAGUCGUCUUCGUCUCCAUCUUCUCAAGUGUGUUUGUUAAGGGAAAAACUUUUCUCCAUCUACUAAUUCAUCUUCUUCCUCACUGCACUUAUUCAUUCAUCAAUAGUAAGAGCGACUUCGUGAGAGUCUUGUGAGGCUAUCAAGAUUCCCGGUGAAGUCCAAGAGUAUUAGAGAUAGUUGGUAUUGUCAAGUAGCAGGUGUAUGCAGUAGUGUUUGAUAUGCUUGUAAUCUUUUGCAACAUAGUGAUUGAUUUGUUACCGAUCGAGGUAACUGUGGAUGCGUUUCUCAAUUUAGAUUUUAUCACGUAAAUUUUUUUGAUGUUUUUUACCAUUUUUGUUGAUUUAUUUACUGUUUGUUUAUUCCAUUAUAUUGCAGUUGCGUGGGGUUUUGUAUUUUUAUCCUUGUAGAUUCAAAAUAACGACAUUCUCCGGUAGAAUUACACACAUAUAUAUAGUAUAUACCCAUUUAUGAGUAGGGACCCUAAUAGUAAUGAGCCCUUUGUAACAGGAAGAAUAGUACUAUAUAUAGUACUAGUUGGGACUGUGGGCCUUUUGGUAGGCUAUGUGAACCCCAAACAUAAAUAUAUAAUAGCAUUAUGGAGAAUUCAACAUCACCAAACAUUUCAUUUUUAUGUGGGCAAAGUUAAUAAACAAUGGAGUUGUGGACCACAAUAUUAUAGGUACAGGGCCAGCUCAAAGUAUGGCACAUGAGAUGAUAUGAAUAUGUCUAUGAUUAAUCAAAAGAAAUCAAGAAAAUGAUUUGGUUGUAAUUAUCAAAACUUUGGUGUGUACAUGGCCUCGGAGACCAAACAACUGCUACCUCAAUUGGUUUGGUACUCUUCUCAAACACUCUCAUUCCAGGUCAAUUCCCAUCAAAGCCUUCGGGUCUGAUUCGUGAUUAGGAGACACAUGCUCCAAUGAUGACAUGAUGUGGCCGUCUGGUGUUCUUCAGCGAAAGCAAGUCCAUGUAUAACAGUAUUACUCUAGUAGCAAGAUGGCGAUGUGGACGUUUAGGUGGCAAAAAUAGUAGUAUUUCUAGCCUUCGGGGUCUUGUCUUUGUAAGCCCUCAGGCCCUAUCCUUGUAAGCCUUCGGGCCAUGAAUAUUAACAAAAAAAUAAAAAAAAAUACUUCUUAUUUUUAUUUUUUAUUUUUCAGUGAAACAUCCUUUAUGCUUGUUUAAUCUCAUGGGAUCCUCAUGUUAACAUCUCAUCAAUAUAGCAUAAAAGCUAACUCAACAUGAGAGUAUAGAAAGGCAAGUUAUUAUUAUUGCAUUUUUGUUUUGAAUUAAUGGAUGAAAACCUUUUUCAAUAAAGCCAACUAUCAACUUGUAUGCCUGUGUCUGUUAAUGCAAUAUACUUGCACUAUUUUGGAUAGUGACACCUUUGAUCUUUUUGCAUCUAGUGGGCAUAUUGCAUAGGUUCAUUGCUCGUUAUGCCUGCAGAGUUCAAUGCAGCCAUAUGCAUGCAGGCGUUGAAGUUAAGCACGAGCAGUGUAUAUACAAACAAAUCACACAAUCUUUACCCAUGUCGAUCUAGUGUCUGCAAAACACCAAUCAUCUUACCAAUGACAAGCUUGCAGUUACGAAAGAAAGCGAUAUGAUGGAGAAACAAGUAGGUUUUUUUUUUUUUUUUUUGCAAAAGGUGAGCAUAUAUUAAUAUAAUUUAGAUACAAAAAUACAAAAGUUGAGUGCUAAGCACACUCAAAUUCAACUAAACUCUCAGAAAAAUUUGAUAAGGAUUCUCCCAUCUAACAACCCAUUGAGGCUUGCCUUCAAAAAUGAUCUCUUCUCCUGCCAUCAGAUUAGCUCCCUUCUUAGCAGCCUGGUCCGCAGAGAAAUUUGCCUCUCUCCAAGUAUGAGAGAACAAAAUAUUGUGCAGCUUAAUUCUAAUAUUUUUCCAUCUCACUUCCACUCUCCAAGGAAGAGAUCCUUGUGUGAAAGCUUGAAUAGCUGCAGCUGAAUCCGAUUCAACCCAAAUGUUCAGCCAGUCUCUCUUGACUGCUUCCUCAAUGCCAGCAAUAAUGGCCCAACAUUCAGCUCCAUUGUUAGUAUUUACACCAAUGCCUCCUGCUUUGACCAACAAAAAUUUCCCAUUUCUAUCUCUGAAUAUACACCCUAUCCCUGCAUCUCCAGGAUUACCCUUCGACGCCUCAUCACAGUUAAUUUUUACAGUGUUACCUUCAGGAGGAUACCAUUUACAUUCUUUUGGUGGCUUGGAAAGUACAUGUCUAGCAGGUAGGUCCCAAGCUCUCAAAAUAAGCUCCUCUCUAUCUUUGAGUUGGAAACCUGCCAAAGAUGCAUUAUUAGCAAAAAAAGACAUGUCUCUUAACUUCAGACUUUAACCAUACAUCAUUGCAUCUUCCUUCAUCAUAAACAAUCUUAUUUCGAAGUCUCCAGAUGGAGACAGAAACCCCGACCACUGCAGCCUGCCAAAGAACCCUGAUGAGCUUUGAGUUAGAGGAAGCCACCUUAAAAGCUUGGCUGAAGCUCUCAAAAUUGUAUACAAACCCAAAACUGCUGGAAGCCCAUUCCCAUAACCUUUUUACUGUUUUACACUCCCAAAGAAGAUGCUCUAAAGUUUCCUCCUUUUCCCGACAGACCUGGCAUUUGGAAGCUAACUGAAUUCCCAUAUUUUGAAGUCGGUCAUCUGUAGUUGCACACCCUCGGAUCAGUUUCCAGACAGUUGCUGCACUGUUUGGGUGAAUGUGUUGUUGCCAAAUAUAUGAAUGCCAUGAAACUUUAGGGGAUUUCUGUCGAAUGGUGUUGUACGCUGAAGCAACAGAAAAUUUAUCUUUAUCAUCAGCUUUCCAUAUCAAAUAAUCUCCUUCCUCUUGACGUGUACACUCCACUGAAGCCAAAGAUAAAUUUGAGGCGUCCAGAAGAUCUGAAAAAAAACCUGGAACUUCCAGCUGACCCUCAACAAGAAAAUCUUCUACCCUGGCUCUGCACCCUUUCAAAUCAGCUGAACUGAGUUGCAAAGUGUCUUUAAGACUACCACUCCCCAACCAAUUGUCCCUCCACAAGUCAGUCUUCUUCCCGUCUCCAAUAACAGCUUGAAUUCUGGGGAAGAUCUCUUGAAGUGCCCAUUUUAUUCCACUCCAAAGGGAAGAGGGAACAUAAUACUCAAUCACUUCAUUAUCUCUUGUCCAAUAUUUGUGUCAUAAAAUUUGCAAAAUUUGAAUCAUCUUGUAGAAUAUGCCAGGCCAGUUUCAUUAGAAGGGCUUUGUUGAUGUCCCCAAGCCUUCUUAUACCCAGUCCACCUUCAUUUUCUGGCAUACACACCUUAUGCCAAGCCACUGUAGUCUUCCUUGUCUGAGCUGGAUUCCCUGUCCAUAGGAAAUUCCUCAACAUUUUCUCCCCCUCUUUGAUAAGGCUUUGAGGCCAUUUGAAGAUUGACAUGUUAUGCAUUGGAAUGCUACAUAGAACAUGUUUAAUGAGCACAUUCCUCCCUUGAAAAGACAACAUUCUGCCUCUCCAGCUGCUGAUUCUAUCUUUGAUUCUAUCCAACAUUGGCAGUAGGAUUCUUCUAGAAACUCGACCUUGGUGCAGCGGGACACCCAGGUAUUUUUCAGGAAGGACACCUCUUUUCAUUCCCAGAAUUUGCUCCACACAUUGUUGUUUAUCUAUGUUCAUCCCACCUACAAAAACUCGACUUUUUUCUGUGCUCACCACUUGACCUGCACAUUGUUGAUACCGGUAGAGGAGUUCAGCAAUACAUUUGACCCCUUCAAUAUUGCCAUUCGCAAAAAUGAAUAUGUCGUCAGCAAAUAACAUAUGCGAAGGGCCACGAACACCUUUUGCUUUCAUUAGAGGAGCUAUCAAUUUCUGAUGUCGAAGAAAAAGCAACCCCCUACUGAGAACAUCUUCAGUCAGAUUAAAGAGAAUUGGAGAAAGGGGGUCUCCCUGUCGUAGGCCACGACCCACUCCAAAAAAACCACAAGGACCUCCAUUAACUAAAACAGAAAGCUUUGUUGAACUUAAAAGAGUUUUAAGCCAAGAAACCCAAAUCUGACUAAAUCCCAGUUUAGGGAAUCGUAGGCUUGAGCUAUGUCAACUUUAAUGCCAAGGCUUCCCUCUUUAGCCUUUCUCUUCAUACCAUUCAUCAUUUUGGAUGCUAGACAAAUAUUCUCUUGGAUACUUCUGCCUUGGAUGAAUCCAGUUUGCUCUCGACUGACAAGGUGGGGAGCAAAGGAAUUUAAUCUCAACUGCAAGAUUUUUGAAAGGAUUUUCAAGAUGAAGUUGUUCAUACAGAUAGGCCUGUAGUGCUGAACCUUUCUUGGUGAAUUGUCUUUAGGAGCAAGUGCAAUAAAAGCAUUAUUAACCCCCACUGGCAAAUGAUUUUCACUGAAAAAGGAAAUCACUGCUCUGUUCACAUCAAACUUGAUAAUCUCCCAGCAUUUUUGAAAGAAGACUCCUUGGAACCCAUCUGGACCAGGGGAGCUAUCAGCUGACAUUUCAAACACUGCAUUUUUAAUCUCUUCUGGACCUGGUAUAGAUGUCAAAAUAUCAUUGUCAAGGUCUGUCAGCAGACAUGGCACCAGGCUCAACAAUUGUUCAUCCACUACCACAUCUGUAGCUUUAAACCUUUGCUCAAAGUGGGUCACAAACUGCUGCUUAAUGGUCUCUUGAUCAGUAAUAAGCUCACCUUCGUCGUCAUCCAAUUCAGUAAUCAAUGCUCUGCUGUUUCUGAAAUUGCUCAUAGCAAAAAAGUAGUUGAGAUUGUUUUGGCCUUCCGGUAGCCAUUUUUCUCUACUUUUCUGUCUGUACAUACUCUCUUUAUGUUUCAUAGCUUGAUCCAACUCCUUUUCUUUGUCAGACAGCUCAAUAACAAGAGCCUCAUCAUUAGAGCUAUCAACCAUCUUCUGCAGGUCAGAAAAAAUCUGAUGAGCUUCUGCUAGUUUGCUGUUGACGUUACCAACAACCUCUUUAUCCCAUUUCUUGAGGGCAACUUUGAGUCUUUUAAGCUUUCCAGCCAGCACACACUGAGGAGUACCAUAGAGAAACUGCUCUCAACUGUUCUUUACAACCUCAUAAAACCCAUCCACAGAACACCAAAAUUUCUUGAACCUAAAAGGGAUGUUAGUAGGCUUAGGAACCACAUUAUUAAACCCAACAAGGGGAGAAUGAUCAGACCCUUGUCUAUGGAGAACUUUACAACUCCAGCCUCGGAACUUGAAUUCCCAAGGCACAUUGUGGAGAGCUCUAUCCAACUUAGCUCUAAUUCUGCCCAAACCAUGUUGCCCAUUACACCAAGUGAAAUGUAGGCCUUCCCACUUGGAUUCCUGCAGCUCACAGUCAGCAAUAACAUCAAAAAAUUCUUGCAUAUCUUUGAUUUUUGGAGCUCUCCCCCCCUUCUUCUCCUCAGCAGCAAGGAUCACAUUAAAGUCACCAAUAACAAGCCAAGGAGUAUCAGAAGCAAAUGCUCGUAUAGUAUCCCAUAACUGCCUUCUAAGUCUAGGAGAGUUGUAGGCAUGCACAAAAGUCACCACUACUCCUUGGACCAGAAUAGUAAUGUGUUGUCUAUCACAUGAAACCAAAUUAACAACCAAACCUCUUCUAAAAAACACCCACAAGUUUGCAUUUCUGUCUUCAGUCCCAUUAUGCAAGUAAUGGUCAUCCAACACAUUCAACGCCAAUUCUCUAGCUAUAUUACCAUUAGAUCUCACUAAUGGUUCAGCAAUACCUACUAAGUCUGGUGAAUAUUUACCAACAAGAUCCCUAAGCCUAGACAAGGCUUUAGAUUUUUGAAUACCGCGAAUAUUCCAGAAAAUUGUUCUCAUUGAGAAGUUGAGGAAUUUUUGCUUCCGGGAUCCAUAGACAUGGUCACUCUGUCAGUCAGGUUCCCUUUACUUGAUCCUUCAUUGAGGUUUUUCUUCUUCUUUUUGUUCAGUACACUUGCUACCUUAACCACUUCAAGAGCUAGUUGGUUUUGUGUCUCAAGCACUACUUCUGCUGAUUGAAUCUCACCAGUAUCUGCUACCUCAUGAAAGCCAUCAGACCUGCUACCAACAUCAUCAAUUGGCGGCUGCCCUACUUCCUGAAUAGCUUCCACUACAGUGAUUGGUUGUACUUCCUCCGGAGAUUCAGUUACAACCUCAACAUCAUCAACCAAGUAUUUCCCACCUGAAAACAACAAGUAGUUGUUUAUAAACUAAACUGAAAACCUUCACUUUGGGCUUAACAAAGUUUUUUUUUUUUUUUUGCAUGAAAGUGUGAAUCGUACGUAUUAUUAUUGUAAUACCCCAGCUAUGGUGCUCGGCACUCUUGGGAUGAGUGAGGAAGAAAUCCCCGGGUACUACAGUUGAUAUUAGAGUUGACGACAAAUCUCAUGUCGAGGAAGAGGUGAUGGUUGCCUUCAGAACCAUGCCACAACUUCUUCCAUUUCUUCUUAAUUUACGCAACCUCCAUUUUCUCCCAUUUCUUCUUCACUUUGGGCUUAAAAUGAUCUAGUCUCUGAAAUUCUAGUUUGUAAGUGUAAAUAGGCCCAAAUCAUCCAAAAUUGGGCUUGACUCAAAUUCUGGGUCAAGCUUAGGUAUCAUCACAGGACACAGAUCCAUCGUCUCCUGGUACCAUCAACUAGGGGUGGGCAAACAAAACCGAAAAUCGAAUAACCAAACCGAUAUAACCAAACCAAAAUCGGUAAGACCGAGUUGAUCGGAACGGUCAAAGUCAUGACCGAAACCAAACCGAACCGAAUAUAUACUAGUCCAGUUCCAAUUUCUUUUUUGAUAGAACCGAUAAAACCAAACUAAUAUUAUUUAAAUAAUAUAUUUUUAUUAUUUUUUAAAAGUUUUAUUUUAUUUUUUAAAAUAAAGCGUCAAAGUCAAAAACCCAAAAUAACGAAAGAAAGAACUUUCUUGGAUUAUAGGCCUGUAAUAAAACCCAAAACCGAGAACCAAACCAGAUCAGACCGAUUGGAUUUGGUUCAAUCCAGUCUGGUUAUAUUUAAUUCUUCCUCGAUCUGUAGAAUGGACCGAACCAAUAGUAUUACAUGGGUUUGGUCCUAGUCGUACUGUUACCUUGUUCUCGGUGUUAAAAUAACACAAAUCCUAGUAUUUUACUUAAAGUUUUAGGUCAAUUGUUAAAUAUAGCACAAAACCUAGUAGAUUUUGGUCAAGAUACAAAAUGGUAUCAGACUGCAUAACAUGGGCGGUCUCACUAUCGGACCGCAUUACUUACGUGGUUUCACUAUAAAUCUUGUCAUACCGCCUUACUUGUGCAGUCUAAAAUUUGAAAAGGCCAACAGUCACUUGAUUCUAGCGUUCACCUGCGAGCCCAACGGCUCUAUUUUGUGUAUGGCUUUGACAUUUUUCUCACCAUCUCAUCUUCUUAUUUUCAAUCUGAAAAUUAUGUCUGGGAAAUGGGCCACAUCCUUAUUGUACAUAUAUAGUAUAUUAGGAACAAACCUUAUCUACAUAAAUCAAAUGUGGGACUCACAUUUUUCUUGCUAUGUCUCAAGUUAUACCACUUACAUAAGUAACUUGGGACGCCAAUUUCUCAUUCAAUAUAAAAUAAUUUUGGAUGUAUGGAUACUCUACAAGUAUCUACUCGGAACGAGAAAUCCAUGUAUAUCAAGAUCUUGCUCAUCGGAGCUCUUGAACAUAUUCAAAUAUGAUCCUAAAGAUCUUGUCAGAAAUCUGUCAAAACUGUGACAGAUUUCUGCCAAACAUUUCCAACAAUAUUUUGUUCUAUUUAAUUUCCUCAUUUUAUAUUGGGAUCACAUAGGGCUUUAAUAAUGCUUGCCUUAAAUUCAACUUAGUGUGUACUUGUGAAAUGUUUAAAGCAUUUGCAGACAUGGCUAUCUCACAGAAUGAUAGAAUAUGCUCAUUAGGUAAUCAUGCAGUUCGAUCUAGAAUGUAACAGAAGACCAAGUGCUAAUAUCAAUCAUGCUGAGAGCACUAGAUAGUGUAGCAUUCAUCAAUGAGAUUCAUAGAUCUAGCAGUACAAAAAGCUUGAGGAGAAACAUGCAAUUCUGGUGUUAAAAGUUGUCUAUCGAUAGAUUUUUAGCGACAACCAGUGAAUUGAUUAGUAACUUGAUGCUUCCAGCUACAAGAUCUUCCUACUGAAGUUCCUCAAUCACUCCAUAUAUCGGCACACUCCAAAUUUUGUGCAUGACUGGAUGCUUGCAGCGACUGUAAUCUCUACUGCCAUACUUUGAUUUUCUUUCAUUAUUAUGAUUCUUUAAGUUUAGUCUGUCAAACUAUGCAAUAAAGGGCUUAUUAAUCCGAAAACGUACAGUAGCAAAAUGUCCCGUAUGUUAUCGACUACUCUUAGUAUAAAAUCCGAAAACGUACAAAAAUCUGCACACUUUGGACUUUGUUUAUCUAUAAAAAUGCUUAGUAUAAAAUUCGAAAACGUACAAAAAUCUGCUAGCUACUAAUGCUUUCAGAACAUUACAUAGUAGUAUAUCACUCUCACAGUAUGUAUACCUCCAAUUACAAUACCUUAUAUAUACUAUAAUUACAUGAAUGUAGCCAAAGUCGUCCUCAUAACAUAAUCAGAAAUAAUCUGACUUGUUUUCUCAGUUGGAUGGAAUGAAUCCCAGAACACAUAUUUUCUCGCAUCUGCACAUGUAAAUGGGCUAAAUUCAUUGCACAUAUAACCCAUUUCAAACAUUCCUGUCGCGCAACAUCCCACUGCUGCAUUUUCAAAUCCUGUAAUUACCACAACAACAACAACAAAAAAUGUUCAUUGCAUGUCAAUACUAAUAAAUCCAUUACACAAAGAAAACUGUUCUAGCACGACGACACCCCGAUUCUUCUGUAAUAUAAGAAUGUACUAUUUCAGAGAAAUUGUGGUACCUUGUGGUCAACCAGUUUCUAGAUGAAAGCAACUCAAUUACUUCAUCUGUACUUCCCACCAUCAUAGUAAUGGUAUUAAAUUAAAGCAAAACUACUAGCCAAACCUACCAGACUUGAAUGUCUGCCUAAUUUGGGGCAGAGCAUUCUGAUCAGUGUUUUGUUAAAUUGAUCCUAACUAUCCAUAAAUAUAACUCUGAUUCUACAUGGGCAUGGCAUAUCCAAAUCCCAACACACUGACGCGUCGGCUGCAUUUACCAUCCAAUUAAUGCGGGACACAUGAUUGGACGGUUAAUGCAGACUGCAGAGGACACAUCAGUAUGCCAAAAUAACUUUUUUUUUUUUUUUUUUUUUAUUGACAAGCAGGGUUGAGAGGACCACUACCCCUUUUAAAUUACAUGUAGAAACUUAUAUCAACAAUCAGCUGUUGAAGUGUCUCAAACCCACAACCUCUCCACUUUGUGAGAGGGGUGCUACCAUUGAGCCACAGGCUCAUUCCCAAAAUAACUUGGUUCUGUCAGAAAACUGAAUAAAAUCAAACUUACCAUAUUUACUCGGCAUCUGAAUGAUAUUAAGCAGGAUACCAUAUGUGUUGGAAUGGACAAUUUGAGCAGCAGGAAGUUCUUUGUUCAAGUUUACAACCAAACCUUCUAACUUUGUAUUGAACUCUGUAGCCACAUUGUUAUACUCUUGGUUACAACCAGUUCCAACAAAAGCAUUUCUCAUUCUUUCUAAUGGUAAACAUCCCAUAGGAGGAAGUCCACCUAUAGAUAAUUUUCUUGCACCAAGAUUGAACAAGUCUUUCACAAAAUUCUCGGCUAAACCGAGAAGGAAGUCUUGAUAUUGCUUGAUAGUGAACUCAGAUGCUCUUUUGCUGUUGAAUUGGUAGUAAUUCUCUAGAAAAUCAUUUGUACCAAGACUCAUUAUGUACAAUGCUUCACGCAAUGUUUCAUCGGCUUUUUCCUCUCCAAUGUAGUCUCUUAGUUUCUUUUGGUACUCCUUAUAGUACUCUAAUUCUUUCCACAAAGGCAUCACAUCCUACAUUUCAAAAAAACACAAACAUUACACAACAUGAUGAUUGAUGAUCAUAUGCAUAUACAUAUAUAUAGUAGGACAGUUUGUUAAAAUAACUGCGCAUCAACUUACUAGUACAUUCGAUGUAGCAUUAUCAUAACCAGUUCCGGCAGAAGCAAAACAAACACCAGUCGCGAAAUCUUUAAUACUAUAUGAAGGAUCUAAGUAUGCAGGUACAGUAGGCUUAAUACCAAAUGCCUCAGAAAUAAAAUCACCAGGAACUCUGCCAUUUGAAAAUCGUCCGGUAGGUUUACCAUCAUUGAAAUCGCGUCCAUAUGGCUUGAAAUUACUCUUCAAAACUGUCGAAAGUUGAUUAUUAUUCCCUGUAUCAACCGAUGAAUCUCCGAAGAUAAUAAUUGCUGGAACUUUUGCUGUGAUUUGAAGAACUUGUAAUAUGAGUUGCAUUAAGAGGAACCAUGGUAUAGUACUAUGACAAAAAAGUGUCAUUUUAUUGGAUUUUCAAAGAUUGUUAUGUGAUGAACAAACUAAACUAGUAUUGCUUAGAGUGGAAAUGUGGAAUGGAUUUAAAUGUGAGAGGUGGGAAUAAAGGAACAUUGUUUGAUUAAAGUUAUUUUAUAGGAUGAUUUUUGUUGGGAGUUUAUAAUUAAUUGCAUGUAGUUGAAGAGUGAGAAGACCAACCAUUCUAUGAUGAAUCAUCAUUCAUCAUCUAAUUUUCCAAAUGUGGGCGGUUGCUUCAAAACCUAUAAAACUGGCUUAUUAAUAAGUGGGUCAUAUAUGUCAGAUGGAUGGUUUCUAAUUUCUAAUAAAAUUGUUAUCACAAGAUGUCAAGAUAGUCCUCUAGAAGGCCCCCAAUUUUUUGUGUAAUUUAAUUUAAGAGAUUUUUGGACAAAUGGCCGCAUUUGAAAGUCGAAAUUUGAGAUACCGCAUUUCAAGAUGUGGUGUUAUUGCCGCCAUCAUAAAACUAACUUAAGACCGUAAAUCUCUACCAUCUUGAAACAAGUAUCUCAAAUUUUGACUUUCAAAUAGGGGUAUCUCAAAUUUCGACUUUGUAUGUCCAAAAAUCUCUUAAUUUAAUGAUAUUUUAAUUUUUUUAGGAUAAUUUUGAAAAAUUACACGAAACUGGGGGAUAAUCAUGCUACACACUAGGAUGCUAAUAUUUUUAAAACUAAUCUUUCGAAUACAUACUCAUUAUAACCCACAGUGAUCAUAUUACUAUCUAUUUUGUUAGUGAAUAAUAUAUUGAUAGAUGGGUAAAUAAUAUUAGAGAUAAACUUUAUGAUCGAGUAUACAUAGAUACUGUAUGAUCAUUGACAUUAAAUACAUAGGCCAUCACACCAUGUAUUGCCUAUAAACGCACACUUUUUGUAAAUGCACAAAAAAUAUUAGUCCCAUACUCAGAGUACUACAUGUUAAUUUUUACUUAAACACACAUCUUAUGCAAAGUACAUUUUCUCAUUUGUGGCUACUAGGACCCCUUAUGAAUUAGGGUUUUUUUUUAGAAACACUUGGUAUAAGAAUUCUUCCGAAGUACCACGAUUGUGGUACACAUUUUUUUUUUUUUUUUUUUUUUUGUAUUUUUAGGUCUUAAUAUGGCAAGAAAAGUGUUUGAAAUCGCAAAUUUCCAACUACUUCUACCAAAAGAUCAACCAGAUAGGAACUUGCAUAGACUUUGAGGUACAUUUAUGUGUUCCCACUGUUUAGAGCACAAUUUAAAAGUCUUAAGUCAAAGACCAUAAUAUGCAUUUAAAGCUCUGCUACCUUCUAACAACAAUAGAGGUUCCUCUCUAUCUCUCAUUCAUUUACCUUCUAGAAUUUUACACCACAACACCAACCAAAAAUGUCCCAAAGUUCAAACCAUGCAUGAGUCUUCAUUAAGAUCUUAGCCAGUAGAGUAUAGGGUGUUCAUGGGUAUGAAUCUUCAGUCCAUUUGAGCCCCAUAGACCUCAUUACUUGUUUUUUAUACACACUUUUUCGUUCGAUUCGUUUAUCUACCUUUUUCUAGUAAAGCAGAAUACGUCGUUAAGAAAUUUACUCUCUAAAAUUACAAAAAUUGAUAGUCUAAUUGAUAAGAAUUUUUCUAAUAAAAUUCUUCUUAUCCACAAAAAAAUAAAAAAAUAAAUAAAAAAUGUUAUUUUAAUAUAAAUAAAUUAGUAAAUAUACAAUAUUAUAAUAAAAAUAUAAAAUAGACUAUAAUGUAAAAAAUUAAUUAUAAACCCACAAUAUACUAAAAGCCCAUCAUAACCAGAAGUUCAGCCCAUGCAUUUCAAAACAAGCAUAUGAGCCCGUGCUACACACGGGUUAAAUAUGAGUUAAUUCAAGAUCAUUAACCAGGCUGAGUUGCUCAUAAGUGACAUAUAUAUAUAUCCAAACAGUUUGAAUUUGGAGUGUGGACAACAUUUUGAUCUAACAACAUUGUACUACUGGAAUACCUAUGAGUUCUCCUAUCGCCAAGAAAUAGUUGUGGUUCUACGAAUGAGCCUGUGGCUCAGUGGUAGCACCCCUCUCACAAAGUGGAGAGGUCGUUGGUUCGAAACACGUCAACAGCGGAUUGUUGAUAUAAGUUUCCACACGUAAUUUAAAAGGGGUAGGGGUCCCCUCAACCUCGCUUGCCAACCGAAAAACAAUAGUCGUGGUUGUGGUAUAUAGGGUAUAUAGGGGAUAGAUGUACUGCUUAUUUUCAUGGGUUGCUAAAAGAGAGGAGGAAUAGAAACAAAAUUUGGUCUCUUACCAACUCUGCAGGCAACAAAAUUACAGACCUAGCUGAAGUUCACAAGCUUAUUGUUGAUCAUUAUGAACAACAACUAGCUACAGAGAUUGAUGUGGAUAUUGAUCUGAUCGAAUAUUCUAAGGAAUGUUCAAGUGCAGGCUACUCUUGAAGACUUUGAAGCUCAGUUCUUGCUGCAGGCAGUUUCAAAUGAGGAAAUUAAAGCAUGCUUUUUUGAUAUGGAUAAUUAUAAGUCACCGGGGCCUGACGGUUUCAAUGCUAUGUUUUAUAAAGUAUGCUGGAACAUUGUAGGAGAGGAUACGAUAAGGGCAGUUUUAUACUCUCUUCAUACUCAAUCCAUUCCUAAGGGGUUGAAUUCUACUUUUCUCUGUCUAGUGCCCCAAAGGUUCCAAAUCCCAGUACUGUAUCAGAUUUCAGACCUAUAGCCUGCUGUAAUGUUAUUUACCAGGCUAUCUCUAAACUGUUGGUAAACAAAAUGAAGGAAAGCAUGAAUAAGCUGAUAGAUAUUAACCAAGCUGCUUUUAUUCUAGGAAGAACAAUUCAAGAUAACAUCUUAUUGUCCCAUGAGCUCCUCAGGAAGUAUGGAAGGAAGCAUCUCUCCUCAAGGUGUUCUGUUAAGGUUGAUAUUAGUAAGGCGUACACACAGUCCACUAGCCUUCUCUAGAGCUUAUGUUGUCCAAGUUGGGAUUUUCUAUUUUGUUUAUGAGGUGGAUUAAAAUGUGUUAUUCCUCUGCUCAUUUCUCUGUUCUUAUAAAUGGGAGUCCUCAUGGGUACUUCAAAGGGAAAAAAGGCUUAAGACAAGGGGACCCUCUAUCCUGUUAUCUUUUCGUCUUUAUUAAUUAUGGAGAUUUCGACCUGUCUGUUAAAGCAACAAGUGGCUAACAACAAGAUCGCUUACCAUCCUAAGUGCAAGAGAUCCCCAGUUAUAAACCUUUGUUUUACGGAUGAUUUGAUGUUGUUCUUUAAGGGGGACAGUCAAUCGGUAUCAGCAGUCCAAGCUACUCUGCAGCUGUUCACACAAGCUUCUGGAAUGAAACUGAAUAACCAGAAAACUACCUUACUAGUAACUAGUUGGAGGUCUCAAUGAUCAGGAUAGUUUGGUGUUAGCAAAUAUUUUGGGUGUUAACUUGGUUAAGCCCUCCUAUUACUUACAUGGGGUUGCCUUUCACUGCUUCAAGAAUUAGUAUUAGGGACUGCUUACCACUUAUUGAGAGGAUCACAAAGAGAAUACAGAGCCGGAGCAACAAGUUCCUCUUUUAUGCUGGCAUUCUUGAAGUAGUUCACUCAGUUUUGCAGUCCUUGCAUAUCUACUGGGCCAAAACUUUCAUUCUACCUAGCACAGUGCUGAAUGAGGUGGCAAGGCUAUGUAUUAGAUUUCUAUGGAGUGGUCCUAUGAUGGGGAAUAAGCUUCACCAUGCAAAGAAGGAAGUGUUGGCCAGGUCAAAGAUUGAGGGAGGGCUUAACAUCAUGGAUGUGGAGCAAUGGUACAAAGCUACUUAUUGUGGGAUGGUUUUCAAAAUUGCUUCUAAGGAAAGUAAUGUAUGGGUGAAUUGGUCUUGGAACCAGAACCAUCAAAGACAAACAUUUCUGGCAUAUGAAGAUACUAGGGGAGUGUUCCUGGGUCUGGAGAAAUGUGCUAUUGAUGAACACACAUUAUAUCCAUAAUUUAUACACCCAAAUUUAUACUACUUAGUCUAUUUAUAUUUAUUAGUUUAAAUAAUUAAUAUGUAAUUGUUCUUUUUGUAGGAUAUGUUUGAUGCGUCGAAUGAGCAUAGUUUUGCAUCAUUUGGAUGGUUAAUAAAGCUUGCGAAGGUUGUUGUUAAAGAGAAUGCAUGGGAGCCCAAAACAUUUUGAGUAUGAUUCCAUUGGAGCUCCAAAGGGCCCAAAGUCCGUCCAUUACUUCUCAAUUCAAUGACUUACUUCUAGUAGGCUUACACAUUUGACAAUGUGAAGGAAAUAACCGAAAUUAUGGAUUUGCAAACGAACAAAAGUGGAAUGCAUUAAAUGGGAGAAGAAGAAAGAAAUGAGCUACACAUCCAUCACACCACCCUAUAAUCUUUUAGUCAUACUAUUCAUUUUUUUACAUUUCCAUAUUCACACCAAAUUAUUCACUAUUCUCUAUACUAUUUCACCAAUUCCUUACUAUUCAUUGCACUAUUCUUCACCACACCCAUACUCAUUUUCCUAUUCUCCUACACGUCAGCCAACACAAACCACUCUUCCAUUUUAUGUACACCAUUUGCAAAGUCAAUUGAUGCCAUUAACCACACAUGAAAACACUUUGGUGCAUAGUUGUAAAAGUCUCAAAUUGUGGCUUUAGAUAUGGCCAUAGGUGGUGCUAUAGGAGUGGCUAAUUAAUGAGGAGCAAGAUCAUGCCUAAUUUUUUGACGUGCUUGCAUGCAUGUCAUUUGCUUGGGGGGGGGGGGGGGAUAUUGGAGAUACAAAGUAGCUAGUUUUGUAAGAUAGAUUUAUCAAUGAGGUUAUGUUAUUUUGUAUUUCUUUCUUCCAUUAUGAGUAGCUAAAUUAUUUAACUAGGAUUGAGGAUGAAACCAUCAUUAUGAAUAUUUGAUUAAAGUAUAUUCUCCAUUAGUUAUAUCCUUUCAUUUUAGUAUUUAACGAUUACUAAUCUUGCUUCAUUUGAUAUAAUCAUAAGCUUUGGUUUUAUAAUUCCCUAAGUCAAUUUCUUUGAUUAUGUAUACUUCUGUUUGAUAAAUCAUACUUAGAUUAAAUUCUUUGAUGGUUUAUACUUAUGUUGAUACAUAAUUCUUAGAGUUGUUGUUUUUGAAAACGAAGAAGAUUAAACUUGUUUGGUUUAUUUAAAUAUUGUAUUUUCCGUAUCAUUAUUAUUCAUCUAUGAUAAUGAUAUGAGUUAUAAAAAAGGAUUAAUUAGUGGAGAAUAGGUUUAGUUGGAUAUGCAUAGUGAUGGCGGAAUCCAAAAUAUCCUAGUGUUUCUUUUAAGUUGAAUCUUAUAUUUUACCGCUUUUGUUUAGUUAAUUGUAAUUCAAAAUCUCAUCUUAAAAGGUUUGUUAGGAUUAAAAUUUAGUUAGUCUUACAUUUAAUUUUUAUAUCUCUUGUCCUUGUGGAUUGACUCGUACUUGCCCUAUUUAUUUUGAUAAAUCGUGUGAUUGCGAUAUUAUUAAACUGUUUUCACGACAAUCAGCUCUACAUGAGAUAGACAGCCAAAUAGUUCAUACAUUAUUCUAUUGCAGAUGGAACUUCUACUUCCCUUUGGUAUGACCCAUGGUGCAAAGGCCAGAUUUUAUGGGAGUGUGUUGAAGCUAAGAGUUAUCUGUCAGUUUUUUUUUUUUUUUUGAUAAGUUCAAAGCUUUAUUGAUGAACAAAUCGAAAGAGAUUACAAGGUGAGAAAGGUACUCACCUAGGAUACAGGAAAAAAAACAAAAUAGAGCAAACUUACAUCUUACUAUUACCCUCCCAUAAUAUGAGCAGCCCAGUCAAGGAACAAUUCAUGUAAAUGGUGACCUCUUCUGGAUUCCGAGCAAGCAAGCCAAUACCAGAGGUACCAUUCAACCUCCUGACACACCCUUUGUACAAUUCUGCAUCUACCCUUGAAGAUCUUGUCAUUCGGAGCUUUUCAGAUUGCCCAAAUGACCGCAUACGGAGCCACAAGAUGCUACCGUUUAUGUGCUCAUUGAAGGAGCUAAUUGGGGCCAAGUGGUUCAAAAUCUUCCGCAGUGCAAACUUAAGUCAGAUAUCCUCAGCAUAGCAGUGGAAAGAGACCCGCCAGCUGAUAGGGUUAUAUGGACUCCGACUUCACAUGGUGGGUUUACUACACACUCAGCCUACAAUGCUCUAAGGACUCCUAAAGAUAAAGUGAUGUGGCGCAAUCUGGUUUGGGGUAAGUGGGUUGUUCCUAAACACUCAUUUAUUUCAUGGUUGCUUCUAUCUGGUAAUCUUGCAACUCAGGAUAGGUUGGUGCAAAAAAAUGUGAUGCAGACCUCUCAGUGUUGUUUCUGUAAAAGGGAGAGAGAAAAUUGUAAGCACUUGUUCUUUUCCUGCCCUUACACCCUAGCAAUUUGGAAAUCUAUCAAAGUGGAGAUGGGACUAGAUAUCGACCAGAACAAUGUCAAUAGGGAAUGGCAAAAAGUGUUUGCAGCAUGUAGCAAGAAUGAUGUUACGGCAGAAAUCUACAAGGUGUUCAUCUGUGCUGUUGUUUACUUUAUCUGGCAAGAAAGAAACUAUAGAACUUUCAGAAAUGAAAGUAGACCUUGGGGCAUUGUCAGAGAUAUUAUUAGAAGAGAAGUAAAAGAUUACCUGCAGGAAUCUAUAGGAGCUAUUCAAGAUACUACCUCUGCAAGAGAAACUCUGGCUAAACUUGGGCUUGUUGGUCAGUUUAAGAAGACAGUCUACUGCACUUGGUUCAAACCUCAGGAAGAUUUUGUAAAGCUGAAUUUUGAUGGAUCAAUGACUGAUGUGAGGAGUGGUAUAGGUGGUGUGAUAAGAAACACACAGGGAGAAGUUUUGCUGGCCUAUGCAGGAUCAGGAGGAGAAAAGUAGGUUAUAUUUCAAGAACUUAAAGCUAUUUUGACUAGUUUAAAGGGAUGCAGGUUAAUCCAGAAGAACAAAGUCAUUGUUGCUACUGAUUCUAUGUUUGCAGUCCAGUUUUUGUUGAAGAAAUCUAAGCCCCCUUGGUAUUGCCAAAGUUUAGUUGCAGAAAUUAUGCAUCUAGAGGAAGGUUUUGAUAGUGUUAUCUAUAAACAUGUAUAUAGAGAGUCUAAUAGAGUGGCAAACUAUCUUGCUAGUCUUGAGAAUUUUGUAGGAGUAAAUUUCUUUAUAUAUAGGUCCCUUUUGUAGUCUGAUGAGCAGGUUUGUACUCGAUGAUAUGAACGGUUGUAUUUACACGAGAUCUUAAUACAGGUUAAGGGUCUGCCUAACCCCCUAAAGUUGUUUAAAAAAAAAAAAAAACUAACGUCAAGACUUUUAAGGAAAGUCCAGAUAGAUGGACCCUGAUCCAAAACCGUCUACUGCUGGAUAUCCGCAGUGAUCAAAAGGAGGCAAUACUGAUAUUAGCGAGCGGUAUGGUGCUCGAGGCUCUGGGAUGAGUGAGGACAAAAUACUGGGGUGUUGCAACUACUUCAGCUUGGCUAGAGUUUUGUUUUAUAUCAUUUUCCGCUCGCUGCAUGCUCAUUUGUAUAACAAUAAAAUGAAGUCCUAAAGCAGUACCUCUAGGUAGAACUUGGCUUGAGUUAUGUUUCACAUAAAAGAACGAAGUUUCUAUUUGCUACUAUUCAAUUUUCUGUGGUACACAGAUGACAGUACGUAAUCUACAUUCGGGCUACAACACGUAAGAUAUCCCAUUGUUUCUUGAUCAGUGUAGGGUGUACAGUGUUGUGAAACUGUUCUGGCCAGUGGCCACCACCAUGUGCUAUGUACCACAACAUAGGUGCACCACAAUUAACUUCUUGUGUACUCUCUUGCGCGCACAAAAAGAAAGGACAAAUAUAGUUAGGAAUAAUAGGAACUUUCAAGAGGUCCGUUUCGUUCUCCAUUUGUCUUCUCUAUAUCUAUUUAUUGGCAAGUGAGAUUAGAGGGGACCCCUUUCCCUCGUAAGUUAUGUGAGGAAGCUUCUUGUCAAACAAUCAGCUGUCCACGUGUUUCAUGCCCGCAAACAUUUCCUUCGUGAGAGGGAUGCAUUCUGAGAUGGCAGUGUAACGGUUAAUGGAAUGUUCGGCUUGGGAACUAAUAGAUCUCUAUAGUAAUGUAACUCAUAAUAGUGUGUGAGUGUAUAUAUAAUUGCACUGACUGCAAUGUGUAUAAAAGCAUCUGUAUUUUCGGUGCCAGCAACUCUAGCUGCUUUAAGCCAUAUGGUUGAGAUUUCAAAGGCGGAAAACCAACUGGAAGAUUUUGUAAUGGAAGUUUGAUUACUGAUUUCAUAUCCGAGGCAUUUGGUAUACCUGCUUAUUUGGAUCCUGCUUAUGGUAUUAAAGACUUUGCUACUGGAGUUACCUUUGCUUCUGCUGGUUCUGGUUAUGACAAUCUUACUGCGGGUAUUGCGGUAUGUUAGUUAUGUCAAAUUUUUAUCAGUAGUGGUUGCAUAGUAAUAAUGUGUCGUCGUUUUAUACCAUGGAUCUUUGGUACCACUACAUUUAUAUGUACUGAUAUAAUCUUGGUUGAUUUUUUAUCUGCAGUCUGUGAUACCUUUGUGGAAGCAAUUAGAGUUCUUCAAGAAUUAUGAGAGGAAUUUAGUUAAUUUCAUGGGAAUGGCCAAUGCAAAUAAAAUGUUGCGCGAGGCAUUGUAUUUUAUAAGCAUAGGUACAAAUGAUUUCAUAAUAAAUUACUAUUCACUUCCCCAAGGUCGAAGAACACAAUUCCGUGUAGAAGAAUAUGAGAAUUAUCUUCUCUCAAUUUCAGAGAAUUUCGUUAGAAAUAAUUACCAAUUAGGCGCUCGGAAAAUAGCAUUAGCUGGGCUUCCACCUUUUGGUUGCUUGCCAACAGUUAGAACUACUACUGCUGGGGGUUCAUGUAAAGCUGAUUAUAACAAUGUCGCAAGAACGGGUCGGUUAGUGAUCAUUGUGAUGGGGAGGGAGGGUGGAAUCUACAUUUGAGGAGAACUCUCUUUAGAGAUAGUGAGAGGCUAGAGCUUGAAAGCCUCAAUCACAUUCUUGAGGAGAUUUUUCUGAAUGAAGAGAAUGAUGGAUGGGACUGGAUAUGGUCCAAAAAGAAAAUCUUCUCGGUUAAGUCGUUUUAUUACCAACUGUGGGUCUCUAAUCAAAGCGACGAUCGCCUCAGCUUGGAUUUCCCACAUGAGCUAGUAUGGGACGUUAAUAUCCCCACCAAUGUGAAGGUUUCACAUGGUGUUUAGCUUGGAACAAAAUUCUGACAGUUGACAGACUUAAAAGAAUGGGAUGGCAGCUAGCAAACAGGUGUGUCUUAUGCAACAGUGAAGAGGAGGAUAUACCUCACUUAUUUUUGCGGUGCACACAGGCUGUGAAGGUGUGGCAGAGCCUAUCAGGUGGCUGUACUGAAGCUACUAGAGUGGUACAGGAACAACACAACAUCAUGGCAGUGAUCAAACAUUGGCCUAGGUUGAACACCACUGGUCUGGGGUCCUAUCUGUGGGGAUUGGUACCCUAUGGGAUUGUCUGGUGCCUCUGGACAAUGCGCAAUGAAGUAAUCUUCAAUGAUGUUGUUUUCUCGGCUGAUGAGGCAAUCGUUAGAAUAAAAGCUAUGUUGUGGGCAUGGAUGGCAUUACAGGUGGAAGGUCUGAAGGAGCGCAGAAAGCACAGGUUCCCUGAUUUGUUGAGGAAUUGGACCAACACAAUGGGUGUAUGCUAAACUGGCUCUGGUAAGCGGUUGUAUAUGGAUAUAAACUUAUAUGAGAGAUUAUAAUAUAUUGUAGUCUGGUUAUACUACCUGACGGAGUAUUACACUCGCUGAUCACGGUUGUAAUUGUGUUCUGAAGAUCAAUAUAAUUCUACAUUCUAUCAAAAAAAACAAUGUCGCAAGAAAUUAUAAUGCGAAGUUAAAAAUUUUAAUAGCCAAGUUAAAGAUGGAGCUCAUAGGAAUGAGAUUGUUGUAUACAGAUUUCUAUAAUCCACUCCUUCAAAUCAUCAAUAAUCCUAAGCCAUAUGGUGAGUUCCAUUUCGCAGAAUUUCUUUGACUAUUUGCGUGUAUAUAUAUAUAUAUAUAUCAAUUUUUUUCAUUUGUUUUUUUUUAAUGUAUAGGUUUUGAGGUGGUGGCUACAGGAUGUUGUGGCACAGGGACAUAUGAAAUGGGUUAUUUGUGUCGUGAAUACGAUUUAUUUUCAUGCAAGGAUACGAGCAAGUACAUAUUUUGGGAUGCAAUACACCCAUCCGAUAAACUAUACCGUAUUGUUGCUGAUUAUUUGAUGAAGACAACUUUCGCCCAGCUUCUAUAGACUACCAGACUAAAGAAAUGGAUAUUACUUCGAAAAAUAAUAUUUCUAUUUUUUUAUUUGAUUUUAUUUUUUCUUAAUAGAAGCGGCCUUAGAGCGAGUGUCUUUAUACUAAGUACUUAGACGAAAAAUCUUUUUUGUAAUAUUAUGAUCUAUUAAGGCGCAUAACGGCUUAACAAACAGGGGAAAUCCUGCAACAUAUGAAGUCUAUAUUUGCAUAACACAACACUUUAUAGAACAGAAAACAGGCAUGUAAAGCAGAAUACACCCUUAAGAAAUUUACUCUCUCAAGUGGAAUAAAUGAUGCAUAUCCAAACAGUUUGAAUCUGGAGUGUGGACUGAAGGAAUGAAAUUAAACCAAAUGAAAGAACUAAAAUCUAAUACUUAUAAACUUAGAUUACACAAAAUAUCCAGGAUCGAAUAUGCAUAAGGUAUUGGUCACAAAAUAAAAUAAUAUAAAUAAGUCAUACCUUUGUAUAUCUUCUAAUUCAUACAACUUAGACCAUAGCUUGACUUCUCUCAAUUUCUCUUUAAAUCUACCUAGGUGAUGGUCCCUAUAAUGUAGAGAGUGAGCAUUGAGGGGAGCUAUGGAGUCAUCUACUUAAGUCUUCCAUCAAGACCUUUGAGUUCUUCACAAUAAUGAACAUAUAAAUGGAGAUUAAUAAUACAUAACUUAUAUUGGAAUCCGAAAAACCAAUGCAAAAGACUUAUCAAUUAAAUUGGACUUAAACAAAUGGUUAUUGGGCCAUAAUUCUAACAUGGACAACAUUUUUGAUGUACCUAAUAUUAUAAUACUGUAACACCCAUGAGUAAGGAUAGUCGUAUGUCGUGAAAGAAUAGUUGUGGUUGUGCUAUAUAGGGUUUAACCCUAAUCUAAUUAAUGUCGAUGCCUUUUAAAAAAAAGUCCAGAUAGGUGGACCCUGAUCCAAAACUCUCUACUGGUUGGAUAUCUGCAUUGACUAGGGGGGGGGGGGGGGGGGGGAAAAACCAACUUAGAGGGGGGGAAAGGAUUUCAAAGUUGGCCCAUUUUGGGGGAUUUUUAAAAACAAAGCUUUUCCACCCCCAGGGGUAAAUGGGGCGGCUUGGAAAACAGGCCCCAAAAGAAAAAAAUAUAUAGGGUUUUUCUCAAAAAAAACCCAGGGUAUCACCCCUCCUCCCCCCCCUGGGUCUGGGGGUUUUUUUUUUUUUUUGGGAANNNNNNNNNNNNNNNNNNNNNNNNNNNNNNNNNNNNNNNNNNNNNNNNNNNNNNNNNNNNNNNNNNNNNNNNNNNNNNNNNNNNNNNNNNNNNNNNNNNNNNNNNNNNNNNNNNNNNNNNNNNNNNNNNNNNNNNNNNNNNNNNNNNNNNNNNNNNNNNNNNNNNNNNNNNNNNNNNNNNNNNNNNNNNNNNNNNNNNNNNNNNNNNNNNNNNNNNNNNNNNNNNNNNNNNNNNNNNNNNNNNNNNNNNNNNNNNNNNNNNCCCACACACACACUUGCAAGAAAAAACUUUGACAAAGCUUGAAAUUGAAACCCCUCCCCCUUUACAUCACCACCAAGUAGGCUUUAUGUUGCCCUUCUAAAACCCAUCUGAAAACCUUAUUCUUCAAUUGCACCGAAAAGAAUGCCAUCCCGGCCCAUGCUUCCCCAUUACUAAAUCUGAACAUCCUAGUAACCGCAAAACCAAAAAUAGAUCAGAUCCACGGUCAGUCAACGGCUCCGAGAGACGGAAUGCCGUGGUCAACGGUGGUUUCUCUAGUGGAACUCUCUCUGGUGGUAGCAAGUAAUACUUAUUUAAUUGCCACUCCAUUACUACUGUGUGAAGCAAAGGAAACUUUCAUCUUUUUUAUUUUUUUGUAGAAAAGGAAACCUUCGUCUUCUCCAUUCCAACUACUACUACACCAUUGUUACAUAGAGUUCUUCUCAGAGGGAGUCUGCGAAGGAGUUGCAGUGAUUGCAUCGAUAAAAGACUACGCGGAGUACUAAUACAAGUAUUAACUUGUAUGAUUGAAUUAAUCUGAAAUUGUAACGUAAUUGUGAGUGUACUUUUCUGUGAUUACGGUAGAUUAUUUAUCGUCGUGAGGACAGCCGUGGAUAUGUUUCCAUGUGAUCGAUAGGGUUUUACCACGUCAGACAACUGUGUUCUUUACUAUUUUUCGUAGUUAGAUUAUUUUUAUUGUUUGUCCAUUGGAAUACCGCACUAUUUGGGACUUACAGCUCUACGCUCAGGGAUGAGUGAGGACAAAAUACUGGGGUGUUUUUUUUUAGUUUAAAAUAUCGGGGAUAGAUCCACGGAUAUCGCAUGAAUUAGACUGGGAUUUGAGAAAUCGGAUAUAUAAAUAUCCGCGAAUAUUCACGAAUACUCAGAUUCCAAAUUCCUUUCUAGUGUCGAAAUCUAGGCAUAUACGGUUGUUUUAUGAUUCAAAACUUCGCUAGAAAUCUGCGUUUUAAACUAUGGUUACAACUACUUCAACUUGCCUUGAGUUCUGUUUUAUAUAAUUUGUCGCUGGUAAUUGCAUGCUCAUUUAUAUUGCAAUGAACCAAAUCCUAAAGCAGUACCUCUACGUUUAACUUGGCUUGAGUUAUGUUUCCUUUUGCUACUAUACAAUUUUCAGGUACACAGAUGACAGUAGUCUAGGUUCCAGCUACAACAUAACACAUACGAUAUCCCAUUGUUUCUUGAUCAGUGAAGGGUGUACAGUGUAGUGAAACUGUUCUGGCCAGUGGCCACCAGUCCACCACCAUGUGCCAUGUACGACAACAUAGGUGCACCACAAUUAACUUCUUGUGUACUCUCUUGCCCGCACAAAAAGAAAGGACAAAUAUAGUUAGGAAUAAUAGGAACUUUCAAGAGGUCCGUUUCGUUCUCCAUUUCUCUUCUUCUCUAUAUCUAUUUAUUGGCAAGUGAGAUUAGAGGGGACCGCUUUCCCUCGUAAGUUAUGUGCGGAAGCUUCUUGUCAAACAAUCAGCUGUCCACGUGUUUCAUCCCCGCAAACAUUUCCUUCGUGAGAGGGAUGCAUUCUGAGAUGGCAGUGUAACGGUUAAUGGAAUGUUCGGCUUGGGAACUAAUAGAUCUCUAUAGUAAUGUAACUCAUAAUAGUGUGCGGUGAAUUGAGUGUAUAUAUAAAUCUGUUGUGGCUGCCUACUUUUGAACUCAAUACAACUAAUUGCACUGACUGCAUUGUGUAUAAAAGCAUCUGUAUUUUCGGUGCCAGCAACUCUGCUUUGUACACUAAUAAAGUCCUAAUUUCAUGGCCAAGUGGCAUUGCUAAUUGCCUCUUAAGCCUAUUUAAAGGAAAUUCUAUAUCUUAGCACAACAAAGAGUAAAUUCCUUUGCUAGCUCGUAUUUGUUAUAGCAAACAGAAUGAUCCCUAAACAUAAUUUAGCAGUUUUGUGUUUAGUGAUGAGUUUCUUUGUAUUUUCCAGAGAGACCGGAGCAAAGGUACCUGCAAUGCUAGUCUUUGGUGACUCUACAGUAGAUGCAGGGAAUAACGAUUAUAUUCCAACAUUAAUAAGAAGCAACUUUAAGCCAUAUGGUCGAGAUUUCAAAGGCGGAAAACCAACUGGAAGAUUUUGUAAUGGAAGGUUGAUUACUGAUUUCAUAUCCGAGGCAUUUGGAAUCAAGCCAGAUAUACCUGCUUAUUUGGAUCCUGCUUAUGGUAUUAAAGACUUUGCUACUGGAGUUACCUUUGCUUCUGCUGGUUCUCGUUAUGACAAUCUUACUGCGGGUAUUGCGGUAUGUUAGUUAUGUCAAAUUUUUAUCAGUAGUGGUUGCAUAGUAAUAAUGUGUCGUCGUUUUAUACCAUGGAUCUUUGGUACCACUACAUUUAUAUGUACUGAUAUAAUCUUGGUUGAUUUUUUAUCUGCAGUCUGUGAUACCUUUGUGGAAGCAAUUAGAGUUCUUCAAGAAUUAUGAGAGGAAUUUAGUUAAUUUCAUGGGAAUGGCCAAUGCAAAUAAAAUGUUGCGCGAGGCAUUGUAUUUUAUAAGCAUAGGUACAAAUGAUUUCAUAAUAAAUUACUAUUCACUUCCCCAAGGUCGAAGAACACAAUUCCGUGUAGAAGAAUAUGAGAAUUAUCUUCUCUCAAUUUCAGAGAAUUUCAUUAGAAAGAUUUACCAAUUAGGCGCGCGGAAAAUAGCAUUAGCUGGGCUUCCACCUUUUGGUUGCUUGCCAACAGUUAGAACUACUACUGCUGGGGGUUCAUGUAAAGCUGAUUAUAACAAUGUCGCAAGAAAUUACAAUGCGAAGUUAAAAAUUUUAAUAGCCAAGUUAAGGAUGGAGCUCAUAGGAAUGCGAUUGUUGUAUACAGAUUUCUAUAAUCCACUCCUUCAAAUCAUCAAUAAUCCUAAGCCAUAUGGUAAGUUUCAUUUCGCAGAAUUUCUUUGACUAUUUACGUGUGUAUAUAUAUAUAUAUCAAUUUUUUUCAUAUGUUUUUUUUAAUGUAUAGGUUUUGAGGUGGUGGCUACAGGAUGUUGUGGCACAGGGACAUAUGAGGUGGCUUAUUUGUGUCGUGAAUACGAUUUAUUUUCAUGCAAGGAUACGAGCAAGUACGUAUUUUGGGAUGCAAUACACCCAUCGGAUAAACUGUACCAUAUUGUCGCUGAUUAUUUGAUGAAGACAACUUUCGCCCAGCUUCUAUAGAUUACUAGACUAAAGAAAUGGAUAUUACUUUGAAAAAUAAUAUUUCUAUUUUUUUUUAUUUGAUUUUAUUUUUUUCUUAAUAAGAGCUCGCGUAUCUUUAUACUAAGUACUUCGACGAAAAAUCUGUAAUUUUUUUUUUUCUUGUAAUGUUAUAUGACCUAUUGAUGCACUUCACAAACAGGGGAAAUCCCUGCAGCAUAUGAAGUCUAUAUUUGUACUAGUGUCUUAGCCGGUGCUACCCACCGGUUAAUUUUAAUUUACCAUUUUCGAUUACCAUUCAAGUUAUAAGUUUUUGAUUUUAUUAAAUAUUAUAAAUUAAACUAAUUUAUUAAAUCUUAUGAAAUAAUUAUUUCUUAAAUAAAUUUGAGUAGUUUUUUUUAAUAAUAUGGAGUUCAUUAAAUUUUUUUAAUUUAAUUUUUUUUUUUAAAUUUCAAGCAAGCAAAUAUAUUUUAUUGAUGGGCUCAAAGAAUUACACAAAAGUAGAGGACAAGCGCGCUACAAACUUUGCUACAAGCCCUUUUUACUUAUAAAUAUAAAAAUCCAGUUUAUAAAUAAAAAUAUGUUAAAUUACGAUAAAACCAUUAUUUAAAAGGUAUUAUAUAAAUUUACCAAAAAACCAUGACUAAAAGAGUAGUGACAAAAUUCUAAAACUCAAUUCUCAUUAACCGAGACUUAUCCCUGAAUUUUAUUCAGGUUUAUAAUAGUAAGUAUAGAUAUAGAUAGAUAACACAACACUUUAUAGAACAGAGAAACAAGCAUGCAAAACACAACAAGAAUUACGCAAGAAGAGAUUAUUUACCAUGGUAAAUGACAACUGACAAAUGCACUACAAGUUGUGCUGCACACAAGUCCUUUAUAAUAAUGAAAACUGAUAGCUACAAAUCAAAACCUUCCGACCUAACCGUUUGUAGUACAACCUCUAUAGAGGUAAUUCAUUUAUCGAACACUCAUUUAUCGAGGUUUUACAGUAAAAUUAAUGUUCCUAUCAUGCACUCACAAAACCCAUGAAUUCUGCUUCCAACAUUUAAGCAACCAUAUCAUGGCCAGUUGGCAUUGCUUCAUAGUGUAUUUAACCAAAACUAGUAUAUAUACUAGCUACCACUUGCCACAACAAGAACAUUGUUUCCUGUCACCAACCUCAUUAAGAUAUAUUGUCCUUUGUUUUGGCUAUAUAUGUUCCUGCAAUUGAUCUAUUGAUCAUAUUUAUUUACAUAUAUAAAUCAAAGAACAUGAUUCAUCAAAUUAGCCUAGUAUGUCUUUGUCUAGUGAAGAUGUUCAUGUUCUUUGGAGAUGCCAGAGCUAAAGUUCCUGCGGUAAUAGUCUUUGGUGACUCAACAGUUGAUCCAGGAAACAACAAUUUCAUCAAAACCAUUGUCAGGAGCAAUUUUCAGCCGUAUGGUCGAGAUUUUCCAGGAGGAAAACCAACUGGAAGAUUUUGUAAUGGAAGAUUAGUUCCAGAUUUUUUUUCUGAAGCUUUUGGUCUUAAGAAAACUAUACCUGCUUACUUAGAUCCAGCUUAUAGUAUAGAAGACUUUGCAACUGGUGUCUCUUUUGCUUCUGCUGGAACUGGUUACGACAAUUUUACUUCCAAUGUUGGGGUAUGUACGUCAAUGCCGACACAUUCAUAUACUUUCGAUUAAUUGUUUUCGCAUUGUAUCAUGAUAUAUAAUGUCAUUACCAAUUUACCAUGCUAGCUACUACUAAAACUAGAAAUUUUCUUCAUUUUUUAUGCGAAAAAGAUCACUAGCUAGUUAGUACUGAUGCACACCAAAAAUGUUGUUUUCUUCCAUGUUUGUAUCAUUCUUUAGAAGGCUUGAAGGUGAUCCAGACAUCCAGUGGUUAUUAGAAAAACCUGAGUGAGAGAAGUCAUGUGAAGUAAAACAUUAUUAAUAUGAACUGUGCAUCAUGUGGCAUUAAUUUGAUCAUUUGUCCAGUAUAGAUGGAGAUAUUGCCCAAUUAUGUCAAUUGAAUUAAUGAUUUCACCAACUUAUAUAUGUGGUUGGGAACUUGGGUUUCACAAAAAAGGAGUGAGAAAAUGAUCUUUACUUCUCCAUACUUGCUAAAAAAGGCUAUCCUGCAUUUUGCUUGCCAGGGCCGCUAUAAAUGCAGGAUAGACUCUUUUAUGAAUCUGCAUUGUGCUUCUUAUGUUGACACUUUUUAGUUGAUGAUAAUGUGUGCAGUCUGUGAUACCUAUGUGGAAGGAAUUGGAGUACUUUAAGGAGUAUGAGAAGAAAUUAUUCGAUUUCAUGGGGAAAAACAAUGCAAAGAAUAUGUUGCGCGAAGCAUUGUUUCUGACAAGUUUAGGGACAAAUGAUUUUAUAGAAAAUUACUACAUAAAUCCUGCAGGUCGAAGAGCCCAAUUCACAGUUGAAGAAUACUCGAAUUACCUUAUUGGCAUUUCAGAAAGUUUCAUUCGGGAGAUUUACAACUUAGGCGCUCGAAAAAUAUCGUUAGGUGGCCUUCCUCCUAUUGGUUGCUUACCACUUAUUAGAAGCAUAAAUAUUAAAGGAGGAGGUGCAUGUAGAGCUGAUUGUAACAAGUUGGCAAGAGAUUUUGAUGGGAAGUCAAUAGCAUUAGCAGACAAGUUAAACAAAGAGCUCACUGGGAUUAAAAUUUUGUUUUUAAAUGUGUAUAACCCUGCUCUUCAAGUGAUUAACAAUCCCCAGGCAUACGGUAAUCGCAUUUUCUCCCUUUAAUCCCACAUUUAACUGUUUUAUACAAGGUUUUUAAGUUAUUUUAUCAAUGAUUUUUGUAUAUAAUUUGUUUUAGUUUUCAUUUAUGAUGUAUAGGUUUCGAGAGUGUGGCUGUGGCGUGUUGUGGAACUGGAACAAUUGAGAUGAGUUACUUGUGCAACCGAGACAAUCCAUUUACGUGCAUGGACGCAAACAAGUACGUAUUUUGGGAUGCAGUGCACCCUACGGAGAAAUUAUACCAUAUUGUGGCAGAUCAUUUGAUGAAGACAACUUUGGCUGAACUUGUAUAAUUACUCCUGUACAGGCUACAACAACUAAGAUGAGGGUACCAUGGAUCUGGGUCAUAAAUUGUAAAUGCAUUCAAUAAUUCAUUGAUCUACUGUCUCUAAUCUGUCGUUCAUAACGUAAUGCAACCAUCAUAUAUUAUUUCAUUUUUAAUUAUAAAUACAUGUGCAGAAGCACAUUUUUUUAAUCAAGUCAAUCACAGUAUAUAUUUUCUGUUCUGGCUAAAAUCUGCACAACAAACUAUAAUAUCUUGGUGGAUGAUAUGCCAGGCAGCUCACCCAUUCUUCAUUACGCUGGGCCACUAGAUCAGGUAUGGGUCUAGCAAGCUGAGAGCAUUUGGUUUGGUUUCGACAGGCUUCAUUAUAUUAACCAAUAUGUUAUUGUGGAUAGCUGAUGAUAUGCAACUGGUAUUCAGGUCACAUAACAAACUGCAGCAGAAGACAGUGAACUCAUUGGACAACUGACAUCAGAAUGCUUUGAUGUUAUGUUGUCUUUGUUAUCUUCUGCAACAACUCAUACCAACUUGUAUGUAAUGGUAAUGAAUGUGACAACGAUCUGUGAAUGUGUGUGUACAAUUACUUUUUACACGAGUUAUAACAUGAUCGACAAUUAUUAUUGUCUAUCUUAGGCUUAUCCUGACAUAUAUGACAAACCUAACUAAGCCCGAAGACGAAGGCCAACAAACGCAAGGGUAAACCGAAUUACCGAAACCUGGCUCUUGACCUUUUUUUUGUUUUUGAUAAAGGGUAAUUGUAUUUAAAUUGGUUAAAAGAUACAAAGAAAUGGAGUUAUAACUUCUCCAGUUAAGUUACAAAUCUAUAAUAUACAAGUACAUAUUUUCAGUGGGCACGGUGAAAGGCAUAGGUCGCUCCCACCAAUGCUUAUCUCCUGCUUGCAGCUGCACGCCUGCACACCCUUGUUUGUGCAAAAGUCAGCUGCACACCCUUGGUACAGCACUGUACCUGAAAAUGUAUUGCCGGUUUCAGGAUGUGAUGGCUUAUAUAUGGGCCACAAAUUACAGGCUCAUGCAUUGUAUUGUAUGUGAUGGCUUUGUUGAAGAAGAAGAAGAAGAUAUCCUGCACUUUCGUUUGAAGGGUAGUAUUCUUUUUAUUUUGCAUGAAUGGUAGUAGCAUAGGAUACAAGACUACAUUCUCCAUUAAACCAAUAGAUAAACACUGGAGUAAUUGUAUAUAGUCUUUUUUCGUCGAUAAGAAUUGAAUUAAUGAAGAAUAAAAAGAAACAGUACAGAAGUAAAAGCCUUCAGGGUCCUCCACCCCACUGACUCCAGGCUGCAUCAACAGAAUCUGCAAUAACUCUCAUGGGGGUCCUCCAUUUUAUGUAAGAAUGGAGGCCUGACGACAUAAAAUUGUUCACUCCCAUUUACCAAAUUAACUCCUUCACUUGUCAGUCUGUCUGCAGAAUAGUUCACUCCCACCAUGUGGUCUAUUCCCUGCAACACCAACUGCCAUCUUGUACUCAGCUAGUCAGCUCCCAUGGCACCUCCUUCUCCCCAAAAGCAUGUACCACAGCUGUUGAGUCUAACUCUGUCCAGAGCUUCUUCCAAUAACUUUUUUAAUGGCUCUCUCUGCUCCUGCAACUACUGCAUGACACUCUGCCCUGUAGAUGGUGCCUGCGCCAAUGUUUGCAUCUAGCCAUUGCGGUCUCUGAAAACUGCACCAAUCCCAGAAUCCCCUGGAUUCCCUUUGGCUGUGCCGUCUGUAUUCAUCUUUGUGAAAGCAUGCACCACAAUUGUAUGGUUAUGUUUAUAGGUUUUUACAAUUGUUUAUGACUCUAAUUCAAUGCCAAGGACAUGGACUGACAAGAAAGACACCAAAAACAUUGAAAAGACUGCCUUUUUUUUUUUCCAAAAUGAAAAGACUGCCCUUUCUUCUGUAUACAUGUUUAUCUUAUAUUUUGACCUGGAGCCAUGGCUUGUUUAAUUCCAUUUUCAGUCCCUGAGGGUGCUCUUUGAUAUGGCUUCACAAUCAAACGGAAGACGUUGAUGCCGAUAGUAUUGCAGUAUUACUCCGAUACAUUCUCAGCUCUUUUGAAUUUCAGUGACUGCACUACUUGCAUGCAAAACCAUACUAAUUGAUCCACUGGAUUCAUCUACUUGGGAAAAGGUCAUCAUAUUAUAUAACUUAUUACUGAUAUUAUUGUGUUCUUUUCGUGUUAUGUCUAAUCAUUUUACAUUGUUUAGAAAUCUGUCUUCAACAUAAUAGUCCUUUACCUUUAAAAAUAGACCACAAUUUAGCUUUUAUAUUUUGCAGGACUGGCAUCAGAUUAAGCCAAUUAUCAUUAGUCAGUACAUAUAUGCUUAUCAGAGUGAGUACCUCUAUUCAGUUUUCUUUUUUAGUUUAAUGGUGGUUUUAUUGCAUUUCACUGGUGCUCUUUAGAUAAAAAAAAAAAAAAAAAAAGGCAUGAUCGUUUGACAUAAAAAAAAGGUAUCUUAAAAUUAAGGGUGUUUAUUCUGAGGAUGGAAAAAUCGAUUGAUCUACCUGAUGUAGAAUAUAUAAGCGAAGAAGAUGUUGAGGAAGAGGAAGUAGGGUUUAAUCCCAAAUUUGAGACAAAGCAAACCAUAUAAUCUUUAGUUGAUACAUUGUUAGCAAGUUAACAAGUUUUGUCGUUCAAAAUUGUACCUGAAAGGUUAUGUGCUCCCGCUAAAUCUGAAUUACCCAAGUGCGGAAUCGAACCACACAAUCACAUCUUUGCCUUUAUCAGUUUAGCUAUACCCAGGAAGCCAGGAUGGGCAGCUAGUGCUGCAUGCAAGUCUUUUAUACCGAAAUCUGAUAAGUGAUUACAAAGAGUUCCUAUGACGACAUGAAUUCUACAUCCAACAUGUAAGCAAUGAUAUCAUGGCCAGUUGGCAUUGCUUCAUAGUGUAUCUAAACAAAACUAUAUUACCAGUUAUUACCACAACAAGCUAGAACAUUUUUUUUUUCCUGUCACCAUCUUCAUUAAGCUUGUCCUUUUUUCUUUUCUUUUUUUCUAUCUUUUGCUAUAUAUAUGGUCCUGCAACUCCGUUGAUCUUAUUUACAUACAGUAAAGUAAAUGAUUCAUCAAAUUAGCUUAGUAUGUUUUUGUGUAGUGAACAUCUUCAUGUUUUUUGGAGAUGCCGGAGCUAAAGUUCCUGCGGUAAUAGUCUUUGGUGACUCAACAGUUGAUGCAGGAAACAAUAAUUACAUUAAAACACUUGCUAAAAGCAAUUAUCUGCCAUAUGGUCGAGAUUUUCCAGGAGGAAAACCAACUGGAAGAUUUUGUAAUGGAAGAUUAGUUACUGAUUUCAUAUCUGAGGCUUUUGGUCUUAAGCAAACUAUACCUGCUUAUUUGGAUCCAGCUUAUGGUAUUGAAGACUUUGCUACUGGUGUCGCUUUUGCUUCUGCUGCAACUGGUUAUGACAAUCUUACUUCCAACGUUCUGGUAUGUCUUUCGUACUAUAACGCAUUAUCAUGCUGCUACUAAAACUAUAGGUGAGCUCUGAUACACAUAAAAAUGUUGUUUUCUUCCAUUUUUGUCAUUCUUUAGAAGCUUGAAGGUGAUCUAAUAUGUCAAAACAGGCAAGGGAUCUUUGUGGGUCAAUGGAGUUAAUGAUUUCACCAACUUAUCUAGUUGGGAACUUGGGAUUUACAUCUCCAAUAUAGUUUUUUGUUAAAAACAUCUCCAUAUAUAGUUGCCAAAAAGGCUAAGGCUGCAUUUGCUUCCAGCCAUCACGCCCUUCUAGAUGUACAUUUGUCGAGAAUUGUUCUAGUUCUAAGAGCAAUUAUUUUUGGCCCUACGGAAAAAAGGAAACAAAUGCAGUAUAGCCUUUUUGGCAGAAAAUUUGAGAGACUAUAUAUUUUCCAUCAUUUUUUGAAUUUGCAUUGCGCAUUUUAUGUUGACACUUUUAGUUAAUUUUAAUGUGCAGUCUGUGAUACCUAUGUGGAAGGAAUUGGAGUACUUUAAGGAGUAUGAGAAGAAAUUAUUCGGUUUCAUGGGGAAAAACAAUGCAAAGAAUAUGUUGCGAGAAGCAUUGUAUUUGAUAAGUGCAGGGACAAAUGAUUUUAUAGAAAAUUACUACAUUAUUCCUGCAGGUCGAAGAACCCAAUUCACAGUCGAAGAAUACUCUAAUUACCUUGUUGGAAAUUCAGAAAGUUUCAUUCGGGAAAUUUACAACUUAGGCGCGCGGAAAAUAUCAUUAGCUGGUCUUCCUCCAAUUGGUUGCAUACCAAUUCUCAGAAGCUUAAAUAUUAAAGGAGGAGGUGCAUGUAGAGCUGAUUGUAACAAGUUGGCAAGAGAUUUUGGUAGGAAGUUAAUAGCAUUAACCGCCAAGUUAAACAAAGAGCUUACGGGGAUUAAGAUUCUGUUCCUAAAUGUGUAUAACCCUGCUCUUCAUGUGAUUAAUAAUCCCCGUGCAUACGGUAUGUAAUCGCCUUUUAGCCUUACUCUCACAUUUCAGGAAAAAAAAGCUUUUCGUACAGGGUUUUAAAACCAGCUGUGGAUGAUUUUCGUGUAUAAUAUUGGUUUAUUUUCCUUUUAUGAUGUUUAGGUAUUGAGAAUGUGGCUACGGCGUGUUGUUACUUGUGCAACCGAGACAGCCCAUUCACAUGCAUGGAUGCAAAUACGUAUGCAUUUUGGGACGCAGUGCACCCUACGGAGAAACUAUACCAUAUUGUGGCAGAUCAUUUGAUGAAGACAACUUUGGCUGAACUUGUAUAAAUAUCCGACAAGCUACAACAACUAAGAUAGGUGUAAAAUGAAUCUGGGUCAUGAGUUGUAAAUGCGUUCAAUAAUUCGUUUUGAAUUAUAAAUAUUAUCAAUGACAGUAUUAUCUGCACACCAAACUUCAUUAUAAUCAGUAUAAACAUUCCAGGCCAAUUAGCUCAGCCAUUCAUGACUAUGGUGCACAGUUCGGCUAUUGCUCGAGCAAAUUGAGGGUCCUAUAUAUGGUUUGGUUUCAACAGACUUCAUUAUAAUCAGAACCAAUAUUGUGUUAUAGUGAAUGAAAAUGAAGGGAACAUUAAUUUGGAUAGUUGAUAUUUAACUGGUAUUCACGUCGCAUAACAAGCAUGCUGGCUACUGACAGAAUGCUUUGAUGCUGUGUUGUCUUUGUUUAACUUCUGCAACAACUCAUACCAACUUGUAUGUAAUGUUAGGCCAUGUAUUAAAUGUACUGAAUUCAUUGAAAAACUGUGAAUGUGUUUUUACCAUAGCCUAUAAUUUUCUUUAGCACGAGUUUUUUAUUACCCCGAAGAUGAUUAUUCUUUUCUUAGGGUUAUUCUGAGAUAUAUGACAAACUUACUGUGCCCGAAGACCUCAAAGGGUAAAACCGAAACAUGGCUCAUGGUUGUUGUCACGGCACUGUACCUGAAAAUGUGUUGCAGGUUUCAGGGUAUGAUGGCCUGCGAACGCUCUAGAUGCACAAUGUGGUGGUCUCCAGUGGCUUGUAAUAACAUUCGGCGAGAUUUUUGUUCGCUAAAAUAAAUUUUAAGAGUAGCUAAUUGUUCGAUACUGUGAAUUCUGAGCUCAUCUCAUAUGAUAUCAUUGUAUCACAGCAGCCCCCACUUCCCUUGACCUUUCCACAGAAAGAUAUUUUCUUGUUAUAUUGACAGAAAUCAGAAAACAAAACACUAUAUCGCCAUCCGACAGUACCAUAUCCAGUACAAACAUUAGAGGAUCACAACUACCAAUCGUAGGCAUUGGUAUAAAUCAUUCUAAAGUAUACUGUAAUGAAGGCAAAAAAAGGACCACAUCAAAAAUUGACUAAACCAUUUGACCAGAAUAAGCAAGCAAGUAAUAAGUUUUCUCAUCUAAAACAUACUGAGCAACAUGACUCAUAACAGGUCAAUAUGUCUCAUGGUACUCCAACUCUGCUUCCUAGUACUACUAGGCCAGACUGAAGCAAAGGUUUCGGCAGUCAUAGUGGUCGGAGAUUUCACGACCGGAGUCACAUUUGCUUCUGCAGGAACUGGCCGGGCUUGACAAUGUUACUUCAGAACACAGAUUUUUUAUUUGAAUAUAUAAAACCUGACUUCUUAUUAUAUAUAAUUUUGUCUUGGAUGAAAUGUGUGUGUAUAACAUAAACUGUGAGAAACUACAAAUAGUGCUAAUGUAACAGUUCAAUAUUCAAACAAAUCAAACGAUACGCAGAAAGUAAAUAACACACAGGAAUUUUUAACGUGGUAAAACCCAAUAUGGGAAACGUCCACGGUUGUCCUCGCGACAACAAAUAAAUCCACUAGAUGAAAAGAGAUGUACAAACCUAUCAACUACCUGCAAUCACUGCGAGUUGACACUCCUGGUUAUCUCUAACACCUUGACUUCACCAGAGCACCUUGAUGUACGCACAAGACACUCGACUUCCUGAUGAACACACAAGAAGACUCGAAGCCGAUCUAUGUAACAAGCUUACACCAGAGUUCCUUGAUGAACACACAAGGAUACUCGACUUCUUGAUGAACACACAAGAAGACUCGAAGCUAAAUCACUAUUCAAUAAUGUAGAAGAAGAUGAACAGGGAAGAAGAAAGAAGAAGAUGAAUAGGGAAGAAGAAGAUGAGUUCAAUCACCAAAACAACCUAAACCAAAACCUAAACAAACUCCAAGAAACAAGAGGUGAAUUGGACGGCCAAAGAACUAACUUCUUCUUUGGAAGAGAAACCCUAUUUAUAACAGGGUUGGAAAAACCACCGAAAAUGGGCCGAAAUAGCAAAAGCCCACUUUGGACGUACGUACGUCGAUAUGACGUUCGUACGUCUCCAAACGAAAAUACUCCUGCUGCCUGCUGUGACGUACGAACGUCCUGUAAAGGUUCGUACGUCCAGUACUACCAACAAUCUUGCUGUCAUUCGAUACGUACGUACGUCCUUAAGAGGUACGUACGUCCUGGACCAGAAAUCACACCAAUGACACACGACGCGAAGGCAAGGACACGGGACGACGCGCGUACAACCAGGUUUUCUUAACAAUGAACUCAAGGCGAGAUAACCAAGGACACUUUGUCACAAAAUUGAUGUCAAACCACUUCAUGCCGGUUUCAAUCUCCCCCUUUGACAUUGAUUUUGUGACAAAAACCUAUGACUCUAAUAGCACUUAUAAAACGUGCUUACAAACCCAAACCAUGGCAUUUAUAAAACAUGCCUACAAAAUCACUCAAAGAAAAACACAUACCGAGUCACCAAUUCUUGAUAUUCAGCUUGAGCAAAAUGCUUUAACCAUCAGAGACCGAACGGAAGCAACAAAGAAUUUCCGAAGUAAUCAAGGAAUCAACAGAAGUUCCUUCGAGUAACUCCCCCAUACUUCAUGAGCUCCAAAAUUUUGACAGCUCCCCCAUAACUGUAUAACUCUUAAAACAUCAACACGUUCACUCCCCGCAUACAUGUAGCAUACCUGAAACAUGACCCAAGAAUACCCUAACAACAAAGAGACGAUUGUUAGUAAUUAGAGUCAUAAAUCUCCCCCUUUUUGUCACAACAAGUGAACAAAAUAACUAACCAACAAGAGAAACGAUAAAUAACAAUAAUAAACAAAUAACGAAGAGAAGAAAACAAUACCAAACAAAGAUGACAAAACAGAUAAAAAGAUAAACCUAUCCCAACUCGUAAAGUUCAAGAGAACAACAAAUAACCAAACACAUAAAACCAUAGUAAUAAGAACCAACAAAGACAGAAGAGAAAGCUGAAGUUAGCAAAUUCGAAAAACUCGCUCCCAAUGACCUAGAGGAAGCUUGGAGAAAUAAGCUUCCGCACGAGCCGAAGAUCUAAUCCACCGAGCUUUCACAUGAUCAUCAUAAUCCUCUAGCCAUUCAUUCCCAACGAUUGAUAUGAACCAAACAAGGAUUAAGAAAAAGUCGAUGGAUAUAGUCAUACCCAUGGGGAACGCGACACAAACGACAAACCUUAGCAUUGUUCUUGUACUCCAUUACCAUGAACGACACAUAACCAACAGUCGGAACAAAAAUUCCAUGAAGUGCAUAUUCUGCCAUAGAGGAUUCUGAAGAACAAAGAGAGAAUUAGCAAGAGGUAAGAAGACACAAUAGGAGUGAAAGAGAAGAAGACUCCCUAUUUAUAAGAAACAAGAAUAACUCUAAUCAUGGGCCCAAAUAGAAAGGUCCAUUACCUCAGAAAAAUUUACUGCAAAACAAGGAAACCAACUUGAACUAUCAUGAAAAUAGCAAUAUUCAAGAACAUGUACAAUACUAAAAAAAUAGAAACAAACCAAUAUAGCAGUUAAGUACAAAAAUGUGAAGAGGAAACCAUAAAACCAACUACUCGGAUUCCGAGGCACCAUCACUCGGUUCACCAUCACCCUCGUCCUCACUCUCUGAGUCAUCACCAUCACUCACACCAGGAACUUGAGGCACCUCUUCCGAAUACGGAGGCAAGUCUGUGGGAGUGAAGUCCAGCUGUAGAUGACGCAUCUGAGCAACAUUCAUCGCAUGAAUAUCACUGAUCAUGACAUCAUGACGAGAGAGAAUGACCCCAAAACGAUCUAACCGAGCAUCCAUAUGAUCCUGAUGUCGUCGGAGUGAGGAGACCCGAGCAUCAAUUGCUGCAACAGCCCGAUUUCCCCUAGCAGAGGCUGGGAUGGGUCGUCCAGACGUCAAGGCCCGAUCAAAAUCAUCUUGGCGAUCAAGAGCCCGGCCUCCCCAAAUAAGGUGAUGCGUCAAACGCGCACCCACAGACUCAAAGGCAACCUUCCGAGACUGACAGCCUUUCUUAAUGGCAUUGACCCAGUCAUGGCCAACGAACCUUGGAGGGCUCACCUCCGUGUACUGUCCCUGAAAACCCAAGUGCCUGAGAAUUGUCAUUAUAAAGCUAGGGAAAGGAAGAGUACCCUUAGCUGCAUCAAUUUGAAGCAUCCGAUUGUAGAUGACCUCAGAAAGACUAAUAUGGUGCACCGACAUACAAACCACCAAUUUGACCAUGUCGUCGGUCAUGAUUAUCUUGUUGCCCUUGGUUGGGUAGAUGUUGGAGUGAGCAACCAUGUGGACAAGGAUGGCGCUGUAGAACUUUGCGUGAUAUCUUUCCGUGACCCCAUCGAUGAACAUCCGCUGAACUUGAUCGACAAGGUCAAUCUGAAUCUCAUCCGGAAUAGGCCAUCGAACAUGAACAGCACCUUCAGGAAGAAAAUCACCGUCAAUACCCAAUGCCUCACGGAUCACCUUCGGAGAAAUAGUGUAUCUCCGACCGUCAAUGAGGACCGAAAAACUCGAGCGAUUCUGCGAAGGACUCUUCGUCUCAUAGAAUGCUAUCGUAUGCUCAACCGAGUACUUGGUGAUUGGUUGAGCCACCCUUAGCCAAUUCCGAGUCUCAAAGAACAAUGCGAUAUUGCCAAGUUGAGAAGCCCCGAGAGGAGUGGCAGCAAUGUCUCCCAAGUCGAAGAAACGCUCGGGUUUUCCUGGCCUUGGCUCGAGGAUGAGCGCCAAGGGAUGAGGGAUGAGACGACAAACCCGAAGUGGAACCACGACCCCUCGGAGCGCGAGAAGAAGAUGCACCCUUAGAUGCGGAUGCCGUGGAGGUGUGUGCACGCUUUGAAGCCAUUUCCUACACAAACACAACAGUAAACAGACGAAAAGUGUGAGUGAAAUGUAAUCCCAAACAAGAUAAACAAACCAUUGGAGUCAUGUAGACAUUUUGUCAAACAGUUAGUGCGCAGAAACUAAAUCCAAUAGUAAGACAGCAAACCAACAAUCACAUUCACACUAAACAUGGCAGAUGAUUAAGACUAGAGGAGGAACGAAGUGCCAAGUAAAAGAAAAAUCCCAGCGACACCAAGGAAUAUGAUCUUUAAAAAAACAAAUUCUGUUACCCCAUGAUUAAUCACUCACAACAACAAAAAAAAAUUUCAUCACAAAUAACCAUUAACAAGCAAUGAAAAGGAGAAUUGAGGAACUUACUAUUGCCGAAAGAGUGAGAAGAUAAACACCACAAAACUCUUUUGAACACUUAGAACACAGCAGGGAGGGAAUUGCUUAAACAAGCUAUAAGAAUAGAGAAGUAGGAGAGAGACAUAUGAGAGAUACAAAGAGAGAAGAUUUGUUUCCUUUCGAAAGCAGAGUGUAGAGCCUUGAUAGAAGAAACCACACUGGUUCGUGCGGAGAGAGAGAUAGCACGAUUUGAAUGAAACAGUUGGGCAAAAAGGUUUAACCAAAAUUUGAAUUUAAACAGCAAAUGGGCCGGACUGUAUCAGGGACGUUCGUACGUCCUAAAGACGUUCGUACGUCGGGACUCUUAAAAAAAACAUCUGUCAGACCCUACGUUCGUACGUUCUAAUAACGUUCGUACGUUGGAACAAGAUCUGCCCACCUCAACGUUCGAACGUCAUGACAGCGUUCGUACGAACCCUUUUUUUUUUUUUUUUUUUUUUUUUUUUAUAUUUAUUUAACGAAUGAAAGAACAACCUAAAGACCAGAAGGCAAACCGACGAACAACACAAACCAUAAUAAGAAGAUAAAAAAUAACCGAUGUACCAUAGAACUGAAGAGGAACACAUCAUGAACUUCCAAAAACAGUAGCCAAUCCCAAUCCGUACAAAAAUAAGAGGCAAUAUAUGGGGAUAAACAAAAUAUUGAACAAAUAAGAGAAUUGAAAUGCAUCAUAAACUAAACCUCGGUGUAUGUAGAUGCAAUGCAAUGCAUAAAGCGAGAGAAAGUUCACCACUAGAACACACCCUUUGAAGACCGAGAAUAUAGAACCAUCAACACGAGACAUACGAUUAGAUUAGUAAGUGAGCAUAGAAGAACCAAACUUCAACCCCCCUUUGAAACAAACGUUAUGAGUAGAAGGCAAACGAAUAUAAAUAUAUAAAUAUGAUCUUUCACAUGAAAACCAAGACAUUAAAAAGGCAAAGGAAUAUAAACUUUGUAUGCCUUUCAUAAAAAAAAAUGAAUAUGCGCUUGGAUUUUUAUUUUGCCGCAUAAGGUGGAGUUUAGUCUACAUCACUCUAAUGUCAUUCCCGCGUGGGAGGGAUUUUUGCCUCCAUCUUUUCAAAUACACGAGGGUAGGGUGUAGCCCACAUCUUUUUGACAAACACAAACUCAAGAAGUGCAAUACCAUGAUAACGUGCAACACAAGAACUAACAUCUCUUGAGUGCAUCCGUCAGAGCAUGACCCUCACAACCCCAACGGGUUCUUAGCCAACUGAUAUUGCUUCAAAGACAAUCAAAUGGCUGGGGAUAAAGUGAGUCAUUGACCACUAACAAGAGUUGUAAUAGGAAGAUAAGAAUGCUCAAUAACACGAACAACAAGAUGAACAUUAACCAAAACAAAGGAGAGAUAGCUCAAGAUCACAUAAAUACUCGAGAGAUAGAGAAGUUCUAUGAGCUCAAAGAAUAUGUAAGUGGUUUCCAAAAACUCCCAUCAUGCAAGCAUGCCGUGCACUGUGCAAACAAGCGAGGAAAAAUGCAUGAUACAUACCAAAACAUACUUAAGAGUUCAGAAAGAGAAAACACCCAAACAUAUUGCAACUUAUUUAAGACAAUUGAAUUAAACCAAUAUCUCAGAAAAGAUGCAUCCAACAACACAUAUAUGGAAUAAAUAAAGAAAAAAGAAUGAAUAACCAACAAUGUAUUCAGACAUGCAACAUGAUCUGCAAGCUAAACAAACAAAGUAAAAAAAGUAGAAACACCAAACAAAUAGCCUAUGUGGUUAGAGAAAUAUGCAACUCAAAUAACACAAGGCUAGAAACAACCUACAUCAUCCCAAAUAUGGGACACCACCAGACCUUUGCAAGUCCAGAAAAACCUUCAACUUAUCCUUUCUUACCCAUACUUGUUUAACACUAGGCGUGCACACCUUGGAAGUUGAAAAGAUAUGAGAUUUCUCCUUAACAAAUUUUUCAAUAGACUUGUCCUUAACUAAUUCCACCUUAGUCUUUGACUCCCUUUUGUUGGAAUACCUGUUUUUCUUAAACCUGUGACGAACACCACUAUAAUUCCAAGGUCUAGAAAAAGCACAAGAAGAAACAUUAGGAUCAACAUGAUUAUAAUGAUCAGGAACACGAGAAUAGGAUGCAUCAUGUUGAUUAAAAUCCCAACAAAAAAUAUCCAAAUGACCAACCCUACCACAAUAAGAACAAUGAAAAACAUUAGACUUACUCAAAGAAUUCUUAUAAGAAGAUGUGGUAGUGGUGGAUAAACCAUGUAUGUCACUAUUUGGUUUAUGACAUUGUCCCUUAACAAAACCCAUACCUCCAUUAUGAGGACAAUAUGACUUAUCAGUGAAAACAGCCUUACCAUUAACCUUAGACUUAAAAUUCUUACGAGAAACAUGCUGAAAAUUAGUAGCAUUAAGUCUAGUCUCAAUAGGUGGAGUAGGCAAAAGAGCAGGCAAACUAGUAGAUUUUACAGGAGUAAUCACACUAGAUGAACUAGUAGAACUAUCAAUAGGAGAAUCAAAUCUAGUUUUGUCCAAAACCUGCAAUUUGAGUUGAGUAGACGUUAAAUCAUUCUUUGUUACCUCAUACUCCACCAAUAGAGAUUUGUAUUUCUCAUCGACCUCCUGAUUGGCCUUCUCUAAAGCUGCAAUUCUACAUAACAAGUCAAGUUUUUCUUUGUCAAAUAAUUGAGAAAUAGAAAUUGUAUCAUCUGCAGCACAAGAAAUCUGUUUUUCAAGAAUCUCAAUUUUAUCCUGCAAAGAAAGAUUAGCCUUUUCCAAAUUUUCAAUUUUGGAUUCAUAAACUUCCCCUUGAAGCAUAUAGUCCUCUGCACAAUGUCUGAGUCGUUGUUCUAGAGAAUCAACCUUAGUCUGGAAAACACCAUUAUCUUCAAAACAAACAUUAUCAGAAAUAGUAGACACAUUACAAUUAGCUUUAUUAAAUUUUUCCUGCAAAUCAAUAUUAGCUUUUUGUAAUCUUUCACAUUCUUUUGCAGAAAGUCUGUAAAGAAGAGCCCAAUCACUAUUGCUAACAACAUACAAAUUAUCAUCCUUUUCAAAAUCAGAUUUUGGUUUUGUAGAUUUAGAUGAUUUAGCAAUAAAAUUAUUAUGACCAGACUCAUGAACCAUUAUUGCACUCAUAGGAUCGUUAGCGUGAGCCUUGACGCUCCUUAACCAGCCCCCAGCGACUGAUACCAAUUGAGAAACUACAAAUAGUGCUAAUGUAACAGUUCAAUAUUCAAACAAAUCAAACGAUACGCAGAAAGUAAAUAACACACAGGAAUUUUUAACGUGGUAAAACCCAAUAUGGGAAACGUCCACGGUUGUCCUCGCGACAACAAAUAAAUCCACUAGAUGAAAAGAGAUGUACAAACCUAUCAACUACCUGCAAUCACUGCGAGUUGACACUCCUGGUUAUCUCUAACACCUUGACUUCACCAGAGCACUUUGAUGUACGCACAAGACACUCGACUUCCUGAUGAACACACAAGAAGACUCGAAGCCGAUCUAUGUAACAAGCUUACACCAGAGUUCCUUGAUGAACACACAAGGAUACUCGACUUCUUGAUGAACACACAAGAAGACUCGAAGCUAAAUCACUAUUCAAUAAUGUAGAAGAAGAUGAACAGGGAAGAAGAAAGAAGAAGAUGAAUAGGGAAGAAGAAGAUGAGUUCAAUCACCAAAACAACCUAAACCAAAACCUAAACAAACUCCAAGAAACAAGAGGUGAAUUGGACGGCCAAAGAACUAACUUCUUCUUUGGAAGAGAAACCCUAUUUAUAACAGGGUUGGAAAAACCACCGAAAAUGGGCCGAAAUAGCAAAAGCCCACUUUGGACGUACGUACGUCGAUAUGACGUUCGUACGUCUCCAAACGAAAAUACUCCUGCUGCCUGCUGUGACGUACGAACGUCCUGUAAAGGUUCGUACGUCCAGUACUACCAACAAUCUUGCUGUCAUUCGAUACGUACGUACGUCCUUAAGAGGUACGUACGUCCUGGACCAGAAAUCACACCAAUGACACACGACGCGAAGGCAAGGACACGGGACGACGCGCGUACAACCAGGUUUUCUUAACAAUGAACUCAAGGCGAGAUAACCAAGGACACUUUGUCACAAAAUUGAUGUCAAACCACUUCAUGCCGGUUUCAAACUGUAUCCCCACAUGUUUGUCUUUUAAUAAAAAUCUUUGAUUUUGGCUUGGAAUUAAAAACACAGAAAUAGGUUUGACUUUUGAACACUAAAAUAAUAGGUUUUGUUGUGACUUAGUUGCCAAGCAUAAUUAAAAAAAAAUAAAAUAAUAGGUUUUGUUGUGACUUUGUUGCCAAGCAUAACUAAAAUAAUAGGUUUUGUUGUGACUAGAGGGCUUUUUGGCGUUUAAUAUAGUAGAAUAGAUAGAUAGAAUAGAUAGAUAAAACCUACUUCUUAUUAUAUAUAAUUUUUGGCUAGAGAAUUGACUUAACACAUUGAUAUCAACUUAAAGAAAAGUCAAAUGAUGUCCCAUCAAUAAUUAUAGAAAGGGCUAAAAAGUCUAAUCUCCUCACUGUUGUCUCAUUUAUAACUUCAGUGCAUCAAGCACAGAAGCUUUCAAAGUUAGUGUUGAUAGGUUUGACUUUUGAACACUAAAAUAAUAGGUUUUGUUGUGACUUAGUUGCCAAGCAUAAUUAAAAAAAAAUAAAAUAAUAGGUUUUGUUGUGACUUAGUUGCCAAGCAUAACUAAAAUAAUAGGUUUUGUUGUGACUUAGUUGCCAAGCAUAACUAAAAUAAUAGGUUUUGUUGUGACUAGAGGGCUGCCUGCCCUCCUGCCCUCUAGUCAGUCACUACUCACUUGUCUGUUAGCUAGAAAUGAAUUUAAUAGAAUUGUCUUGUCAGUUUGGGAUUAAGCAGUUGAUCUUAGUGUUAUUCAAAUAGCGUCAUUGCUUACGAAACUAUAUAAUAUAAUGUUGUGUCCUUAUCACUCCAUAGAUAGAUAGAUAGUAGGGCUGGGCAAAACCGAUCCGAAACAUGCAAACCGAACCGAACCGAACCGAUCCGAAAAUAAGGUGUUUACAUGUUCGGUUGCAGUUUCUAAUUUUGUAAAACACCUACUUUGGGUGUUCGGUUGCAGUUUCGAAAAUUUUGGAACACCCAAAACCGAACCGAACAUGUAAUUUUGUAUAUAGUCCAGCCCAUCAUGUAAUUUUGUAUACAGUCCAGCCCAUCUCUCCAGCAGUCCAGCCCAUUUGUCCAACACUCCAACAGUCCAACCCAUCUACUAGGUGUUCAGUUCGGUUUUAUUCGGUUAACCGAACCGAAUCACAUGUUCGAUUAUGUUUCGGUUUUAGUAAAUUUUUUUCGGUUCGGUUCGGUUCGGUUUCAAAAAUGAAACAGUUCGGUUUCGGUUUUAGUUUUUACAAAACACCUACUAGGUGUUCGGUUGCCAGUUUUGGCCAAAACCGAACCGAACCGAACCAUGCCCAGCCCUAAUAGAUAGAUAUAUAAAACCUGACUUCUUAUUAUAUAUAAUUUUUGGCUAGAGAAUUGAAUGCGAAACUUAACAUAUUGAUAUCAACUUAAACAAGGAGCUUAAAGAAAAGUCAAAUUAUUUGAUGUCCCAUCAAUAAUUAUAGAAAAAGGGUUGAAAAGUCUAAUGUCCUCACUGUUGUCUCAUUUAUAACUUCAGUGCAUCAAGCACGUAAUUACUUACAUGGUGAUUUGUUUCCAUUGAAUUUUCUGGUUUUUUUAUUGAGAUGGGUAGACGAACAGUCAAAAAAAAAGAGAGGACAAGUGAUCAGUCAAAGAAAAGAGAAGACAAGUGAAGGAAGACAAGUAAACAGUCAAAGAAAAGAGAAGAUAAGUGAAGGAGGUUGUUGAAAUUAUUAGGAUUCUUUUUUUAUUUUUUUUCUAUUUUUUUCCCACUAUUUCUCUCUCCUAAAAUCUCUUUGUAUUAUAUGCAAACCGGCUGAAAACUUAACCAAUUUCAAGAGAUGUACGUGGCGAGAUUUGGUGAGGAGGUAAGCCUAGAGCGUCACCUCUGCAGUGACGCUAGCAUUUCUCAAUUAAAAACACAGAAAUAGGUUUGACUUUUGAACACUAAAAUAAUAGGUUUUGUUGUGACUUAGUUGCCAAGCAUAAUUAAAAAAAAAAUAUAAUGUAGAAGUAAGUUGCAUGACUUGCAUCACUCCAUAGGCCAUAGUAGUCCUUAUCACUCCAUAGACAUAUAUAUAUGAUCCAGUUAAUUUCAUUUCAUACAUUUGCACAGAAGCUUUCAAAGUUAGUGUUGAUCCAGUUAAUUUUCAAUCUAGCUACUGGCAAGUAGAACCUCGAUCAUACUAGUAUUAUGGCAGGUACGUAUAUAUAAUGAUAAAUGAUUAAGGUGUAUGUGUGUUCUUAUUCUAAACUUCUGUACUGUCUGUCUGCAUAACAUCAUAUGUAUAAAUCUCUUCACAUCAUUUUUAUAAAUCUAUAUACAGUAUGUAUCCUUAUAUGAUGAAGAACAUAAAGUUCCAAAAGUAUAUUUUUUUACGAGUUUCUUCCGGUGUGCAGGAAAGCUCUUGAUUCAACUCAUUGAUGAAGAUGGUCGUUUUAAUGUUACUGGGAUGCAAGAUUUUGCAAAUUUGGGUGAACAUGGAAUCUCUUAUGGAGUGGUCUCAAUCUUUGGACCACAAAGUAGUGGUAUGCAUUUUAUCUGUCGUCUGAAUUCCAAUAUUUCCUAGGUAUCAUUCAUUCAUUAUCAUCUUCCCAAAGAUGUUCUGAAUCUUUUUUUUUUUUUCUUGGCAGGUAAAAGCACACUGCUAAAUAAUCUUUUUGAGACUAAAUUCAAGGAGAUGGAUGCUUCUAUUGGGAGGCAAGUUCUCCACCAGAAUACUGAUCAGUUAAACAUUAUAUAAAUAAGUAACCUAUGUGAAAUAUACUUUUCAGGUCUCAAACAACUAAAGGAAUAUGGUUAGCUAAACAUGCUGGUAUCAACAAGUCGUGUAUCCUUGUCAUAGAUCUGGAAGGUAGUGAUGGAAAAGAACGAGGAGAGGUGUGUAAAUACAAUCUAUAUCCCUGGUACACUUUAAUUGAUAGUAAAGAUUUUUUACUUAAGCGAGGUUAUUCACUUAUCGAACUUUCAUUUAUCGAGGUUUAACGGUAAACCAAAACCCUGUAGUAAGUAGUAUAAUGGCAUGUCACUCUGAAUAGAAAAAUUUAAAGGUAUUGGUAAGAAGUUGAAACUCUCAUUCUCAGAAGUGUAGUGUUGUGUUACAGGUUUCCAAUUGUCGUAAGUUCACACGGCAUUGAUUUGUUACAUUUAUUCUGUUAGUUUUUUUCAUCUCCAUGGGAAUUUGAGUUGGUGUGCUGAAGACAAAUACUUUUCAUAUUGUUGUUCGUUUCACUAAUUUGUUUGUUUGGUUUUUAGGAUGAUGUUUGCCUUGAGAAGCAGAGUGCUCUGUUUGCACUAGCAGUAUCAGAUAUUGUGCUGAUAAAUAUGUAAGCUUAUUAACAUGUUCCCUUUGGCAGGACUAUUCUUCUUCUAUAGUUUGUUGUUCUUUCGAUUUCAGGAGUCUUGCUAGUGACCUUAUAUAAGUUGGUUUAUUUAGGUGGUGUAAUGACAUUGGCCGUCAUCAGGCUGGAAGCAGGCCUCUUUUGAAGACAAUUUUCCAGGUAUAGGUAGAUGGUAAUAUUUGGUUAAUAUUUAGUAGUAAAGUUGUUCAUUACUUUUGUUAACAGGUAAUGAUGCGCUUGUUUCAACCGCGUAGAAUAACUUUGCUAUUUGUCAUUCGUGAUAAAUCUGCGGUAUGAUUUUUCUAUACUAUCUUACUUUGUGGCUAUUUUACUUUAAGUAUAUUGAAUUAAAAAUAAUUAAGGAUGGAUUGUCAUUUUUCUUUACAUGCUUUGUAGACACCAUUGGAUAAGUUGACAGCUCUUAUAAGGACUGACAUUCGGGAGGUUACAAAUUAACAGACUAUUUCACUAUCUGUAAACUUUUGUUUGAUAUUUUAUUAUCAAUUUUUAAAAUAAAAUGUUAUUGCUUAUUCUUAAUAAUCAGAUAUUUGAUUCUGUUAUUAAACCAGAAGCCCACAAAAAAACUGCGCUGACCGAGUUUUUCAAUGUAAGUUGCAACUCUGUGUGUGCAGUACGUGUGUGUGUGUGUGCGUGUGUUUUUAAAACCUUGUGAUAUCACUGCUCAAACGACCAGGUUGAAGUCAUUGCUCUUUCAAAUUAUGAAGACAAGAAAGAGUUGUUCAAAGAUGAGGUAUGCAAUAUAUCAACUGCUACUUCAUAUUGUUUUGGUUAUCUUCCUAUUAUGGUUGCGAACUUGCGAUUAUGAUUAAGUUGUUUUGGUUAUCUUCCUAAUAAUCUGCCGUUGAGUUCUGUCCAAUCUAAUGAACACACACAACUCACUAUUUAAACACUGUUUACAUACUCGGCAUGAAGGUUGUCAGUUUGAAGCAGCGAUACAUAGAUUCGAUUGCUUCUGGUGUACAUUCUGAGGGUCGACGAGACAGAGUUCCUGCUUCAGCAUUUUCAUUGAGUGCACAAGAAAUAUGGAAAGUUAUUAAGGAGAACAAGGACCUUAAUCUUGCUUCCAAUAAGGUAAAGAUGUGAAAUACUUAAAUGUAUCAUUUUGAAGCUUACUGAUUAAAACAAGUUGAUUCCUUUUUGUUAACCGCAUUUGGUAUUGGUUUUUAGAUUUUGGUUGCCAGAGCGCGUUGUGAAGAUAUAUCCAAUGAAAGCUUUGCUCAUUUAGUUGGAAAUGAGGUACUUUAUAAUAUAAUAUGUGGAAUUUGUUACUUGUUACUACUGUCAUGGCUUAAAAACCUGCCUUUCACUGUAAUAGACCUUUACAUUUAAAAAUAGAUUGCAAUUUUAGUUUUUAUAUUUUGCAGGACUGGCAUCAGCUGCAAGAGGCUGUGCAAUCUGGUCCAGUUAAGGGAUUUGGGAAGAAGAUUAAGCCAAUUAUCAGUAAAUGCCUAUCAGAGUGAGUACCUCUAUUUAGUUUUCUGUUUUGCUUUAAUGGUGCUCGAUCUUUAAAAUAAAAUAAAAAAUCCUUAUCGUUUGACAUAUAUAUGUGCAUGUGUACAGUACAAUUCUUUGUGGAUUAUUUGAUGUAUAUCUCUAUAUAGGUAUGAUGCAGAAGCUGUUUAUUUCGAUGAAGGCAUCCGGACUGAAAAACGCCAGCUUUUGGAAGCUAAAGUGCUGCAAGUAAUUCUCUGUCGGCUUUCAAUUGCUAUAAAGUAUUUUUUAUCUGUGUGCACAUAACUAGUUCAUCAUAGUAGAAUAGAAUAUGCAGAACUUGUGAUGAAUUCAAACGGUUUUUUUUUUCUUUUCUUUUCCCACUAGGUAUGAAAUUCAUGGAGAGCAACAGAUCUAGUUCUCAUUAGGAUGAGUUUUAGUUCACUUAUCCAACAAAAACACAAAAUUUUUAUAACUUACCUAAAUUUAUAUAAAGUUAGAUCAAUAGAUACCAUCUAGUAAUCCAUGCGGGUCAACCUUAAAAACAUUUCACAGUUUCAUUACGCAAACCUACCAGUUCUUUAGCAGCUGCAUAUAUAUGUUGAUAAGAAGUGUUUGAAGCUUGGUUAGACCCUGAACUAGCUGUUAAUUUGUAAAGUAGUUUAUAGUGGUUGUUGCUCUCUCUUCCUCUUAAUCUCCAUACCCAAAAUCUUUUGGGCUCUACCCAAGUCUUUCAUCUCAAACUCUGAUGUAAGUGAGAUUUCAACCUAUCUAUUUCCACCAUGCUCUUGGAAGCAAUGAGCAUGUCAUCCACAUAAAUCAACAGAUAGAUAUAGUCAUACGAAAGUAAACACAACAAUCGUACUCACUUCUGGUGUAGUUAUGUCUUCUUCUAAAAGCAUCAAACUUUUUGUACCAUUGUCGAGACCUUUUGAGUAAUAUGGAAGGUUGGAAGCUCAAUAUUAAAAACCCCACACUUAGAUUAAGAAUUUUAUCACUUGGACUCUUCAAAGCACAUUCUCACUUAGACCAAGCACUUUGUCACUUAGACUCUUCAAAGCACCUUGUCACUUAGACUCUUCAAAGCACUUUGUCACUGUGUCACUAAGGACCGUGUCACUUGAUGAAGCACUUUACUAACCACCUGACGAACCACCAUGUCAUAGAACAUCAGUGACCAAGAACUCGUACUACUGCUUUAGAAUCUGUCCUCAGCCACAAUUUAUGCCAGAUCUUCUCCUCUAGACAAGUUAGAUGUCAAUACAUUCUGCCUUGACUACUUGGCAGCUUAUAUUACCCCAAAGCCUUUAAACCUGCUGGCUGCUGCCAUGAAACUUGUUGCACAUUGAAGACUUAUAUCUAUAUUUAUUUCAAGGAUACUAUGGGGUGGGUAGUCUCUUCAACCUGAGUCACUGCCUGUAACAGGCGCUCUCCAGAGGCUGUCAGGGUAGGACUCCAACCUCUUUCAAUCAUCACUCAUCUGCCAAGGACUUGAGUUGCGUAGUACUUUUGAAGUACCUUUCACCAGGAUGGCCACAUCCAUAGUACAUGAGUUACUGUUAAUUGACAUCACAUGAUUAUGCUCUCUUGUCAGAAGGCAGAGAAUUCCUUUUUAGUUUUUUAAUUGUAUCACACUCCUUGGAUGAAUAUAUUUCUUCCAUCUAUCUCUAUCUUUAAUCUCAUUACUGAAGCCAUAAAAGAAUACUUACCCCUUGUUGAUUUCUGACCUUAUGCACCUUAGUAUCUGUCCAGCAACUGGGUGCUUUUCUGCACAGCCCUCAUACCACAAAUUGAAUAAUAAUCAUAUAAUUUGGAAAUAACAAAUAGGGUCUUCAAUGCUCACCAUAGGCUUAACAAACUUGGAAGCCUUUAAAUAGUUCAUUCCUUUACUGAAAACAUCUUGAGUUAUAUGUCCAAUAAUGUAGGUGGCAGAGGGUCCUGUUUCUGACCUAGAAUUUGCAACAAAAUACAUGGGGUAUCACUAAGUAGAGCUUGUUAGUAGGAAUAGACUUUGUUAUAAAAACAAACGUUUUUUUUUUUUUUUUUUUUUUUUUUGACCACAUGAUAUCUUCUUUCGCUUUAUUGAGAAGUGCAUUGCAUGGUUAAAAUGCUAAGAUUUAUGCCUAGUGAAAUUCUAAUUGCGCGCAUAUUGCUGAAUUCUAGUUCAUAACACCUGCCUAUCAAAACAUUUUGGCACAACUACACUCUGGUGCUCUAGACAAUUUCAAGAAAGCAUUUCAUGAGGCUCUUAACCAAGGGAAACAAUUUGUUGUUGCUGCUCGUGAUUGCAGUAAAUAUGUUAUGUCAGUAUUUGGUGAAGGAUGCUCAGGUACACAGAAAAGUAUUAUUUGCUCAUAUAGUUUUGCAUUUAGAAAAAAGGUAAGAUAGGAGAAAACAAAACCUUGUUAAGGCUAGAUUUCUUUAGCACAACUUGGUGUCAAAAACGGGUUUAUGUCGUUUAUUUCCAAAGCUCAACUACUGCAAUUUUGUCAAAUACUUUUUGUUCAAUCAAAUUCAUUCAAUAAUUAAUGGAAGAAGUCGAUCUUGUGAGGUUAGUGGAGGAAUGUAGAGUGAACGUAAAAUAAUGGCAGAAGCAAUGGAUGGUUAACAAAUAAAAACUGUGUGAAAACAGAUUUUAGGGUGAUUUAGGUUUUGGUCACCACUUUUUAGUAUAAAUUAGGUUUUGGAGCCGGUUUUUUUCUUUAUUAGGGUUUAGAGCUCAUUUUCCAACCAACAACUAAAAAAACCCGGUUGAACCGAAAAUAUUUUCAAAAUACCUAAUUUUACCCCUGAAACUCACGUGAUCUGCACGUGAUCACUAACCCUAAUAUAGUUUUGAUCAGGGGUAUUUUGGCCAUUAUAAAUAAUUACUUGGGUCAAUUGUCGGUUCAGCUCUAAACCCUAAUAAAGAANNNNNNNNNNNNNNNNNNNNNNNNNNNNNNNNNNNNNNNNNNNNNNNNNNNNNNNNNNNNNNNNNNNNNNNNNNNNNNNNNNNNNNNNNNNNNNNNNNNNNNNNNNNNNNNNNNNNNNNNNNNNNNNNNNNNNNNNNNNNNNNNNNNNNNNNNNNNNNNNNNNNNNNNNNNNNNNNNNNNNNNNNNNNNNNNNNNNNNNNNNNNNNNNNNNNNNNNNNNNNNNNNNNNNNNNNNNNNNNNNNNNNNNNNNNNNNNNNNNNNNNNNNNNNNNNNNNNNNNNNNNNNNNNNNNNNNNNNNNNNNNNNNNNNNNNNNNNNNNNNNNNNNNNNNNNNNNNNNNNNNNNNNNNNNNNNNNNNNNNNNNNNNNNNNNNNNNNNNNNNNNNNNNNNNNNNNNNNNNNNNNNNNNNNNNNNNNNNNNNNNNNNNNNNNNNNNNNNNNNNNNNNNNNNNNNNNNNNNNNNNNNNNNNNNNNNNNNNNNNNNNNNNNNNNNNNNNNNNNNNNNNNNNNNNNNNNNNNNNNNNNNNNNNNNNNNNNNNNNNNNNNNNNNNNNNNNNNNNNNNNNNNNNNNNNNNNNNNNNNNNNNNNNNNNNNNNNNNNNNNNNNNNNNNNNNNNNNNNNNNNNNNNNNNNNNNNNNNNNNNNNNNNNNNNNNNNNNNNNNNNNNNNNNNNNNNNNNNNNNNNNNNNNNNNNNNNNNNNNNNNNNNNNNNNNNNNNNNNNNNNNNNNNNNNNNNNNNNNNNNNNNNNNNNNNNNNNNNNNNNNNNNNNNNNNNNNNNNNNNNNNNNNNNNNNNNNNNNNNNNNNNNNNNNNNNNNNNNNNNNNNNNNNNNNNNNNNNNNNNNNNNNNNNNNNNNNNNNNNNNNNNNNNNNNNNNNNNNNNNNNNNNNNNNNNNNNNNNNNNNNNNNNNNNNNNNNNNNNNNNNNNNNNNNNNNNNNNNNNNNNNNNNNNNNNNNNNNNNNNNNNNNNNNNNNNNNNNNNNNNNNNNNNNNNNNNNNNNNNNNNNNNNNNNNNNNNNNNNNNNNNNNNNNNNNNNNNNNNNNNNNNNNNNNNNNNNNNNNNNNNNNNNNNNNNNNNNNNNNNNNNNNNNNNNNNNNNNNNNNNNNNNNNNNNNNNNNNNNNNNNNNNNNNNNNNNNNNNNNNNNNNNNNNNNNNNNNNNNNNNNNNNNNNNNNNNNNNNNNNNNNNNNNNNNNNNNNNNNNNNNNNNNNNNNNNNNNNNNNNNNNNNNNNNNNNNNNNNNNNNNNNNNNNNNNNNNNNNNNNNNNNNNNNNNNNNNNNNNNNNNNNNNNNNNNNNNNNNNNNNNNNNNNNNNNNNNNNNNNNNNNNNNNNNNNNNNNNNNNNNNNNNNNNNNNNNNNNNNNNNNNNNNNNNNNNNNNNNNNNNNNNNNNNNNNNNNNNNNNNNNNNNNNNNNNNNNNNNNNNNNNNNNNNNNNNNNNNNNNNNNNNNNNNNNNNNNNNNNNNNNNNNNNNNNNNNNNNNNNNNNNNNNNNNNNNNNNNNNNNNNNNNNNNNNNNNNNNNNNNNNNNNNNNNNNNNNNNNNNNNNNNNNNNNNNNNNNNNNNNNNNNNNNNNNNNNNNNNNNNNNNNNNNNNNNNNNNNNNNNNNNNNNNNNNNNNNNNNNNNNNNNNNNNNNNNNNNNNNNNNNNNNNNNNNNNNNNNNNNNNNNNNNNNNNNNNNNNNNNNNNNNNNNNNNNNNNNNNNNNNNNNNNNNNNNNNNNNNNNNNNNNNNNNNNNNNNNNNNNNNNNNNNNNNNNNNNNNNNNNNNNNNNNNNNNNNNNNNNNNNNNNNNNNNNNNNNNNNNNNNNNNNNNNNNNNNNNNNNNNNNNNNNNNNNNNNNNNNNNNNNNNNNNNNNNNNNNNNNNNNNNNNNNNNNNNNNNNNNNNNNNNNNNNNNNNNNNNNNNNNNNNNNNNNNNNNNNNNNNNNNNNNNNNNNNNNNNNNNNNNNNNNNNNNNNNNNNNNNNNNNNNNNNNNNNNNNNNNNNNNNNNNNNNNNNNNNNNNNNNNNNNNNNNNNNNNNNNNNNNNNNNNNNNNNNNNNNNNNNNNNNNNNNNNNNNNNNNNNNNNNNNNNNNNNNNNNNNNNNNNNNNNNNNNNNNNNNNNNNNNNNNNNNNNNNNNNNNNNNNNNNNNNNNNNNNNNNNNNNNNNNNNNNNNNNNNNNNNNNNNNNNNNNNNNNNNNNNNNNNNNNNNNNNNNNNNNNNNNNNNNNNNNNNNNNNNNNNNNNNNNNNNNNNNNNNNNNNNNNNNNNNNNNNNNNNNNNNNNNNNNNNNNNNNNNNNNNNNNNNNNNNNNNNNNNNNNNNNNNNNNNNNNNNNNNNNNNNNNNNNNNNNNNNNNNNNNNNNNNNNNNNNNNNNNNNNNNNNNNNNNNNNNNNNNNNNNNNNNNNNNNNNNNNNNNNNNNNNNNNNNNNNNNNNNNNNNNNNNNNNNNNNNNNNNNNNNNNNNNNNNNNNNNNNNNNNNNNNNNNNNNNNNNNNNNNNNNNNNNNNNNNNNNNNNNNNNNNNNNNNNNNNNNNNNNNNNNNNNNNNNNNNNNNNNNNNNNNNNNNNNNNNNNNNNNNNNNNNNNNNNNNNNNNNNNNNNNNNNNNNNNNNNNNNNNNNNNNNNNNNNNNNNNNNNNNNNNNNNNNNNNNNNNNNNNNNNNNNNNNNNNNNNNNNNNNNNNNNNNNNNNNNNNNNNNNNNNNNNNNNNNNNNNNNNNNNNNNNNNNNNNNNNNNNNNNNNNNNNNNNNNNNNNNNNNNNNNNNNNNNNNNNNNNNNNNNNNNNNNNNNNNNNNNNNNNNNNNNNNNNNNNNNNNNNNNNNNNNNNNNNNNNNNNNNNNNNNNNNNNNNNNNNNNNNNNNNNNNNNNNNNNNNNNNNNNNNNNNNNNNNNNNNNNNNNNNNNNNNNNNNNNAAAAGUGGUGACCAAAACCUAAAUCACCCCAGAUUUUAUGUGAUGAACACCCACUUUUGAAUAUGUAGAGCAGUCAUCAGCAUGCUACUGCAAAGUAUGUGUUUACCUCUAAAAAUAAAGAUUGUAUAGAAAAUUGUUUAAACAGUAAGCAUGUUCAAAUUCUAGUGGAUAUUACUUCGACAAUUUGUGAUUUUGUCACGUGAUCCUAUUAUGAUUUGCAGAUGCGGCCAUUGAGAAUUCAAACUAUGACUCUUCCCAAGUUCUUGAUAGGCUUGGAAAUGAUAUAGGCGCAUAUGUUGCUUCCGAAAUUACUUCCUUUAAUGAGGUAUGGAAUCCCCUCUUCUUUUCUUUUCACUUUCAUUUAUGUAUAUUUUUCCUAGGAUGUUUAUGUGUGCAUGGGAGUGAUUCUCGACUCUCGAGGUUUAUGUGUUGUCCCCCCCUGUAAGACUUGCCAUCCCUUUGUUAGAAAAUUUUGCAUCUCGCUUUAUCAGCUUGAUUUCAUGGUGUAAACUCGUUGUUAAAAGGCUUUUAAAUUUUAGUUAUAUGUAAUUGCUGGAUGCACCCUUGAGUAGCAUCUUUUUAUUUGGGUUCAGGCAAAACUAGAUAUGGCACUAUCAGCACCAGUAAAAGCUCUUUUAGAUGAAGCUGGGGACAAUACCUGGCCUACCAUCAGAAACAUGUUACGAGAGCAAACAAAAUCAGCCAGCUCUAGGAUUGUUACAGAUAUUUCUUGCCUUGACGUUGAUCAAAAGACCAUUGAUCAAAUUCUCUCAGACAUAGAACGUUAUGCAAGAAGCGUUGUUGAAGCAAAGGCAACUGAAGCAUCUAAAGAAGUUCUGAGCAGGAUGAAGGACAGGUAUUGCCACAAUUAAGACUGGUGCAUGUGCCUAAAUUUUCCUGGUGGAUAACCACUGGAGUAAUUGUAUGGUUUUGAUUGUAGGUUUUCAGAAUUGUUUAAUUACGACUCUAAUUCAAAGCCAAGGACAUGGACUGGAAAUGAAGAUAUCGAAGCCAUCAUAAAUACUGCCCUUUCUGCGGUAUAAAUGCUUACCUUAUAUUUUGUUGUAGGAACUUCCAUCUUCUUUUGACCUGUAGCCAUGGCUUGUUUUAUUCCUUUUUCAGUCCCUGAGGUUGCUCUCUGUUAUGACUGCUAUCCAAUUGGACGAUGAUGCUGAUAGUAUUGCAGAUACACUCUCAUCUGCUCUUUUGGGUUUCAGUGACUGUGCUACUUACGAAACCACAUUAAUUGAUCCACUGGCUUCAUCUACCUGGGAAAAGGUGAUCACCAUAUGAUGAAACUCAUUAAUGAUAUUAUUGUGUUCUUGUCUGGUUAUGUCUAUAUAUAUAUUGAGAGAGAAACAAUAUCAUGUAUCUACAUUGGAUGUUCUGUUAGGUUUCCUCAACAAAUACUUUGAAAACUCCUAUAGAAUGCAAGGCUUUGUGGAAACUAUUCCAAGAAGAGAUUAAGCAUACAAUUAAUCAGGCCAAGAGUAUUGCUGCUCAGACCAAGGCCAUUGCUGCUCUGGAAAACGCCAUUGCUGCUCAGACCGAGGCCAUUGCUGCUCAGGUAUGCUUUUAACAAUUUUUGGCCUUCUCAAAAGUAUCUAUAUUGUAUACAUAUGUUUAUAUUAUUUAUGCAUACAUAAUAUUAAAUUUCAGAAAAUUUGUCGGACAUGGAAAGUUUUUUGGGGGUAUGCAUUCUAAUUUUGUAUAAAUAUGGGAAUGCUGACAAAGAUUACUCGCUAAGUGAAAGAGACUACGAGAUAAAAACAGAUGCUAAAUAUCCCAAAAGGACAGAAGUCAACAAAUUUAGGACAAAAGUAACCUCUAUAAUCACACUAUGAUCAGACAUCGAAUCAUGAUGUAGUUAACAAAACUACACACUAAAUUUAUGGUAAAUUAACCCUAGUAGAAAAGGGCAAAAUAGGAACUACAAUAAAUAGAUAUGAUCAGACGUGAAAAAAAAAGACUGCAUGUCUAUAAAAGAUACUUUCAUAAGAUUGUCCUUUUGGAAGAAAGACUUUCAUAAGAAUAUUGUCAUGUAGACUCAGAAGAACGUUGACUUUGACCUUCACAAAGGUUACUUGCUUAAAAAAUCGCUAAAUUCAAGGUGUUGCUCAAUAAAUAAAUAAAAUAUUUAUGAAAAGAUGAUGAAUUUUCACAAACAAAGUAGGUUAUUUUGGAUUUGGGAACUAAUGUUUACAACUACCAUUUUUUGUUGCCAUCCCCUUUAAGCGUACAGUAACAAUCUGUUAAUCGUGUAACAUAGAAAUACUAUCAUAACCCUGCACAAGGUUUCUCCUACAGACAUACUUUAUUAUUAGUUUCAUAUAUAAAAUUUAUUAUGCACAAUGAUGUUCUUAUAUUAAGCUACAGGUUCAGUAAUAUAUAUCUAGUAUGUCUUGAUUGGAUUUUACUUCCCAUUAUGACAUUUACAGCAAAGUAAAAGUCAGGCAGAACGGUUGUUAAUGAUUCCUGUCCAUCUUCUUCUCCAUUUAGCAGGAGUCGGCGGAAGUACCUAGUACGUGGUUAGCUAAGAGAAAGGAUGUAAUACUUUAUCGUGGUUUUCAUUUAGUUUUCCAUGUCAAUUUGUUGAUAAGAAUUGUCAGGACAACAUGAUAUCGUGGGACUUUAUAUUUUCUUGCUGGAAACAUAUUAAGGUUGUGCUUGAUUACCGGGAAAUCUGACGGAAAGCAAAUCCACGUCAGAUUCUCCCUUUAACGACUGCUUGGGUGAGUAUCAGAAACAGUAGGGCCCACAUUUUUUUUUACAAAACAGCAAAAACACGUCAGCAUAUAUUCCGGUUUCAAAGAACCCGGAUUAAGUUGGAAACCUGUCUCUCACUCUCUCCUCUGUGCCUUUCUCUCUCUUCUUUUAUCUCCGUUUCUCUCUUCUCUCUCAUCGUUGUUAGUUAUUUUUCCCCGAGAUUAUCAAGCACCUUAAUCUGAGUUUAAGCAAAAUUUAUGUAAAAACAAAUUAAAAAAAAUCUUUUCCAGAAACUGAUUCCCGAUUAUUACUGUGAAACAAGCACAGCCUAAAUAAAACCAGGAGUUUGUGUGAAGAUCAUAUUAAAUAACACCUAUUAAACCAUGUGCUUAAGUCAACCACUAUUUUUUUUUUUUCUCAAAGGUGAUUAAAUUGAUAAGAAAAAGAAUCAAACAUACAAAAGUGACAGGAAGCUAUAGCUACAUCUCAGUCAAAUAUUUAAAACAACCAUAUGUUUAUGGCGGUAAGUCCCAUCUCAAUAUCUGAUUUGCAAAAAACAAUGUUUCCUUUCUUGCAGAUGUAUCAGCAAGAUGUAUCAACUGCGAAGUUAGCUUCCAUUUUAUUUAUUAUUUAUUGACAUCAAUAAAAUUUAUGUCCAUGGCUCCGAUAGCUUCCGAUUGUACCUUAGUCUUCCAAUACGACUUAUUAGUUCUUAAGGCAGUGACAGCUGCUUCAGAGUCUGAUUCCACCAUCGCUUGAUGACAUAAGGUGAUUUUGUGUGGAACAUUUGGCACAAAAUAUAAGUGCACAAUUGUCCAAAUGCAGAAUCGAACCUGUGCGCAUAAUUAACCACACAAUCACAUCUUUGCCUCUUAUCAUUUUAGCUACCCAGGAGGCUAGGAUGGGCUAAUAGUGCUGCAUGCAAGUCUUUUAUACGAAAUCUGAUAAGUGAUUAUGACGACAUGAAUUCUACAUCCAACAUGUAAACAAUGAUAUCAUGGCCAGUUGGCAUUGCUUCAUAGUGGAUCUAAACAAAACUAUAUAUAUUACCAGUUAUUACCACAACAAGAACAUUUUUUCCUAUCACCAUCUUCAUUAAGCUUGUCUUUUUUCUUUUCUUUUUUUCUAUCUUUUGCUAUAUAUAUGGUCCUGCAACUCCGUUGAUCUUAUUUACAUACAGUAAAGUAAAUGAUUCAUCAAAUUAGCUUAGUAUGUUUUUGUGUAGUGAACAUCUUCAUGUUUUUUGGAGAUGCCGGAGCUAAAGUUCCUGCCGUAAUAGUCUUUGGUGACUCAACAGUUGAUGCAGGAAACAAUAAUUACAUUAAAACACUUGCUAAAAGCAAUUAUCUGCCAUAUGGUCGAGAUUUUCCAGGAGGAAAACCAACUGGAAGAUUUUGUAAUGGAAGAUUAGUUACUGAUUUCAUAUCUGAGGCUUUUGGUCUUAAGCAAACUAUACCUGCUUAUUUGGAUCCAGCUUAUGGUAUUGAAGACUUUGCUACUGGUGUCGCUUUUGCUUCUGCUGCAACUGGUUAUGACAAUCUUACUUCCAACGUUCUGGUAUGUCUUUCGUACUAUAACGCAUUAUCAUGCUGCUACUAAAACUAUAGGUGAGCUCUGAUACACAUAAAAAUGUUGUUUUCUUCCAUUUUUGUCAUUCUUUAGAAGCUUGAAGGUGAUCUAAUAUGUCAAAACAGGCAAGGGAUCUUUGUGGGUCAAUGGAGUUAAUGAUUUCACCAACUUAUCUAGUUGGGAACUUGGGAUUUACAUCUCCAAUAUAGUUUUUUGUUAAAAACAUCUCCAUAUAUAGUUGCCAAAAAGGCUAAGGCUGCAUUUGCUUCCAGCCAUCACGCCCUUCUAGAUGUACAUUUGUCGAGAAUUGUUCUAGUUCUAAGAGCAAUUAUUUUUGGCCCUACGGAAAAAAGGAAACAAAUGCAAUAUAGCCUUUUUGGCAGAAAAUUUGAGAGUAUAUUUUCCAUCAUUUUUUGAAUUUGCAUUGCGCAUCUUAUGUUGACACUUUUAGUUAAUUUUAAUGUGCAGUCUGUGAUACCUAUGUGGAAGGAAUUGGAGUACUUUAAGGAGUAUGAGAAGAAAUUAUUCCGUUUCAUGGGGAAAAACAAUGCAAAGAAUAUGUUGCGAGAAGCAUUGUAUUUGAUAAGUGCAGGGACAAAUGAUUUUAUAGAAAAUUACUACAUUAUUCCUGCAGGUCGAAGAACCCAAUUCACAGUCGAAGAAUACUCUAAUUACCUUGUUGGAAAUUCAGAAAGUUUCAUUCGGGAGAUUUACAACUUAGGCGCGCGGAAAAUAUCAUUAGCUGGUCUUCCUCCAAUUGGUUGCAUACCAAUUCUCAGAAGCUUAAAUAUUAAAGGAGGAGGUGCAUGUAGAGCUGAUUGUAACAAGUUGGCAAGAGAUUUUGGUAGGAAGUUAAUAGCAUUAACCGCCAAGUUAAACAAAGAGCUUACGGGGAUUAAGAUUCUGUUCCUAAAUGUGUAUAACCCUGCUCUUCAUGUGAUUAAUAAUCCCCAUGCAUACGGUAUGUAAUCGCCUUUUAGCCUUACUCUCACAUUUCAGGAAAAAAAAGCUUUUCGUACAGGGUUUUAAAACCAGCUGUGGAUGAUUUUCGUGUAUAAUAUUGGUUUAUUUUCCUUUUAUGAUGUUUAGGUAUUGAGAAUGUGGCUACAGCGUGUUGUUACUUGUGCAACCGAGACAGCCCAUUCACAUGCAUGGAUGCAAAUACGUAUGCAUUUUGGGACGCAGUGCACCCUACGGAGAAACUAUACCAUAUUGUGGCAGAUCAUUUGAUGAAGACAACUUUGGCUGAACUUGUAUAAAUAUCCGACAAGCUACAACAACUAAGAUGAGUGUAAAAUGAAUCUGGAUCAUGAGUUGUAAAUGCGUUCAAUAAUUCGUUUUGAAUUAUAAAUAUUAUCAAUGACAGUAUUAUCUGCUCUGGCCAGUUGAUAAGUAUUAUCUUCACAACAAACUUCAUUAUAAUCAGUAUAAACAUUCCAGGCCAGUUAGCUCAGCCAUUCAUCACUAUGGUGCACAGUUCGGCUAUUGCUCGAGCAAAUUGAGGGUCCUAUAUGGUUUGGUUUCAACAGACUUCAUUAUAAUCAGAACCAAUAUUGUGUUAUAUUGAAUGAAAUUGAAGGGAACAUUAAUUUGGAUAGUUGAUAUUUAACUGGUAUUCACGUCGCAUAACAAGCAUGCUGGCUACUGACAGAAUGCUUUGAUGCUGUGUUGUCUUUGUUAACUUCUGCAACAACUCAUACCAACUUGUAUGUAAUGUUAGGCCAUGUAUUAAAUGUACUGAUUUCAUUGAAAAACUGUGAAUGUGUUUUUACCAUAGCCUAUAAUUAUCUUUAACACGAGUUUUUUAUUACCCCGAAGAUGAUUAUUCUUUUCUUAGGCUUAUUCUGAGAUAUAUGACACACUUACUGUGCCCGAAGACCUCAAAGGGUAAAACCGAAACAUGGCUCAUGGUUGUUGUCACGGCACUGUACCUGAAAAUGUGUUGCAGGUUUCAGGGUAUGAUGGCCUGCGAACGCUCUAGGUGCACAAUGUGAUGGUCUCCAGUGGCUUGUAAUAACAUUCGGCGAGAUUUUUGUUCGCUAAAAUAAAUUUUAAGAGUAGCUAAUUGUUCGAUACUGUGAAUUCUGAGCUCAUCUCAUAUGAUAUCAUUGUAUCACAGCAGCCCCCACUUCCCUUGACCUUUCCACAGAAAGAUAUUUUCUUGUUAUAUUGACAGAAAUCAAAAAACAAAACACUAUAUCGCCAUCCGAUAGUACCAUAUCCAGUACAAACAUUAGAGGAUCACAACUACCAAUUGUAGGCAUUGGUAUAAAUCAUUCUAAAGUAUACUGUAAUGAAGGCAAAAAAAGGACCACAACAACAUAGACUAAACCAUUUCACCAGAAUAAGCAAGCAAGUAAUAAGUUUUCUCAACUUCCCCAUGCCACUCUUGGGUAACUUUUACUACAAAAGCUAUUUCAUCUGUACAUCUAAAACAUACUAAGCAAUAUGACUCAUAAGAGGUCAAUAUGUCUCAUGGUACUUCAACUCUGCUUCCUAGUACAACUAGGCCAGACUGAAGCAAAGGUUUCGGCAGUCAUAGUGUUCGGAGAUUCAUCUGUUGAUGCAGGUAACAAUGAUUAUAUUCACACGAUUGGUAGAAGCAAUUUUCCACCUUAUGGUCGCGAUUUCUAUGGUGGAAAAGCCACCGGACGAUUCUGUAAUGGUAGGUUGAGUACUGACUUCAUAUCAGAGGCAUUUGGGUUGAAACCUGUGAUACCGGCUUAUUUGGAUCCUGCUUAUACAAUCAAGGAUUUCGCGACCGGAGUCACAUUUGCUUCUGCAGGAACUGGGCUUGACAAUGUUACUUCAGAUCUUGUUGUAAGUUAACACAGAUUUUGAUUUGAAUAUAUAAAACCUGACUUCUUAUUAUGUAUAAUUGAUUUACGAGAUUAUCGUUUUUUUCAGUCUGUCAUACCAUUCUGGAAGGAAAUGGAAUACUUCAAAGAGUACAAAAGAAACUUGACAAAAUUCAUGGGGGCAUGUAAAACCGAUGAACUGUUACGUGAAGCUUUGUACAUUUUGAGUAUUGGAACCAAUGAUUUUCUAGAAAAUUACUACCAAGUUCCUAUACGAUCAUCGCAUUACACUGUCGAUCAAUAUGAGAAUUUUCUUCUUGACUUAAUGAAGAAUUUUGUCUUGGAUAUAUACAAACUAGGUGCUCGGAAAAUUGCGUUAACAUCAUUUACAGCAUUUGGUUGCUUACCACUGGUAAGAACUACAAAUCUUUUCCAAGGGCGUGCUUGUAGGGAAGAUUAUAACAAGGUGGCUAGAGAAUUGAAUGUGAAACUUAACACAUUGAUAAUCAACUUAAACAAGGAGCUUAAAGGAAUCCAAGUGGUUUAUUCUGGUGUCUAUGACACCUUGAUGAAUGCUAUUCAGAAACCUUCUUCAUAUGGUCAGUUUUCCUUCAUUCUUUUUCUUUUCGUUGUGUGUUUUUGCAUUGAAAGAUUGUUCUAUAAUCCACCAUUCUUAUUGAUGUAAUCGUCGUAAAUUUUAUCUCGUAGGAUUUGAAGAUGUUGCGGAUGGAUGCUGCGGCACAGGAUUAUUUGAGACAGCAUUCCUAUGCAACAAAUGGGAGAAAAAAACAUGCAAGGAUGCAAACAAGUAUAUAUUUUGGGAUUCAAUUCACUAUUCUGAAAAAAUGAACAAAGUAGUUUCUGAUCACGCAAUGAAGAACGCUUUUGCUCCAUUUUUAUAAAAUCAUAUCAUACAUUGUCCAAUGUCCAUGAUACAAAAAUGUUGUUUUUGUUUUUUUAUUGGCAAACAAGGUUGAAGGACCCGUAGGGUCCCUACCCCUUUAAAUUACGUCUGGAAACUUAUAUUAACAAUCAGUUGUUGACGUGUUUCAAAUCCACAACCUCUCCACUUUGUGAGAGGGAUGCUACCAUUGAGCCACAAGCUCAUUCAAAAAAUGUUGUUACACCAUGUGUUGUGUGUAUAUACACCACACAGUCUUGAAUGAUUUUUGAAUGAACACAACAGCUUAUGAUUUGGUUCAGUAGUCAGGAGAACAAGAUUUUUUUUUAUGCCCAUGUUAUGGAAGUAGACAUACUGUAUAUCCAUUUAAAUGAGGUAGUUGGCUUUGGCAACUGUUAUAGCAGCUAUUAAAGGUUCUAUAGAAAGGCCUCAUGCAUGUCAGAGUGUAUUAGAGGUGGAGGGAAGUGGAAUAGUUAGUUUCCAUUAAUAAGAUUCAACUACUUCUGGAACUUGAUUUGAUAUGUGAUCUUAACUAUUUUCUACAGACUGCUUUACAAUAAAUUCACCCCUCUUCUCAGUUCCAACUACUUAUAUCUCUUUAAUAGAAACUUGAGCAAACUUUCACACACUGUUUUGUUUGGUGAAAUGUUAUCUAUCAAUUGUAAGUUAUGACCUGAGCAGAUCAGUGCAGUUCUACAAAGACUUCUACUUGGUCUUCCAUACAUAGUUCAAAAUGCCGAUUUCAAGCAAAAUUUCGAAUCCUGAAAAAACGGAUUUUGCCAAGAUUUGGACUUUAGAAAUCAAUUUGGAAGCCGAGUUGUGGAUAUUCACAAAGUUCCGUGAAUUCGAUUUCUCAAAUAUUAGCAUAAUUUGUGGGAUAUCCCCGAUAUUUUGAACUAUGCUUCCAUAUACAUGGAGAUUGAAUGCUUCCAUAUACAGUACAUGGAGACAUGCAUGGCUACUGAAACCAAGAUUGAAGCAAUGUGUGAUCACCAGAAGCAUCGAUUACACUUUCAGAUAUCAAAAAACAUUGAUAGAAAAGGUUUUAGCGCAGAAUAAAUCAACAAAUAUGGCUCACCUCAUCUCUGGACAGUAACUUGAUGUCUGUAAGAAGAAGUGAUCAACAAGAAAAGGAUCCCAAUCUUGUCAAGCCUCGACUAGAACAUAGAAAAGGAACAAAUAUAACACAAAGUCCUUACAUAAACCCAAGUGAAUAUUCUAAUAAGUUUAAUAAAAGGCAUAACAACAAUAAAUAUAUACUGCUCUAUGUAUGUGCGUGGGUGGGGGGGAUCGAGGCACCAUGGUUAUGUGUUCCACAUAUUUAGCAAAAACUGUCUCUCCUAACAUCUUUUGGUCUAAACAAUAUGAAGAAGAAUAUAUCUGAUAGUCUUGUAAAAUUAACCUACUUAUAAAGCACCCACAGUCUAAAUGUUUAGAAUUCACGAAGAGCUCUUGAAACGUGUCUUGAUCCAAGACUCCAGUGACUGUAGCUCUUCAUUGCUGAUUGAAUGCCCAAGAUUUGGGUAGGCCUGCAAGACAAAAAAAUUAUUAGUAUCAAAACGAGUUAUUUUGCGGGAAUUGGGAUAAAAAUGUGUGACAAACUACCUUGAAUUCACAGCUUACGCCAACUUGUUCUAAGAAAGGAGGGCCUGCUUGUCCCGCUUCAAACAACACAGUUCUGUCUGCAAUACCAUGGGACCACAGAAAAGGUGUCUGCAAUAAAAUGGAGUUUUAGAGCACACAUCAUUACAUAGACAAAUGAGGUAGACAGGACAGUGGUAAGAACUCUGAUAACGAACUAUGCUAUCCAUCUAACCAGCUUAUACACCUUUGCUGGAUCAUUCAUAGCCUUUUCAUUUUCAUACUGAGGUUGAGGAUGAAGCCUCAUUAACAUCUAAUAAGCUCUUGCAAGCUAAUUUACCUAAAAAGGUUUAGUUUUUUAUUGUAUUCUAUUACUAACUUUGAAACCCGAGAGACAAAUCUAAUUGAGUGUUUUUGUAGCUUAAGAGUAUUUUUAUCAAAUCAAAUCUUGAUAUUGUACGCCUAAGUAAGAAUUGGAGAUCCCUUCUACUCCAAUACAAGUGACACAUUCAAUGCUUCAGAAAUAUGUAUGUGCAAAUUAUCAGUUCACAUAUGAAUUAGAUUAGACUCCCAUAUUAUCCAGGUAGACAAAAUGAGUCCUUAUAAAUAGAUAAAUUACAUCCAAUUCGUUAAUCGCAUCACUAUUCAUAAAUUUAUUAUUUAGAAAAAAAAAAAAAUCUUCCACAUUGAAAUUGAUUUACCUUCCUUGCCUCUGGAGUGAUACGUUCCAUAAUCUUUGAGCUGAAAGGAACCCACCCACUAAAAACUGCACCUCCACCUAGAGUUUUUGGGUACAACAACACACUAGCCAAGGUCAAGGCACCUGCAAAACACAACAAAAUCAGUGAUCCACUACUGCGCAUUCCUGAUGUCUAUUGACGAAGUAAAAAAUAAGUCGAGUAAGAUGAAGGAUCAAUCACAAAUUCAAACCUCCUUGACUGAACCCACAGAUGAAUAUGUUCUCAGGAUUAGUUCCAGCAGCUAUCUCUUUGUCUAUCAUUGCAUGAACAUUCUGAACCGCCUUGAGCACACCACUUUCAUCUUUUGGCGAUGCCUAAUUCAAUUCAGCAAACUUUACUAUACAAUUCUAGAAAAAUGGAAUUCUGAAGACAUAAUUUUAUACAUAAAUCUAAUCUCCAACAUUUUGCACAGACUAGAUGUGAGUCACUGUAUUGUGCAAUUGUGACAUAAACAUUUAAACCCCUCACCAUAUUGGUUAUGCCCAUCUAAAAGUUUACAUGUGAAAUAUGAACACAAGAGAACUUCUACAGAAGACAAUAUUAUUGUGGAUCCAACGCUUCUUAUUUCGGCCAUGUAAUGGAGAAUAGGCUGAUAAAAAGCUACCAUCGAAACUUUGAGAUAUACUUCAGUCUAUACACAUGGCAGACAUUUAAUCCAAGAAAAAGCUGUACUUUUAAGGCAUUGAGUUUAUAAAUAUUUAAUGCCCCACAAAGUGACAUUGAAGAGUUAUUAUAAGUUAAGGGAUAGUAUGAGAAACAUGCCAGUUUAAAGUCAGGUCUUGAGGUCAAGAAACAGGUAGUGGAACCAAAGAGCUUUGGAAAAAAAGAUGGAAGGCGGUGAGAGAAAACCUAUACAAGGAGUGGCAACUGUGCAGGUUUGUCCGUUUGUAUUCUGGCAUCUUGUGUUGAUACAAAAAGCCCAACAACUUGUGGCGAAUCCAGGACAGAUACAUUUUAGAUCAUGCAAACCUCUUGCACAUUCUGCAACUAGAUACAGCCUCAGUUUAAGGUAUUAAGUCCAAAACUCAGAAAAUCAUUGUUACUCGUUGUAGCAAUUUUAAUGUCCAAAACAUCACGUGCACAUACAAGUUAAAAAUAAGUUUUGUAUCUACCAUGAAGAUUUUAGUUUCUACCAAAGAAUUCUUCUUCAGAAACAUGGGGAUCUAGACUCAAAUCUCCAACGAUCCUACAAAGUGAAAUUAUAUCGGGAGUAAGGGAGUACAACACAAUAUAAAAGGUAACACAUGGGUAUAGGCAUCUUUUGUCAUUAAACCUUAGCAAGUGCAAUCCUGUCAGGUUUUUCCAAGUAAACUACAACAAAACUAUACACUCUGCUUCUCCUAAAGUAUCUCCUCACAGUUGUUAUCACUUUGGCCUUAAACAAGUCCUACAUCUCAUGUGUCUAUUACAGGUUUCAUUUUCAAUUUUAGUGUAAAUUUUCACAAGACAGCUAAACAACUGUUUUAUUGCCUUUGUUACACAGGUAUGCACUACACUUCAACGAACUAGAAGAAAUCAGCAAUUCCACUAGAUCCUAUGUCCAAUGUCGAAGCUAACCAAAGUUGCAGACAAUGGGAAAACACAACUUACAGCGGUAAUAGGUAUCUCAAAGAUGUCAAACCAAGAAGGCAUUACAGAACCAUCUGCAAAAAUGGAACUUAAGUAUCAAUGAUAUGUACUUAAACUAGUCCUUAUUAAGAGAACUCAAGAUGUUUUUCCAGUGAUCCAAGAAUUGCCGAGCACAGAAGAAUGCUGUUAAAAAAGAUUUAUGUUCUGAAGAAACAAAAUCAGGAUUUCUUAAUAGGACUGGUCAAAAUCUAGGAAGCACGGACACUUCUACAAAUUCACUGUGUCAGUGUCGGACACUGCUCGGACACGGACACGGCUUCGGACACGGCUUGGACACGUGUCCGACACGGCACAUGCGUGUCCCAUGUGCCGUUCAAUCUGGACACUUCUUGGACACUGUUCUGGACACGGCUUGGACACUGUUUUGGACACAGAUAUGUUCCUAAGUCCUAAUUUAAGACGAAUUGUAAUAUCUUUCCAACCGUUUCUCUUUCAUGCUUUAUGAACUAUGAAUGCAUAUGAUACAUGACAUGAUUUCUAAUAUAUUAUUGAUAUACCAUAAUUUUUUAUAUAUAUCUAAUUGCCGUGUCCGUAUCCUAAUUUUUGGGAUAUACAAGUGUCGCCGAGUCCGUGUCCGAGUCCGUGUCAGUGUCCGAGUCUGUGCUACCUAGGUCAAAAUAUUAGUUCGAACAAGGUUGGGGAUAAAUGCUUUGUAAGCUUCCCCUCGACUAUAGCAUUUAUAAAAAAAAAAUCAGGAUUUCUUGAAGUUAUAACAAGACUCCAACAAUAUUUACAAAGUCGAAAAGUGAAUACGUUAAUUUCUUUAUCCAAAUGCUCAAUUAUAAGGGAUCAAAAUCAGUGCAUUCAGUUUCCCAGAAGUUCUUAAAAUUCCACUAAAUCAAUCUCAGUUUACAAUAGAUUUUUCCACUAACAUUCUUAUUAUCACCAAGAGAAUAGUAAAAAAAAAAAGACUGAGAUUUCGACAGAACCUCAAACUGGGGGAAAUUAAUCGAAAUAGUUUCUCCAAAAUUUCGACAACAAACUCAUCCAAGUAUCAUAAAAUAAAAUGGAAAUAUUCCAUCCCCAUUUACUAAAAACCCCUAAAUUUUCGGUUAAACCUCGCAAAAUUUUAUAUAAAUAUGCAUCAAAUUCUUUGAAACCCACCAAAAAGCUUAACAAAAACCAUUCAUUGAUACCAUAAAAUCAAAAUAAAACAUACCCACAUCAAAAUUUCGACAACAAACAACCAGUGUCAAAAUUUCUCCCAAAGUAUCAUUAAAAAAUCAAAAUAUUCCAUCCCCAUUUUCUAUAAAACCCUAAAUCUUGGGCAAACCUCUUAAAAUUUUACAUAAUAUGCAUCAAAUCCCUUAAAACCCUCCAAAAAACUUAACAAAAACAAUUCAUUGAUACCAUAAAAUCCAAAAUAAAACAUACCCAGAUAAAAUUAAGCAUUCUAUAAAUAAUAACAUUCAUAAUAAAAUUAAAAAAAAAAAAUCAAUCAUAAGAAUCUAAGAAAAAAUCAUGGAAAACACAAUGAUGGGGUUGAAGAAAAACUGCAAAAUGAUCAAAAAAUACUUACAGUUACAAGAGACAGGAUUUGAAGGGGCAGAAGGAAAAGACCAAGUAGUAUUUUUAAACAAAGAAGAAGUGAAGAAAGUUUUAAUAGGUUCAUUUGCAGGACCAGAAUCACCUAAACCAUGAAGCCAAAGAACAAAGCUUUUAGCCAUUGGAUUUGGUUUUUGAGAAGAUGGGUUUUGUUGGAAAAAGAAAAUGAAGAAGAUAGUUGUUGUAAAUGUUAAUGUCAGAAGUGCAAAGGGUUUAAUGAAUUUCUUCAUAUUUAAAUGGAAAAUGGAAAUUUAUAUAUUUUUCAUUAAAAUGCAGAAAAGUAAGGGAGGACUUAGGAGAAUGUAACAAGACAUUAUUACCCUCUUUCUUUUCCAUAAUGCUUAUUAUAUCCCAAUUCUGUAUAACUGAACUUCUGCAGUUGAAUUGUUGUCCAUGACGGAUGACCAUAGUUCAAAAUGCCGAUUUCAAGCGAAUCCUUGAAAAAUGGAUUUUACCGAGAUUUCGACACUAGAUAUCAAAUUAGAAGCCGAGUACUUGGAUAUUUGUGGAUAUUUAUAAAGUUUUGUGUAUCCAAUUUCUCAAAUAUCGGCAUAAUUCGUGGGAUAUCCGCGGGUAUCUUUGAUAUUUUGAAGUAUGUUGAGGACUCCAUUCAACCAACAUUGGUUCCAAGGAAGAAAGUGUUCUUCUAAGCAUCAAUUUACCUCGCAUUUCAAGUACUGUAUCUAUGCAAAUAUUGAGAAAACGCAAACACAAAGCUCCUCCUUCAAUGUUAUUAACAUUUUUUUGUAAAAUCCCGAAGAAGGUUACGUCACUAUUUUCGAGCUUUCGAAGGAUAUUACAUUUGAAACUAGGCCUUAUAAUUUAUUUGGGAGAUCUUAUUGACACCGAUGAUGUUCGUCAAAAACCCAACUGAAAUAAAAUUAUUUGGAAAACCCAAACUGACAAUUAUUUUUUUCCAAAAUUACCCUUUAACCCAUUUAAAACUGGAUUUCUUCCUCUAUCUUCUUCCUGUUCCUACCACAGUACUAUCUUUGCUUCUUGAAAACUUAGAUAUUUAAACAAACGAGUUGUUUUAAUUAAAAACCUAGACCAAUAAAUAUUUAAACAAACACGUAUAAACCUAGACCUAGAACCAAUAAACCUAGAAGCAUUUUUUUUUUUUCUUUUUAUAAAAACCUAGAACCAAUAAAUAUUUCUAAUUGGUAAGCAAAUAGGGCACAAUCAAACACUGUGUCAUUCAAUAAUUGUAUGACUUUAAUAAAUAUAUCAAAUUAAAUCACUUAGUAUAGAUUACAAAGAGAGAAGAAAGAUUUAUUCCCACAAAAAAAUGUGAUUUAUUUAAUUUUUUUAUUCCUUGAACUUUUGAUUGGGUUUUUGACAAGUUAUGAUGGGUGUUUGAUCAAAACAAACUAAUUGUUUAAAGGGUAUAGUUACAAAGAGAGAAGAAAGAUUCAUGUUGGGUUUUUGAAGAUUUUUGAUUAGUUGGGUUUUUGACGAGUUCAUUGGGUGGCAAUAAGAUUUCCCUAUAAUUUUUGUAACGUAGAGAAUAUGUUGGUCAUAGCUAAAGCAAAUUUUUAAACAACAAUGACGUAAUAGUCUUAUGAUGAUGUGGUUAGGUGUUCUUCCACGAUGAUGAUGAUGUGGUUAGGUGUUCUUCGGUGAAAGCAAGUUUUGAGUAGCAGAAUUGCUCGAGUUGCAAGGUGGUGAUGUGGACACUUAGAAGGUAGCAUCAGUAGUCUUUGGGCCUUGUCUUUGUAAACCCUUUGGGCCCUGUCCUUGUAAGCCUUCGGGCCAUGAUUAAUAUACAGGGAUCCUAAUUGCUGCCAACAUACACCAUGGAAAGCGAAAUGUGGUGAAUCAUAGCGGGCUUCAACGGGCGGUUAGAAAUGCUUAAAAGUUUCGGGCUCGGAGGAGGCAUUAAGUCCUUUAUAUGUACCAUUGGCCUCCAUCAAGUCUUCAGGUAUUCCUAAUUUCCAACAACUCGGCCCAGAUAUUGGAGAACACACUUUGCUUUUGGCUGUGUUUUGCUCCUUGCGCCAUUGUCCACUCGCAAAUUAAUAUGUGGCACACGCAGUAACGGAGCUAACACCAUAGCAUUAUUGUGUGUGCCACAUGUUAUAAACUGAUUUAUUAUUAUAGAUCAAAAUUAGCAAAUUUGUUUCAACUUUGAACCUGAAUAUAGACAGUCCAUUUGGAUUCCACAUAUUCUUCUAUCUUCAAUCAUUUUCAGAUAAAAUAGAUUCCCAUAAGACCAGGUAAAACAUUUGUCCUCCUGACAUCUUCACCACCCAAACAUAGAAACAAGGGUAGUGUUCUAUAAUUAAACCUCCAAAAACAAGGCUUUAUGGCCUAAAUAUAGUAUGCAGAUGACCCCUUUAUAUUUAUAUACUUGUGGCCAUUUGAUACAUAAAAAGUUCAAACUUCUAGUGUAAAAAGGUAAGGACUAAAUCAAUAACCAUGGCCAUGAAUAAAGUUUUCUUACUAUGCAUGAUUGCAUUAUUUGUUAGUUUUCUUUAUUGAAAACUACAAAUGCUACUCCUAUUGGUUAUGGAGAAAUGGACAAACAUCGCAUACCUUGUAAGAAGUAUGGUCAUUGUGCACCUCCUCAACAAGCCAACCGCUACACCAGACCUUGCCUUAAAUCAGAACGUUGCAGGGGUGGAACUGCCAAUCGCAGAACUACAGAAGUAAAGGUUGACAAAGAGGAUAAAGAGCAGAUGCUAGAGGUUGAAAACACAGCCACAGACUCUACUCCAACACAAGUUGAUGACUUUGUUGAACAAGAUGUGGUUGUUCUUGGACACUAAUAUAUUUUUCCCUGGAAUUUUACAUAUUUUUUGUAUCCAUUGUAUUGCAUUCUUAUUAAGAAAAGAAAACAGUAAAUAAAAGAGAGGUUGAUAGUCUGAAUUAUGGAUCUAAGCGCAUAAUUUAGUGUUUAUUCUUUUAUUUUACAUGCGCAUUUGUUUUACCUUACUUUAUUUCUUACAUGCAAAGCAUCGAUCUAAAAAAUAAUUACAGCUAUAUAUGAAUGAGGAUUUGCUCAUCCAGGUUCACCUAAAAGUUACGGAAUAGAACUCGUUAGACAUCAACCAAAAUGUAGAAUAUGUUUACUGUCUAAAUGUCCUCUGACAUGGAACUUGUCAGCCACAAGCAAUGAGCACUGUUAACAUUAUCGAACUCUUUUUAUACAACAAUGACAUGAUGGUCACAUGAUGAUGUGGUUGAAACCGGCACGAAGUGGUUUGACAUCAAUUUUGUGACAAAGUGUCUUUGGUUAUCUCGCCUUGAAUUCAUUGUUAGGAAAAUCAAGAUGUACGCAUGGUCGUCUCGUGUCCUUGUGUCUCUUAGGUCUGUCCAGGAAAAGUUAUUAGGUUCUGGACGUACGUACCGGAUUAGAACGUACGUACGUCCACUGAAGCAGCAAACAUCUUUUGGUCAGGACGUACGUACGCAGUUAGGACGUUCGUACGUCCAAGUAGGCAGCAGACGUGUUUUCGUAUGGAGACGUACGUACCGAGUUAGAGCGUUCGUACGUCAUGUUAGGCAGCAGGCUUUUUCUUGUGUGACGACGUUCGAACGUCAUAUCGACGUACGAACGUCCAAAGUCGGUUUGCACUGUUUCGGCCCAUUUUCCUUGGUUUUCAACCCUAAGUAUAAAUAGGGUUUCUCUUCCAUAGAACAAGUUAGUUCUUUGGCCGUCCAUUCUUCUUCUAGUUCAUGUGUUUUGGUUAGGUUUUUGAUAUUGAAAGUGUUUGUGGCUAUUGAACUCAAUUCCCUUCCUUCCCCCUUUUCUCAAUUCAUAUCUUUGUGAUCUUCAAGAGUUAAUUGUGAAUUCGGCUUCGAGUCUUCUUGUGUGUUCAUCAAGAAGUCGAGUGUCUUGUGCGUACAUCAAGGUGCUCUGGUGAAGUCAAGGUGUUAGAGAUAACCAGGAGUAUCAACUCGCAGUGAGUGCAGGUAGUUGAUAGGUUUGUACAUCUCUUUUCAUCUAGUGGAUUAUUUUGUUGUCGCGAGGACAACCGUGGACGUUUCCCUGUUUGGGUUUUACCACGUUAAAAAUCUCUGUGUGUUAUUUACUUUCUGCGUAUUGUUUGUUUGCUUGUUUGAAUUCACAUUUGUUAUACUAGCACUAUUUGUAGUUUCUCAAUUGGUAUCAGUCGCUGGGGGCUGGUUAAGGAGCGUAAAGGCUCACGCUAACGAUCAAUAGUGCUUUAUGGAAUCUCACAAGUCUGCUACUUCAAGUCUUCCUCCACAAUUCAGUGGAAAGGACUUUGGUCAUUGGAAAGUACGUAUGCGAGCUUAUCUCCAAGCAUUAGGAGAAGAAGUCUGGCUUUCUGUUGUCACAGGGUGGAAAGAACCUCUGACUACUACAGGUACUGAUGAUACUGCUGUUACAUCACUGACGCCACGUGAAAAGUGGACGCCUGAACAGAAGUUGUUGGCAAAUUAUAACAACAAGGCACUCAAUGCUAUUUUCAUGGCAUUAAAUGCUAGUGAGUUUCGUAGGGUGCAGGGCUGUGAAGAGGCUAAAGAUGCAUGGAACAGGCUUAUCUGUACACAUGAAGGUGACGAAACAGUCAAAGAAAGUAAGCUGGAACUGUUAACAUCUCAGUUUGAGAAUCUACGGAUGGAUAAUUCUGAGACCUUUGAUGAUUUCUUUAUUCGUCUCCAAGACAUCAUCAACUGCAGUGCGGCUAUUGGUCAUGCAUAUACUGACACACAGGUGGUACGUAAGAUAUUGCGUGCUUUGCCUCCUCGGUUUCGUUCACGUAAGGAUGCCAUCACUGAGAGUAAUGUGAUUAAGAACAUGUCCAUCGAGACACUUGCUGGCAAACUAAGGACAUGUGAGAUGGAACAGGCUUUGGAAGAACCUUUGAAGAACAAAUCUGUUGCAUUCAAAGCUACAUCGUCUAAAGAACCUUCCACAGGACCCUCUGAUGAUGAAGAACAUGAUGUGGAUGAUAACUAUGCGUUUCUGUCACGUAGCUUUCAGAAGAUUCUGAAAUAUCAACAGAAUCGAGAUCCUCGAAAGCGAUUUCCUGAUUCCUCAAAUGCUCCUAGAAGUCGUGGUUUUGAGCGGUUCUCUGUGGAUGGGAGAAGAGCUCGAGUUGAUCGUAAAGAUGUUCAAUGUUACAAGUGUCGUGAUUAUGGACACUUUGCAAAUGAAUGUGACAAGAAGGUGGAUCGCAAACCUGGUGAUAAUUCCAAAGCGAAUCUCACAGUAACAUGGGAUGAUUCAGAUGAAGAUGAUGAUGGGAAUCUCUCAAAUGUUGUCUCCAAUUAUGUGGUCUUCAGUGCAUCCUUGGAUGAACAUCCAGGAGGUAUUGUAUCCUCUUCUGCUGAUAUUAAUGUUUCUGAUUCUGGUGUUCAUGCUACUACUAGUGAAUUAUGUGACAUGUAUAAGUUUUCUAUGCAACAAGUAAAGUUGCUUGAAAAAACUAACACCGUCUUGCAGGAUCAGGUAGAGAGUCUUGGACAGGAUAUAUGCAAUCUUACAGGUGAUUCCAACAUGUUGAAGGAAGAAUUUGUGAAGGAAAAGGAGGAUUUCCAAGUGCGUAUUGUCACUCUGGAAAAGCUGAAUAAUGAUCUGGAGACACGGUAUCGAUCCCUUGUACUGGAGCAUGAGAAAGUAAAGGCUGAGUUGUUUGCUGCUAACAAACAAUUGGUUGGGUUUGGUAAAGCAAGUGCUAAUCUAAACUCUCUGUUGGGAAUCGGUAAAUCUCAUUCAGAUAAAUCUGGUUUAGGUUAUGACACAUCUGUUCCCCUUGCUACUGCUAGCACUUCCCGCACUACCUUUGUGCGACCAACAAGUGUCGCUAUUCCUGCUCCUGUGCAGGUGUCUAGUGUGGUAUCACCACCCAAGGUUACUCAUGUAAAGCAUGUUCGGAAAAAGAACUCUAGACACAAAGGCUUUAAAUGUCUAACAUGUGGUCGCAUGGGUCACACUUCUGCCUUUUGUUGGAAUAAUUUGUAUCCUGCUCAUCAUCCUUCUUUUGCAGGUAACUCAUAUUGGAACAAGUCUUCCACCUUCUCCAUGCAGGCUCCAUACAUGUGGAAUGGCUAUGCUCCGUGGGGUUUACCCAGAACUUCUCCUUAUGGAAACCGUCCUCAAGCAACACCCAUGCCUACUCCACCACCACAUUUCUGGGAUAGGAGUAUGGAUGCAUCCAGGAAAAUGGUGUCUCACAUGGCUCGUUUGGUUGAACCAUUGCCUUCAUCAUGGUAUCUUGACAGCGGUUGUUCGCGUCAUAUGACAGGUGAUAAGACUCUGAUUGAUAACCUGACUCUUGGUUAUGGAGGUAAGGUUAGGUUUGGUAAUGGUAAAAUGCUUCCGGUUGAAGGUAAAGGUAACUUUUCUGAGGUUGAAUCGCUCAAUAGUCAUGAGCUUCUUUUUGUUAAGGGUCUUAAGUCCAAUCUAUUGAGUAUUAGUCAGUUAUGUGAUGCUAAAUUUAAGGUUGUGUUUGAGGAUAAUAGGUGUGAUGUUUUUGAUUCCAAUCAUAUCUUGGUGUUAACUGGUAGUCGCUCAUCUGACAACUGCUUCAUUGUCACUACACCUCUUCCGCAUUCAUAUGCCUAAUGUGUUCAUUGGAAAUGUCUGUGUUUAGGAUAAUUAGGUUCGGUUAUUUAUUAUUGUUGGUAUUGAGGACAUACUACUUCUCUAUUGUGUGGAUUCCAUUUUACAGAUGUUUCUAGUUUGGCGUCCUCAACUGCUUGUGUAUCAUGCAUAGUUGUAGGGUUACAUCAUACUCUCUUUGUCUUGGUAGUUUCUUACAUGAUGCAUUUACAUGUAGUUGGAUUGUCGUUUUGCAUACCUGUAUAUCUCCGGUCUUCUAUGAUUUACUUUCAUGAUCAUCGUCUUCCUUCAUAUGUUUUUACCUCUUGUAAGUGGUCAAUGACUCACAAAAUCCCCAGCCAUUUGAAUGUCUUGAGAGCAUACUCAUUUGGCUAAGAACCCGUUGGGGCUGUGAGGGUCAUGCUCUGACGGAUGCACUCAGGAGAUGUUAGUUCUUGUGUUGCACGUUACCAUGGUAUUGCACUUCUUGAGUGUGUUUUGCCAAAAAGAUGUAGGCUACACCCUACCCUCGUGUUCUGGCAAAAGAUGGAGAUAUUACAUACUCCCACACGGGAAUGGCAUUUGUUUCAAAUAGUUUUAUAAACAAAAAAAAAAAAAAAAAAAAAUGCAAAGUGGCUUUCGCAUUUGUCCGGUUGAAUGACAAGAAGAACCGAAAUAUUGUGUGUUUCCUUGGUUUUGUUGUGAUCCGGUUCACUUUCACAAUGGUCUAGUAGCAAGUGACUUUCUUUAUUCUCAAUGAUCAUGUUUUUAGUUUGUUUCCGGAGAUUGGUAUUGGUCUAUAAGUAUCGUCUACAUGCUUGCAUCAUUCUAGUAAGUACCAUGCCUUGGUGUAUGAUGUCGUUCUUCGAUUUUGCAUUCUCUUGUGGUUGAGGGUUGUUUAAACUGUAUUCGGUUGUAAUUGGAAUACGUAUGAUAAGUAGAAGUGUUUUCUUGUGAUGUCUCUCAAUAUUUGUUUUUGGGGUUAUGUGGUUUAUUAUCUAGCUGUUAGGUUGGUUCUUUCUUUUUCAAAAAAAAAAAAAAAAAAAAAAAAAAAAGAGGGGUACGUACGUACGCUUUCAUGACGUUCGUAUGUUUGGGGGGACAGAUCUUUUUGAAACGUACGAACGUUCCUAAGACGUACGAAUGUGUUCUUAGUCAGAUCUUUGGUUUUUGGGGCUCGACGUACGAACUUCCUAGAACGUACGAACGUCUCUGUUACAGUUCGGCCCAUUUGCUGUUUAAAAACCAAAUUUUUUUUUUCACACAAAGCCAACUGUUAUAUAAAUCGUGUUUCCCUCCUUGGCACUCUACAAGCAGUUAGUUUUUGGUUAGUUUUCCCUCAUUGUCUUAGGAGAUUCUCUUCUCUCUCGUCUUGUUUGAAAUUUGUUCAUCUUCUCUUCUCAUUGUUUUGGUCCGGUGUGUUGGUCGUCAUCCUCAAUCACCAUCUCUUGUAAGUUUUAUUGAUCUCUCUUUCUUCUCCAUUGUCAUGUUUUGUUGAUUGCUUGGUUAUACUUUAUAGUAUUGUCAGUUAAGGUUGUAUGUUUACAUGAUGAAUCAAUGGAAAUUGGUGUUUCGAUACUCAAUCUUUCAUUUUUUUUGUUGUGGACAACCUUGGGAAGUGUUUUGUUCAUGGUAUCUGCUAUUGGUUAUGUUUUGCCGUGUGUUUGGUUGCUUGCCUUUGCUACAUUGUUGUCAAUACCAUGUAUUAAGAUUAUGCACAUCAAGUGUUUGAUGAAAUGCCUCUAUGGGCUUGAAUUUGGUUAUUUUGUCAAUUUUCUUACAUUAUUGGUUUGUUUACUGUUGUGAUUGUGUAGACAAUGGCUUCUAAGCGCGCACGCACCACUCCCAUCUCCACGGCAUCCGCGUCUAAGGGUGCAUCAUCUUCUCGCGCUCCGCGGGGUCGAGGCUCCACUCCGGCCUUGUCGCCUCCUCCCACAUCUCUUGGUGCUCAUCCUUGAGCAAAAGCUAUUGUUCCUGAGCGAUUCUUUGACUUGGCAGACAUCGCUGCUACUCCUUUUGGGGCUACUCAGCUUGGCAACAUAUCUCUAUUCUUUGAGACUCGGAAUUGGCUAAGGGUGGCUCAACCAAUCAUCAAGUACUCGGUUGAGCAUACGAUAGCCUUCUAUGAGACAAAGACACCUUCGCAAAAUCGCUCGAGUUUUUCGGUCUUGAUUGAAGGUCGGCGAUACACCAUUUCUCCUAAGGUGAUACGCGAGGCGUUGGGUAUUGAUGGUGACUUUAUUCCUGAAGAUGCUGUUUCUGUCAGAUGGCCCGUUCCGGAUACAAUUCAAAUUGACUUUGUCAAUCAGGUUCAGCAGAUGUUUAUUGAUGGUGUCACGGAAAGGUAUCAUGCCAAGCACUACAGCGCCAUCCUCUUGCACAUGGUUGCCCAUUCCAACAUCUACCCCUCCAAGGGCAACAAGAUUAUCAUGACCGACGACAUGGUCAAACUGGUGGUCUGUAUGUCGGUGCACCAUCUUCAUCUCUCUGAGGUCAUCUACACUCGAAUGCUUCAGAUCGAUGCAGCUAAGGGUACUCUUCCUUUCCCUAGCUUUAUAAUGACUAUACUCAAGCACUUGGGUUUUCAGGGACAGUAUAUGGGGGUGAGCCCUCCAAAGUUUGUUGGCCACGACUGGGUCAACGCUAUCAAAAAGGGCUGUCAGUCUAGGAAGGUUGCCUUUGAGUCUGUGGGUGCGCGUUUGACGCAUCACCUUAUUUGGGGAGGUCGGGCUCUUGAUCGCCAAGAUGAUUUUGAUCGGGCCUUGACGUCUGGACGCCCCAUCCCAGCCUCUGCUAGGGGGAAAUCGGGCUGUUGCAGCAAUUGAUGCUCGGGUCUCCUCUCUCCGACGUCAUCAGGACCAUAUGGAUGCUCGGUUAGAUCGUUUUGGGGUCAUUCUCUCUCGUCAUGAUGUCAUGAUCAGUGAUAUUCAUGCGAUGAACGUUGCUCAGAUGCGUCAUCUACAGCUGGACUUCACUCCCACAGACUUGCCUCCGUUUCCGGAAGAGGUGCCUCCAGUUCCAGGUGAGAGUGAUGGUGAUGACUCAGAGAGUGAGGACGAGGGUGAUGGUGAACACAGUGAUGGUGACUUGGACUCCGAGUAGUUGGUUUUCUGGCUUCCUCUUCCCAUUUUUGUACUUAUUUUUUUUGCUAUAUUGGUUUGUUUCUAUUUUUUUGGUAUUGUACAUAUUCUUGGAUAUUGCUAUUUUCAUAUUAGUUCAAGUUGGUUUCCUUGUUUUGCAGUAAAUUUUUCUGAGGUAAUGGACCUCUCUUCUUGGGCCCAUGAUAUGCUUACCCCUACUUUUCCUAUAAAUAGGGAGUCUUUUUCUCUUUCACUCCUAUUGUGUCUUCUUACUUCUUGCUAGUUCUCUCUUUGUUCUUCAGAAUCCUCUAUGGCAGAAUAUGAACUUCAUGGAAUUUUUGUUCCGACGGUUGGUUAUGUGUCGUUCAUGGUAAUGGAGUACAAGAACAACGCUAAGGUUUGUCGUUUAUGUCGCGUUCCCCAUGGAUAUGACUAUAUUCAUCGUCCUUUUCUUAAUCCUUGUUUGGUUCGUGUCAAUCAUUGGGAGAGAUUACCGGGACAUCUUCAAAAUCACAUCUUGGAGUUGGUUGGUUAUCCGAAGGUUCCAGGACUUGCUGCUCCACUUACCGACUGUGGCUUGGACAGCAGAAUUGAGGAGUUGUUUUGUAAGAGUGAAUGGCUGGAGGAUUAUGAUGAUCAUGUGAUUGCUCGGUGGAAUCGACCUUCGGCUCGUGCGGAAGCUUACUUCUCCAAGCUUCCUCUAGGUCAUUGGGAACGGGUUUUUUGAAUUCGUUAACUCAAGCCUUAUGUUUUUGUCGUUUUGUCUUUUAUGUUUAUGGAUUUCUCUGUUUGGUUAUUAGUUGAUUUUCUGAACUUUUAACAGUUGGGUUCGGUUUAUAUUUUUAUCUGUUUUGUAUUCAUUGUUUGGUAUUGAUUUCUUCUUCUUGGUUAUUGGUUUAUUGUUGUUCUUUUCCUUUGUUGGUUGGUUAUCUUGUUCACUUGUUGUGACAAAAAGGGGGAGAUUUAUGACUCUAAUUACUAACAAUCGUCUUCUUGUUGUUAGGUUAUUUUUGGGUCAUGUUUCAGGUAUGCUACACGUAUGGGGGAGUGAACGUGUUGAUGAUUUUAGACGUUAUAUUGUUAUGGGGGAGUUCGAGUGUCAAAAAUAUUUUAGAGCUCAUGAAGUAUGGGGGAGUUGCUCAUGAAGUUUGGAGCUCAUGAAGUAUGGGGGAGUUGCUCGAAGGAACUUCUGUUGAAUCCUUGAUUGCUUCGGAAAUUUCUAGUUGCUUCCGUUCGAUCUCUGAUGGUUAAAGCAUCUUCCUAAAGCUGGAUAACAAGAAUUGGUGACUCGUUAUGUGUUUCUAUUUUGAGUGAUUUUGUAGGCAUGUUUUAUAAAUGCCAUGGUUUGGGAUUGUAAGAACGUUUUAUAAGUGCUAUUAGAGUCAUAGGUUUUUGUCACAAAAUCAAUGUCAAAGGGGGAGAUUGAAACCGGCACGAAGUGGUUUGACAUCAAUUUUGUGACAAAGUGUCUUUGGUUAUCUCGCCUUGAAUUCAUUGUUAGGAAAAUCAAGAUGUACGCAUGGUCGUCUCGUGUCCUUGUGUCUCUUAGGUCUGUCCAGGAAAAGUUAUUAGGUUCUGGACGUACGUACCGGAUUAGAACGUACGUACGUCCACUGAAGCAGCAAACAUCUUUUGGUCAGGACGUACGUACGCAGUUAGGACGUUCGUACGUCCAAGUAGGCAGCAGACGUGUUUUCGUAUGGAGACGUACGUACCGAGUUAGAGCGUUCGUACGUCAUGUUAGGCAGCAGGCUUUUUCUUGUGUGACGACGUUCGAACGUCAUAUCGACGUACGAACGUCCAAAGUCGGUUUGCACUGUUUCGGCCCAUUUUCCUUGGUUUUCAACCCUAAGUAUAAAUAGGGUUUCUCUUCCAUAGAACAAGUUAGUUCUUUGGCCGUCCAUUCUUCUUCUAGUUCAUGUGUUUUGGUUAGGUUUUUGAUAUUGAAAGUGUUUGUGGCUAUUGAACUCAAUUCCCUUCCUUCCCCCUUUUCUCAAUUCAUAUCUUUGUGAUCUUCAAGAGUUAAUUGUGAAUUCGGCUUCGAGUCUUCUUGUGUGUUCAUCAAGAAGUCGAGUGUCUUGUGCGUACAUCAAGGUGCUCUGGUGAAGUCAAGGUGUUAGAGAUAACCAGGAGUAUCAACUCGCAGUGAGUGCAGGUAGUUGAUAGGUUUGUACAUCUCUUUUCAUCUAGUGGAUUAUUUUGUUGUCGCGAGGACAACCGUGGACGUUUCCCUGUUUGGGUUUUACCACGUUAAAAAUCUCUGUGUGUUAUUUACUUUCUGCGUAUUGUUUGUUUGCUUGUUUGAAUUCACAUUUGUUAUACUAGCACUAUUUGUAGUUUCUCAGUGGUUAGGUGUUCUCCCAGGAUGAUGAUGUGGCUAGGUGUUUGUGGGUGCAAAAUUUUGAUCCACAAACUCGAGAUGUAUAUAUAUUGAUCGAAUAGUUACAAUGAAAGCCUUGUAUAGACAGAGAUAAGAUGAGGGUAUACAGUGAGACUGGACCUGAUCGGGAUCAGGCUGCCUACGUAUCCAAGAUGAUGAACGUGGAAUCAAGUCUCUGCUUUCACUAAGCUCUAAUGGAGUUGCUCAGUGAAAGACUCGUAGUUCAGGAGGAUUAAAACUCUUGUAUUUGUAGUAGGCCGGAGGAGGCUGACUCAACCACCCCUCCGGUUUUGACUCCAUAAACUCAGGUAGUUCAUCUGUGAAGAUGCUUUCCAUAGAGAUAGCUUGCAUGCUGCCGAGCGGUUAUCUCUUUGGUUUGAAUUCCCUUUGACCAGGAUGACUGCCACGUGGCAUCCUCUGAUAGGUCCUGGUUCAACCUGGGUCUUCCUUUAUCUUCUCCAGCGGGCUAUAACCAUGGGUUCUGUUAGCCUAAAAUCUCGCUAGACUUAUCCAGUUGGUUGGGACUUGGAUUGACCAAGCCCGAAAGCAAAGACUUGGGCUUGACUCCUCUGACCAGAGGCCCAAUUUCCACUGCAUACUCCCAGGCCAGAUCCUCUGGACUUCUGUGUUAAGCCCUUUGGAUGAGCCUCUGUCGCUGCCGGACUUUACUGAGCCGGACCUGACCUACUUGACUAAGGUGGGUCUGGUCAAUGUAUGGGAGCCCACGGUUCAACUUCUUAUACAGUAACCGGGGAUCCACCCAUUGAUAGUGGACUAUCCGGUGAGUCAAGGUCCACAGAGCGUAUGUGGAUCCCUUGAAACCGGGUUGGGCCCAACCCGAUAGCCCAGGCUUGGCUGGCUAAUGUUCAAGUCCUCCCGGUUUAGCUUCUUAUACAGCCAUCGGUGACACCUGUCGGUUUUUUUUACCUAGAGUGCACACAGUGUUCUUCAGCGAAAGUAAGUCCCUGGGUAGCAGAAUUGCUCGAGUUGCAAGGUGGCGGUGUGGACACUUAGGAAGUAGCAUCAGUAGUCUUUGGGCCUUGUCUUUGUAAGCCCUUUAGGCCCUGUUCUUGUAAGUCUUCGGGCCAUGAUUAAUAUAUAGGAAUCCUAAUGGUUUCCAACAUACACCAUGGAAAACGAAAUGUGUUCCAUCAUAGCAGCCUUCAACGGGUGGUUAGAAAUGCCUAAAAGUUUCGGGCUCAAAAGAGGCAUUAAGUCCUUCAUAUGUACUAUUGGCCAUUUGGCCUACAUCAAGUCUCCAGGUAUUCCUAAUUUCCAACAACUCGAUCAGGUACUGAUCAGCCCAGAUAUUGGAGAAAACACUUUGCUUCUAGCAGGGUUUUGCUCCUUGCGUCAUUGUCCACUCACAAAUUAAUAUGUGGCACGCGCAGUAACGGAGCUAAUACCAUAGCGUUAUUGUGUGUGCCACAUGUUAUGAACUGAUUUAUUAUUAUAGGUCAAAAUUAGCAAAUCUGUUUCAACUUUGAACCUGAAUAUAGAGAGUCCAGGCCAUUUGGAUUCCACAUAUUCUUCUAUCUUCAAUCAUUUUCAGAUAAAACAUAUUCCCAUAAGACCAGGUAAAACAUUUAUCCUCCUGACAUCUUCACCAACCAAACAUAGAAACAAGGGUAGUGUUCUAUAAUUAAACCUCCAAAAACAAGGCUUUAUGGCCUAAAUAUAGUAUGCAGAUGACCCCUUUAUAUUUAAGAACCUUUGAAUCCAUAUACUUGUGGCCAUUUGAUACAUAAAAAGUUCAAACUUCUAGUGUAAAAAAGUAAGGACUAAAUCAAAAACCAUGGCCAUGAAUAAAGUUUUCUUACUAUGCAUGAUUGCAUUAUUUGCUUGUUUUCUUUUAUUGAAAACUACAAAUGCUGCAACUCCUAUUGGUAAUGGAGCAAUGGAUAAAGAUCGCAUACCUUGUAAGAAGUAUGGUCAUUGUGCACCUCCUGAACAAGCCAACCCCUACACCAGACCUUGCCUUAAAUCUGAACGUUGCAGGGGUGAAACUGCCGAUCGCAGAAGUACAGAAGAAAAGGUUGACAAAGAGGAUAAAGAGCAGAUGCUUGAGGUUGAAAACACAGCCACAGACUCUACUCCAACACAAGUUGAUGACUUUGUUGAACAGGAUGUGGUUGUUCUUGGACACUAAUAUACUUUUUCCUGGAAUUUUAUAUAUUUUUUGUAUCCAUUGUAUUGCAUUCUUAUUAAGAAAAGAAAACAGUAAAUAAAAGAGAGGUUGAUAGUGAAUUAUGGAUCCAAGCGCAUAAUUUAGAUUGGCUCAUCCAGGUUCAACUAAAAGUUACGGAAUAGAACUUGUCAGACAUCAGCCAAAAAUGUAGAAUAUGUUGCUGUCUAAAUGUCCUCUGACAUGGAACUUGUCAGCCCCAAGGAAUGAGCACUGUUAACAUUAUCGAACUCUUUUUAUACAAAGGAGAAAAGUGAUCCAUAUAUCUUCUCUCUUUCAAUUGUGUGAUUUUAUUUCAAUAUUCAUCGAUCGUGAAGGAAGAUAAGAGGGCCAAUCUGCUUUAAUUUAUUGCAAAUAAAAAAUAAAUAAAUAAAAAGAAAGCAAAAGAUUUCUAAUUCUAAAUUAAUUCUAACCAACCAUCGAUAUUACAUUAGAAAAACAUUACAGUCAUAACAAAAUAAUGGUGGCAGGUGACGUUUUGAAUAAAAUUUUCAUUGAUGUAAUUAUAUUGUGAAACCAUUACAACUAGAUCGUUCUGAAGCAUGCUUUUGUGCAAAAGCUAUAGUUUUCUGAUGGAAGCCCUUCACGGAAUGAUGUUACCUUCCUUUCUGGUAGCUACAUGUUUUCUGAUGCUAUUGAUGUAUAUUCUGUCAAGGAAUGUGAGAAAAUCUAAACUCAAUCUCCCACCAGGUGUCCAGGUCCAUCCAAGUUGCCAAUCAUAGGCAACCUUCAUCUCCUUGGCAGUAGUCCCCACCUCUCUCUCAGUCGCCUAUCAGAGAAGUUUGGCCCCUUUUUUUACCUACAAUUAGGUCACGUCUCAGCGGUGGUAGUCUCAUCAGCAAGAUUAGCAAGGGGAUUGUUGACAACACAUGACCUAGCCUUUUCAUGUCGUCCCGAACUGUACUCAGCCAGACAUCUCUUCUAUAACUGUACUGAUAUGGCUUUCUCCCGUUAUGGUGCUAAUUAUUGGAGACAUAUCAGAAAAAUAUGAUUGAGCUGCUAAGUGUCAGCCGAGUCAAGACAUAUAGCUUUACUAGAGAAGAAGAGGUGGUAAACCUGGUUAACCGAAUUGCUAAGUCAUAUCCAGGCACCACUAAUCUUUUCAAGAUUCUUGCGAUUUAUGCAAAUGAUGUGCUUUCUCGGGCUGCCUUUGGAAGAAGCUUUUCACAAGGAGAUGAGUAUGACAAAGAUGAGUUUGAAAACUUGCUUGAGGAGUACCAAGUUGGCAAGUUUUGCUUGGAGGAUUUAGUGUGGGUGACUACUUCCCUUCCAUGGAGUGGAUAAACACGGCAACAGGCAUGAAAUCAAGACUAAUUAAAACGUUUCAACGUUUUGAUAACUUCUUCAAUGACAUCAUAGAUGAACAUCUCGAUCCGAAGAGAAUAAACCAAGGGAAUAAGGACCUUGUUGAUGUGUUUGCUCGAUUUGCAGAAAAGUGGAUCUCUUGACAUGGCUUUCACCAGGGAUAAUAUCAAGGUUGGCAUCUUGGUAAGCUCAUACAUUUGUACCUUGCGUUUUUUCCCGUGUUCUUUACAGUCACAGUUCAACUGAAUGUUGGCAGGUAAAGAUAUGUUUCAUGCUCAUAACCAUAUAUUGGUUGAUAUUAGCUGGUCCUAUAUGAAAGGAGUUUGUGUCAGUUCAUAUAUUAACCUUUUUUAGCUCAGGAGAGUUUGUGCACUCUCCUGAGCUCUUCAGGAGAGUGCUGAAGAUAAGAUAAUGGAUAGCAACGUGAUGACUGCGGGUUCGAACAAAUAUGUAUUUAGGAGAAUCGAGUUUGCUAUCCAGAAAGGACUUGCCGCGCAGUUUGUAGUGCGUUUGUCCUCUACUUUUGUGUAAUUCGUUGAGCUUAUCAAUAAAAUUUGUUAUUUAAAAAAAAAAAAAAAAAAAAAAUCCUUUUAAGGAUAUAUGUUUAAAUCAGUGCUAAUCAGUCCAAGAGUUCAAGUGAUUAAAGGUCUAGUCAGUCUAACUGAAACUUUAAAUUCGUGCAAACUAAUUUCAAAAUAUAAUUUCACGACUAACUACAGUAAUAUAAACUAACUAACUACAUCACUACAGUAAUAAUUAGCCGAUAAAUGCAGCUCAAAAGCUCGUUCCCUAUCGUUGUAUAAUCAAUUAGUCAUCGUUCUUUCUUUAAACUAAACACAAACAAAGUAACCUAGUACUGGAAAUUAAUUUGACUUGUUUGACUUACUAAGACCAAAAAAUAAAAAAUUUGGAGUACAAAUUUCUAGAACUAAUUAACCUAGAACCAUAUUAAACUAGAACCAAUAAAUAACACCAAAACUUUAAGCUAAAUCCACCCACCACCGAUUUAUAUUUACACCCACAUACCCUUUUUCUUCUUCUCCAAGACCCAAAACCACCAUACAAAACCUUCCUUCUUCUUCUCCAUCUCUUACACUGCGCACUCAGGCGUAUUUUAGCAAAAAAAAAACCCCAUUUCUUCAGAGAUGUUUGUAUCAAGGUUGUUAUCUCGUAUCUCGAGGAAUGGUUUGAUUCACUGUAGAAGUCUUACUCCAAAACAACAACAACAACAACAACAAGUUUUACCUAUUCUUUCUAAUAGUUUUCAUACCCUUCGUGAAUCUUCUUCUUCUUCUUCUCCUUCUAACAAGGUAAUUUUUUUUUAAUAAAGUUUGGAUUUUUAAUGGUUUUUGUUAGAGGGUUUUGAUUUUAUUAUCAUUUGGGUUUGUUUAAGUGAAAAAGAUUUGAUUUUUUGUGUGUUUUUUUGGGUUUGGCAUCGUGGGUAUGAAUUUUUUUUGGGGUUUAUGGUUUUAAUUUGCAUUUUUUUGGUAGAAUUUGGGCAUUAUGGUUUUGUUAGGGUUUAUGUUGAUUUGGGGUUUAGGGUUUAUGAUUUGUGGGAUUCUGACUUCCUUGAAUUUUGGAUUUUUUUAGAGAAUUAUAUCCAUUUUUUUUUGUUCAAUUUAGGACCAUUUGUAAAUUGCAUUUGUUAAAAAUCUGGAUUUUUUAGUAUUAAGGGUUUAGGGUUUAUCAAAGUUUAAUUAUAUAUGCUCUUGUGUUUAGGUUUUUGUUAAUUGAUUUAAUACAUGAUCAUUUCUAAUUUGCAUUUGUUAAAAAUCUGGAUUAGGGGAUGUCUUGAAAUGAUUAUUGUUUUGGGCCCAACUUAUGAGAAAGUAAUUUGCCAAAUUGGCAUUUACUACUACUAGUACUAAAUUUGAUUCGCCAAUCAUUUGUACUACUGUCAAACUCGAUUUUGGAUCCAUUAAGUGUAAAGCAUUGAUUUGAAUUCUUGUAUUUUGUUAAGUAGGAAUAGGGGGAUGUUUUGAAAUGAUUGUUGUUUUUGGUCGAACUUUUACUUAUGAGCCAUAUUGGCAUUUAUUACUUUUAUCGUUAUUUGGUGGUCACCUAUGAACUUCUGUUGUUUAAUUAAGGGUUUAGGGUUUAUCAGAAGUUUAAUUAUUUAUGCUCUUGUGUUUAGAUUUUUGUGAUUUGAUUUAAUACACGAUCAUUUCUAAAAUGCAUUUGUUCAAAAUCUGAGUGUAUUUUGUUAGAAAGGAAUGCAGGGAUGUCUUUAAAGGAUUAUUGUUCUCGUCUAAUUUUUCUUACUUUCUUUGAACUGUUUUGUUAAUUGUUGUCAUCCAUAUUGGCAUUUACUACUUCUGUUGUUAUUUGGAUCCAAAAAGUGUUUAGUAAUGAUUUAAAUACCCGUACGUUUUUUUUUAUUGUCAGUGGAUUCCCUGUCAAGUGACAUCACUGCAUCCAUCAGCUAUCAAUGGUUCUCAGCGGUUCUGGUAUUCAUCAUCUGCUCAGCCCUCUGAUAAAGAGACUAGUCAAUCUGCAGAUGGACAGGAGACUGCUGCAAACGGUACGAAAAAUGUCAAUGGUGCAAACAAUAAUGAAACUGUAGGGAAGAAAGAAACUGAAAGUACAUCUUCUGAUUCAGAUAUUGAGGGUGAUCUUUCUUUCGAUGACCUGGUAAAGCUUGUUGCUGAGAAAGAAGAGUUACUGAAAAUUAAGCAUAAGGAGGUUGAAAAAUGGCAAGAUAAGGCUCUUCGUAGUUUUGCAGAACUGGAGAAUGUCACGGAUAGAACAAAACGUGAAGCAGAGAACUCAAAGAAAUUUGCUAUACAGGUUUAUAUGCUACUACUUCAUGAUCUCAGAAUGCGGCCUCUUCCUCUAUAUUUAGGUUGUUUAUCUUUAAUUUUAAAGUUAUGUAUGUUUGCAUCCAUUGCAGAACUUUGCGAAGAGUUUAUUGGAUGUUUCUGACAAUCUAGGAAGAGCCUCUUCAGUUGUCAAAGAAAGCUUUGCUAAGAUUGAUUCAUCUCAAGAUUCUGUUGGAGCUGUGCCACUUUUAAAAACACUUUUGGAAGGUGUUGAAAUGACAGAAAAGCAGCUCGCUGAGGUAACAACUUGAUUUUGUUUAAAUCUUUUAGUUUGAAGCUGCUUUCUUUCUAUAGUUUUCUGCCUGAAGCCCCUUGAGACAUACUCGUCAUUGAAUCUUUGGAACUACUCACUUGAAAUGUGGUACUGAUAUGUUGAUUAUUUCCAAUGGCCUGAAUCUUGUUAACAUGGUAUAGUGUGUAUCCACAUAGAUGUGCCAUUAGAUCCAAAGCCAGCUUCUGUAAAAAGAGCAUUUCUCUUGCAUGUGCACAGUGCACUCACUAUGCAGUCUCAUAUGCACAUGGUAUAGGAAGAGCUUCUGUUAACAUGGUGUAGUGUGUAUCCACAUAGAUUUUUCUGACAUUUUAAUGAAAACUGGGAUUAAUGUCCGGGGCACGUUUAUGUUUCUUUAUAGGGCCUUUUUUGUUUCGUUUCAUUUUUCUGUUUAUUGUGUUAGUUUUUCUCUAGGACUUUUCAGUCUACAUAGUUAUGUACAUUUUUGUUGCUAUCAAUAGAAUAUACACUUUUCCGGUAAAAGAAAUUGUAUGAUGGGAUUUGAAAUUGCCUCUUAGGUAUGAAUUUCUUUGUUUAUUUACAUUACAGGACACAGUUCUCCUUUUUAUCUGUUCAUAUAACAGACUACUGUACUACUAAAUACUCAUAAAAAACAAUUUUCUUCCUUCUGCUUGAUAUUUAGAAGGCUAUUUUACUUCCAGCAGGAAACAUUCUUUUUGUUCAUGUUGGAGUGGCAUAUUGAGAAACUAGAUCCAGAUUUAAUAGUCAUGAGUGUAGAAACGUGAUUCCUGUUGCCAAUUUAAAUGUGAAUUUAGUCGGGGAUGGUUUUUGUAGUCAGAUUUGCCAGUUAUUGGAGUUAGCUACUUAAGUUGUAUGUGUAGGUUAUAAUGGAUUGAAGCUCAAUUUGUUUCUGAGAGCUUGAAAAUUAUUUCCAGGUAUUCAAAAAGUUUGGAUUGGAGAAAUAUGAUCCUCUGAAUGAGCAGUUUGAUCCUAACAAGCAUUAUGCGAUCUUCCAAAUACCAGAUGGAACGAAACCUCCAGGCACUGUUGCUGCUGUUCUGAAGGUAUAAACUUAAUAAAUGAUUAUGGUUUUCAGAUGUUUAGUUAUUUGGGAUUUUGGGGUUGUAGAUAUUGUCUAUCCUUCAUCCAAAAGAAAACCGUCAACUCAAAUAAAUCUUAACUGCCCACCAAGAAACCUAUACUUUGCUUAUUGGUCUGCUUAUCAGAUAAUUAUGUAUUCAUGACCAUGGAUCAUUUUAUAUGUGUUGCAGUCGGGCUAUAUGCUUCAUGACCGUAUUCUCCGUCCUGCCGAAGUUGGUGUGACUGAAGCUGUGAACACUGAAACCGACCAAAGUUCCUGAAGUCUUGGUUUUCCAGAUGGUUAGUUUUCAAGUGCAUUUGCUUGACAGAUGUGUAUUAUUUCAUGAAUGAGAGUGAAGUAGGUUUGUCCAAGACCUAAUGAGCUCUGGAAACUGUUCCUUUGAGUGUUUCAGAUUUUGAUCUACAAAUUUGUCCAAUUGUUCAUUUAUAGUGCCAUAUAAUGCGUAAAGUACUGGACUUACGUUAUAGCCUUAGUAUUUAUUACAAGCUGCAAUGGUUUUGCAUUAAUUUUAGUGAAAAAUGAACAUAAUGAUUAUCACAAGGCUUGUUAUAACAGGAGAUGUACUUUUGAAGCACCAAUCUUAUAAUAAGAGAUACAGAAGCAAUUAGAUAAACCAUUGGAGUUGUUUUCUUUAUUCCACAUUUUCUAGUGAAGUGUGCUAUGUAGCUCGUAGAACAAAUGUGAUUAGUUAGACUCAGCAAGAAAUAAUUGGUCUGCGAGCAGCUCUUAGAAUAUAGAGAGAGUUUAAGAGCAUGGAUAAGAGGAAAGGAGCUAUUUAGGCUCAACAUACUAUCUUUUGUCUUCUAGAGUCUAUUUGGUUCCUGUGAUUUUGUAAUACCUGCGUUGGUGGCACAUAAUGUUUUGUUUUUGGUCUUUGGGGUUAAAGGCUGUGACCGCAUACCUGUUUUGUGGGUGGUAUAGUGAAUGGAGUAAAUCGUGCGAUUAUUUUGAGCUGUGUUGAGUACUUUUGUACUUGUGUGUUAUUUUGUGCAAGCUAUGCACACAAAUGCACUUCAAUUCUGCAUGUUUGUUUAACUAGAUGGUGUCUGUGCACAUUAAUUCUCAUGUUGUUUAACUAGAUGUGUUGUUUAACUAGAUGGUGUCCUUGGCAAUCUAGGUAUCAUUGUAUCUCCAAUGUCGGGAAACAAACUAGAUAUUCUGCAUUUUGCACAAUCUUUAUAUCCUUCUGUUCCCACAAACUCUAGGGUUUGUUUGAUAAUUGGUGAAUCAGGCUAUUCAUCCGAGUAAAUGGGCUUUGCAAGGUUUGAUAUUUUGACCAGCUAAUUAUCAGUGUUUGACAACGACGAAAAUUUGUAUAAGUAAAUUUAUCGAAAAUUUCAGGAAACAAACUGUCAUGAAAUCUCCAAAAGGGUGGUCAAAGCAGAGUUGAAAAUUCUAAAUCCAGGCGAAAUUUUGAAUUUGAAAAAAAACCCCGGUAUAUUCCAACAUUCCGACACUCAAACAAAGAAGUUACCUGAACUUUUGGGAAUAUUCUCAGAUAUUUCCAGAUUUUUAUAAUACCGAUUCUCUAAAAACCAGCAUAUUCUGCCGAAAUUUUACGAAAUAUGUUGGCAUUUUCAACUAUUGGUUAAAGAUUGUCCCUGAAAAUCAAAUCAUAAAGGGUAAGGAUUGCAGAUUGCAAAUUGCUUAAAAUUGAGUUUAGGGUUAGAUCAAAAACCCAAUCCAAGUAAAAUGCAUAUAUGGACACCCAACUUUUACAAUGGGCCUGCCUAACAAUAUAUACCUAGAAUGAACCCAAACCAGAUCACACCUCUAAAACCCUGAUUUUUUUACUAUAUAAACCCUACUCUUCUCUAGGGUUUUACUCACCAAUUCAUUUCAUCACUUUCUCUUCUCUUGCCUCUUCUCUAGGUUUUUUUUUUUUUUUUUUUUUCUCUCUAAGUAUUUUUAUAAGAUGAAUGUUGUUUAGAAAAUCAAAUCUUUAUGUAGUUGUUUUGCUACAUUGUACCAAGAAUUGGGGUUGUGAUUUGCAAAAAAAAAAUCAUAAAUACCUUGAAUCUUGAAUUUUGCCAUAGUGGCUGUAGCUAAAGAAAUUUCAAAAGAAGUUUACUGGCCGGUUGUUGUGAGGUUUUGUAUAAAUCUCUGUCAACACAUCUGCUUACCGAACUUCUUACAUUUUCUUGUUACUUUUUUUCUUGAAAGUAAUGUGUUUGAUGAAAUCUUUGAAAGAAAGAGAGAAGGGAAGAAGAGAGGAAUUGGCAUAGGUUUUAGCCUUUUUUAAGAGACCCUUCUCUUAUAUUAAAAAAAAAAAAUGGCAUCUUCCAGGCAUUCUGCUUUGAUUUCUGGCAGUUCUUGCGUUCAUAGGUGUGUACAUCUUUGCUAGAAAAACUCUUUUGUGCUAAUUUUUUUUUUUCUGCAGUAGAGGUGUUUGAACAUAUGCAUAGCCUAAAAUUUCUUGGAAAUCCCCUUUUUGGUGAAAUUUUGAUGGUUGUGAAUAGAUACCAUUGUUCACAAUAUGCUUUGCUUUGUUGAUUUUUUGAACAUAGUCAGAUAGUCUGUCUUAUGCCUACUUUAUAUGUGGACACCUGAUAAAAGGCAGGGAUGUCACAUUCUCUACCAUCAAGAAUCAAUUAUACAUGGAAAAGUAAUCACAUAUAAACGGCUGGCAACAUAGCUUUUUUAGCUAUCAAAUUCACGAGGGAAACUGACCUCAAAUCAAAACCAGUUUACAUUGAGGGUUUGAGGACAUGUAGGUUUCUUAUUGGCCUUCACACCACACAUUACAAAGUCAGUCCUACUCAAAAUGUGUGGCUAGUACUGUUACCUAUGUGUAUCAGACAACCCAAGUCUGCUAGCCCUAAACCCAAGGGUGAAGCUAAAUAGCCUAAGGCCCAAUGCGCCCCUAGUUGAAUGGGUAUCAUCCAAGCUCCAUGUGGCAGAUGGGCAUAUUCACUAACGAGCAUUCCCAAUGGGAGGGCAGUUUGGUGCCCUCCACUCCACACCCUCCACUCCACAUAGAUGCUGUAUUAGGGGCUGGCUGGAAAUGGAUGAGGAGUCAGGAUUUAGAUAUAAAAAUACACUCGAAUUAAAAUUUAGAUAUGGAUUUAUAAUAUUCGGAUUUGGAUUCAGAUGUUAAUCUAUUUUGUAAAGAUUUUAUAUAGAAUAUUGUCGGAUUUAGUCGGGUUUUCGGAUUCGAAUUUAUGUACAUCCGAUUUGAAUUUGACCUGUUUUCAGCCCUAUGCCAAAUCAGUUAAACAACUUUUAAACUCACCUCUCCCGUGGUCGUUAAAACUAGGGAUGGUAAUGGGUCCGAUUCGGGACAAGUUUCACUGAUCCCAGUCUUAUCCCAUUUAAAAGGUUUUAAUCCCAAUCCCACCAAGAACUCGUCUUGAGUUCUAUAUCAAAUCCCAAACCCACCCAUUAAAAAUACUUAAUCCCAUCAGGAUCAUUCCAUCCCAUUUAUUUAAAUCGGACGAGUUGGGUCGAGUCUUACGAUUUUAUUAAUAAUUUUAUUCUAUUUGAAUAAUAAUUUAUUCUGUAGCUUCUAAAACUACUAAUUCAACUUCAUAAAAAAAAACUAUAAAUUCCUUUUAGGAUUUAAGUAAUAUGUAUGGGUGGGCUCAGCUUGGGAUGACCUAAUCCCACAUCUCGCCCAUAACCCUGAAUCCUAAAUCUGAUCCUAAUCCCAUUUUUAGCAUCCCAACCCAUCCCAUUAGAGUCGGAUCGGGUUGGGCUAAAUUGCCAUCCCUAGUUGAGCUAAUGGAAAAAAAAUGAACAAUGUCAUUUUAUACCACUAAAAAAGUAUAUAAGAAGAAACUUUAAAUUUCGAUGAAUUAAAGAUAAUUUGUAAGGCGGAACUUUAGUUUCUAGAGGAUUUAUAAGACGGAAUUGCAAGUUCUGAAUUUAAUAAAAGUUUAUAAGACGGAAGUGCAAGUUCCGAAUUCAAAAGAAAGUUCACAAGACGAAAUUGUAAGUUUCGAAAAGUGAAUUUGAUGGAACUUCAUAUCUCAUCAACAUGUCGUUGAAUUCUUGACCCACCUUCCCAUUAGAAGACAGUUUUUUGUUUGGAGUGCAUUUGGUACUAUUGCCUUAGCUCAUAUAAAAACUAGGAGUUACUAAUAUCUUAGGUUUCCUAGUUGCUUGGCAACUUCUAGUUUUCAUAUGAUCUAUGAAAGUCGUAAUGUUCCCAGCGUACUCGUAGGGUUUGAUCUCAUAUUUUGGGUACGAAAGUAUUAAACAAUGCAAUCAAAUGUCAAUACUUAUAUUUAAUGCAACAUGAUAUUUGCAUAUUAAAAUAUAGAAAAUUAAAGUGGUGACUUUUUAUUUAAAUUAUUUUCCACAUACAUAUUUAAAUUAUACAACCAAAAUGUUAAUUAAUUCAUAAUAUUUUUUAAAAAAUGAUGUUAGAUUUAAAAAAGGUGGUGGCUAUUAAACAAUCCAACCAAAUGUCAAUGGUGAGUUUUUUUUUUUUUUUUUCUUUUCUUGUAGAAACUAGUUUAUUCAUUAGUUUAUAAGUCUAGUUGUACAAACACCCAUAGCAUCUUUAGACAAAAUACAAAAAAACCAUAUUAUACUACACCUAGGGCACUGCGACACGUUGAAAAAUUGACACUUGCAUACUUCACAAAAAAACCAUAUUAUACUAGUGAGUAGCUAAGCUGCAUACUUGACUAAAACAUCAGCUACAUUAUUUCCUUCACAGUAACUCCAUUGCACACAUGGUGUGUUAUGAACAUUUGAAUGUAGGAGAUGGAUCAAGGGACGUGAGUUUGUCUCAAGAAUGGCAUUGCAUUGCUUAUUGCUUAUGUUGAGAGUAUGUAGGAUGCGGAGCCCAAAAGCAAAGCACACCUAAGUCUAGAAGGUCCAGGAUUUCCAAAUGAUGAACCAUCAAAAUUAACCUUCAACAUUCCUGAUGGAGGAUAUACCUAAUGAACAUCAACAUGCUUCGCCAGAAAAAUAUUAAAACUUUCAUACCUUUGUGCAUGUGGGGAAUCCAUGAGCUAAAGGAAAAGCUUGUGCUUGUCGAGCAUAAUGGAAAGUCUGCAAAUUGUCCAUUCCUGGGUGAAACAUGGAUGAUUGCGUGCGAUCUAGAUACACCACAAAGCAGAAGAGACAAGAGUUAUAAGAUUGUGUCCAUUAUGUAAACUGUCAAGAGUAGAAAAAUAAAUCGUGUAAUAAACUUGAUAAAUUUAAAAUUACUUUUGAGUUUGUGAAGCAAAGUUAAUUAUUUUUCAAGUAUCCCCACAAAUAUCAAAGAACUCCAUUAUAAAAAAGGGAUAUUACAAGUAUAAAUAAGUUGAUAGAUCACAUCGUAGCCAUCAAUAUUUUUGAAUCUUGUUGUAUGCGAAGGAAGUGAGAUUGGAGUAAUUAUAUUAAGGGAGUCACUAUAGCCGCCCCGAUGUAUCUUAAAUAAUAUAUAUGUAUCCUUAACGACCUUGAAACAUUUCUGUGUGUUCUUAUAGACUAUUAUUGUUGCACCAGGAACACCUCACAUCCAUUUUUAAAGCUAACAGAUCUAACCUAAGAGUCUAAGCUUUCGUAAUGGAGCUGCAACCUGCCUACUUCUCCUUCGUGUUCAUUCUCAUUCUCAUCCUAUUCCUAUUCAUGCUUUUGAAAGUGAAUAGGAGUGCAAAACCCCGUACCACAAAUUCUAAACUGCCUCCACAGCCAUGGAAGCUACCGAUCAUAGGCCACUUGCAUCAUUUACUCGGACUACCACAUCACAUCCUCAGGAAUCUAGCUCAAAAAUAUGGUCCUCUUAUGCUAUUACAACUUGGUGAAGUUCAUGCCAUCAUUGUUUCUUCACCAAAAGUGGCAAGAGAGAUAUUAAAGACACAUGACAUUGAGUUUGCAGACAGACCUGCACUUCUUGCUGGAAAGAUCAUGUCUUAUGAUUUUGUAGGUGUUUUAUUCUCUCCAUAUGGUCAGUAUUGGAGACAACUGCGAAAGAUUUGUUCCCAAGAACUCUUAAGUACAAAGAAGGUUCAAUCCUUGUGGUCAAUAAGGGAAGAGGAGGUAUCGAAUCUCAUUGAAAAAAUUUCCUCGGAAGCUGGAUUCCCUGUCAACAUUAGUCAGAAGCUUAAUUCAUUAGCAAAUGACAUAAUUUCCAGGGCAGCAUUCGGAAAGAAAUGCAAAGACAAAGAUGCAUUCAUAUCAUUGAUGCUGGCCGUGCUUAGAUUGGGUGGAGGUUUUGAAUUUGUCGAUUUCUUCCCUUCACUAAAAUUUUUACAUGGGAUCAGUGGAACAAAGAUAAAAUUACAGAACAUGCAUCAGAAGAUAGAUAAGAUCCUAGAAGACAUCAUUGAUGAUCAUAGAGAGAAUAGGGUGAGAAUUGAGUCAAAAGAAGGUGAAUAUGAAGAGGAUUUAGUUGAUGUCCUUCUAAGGAUUCAAAAUGACAGUGAUCUUGCAACCCCACUUGAAAACAACAACAUCAAAGCUGUACUUCUGGUCAGUGGUUAUUUAUAUUUCAGUUUUUUGUUUGUUUUGUAUGACUAAAUGAAUCAUUCCAUCAGUAAUCUUUGAUGUUCAAAGUGAUCAAGCUGUUUCCUUGACGGUAUAGGACAUCUUCUUUGGUGGAAGCGACACUGCAGCCAUAACAAUGGCAUGGGCAUUGUCAGAAUUGAUGAGAAACCCGAGGGUCAUGGUGAAGGCGCAAACUGAGGUAAGGCACGUCUUCAAUGGAAAAAGAAAGGUUGAACAAUCAGAUAUCAAUGAGCUGGACUACUUAAGGUUAGUUAUUAAGGAAACUCUACGGCUGCACCCUCCUACUCCAUUGCUACCACCAAGAGAAAAUAGAGAGAAGUGUGAGAUUGAGGGAUAUGAAAUACCCCGAAAAACCAAAGUCAUUGUUAAUAUAUGGGCAAUAGGAAGAGAUCCCAAAUUCUGGAGUAAUGCGGAAGAAUUUAUCCCAGAGCGGUUUGAAGAUCAUUCUAUUGAUUUCAGGGGAGCUAACUUUGAAUACAUCCCAUUUGGUGCUGGUAAGAGGAUAUGUCCAGGUAUGUCCUUCGGCUUAGCCAAUGUUGAACAUGGACUUGCUCAAUUACUGUACCACUUUGAUUGGGAUCUCCCUGAUGGUGUAAAGCCAGCAGAGCUAGACAUGACUGAAGUCUUCGGUGCAACAGUUAACAGAAGAGUCAACUUGAAGUUGAUUCCUACCCUUUACCGUCCUUUGGCUGUUGUGACAUGAGUCCAAUGUGUGCAUGUAAUAUCUGCAAACUUUUUUUUUUCUUUUGGUUUAAAAUGAAGUAUGUAGCAUUGUAUUUUUUUUUUUUUUUUUGGGCUUGGUACAGUAAGUAUUAAUGUAUUAAAAUGUACUGAAAGAUACAUGGGUUAAGUGGGUGGUCACAUAUACAGUAUAUCUACCCCUCACCUUAUAUCAAAAGGAGUUGGGGCAUUCCCAUUGGGUUAACCAUGUAGGUUUCCCAAUUACUAUCUCCAUGUCCUGUGUUGUUCUCCCUAAUGCCACCUUUGAUGUCUUAUCUGCCGCAAAAUUAGCCUCCCUCUAUGUAGGGGUACCAUAUGCAAUAUCUAAUUACAACACGACAUGUGGCAUACUAUUACUAUCAAUCAGGUCGCCCACAACAUGACCUUGCAUGACCCGACUAGAGCAGCUCGAGCAUAUUACCGUUGGCGACCUCAAUAUGGACGUGCGGUAAAUCAAUGUUCAGAAAAUAUCCUUGUUCGUUACACAUUAAUUACUAAAUAUCUCGUAAUUAAUGGAUGUCGGAGAAUCCGCAUGAUCCCAUGAUCUAUGCCCUUCCACAUUUUAUAAAUCUCACAAAACUACGGUGGCUUGAUCUCUACGCUCCACUCCCUCGAGCUAGAGUACGUAGGCAAUCUCGAUUUCACGAAGUGCAGCCACCUCCCGAUCUCAAACUCCUAUCUUGGUCAGCCUCCUUGCGACCUGACCCUGAUUAAUGCAUUAAUCUGGAAACAGGUUAAUACAUUUGGCGCCGACUGAAAGGAUUCAAUUGUAUCGAAAAACCAACCCUCCAACCCUCCAACCCAACUCGAAAUCCCAAGCAACUCUCCACUUAUCCAAUGGCCAACCAAGAAGAGAUUAUCCGAGAUCUAAGGAACCAACUCAAGGCCACUGCCAUCGACUUUGACACCAACAACGGUCAGGCUGGAGUCGUUACCAUAGAUAGCAAUAACCGCAAGUACGAGGAACUCAAUCAACAACUCGCUGAAUUCAAGGCCUCCCAGGACGGAAGCUAGCUUGGACGAGGUCGUAUGGCAGAACAACUCGCCAUUCAGUCUUUGUAGCACUUUCAGGAGUCCCCAUUCACCAAGAAAAUCAUGGAGCACGACCUACCAAGCAAACUCAAUGCACCAAAGUUCGACCAAUACUCAGGUGUAGGUGACUCAACAGAUCACGUCAAAAGCUUCUGCAAAUCGCUCCAAUUAAUCAAAGAAAACCAUCUCUUAUGCCUACUGUUCUAAUCCAGUCUUACUAGAUCGACUCUCUACUGGUUUCAUCGCCUUAAGCCAGGGUCAAUCGGCUCAUUCAACGAGCUCGAGAAGCAGUUCGUCAUCUUCUAUAUACACAACAAAAAAUGUCCAAUCACCAUCGACGCAAUGUUUAAGGUAAAUCAGGGAGAAGGAGAGUUGCUGAGUGAUUUUUUCGCUCGAUUUAAAAUUGAGCUACAUUCAAUCCAAGACUUUGCAAAAGACCACGAACAUUUUGCCACAAUAACAUUCUUUCACGGUCUGAUCCCUAGUCAUUGGCUAAGUAACGACCAACAUCUCUCGACGAAUUGUACUUGAAGGUAGAUUGCUAUAUCAAACUGAAGAAGCCUUGGUCGAAAAGAUUAAGAGCCACGUCAUAGCAAAUGUAGAAGGGGCCACCAAAAGCUCUCGAUCAGAAAAUAACAAAAGGUUCAAAGCUAAGCCACUGCCUACCGAGCAGCAGGAAUAUCACAGAUUUACAUGACCUGCGGGAUAUAUAUCUACCAGAGGAUCAAGCACCACCACUGGUGCAAGAUUCGAGAUUUCAUGUCACUAGAGGACACAGUUGGUCGUCCUUAUUGCAAAAUCCACAAGGUAAGAUGUCACCAAAUAGAUGAUUGUCGCAUACUGAAGCGACCUCUUCAAACAUGGGCUGAUGAGAAAAUGCUGAACAACUGGCUUUAUAACAGGCAGGAUGAGCCCGCAGAAAAGAAGAACAAAAAGAGGUCCAGAACUCCACCACGUUCUGAUCAACGAUCUCAAAGCAAGACCAGAGCUGUUUCUCCAAGUCGUUCACGCAAUAGAGGGCGUAGGCUAUCCAAAAGAUUAGGUCCCACUGGCGACCUACGCGAUCAAAUCAACAAGCAUGUAGCAAACAGAAUAGAAAAGGAUAAUGAAACAGAGAGUCAUGUCAUUUACAUGAUCUAUGAGUCCAAUUCUACACCAGUCCCGAGGGAGAAAAAGAGAUGUGUCGAACAUCUUCACCACGUCUACUCGAUCACAAGGCAAGCAACACGAACCAAUGUGCCUGCUCGACAGGAGACAAACCCGUGUUUCACAGAAGAUGACCUUAACAACGUCGUAGUACCACACAACGACGCUCUAGUCGUUGAAUUGAGAAUAAUCACUGUCAAGAAGGCCCUGAUCGACCCCGGUGCGUCUUAUAAAAUCUUGAUGUACAAGACCUUCAAGGAAAUGAGACUCCCUGACUCAGUUCUCCAGACUUCACUCCGAUCCUUGGAUUCAACAGUUCAAGGGAAGACUCAAAAGGGGAGAUAUUACUGCCCAUGACUGUUGGUAGAAAAAAAGAUAGAGUUACCCUCACCGGUAAGUUUAGGGUUCUGAACAUUGCGAGCAAGUACACUGCAAUUCUCGCCCGCAAAUGGAUCCACUCCAUGCGAGGAGUUCCAUCGACCUACCAUCAAGUCUUCCGUUAUCCUGGUCCCAAUGGAAGAAUGGAACUCAGAGGAAACCAGAAUGCAACACAAGAAUGUCAUGGCAUUAUAGAAGCUGUGACAAACGAAAAGCCAACGACCUUAACCAAUAAAGAGGUCACAACUCCAACCAAAGAUGCUGCCAAGGGAAAAGACGAGGCCACAUAUACGGCCAAAUAGCAAUCACAGAAGGAGCAAACGAGCUCCUCUUAACUCUCACUUGGAAGCACAGAUCCUGGCGUGUAAGUGAACCUGGGGUCAGAGGACGACCCCAAGUAUGUGUAUGUGGGCUCAGAAUUAGGAACAGAUAAGUACAAUGAAUUUUGUAAAUUUCUUUUCUCUUAAUAAAGAUGUUUUUGCUUGGUCGUACAUCGAUAUGCCGGGUAUAGAUAUUUCAAUUGCAUGUCAUAAGUUACGGGUAAACCCUAAUUAUCGACCCGUUAGGAAAAAGAUAAGGAAACUUGCACCUAAACUUCAUCAGGCCGUUAAUGAUUAAAUAAACAGACUCAAACAUGUCGUAUUCAUCAAAGAGGUCGGCACACCAGAUUGGCUAGCCAACAUAGUUUCAGUAUUGAAAAAGAAUGGGAAGACAAGAGUUUGUAUCGACGUCACAAGCUUGAAUAAAGCUUAUCGUAAAAAUUCUUUCCCACUUUUAUGAAUCGAUAGGCUAGUCAAUCAGACCUGCGGUUUCAAGCUCCUAUCAUUCAUAGACGUGUAUUCUGAUACAACCAGAUCCCAAUGUAUGAGUGAUAAUCAAAAUGACUAUCAAAAGCAUAUUUAUUAGUCCUUGUGCCUGUAAUAGUUUGUCAAUGUAGAACAAGUAACAAGCAAAGGUCGUACCCACCUCGAAGAGGGAAUUCUUAGCUCAAACACAAUAGAAAAUAAUAACUAAAAAACACCAAUGAAUUAAUUAAAAAGGUGAGAUUGAUUCUACUUCCUACAUGUAAUAAAUAAAUAAAACUAAUACUUAAACUAAUAUUAGAAGAUGAAAGAAGAUGGAAAGAAAGUCUAAGGAUGAUUAGGGGGAAUGAUUGGUAUACACAAACUAAACAAUGCAAGUCACACAUGAUGCUCAUUCAUAUUCAAUCUAUAGCAAUUUCUUAGUCACCUCUCAGCUAUUCCAAAUAAUUACUAAUGCAUAUAAUAAUCAAAUAGUCACAUCUUGGCUAUUCCAUUCAAUUAAAAUGAGAUUCUUUAUAUGUAUUCAUUAAUUGAAUAUAUCUCAUUAAUUAAACCGCCAUCUCCCAGCUAUUCAAUUCAAUUAACUCGAUAUAUUGAUUUAUAAACAAAUCGUCACAUCUCAGCUAUUGAACUUGAUUAUAAAAAGGGUUCCAAUAAAAUAAAUUAAUUGUAGAUAUGCAAAAGUCACCUCUCAGCUAUUCCUUCACAUAUCUCCAAUUAAUCUAAUACUAUUAUUAUUGCUAGGUCUCCCUAAUACUCUAACAAUAGUAUUUAAUAACACGGAUGCAACAAAUACAUAGAAGGAUCAUGCUUACUUUUUAUCGCGAACAGAAAUAAACAAAGCAUUAAGCAAUUGAAUCACAAUGAAUAUAAAAGAACAAUCAUAGUGUUUUUUUGCAUUAUUUAGAAUGCUUCAACCAUUCCCCUUAAAGGGAACUUAGCUACUAAUCCUUGAUAAUGACACCAUGAAAAAAAUAGUAAAAGAUGACAACAUCAUUAAUGAAAAAGAGAAAAGAUUAUUAUUAUAUUAAAAAUACUACAAAAGAUUAACUUCAAGAAGAAGGGAAGUGUUUCAUCUUCUCAAAAGUUCAAGCUUUCAAUAGUCAAAAGCUACUAAACCCUAGUUACUACUUCUCUUUAUAUAGAGAUUACAAUAUAUGAGUCCUCGUGAGAUAGGAAACUUCUUUGCUUGCACACAAAGUAUCCCUGUUUCAUCCAAGAUCUUUAAAUUAGGUGAAAAUUCGUGGUGACUACUGUAGAGCUUCUAGAAGGAGCAAGACCACUUGGAACUCUAAUUAUUUUGGGCUUAAGUUGUAGCUUGGAUCAAUACCUUCAGAUAGACAACUUACGGGCCCAACUCGGAGUUCUGGAUUAUUAUGUACAAUCUUUUUAAGAUUGGAGUUCAAGUAACGGGCUUCAAUGGAUCAUUUGAUCUGUGGGUUUCAAUAUAACUUGGAUUGAGCUGGGAUUUGGAUCACCAAUUUUGACAUAAAGUCAAGUCCAUAGGACCGGUCCAAAGAGUGUCCUCACUAAUACACAAGUGCAAAUAGUAAUUUUUCUUUUUUAUGCCAAUAAUACUUCUUUAACAACUUUUCUUGGUAUUAUUUGGCGGGUUUUAGCACAAUAUUUGACUUUUGGCUAAUGAAACAUACACAAAUGUCAAGAAAACACUAAUCAAUAGAUAUUACACAAUAAUAUAAGCUAAGUGCUAUGCAAACAAGGUGCUAUUCGGGAGAUAAAAAUACACUUUCUCAAGAAUAUGUACAAGAUGAAUGUUUCUUAGAAACUCUCAAAUCUUUAUAUAGUUGUUUUGCUACAUUGUACCAAGAAUUGGGGUUGUGAUCUAAAAAAAAAAUAUCACAAAUACCUUGAAUCUUGAAAUUGCCAUAGUGGCUGUAGCUAAAGGAAUUUCAAAAGAAGUUUACUGGCGGUUGUUGUGAGGUUUUUUAUAAAUCUCUGUCAACACAUCUGCCUACCGAGCUUUUUACAUUUUCUUGUUAUUUUUUUUGAAAGUAAUGUGUUUGAUAAAAUGUUUGAAAGAAAGUGAGAAGGGAGAAGAGAGAAAUUGGCAUAGGUUUUAGCCUUUUUUAAGAGACCUCUCUUAUAUUAAAAAAAAGUGGCAUCUUCCAGGCAUUCUGCUUUGAUUUCUGGCAGUUUUUGCGUUCAUAGGUGUGUACAUCUUUUUUAGAAAAAACCCUUUUUUGCUGAUUUUGUUUGCUGCAGUAGAGGUGUUUGAACAAAUGCAUAGUCUAAAAUGUCUUGGAAAACCCUUUUUGUUGAAUUUUUGGUUUUAUAAGAAACACUGCAGUUUAGGUAUUUGAAGAAAUGCUUAGCCUGCUUUUUAUACUAAAACCCAACAAUUCCAUGGCCUGGAAAAGUAAUAUGGCUUGUGACUUAGCCUGCUUUUUAUACUAAAACCCAACAAUUCCAUGGCCUGGAAAAGUAAUAUGGCUUGUGAAUAGAUACCAUUAUUCACAAGUAUUCACAAUGUUUUGCCUUUUUGAUUGUUGAAUAUAGUUUAAAUGUCCAACACACCUACUUAAUAUGUGUACAAAGCACACCAAUCAAAUGGUAAUCAAAGACGCUAAAUGCAUCAUAAUUGGGAUUUGAACAAGUUACUCAACUAAUUUUAUAUUUUGGAUUUGUUAAAAAAUUUAUCGUAGAGGCGAAGGAUUUUAAAAAAUAAUAAAACCUAAAUUAAGAUAAAUAUAAUAAUUUAUUUUUGAGGGUAAAUAAGUCACCUUUGUAAUAGCAAAUAUUGCCUUGGCAAUUGGCACAUUUGCUAUAUUGCCAAGGCAAGAUUUGCUUUGCGUAGCGCGGGUUCCCCAACUUGUUAGGUAACAAAGACUCGAGGGAAGUUAUUAAGCAAAGAUAGGCAACAAUGUGUUGAACCAACUCGAUUUCCCCAUUUUGAUUUCCAAUGGGCUGAAAUAACCACUUUUUUGACAUAUUUUGAACAUAUCCAUGUUAAAUUGCGCUUAUUCGAAAAACAUAAAAUUAAAAAAAUUCCUGCAGUCAUGGUGAAUACAUUUUGGUCGAAAUUUGGCAUUGUAAAAUAAAUUUAUGAUCAAGUACAAGGUGGAGCUUGUCGUUUAGAGUUUAGACAUGACAGACUGAAACUAAACUGAGGGAAGAGAAACAGGCUUCUGCAGGAUACAUAGGAUACUAUAUAAUGCUUUGUAAUUCAAUUCAUUUCACCUUCUUCUCUUAUCAUACACCUUAGGGAUGUAUUCAAACAAAAUUUCCAGUUUACCUUCACUAUCCAUCUUCAUCACUUCUGCAGCUCCACCUAUUAACCUACCUUUCACAAACAACACAGGAACUUUCGUAUUCCCCGUUAAUGCCUUCAAUUCGUUCCUAUAGCCUGGACCAAAAAUGUCUCUCUCAUACAUAUGAAUCAUAUGUGAUUUUAAAAUUGAACGGACUUCAGUAGAAUCUUUAUAUGGUUCUCUGUUUCCUCGUGAAGUUGUGUAAAGAAUAACCGAAUCUUCACCUCCGGGAGGGCACAAUUUCUGGAAUGUUUCAAGUAGCAAGUCUGAUGAUGUUACUCUACCAUUUUGGACAGGACUUUGAAUUUUUUCCUGAAUUAUUGCGUUAUCCACUUGAGAGUUUUUCUCCUGCAGACUGAAAGAAUAACAUCAAACUUGCCAGUCUCAACAUCAUAUAGAAGAGUUAGGUAAGAGAUUAUUAAUUGUGCGGGAAAAAACCACUUGAGAGCUAUCUAUAUAUAGUACCUUUCAGCAAUUGAACUUGCAAUUUUUGAAAAAACUUGUGAGUAGGACAAGUUCACUGGCAUUGUUCGCCCACCAAUUCGUAUCGAGGUACUGCCUUCACUUGACAAGUCAUAAAACGGAAAGGGAUCAAGUGGCAGUGAUGGUUCAAUAGCACCCUCAAGCAUCAUCACAACCGUGCUCAUGAGUGGUCUUAGUUGGGGAAUAUCUUGAGCGCACAAUAAUGCAACUAAACUUAAUCUCUUCGCUUUAUCUUUAUCUUUCUCUAAAAUGCCACAAUCAGUGAUCAUUUCAUCGAGUUGUCCAUUCUUAACAGUCUUCCAAACUUGAAACGGAAACCACUCUUGGCCCUCCCAAAUCCUCUUCCUCGUCAAAAGUUCAAACAACAUCAUACCGAAGCUGUAAACAUCACAUUUAUGACUCGUUAUGUUGUUCCAUCCUAAACAAACCUCCAGGGCUGCAUAACCAUAGGUCCCUCGGAAGCUGUUCUUUGAGACGUGACUAAGAUCACUAUUAUUACCAAGCUUGGCCAAUCCAAAAUCUGCAAUCUUUGGAGAAAGAUUCGAGUCAAGAAGCACAUUUUCAGCUUUUAUGUCAUGGUGAAUUAUUGGCGGACUACAGAUCUCGUGCAAAUAAGAAAGUCCUUGUGCUAUCUGUACUGCAAUAUGAAACAGUUUUACCCACUCUAUACUGGAAUCGUUUCGAUACAACACUUUAUCAAAAGAUUCAUUCUCCACGUAUUCAUAAACAAGUGCUUUAGUGUUGUCUUCCAAGCAAAAACCAUACAGUUUAACCAAGUUUUGAUGGUAGGUUCUGCUCAUUAUGGCUACUUCGUCUAGAAAUUGACUAGCCAUGAACUUAUUUUUCAUAUUUUCAUUUGUAUUAUAUUUCAGCACCUUAACUGCCACUUUUUUAUCGUAAGCAAAUCCUUUGUAAACGUUUCCAAACUCACCAGAUCCUAGUGUAUCAGUAGUAAAAUUUGACGUAAAUUUCAGAAGCUCUUUAUGUGAAAAUAAUUGUACUUUCUCAUUUUGAAUUCCCCUUAAAAACAUUUGGAUUUGAUUUGAGCUGUCAUCUCCCUUGCUUAGCAUACCAGGAUUUCCCUCCAUCUUAGGUGAUACUAUAUUGCAACUGUCAGGUACAAUAUGAAGUUGCCGAUCCUAACAGUAUCAAAGAUAACCUGAUGAUCAGCUAGAGAAAAAGAAAAGAAAAGCUAAUGACUGACAGAAAAGUCGGUUGAACCUCAUUAUUGUCAUUGAUUAUCCAUUUUUAUGUUUAAUAAUUUUGUCGAUUAUUUGAGAUCUAGAAGGGUACCUAGACUGAUUUCAGAUCCGGGUUUUCUUAAAACCAUCAAGAAAUAUCUGAAGUACACUAACUAAGCUAGCUUUGAUUAAUUAUUUUCAAUUAAUUCUUCAAAAAAAAAAAAAAAAAAAAAUUCCAAAUUAAUCUUACCUUGACACUAUCUUUCUUUCAGCUGUUGAUAUGUGUAUGCUCGAAUUCUUUGUAUCUUCAAAAAGCAAAGAGGCAAUUUUUAUCAAGUAUUCUAUACAUAAUACAAGAUUGAACAACACUUUUAGGCAUAGCUUGCAUACUUACCAAAUACUGUAUAACCCAGCAGAGAGAAGACUGGGUUAGAAGUUGUUUCUAUGUCACCUUGAUGGGAAGAGAUAUGCAUAUGAUGCUUCCUUCUUGGAAUCUUUAUCUCUUAUGAAGUUGUAUUUUUUUAAUGCCAAGUGGAAGUGUGGAACAACAAGUUGGAAAUGUUUAUACACUAAUUAAUUAAACACCACAUGGAAGACUUUGAAUAUCAAGAUUUAAAUUGUUUGAACAAAUAGUUCUAACAUUUUAUAAAGUUAUUGAUAUAAUUUAUGAUCCAUAACUGCCCAUUUUUAAAUUACAAAAUAAGAAAUAAAGUUCCUAUUGAUAAUAUUAUAAUAAAUUAGUAGAAUUACAUUCCUUCUAAAACCAUUAAUCUUGAGUAAGUUUUUUUUUUUUUUUUUUGAGUAACUUGUUUGUUUCUUACCAGUCCUCGUAAUCUCGAAUUUGAUAGAUAAAACAAUAAUGCAAACCCAUGUAUAGUAGUAAUCUUAAGAUUUGAUAGAUAAAACAAUAAUGCAAAGUCUUGUAUUUCACAGAAUUACAAUUAAAAUAUCAGAAUUUUCAUCCCAAAGAUCAAAUAUAGAGUUUUCUUAGAUUUUAGGAAAUCGGAAAACUUUUGUUAGGAUUUACCUCGAACAAACCGUAUUUUUCAGCCAGACCAAAUUACCCUUCCACUACCAACACAGAAUAGACGUGAGAAAGAGUUGUGGGGAGGACAUUGUUGGUUGAAUGUGGGAGUUGGUAGCGAGAUUGAGAAACAAUAGUGGUAUAUGUGGUGCGAACUUGUGGAGUAUUGAAGAAUUGAGAUGGUUGAGAGGUUUAUAGGGUUGUAUGUAUGGGUAGGGAUGUGAAAAUAUGUUUUGUGGUGUUUGGGGGCAACCAUGAAUAGAGAGAGAUGCAAAGUCAAUAUUGGAAACUUGUGGUAAAGUUGUGGUGGUGGUGGAAAAUUGGGGGAUAAAAUGUUCAUUUUGGUUAUUGUACUUUGUCUGUUUUUUGCAAUUUGGUCACAACAUUUUUUUCCUGUCAGUUUGGUCAUAGUAGAGGGUGGGAGGGUUGGAACAUCAACAAUAGAUUGUUUACCUUCAAACUUAUUAAAUUGAAGAGUAAGUUUCUCGAUUAAAGUGGUGAGACGAUUAAUAGUCGAAUUGAAUUCAAUCUUCGUCACAUAAUCUCUAAGAUUAUUGACUUGGGAGCGGGGUGAAGAAUCUACGUCCUUAACCAUUGUAAGAUCGAAACGUAGCUCUUGAUACCAAUUGACAUAGUGGAAGCAAUUAUAUGAUAUUGCAACGCAGACUGCAAAAGGGCUCUCUUAUUUGCAUGAAAGUUGUGAUGAACAGAUAAUUCAUCGAGACAUAAAGCCUGGUAAUGUGCUCCUUGACUCAAAGUUCUGUCCUAAGAUUACUGAUUUUGGAUUGGCUAAAUUUUAUAGCACAGAUAAGAUGCAAAUUGAAUUGAGUAACAGAUCGAUCAGUGGGGUACGCAGUUAUGAUGCUCCAGAGUUGCGAAGUAAAAAAAACGUAAGCUGUAAAUUUGAUGUUUUCAGCUUUGGGGUGAUGCUUUCUGAAAUUUUAGCGCAUUUCAAAGGUGAACACUCGGUUGCAAGAUAUGUUUGGGAAAAGUUUCAGAAAGGACUACUUGACGAAUUUAUAACAGAAUGUGGCAUUAUAUCUGGAGAAAAGGAUAAAGAAAAUGCAAAGACAUUAAGUAUAGUUGCAUUGUUGUGCAUUGAAGAAAACCCCCAGGACAAACCUCAAAUGAGUGAGGUGGUGAAUUUUCUUAUGGGUGUUAUCAAACCUUCCACACCACUGAAUCCUUAUUUCAAUCAAGACUUAUCGCGUUUUCCCCAGGGAACCAAGUUAAUCUCAGAAGUCUAGCUAGAGCUACAUGACUGAAUCGGGCGGUAUAGACAUUGAAGUGUCAGAAGAAGGAAGAAGCACAACAAGGGAAUCAGACGGUUGUAAGACUUUUGUAUUGACCAUUUUUAUGAGGUUGGUCAAUACAUUAAUGAAUGAUGAUGAUGUAUGUAAAUGAUAUGAACAAUAAUAACAAAGUAGAAAAGACAUGACACCAUUGUUUACGUGGUUCGGCAAAUGUGCCUACGUCCACGGAGAGGGAGAAAGAAGUUUAUUAUAGUAGUGGUGAUACAAAAUGGGAGCUCGAUAAUGGAGAGAGCUCAAGAGAGAGAUGAGACCUGAGAGGUGAGGUCUCAUGAGAGAGUGUUGAGGUCUUGUGUAUGAUUCACAAUGAGACCAUUAGAACCUGAGAAGAUGAGUAGUUUGCCUUUAUAUUUAUAGGCUACAAUGUAACUCCAUUCUUAGCAAUUAAUAGGGUAAUAAUGGGGAAAAUAUCUUUGUAAUAAUAAGGCUUAACUUUGUAACUUGUGCCAUCAAGAGAGAGCCCAUUAGAUGUUGACAUGUGGCACCAUGAUGGAUGGUAGAGAUGGUGCCACAUGUAUGUUGUAUAUAGUACCCCUACAUAAGCCCCCUCUUUUUAGGUUGAACGGAGUUCGGGCUGAAAAGAAGUAAUCGAACCGAUCCAGCCCCCAAGAUGAAUGAAAUAUGGGGUUUUUAACGAAGUCGAUCCGCCCCAAAUUUUGAUGAGCUUGAUCAUUGAGAUUUGCAGGACGCGAUGAAGGUCCCUUGUGGUAAUGGCAACUCGAUCAUGAAUUUGUGUAUAGCGAGCUAGUUAGUUCCAGGGAGACCUGGUAGCUCGUUCAGAAGGCAUGUAGACAAGAUGGACAGCUGCAAGCAGGUCGUACUGAAGUGGGUCUUCUUGUAUACUUGGGUGGUUGGUCUCGGUCAAGCUUCGAGGUGGUCGCCUUUUUGUGGUCGAGUUGCAUAGACCUGAUAAUGUUAGCAUGUGAAACAUUAUAAAAUUCAAUAAAAGACUUACAUGGAAUUGUACGUCUUCCUUAUGACUUGUAUAUACUAUCUUUGUCGCCUUGUGACUGGACACUUCGAUAGAUAUGGCACUUUGGAGUGCAAUGUAGCUCGUUUGAGAAAGAGCAUUGGUUGACCAAGUGUUUUGAGAGUUACUUGGAACCUUUUGGUGCCCGAUCUAGUGAAUGGUCGCAGCGUGGAGACCUGUUUGACAAUUCUCGGGCAUGUGGCCUUUGUGGGUCUGCAUUGCAUUGAGAGUGAAUGCGUUCGACCAGGCGUGUGGCUAGAGAAUUGUGUUUGAGGUCGUCCCGCAUACGAGUGACUCACUAGUCAAUGAGGGUGGCCGUAUUGUAUAUCAAGCAUUUCACUUGUAAAGAGUUCAGUGAAAGCAAUGUGGCACAUUUGUGCAAAAAUAGCUCAUGGGGAGUGAGGUCGUGUUCAUGUGACCUGCACAUAGAGAGAGCUACAAAAAAUAUCAUUAAUAGCUAAUUGUGCUAAUAAUAAGUUAAUUUCAUUAGAUAAAGUGAGAAUAGCCCCCUAUAUGGCAUAAAUAUUCUUGAGGUCGUUGAAGGACCUGUAAUUUGAAGAGGUCGUUGAUAGACCUGGUGAGGUCGCGAUGAAGGACCUGGCAUGAAGGACCUGAGAGGUCGUUGGCUUAGGGACCUGAGAGGUCGUUGGCUUAGGGACCUGAAUAAGAGGUCAGGUCGCGAUGAGACCUGAGCUCGUCUGCUUAGAGACCUGAAUAUGUGAGGAGGUCUCUGCAAGACCUGAACAUGUGGCCAUUAAGAAUGUAACUGAUGAUAUAAAAUCUUGAUCGAGUUAUGAGAAUAUAUGUUACAUAGAUGCAUAUAAUAGUCAAUUUGUGUGAGACAAAAUAGAAUGAUCAGUAAGAAAUGGAGGUCUCUUCGAGUGGGUAAACAUAAACAAAUAUCAUAGUGGAUUGAUACUUAUCUUUAUUUGAAGAGCUUGUAGCUAAGUCGUUCUGAUCAGCUAUUUUCCAGGGAGUCCUGGUAGCUCGUUCAGAAGGCAGGUAGACGAGAUGAAUGGCUGCAAGUAGGACGAACUGAAACAGUUCUUCUUGUAUGCCUUAGUUUAAUGUUGCUUUCGUCGAGUUUAGUAAUUGUGUAAACAAUUUGCUCCAAGCCCCCAACUGUGAGUUGCAAUUUUGUCUUUUCAAAUUCAAUGAAUUUCUUGAAAAUCACCAUCUGAGAACCUUAGAACAAUGGUGUUCGGUGGGGUUGGUGGGUGGAAUUCGCUCGAGAAAAUCCCAAGUCCCUGUAGUCGGCGCCAAAUGUAUUGACCAUUUUUGUGAGGUUGGUCAAUACAUUAAUGAAUGAUGAUGAUGUAUGUAAAUGAUAUGAACAAUAAUAACAAAGUAGAAAAGACAUGACACCAUUGUUUACGUGGUUCGGCAAUUGUGCCUACGUCCACGGAGAGGGAGAAAGAAGUUUAUUAUAGUAGUGGUGAUACAAAAUGGGAGCUCGAUAAUGGAGAGAGCUCAAGAGAGAGAUGAGACCUGAGAGGUGAGGUCUCAUGAGAGAGUGUUGAGGUCUUGUGUAUGAUUCACAAUGAGACCAUUAGAACCUGAGAAGAUGAGUAGUUUGCCUUUAUAUUUAUAGGCUACAAUGUAACUCCAUUCUUAGCAAUUAAUAGGGUAAUAAUGGGGAAAAUAUCUUUGUAAUAAUAAGUCUUAACUUUGUAACUUGUGCCAUCAAGAGAGAGCCCAUUAGAUGUUGACAUGUGGCACCAUGAUGGACGGUAGAGAUGGUGCCACAUGUAUGUUGUAUAUAGUACCCCUACAACUUUCAUUAACAACGGCUUUCAUGUUGUCAUCAAAACAGAACCCAUAUUAUGUUAUAUGUGUUAUUUUCCAGUUGAAUAAGUCUUAGUUGUUAUGAGUUAAGCCUAAUAAGUAGAAAGUAGAGUGUAGUCUUAUAGGGGUUAGUUGCAACUUAACGUUGGAGUGGGUUGUUGUAACUUAGUCCUAUUUUAUUGGUAAGAUAUUUGUAAUCACCUUCUAUUUAAGGUGCAGCAUUCAUUAAUAAAAGUAUGCUUAUGAAUUAUCUCCAAUUAUCCUCAACACUUAUUGUUGUUAUUGUAACACCCCGGGUCGGCAGGUGGUUUGCCAAGAGGGUGGGUCAUAUGUUGCAUGAGAGGGGGAUGAUCCCGACAUUGGAAUAUAGGUAUAGAUCCGUCAUAUAUAAUCACCGAGGCUUUUUGGGAGUAUCCCUCAUAUAUAAACAUUUCUCGUAAUGUUUUUCAUUAUUGCUGCCCUUGAAAUCUCGUAAGAUUGUCUGUAUAUUUGCAUGAGACGUGUUCACUAGAAUCAGACAUAGAAGACAUUAAGAUUGAUAAAAACAACAUAGUAAUUAGGAGGAUAUAUACCCAAGCUGUGGCAUUGAAACAGACACAUUUCGUAGUUACUUUCUUGUCCGACUCCACUUCAUAUAUGAAUUCACUAGACUUCAUCACCAACAAAGUUCUUGCUUCCUCAAUCCUCAAAGCUAAAACACCUUCCAUGGUUGGACACAAAGUAGAAGUCCACUUCAACGAAUCGUCACGUCUAUCCAACAUCAUCUUCAUAACACGUGACCUAAUUCUAUCAAGCAUUGGAAGUAUGGGCAUAGAACGUUGUGUGUACCCUGGGUAAAAUACCCGACAGGUGUCAUCGGUGGCUGUAUAAGAAGCUAAACCGAGAACACUUGAACGUUAGCCAGCCAGACCUGGACUAUCGGGUAGGGUCCAACCCGGUCUCAAGAAGUCUGCAUACGCUCUGUAGAUCCUGACCACUGGAUGGGCCACGAUCAGUGGGUGGAGCCCCGAUUACUGUAUAAGAAGUUGAGCCGUGGGCUCCCAUACAUCAGCCAGGCCUGUCUUAAUCAAGUAAGCUAGGUCCGACCCAUUGAAGUCCAUCAGCGACGAAGUCCCAUCCAAAGGCUUAUCAUAGAAGUCCAAAGGACCUGGCCAGGGAGUAUGAAAUGCAGAUUGGGCCUCCGGUCUGAGGAGUCUAGCCCAAGUCUUUGCUUUCAAACUUGGUCAAAUCCAAGUCCUAACUAACUGGAUAAGUCCAACAAGAUUUCAAGCUAACAGAACCCACUCUUCUAGCCCGCUGCAGAACAUAAAGGAAGACCCAGGUUGAACCAGAACCUAUCAGAGAAUGCCAUGUGGCAGUCGUCCUUGUCCAAGGGGAUUCAAACCGAGGGAUAAUCGUCAAGCAGCAUGCAUGUGUGCUAUCUCUGCGGGAACAUCUUCACAGUUUGAACUGCCCGAGUUCAUGGAGUCGAAACCGAAGGAGCGGUUGAGCCAGCCUCCUCCGGUCCACUAUAAAUUCAGGAGUUCUCAACCUCCUAAACUACGAGUCUUUCACUUAACAACCUCCAUUACUAAAUCACAUUAUAUAUUGAAAAGUGUUUAGAGGUGGAUUAAAGUUGGUUAUCAAAGUAUAUUGGUCAUGGUUCCAUAUGUAUUACUUGGAUUUUGAUAUGUGUAUAUUGAAAAGCGUAAAACCCUUUGAACAACCUUCUCUAUUUCUCUCUCAUUUUCCCUCUUCUCACUUUCUCUUUCAAUGAUUAUAAAGUGGAUACAAUAUUCAAAAAUAUGUAAAAAUCUUUUUAUGUUCAAAUUUUCUGUGUUUUGUAGUGCGAAUUAGUUCGUAUAACUUAUGUAAAUUGAGAUAUGUCUCUUGAACUGAAAGAUACGUCAUCUGUAUAACCUAUGUAAAUUCAUAUAUGUUACUCUUAUUGAAUAUUUGUUUUAAAAGAAUAUAUUAUAUUAUAAAACUAGUAAUCUAACUCCUAAAAUUGAAUGUGACAGAAUAAGAAUUUUAAUAUUAUUAUCUUCAAAUUAUUAAUGAUAUUCGUGGCAGUGCCAUGGGUUUUACUAGUAAUUUAUGAUCCAUAACUGCCCAUUUUUAAAUUACAAAAUAAAAAAUAAACUUCCUAUUGAUAAUAUUAUAAUAAAUUAGUAGAAUUACAUUCCCUCUAGAACCAUUAAUCUUGAGUAAGUUUUUUUUUUUUUUUUUUUAGAGUAACUUGUGUCUUACCAGUCCUCGUAAUCUCGAAUUUGAUAGAUAAAACAAUAAUGCAAAGUCUUGUAUUUCACAGAAUUACAAUUAAAAUAUAUACUCUCCUAAACCAAAGCUAAUACAAGGAAACUACCAAAAAAAAACUACUCUUAACAGAAUUAUAUAUAUGUCGUGAAAUACUUAAUAAGAUAGAAUAUGGUCGGAAUCUUUUAUGUAUGAUUAAGGAUUGGAUGAGUAAGAUGGUGGAAUUGAAGUGGAAGUCUUUCAUGUGUAUAGGGAGAGUAACGAAGUAGUAGAUCACCUUGCUAGCCUUUGUAGCUCACCGGAGUUAUGUGUAAACCUUUUUUUCUCCUCCUCUAGAUGCCAAGCUACUUGAGUAGGUAACAGAUGACUCUAAUGGGAGGGAAUUUGUAAGGAUUUCUAUAUAUAUAUAUACAUACAUACACUGGUAGGGGUCUGCCAAACCCUAAAUUUCUUCAACAAAAUAAAAAAUAAUAAUAUGUUCGACUAAUGUUUAUGCCACGGAUGACAUUAAAUUAGAGAGGUCCUACUGUAUAUGAAUCUAAUGAUAUAUAUGAAUGUUCCUAAUUUACAGGUUCAUGAUAUGACUUUAUCACACAAAUAAACCAACCGCCCGAUUGAAUUUUUGUUGUCGCCCAGGUUCCAUUUCGAAUGCAUGGUACAUGUAACGUGUUGGAGUUAUUUUGCAGAUCAUGUCAUAAUAGUGUUUUGUAAGUAGCAACAGGGAUGGUUAUUCAACAAGCUAAGUUGUUCACCACCUCUGCUACAAGAUAUUGAGGAUUUACUUAGCUUCCUGAUCAAAUUCAUUAUCAUCAUCUCCAAUGAAACUAUAGACAGUAAAAAAACAAAAAGCCAGUCUUCCAAAUUUCAACUUACAAACUAUUAAUCAUAGGCAAAGACAGUAAAAAGCAAAUAAAAAAGAAAAAAACAACCGCAUUCAACUUAAGCUUGCUUGAACAGCCUCUGGAGUCUUCAAACCAAAGCUAAACUAAGGUCUUGUAUUCAAGUUCAUCAUUCGGAUGACCUCGGAAUCCCUUCAAACAGUUUUCCCAAUGUGCCUUGUGUAUCCAUCUCAACCAUUUUAUCAAAAGCUAGUUGCUUUCCUUUCACAAAUACUACAGGAGGGUAUACACCCUUUUUACCUAGCACGGUUUGCAAUUCACUCAUAUAGGCUCGUCCAGCAGUAUCUCGCUCAUCAACCUCAAUUUGAUAUGAUUUUAACAUGGAAACAAUAUAUUCAGAAUAAUCAAUGUUGUCUCUACGACCAGACGAAACUGUGUAAACAACAACCGCAUUUUCACCUCCAGGCGGACACCUUGAUUUGAAUUUUGCAAGCUCCAUAUUUGGUUCACUUAUUACAGGCCUUUCAAAAAUGGCAGAAUUGACCUUUGGAUGCCCCAACUUGGCUGGGAGAGAAAACACCAAAGAAUUAGAACUACCACUCAUGCUGCUGCUACUUUCAGCAAAAUCAUAUGUAAAUGGUUCGAGCGGCAACCACGGUUCUAUCUCGCCCUCAAGCAUCUUCACCACUUUGCUCAUAUCUUCACCACUUUGAAAUUUUUCCUGAAUCGUUGCGUUAUCCACAUGAGAGUUUUUCUCCUGCAGACUGAAAGAGUAACAUCAAAUUUGCCAGUCUCAACAUCAUAUAGAAGAGUUAGGUAAGAGAUUAUUAAUUGUGCGGGAAAAAAACACUUGAGAGCUAUCUAUAUAUAGUACCUUUCAGCAAUUGAACUUGCAAUUUUUGAAGAAACUUGUGAGUAGGACAAGUUCACUGGCAUUGUUCGCCCACCAAUUCGUAUCGAGGUACUGCCUUCACUUGACAAGUCAUAAAACGGAAAGGGAUCAAGUGGCAGUGAUGGUUCAAUAGCACCCUCAAGCAUCAUCACAACCGUGCUCAUGAGUGGUCUUAGUUGGGGAAUAUCUUGAGCGCACAAUAAUGCAACUAAACUUAAUCUCUUCGCUUUAUCUUUAUCUUUCUCUAAAAUGCCACAAUCAGUGAUCAUUUCAUCGAGUUGUCCAUUCUUAACAGUCUUCCAAACUUGAAACGGAAACCACUCUUGGCCCUCCCAAAUCCUCUUUCUCGUCAAAAGUUCAAACAACAUCAUACCGAAGCUGUAAACAUCACAUUUAUGACUCGUUAUGUUGUUCCAUCCUAAACAAACCUCCAGGGCUGCAUAACCAUAGGUCCCUCGGAAGCUGUUCUUUGAGACGUGACUAAGAUCACUAUUAUUACCAAGCUUGGCCAAUCCAAAAUCGGCAAUCUUUGGAGAAUGAUUCGAGUCAAGAAGCACAUUUUCAGCUUUUAUGUCAUGGUGAAUUAUUGGCGGACUACAGAUCUCGUGCAAAUAAGAAAGUCCUUGUGCUAUCUGUACUGCAAUAUGAAACAGUUUUACCCACUCUAUACUGGAAUCGUUUUGAUACAACACUUUAUCAAAAGAUUCAUUCUCCACGUAUUCAUAAACAAGUGCUUUCGUGUUGUCUUCCAAGCAAAAACCAUACAGUUUAACCAAGUUUUGAUGGUAGGUUCUGCUCAUUAUGGCUACUUCGUCUAGAAAUUGACUAGCCAUGAACUUAUUUUUCAUAUUAUCAUUUGCAUUAUAUUUCAGCACCUUAACUGCCACUUUUUUAUCGUAAGCAAAUCCUUUGUAAACGUUUCCAAACUCACCAGAUCCUAAUGUAUCAGCAGUAAAAUUUGACGUAAAUUUCAGAAGCUCUUUAUGUGAAAAUAAUUGUACUUUCUCAUUUUGAAUUCCGCUUAAAAACAUUUGGAUUUGAUUUGAGCUGUCAUCUCCCUUGCUUAGCAUACCAGGAUUUCCCUCCAUCUUAGGUGAUACUAUAUUGCAACUGUCAGGUACAAUAUGAAGUUGCCGAUCCUAACAGUAUCAAAGAUAACCUGAUGAUCAGCUAGAGAAAAAGAAAAGAAAAGCUAAUGACUGACAGAAAAGUCAGUUGAACUCAAUCAUUAUUGUCAUUGUUUAUCCAUUUUUAUGUUUAAUUUUGUCGAUUAUUUGAGAUCAUGAAGGGUACCUAGACUGAUUUCAGAUCCGGGUUUUCUUAAAACCAUCAAGAAAUAUCUGAUGUACACUAACUAAGCUAGCUAGCUUUGAUUAUCAAAAAAAAAAAAAAAAAUCCAAAUUAAUCUUACCUUGACACUAUCUUUCUUUCAGCUGUUGAUAUGUGUAUGCUCGAAUUCUUUGUAUCUUCAAAAAGCAAAGAGGCAAUUUUUAUCAAGUAUUCUAUACAUAAUACAAGAUUGAACAACACUUUUAGGCAUAGCUUGCAUACUUACCAAAUACUGUAUAACCCAGCAGAGAGAAGACUGGGUUAGAAGUUGUUUCUAUGUCACCUUGAUGGGAAGAGAUAUGCAUAUGAUGCUUCCUUCUUGGAAUCUUUAUCUCUUAUGAAGUUGUAUUUUUUUAAUGCCAAGUGGAACAACAAGUUGGAAAUGUUUAUACACUAAUUAAUUAAACACCACAUGGAAGACUUUGAAUAUCAAGAUUUAAAUUGUUUGAACAAAUAGUUCUAACAUUUUAUAAAGUUUUUGAUAUAAUUUAUGACUCAUAACUGCCCAUUUUUAAAUUACAAAAUAAGAAAUAAAGUUCCUAUUGAUAAUAUUAUAAUAAAUUAGUAGAAUUACAUUCCUUCUAGAACCAUUAAUCUCGAGUAAGUUUUUUUUUUUUUUUUUGAGUAACUUGUUUCUUACCAGUCCUCGUAAUCUCGAAUUUGAUAGAUAAAACAAUAAUGCAAAGCCAUGUAUAGUAGUAAUCUUAAGAUUUGAUAGAUAAAACAAUAAUGCAAAGUCUUGUAUUUCACAGAAUUACAAUUAAAAUAUCAGAAUUUUCAUCCCAAGGAUCAAAUAUAGAGUUUUCUUAGGUUUUAGGAAAUCGGAAAACUUUUGUUAGGAUUUACCUCGAACAAAACCGUAUUUUUCAGGCAGACCAAAUUACCCUUCCACUACCAACACAGAAUAGACGUGAGAAAGAGUUGGGGGGAGGACAUUGUUGGUUGAAUGUGGGAGUUGGUAGCGAGAUUGAGAAACAAUAGUGGUAUAAGUGGUGCGAACUUGGGGAGUAUUGAAGAAUUGAGAUGGUUGGGAGGUUUAUAGGGUUGUAUGUAUGGGUAGGGAUGUGAAAAUAUGUUUUGUGGUGUUUGGCGGCAACCAUGAAUAUUGAGAGAUGCAAAGUCAAUAAUGGAAACUUGUGGUAAAGUUGUGGUGGUGGUGGAAAAUUGGGGGAUAAAAUGUUCAUUUUGGUUAUUGUACUUUGUUUGUUUUUUGCAAUUUGGUCACAACACUUUUUUCCUGUCAGUUUGGUCAUAGUAGAGGGUGGGAGGGUGAGAACAUCAACAAUAGAUUGCUUACCUUCAAACUUAUUAAAUUGAAGAGUAAGUUUCUCGAUUAAAGUGGUUAGACGAUUAAUAGCCGAAUUGAAUUCAAUCUUCGUCACAUAAUCUCUAAGAUUAUUGACUUGGGAGCGGGGUGAAGAAUCUCCACCAUUGUAAGAUCGAAACGUAGCUCUUGAUACCAAUUGACAUAGCGGAAGCAAUUAAAAAUCAAACCUUGAAUAACCCAAGGUGAGAAUUGUCCUGAAACAAGGAAGAACUAAAACAAAACUAAAAAAAAUAGACAAUCUUAAUUGUAUUGAUUGAAUAAUUGAUCUACAAAACAUGACUCUUUAUAUAGACUAAAGACUUGUUCCGAACCGUGCUCACCCCUAAAACCAACUAUUCUAGAAUUUCAAGACUCUAAAAUAAAAAUUACUAAAUAAAAUAAAAUAAAUUUUUUUUUUUCUAACAUUACAACAUCAACAAUGACGUCAUCACUUCUGCAUUACAUUCAUUGCAUUGAGGGAAUGAGAAAGAAACAACCUCUAACUUCAAAUUUUGCAAGUUGCCACAUGUAGAACUAAUUAUUGUACUUAGAAUUAAAACAUAUAAAACACGCAAUUCAUGCAUGCCGGCCUGUAACCUUGCCCUGUACUAUAUACAAGAAGUAUCCCUAUCGACUAGUUGAUUAGUUCUAAUUAUAUUUUUAAAUGCAAUAUUAAUUAUAUACUCAUUAAAUUAAUAAUAAUACACUAAAUAGCACACAAGAUGCGAAGCUGCAGCAUGUUGACUUAUACAAAGUCGUCUUAAACUCCCAACUCCCAACUCCCAACACCCCUUCUUCCAUAAAGCAAGACGAUGCCAUUAAGAUGGGAGAUCUAAUAAGAACAACUUCUAAGCAAGUCUAAAGUGAUCUUCAUUUGGUUGUUUACCAAAUAAAUAAAGUGUUUAGGGCACUAUCAUGCAUGAAACUUGCAAAGCUAGUGGGAUCAAGUUAGUUAUUUAUUGAAUUUUCCAGGUAAUUUAAUUAUGUGUCUUUCUUCCGAUAGUUCUGUUUUUGUAUUGCAAUUAAUCCUGCUGCAGUUUUUAGUUCUUUGAUCAAUUGUGUUUAGUUCAGUAUUUCGACCAUAGAUCAGAUCUGAAAUUAAUCUCUCCUUGUAGAUAUAACACAUAGCUAGCUAUUCCACACACCAUUCAUUCCCACUCUGGUCCCUCAAACAAGUGCUGAAUGAGAACCCAAUAUAUGUGCAAUAUAACAAUAGUAAAACAAACAAUAAAGCAAUAAACAAAUAAAGAACACACGAUAUUUUUAACGUGGUAAAAACCAAUAUGGGAAACGUCCACGGUUGUCCUCGCGACAACAAAUAAAUUCACUAGAUGAAAAGAGAUGUACAAACCUAUCAACUACCUGCAAUCACUGCGAGUUGACACUACUGGUUAUCUCUAACACCUUGACUUCACCAGAGUACCUUGAUGUACGCACAUGACACUCGAACUUCUUGAUGAACACACAAGGAUACUCGACUUCUUGAUGAACACACAAGAAGACUCGAAGCUGAUCUCAAUAAUUAUUCAACAAAGAAGAAGAAGAUGAAUGGGGAAGAAGAAGAUGAGUUCAAUCACCAAAACAACCUAAACCAAAACCUAAACAAACUCCAAGACUAGAGAUGAAUUGGACGGCUAAAGAAAUCGUUUGUUCAUUGGGUAAAGAAACCCUAUAUAUAGUUAGGGUUUGGAAACAUAGAAAAUGGGCCGGACUUUGCAGAUUUUACAUUGGACGUACGUACGUCGAAACAGCGUACGUACGUCCGCACACGGAAAUAGUUCGCUGCCUGCUUGGACGUACGUACGUCCUAACUAGGUACGUACGUCCUGACCAAAACAUGUUUGCUGCCUAACAUGACGUACGUACACCCUAACUAGGUACAUACGUCCUAAACCCAAAAACUUACUUUUGACAAAAGAACGCGAGGACACAAACUCGAGACGAUGUGCAUAUAACUUGGUUUUCCUAACAAUGAACUCAAGGCGAGAUAACCGAGACAAUCAAUGUCACAAAAUUAAUGUCAAAUAACCGAGUGCCGGUUUCAAUCUCCCCCUUUGACAUUGAUUUUGUGACAAAAACCUAUGACUAUAGUAGCACUUAUAAAACGUGCAUACAAACCCAAACCAUGGCAUUUAUAAGAGAUGCCUACAAGAACACUCAUAGUAAAUACAUACCAAAUCACCAACACUUGAUAUUCUGGUCAAGUAAGAUUCUUUAAUCAUCAGAGACCGAACGGAAGCAACAAUGAAUUCUGUAAAUCAGAGAGCCAACGGAAGUUUCUCGAACAACUCCCCCAUACUUCAUGAGUCCCAAAAUUUGAUACUCGAGCUCCCCCGAAACUGUACAAUCUCAAACCAUCAUCACUUUCACUCCCCCAUACGUGUAGCAUACCUGAAACAUGACCCAAGAUACACUAACAAAGAAGAAGAAUGUGCUAGUAUUAGAGUCAUACAUCUCCUCAUUUUUGUCACAAAAGAAGCAAUGUGACAAGAAAAAAACCAUAACAAGUAAACAAAAAUUAAGAAGAGAAUAAUAAAACAUGUUAACAAGAAAUAGAUAUUGAACAGAAGAUAUAGAACAAUCUCUUGUCAACACAACAUAAACACCAUCAACAUGAGAAAAAUCCUUAACUAAAUCAACUUCACAAACCUUAACAAGAAGAUAAAGAGAAAGAACCGAUGUACCAUAAAAGUGAAGAGGAACACAUCAUGAAAUUCCCAAAAUAGUAGUCAAUCCCAAUCCAUACAAAAAUAAGAGACAAUAUAUUGGGAUAAACAAAAGAUUGAACAACUAAGAGAAUUGAAGUGCAUCAUAAACUAAACCUCGGUGUGUGUAGAUGCAAUGCAAUGCAUAAAGAGAGAGAAAGUUCACCACUAGAAUACACCCUUUGAAGACCUAGAAUAUAGAACCAUCAACAAGAGACAUACGAUUAGUAAGUGAGCUUAGAAGAAACAAACUUCAACCCCCUUUGAAACAAACGUUAUGCGUAGAAGACAAACGAAUAUAAAUAUGAUCUUUCAAAUGAAAACCAAGACAUCCAAAAGGCGAAGGAAUAUAAACUUUGUAUGUCUUACAUAAAAACAAUGAACAUGCGCAUGGAUUUUUAUUUUGCCGCAUGUGGUGGAGUUUAGUCUACAUCACUCUAAUGUCAUUCCCGCGUGGGAGGUAUUUUUGCCUCCAUCUUUUCAAAUACAUGAGGGUAGGGUGUAGCCUACAUCUUUUUGACAGACACAAACUCAAGAAGUGCAAUACCAUGAUAACGUGCAACACAAGAACUAACAUCUCUUGAGUGCAUCCGUCAGAGCAUGACCCUCACAACCCCAACGGGUUCUUAGCCAACUGAUAUAAUUUAAAGACAAUCAAAUGGCUGGGGAUAAAGUGAGUCAUUGACCACUAACAAGAGUUGUAAGAGGAAGAUAAGAAUGCUCAAUAACACGAACAACAAGAUGAACAUUAACCAAAACAAAUGAGAGAUAGCUCAAGAUAACAUAAAUACUCAAGAGAUAGAGAAGUUUUAUGAGCUUAAAGAAUAUGUAAGUGGUUUCCAAAAACUCCCAUCAUGCAAGAAUGCCGUGCACUGUGCAAACAAGCGAGGAAAAAUGCAUGAUACAUACCAAAACAUACUUAAGAGUUCAGAAAGAGAAAACACCCAAACAUAUUGUAACUUAUUUAAGACAAUUGAAUUAAACCAAUAUUUCAGAAAAGAUGCAUCCAACAACACAUACAUGGAAUAAUGAAAGAACAAUUAACGCAUGCAUAAAUAGAAGAUCGAACAAAAAACACCAAACAAAUGGCCUAUGUGGUUAGAAAAAUAUGCAAUUAAAAUACCACAAGACUAGAAACAAACUACAUCAUCCCAAAUAUGGGACACCACCAGACUUUUGCAAGUCUAGAAAAACCUGCAACUUAUCUUUUCUUACCCAUACUUGUUUAACACUAGGCGUGCACACCUUGAAAGUUGAAAAGAUAUGAGAUUUCCCCUUAUCAAGUUUUUCAAUAGACUUGUGGUCCUUAACUAAUUCCACCUUAGUCUUUGACUUCCUUUUGUUGGAGUACCCGUUUUUCUUAAACCUAUGAGAAUAAGCAUUAGAGUUCCAAGGUCUAGAAAACGCACAAGAAGGAACAUAAGAAUCAACAUGAUUAUAAUUAUAAGGAACACGGGAAUAACAUUUAACAUGUUGAUUAAAAUCCCAACAAAAGAUAUCCAAAUGACCAUCUCUACCACAAUAAGAACAAUGAAAAACAGUAGACUUACUCAAAGAAUUUUUAUAAGGAGAUGUGGUAGUAGAAGAUGAAACAUGUAUGUCACCAUUGUAUUUGUGACAUGGUGCCUUAACAAAAUCUGUACCUCCACUAUGAGAACAAGAUGUCUUACCAGCAAAAACACCCGUACCAUUAUCCUUAGACUUAAACUUUUUGCCAGAAACAUGCUGAAAAGUAUUAGUAUUAAGUAUAGUCUCAAUAGGUGGGGUAGGCAAAAGGGCAGGCAAACUAGAUUUUACAGAAGUAGUCACACUAGAUGGUCUAGUAGAACUAGCAAUAGGAGAGUCAAAUUUAGUUUUGUCCAAAACCUGCAAUUGAAGUUGAGUAGACGUUAAAUCGUUCUUUGUUACCUCAUACUCCACCAAUAGAGAUUUGUAUUUCUCAUCGACCUCCUGAUUGACCUUCUCUAAAGCUGCAAUUCUACAUAACAAGUCAAGUUUUUCUUUGUCAAAUAAUUGAGAAAUAGAAAUUGCAUCAUCUGCAGCAGAAAUAAUUUGUUUUUCAAGAGUCUCAAUUUUAUCCUGCAAAGUAAAAUUAGCCUUUUCCAAUUUUUUGAUUUUGGAAUCAUAAACUUCCCCUUGAAGCAUAUAGUCUUCUGCACAAUCUCUGAGUCGUUGUUCUAGAGAAUCAACCUUAGUCUGCAAAACACCAUUAUCUUUAAAACAAAAAUUAUCAGAAAUAGUAGAUAAAUUUGAAUUAGCUUUAUUGAACUUUUCCUGCAAAUCAAUAUUAGCUUUUUGUGACCUUUCACAUUCUUUUGUAGAAAGUCUGUAAAGAAGAGCCCAAUCACUAUUGCUAACAACAUACAAAUUAACAUCUUUUUCAAAAUCAGAUUUUGGUUUUGUAGAUUUAGACGGUUUAGCAAUAAAAUUAUUAUAAGCAGACUCAUGAACCAUUAUUGCACUCAUAAGAUCUACGCGUGAGCCAUUACGUUCCAUAACAAGCGCCCUGCUCUGAUACCAAUUGAGAACCCAAUAUAUGUGCAAUAUAACAAUAGUAAAGCAAACAAUAAAGCAAUAAACAAAUAAAGAACACACGAUAUUUUUAACGUGGUAAAACCCAAUAUGGGAAACGUCCACAGUUGUCCUCGCGACAACAAAUAAAUCCACUAGAUGAAAAUAGAUGUCCAAACCUAUCAACUACCUGCAAUCACUGUGAGUUGACACUACUGGUUAUCUCUAACACCUUGACUUCACUAGAGUACCUUGAUGUACGCACAAGACACUCGAACUUCUUGAUGAACACACAAGAAGACUCGAAGUCGAUCUAUGAAGCAAGCUUACACCAGAGUUCCUUGAUGAACACACAAGGAUACUCGACUUCUUGAUGAACACACAAGAAAACUCGAAGCUGAUCUCAAUAAUUAUUCAAUAAGGAAGAAGAAGAUGAAUGGGGAAGAAGAAGAUGAGUUCAAUCACCAAAACAACCUAAACCAAAACCCAAACAAACUCCAAGACUAGAGAUGAAUUGGACAGCCAAAGAACUCAUUUGUUCAUUGGGUAGAGAAACCCUAUAUAUAGUUAGGGUUUGGAAACAUAGAAAAUGGGCCGGACUUUGCAGAUUUUACAUUGGACGUACGUACGUCGAAACAACGUACAUACGUCCCCACACGGAAAUAGUUCGCUGCCUGCUUGGACAUACGUACGUCCUAACUAGGUACGUACGUCCUGACCAAAACAUGUUUGCUGCCUAACAUGACGUACGUACACCCUAACUAGGUACGUACGUCCUAAACACUAAAACUUACUUUUGACAAAAGGACGCGAGGACACAAACUCGGGACGAUGCGCGUACAACUUGGUUUUCCUAACAAUGAACUCAAGGCGAGAUAACCGAGACAAUCAAUGUCACAAAAUUAAUGUCAAAUAACCGAGGCCGGUUUCACUGAAAUCACUAGCAAUGACGACAAGAAUUAGUUCAAUUGGUUUAAUACUGUACCUGCAACAGAUCUCUGUCAUUCAAGUGUAGCCUGUGCUUGUUUUGUUUUGUUUUGACAUUAAGGGGGCUACACUUAAAAGAGUAGCUAUGUUAUAAUUUCCGAUAUAAUUAAACUAUAUAUACAAACUUUUCAUGUUCGUAUAGGCCAUUUUUUUUUAUGUCAGAUGUUGUUAAAUGUUAAAUAUUGCUUGUUCGAGUAACUCUUGUACAUACAUUACACAUGCAAAAAUAUAAUUAUUGUUUCAUCGGUCUGAGAUCAUGAGUAAUAGUUCCGAUAAGAAAAGAAAAAGAAGUUCCGACCUAAACGAUUAUUUUGAAGCUUUAUGUAAGCAGAUGCUCAAGCUGAAAGUCUUGAGAGACAAAGUGGCCACAGGAGGGGAAGUACGAAUGGCUGGUUGGCUACAGAUUGUUAAAGACAAAGAAAGAGAGGUGCGUGAAAUUGAAAUGAAGUUGAGAAAGUUAGAAAAAUAUCGUUUACCUCGUCCAAAUUCCAGGGAAAGGCUAAAAGAAAGGAUCAUUAAAAGUAUAACAACGGUGAAAGCUUUGAUCAAAAGUAAGGAUGAAAUCUCAUUAGCAAUGGAAACGUUCAGAAGGGCAGCUGAAGAAAUAUACCUCUAAUUUCCCGACUGAGAUAGGUUCUGGUGAUUUUGUGUUUCGUAAUAAUGUGGAAAUAGCCGUUAAGGUACUGCAUGACAGUGGAAUCGACAACAUGGAAAAGCAAUUUAAGGCUGAAAUAAACAGAAUGAGCAGAACUUCUCAUCGAAACUUAGCCAAGCUCUACGGUUAUUGUUUUGAUUCCUAAUCCUUAUUUCAAUCAAGACUUAUGGCAUUUUCCACAGGGAACCAAGUUAAUCUCAGAAGUCUAGCUAGAGCUACAUGACUGAAUCGGGCGGUAUAGACAUUGAAGUGUCAGAAGAAGGAAGAAGCACAACAAGGGAAUCAGACGGUUGUAAGAUUUUCAUUAACAACGGCUUUCAUGUUGUCAUCAAAACAGAACCCAUAUUAUGUUAUAUGUGUUAUUUUCCAGUUGAAUAAGUCUUAGUUGUUAUGAGUUAAGCCUAAUAAGUAGAAAGUAGAGUGUAGUCUUAUAGGGGUUAGUUGCAACUUAACGUUGGAGUGGGUUGUUGUAACUUAGUCCUGUUUUAUUAGUAAGAUAUUUGUAACACCUUCUAUUUAAGGUGCAGCAGUCAUUAAUAAAAGUAUGCUUAUGAAUUAUCUCCAAUUAUCCUCAACACUUAUUGUUGUUAUUGUAACACCCCGGGUCGGCAGGUGGUUUGCCAAAAGGGUGGGUCAUACGUUGCAUGAGAGGGGAUGAUCCUGACAUUGGAAUAUAGGUAUAGAUCCGUCAUAUAUAAUCACCGAGGCCUUUUGGGAGUAUCCCUCAUAUAUAAACAUUUCCCGUAAUGUUUUUCAUUAUUGCUGCCCUUGAAAUCUCGUAGGAUUGUCUGUAUAUUUGCAUGAGACGUGUUCACUAGAAUCAGACAUAGAAAACAUUAAGAUUGAUAAAAACAACAUAGUAAUUAGGAAGAUAUGUACCCAAGCUGUGGCAUUGAAACAAACACAUUUCGUAGUUACUUUCUUUUCCGACUCCACUUCAUAUAUGAAUUCACUAGACUUCAUCACCAACAAAGUUCUUGCUUCCUCAAUCCUCAAAGAUAAAACACCUUCCAUGGUUGGACACAAAGUAGAAGUCCACUUCAACGAAUCGUCACGUCUAUCCAACAUCAUCUUCAUAACACGUGACCUAAUUCUAUCAAGCAUUGGAAGUAUGGGCAUAGAACGUUGUGUGUACCCUGGGUACGUAAAAUACCCGAGAGGUGUCAUCGGUGGUUGUAUAAGAAGCUAAACCGAGAACACUUGAAUGUUAGCCAGCCAGACCUGGACUAUCGGGUAGGGCCCAACCCGGUCUCAAGAAGUCCACAUACGCUCUGUAGAUCUUGACCACUGGAUGGGCCACGAGCAGUGGGUGGAGCCCCGGUUACUGUAUAAGAAGUUGAGCCGUAGGCUCCCAUACAUCAGUCAGGCCCGUCUUAAUCAAGUAAGCUAGGUCCGACCCAUUGAAGUCCAUCAGCGAUGAAUUCCAUCCAAAGCCUUAUCAUAGAAGUCCAAAGGACCUGGCCAGGGAGUAUGCAAUGCAGAUUGGGCCUCCGGUCUGAGGAGUUUAGCCCAAGUCUUUGCUUUCAAACUUGGUCAAAUCCAAGUCUUAACUAACUGGAUAAGUCCAGCAAGAUUUCAGGCUAACAGAACCCACUCUUCUAGCCCGCUGGAGAACAUAAAGGAAGACCCAGGUUGAACCAGAGCCUAUCAGAGAAUGCCAUGUGGCAGUCGUCCUUGUCCGAGGGGAUUCAAACCGAGGGAUAAUCGUCAAGCAACAUGCAUGUGUGCUAUCUCUGCGGGAACAUCUUCACAGUUUGAACUGCCCGAGUUCAUGGAGUCGAAACCGAAUGAGCGGUUGAGCCAGCCUCCUCUGGUCCACUAUAAAUUCAGGAGUUCUCAACCUCCUGAACUACGAGUCUUUCACUUAACAACCUCCAUUACUAAAUCACAUUAUAUAUUGAAAAAGUGUUUAGAGGUGGAUUAAAGCUGGUUAUCAAAGUAUAAUGGUCAUGGUUCCAUAUGUAUUACUUGGAUUUUGAUAUGUGUAUAUUGAAAAGUGUAAAAACCUUUGAACAACCUUCUCUAUUUCUCUCUCAUUUCUCCUCUUCUCACUUUCUCUCUCAAUGAUUAUAAAGUGGAUACAAUAUUCAAAAAUAUGUAAAAACCUUUUUAGGUUCAAAUUUUCUGUGUUUUGUAGUGUGAAUUAGUCCGUAUAACUUAUGUAAAUUGACAUAUGUCUCUUGAACUGAAAGAUACGUCAUCUGUAUAACCUAUAACCUAUGUAAAUUCAUAUAUGUUACUCUUACUGAAUAUUUGUUUUAAAAGAAUAUAUUAUAUCAUAAAACUAGUAAUCUAACUCCUAAAAUUGAAUGUGACAGAAUACGAAUUUUAAGAUUAUUAUCUUCAAAUUAUUAAUGAUAUUCGUGGCAGUGCCACGGGUUUUACUAGUAAUUUAUGAUCCAUAACUGCCCAUUUUUAAAUUACAAAAUAAAAAAUAAACUUCCUAUUGAUAGUAUUAUAAUAAAUUAGUAGAAUUACAUUCCUUCUAGAACCAUUAAUCUUGAGUAAGUUUUUUUUUUUUUUUUGAGUAACUUGUUUCUUACCAGUCCUCGUAAUCUCGAAUUUGAUAGAUAAAACAAUAAUGCAAAGUCUUGUAUUUCACAGAAUUACAAUUAAAAUAUAUACUCUCCUAAACCAAAGCUAAUACAAGGAAACUACCAAAAAAACUACUCUUAACAGAAUUAUAUAUAUGUCGUGAAAUACUUAAUAAGAUAGAAUAUGGUCGGAAUCUUUUAUGUAUGAUUAAGGAUUGGAUGAGUAAGAUGGUGGAAUUGAAGUGGAAGUCUUUCAUGUGUAUAGGGAGAGUAACAAAGUAGUAGAUCACCUUGCUAGCCUUUGUAGCUCACCGGAGUUGUGUGUAAACCUUUUUUUCUCCUCCUCUAGCUAGAUGCCAAGCUACUUGAGUAGGUAACAGAUGACUCUAAUGGGAGGGAAUUUUUAAGGAUUUCUAUACAUAUAUAUACAUACAUACACUGGUAGGGGUCUGCCAAACCCUAAAUUUCUUCAACAAAAUAAAAAAUAAUAAUAUGUUCGACUAAUGUUUAUGCCACGGAUGACAUUAAAUUAGAGAGGUCCUACUGUAUAUGAAUCUAAUGAUAUAUAUGAAUGUUCCUAAUUUACAGGUUCAUGAUAUGACUUUAUCACAUAAAUAAACCAACCGCCCGAUUGAAUUUUUGUUGUCGCCCAGGUUCCAUUUCUAAUGCAUGGUACAUGUAACGUGUUGGAGUUAUUUUGCAGAUCAUGUCAUAAUAGUGUUUUGUAAGUAGCAACAUGUCAUAAUCAUGUCAAAUUCAUUAUCAUCAUCUCCAAUGAAACUAUAGACAGUAAAAAAACAAAAAGCCAGUCUUCCAAAUUUCAACUUACAAACUAUUAAUCAUAGGCAAAGACAGUAAAAAACAAAUAAAAAAGCUAGUGUAUCCAUCUCAACUAUUUUAAAAACUAGUUGCUUUCCUUUCACAAAUACUACAGGAGGGUAUACAGCCUUUUUACCUAGCACGGUUUGCAAUUCACUCAUAUAGGCUCGUCCAGCAGUAUCUCGCUCAUCAACCUCAAUUUGAUAUGAUUUUAACAUGGAAACAAUAUAUUCAGAAUAAUCAAUGUUGUCUCUCCGACCAGACGAAACUGUGUAAACAACAACCGCAUUUUCACCUCCAGGCGGACACCUUGAUCCGAAUUUUGCAAGCUUCAUAUUUGGUUCACUUAUUACAGGCCUUUCAAAAAUGGCAGAAUUGACUUUUGGAUGCCCCAACUUGGCUGGGAGAGAAAACACCAAAGAAUUAGAACUACCACUUAUGCUGCUGCUACUUUCACCAAAAUCAUAUGUAAAUGGUUCUUGCGGCAACCACGGUUCUAUCUCACCCUCAAGCAUCUUCACCACUUUGCUCAUAUCUGGCCGUUCGCGGUAAAUGUGUUGAGCACAUAACAAUGCAACUAAGCUUAAUCUUUUUGCAUUUUCUUUAUCCUUCUCUUCAAUGCCACAGUAAAUCAUUAUUUCACUUACCUUUCCAUCCUGAAGAUGCUUCCAAACUUUUUUUGGAAAGUUCUCGACCAUCCAAAUCCUCUUCCUCAUCAAAAUUUCGAACAACAUCAUGCCAAAACUAUAAAUAUCACAUUUAUGAUUAAUUUUGUCUUUCCAUCCAUAGCACACCUCAGGUGCAGCAUAACUCUCUGUACUUCCGAUCUGUGAGACAUGGUUGACAUCCCUGGUACGAAGCUUAGCCAACCCAAAAUCAGUAAUCUUAGGAGAAUGGUUGGAAUCAAGAAGCACAUUAUCAGACUUUAUGUCAUGGUGAACUAUUUGCGGAUAACAACCCUCAUGCAAAUAAGAGAGUCCUUUAGCUAUCUUUAUGGAAAUAUCGUACAACUUCGCCCACUCUAUACAAGAUUGCUGCUCUUGGUAUAAGAUUUUAUCGAAAGAUCCAUUCUCGACGUAUUCAUAAACAAGAGCUUUCAUGUUGUCAUCAUAACAAAACCCAUAUAGUUUAACUAAGUUUGGAUGUAUAGUUCUUCCCAUUGUGUCAACCUCACUCUUGAAUUGUUUUUCCAUGAAUUUUUUAUCCACGACUUUCUUUUUGGAUUGGUCAGUUAUCUCUUCUCUCAGUACCUUAACAGCUACUUUCCUGCCAUAUGGAAGAUGUCCUUUGUAAACAUUUCCAAACGCACCUGAACCUACUUUGUUUUCGAUCUUUGAUGUAAUGCUCUGAAGCUCGUCAUGUGUAUAUAGUUGUAGUUUCUCAUUUUCUAUAUCACUUAGGAUUUUCUUAAGAUUCUCCCCCAUCAUAAUUAGUUGAGACAAUAUAAUUAGUUGAGACAAUAUGGCAACCAAUCCCAAUCCAAUCGAUUCCUGUAUCAAAUAAAGAUGACAUAGGUACGAUUGUGAAAAACAUAAGGACAUUGACAAAAAAAAUAAUGUAAAUUGUAGGUAGACAAAACUAUUGAGUUUGAAAUUCAACAAAAUAUUCUCUCCAAUGUGUUCAAGCAUUUAGUUUUACUUGUUGGUUUUGAAACCGACAUUCGAUUGUUUGACAUCAUUUUGUGACUAGGUUAGGAGUGUCCGAGGUUAUCUCGCCUUGACGUCAUUAUUAGGAAGUACCUUGAUGUGUGAGCGUCGUCCCGUGUCUUCUUACUCUCGUUCAAAGUCUGUCAGGUUGUUGUUUGUUCCAGGACAUACGUACCUAGUUAGGACGUAUGUACGUAAGGUUGGGCAGAUCUUUUAUUUUUGGUUAGGAUGUACGUACCUAGUUAGGACGUACGUACGUCCUGUUCAACAUAUCACUUAUUCGUUCAGGGACGUACGUACCUAGUUAGGGCGUACGUACGUCGUCGUAUGGAUUUCUUGUUUUCAGCUAAUUUUCUCUCUUUUCCAAACCCUAAGUAUAAAUAGGUUUUUCAACCAUAGAACAAAGUAGUUCUUUGGCCGUCCAAUUGAAGUCUUCUUCUUGAGUUUGUUUAGGUGAUUGAACUCAUCCUCUUCUUCCUCAUUCAUCUUCUUCUUCCUUAUUGAAUAUUGAGAUCAGCUUCGAGUCUUCUUGUGUGUUCAUCAAGAAGUCGAGUAUCCUUCUGUGUUCAUCAAGGAACUCUGGUGUAAGCUUGCUUCAUAGAUCGACUUCGAGUCUUCUUGUGUGUUCAUCAAGAAGUCGAGUUCCUUGUGCGUACAUCAAGGUACUCUGGUGAAGUCAAGGUAUUAGAGAUAACCAGUAGUAUCAACUCGCAGUGAUUGCAGGUAGUUAAUAGGUUUGUACAUCUCUUUUCAUAUAGUGGAUUUAUUUGUUGUCGCGGGGACAACCGUGGACGUUUCCCAUAUUGGGUUUUACCAUGUUAAAAAUAUCGUGUGUUCUUUACUUGUUUAUCGCUUUAUUGUUUGCUUUACUAUUGUUAUAUUGCACAUAUUGGGUUUUUAGGUUUUUCAUUGACUUCAUUCUUCAUUCAAGUGGAUUGACACCUUUCUCAUCAUUAUACUACCUAUUAUUUUAGGAGAGAAAAAGUUUUUGCAUUCUUCGCCUUAACGACAUUUGCAUUUCUAUUAAAAAAAGCAAAAAUGUGAGAAUCAGUUUUUGCCCCAAGAAAUUGUGAUUGUGACAAUUUUAGGAACCUUAUUAAAGUUUGGUUUGAAGGAAUUUUUAUUUCACUUAUAUCCUUUUCGCAAAUACUAAAAGGUUAACUAUAAAAAUGGAUCCUACUUGUGAAAGGGAAGAACUUAAAUUAUCUAGGUUUAAAAUUUAAUUUAUUUAAUUUUUUUUUUUUUUUUUGGUAAAAAGUUUUAAAAGCAUUCAAUUAUUUUCAAGAUUUGGGUCAAAAUCCAAUGGGAUUGCUUGCUUUCUCACUGAGAAGGCUGUGAGAGUACUCUCUCUAAAUAACAAUUCUAAAAUAUAACUUCUUUAGUUACACUAUUCAUUGCCAAUUGGUUUUGAGUUGGACCCCAUGAGUUUAACAUGGUAUAAGAGCGGGCAUUUAUUCUGGGUUUAUAAGCCUAUGUGUGGUUUGAUUGGUCGUGGGAAAAAUUCCCACAUCAAACAUUACCCCAGAAAUUCCCAGAUGCCUGUUUGAUUGGUAAAGUUGGGUCAUGUAAAAAUUCCAUGAUAAAAAUAUUUCUCAUGAAUUUUUCCUUGACCCACCCUUAAAAAAAAAUUCCCAAACUUGUAGGGGAAUAUUUUUUUUGUCUAAUCAAACAACUAAAAUCUUUCCCACAUAAAAUUUUCCUCAUGUUUUUAUGUCUAAUCAAAUAACUAAAAUCUUUCCCACAUAAAAUUUUCCUUGUGUUUUUAUGUCCAAUCAAACGACCCAUUAGUAGGAAUUAUUUUAUGUGGGAAUAUUUUCAACUAUAAAAAUUCCCACAAGUAGUUAUUCCCACCAAUCAAACACACCCUUAAAUCAUGCCAUGCGUGAGGGAGCGGGUUGAGAACUUGAGAUGCUUAACCCCAGAUUGGUUUUGAGUUGAACACCAUGACUUUAAUAACAACGAAGAUCAUUUUGAAUUCUAAGGAUGGCGAGAUUGCUCGCCAUAAUACAGACUCAUUAACAUGUGUCAGAGUUGACAGGGUAACAGGGUCAGAGAGUCUUGGAAAAAGUUGGAUGGCUACUAUGCCCACUUCAUUUGAACAUAGAAAAGCUAAUUAGAUAGAAGCUAAGGCUAACUUAUAUUAGCUCUAUAAAGCAACAAAUUUAAUCUUCUGUAGUCGUGUAUUAAUAAUGAGAACUGAAUACGAAAGACUAACCUUGAAAGAAGAAGAAAACCACAACAGAAGGCCAGAAGCUCAAUCUCAGAACCAGAAUCUCUAUACUACUAGUGUAUUGUGUUUUGUAGGAAGAAGAAGAGUAUGGGUACAUCAAUAAAAAGUGAAGUACAUAUAAAUGAUCCUACAAUCAAUCUCCAAUCUCAAAGUCAAAUAAACCACACGGAAUACCAGGUGUAGCAUGUGAAAGGCCACCUACCCCUAAAUAUAUAUAUACAUAUAGUAACAAAAAAAUUUAAGAGAUUUUUGGACAUACCCCAAUUUGAAAGUCGAAAUUUGAGAUACCCCAUUUGAAAAAAAAAUUGAGAUACCCCUAAUUCAAGACAAAAGAGCUUUACAUCCGUAGGUGAGUUUUAUCAUCCGUAGGUGAGUUUUAUGAUGGACGGCUAAGAUAACACCAUAUCUUGAAUUGGGGGUAUCUCAAAUUUUUUUUCAAAUGGGGUAUCUCAAAUUUCGACCUUCAAAUGGGGGUAUGUCCAAAAAUCUCUCUAGUUUUAAUUUAGUGAAUCUCAAACCACCUAAAUUGUACUAUUCAACAUUGGUCACACCAACAAAAUUAGUCGCAUAACCCAACUUAUAAAAUAACUCAAAAUAACUAAACAAGUAACUUCAUAUCUUAUACCUAUAUUAUCUUUUAUUUCAAAGAAUUAGACUUUUAGUCUUAUUCCAAUUUUUUUUGGGCUAAAAUGAUAAACUUUGAAUUAUGGCGGUCAAAAGGACAAACACACGUUAAUAAUUUAUCAAAAGAACAAACUCGAAUUUUUACUUAGUUAAAAAGACAAAUGUUUAUGAUUAGACCUGUAAUCAUAUAGUCACACUUUUUCAAAAUCCUAAUACAUGUGAUUGCUAUUAUGAUUAUACGUGUGAUCAUACACACUUGUUCUUUUGAUUUAUGUGAUCACAACUGUAAUCAUACUCAUGAUCAUAAAAUAUUUAUAUGUGAUCAGGAGUAUAUGAUCAUAACAAAUAAAUGUGAUUAUAAGUAUGAUCAUACAUACUUAUGUUGUGAUUUAUGUGUGAUCAUAACGAAUAAAUGUGAUUAUAAGUCUGAUCAUACCAACUAAAUGUGAUUAUAGGGUUUGAUCAUACGGUUGCAUAAAAUUGCAUUCCAACAAGAGUUAAUUUGGGUAGGGUAUAGUUUUAUUGCAUUUAGUGUUAUGUAUUAUAUGAUUAGACAUGUGAUCAUAUGAUUAUAGGUCUGAUCAUACAGUUGGAUAAAGUCGCAUUAAAACUAGGGUUCAUCGGGGUAGGAUAUCGUUUUAUUGCAUUUAGUGUUGUAUAGUAUAUGAUUAACGUCGUGAUCAUGUGAUUAUAGGUCUGAUCAUAGGGUUGCUUAAGAUUGCAUUCCAGCCAAAUAGGGUUCAUUUAGGUAGAGUGUAGUUUUAUUGCAUUUAGUGUGUAUGUAGUAUAUGAUUAGACAUGUGAUCAUGAAGGGUAUUUUUGUCCAAGGGAGUAAAUUGUUAUGAUCAGACCCGUGAUCCUAAAAACGUUAUCCUUUUGAGUAAGUAAAAUCUUUUAUUGUCCUUUUGGCCUAACCUAAUAGGAACCGUGUCCUUGCGCCCAACUCACCCCUGCUCUUUUCAUUUGGUAUAACUCAAGAAUUCAUUGGAUAUUUGCAAAAAAUAAAAAUAUAGUGGCAGAACGACAGAAAGAAAAAAAUUGAGAAAAAGAAAAAUAUCACGAACCAUCACUAGAAAAUAGUGGAACGGAAAGAAAUUGAAACAUGCUAAAAUACACUAGUAACCUCUCACUAGAUAGUGACGGAACGAAAAAUGCUAAAAUAUACCGUGAACUAAUAGAUUUUCUUUACUUAGAAAUUUAGAAAUUUUAUUUCUUAAUGGGUUUUCUUUAGAAAUUUUAUUUCUAUAUAGAUUUUCUUUACUUAGAAAUUUUUGAUUAAUUUUGCAUAAAAAUUUGCAAGUUGCCACAGAUAGAAUUAAUUCUUAAUUAGAAUUAAAACAUAAAAAACUCAACACAUGUCUUAAAACACAAAGAUGAAGUUUGACUCAAAAUAAAAAACUUUAGCCCAGUUUCUUGUUGAAUGUGAACUUUACCAUUUUCUAACUCGGGACUUCUUGGAUGCCAGCUGAGUCCAGUUGGUGUAAUACCUUGGGGCGAUGAUACCAGAGGUCUAAGGUUCGAUUUCAGUGCAUCUUUGAGCUACUGAUUUCUUUAAAGACAGGCUUGCCGAUCAAAAAAUAAAAUAAAAUACACUAGGACCGACGUUGUUGUUGUUGAGUGUGUACUCAUUUCAUUUUCUAAUGAGUCUAUUCCUACCUGUACAAUUUGAAAUGAACCUUCUUUAAUUUAAAGAGUAAAUUAAAAUUAAUAUUGUAAAAACGAAAUGCGAAGCUGCAACAUGUUGAGUUAUUCAUUUUUUUAAUUAAAGCUGCAACAUGAUGUUGAAUUAUUCAUUUUUUUUUAAUGAGGGGCUUCUUGUUGAGUGUGAACUAACUGAUCAUUUCUUCUCCCAUCAAGGUGUGAGAAGAACAACUUCCAACCAACUCUUCAGUCUUCAUCAUACGUGGAACUUGCAAAGCUAGUUGGAUCAAGUUAGUUUUUCAUUGAAUUUUCCAGGUAAAAUUUAAAGUUUGUGCUUUAAUUUGGAUCUCCUUUUGUUAAGAUUAAUUACCAAGAUUAUACGUACUACUGCACUGCAUAGAUUAUACGUACUACUGUGCUUUAUUUGUCUUGCAAGUUGCAACUAAUCUUGCUGCAGUUAGUCCUCACUUAAUAUUGUUUCGGUUGGUUUUUCGAUCAUAGAUCAGAUCUAAUUUAGUCUCUCUGUAGAUAUCUAGCGCACUAUUCCACUCACCAUUCCCACUUUGGCCACUCAAACAAGUGCUAAAGUCACUGUUAAAUUACUUCAAUGAGUUUUCGAUGAUCUAGCUUUCAUAUACUGUGCCUGCAACAGAUCUCUGUCAUCCAAGUGUAGCCUGUGCUUGUUUUGUUUCUCACCACCAAGACAUUAAUGUGACAGCAAUUGUUGGUAUAGUUGAAUAAAUCCUGGAAAUCGACCCAUAUACUUGAAUUAAUUACUCCCUCUGUCCCAAAUUAUAAGUACCUUUUGAUUUUUGAUUGUUCAUUUGUCUAUAUUACCCUUGUUUUGAGAUAGAGUAAUUAUUCUAAUGAAAAGUUAGGCAUUAUAAUUAGUAUUAAAUAGGGGUAAGUUAGGAAGUAGAGUUAGUAGACAAACAAUAAAUGAUGUUUCCUUAAUAAAUAGAAUAUUCCAAAAGGUACUUAUAAUUUGGGACGGAGGGAGUAUAUAUUUUCAUUAUAGUACAUUAAUUAAGUGGACCACAACUAAAAUACUAGCUAGGUUAUAAUUUCCAAUACGGUGAUAAAUGCACAACCUGUUUAAUUGCACAAAAAAUAUUGGUUCCAUGAUUGGGAUAGUGUAUUUUGGGAAUUUCCCUGCACACUACUCCGUAUGUAAUGUGCAAAUUAUUUACAGUCCCAAACUCCCAACCCUAUAAUUAUCCCACACUUGGUAAGAAACACUUUAAAAUUAUGUGUAUUAUACUUACCAUUGGAAUUAUAAACCACACUUAGGUUGAAAUUGAAGUAAAUUACUUUUAAAUUUGCAUAUAUAUAAUGUUUUAUUUAUUUUCUAAUCUAUAUCAAAUUAUAACAUUAUAUUAUGUUAGGUAUGGAAUUUUACAAUCUACAUUAGACAGUCUUUCACCUUUACUUUGUAAAUGCACACCCUUUGUAAACGCACAUUAAAUCUUGGUCCCAAGGGCGUGCAUUUAGACAUGUUUCACUGUACAAUUAAAUUAUGCAGACUUUUCAUAUUUGGCAUUUUUUUUUUUUUUUUUUUUUAAUCUCAGAUGUUGUUAGUGUCUUCUACUAGGUUGUUAAAUAUUCCUUGUUGUACAGAAUUAAUGAGCAACUCUUCUUCCUAUAUACAUUACACAUGCAGAAAUAUAAUUGUUUCACCGGCCUGAGAUCAUGGGUAGUAGGUCCGAUCUAGAUGAUUAUUUUGGAAAUUUACGUACGGAGAUGCUCAAGCUGAAAGAAUUGAGAGACGAUGUGGCCACAAGAGGGGAAGCACGAAUGGCUGGUUGGCUACAGAUUGUUAAAGACAAAGAAGGAGAGGUGGGUGAAUUUGAAAUGGAGUUGAAAAAACUAGAAAAAAGUCGUUUACCACGUCCAAGUGCCAAGGAAAAGCUAAAGGAAAGAGUCAUUAGAUGUAUAACAACGGUGAAAGCUUUAAUCGUAAGUAAGGAUGCUAUCUCAUUAGCCAUGGAAACAUUCAUAAGUGAAGUGGCAACAGGGAAACCAACACAAUUUUCAGAAUGGCAGCUGAAGGAAUAUACCUCUGAUUUCGCUACUUCGACUGUGGUAGGUUCUGGUGAGUUUGGGGUUGUCUAUAAAGGUGUAUUACGUAAUAAUGUGGAAAUAGCCGUUAAGGUACUGCAUGACAGUGGGAUGGACAACAUGGAAAAGCAAUUUAAGGCUGAAGUGAACACAAUGAGCAGAACUUCUCAUCGAAACUUAGCAAAACUCUAUGGUUAUUGUUUUGAUGCCAAAAAGAAAGCCCUUGUGUAUGAAUUCGUGAAGAAUGGAUCCUUGGAUAAAAUUUUAUAUGAUGGCAACAGUAGUAUAGAAUGGGGCAAAUUAUAUAAUAUUGCAGUUGAGACUGCAAAAGGGCUCUCUUAUUUGCACGAGAAUUGUGAUGAACGGAUAAUUCAUCGAGACAUAAAGGCUGGUAAUGUGCUCCUUGACUCAAACUUUUGUCCUAAGCUUACUGAUUUUGGAUUGGCUAAGUUUUAUGGCACUGAUAAGAGUCAAGUUGCAUUGAGUAGCGGUUUCAGGGGGGUACGCAAUUAUGAUGCUCCAGAGUUGCGAUUUGGAAAUAAAAGAAAAGUAAGCUAUAAAUGUGAUGUUUUCAGCUUUGGGGUGAUGCUUUUUGAAAUUUUAACGAGGAAGAAAUGCGAAGGUGAUAACUCGUUGGCACUACAUGUUUGGGACAAGUUUCAGAAAGGAGUACUUGACGAAUUUAUAACAGAUAAAUGUGGCAUUGUUGGGGAAGAGGAUAAAGAUAAUGCAAAGACAUUAAGUAUAGUUGCGUUAUUGUGCAUUGAACAUAAACCCCAGGACAGACCUUCCAUGAGUAAAGUGGUGAAUAUUCUUACGGGUGUAAUCAAACCUUCCACACCACUGAAUCCUUUUUUGAAUUACAACUCUUCAAGUGAAAGAAUCUUGAUUUUGGAUUCAACAGGAGGAUCAGGCAGUCUUGAAACACCGCAAAUAAUAUUCCCCACCAUCAAUGAAAGGUAACGAUUAAUACACUUAUAUCUAUACAAGUUAAUUAUUUCUGAAUAGUAAGUAGUAAUUUUACGUAUUGAAAUUGGCAAGACUAACCUUAUUUCAUUUUUCCAGGGAACCUCUUCCCAGCACCCGAUUUAAUCCUAGAAGCGAGAGCUAUAAAACUGAAUCGGUUGGUACAGACUUUCAAGGGUCAAAACUAGGAAGAAACACAGCAAGGGAAUCAGAAUCGUUGUUCGCUUUAUCUGAAAAGAUGUGUCCUCCCCAAGGUGAAAAUUCUGUUAUUAUAUAUACAACAACAUUAAGAGAAAACGCAAAAAUCUUUGAAGAAUGUAACAUGGUCCGUUCAAUAUUAAGAUCACAUCAAAUCCAGAUAUUUGAACGUGACCUUGUGCAGAAUCCUGACUAUAAAGCAGAAUUGAGAAAUGUAUUGUGGAAGAUAGUUGUACCUGCAGUGUUCGUGAAAGGAAAGUUUAUAGGGGGAGCUGAAGAAGUGAUGAAAAUGGAAGCAGAAGGCACAUUGCAGGGUUCGCUCUACGGGAUUCCAAAGGCCACCAAUUAUGUGUGAGGUUUGUGCUAAAAGCAGGUUUCUUGACUUGGAAGAAAUCAGACAAUUUUAUAGUUGAGAAAUUUGUUGGGAAACCGGUUCUAUAAGGGAAUCCGUUUCAUAUUUGGAUUUCUAAGUCCAUAUUAAGGAUUUAGAAUUUGGUAUUGGAAUAUGACUUCCAAUUUGAUUAAGUUUGGUAUUCUUAUUAGGAAUUUGUUUUGUACACCCUAAAGGCUAUAAAUAUAAGGUCUUAGGGAUUGGUUUAGUAUCCUCAAUCCAUAUUUGUUGUUUGUCUCCUUGUGAGAGUUGUGAGGAUUUGUUUGGUGAGUGAGAGAUUUGUUGGGAGAUUUUCUCCAUUGGUUAGAUACUUUGUAUCUUUGUUGAUUUGUUAAUAAGAAGCUCUCCUCUUUGGUUGGUGGACGUAGGCAAUCGCCGAACCACGUAAAUCUUGUGUUGUUUGUUUGUUUUGUUUUGCUUUGUUUGAUUCACACACUAUUUCAAUUUUGGAUAUUCGUGCAUAAGUUUACGCUGCGCACAACAAAAUUAAUAGUGCUGAGUUAUUUUUUGUCAUCGCAAAAUGCUUACUGUGCUCUAACAUUAAACACUAAAUAUAUUCCGCGAAACAUAGAAUUAUAUUUUAGUACUAUAGAUUUCUCUUGGUACAAGAUGUUAUUGAAAGAUCCAUUUUCAGACAUUCAUUACAAAGGUUUUCACGUUUUCAUCAAAUUAGAACCCAUAUAGAGUAGUGUGUGCCUAUUUUGUUUGUUUGUUAGGCAAGAAAAAAAAAUAAGCUACUGUUCACGAGUUAAAACAAUGUAAAUAUAAUGUGACAGUAUAUGCAAACCAAAAAAGAGUCAGAGAAAAAUCUCUGUCCUUAAUAUAUUAUUCGCCCAAAUCAGGUGUUGUAUGGUGUAUGGCGAAUUAUCUCCCAUGAUACAACGAUCAUUACCUUCACAAUGUAGCAAUAUUUUAAAUACCUUGAAGAUGGUGAACCAAAACUUUAAUGUAACUCUCUCACAGACACAAUGAAAUUAAAUGAAUGAGUUUUGAAUGAAUGAAAAAUGCAGACAUAACCCAUCUAUUUAUAACAAGAAAAUGUUUAGGGAAAGGACCUUUUGGGCCGAACUAGUUCAAUGAACAGACUCAUCUAUUGGGUCGAAUAGGUUAAAUGAACAAACACACAAUGAUUGGCUUUGGGCCGAAACUGAACGGACACAUCUAUUGGGCCCAAAACAGUUCGGGCCAGUUGGGAAUGGGUACCCACUUAUUCGGACAUAAAGUUCAUUGAUCCUUUCCAUAAAGAUUAUGUUGGAUCACAAAGAACACAAGCCCAAACCCAAGCCAGGCCGGAUUGGUCGGACGGCGCACGUGUGUGUGUUUUUCAACCCCAUGUAAGGUUCCCCCAAUGCACGGAAAUAUUGUACCCCAAAAGGCCACACCGUUAUAGUGAAAAUAUAGUAUAUUAGGAAUAAACCUUAUCUACAUGCGAAUGAGCAUGUGGCUCAAUGGUAGCACCCUCUCACAAAGUGGAGAGGUCGUGGGUUCGAAACACGUCAACCGCUGAUUGUUGAUAUAAGUUUCUACACGUAAUUUAAUGGGGUAAGAGUCCCCACGACCCUGCUUACCAAUCAAAAAAAAAAAAAAAACCUUAUCUACAUGGUCAAAUGUGGGACUAUCACAAUUUUCUUGCUAUGUCCAAAUUAUACUACUUACAUAGGUAAUUUGGGACUCCAAUUUCUCAUCUAAUAUGAAAUAUUUUUGGAUGGAUGGAUACUCUAUGAGAAUGUAAUCGGAAUGAGGAAUCCAUACAUAUCAAGAUCUUACUCAUCGGAACUCUGGAACAUAUACAAAUGUGGUCCCAAAUAUUUUGUCAACAUUCAAACAAUGCCAUUUGCAAUUGUACUUUGUAAACGUCUAGAACCAGUGGCGGAGCCAAGAAUUUUCCUAUUGGGGUUUUUAGACUUCGGGACAUCUAAAUAAUUCCUCUUUGGGAAAUGAAACACUUUUAAUUGAUAUUGAGAGUUUGGGGCACCUUUCGUGAGUUGACUGUUGCUUGCAUGUUAAAUUUUUUGAAAAUAACAAUACUACCCCUCUACAUGUAUAUCACGAGAUUGAAUUUAAUAACAGAAUUGUUACACGUGUCGUUAUAUCAUCCCUUGAUUCUAUCUUACGAUUGAUAAAUUGACGCGUGUCGUAAUGUUCUCCUUUGUACUUUUUAAAAUUUAAGAAGACACCUGUGUUAAAUGAAAUUAGAGAAUAGAACACCUGUGCAAAGUAUUAUGGUAUUUAUAGAAUAUGUUAUUUGACUUGAUUCAACUGUUAGUGAACUGACAGGAAGGUGCCCCAUACACUAAGGUAGUGUUUGAUAACAGCAUUCUUCUGCGGCAAAUCCCUAUUUUCGUGCAUUUUUUGUGUUUGCCAGCAUUUGAUAGCACAACUGGAUGAUUCGGCAAAGUCUACCAUUAAGCCCUCACGUGACCCCAUUUGCCCGUUUAUAUACGGGAAAUUUUUUCUUGGGUACCCCCCAAUCAAAUUUUGUUUUGCCACUUCAACCAUCUUUUUUUACCGGGUAUAUAAGCUAAAACAAACCCAGAAAACCCUAUCUCACAACCUAACUCAAAGAGAACUUCAAUGGCGGCUCUCAUAGUGACGAAACUCGUGUUCGAGGCUGUUUCUCGUGUUUAAAGGUAUGCCUUCAACCCCCUUUCACUAUUCUUCAUCAUUCUAAUCUUAAAUUGAACAAUUUUAACUCGAAUUCUCGUUUUAUUUUUCUCUUUUUACACUGUUGUUGAUGUUUUUUUUUCUCUUGUGUUGUUGUUGUUCUUCUAUUUGUUCUUCGUAAUCAUCCCAAUUUGAAAAAAUCCUAACCCUAAUAAUUUCAUUAAAAGUUGGGGAUUUAUUCAAGUUCAACAUUGUAUUAUUCUUAUUCAACAGUAAUUUGCGAAAUUCAUUAGUAAUUUUAGUAAACCCCUAAUUUCAAAAAAGUUGAGGAUUUUGUCAAAUUCAAAUUAAUUUGUUAAAUUGAUAAGUAAAUUGUCAAGAAUUUGUGGAAUUGAAUAGUUAUUUAUCAAAAAUUUGUUAACUUUAUAUUGGUUUAAUGUUGGUAUGCUCAAAAUUAUUCAAAAAUUAGGGGUUUUGUAUUUUAAGUAAUUUCAAUGUACAUUUGUGACUGUUUGAUGUAAUAUUUUGAUUUAUUUUUUUAAUAAAGUGUUCCUCGGUUUAUGACAAAUACAUUUUUGGUUUUUUAUUUUUUUUCUGCAAUGUAACAAUUGAUUAAACUUGUACACUUUUGUGUAUACAAUUAUAUGUCCAAUUGCUUAAAUGUUGUGUAUAUGUCCAAUUGCUCAAACAAUUAUUUUGCAGUUUUAAUUUUAAAUAUUAUACUUUUUAUUAAAAAUAUCUGACAUGUUUGAACUGACAUAUUUAGUUAGUUACUAUGGUUGACAUACAUGUUUCUUGUAAAUUAAACUAGUAUACUUUGUUAAUAAAUUGGGACAUGUUUGAACUGGCAUAUAGUUUUAUCAUGAAUCAAUGAUCCAAAGUCAUCAGUUUAUACCUUGCAUGAUCAUAUUUUGAUGAUCAGAUAGUCAUCAGUUUUUCAAGUUUGAUUAUAGUAUACCAUCUGACAUGUUGUAAAAGUUCUCAUUUUCAUCAAUAUGAAGCAUACUACCCUGAUGAACUUUUACUUGCAGAACUUGUUCGUUGUGUGUCGUCUUCUCUCACUCAGUAUAGGUUGGUUUAAUCUUAUUUUUUUGAUGUAUGAGUUGAACUUACUUGCAGAUCUUGUUCGUUGAUAAUGUAUGCCUUUUUUCCAGUCUUGCUUGACUUCACUUGUUCGUGUUCUUCUUUUCUCAGUAUACAAUAUUUUCUAAGGUUUGUGUUUGUCACUAACCAUUUUUUGUAUUUAUAUAUUAUAUAUGGUAUCAUGAUUAUUAUACCAUUGUCAUGUUUAUUAUAUGAUUUAUUAUGUUCAUGCGUAUUUCGUACGAAUACGGUGUGGGGUGGUUAAUGUAAUAUCUUGUAUGGAACACAAGAUAAGGUUGUUUAAAUAGUGAAUUCAAUCAAAAUUUAUCGAUGGAUUUCUGAAAAUUUACUAUGACUUACCUGUCAGAUUUGUGAAGUUUUACGUUGGCAAUUUUGGUUGCCAUUUUUUUUUUUAAUUUUUACUUGUAUUUGUCCAUUAUUAGGUUCAGAUAUAUUCUGAUUGUGGUAAAUUCAUUAGGAAUGGUGCUUUUUAAAACCACGCCUCGACGUCGUGGAUUUGUUUGUCCGUCUUAGGUCGUGUGUUCGUGUGGACUCCAGAUAUGGACCACACUCUUUGUACUGCUAUGUUAGCAGACACCGGAGAGGGUCCAUUGUUUGUCCAUCUUAGGUCGGCAGUUGUAAGGGCUGCUGAUGUUAUAAAUGAGCACACUCGGUUGGAUUUGUGUGUCUAUAGCAUUUGGCAACGUCUAUGCCAUUUGAAGCGCUUGGUAAAACUUAUAAAAGAGUUGUGUGAGGACCACGAGGGAUUUCAUUGGGAUAAUGAAACCAAGAUGGUCAUUGUUUCAGAUGAUGAUUGGAUUGCGCUUGAGGAAGACCUACCUGAGUGUUACACACAUAUUAGAAAUCUGUAUGUUCCAGCGUACCUGGUGUACAAGGACCUUGAAGACAAGUUUUGUUUCUAGGUGUGAGGUCUAGGUGUAUAUCACAUGUGUUUAUUAAACUUUUUAGUUUAUGGAGUGUCGUGGAUUUGUUUUACAAACAAUAGGAACUUGUCAGUGUUUGAUAUUUUGGUAAUAUUAUGAUUUUGUAAAUAAUGGCACAAUGGUGGACUACUAAUGACAUUGUUUGACAGAAUCGUUGUAAAAAGUUGAACGUAUGAACCGUCCAAUUCCGUGUUAUACAGACAACAACGCCAACCGCCGAAGUUGGUCAAUCUCUAUGGAUAUCAAUUUGUGCACCAUUCUACUAUCAAUUAGUACACCCCAACGAUGUUUUUUUAGCUAAUACACUCGCUGAAGUAGCAAAAACAAUGCGGACUAGAAUGACAAGUUGUACCAUCACUUCACUCGUAGUUGCUUGGCCUACCGCCUACUUGUUACACUAAAAGCCAAUAAUUUCAUGGCCUGGAAAAGUAUUAUGGCUUGUGAUAGCUAACACUGUUCACAAAGCACAUCACUCAAUUGUUAGUCAAACAAAUUAUUUAUGGACACAUUCCCUAACCACUCACAGCAUAGACCUUUUUCUGAUUAAAAUCAUGCUGGAAACUCGCCCCAACCCUUUUGCUUGGAUGUAUUUGUUCUCUAUGGUGGUGCAUAUGUUGUUCUAGUUGAUGGAUUCUUUCAUAGCUGCACAUUUUUUCAGUUCUAUUGGUUCUGUAACAAAGACUUACAGAAGUUAUUAAGCAAAGAUAGGCAACAAUUUGUUGGUCUAGAGUUGGUCUAGCUAUUGCUUGCGAAUUCUCUGGCCUGUGAUAUUUUGAUAAUAUAACGUUUUUCGUCCAAGAUUAUAUCAAUGUAUUUCUAACUCCUGGCCGGGAAACCAAUCUUUUUUCCCAUUUUGAUUUCCUAAGGCCUGAAAUAUCCCAAUGGAAUUCACUUUGCUGACAUUUUUUUAACUUAUCAAUGUUAAAUUGCGCUUAUUUGAAAAACAUAAAAUUUAACCAAGAUACCUGCAGGCUGCAGUCAUUUGAAAAACAUAAAAUUUAACCAAGAUAUCUGCAGUCAUGGUGAAUACAUUUUGGUAGAUGGAGGGUGUUAGAUGUGACUGUUGUAUAUUGGCUCGCCAUAGUUUGGUGCACAGGAUCAUACCUUAUAAGAGGUGUGAUCCAUAUGAUCAGUUUCCUAUAUUGGUUAAGGAAACCAUAUAUGUGCAGGAGUUGUAUUUGGACUCGGUUUCCUAUUUAUCUCUAGUUUGAAUUAGUAAUUCUAUAUGGAUUUGAUUUCUAUUCAUGGGCUAUAAAUACCCAAGUAACUUGGUAUUUGUAAGACAAGACACAAGAGACGACAAGAAAGUAGAAAAUAAUAGAAACAUAGAGAUAGAUAGAGUAAGUGAGAGAGAACUUUGGGAGCCAAGGGUGUAUUGGGUUUAAGGUGAGAGAUUAAGAUCUUGAGAAAGAUACUAGGGAGAUUAUUGUAAUCGGUGUUUCUUUUUCUUAUAGUGAAAUCUUCUCAUUGUUCCCCGUGGAGGUAGGCAUUGCCGAACCACGUAUAUCUUGGUAUUAUUGUUCUUUAUUAUUUUGUUCUUCUUAUACUAUUGUUUAUUGUUUGGUAAUCUUUGACCUCAUUGACAAAACGGAUCCUGUAUUGCAAAGAAGGUGUUCUCACGAAUAUCUAGGUUGCGGGUUGUUGGCGUUGUUAGGAUUUACUUAAUCACUGCAUAUAGUUCAACAGUGACAUGUACGAUCAAAAUUCUUUUUUGGCAAUUAUCCAGCUCUGCAGGAAUUGUUAGUGUUUUGGGGCAAAAUGGUGCAAUGGUUUUAGACAUGACAGAGAAACUAAACUGAGGGAAGAGCAGAAAUUCUGCUUUGUAUGACACAAGGAUAGCAAGAUUUCUAUGCAAUACCAUGGUCGUUCUUUAGUUAUUUUAAGUCUUUCAUUUGAAAAUUUUGUGUAGUGGGGAGGACAUUGUUGGUUGAAUGUGGGAGUUGGUAGCGAAAUUGAGAUGGAAAAGCAAUAGUGGUAUAAGUGGUGCGAACUUGUGGAGUAUUGAAGAAUUGAGAUGGUUGGGAGGUAUUAUAGGGUUGUAUGUAUGGGUAGGGAUGUGAAAACAGGUUUUGUGGUGUUUGGGGGCAACCAUGAAUAGAGAGAGAUGCGAAGUCAAUAUUGGAAACUUGUGGUAAAGUUAUGGUGGNNNNNNNNNNNNNNNNNNNNNNNNNNNNNNNNNNNNNNNNNNNNNNNNNNNNNNNNNNNNNNNNNNNNNNNNNNNNNNNNNNNNNNNNNNNNNNNNNNNNUUUUGCAGUUUGGUCACAACAUUUUUUUCCUGUCAGUUUGGUCAUAGUAGAGGGUGGGAGGGUGGGAGCAUCAACAAUAGAUUGCUUACCUUCAAACUUAUUAAAUUGAAGAGUACGUUUCUCGAUUAAAGUAGUGAGACGAUUAAUAGCCGAAUUGAAUUCAACCUUCGUCACAUAAUCUCUAAGAUUAUUGACUUGGGAGAGGGGUGAAGAAUCUCCGUCAUUAACCAUUGUAAAAUCGAAACGUAGCUCUUGGUACCAAUUGACAUAGCGGAAGCAAUUAAAAAUCAAACCUUGAAUAACCCAAGGUGAGAAUUGUCUUGAAACAAGAAAUAACUAAAACAAAACUGAAGAAAAAUAGACAAUCUUAAGGGUAUGUUUGGAAACUUUCUUGGGAAUUGGAAUUGAGUUUAUAAUUCUAAAACUUAUGAUUUUAGAGAAUUAAAAUUUUUAAUGUUAAUUUUUACUAUGUUUGGAUAUAUAGAUUGAAAUGAGAAAAGAAAUUAAAUAAGUGAUAUAAUAGGAAAAUAAUAUAGAUGGCAGUAUUAAAGUUUCCUUAUAUAGAAAAUAAAUUUUCAAUCAAGCCUAGAAUCAAGAGUUUUACCCCCAUAAACUUGUGAUUCAUUGAAAUUUAAGGAUUUCUAUUUUCAAUUCAUGGACUAAAGUCCUUCCAAAUGCACAAAGUUGCAUGUUUUGGAAAAUGAUUUUCAAUUUCAGCCUCAAUUCCAUGUUUCCAAACAGACCCUAAUUGUAUUGAUUGAAUAAUUGAUCUACAAAACAUGACUCUUUAUAUAGACUAAAGACUUGGACCAACUAGGACUAGGACUUCCUAAACAAAGAAAUCAAAAUACAAAUCUUACUUUGAAUUUUUAUUUUUUUUUGAUAAAUUUUUGUUUUAUUGAAAAUUUAAAAGAGAACACCAACAUCUUUAAAUUGUAUUACUAAUAUCAACUUAAUAGUAAACAAACUAGGGGUGAGCAAAAAAACCGAAAAACCGAGAAAUCGAACCGAACUGCUACAUACGGUUUGGUUUUUAACGGUUUUUAGAAGUGUUGAUUCGGUUUAUAAUUUUAAAAGUUUAAUAUCAACUUAAUAGUAAACUAACUAGGGGUGAGCAAAAAAACCGAAAAACCGAGAAAUCGAACCGAACUGCUACAUACGGUUUGGUUUUUAACGGUUUUUAGAAGUGUUGGUUCGGUUUAUAAUUUUAAAAGUUGUAGAACCGGUAUAUACAGUUCGGUUUACGAUUUCUCUCUUCAAAAUAUUGCAGUUAGCCGAAACGAAUAAUAAUAGUAGUAUACUAGUAUAUUAAGGGUUAAGAUAUGUUAAUAUGAUUGGUCCAAUGGAUUUUUUAGAUUUAAUAUUAAGUAAAGUUUGGAAGCCCACAAUGUAUUAAGGCUCCAAGCCCAAAACCUAAAACAACCCAAACCGUAGAAACCAACCGAACCAAACCGUGAAAAUCGGUUCGGUUUGUGACUGGUUCCUAAGGUUUUACGGUUCGGUUUCAGUUUCAAAAAGUUUGAAACCGUGCUCUACGGUUAAGUUUUCGGUUUCACCUAUAUGUGACCGAUUCCGAACCGUGCUCACCCCUAAAACCAACUAUUCUAGAACUUCAAAACUCUAAAAUAGAAAUUACUAAAUAAAAUAAUAAGAUAAAAAAAAAAAUAAGAAAAAAAAAAUUCUAAAUAUUGGUGGAUCUAUCCCCAUGUUUGGUUAGGACUGUGGGCCUAACCGUUUGUAUGGCCCGUGACCCAGUUGAAAGUGUGGCAAAGUCACUUCCGUGUGUUAAUUAGGUAUGUGCCUACCAGUUUAUCCGGUAUUCCGGUUGACAUACAUGGUGGUAGCCUCCCCGGCUCCCCCAACAAGUUCGAGCUUGUAGAGAAACUGGUUUACAACAUCAUUACAACAUCAGCAAUGACGUCAUAUUAAUUGCAUUGAGGGAGUGAGAAAGAAACAACCUCUAACUUGAAAAUUUGCAAGUUGCCCCAUGUAGAACUAAUUAUUGUACUUAGAAUUAAAACAUAAAAAAACACGUGAUUAGUUCUAAUUAUAUUUUUAAAUGCAAUAUUAAUUAUAUACUCAUUAAAUUAAUAAUAAUACUCUAAAUAACACACAAGAUGCGAAGCUGCAGCAUGUUGACUUAUACAAAGUCGUCUUAAACUCCCAACUCCCAACACCCCUUCUUCCAUAAACCAAGAUGAUGCCAUUAAGAUGGGAGAUCUAAUAAGAACAACUUCUAAGCAAGUCUAAAGUGAUCUUCAUUUGGUUGUAAUAAAAAUAAAAAUACCUACAAGUGUUACAACCUGAAGAUCGAUCGAAUACCAAAUAAAUAAAGUGUUUAGCGCACUAUCAUGCAUGAAACUUGCAAAGCUAGUGGGAUCAAGUUAGUUAUUUAUUGAAUUUUCCAGGUAAUUUAAUUAUGUGUCUUUCUUCCGAUAGUUCUGUUUUUUGUAUUGCAAUUAAUCCUGCUGCAGUUUUUAGUUCUUUGAUCAAUUGUGUUUAGUUCAGUUUUUCGACCAUAGAUCAGAUUUGAAAUUAAUCUCUCCUUGUAGAUAUAACACAUAGCUAGCUAUUCCACACACCAUUCAUUCCCACUUUGGUCCCUCAAACAAGUGCUGAAAUCACUAGCAAUGACGACAAGAAUUAGUUCAAUUGGUUUAAUACUGUACCUGCAACAGAUCUCUGUCAUUCAAGUGUAGCCUGUGCUUGUUUUGUUUUGUUUUGUUUUGACAUUAAGGGGGCUACAAUUAAAAGAGUAGCUAUGUUAUAAUUUCCGAUAUAAUUAAACUAUAUAUACAGACUUUUCAUGUUCGUAUAGGCCAUUUUUUUUUUUUAUGUCAGAUGUUGUUAAAUGUUAAAUAUUGCUUGUUGGAGUAACUCUUGUUCAUACAUUAUACAUGCAGAAAUAUAAUUAUUGUUUCAUCGGCCUUAGAUCAUGAGUAAUAGUCCCGAUAAGAAAAGAAAAAGAAGUUCCGACCUAAACGAUUAUUUUGAAGCUUUAUGUAAGCAGAUGCUCAAGCUGAAAGUCUUGAGAGACAAAGUGGCCACAGGAGGGGAAGUACGAAUGGCUGGUUGGCUACAGAUUGUUAAAGACAAAGAAAGAGAGGUGUGUGAAAUUGAAAUGAAGUUGAGAAAGUUAGAAAAAUAUCGUUUACCUCGUCCAAAGUCCAGGGAAAGGCUAAAAGAAAGGAUCAUUAGAAGUAUAACAAUGGUGAAAGCUUUGAUCAAAAGUAAGGAUGAAAUCUCAUUAGCAAUGGAAACGUUCAUCAGUGAAGUGGCAACAGGAAAACCAACACAAUUUUCAGAAGGGCAGCUGAAGAAAUAUACCUCUAAUUUCGCGACUGAGGUAGGUUCUGGUGAUUUUGGGGUGGUCUUUAAAGGUAUGUUUCGUAAUAAUGUGGAAAUAGCCGUUAAGGUACUGCAUGACAGUGGAAUCGACAACAUGGAAAAGCAAUUUAAGGCUGAAGUAAACACAAUGAGCAGAACUUCUCAUCGAAACUUAGCCAAGCUCUACGGUUAUUGUUUUGAUGCCAAAAUGAAAGCGCUUGUGUAUGAAUACGCGGAGAAUGGAUCCUUGGAUAAAAUUUUAUACGAUAGCCACAGUAAUAUAGCAUGGGAACAAUUAUAUGAUAUUGCAACGCAGACUGCAAAAGGGCUCUCUUAUUUGCAUGAGAAUUGUGAUGAACAGAUAAUUCAUCGAGACAUAAAGCCUGGUAAUGUGCUCCUUGACUCAAAGUUCUGUCCUAAGAUUACUGAUUUUGGAUUGGCUAAAUUUUAUAGCACAGAUAAGAUGCAAAUUGAAUUGAGUAACAGAUCGAUCAGUGGGGUACGCAGUUAUGAUGCUCCAGAGUUGCGAAGUAACAAAAACGUAAGCUGUAAAUGUGAUGUUUUCAGCUUUGGGGUGAUGCUUUUUGAAAUUUUAGCGCGGAAGAAAUGCGAAGGUGAACACUCGGUUGAAAGAUAUGUUUGGGAAAAGUUUGAUAAAGGACUACUUGAGGAAUUUAUAACAGAAUGUGGCAUUAUAUCUGGAGAAAAGGAUAAAGAAAAUGCAAAGACAUUAAGUAUAGUUGCAUUAUCGUGCAUUGAAGAAAACCCCCAGGACAGACCUCAAAUGAGUGAGGUGGUGAAUUUUCUUAUGGGUGUUAUCAAACCUUCCACACCACUGAAUCCUUAUUUCAAUCAAGACUUAUGGCGUUUUCCCCAGGGAACCAAGUUAAUCUCAGAAGUCUAGCUAGAGCUACAUGACUGAAUCGGGCGGUAUAGACAUUGAAGUGUCAAAAGAAGGAAGAAGCCCACCAAGGGAAUCAGACGGUUGUAAGACUUUCAUUAACAACCGCUUUCAUGUUGUCAUCAAAACAGAACCCAUAUUAUGUUAUAUCUGUUAUUUUCCAGUUGAAUAAGUCUUGGUUGUUAUGAGUUAAGCCUAAUAAGUAGAAAGUGGAGUGUAGUCUUAUAGGGGUUAGUUGCAACUUAACGUUGGAGUGGGUUGUUGUAACUUAGUCCUAUUUUAUUGGUAAGAUAUUUGUAAUCACCUUCUAUUUAAGGUGCAACAGUCAUUAAUAAAACUAUGCUUAUGAAUUAUCUCCAAUUAUCCUCAACACUUAUUGUUGUUAUUGUAACACCCCGGGUCGACAGGUGGUUUGCCAAGAGGGUGGGUCCUACGUUGCAUGAGAAGGGGAUGUCCUAACAAUGGAAUAUAGGUAUAGGUCCGUCAUAUAUAAUCACCGAGGCCUUUUGGGCUCACUUGACUCCAGAGUUUCAAAGAACUCCAGAGUUAAGCGUGUUCGGGUGGAAGUAGUCUCAGAAUGGGUGACCUCCUGGGAAGCAGGUUGCUGCCCAAUAGAACCCCACACUGACGGAUGUCCGCAGUGGCUAAAUGGGGACAAUAUCGGUGGUGAUAUAGGUCGGGUCGCUACAGUUAUAGAGGUCAAAGGUUCCUCAAUUAACCUUAAUUGUUCCCAAACACUAUCUUUCUUCCUUAUUCCACUAUAGGUAAGAAUGGAUCUCACCAGUACAUACCAUAUUACCGUAUAGUUUAACUAAGUAUGGAUGUAUAUUAGGGCUGGGCAAAACCGAUCCGAAACAUGCAAACCGAACCGAACCGAACCGAACCGAAAAUAAGGUGUUUACAUGUUUACAUGUUCGGUUGCAGUUUCUAAUUUUGUAAAACACCUACUUUGGGUGUUCGGUUGCAGUUUCGAAAAUUUUGGAACACCCAAAACCGAACCGAACAUGUAAUUUUGUAUAUAGUCCAGCCCAUCAUGUAAUUUUGUAUACAGUCCAGCCCAUCUCUCCAGCAGUCCAGCCCAUUUGUCCAACACUCCAACAGUCCAACCCAUCUACUAGGUGUUCGGUUCAGUUUUAUUCGGUUAACCGAACCGAAUCACAUGUUCGGUUAUGUUUCGGUUUUAGUAAAUUUUUUUCGGUUCGGUUCGGUUCGGUUUCAAAAAUGAAACAGUUCGGUUUCGGUUUUAGUUUUUACAAAACACCUACUAGGUGUUCGGUUGCCAGUUUUGGCCAAAACCGAACCGAACCGAACCAUGCCCAGCCCUAAUGUAUAUUGUGCCCAUUGUGUCAAUUUCAUUCAUGAAUUUCUUAUAUGUAUCCACAACUUUAUUUUCCGUCCAGCCUGUUAUUACCUUCCAGUACCUCAACAGCUACAUUCCUGCCAUUUGCAAGUUGUACAUUGUCAAUGUCUCCAACCAAAAUUAUUUUUGAUCUUUGAUGUAAUGCUCUAAGUGUUGGGUUUUCAAUGUGAAUCUGUCAAAAUUGACACCCUGUACGAAAACAUCAUAUCUUUGUGCUCGAUCAUCAGAAUCUAGAUCUGUCUUUUGGUUUGGAAACUAGACGGGUCUAACGAACUUUCCAACGGUAUAUGGCACUGUUUCUGUUUCGCAGUAGUUUGGUGGGAAAACAUGAUUGAAGUUCUGACAAGCAAGUUUCAUCUGAAAGAAAGAAUGUUCGUCCCAACGAAAGGUAACCAGAACUUUUCCAAAGGCAAUAAUAGGCUCAACUUGGGCCCAUUUCGUGAUCACCGUAAUGCUCAACGUAAGGCUACGAUAUAAAGCCUAUUAGAAAGGUGGAAAACCGAACUUCAUGUGUGAGAGAUCACCAAACACUCCCACGAGUGAGAGGUUGUGAGGUCAAUUCCUACCAAAAAUGCUUGGUGGAAUUUCUUAUGUAAUUCUUAGGUGGGUCUUAGCCUUCGGGUCUGGUUCAUGAUUAGGACGCCCAUCCUCCCAUGAUGACAUGAUGUGGUUGUCUAGUGUUCUUCAGCGAAAGCAAGUCCCUGUAUAGCAAGGUGGCGAUCUGGACUCUUAGGUGGCAGCAACAGUAGUAUUUCUAGCCCUCUUGGGGCCAUGAAUACUAACAUUUUUUUUUUUGGAGAUCUAUUAUUGAAACCAUUAAAGAGUUUAAGAGAGAAUUUUUGUGAGGAAGAACACCACUUUGGUUUCUUUGUGAGGGCUUGUAAGAUCGUAUCUAUAAGAAAAAACAUCCUUUCUCCCUGAGGACGUAGGUCUUGUUGCCGAACCAUGUAAAUCUUGGGUCUUUUGUGUGUGUUUACUUGGUAGUAGUAGUAGUUUCAUCUUUUCUAUUUUGUUCGAUUAUUUCAUACACUACUUCAAUCUCGGGUAUUUGUGCUUAAGUUUCUGUUGCGCACAACACUAAGCUUUUCAUGUGAAUGUAGUUGUGGUUUGUAAUUUUUUAUAUCACUUAAAAGUUAUGAUCUUCUUAAUACAAUUUGAGAUAUCAUAAUUGACUGUGUAAUCUAUUAGGACACUCCCUCAUCUUAGGUGAUACAAUAUCGCACCAACUGCGUUCAAUCAAUUCUUGUAUUAAAGAAUGAUAACUUGAUUGGAUUGGCAUUUGCUUGCAUUUCAAUCAAACAAUAUAAAAGUUGAAACACUUGAGCAUUCCCAAUGGUAGGUUUUAAAUCACUUUUAGCAACUUUUAGUAAAAAAACUCUUGCCAAUAGUGGGUUUUAACACAUUUUUCAAGCAAAACACUUUUAUCUUCUUGGCAAAUUUGUCAAGGAGUCUAAAGUGCCACAUAGGAUCAUUUUAUUAAUUAAAAAUUAGAUUUCAUUGUAAUGUAUACUAUGGCUGUGCUUGUUUGCACGUAAUUUUGAGGGAAAAUAUUUUGAAAAUAUUUUGCUAAUUUUGUUUUGCGAUUUAUUUACAAAAAUUAUAUCUAAACAUCCUUGUUUAGUUUGGGCUAAAAAUUCGGAAAUCAAGAUAAAAAGAGGAGAGAGAAAGAGAGAGAGGAGAGAGAAACAAAGAAGAGCACGUGAUUCCCAAAGAUUCCGGUAUUUUCAAAGCAGCAAAAAAUGCUGAGCUGUUUUUACUUUUAAGAAAAUAAUUUCGGUAGGGCCCACUAUAAAUGAUAACUACCAAGCACCAUGCAAAUCUGGAAAACUUUCUAAAAUCCAACGUGUCACGACUUUCCGGGAGAUUUCCAUGCAACCAAGCACAGCCUAUGUUUUUUGGGAAAAGUGAAACCUUAAGUUUUAACACUUAUUUUAAAACCAACCAAUGGUAACUCUAAAAGUACUAAUCACUUUUAACAUUAAUUUUUUGCUAAAACCUUUCUCCUCUCUCCUAUGUGGCACCCUUAAAACCCUUUUGCCAUUGGGAAUGCUCUUAUGUUGCAAUGAAAUGAAAGAAAGAGAGUUAUGGAAAAUAAACUAAAAAUAAAGACUUCUAAAAACUUUGUCAUUUCUGACGUUGUCAUUAACUAUUGAGAAUUGAGAACUGCAGGUUUACUUCUGUAGGCUGCCUUUGGGCUUUUUCAUGCUUCCUGUCAUGGAUAUGUACGAAGCUGUCUAAGGCGCCCGUGUACAUAUCCAUGUGAAUAUGUGUGGCGGCCGGUCUGAUCCAAAUUGGACCCUCCUAUUUAAUUUUAUAAAAUUAAAUUAGCCCGUUUCCGCACCUACGUUGUGAUUGAGUUGAGGACGUGAGGCACACAAGUCACAACUCACAAGAUGCUUGAAUAAUUCAUUCUUGAGGAUUGGCAUUCAACUCACAAGGUGCUUGAAUAAUACCGAUUCAAGACCUUGAUUAUUUGUUAAUGUUUAGGUGCAGAUGUAAUUUCUUUUGAGGCAGGAUUUUCCCACACCACUGUAAAACACCUUGCCAUGAAUCGGUACCUAAACAUUAACAAAUAAUGUUUAGGUACCGAUUCAUGGAUAUGUACAGAAAGCUGCAGCAAAAAAAAUGAUGCUACAUGCUUUCAUCUGCUCGUGCAAAAAAUGUUAAGCCUAAAGCUUAACGAGGGUACAAGAAAGAAACUUAAACGACUACAAAAUCAAAAACAAGUGAACAGUUCACUGAAAAAAAAAAAAAAAACUUUGUUGAUUAUUCACUUGCUAUGUCAAAGACUUGCUUAACUGAAAUUAUUUAUGAUGCAAUACGCAACUAAGCAUUCAGUUUUAGCAUAUCAUAUACUGUAAUUUGUUCCUGAACAUUAGAUCUUGCUGCAUGAGGUUGAAGAGCUUACGACAAUGCUCGACUUGUCAGAUUGUAUAUGGUUCUGUCGUCAUUUAGAUUUACAGGGAAUCAUGAAAAGGAGCAAGAAUGCGCAUAAAAAAUUAGAUGCCCUAUUAGAGAAAAUCAUUAAAGAGCAGGAAGGGAUUCGAACUAAAAAGAACGAGAAAGUUCAGGGAGGUCAUCUGAAACAUCUUCUUGACAUUUUACUUGAUGUACCAGAAAACAAUAACGCAGAGUUCAAGUUGACAAGAGAGAACAUCAAAGCAGUUAUUCUGGUAAGAUUACACAGUAUAGAAUUCUAUAUUUACAUCUCGUUAUUUGGGCGUCUGACCAACAAUAAUAGAACCGCACUCAACCAAAGUUAAAAGAUCAUUGAGAACAAUCAAAUGCAUGUAUUACAUUAAGAUCUUCCUCAAUUCCUGAAACUAACACUAUUUAGUUACCUAUCCACAUUCCACAGGACUUAUUUCUUGCAAGUACUGAUACUUUUUUUGCUAAAGGGUAAUUUUAUAAAUAAAAGAAUGGUUACAAGGGGGUGCAUCAAAAAUAUGACUACACCAAACAUCAAUGAAAGUGAAAAUACACUGAAAAAGGAUUCUCUAGAGGAACUCUAGGCACAGAAGAGUUGGAGAACCAUUCCUUCCUUCCUUUAGCUAAGUGAACUCCUUUUGCAGCACAAGCAUCUACUGCAAAAUUUGCUUCUCUCUUUGUACUGGUUAUAAGUAACCAUUUGAACCAGUUCUUUAAAUGCACAAAUCUCUGUUGCACAGUCCAGUGAGGCUUACCACUGUUGAAUGCUCUAGCAGCUGCAACUGAAUCAGUUUCCACCCAUAGUUGGUCCCAACCUUUUUCCUUAGCUUUGUCCAUUGCUUCAAUGAUGCCGGCGCACUCUGCCUCAUAAUUUGUUACCUUACCAAGACCACCACAAUACACCCCCUUCACUGCACUGCCAUGGUUUCGGAAAAUAACUCCCCAUCCUGCCUGUCCUGGAUUACCAUGAGAUGCCCCAUCACUAUUUGCCUUUAUCAUUCCAUGAGGCGGAGGUAACCAGUAACAUUCAAUGAUAGUUUCUGGCUGCCUUCUUUUGACCUGCAAGUUUAGAUUCAACAACACUUUCUUAUCAUAAUCUGAGCCAUAGUGUGACCCAGGGAUCAUCAUGUAUGCCAACUCCACAGCUUUCUUGAUUCUGAAAGUAGCCUCCCUAUAAUUGGGCUGCACGUCAUCGUAUCUUUGCCUAUUUCUUGUUUUCCACACCUCCACCAAAAGUGACAAAGAACCUGCCUUCCACAUACCUGCUAGAAGUGGGCUUUUUCCUUCUUUCAUUCUAAUGAAUGACAGUAAAUUAUCUGGUGGCCUAGCAUGACAGAACCACUCACAUAACACUUUCCAGAGUUUGACAGUCGUUGGACAAGAGAAGAAGAGGUCUUGAUAUGAUUCAAAAUUCAACUUACAUAGACAACACUGCGAGACAAUAGGAAUGCGCAUAUACUGAAUUCUCUCAUCUGUGUUGAGAGCUUUGUGGAGGAUUUUCCAAGCAAGAGCUUUAGUUCUUGGGUGAAGAUGAGAAGAGUGCCAGAAUCUAGCCCAAUGGGGUCGUCCAGGCUUCCUACAAAUAGCUUUAUAGGCUGAAGAAGAGAAUAACUCACAUGAACAGUUGUAAGGCCAGACUCUCUUGUCAGAAGAUCUUCUAUCUGGUGCUUUCAAAUGUCUCCAAUCAAUAUUCAGCUGAUCAAACAAUCGAAUAAGGUUUGGAGGGAAAUCCCAUGAGCCAUUGGAAAUACAAGUGCUAAGCUUUAAUUGCGAGACAUGCCAGAGUCUACUACUUGGCAGAACAUAUUCACUAAGAGGUUGCUCACCCAACCAGUUAUCCAACCAAAGCCUGAUGUCUUGCCCAUUUCCAACAUACCAGUUUUGAUGCUUCCUGAGAAGUUCCAAACCUAAUUUCAUUCCAGGCCAAACUGAAGACGUUUUACUGCAAGACCAGUCCCCAUUUCUUGCUGUGUAUUUGCCUUUCAUAAACUUGGACCAAUCACCAUCAUUCUGAGAGAUACCCCAAGCCAUUUUCAUCAGACAUGUGCUGUUAACAUCUUCCAACUUCCUUAAUCCCAUGCCGCCUUCUUUAACUGGAGAACAAACCAAAUCCCAUUUCACAGUAAUUUUCUUUCUCUCAUCAGCAUUACCACUCCAUAUGAAGUUUCUGAUAAUUGAAUCACCCUCUCUAGCAAGCUUCUUUGGCCACUUAUAAAUGGCCAUGUUGUGAAUUGGAACACUAUUGAGAACAUGCCUUGCUAAUAACAAUCUACCUUGUAGAGACAGAUUCUUACCAACCCAGCUAGAACAUUUCUUUCUGAUUUUGUCAAGUAACCCAACAAUAUGCUCCCUUUUAACUCUACCUUUAAACAGCGGAACCCCCAGAUAUAUCUCAGGUAACUUGCCUUCACUGAUACCCAACAGUUCCUCUAUCUUCUUGCUUCUGGUUGAAUUCAUCUUGCUAAGAAAAACUUUACAUUUGUUUUUAUUGAAGAUUAGCCCUGAGCAGUCUUGGUAAAUCUCCAUGAGUUUCAACAGAUUCUUAAGUCCCCUAGAACUCUUAUUACCAUAAAUGAUAAUAUCGUUCGCAAAAAUGAAAUCAGUGGGGCUGACAUGGCUUGCUCUCUGUAUCAUUCUUUUCAUGAGACUUCUUCCAACAAGCCAAUCUACACCUCUACUAAAACAAUCAUUGGCUAACGCAAACAAUAGAGGUGAGAGAGGGUCUCCUUGCCUGAGCCCUCUCCCAGCUUUAAAGAACCCUCUUGGGCCUCCAUUCAGCAUGACUGAGAUGGUAUUAUUCUCAAUAGCUCCUUUUAUCCAAUUCACAAAUUUGCUAGCAACCCCAAAUCUGCCAAGAACCUUCCAUAGAAAGUCCCAAGAAAUGGUAUCAAAAGCUUGGCUGAUAUCCAGCUUGAGAGCAAAGCUUCCUCCAUGAACUUUAUUAUCCAGGUCAUUCAUUAAUUCAGAAGCUAAGACAAUGCUGUGAUGCACAUUUCUCCCACUAAAAAACCCAUACUGCUCUUUAGAUAUCACUCUGGAUGCAAUAGAACUCAAUCUACUUGCAAGGAUCUUUGUAAUAACUUUAUAGACAAAAUUUGAAAGACAAAUAGGCCUGAAUUUUUGCACUUGAUUGGCAUUUGGUUCUUUCGGAAUCAAAGUUAAAAAGCUGGAAUUAAAAGUGGGAGAGAGCUUGCCUUUGUGAAAGAAGUACUUGACUGCAUCCAUAAGCUCUGAACCAACAAUUGCCCAGCAGUAACGGAAGAAAAACCCAUUAUACCCAUCUGGUCCCGGGGCACUAUGAGCAUUCAGACUAAAAACAAUAUCAUGAAUCUCUCUAGAAUCAGGAGCUUUCUCUAAGAAGUUAUUAUCAUCAUCAGUUACCACUGUAGGAAUGAUUCCAAACAAGUCCUCAUUAAAAUGACUUCUUGCCUAGUGAAUUUAUCCUUGUAGUGGUCCACCAAAAACCCUGCAAUUUCAUCCUGUGUUCUGAACAUACCGCCAACAGGAUUCUGAAUCUCAGUUAUCAUAGACUUUGCUGUUCUGAUCUUGCAUUUAAGAAAGAAGAAUUUAUUGCAUCUUUCUCCUUCCUGGUCCCAUUUCAUACCAGAUUUUUGCUGUAAAUUAAAAAUUCUAAAAUUUUAUAUUUUUCUGUGUACUAAACCCUUUGGCCGAAUGGCCAUAUUGAUCAUUUUUCGAAAUGUAUAUUUUUAGGUGAAAUAUUUUGUUCAAAACUAAUAUAGUAAAGAAGCUUCCUUAUUAAGAAGCAAUUCAACUUGCUUUUCCUGCUCUUCAGUUUUCUCUAGUAGUGCAACAUCAUCUGGGUUACAUUCAGACUGUGCUUGCAGCUGCUGGAGGUUCUCCGUUUCAUCUUUGAUUCUAGUACCCAGAAAACCAUAGUCAUGCUUGUUCCAAUUUUUUAUAACUUGUUUCAGUCGUUUCAGCUUCAGUGAGAGGUUUAAAAGAGGAUUGUGCUUCUCUGGCAAAGGAUGAUUCCAACUACUGGACAAUUAUUCGGCUUGGGAACUGUAGAAGGCAAACCAACUAGUGGCGCAUGAUCUGAACACAACCUACACAAAACUUUAUAUCUCCAUCCAGGGUAUGCUCGAAUCCAUUCCUGAUUGCAGCACAUCCUGUCGAUUCUGCCCAAAACUCUUCGAGAACCAUGUCUCUGAUACAUCUUCAAAAAACAAUGGAAUGGGGUUUCGCAGAACUUCAUCAAUCAUCCACAUAUUUUUCAAAAGGCAAGAGAAGAAAUCGAUUCUGUCGUUGGAAAGAAUAGGUUGGUGGAAGAAUCUGACAUUCCAAAUCUCCCGUAUCUGCAAGCAACAGUAAAGGAAACACUCAGACUACAUCCGCCAGGUCCACUUCUAGCAAGACGAGCAAAGUGAAGAUUGCAAGGUAGGAGAGUAUGACAUUCCAAAGAACACUAAGCUGCUCGUUAAUGUUUGGAUUAUUGGAAGAGACGCAAAGCAUUGGGAACAUCCACUCGAAUUUUGUCCAAACAGAUUUAUAAUUGAAGAGGGAAGUCUGAAGAGUCAGUUAGAUGUUAGAGGGCACCAAUAUCAAUUGUUGCCAUUUGGGAGUGGAAAAAGAGGAUGUCCUGGAAUUUCAUUGGCAUUACGAAGUGUACAAACAACACUUGCAAAUAUAAUUCAGUGUUUUGAAUUGAGAGUGGCGAGCGGAAAUGGAGCAACUGUUGAUAUGAGUGAAGCUCCUGGGCUCCUGCUCACAAGGGCACAUCCAUUGAUAUUUGUUCCAGUUGCUCGUUUUAAUCUUUCGCCAUUAAUUUAAUAGGUUAUGGUCACUGGGAAUUUACGAUACUAUGGAAUGAUAUGGCGAAUAUGAAAUAUGUAUCGAUGAGCAAGAAAUCCCCGUGUCCACCAAGGUUCCAUAUAUAAUAUCAAUGAAAAUUUAUUUGAAAGAUAAAAAUGGAGAACAAGUUCUUGGUCACAGACUCACAGUGAAACAGACGUGUAGAAGUGAUCAUAUCUAGUACAUCAAAAGAUUUAUAUUUCAUUUUUUAUAGAACUCGAUCACCCAGUAAUUAUCAAAAAAUUUUAUAUGUGUAGCCAACUUCUAUGUGGGUGUGUACACCCAAUCAUAUGAUGCCACGUGUCUAUAAAGUAGUUGGAAAACUGAUCAAACCCACUAGGGUUAACUAAACCCAUACUAGGUUAUAUUAUUAUUGCCACAUGGCAUUUUGUGAUUGGGUGUACACACCCACAUACAAGUAAGCUACACAUAUAAAAUUCUCUGAGUAAUUAUAAGCGAAACACACUUUCUUUAUAGAAGCAAAUCCAGCUUUCCUUGCCAAAGUAUAAAACUCUUCUUCAGUGCGUUCUUUCCCACCUGGAUUUUGUGACAACAUAAUAAGGUCCUUCUGGCCAACCCCUAUCGCAGCAAUAUUAUUCUCAGCUGCAACAUGUAACAUAUGCUCCACUAUUAUCACUUUUUCAUGAUCAGGAAGCGCGUUGUAGCAAUUUUUUAAUAAACUUAAGUUGUGAUCAUCACUCCAAUCGUGAAGUAUCCACUGCAUCGCAAGUCAAUAUGACAGUUAAAUAUGGUAAGAUUUUGCACAUAUUUUGCUGUGGGCUAUCCUGAUAAAAACAUACUUAACUCACCUUCAUGAAAAUUGCUUCAGCUCUAGGAACGCUUUCAAACAUAUUUCCACUAACAUAUUUCCUGGGAUUUAAAGUGUCAUGACCGAGGAAAAAAAAAUGAUGCUGGUUGACCUUAAGAUGAACAAAAAAUAUAUACCAUACCAGGAUAAGAUGGUGCAUGUUCAAUGACAUGCGGCAGAUCAAAGUUAAUACCCUUGAUCGAAGGAUAUUUUGCAGUGAUUAAGCUAAUUGUGGUUCCAACCCCACCACCUACAUCAACAACCUCGCUGAAGUUCUCAAAUCCGUUGUAUGUUUCAAGUAUUUUCUUCAUGACUAUUGUGGUGUGGUUGAACAUUGCUUUGUUAAAGACUUGGUUGAAUCUGGGAUUUAGUCCAGGGUACUCGAAUGCGUGCAUUCCAUGAGCCUUGUUGAAUGCAAUUCCUCCUUCCAGGACAGCAUCUUUCAAAUGACCCCUAACACGACAUAAACGGAAGAUUACAAAACUUACAAUACACUUUGGAAGAAUUCUUGAUCAUGAAAUUGUAGUUACUACUCACCAGCUAUCCAUGAAAACCUUGUCCUGAACCAAAAGCAUAAGUGGUAACAGUGAUACUCCAUCUUCAUUUUGAACAAAAUAUUUGCAAACAGGUGCCAAACCAUACAAUCUUUCAAUUAGGCCAUCGUCAUUAGUACUGACAGAGGAAUUAAGAACUUUGUAGCCGGUAAGAAGUCGAAGAAUUCGAUCAAGCAUACUGACAGCAUUCGCAUUCUGUGUAGGUAAGUGAGAUGCAAUGAUCUUUGGUGACAUUUGUGCACCUGGACCUGCUUUAGCUAUGAUAUCAAACAAACCAAGCUCGGCUGCCACUUGCAUGACCAUAGGUAGAACUGAAACCCCUGCUAAUUGCAUAGCGAACAGAAAAUGAUCUUCAUCUUCAUGGCUAGUUUUUUGUGAAAUUUCUGUGGAACUCAUUGUUUUUUUCCCUUCUUUUAUUGCAAGAUGAUAAAAUGCAUAUAUAAGAACUGUCAGCCCCAGUUGCCUAAAAAAGUCAAUGCAAAAUGGAAUUCGGUUGAUGCCCCCAGUUGCCUAAUAUUGUGGAAUGUAGAACCAGUACUAAUGACCACUCAAAGAAACAUGAACAGGAAGAGAAAAAAUGGCUACAAUGUUAGUCAACAAGAUAAAUCAACCAAGGUAAUAUCAACCCCAGUUGCCUAAUAUUGUGGAAUGUAGAACCAGUACUAAUGACCAUUCAAAGAAACAUGAACAUGAAGAGAAAAAAUGGCUACAAUGUUAGUCAACAAGAUAAAUCAGCCAAGGUAAUCUACAAUCCUAACACACGACGAAAGAAAAUUACAAACUCCAUGCAGUUUUUAACCUCAAAUGAAAGGUAAAUGUAAAAAUAUAUAUAAGCAAAACGGUCACAAUGCCAAGCUCACUUGAUAUCUUCUCUAAGACAGGAAUUAGAUAUGGUACAAGAACACACUUACAUCAAAAGAUUUCUGAAAUAUUCAAAUUACCAUAUCCGAUCAUCUAUUACAUCCACCAAGUAUGUUCAAUUGCUUACUUUCUUUUGUUCACCAAUGGUUCUCGACCAUUAAAAAGAUGGCAGUCUAUGUUGUUUUGUCGUAACAGAUAGGAAUGUAAGUUGUCCUGGCUUUUCUAGAUUGCCAAAUUUCUUUCAGCGAAACUCUUCAAGCUAUUCUUCAUCACUGGCUUUUGGGUUUCUGAAUCUUCACAUAAGGCAAAAGCCCCAUGAAGUGAACAACCUUCGGAGACCAACCAAGCUGCUGAGCUCGGCAGAACAUCAAAAAAGUAUUGGCCAAGUAGGAAUUGAACCCCAUGAAGAUAUGCCACAAAGCAUGACCCUGUGGAUUAAAAUACCAAUGCGAUAUUUCUUUGCAGAAUAAGCGAUCACACAACCAACAGAUACUCCCUGCGAAUAAUGUUAACACGUAGAACUUGGCAAGUCGUUUUGCAGACGCAUCGGUAGUGUGUAUAUAGUACUUGUACAUCCUAGGGAUGCAGAGGAGGCACAGGAUGACGUAAUGAAUCUUGAAGCCAAUGCCAAAUCGUAAUUGCGAAUGUACCAAGGCAAAGGCAACACCAUAGAGGAAAAGGAAGGUUGGCAUUGUACUCCGGUAAUGCCAAUCUGGCGAAAAGAGUAUAUAUAUGUAAAGAAGCAUUUCCCAGACCAUUGGUGUCUCAUCACUUUGCUGUUGCCUGCAAAUAAGUUCAGUAAGCCAAAACAUGUUCAGCAAGUAAUUUUUGGUGAGGAUAAAGUGCAAGUGUAAUAAUAACAAUAAUACUAAUAUACAUGGACAAAUAUCAAUGAAAUAAUAUUCAGAAUGGUACAGCCAAUCAAAAUUACUAAGCAUGGUUUACCAUUAAGUUUCUACCUUCUAGUACUUUUUUGAGAUGCUCAUUAGUACUAUAAAACGACAGAAAAUGUAGAGAAAAACAACUAAUUUGGCAACUAACUUCAACAAAAUUUCCAUGCACCAAUAACCCUCAAAUUCAAUAUGAAUGUAAGUCUUAACCAGAUCCACCAUGCAGAAAUUGCGUGUGCACAAGUGAAGUAUUCUAAAGAUGUAUGACUUAUUUCUUCAAAAAUAAACAAUCAAAUCAUGUCAUAGAGAAUCAAAAUACAUAAGAAAUACGCAAGGGGGUGAGAUAUCUGAUAACACAAAGAAAACAAAAUACAAGACGAAUCACUAAAAGAAAUACUAAGGAAAAAAAAAAUCCCAACUCAAGGCAAUCAAACUGUCCUCCAACUAACAAAGGAUGCUGACACGCCUGAAAAUGAUGUCAGUUCCAACUUCCAAUCCACCAAGAUUAUUUAUAGUAUUAUGAUUCACAAACGGGGUGAUGGUGCACAACCAUUACUUAGCCAGUGUAGGUGAACCCAGCCGACACUACAUCAAUAAGAGAUUACAGACGGAACUAGGACAUAUCCAAGCGACUGACACAGAGUCAAGGAAGUUGCCACAAACAGAAAAAGAGAAACAGCAAUGGAUCAAACAACAACCAACUCACUCCCCAGAGGCGUAACCUAACAUACAGAAGGUUAGCAUUAUUUUCGUACAUCUUCAGAGGUUGUCUAUGGUCUGCAUCUUGCAACAACAAAAUUUCCAAGAGAACUCAGAACAGUAAAGGAGAAAGUACGGGAUGAUUGUGGAAAAAGCAAGGAGCAGUGUCGCAAACCAAAAUUUGACAGAAAAUUGGCCUUUUACAUCGUGGACCCAAAUGUUCAGCAAAGAGACUUUCCAGACUUGCUAUUAUACAAGCAACUUCCCAAACAUGCUAAAUUCGAAAACAUGUGUUUUGUUAAAAUUAAAUUACACACACAAAGAAAAAAAAAGAUAAGGCCCACUAGAAGUAUAAGAUAUGCAUAAUCAAAACACAAGCAUUACUAAAGAGCUUAGAUACCACUCAAUUCUAUGUGACAAUAUUCACUAUAUACUUGCAGAGAAACCAUACUUACACAUUCUGUAGGGUGGCAUGAAAUAGCAUGCUUCCAAUGGAGAGUAUCAUAUUUGAUAGGUGAAGAACACUAAAUCUUUUUUCGAAUCUUUGACUGAAGGCAGUGAUAAGACCAAUAAACGCCAAAAGAAUGCUAGGCGAGUUCGAUAAAGUGUUGUAAAACUCUGCAAUAUAAAAAGAAUGGGUAUAAUUACUCUCACACCACUCAGUGGUGGAUGUAACUGGUCCCCAAAAGCUUGGCGCUGUGUUUGUCAUUAUAUUGAAUGUGUGCCCAAAAUGUAUGCACUGAACAAAGCUUAAGAUAUUUAUAUAUUCAACGGACCAAGUAACUGUAUGCCUGCAAGAAGAAAGAUUCAUCUUAGCAACAUAACAAGAACACAAGAAACUCAAUCGAAAGCUAGAGGAAGGGAGAGAAAACUAGUAUUUGUUAUCUGCCACUAAUUUAUUCCAGUUACCAUACAGCAUACUUUUACAAAGUGAAAAGAUUUAUCCAGCUUCAGUUUGUUAAAAUCACUUAGGAAGGGUGAGAUUAUCAAGACAUAUAACUACAUUACUUUGAGACAGCAUGAGGAUCAACCGAUCAACUGGAAAAAGAGAACUCUGGUGAAUGGUAUUGGAUGGUUCUGGUGAUGCAAGAUGCAAACCCUUCAACAUAAGAUUUCAAUAGAGGUUAUCUGAACAUAGGCCCAGAUAAAGAAACCUCUGAAAUCAUCCCAGACCCUUUCUAGAAACCACACAAGAUAAAGCACUCUCACGAAUAUUCUACCCCUAGUAAGACUACCAACCGUAGAAUUAACUUUCUUCCGCACACUAUCACGUUCUUCCACUAGGCACCUCAAUCAGGAGCAGGCCAAAGUUUAAACCAUCAAAAUUCUUCAAAUUUUAAAACCAAAACCGGAUGGGUAAAAGACCUAGUAUUAAUAGAAAUCCUCCGUACCAUUCCACGGAAGUUUUGAUUACAUUCUCCAUUGUUUUAGACACGCCGUGAGGAAGAUAUGAAAAAUAGAGAAAUGGUAACUUCAACAGGGUUGUCUUUAUUAAGAAAAACUGCAUGUCCUUAGAUAAGUACCUCUUCUCCUAUCUGGCAGGGUCAAUGGCACAGAUAAGAAAAAGGCAACAAGCCCACACUAAACUUAGUGGUUGUCUAGAUACUAUCAUAUCUUCUAUACAUUCUACACUACCAUAGCAUUUCCCUCUGUUUGCGAAUAUAUCAUCUGAACUUUUCACAAACCACAGUGUGUUAUAACUUAUAAGUGAUCCUUCCAAUACAAACAUUUUGGAUAAAAAACGAACUCAAACUCAGUAACCAAAGUUCGCGACGCUUGGUAUCAGACUAUCAGUUAGAUAAAAUCCCCAGAUCCAGCUACUUUCUACAGAUUAUAUGAAAAUUAUACAUAUGGACAAAAAACACCCUGAAUCAUCAGAACUCAAUAUUACAAAGCCAUACAACUAACACAUACUUUUGCAAAGAAGCAAGCUCAAUGAACAAAAGCCUUCCACUCUUGCUUUCUCCUCCCUUUCCCUGAAUCAAUAUCUCCUAUGAUUAACUAUAUGAAAAAAAAAACUAUUUUCUAUCGGUAAAUCAAAAGCAAAUGGUGAAGAAAGUAAAGUUGUUGACUAAUGAGGAAGAAAAUCGUCACACAUUUGUACAAUACCUAGAUUCUAUUUUAGUCUUUAAGAGGAUCCCUCAAAUUAAAACGAAUUUUUAUUCAUGUGGCUAUUGAUAUUUUUACGUCAAAGAAAAUACUAAAUAGUACACAGCAAUGCGGUAUAAAUUCUACUUAAGAAAAACGCAGUAUAGUCUCAAUUUCGGUGUUAUUGGCAAUAAAAUAAGCACGCCUAUGAAUACAUAUUUAUUGCUAGAAACUUCUUAAAACAUAAUAACUCUACAUACGAAAAACAUAGUAGUCUUAACUCUUAAUUUUCGUACUAUUGGCAAUAAAAUAAACACGACUAUAAAUAUACAUAUUUAUUGCUAGGAACUUUUUAAGACAUAAUAAUUCAAGAGAAUAAAACUGAGUCUUCAGUCUUCUUUCCAAAUGACGAAAAAAUGUGCUUGAGUGAUUCCAUCUAAUAUAUUUCCUUUCAUAUAACAUAUUUAUAAUGAAUUCUAUAACCCCACAUUAAUUUCUUCAAUCUAUGUAUAAAACCCGACAUUUAUUGCUUUUAACAUAAAAAUUUCAACAAUGAAACAAAUGAUACCCUCAAUAAGGAAAAUUGAAAUUCUUGUAAAUUCAAUAAAAAAAAAUGCCAAAUUCUUCAAAAACCGCAACUUUGCCAGUUUGGGUACUCUACAUUACACUCUAAUUUCAUGAUUUCAUUGCACUUAAACAUUCUCCAUAAAUCCUAAUCUUUAUUGAAAAUAUAAUAAUAUAUCAGUUAAAACAUCAAUUAUUCACCAUAUUUGAAAAAAAAAAGUUCAAAAUCAAAAGCAACAAAUACCCGUAAUUCAAGGUAGGUGUACUUACAGAUUAGAUAGUGGUGGUGGUGCUGGUGUGAAUGGCGAAGAGAGACAGAGAGAGAGAUUCCAAAAACCCUAGGGAUUUGGGAACUCUGAAGAGAGAGAAGGAAGAUGAAAGAGAGAAAACAAAACAAAUACGGGGACAAAUAAUUUAUGACCCGACCCAACAAAAAGAUGUCAGUCUGGGUCGGAUAAAAUGCGAUCCAGUUUUAUGUGAUAACGACUAAUGUCUGUCUAUUCUAGCGCAUCAAAUUUUUUUUUUUUUUUUUUUUUUUCAAUCAAGAUUUUACAAUUUUUUUUUUUCUAAUUUUUUUUUUUUUUUUUUUUUAAUAAUAAAAUUUUAUUGAGCUCAACAAAUUACACAAAAGUAGAGGACAAACGCGCUACAAACUGCGCGGCAAGUCCUUUCUGGAUAGCAAACCCGAUUCUCCUAAAUACAUAUUCGUUCGAACCCGCAGUCAUCACGUUGCUAUCCAUUACCUUUUGCACUCUCCUGAGGAGCUCAACUGCUUCUGAUCCUAGCAAUCCAAAUGUGUCAAAUGCAAAGGGGAUGAAACUAUGUUGGUUAGCCCUACAAGCUCCGUCAUGUUUCUCCACUUUUGCUGCUGCUGCAUUGCUAGCUGCUAGCCCCACCUCAAAAAUCCCAGCACCCAGGCCAACCAUCGGAGACGCCCCUGUAACAUCAACACACGCAUGUUUACCUUCAGACCAGUUAUAGACCAGAAUAUCAGCAGGACGUAAUGUCGAUCUUCCUUCCUUAGGAUCAGUAAGAAAGUUAACAGGAGCCUCCUUCUUAACCUGUACUCCAGCCCGCCAGAACACAUCACACAAGAUAUCUCUAACGUGGUCAUGCCUGUACUUGAAGCCGGGGUAAUGCUUACAAUGGGCCGCAUGGUCCCCAAAAGCAUCAAGUCUGCUCUUCUUGCACACUGGACAAAGUUCACCAUCUGAAUAAAGAGGGAUCAUCAAUCGAUAACGAAGAAUGGCACGAUAUUCUACCGGCGUCAUGCGUUGUCCAAGCCCUUCCAUCGGGAUGGCAAGGAGAAAAUCUUUGGCAUGUUCUGCUUGCACACAUCCAAUCACGGCUUUUUGUCUAGCUGACAACUCAAAUUCCCUCUCAAGACCAGAACUAAUCUUGAUAAGCUCAACGAAUUACACAAAAGUAGAGGACAAACGCGCUACAAACUGCGCGGCAAGUCCUUUCUGGAUAGCAAACCCGAUUCUCCUAAAUACAUAUUCGUUCGAACCCGCAGUCAUCACGUUGCUAUCCAUUAUCUUCUGCACUCUCCUGAGGAGCUCAACUGCUUCUGAGCCUAGCAAUCCAAAUGUGUCAAAUGCAAAAGGGAUGAAACUAUGUUGGUUAGCCCUACAAGCUCCGUCAUGUUUUUCCACUUUUGUCGUUGCUGCAUUGCUAGCUGCUAGCCCCACCUCAAAAAUCCCAGCACUCAGCCCAACCAUCGGAGACGCCCCUGUGACAUCAACACACGCAUGUUUACCUUCAGACCAGUUGUAGACCAGAAUAUCAGCAGGACGUAAUGUCGAUCUUCCUUCCUUAGGAUCAGUAAGAAAGUUAACAGGAGCCUCCUUCUUAACCUGUACGCCAGCCCGCCAAAAUACAUCACACAAGAUAUCUCUAACGUGGUCAUGCCUGUACUUGAAGCCGGGGUAAUGCUUACAAUGGGCCGCAUGGUCCCCGAAAGCAUCAAGUCUACUCUUCUUGCACACUGGACAAAGCUCACCAUCUGAAUAUAGAGGGAUCAUCAAUCGAUAACGAAGAAUGGCACGAUAUUCUACAGGCGUCAUGCGUUGUCCAAGCCCUUCCAUCGGGAUAGCAAGGAGAAAAUCUUUGGCAUGUUCUGACUGCACACAUCCAAUCACGGCUUUUUGUCUAGCUGACAACUCAAAUUCCCUCUCAAGAUCAGAACUAAUCUUGUUGUAGUAUGCUUCCGCCAAGACAUGUUGGGGUCUGAAGGGGACGGUAGCAGUUGGAGCAAGAUUACUGAGAUCAAAAUCAGGUAUAGAAAGAUGUAAACUAGCAAUGGCAGUAUCGAAAACAUUACCCAUAGGUGGAGUGUCACAACCUCGAAAAAUGUGGUCUUGGAGAUCCUUGGUUUGCGUGCGUGAAGCUACGAAAGCAAACUUCAUAACAUCAGUAGCACAAUAGAUACCAAGUCCACCCAUACGUAAUGGGAGGGUUGCCAUACGCCACUGUAGAUCGCCAAAACCAGGUCCAUCAGAAACCACAAUAUUUUGAAGGGCUGCACGAAGCUUGUGGUCAAACCAUUCGGCUGUUUCCUGAACAUAAUCAGGGGGGCAAGUACGGCGGGCAAAUGUGAGUUUAGAUAAUCCCAUACAAGAACGUAAAAGUGCCAACUCACACUGCGGAUCCUUUAGCUGUGGUAAAAGGUCCAUAAGUUGAAGUGUCUUAUCCACUCGUUGACGAACAUUACCCACAAUAAAUGAUGCAUCAAUACUGACAGCCCCUCCAAGCAACUUAACCCCUCGCUGAGGACAUGAUAUACCAACCGGAAAGAUAUCUGGAUAGGAGCAGUCAGGAUCAACAGAAGGCCAGAACAACUCUGUCUUAGACACAUUAAGCACGAGCCCAAGAGAUGGUCCUCUUUCCUGAAUGAUACGAAUAGCUCUAUCCACAUGUUCUGUACUACCAAUCAGAGUACCAUCAUCUAAGUACUCUGCCUGCAACUCCAAGUGGCAUUCUGACUGAAUGCGGUGUAUCAAUGGAUGCAAGACCAAAGCAAAGAGAAGAGGCCCUAAAGGGUCCCCCUGCUGUAUCCCAGCUGCUGACCAAAUAUGAGUAGACCCUAGAUACAAUCGAGCAGGUUGACAAUAGAGGUAUUCGACCCAUAGAGCAAUAGAUGGACAAUGAUUGCGUACCUCCCGUAGCAUAGCAGACCGAUCAACAAGGUUGAAGGCAUUCUGAAAGUCGACAAGCAGCAUAGAAAGCGAUGUGUCAUCCUUGUUGGCAUAAACCAACCGAUUAACAGCAUGCAAAAUUGCCUCCGCUCCACCAGGCACACCAACCCCAAACUGAAAAUCCUCUAGGUAUGGGACAAUAUCCUUCGAAACUCCUCUCAUGGCAAUCUUAGACACCAGGCGACGCCAAACCAUACCCACAGCUAUUGGGCGAAUACCGUUACCUGGCUUAAGAAGUGGGGUGAGCGGUGCACUAGCUAUGAACUCUGCCAAGACCCGUGGGCAUCGACCUUGUAGCCAUAAGUUCACAACCGGUGUCAAGGCCUCCAUAAGAUCUGUGGCUACAGCGGAUGCAGCCCCGCUCAUAGCAUCCAAUAGGUGUUGGGCCCGGAGACCAUCUCGCCCACAAGACGUCCCUUUGGGGAAGGACCUGAUGCAUGAUAAUAUCACAUCCCUCUCAACUGACAAAGGUGACUCAAGUAAAGGAAUGUCGGGGACAGAUGGUGGUGGAUGCUUCGGGUGUUUUUUUUUUGAUUUUUUUUUUUAAAUUUAAAUUAUAUUGAUAAGCUCAACAAAUUACACAAAAGUAGGGGACAAACGCACUACAAACUGAGCAACAAGUCCUUUCUGGAUAGCAAACUCGAUUCUCCUAAAUACAUAUUCGUUCGAACCCGCAGUCAUCACGUUGCUAUCCAUUACCUUCUGCACUCUCCUAAGGAGCUCAACUGCUUCUAAGCCUAGCACUCCAAAUGUGUCAAAUGUAAAGGGGAUGAAACUAUGUUGGUUAGCCCUACAAGCUCCGUCAUGUUUCUCCACUUUUGCUGCUGUUGCAUUGUUAGCUGCUAGCCCUACCUCAAAAAUCCCAGCACCCAGCCCGACCAUCAGAGAUGCCCCUGUAAUAUCAACACACGCAUGUUUACUUUCAGACCAAUUGUAGACCAGAAUAACAACAGGACGCAAUGUCAAUCUUCCUUUCUUAGGAUCAGUAAGAAAAUUAACAGGAGCCUCCUUCUUAACUUGUACUCUAGUCUGCCAGAACACAUCACACAAGAUAUCUCUAACAUCGUCAUGCAUGUACUUGAAGUGGGGGUAAUGCUUACAAUGGGCCGCAUGGUCCCCGAAAGCACCAAGUCUGCUCUUCUUGCACACUGGACAAAGUUCACUAUCUGAAUAUAGAGGGAUCAUCAAUCGAUAACGAAAAACUGCCCACCAUUUGAAUAAAUUUUAUUUUUUAAUUCAAAAUAAAUUGUAUUGAUAAAAAUUUAAGGAAUUAUACAAAUUUAAAGGACAAACGCACUUCAAACUGCGUUACAAGCUCUUUUUGAAUAGCAAAACGAAUCCUACGAAAUACAUAUUCAUUAGAUUAGUCUGCCGUCAUCACAUUGCUAUUCAUAAUUUUUUGUACCCUUCUGAGAAGUUCAACUCCUUCUGGUGAUAGAAACCCAAAAGUGUCAAAAGCAAAAUGAAUGAAACAAUGUUGGUUCACUGCACAUAUUCCCUUGUGUUUCUGUAUCUUAACUGCAGCUCCAUGAAUAGUUGUCUGACCCACUUCAAAAUUUCCAUUACCAAACCCCACUAUCGGAGAUGCCCCUGUGAGGGACCCAUACCUCUUUAAAUUUCGUCUCGAAACUUAUAUUAACAAUCAACUGUUGAUGUGUUUUCGAAUCCACAACCUCUCCACUUUGUGAGAGGGGUGCUCCAAUUGAGCCACAAGCUCAUUCCCUAAAAGAAAAUGUUGUGGUAAACACGUUUUUAUUGAGAUCAGUAACUCGGUAACGCUGGCGAGGUUUGAACGCUAGAUCUCUGGUAUCAUCAUCCAAAAGUUUUACCAGUUGAGCCUAAUUUCAUUUUCUUCUUAUUAUGCAGUCUUGAUAAAUUUGCCUAUUCUUGAUCAUAACGUAAUUUAAUUUAGACUUUUUUUUGGAUGGAAGCUAUUUAGACUGUUUUAACUUUUAACCUGAUAUUAAUAGCUUGAAAAAUCAUUUCCAUUCUGUUUAGCAGCUACAGUGAGUGGUAAUUUGCAAAACCUCUAUACAUGACACAAUCAUAUGUGUAGUUAGAUGAAACCGUAGGAAAACCAGCGAGCAAAAGAGUAAGAGAACAAUAACAGGAGGCCAUAAUAGAAAUUACACCAAUGCAUAUGUCCGUGACAAAAUAUAUAAUAUGUUUAACAUACCAUUCUGUGACGAAAUUGUACUUACGCAUUCUGUAGGGUGGCAUAGAAUAACAUAUAGUGUUGUAAAACUCUACAAUAUAAGAAGAAUAGGCAUAAUUUAUCUCACACCACUCGGUGGUGGAUGUGUCUGGUCCCCAAAAGCUUGACACUGUCUCUGUCAUUAUAUUGAAUGAGGUGCCCAAAAUGUACGCAACCCACAAAGCUUAUGAUAUUAGCUAAAUUCAACAGAUCGAUGAAUCAUAUGUUGGAAAUGUUUUUAAGUGGUUAAAACAUUUGUAUAUGAAUGAGAAAUUUAAAUCCCAAGUUAACCACUGGCCAUGGCUAACUUGUGUUAUAGUAGAUGAACUAGCUUUUGAGCCCGUCCAACGGACGGGAUGUUUGAAAUGAGAUGCUUGAAAUAGCAAUUAUUUGAUAACACACGUGAUUUUUUUUUCCUUCUGAUAUUGUGAUUUUGUGCCUAAUGAACUUAGUCCAAAUUCAACAAAAAAAAAAAAAGAAAAAAAGAGAACUUAGUCCAAUAGCGAGAAUAUUUUUUCCAGCAAAAACUUUCAAAAGGAAUUACAGCCAAGAAAGUUAGAGAUGAGUCAUUCAUCAACUUGGGCGAUGUCUUCUUCUUUAGCACAAUUAGUUUCAGCGUACAAAUAUGUACCUUCAGGUUGAAUGAACCCAUAAAGAUAGGCCUUUAUUUAUACAUCACAAUUUACAGUUAAACUGAUCCCACAUCGACCACGAUAAUAUAACGACCAAAAAGAAACUGAAACUGAAAGAAGAUCUAUCCUGCUACUGCAUAGUUAUAUGUUUCAACUUGUGCCCACCUUUGAGCUCUGCACUCAACCAAAUCUGCUGCACUUAGUUGAUGCUACUGUUAGAGCUUUUGCCCCUGCCUUGUCUGCUGCAAUUUUCCCUUGAGUUCAUGAUGUCUGGAAACCUUAUCUCCUCCCUAAUCUCCUCCCUAAUCUCCAUUGCUUUCUUGUCCAUAUUAAGCCACAACCAAGCACCUCAAUUUUUUGGACCUCCUUUACCACAAAAGAAGAAUCCCUGAAAAUUGCAUUGUAAUACACCUUUCUAUAUAUGCUGCACAACUUGUUAUCAAUUUCUGACAUGUGAAUCUAUUUCAAGAGAUUCCACUUGCUAUUCUCCGAUAAAUAUGGCUCUCCUGUUUUGCACAAUUACAAAGGAUUGGAUUAGUUAUAAAAUUACCAAUACCAACAAAAUGUAGUUCAUACGCAACAAUUUAUCAUAAUCAAAACAUAACAUGCAAUUGUAUUCAUUCGCGAAUGAGCCUGUGGCUCAAUGGUAGCACCCCUCUCACCAAGUGGAGAGGUCGUGGGUUCGAAACACGUCAACAACGGAUUGUUGAUAUAAGUUUCCACACGUAAUUUAAAAGGGGUAGGGGUCCCCACAACCUCGCUUACCAAAAAAAAAUGUAUUCAUUCAAUUUUUGAGAAAAAUGCGGCAAAAACUUUUGUAUUACAAAUAACAAAUUGAAACAUCUCCAUUAAUGAACCUGCUUCUAGUAAUCAUUAAGACAAUAUGUGGUUUGCCGAAGAUAGAAACAGAAGAAUAUGAAUUUUCAAUUCUGUAAAGUAGCCACCUUACAACAACAUGAACCCCACAAAACAAAGAAGUGUUCAUGUCACUCGGUAUUUUUUCUAAUGAACAGUCUGAUCCAAGGAUGCUGGCACAACCAAGGACUCUUUAAUAUGGAAGGUGGCACACAUAGGACCAGACAACCUUCAAAACCAAAGGUUGAAAUUUGUAAAACUGUAUAAACGAUAUUUAAUUUAAAAUACCUUAUGACCAUCAUGCUUGUCUCAAGGUUGGAUCACUCCACUGCGAAGACUUGCAAGAAUCCAUGGCCUCUUACUUUCUUAAACUCGGCGAGAACUGAAUUAUUCACACCAGAACAGAAAUGAUGAUCGAUUAGUGUUAGACUAACCUUUCCCAUUUGGCUGAUAAAAUUUGAUCGAAAAAUAUGAGAGCAGAGGAAUGAAGGAGUCUUUAAUUUAUAACCGAUUUUUCUAUAACUUCUCAAACACAAUUAGUAAUGUAAUUUCCUUUAGAUUCAAAUAUCAACAAACCACAGUUGAGUCCCUUUGAUGUAUAUUUAAAGUAAAAUAGAGUCAUUUUUAUGUAGACUACUGGUAUUAAUCCAAGCUAAGACUGUACUUGAAUACAUUUUCCCAUAAUUUCAUGGUUGUAAGUAGAAUUUAAAUUUAGACUUUGUUAAAAAAAGGUAAAAUGAUCAAAAAAUACAAUGUACUUUCACUUUUUUUCACUUUAUACAAUGUACAAAAAAUCACGUCAAAACAUCAAUGUACUUCGAAAUUUUUUCCACGUUAUACAAUCUGUCUAAAACAUGCUAACGGACUGCAGACGUGGCUAAUAUUUAUCUACGUGUAUUUUUUCUUUUAAAAUAAAACGCUGAGUUGUAAAACUAAAAUCAGCCCAUCUACUUUAGAACGUGUCAUCAGAUCAUGUCGACACAUGUUUACAUCUAAACCGUCCAUUAAUCCCGCCCAAAGUUCGCGCCAAGAUGUUAGAGAUAUAUAUGUAUAUUUUUUUUUUAUUUGUUAUCUUUCUCAUAGGAAACAACACCGGCAGGGAAACCCUAAAUCGAUAUUUUUCCAUCUCUCUCUCUCACAGCGACAUUGAACCCUCUCUCUCUCUCUCUCUCUCUCUCUCUCUAAUUCUUCAAACCCAACACAAAUCUAUGGUGAAUUGGUGAAUCUCAAGAAACAAUUUGGCGUGGAACAACUGUUGUGUGUGUAAAAGAAGAAUCUUCUUUCAAGUAAGUAACAAGUAGUUAGUUUAUUGCUAGAUUUGGGGUAAAGGGUUAGGCUUUGUAUACUUCAGUGCUAGAUUUUGGGAUUGUAAGUAUAAAAUACUUGUUUAUUAGUACUGAUUUGGGGAUUUGCUAUGGAGUAUUCUUAAUUAGGGUUAGAUGCUAGGAAUUUGGGCAUUUACAGACCAAGUUGUAUUAUCUAAUAAACUAGGUUAUUAAUUUAAGUAGUAAUUUGGGGGUUUGGUAUGUAGUAUUCUUAACUAGGUUUUAAUAAUAGAAAUUUGUGAAAUUCUAUGUAUAAUAUUUCUUUAAAGAGGAACAUUACAUGGUGGAUGAGAUUGUUGUCAAUUUGGUGUUUUUUUUUUUCUGUCUAAGAUUAUACCUAUCUACAAAAGUAAAAAUCGAUGUUGAAAUCUCACUCUUAAGAUUGCUAUAAUAGACUCUGACAUGGUAUACCUAAACACAUUGUAUUACACUUGUUGAUAGUUGCUCAUACUUUUUAUAUUUGGCUCAUAAUAUUACACUCUGACAUGUCAGACUAUUAAGGUUUUAAUAGUUCUUUAAUAUGUUGUUAAUUUUGACAUUGCAGUGGAUGAGAUUGUGUUUGAGGUCAGACAUGGUGGUUAUUUUGAAUGUAAACCUUUGUUAUAUUACAAGAAUGGUGGAAGAGUACCAGAUUAUAUCUACAACAUUAACCCGAGGACUCUGACAUAUUUUGAAGUGAAGAAUUUUAUUGAUGGUUUAGGGUAUAAUAACAUUACAAAGGUGCACUAUUGUCUUAGUGGGAGGACCCAGGAGAACAACCUCAGAAUCUUGGUUGAUGAUAAUAAUACUAAACACAUGGUAGAGUUAUGUGAGCAGAAUGGUGGUAGGUGUUGUAUUGAGAUGAGAUUGUGUUUGAGGUCAGAUAUGGUGGUUAUUUUGAAUGUAAACCUUUGUUAUAUUACAAGAAUGGUGGAAGAGUACCAGAUUAUAUCUACAACAUUAACCCGAGGACUCUGACAUAUUUUGAAGUGAAGAAUUUUAUUGAUGGUUUAGGGUAUAAUAACAUUACAAAGGUGCACUAUUGUCUUAGUGGGAGGACCCUGGAGAACAACCUCAGAAUCUUGGUUGAUGAUAAUAAUACUAAACACAUGGCAGAGUUAUGUGAGCAGAAUGGUGGUAGGUGUUGUAUUGAGAUGUAUACUGAACAUGGUGAAGAAAAUAACCUGACAGAAGAACAAGAAAGUAGUGAAGAUGAUGACGAUGAUGAAGAAAUCAGUGCCGAAGUUGAGAAGGAGCUUAACUAUGAGAAGGAGAUGGAUGAUGACAGUGACAGUGAUUGUAAUUCUACAGAUGUUUCUGAUGAUGAGUUGCAUGCAAUUAGAGUAAGUGAAAAUGCUAGGAAAACCAAUAGAACAAAGAAGAAAAAAAUAGAAGAGGAAGAUGUUCAGGAUGAUGGAGGCAUUGAUGAAGACAUUGAUAAUGCUGAUGACAUUGAAGACUUAACCACGGAACCUCAAAACAUAGUUAAGGCAGAAGAAAAUGGUUAUGAGACUGACUAUGGAUCAGCUGAUGAUGGAAAUGACAGUCUAGAUGAGAGUGAUGAUGAGGUUGAGAAGGUAAAGCCAAAGAAAAAAAAACCUAAGUUUCCCAUGUGGGAUCCCAACUGAGAUCCAUUUACCUAAGUUUCCCAUGUGGGAUCCCAAUAGGGCUUAGAUUUGCUGAUUGUGCCCAACUGAAGGACUUAUUGAGAGCAUAUGCAGUGAAAAAGGGAAAACCAAUCACAUUUCUAAGGAGUGCAAAGAAUUUGUUGGAAGCUAUAUGUGCUCCAGGUUGUCCUUGGAGGAUAUGGGCAACCUGGAUGCAAGCAGAAAAAAGUUUUCAAAUUAAAACUAUGAGGAAGAAACAUAAGUGUUCUAGGAAAUUUCAUAUUAAGAUUGCUAAUUCAGCAUGGUGGGCUAAGUUGUAUCAUGACAAAAUCUUGGAGAAUCCCACAUGGAAGUUGAGGGAGAUUAAGAAUGAUAUAAAGAAGGAGUAUAAAACAUAUGUAAGCAUCACACAAGUAUACAAAGCUAAGAAGAUAGCUUUAGGAAAUGUUGAGCAUGAUUUGGAGGUACACCACAUGUUUAAUUAACUUUUUUUUUGUAAUUAACUAUUGUUUAAUUAAGAUUCUUUUAAUUAAAUUUUACUUUUAAUUUGUAGGUACAUUAUGCUAGAUUGUGGGAUUAUGCUAAUGAGGUGUUGAAAAAGAAUCUAGGCAACACUGUCAAGAUAUGUGUCACAAGAACAACUCCAGAGUCACCACCUAGGUUCAAAUGUAUGUAUAUGUGUUUGGCUUCAAUAAAGAAUGGUUGGAGAGAAGGUUGUAGAUCUGUCAUAGGUCUAGAUGGUGCUUUCUUGAAGGGGUAUGUGAAAGGAGAAUUACUUACAACAGUGGGAAGAGAUGGGAACAAUCAGAUGUUCCCCAUUGCUUGGGCAGCUGUACAAGUUGAAAACAAAGAUAGUUGGGGUUGGUUUCUUGGAAUUUUGAUGGAGGACUUGUGUAUAGGACAAGGUCUUAACUAUACUAUAAUUAUUGAUCAGCAGAAGGGACUUGAUGUUGUCAUUCACAAAUUAUUACCCUAUGCAGAGCACAGAAAUUGUGCAAGGCAUGUCUAUGCAAAUUUUAGGAAGAAAUAUAGUGGGGCACAACUAAGAGGGCUUUUCUGGAAGGCAUCAAAGACUUGUACACCAGGUAUGUACUUGAGUAUACCUUUUUAUUGCUUAUAUGUUACAUUACUGUUUAUUCUUGUAUUUUUACACCAUGUUUCACUACUUGUACACUAGGUGAGUUCUACACAGUCAUGGAUGAAAUCAAAGUUGUUUCUCCUUUAGCACAUGACCACCUUAUAAACCAAGAUCCUAAGUAUUGGUCUAGGGCUUUCUUUAAAACUAUGACUGUGUGAUGUUGUUGAGAAUAAUAUGUGUGAAUGUUUUAAUAGAACAUUGUUGGAGGCAAGGCAUAAACAUAUAUGGCAUAUGAUGGAGGACAUAAGGAAAUACCUAAUGGUUAGGAUGAGGAAAAGAAAGGAACAACUAAAUGUAGAAGAGGAUGUGGUGCCACCUAGAAUUAGGAAGAAGCUUGAGGAGCAGAAAGACCUUGUAGGUAAAUGGUCAUGUGAAAGCAAUGGAGAUAACAGUUUUGAAAUCUCAUGUGGCUAUGAUCAGUAUGUUGUGGACUUGAGUAUGAAGGAUUGUAGUUGUAGAUUAUGGGCAUUGAGUGGAAUUCCAUGCUGCCAUGCCAUUGCAGCAAUCUAUUAUAUGAGAGAGGAGCCAGAUGACUAUGUAUCAUAUUUCCUGACUACUGAGUAUGCUAAAAAAGCUUAUAGGUACCCAGUUCCUUGUUGCAAUGGUGAAAAGGUUUGGGAUAGGACAAACAAUGAAGCAAUUCUCCCCCCGAUUAAUAGGAAAAUGCCAGGAAGGCCUAAAAAGAAAAGGAUCCAGGAAUCCCAUGAAAGACAAGGUAGAAGUGAGGUUUCCAGAAUUGGUAGGGAGAUGCAUUGUACAAACUGCAAAGGAGUUGGACACAAUAGGAAAACUUGCAAGGAACCUAUUGUAACAGAGGCAUCUGUGAGUAUCCAUUUACUUGUUGUUUUAACAUUAACUUCAUUUGUUUACCUAAAUUUUAUAUCAAUGGUUGAUUUAUUUUAUAUCACUGCAGGUAAGGAGAAAGAAACCGAUUGCUGAAGGUGAUGCAAAUGCAAGAAAGGAAGCAACAAGUUUGAAAGCUAUGGAGAAAGAAAGGGUUCAAGCAGAAAAAGCAAAACAAAGAGCUGAAAAAGCUAAGGAAAAUGCUGCAAAAGCUAAGGAAAAAGCAGCUGAAAAGGCAAAGGAAAAGGUUGUUGCAAAGGCUAAGGUAUGAGCCUACCAAGUGCACGAUGUUGUUUGGUAAAUUUUUUUGGUUAUAUGUCCUAAUGAUAAUUUUCUUCUGUAGAAAUCAAAGGAAAGACCACCAAUUGCUCCAGGUGGCAUUGGUGUGUUAACAUUUGAUAAUGGUGAUCAAUAUGUGAAGGUAACAUGUUUUCUAGAAUGGUAGUUACUAAUUCAAUGUUCAUAUAGAUCAUGAUUUUAGUGUUCUGCAGUGGUAGUUAUUAAUUCAAUGUUCAUAUUUUGUGUAGCUUGGAACCAAAAGAGGAAAAUAUUUUAGGAAGAAUGCUGAAAAAUCUAAAGCUGGGAUUUCAAGAAGUGAAGGUGAUGGUGGAAGUGCAUCUCAACUGUCACAAACUAGUGGAACACCCUCUGCAACACAAAGUUCUUCUACACCACCUAGAAUUUCACCAAGGAAAACACCAGAGAAGACUUUGCCUACUAGAUUAUCAGCAAGGAUACAAAAAAAUAAGUCAACUCAUGUACAAGCUGAGAAUCCAAGUAAGUCAAGUCAUGUACAAGCUGAUAAUCCAGUUGUGUUUACUGUUCUACCAUUUAGGAAUGAAGAAGGUCCAAGUAAUGAUCAAAAUGUGAGGAGAUCUCCAAGGAAAACACUUGGAGGCACAAGAAGAUCAUCAAAUGUUACUGCGGCUGUACCAUCAACAAAUGUGCAUGUCAGGAGAUCUCCAAGGAAACAUGUUACUGCAGCUGUACCAUCAACCAUUACUACAACUGUACCCUCAACAAACAAAAGAAAACCUGGUAGACCACCAACAUACAACCCUGGAAGGUGUGAUCCAAAUUUUUCUACAACUCCUGGAACAAAAAAAAAAGGAUUUCAAUUUCUGUUAUUUGGUGACCAGCCUAUGCUAGAUGAGUAGAGUUGCAGAUGUUUUUUAGUUUUUUUUUUUGGGGUGUGGUCAAUGUUGUUUACUCUAAACACUGUUAUUCUGCAGUGUUGGAUCAUUGGUGUUUUUUUUUGGAAGGCAUCAUUCUGCAGUGUUGGAUCAUUGGGUUUUUUUUUUGGGAAGGCAUCAUUCUGCAGUGUUUUUUGUGUUGUAUAAAGAAUAUUAUUCAUUUGACUUUGAGAUAUAUAUAUAUAUAUAUAUAUAUAUAUCUUGGCUUAUUUGAUACAAGCUUAUUUGAUGUAGGAUCAUUUUAUGAUAUUGUGAUUAGAAAAGGUUGAGUUGAUAAUAUAGUAUCAUUUGGUGAUAUUGUGAUUAGAAUAGGUUUAGUUGAUAAUAUAGUAUCACAAGCUGCUGAAUGAUUUAUUUUUUCAGUGCAAGACAAAUGCGGUCUAUAUGAACUUGAAAUCAACUUGAAAUUAAUUCAAAUGCUCAUUUACAGUGCAGCAACAGAAAACAGAGAAGAAAUAGAAUAUUGAUCUUGAUCAAACACUAAUACAAUUUCUACUAGAUUGUCAACAACACAAAACAAAUCCUUCAUGUUAUUGAAAUGGUCUCAAUAACAAAUCCAGAACAACAUAAAAAAAAAUAAAAAACAAAGAAGAAUAUUUUUUUGAAGCUUAACAUUGUUAACCAUUUUCUCUAGUUCUUCUAUCUUCUUCUUGUCCUGUAGCUUAGAAUCUUCAUCUGCUUCAAUAGUCUUUUGCAUCAUUUUGUUUAACUUCUUCAUCUCUCCCAUUGUAUUCUCAAGAUCUGAAAUUCUCAUCUUUAAGUGUCCAUUAACAGACUUCAAUUCUUCAUGCUCAUAGUACAAUUCUUGAUGACGGAGUUCUGGUUUUUUGUAGGGUUCCAUCCAUUUGAAGAAGUUACACUUUGGUAUACCAUUGUAGAACAGAGCACAACCAAUGAACUGCCUCCCAGCAUUUUCAAGUGUCCACGCGAUUUUAAUAGGAGAAGGAGCUCCACAACUGCAAAAACGAGAAGAAUUAACACUAGAAGAUGAUGAAGACAUGGUGAAGAAUUGGGGAUUUGAAUUAGGGAUUUGAAGAAUUAAAAGUGAGAAGAAUUGGGGAUUUGAAUUAGGGAUUUACAGAUUUGUUGAAUUGAAUUGUUCAAAUAGAGAAGGAGUCAAUCACAUGAGAAACAUGCGCCUCAUUUUGAUGUGUUGGAAACGUUGUUUAACUUUAUUUUAAAAGAAAAAAUACACGUAGAUAAAUAUUAGCCACGUCUGCAGUCCGUUAGCAUGUUUUAGACAGAUUGUAUAACGUGGAAAAAAUUUCAAAGUACAUUGAUGUUUUGACGUGAUUUUUUGUACAUUGUAUAAAGUGAAAAAAAAGUGAAAGUACAUUGUAUUUUUUGAUCAUUUUACCUUAAAAAAAACACAAAAUUCUGAAUUUUAGUUACUAAAGCAGUUUGAUAUCAUACACAUGAUUAAUUUUGCAAACCCCCCCAACAGUCAACACCAUCCAAGUAUUUGAGUGAAUUGUUAUAAUAAAUUCAGGUAAAACUAUGGUUUGUGCUUUCAUAAAUUUGUUAGUAUCUAUCUGUAACACAAAUCAUUACUAUACCUUAACCACUCAAAGUUGUAUCAUGGAUUUACAGAAUGUCAGAUAUUACUCAAAUGUAUGAUAUGCUUCGCUAAAUAAUGGUUAUAUUGUGUUGAAGAACACUGUUUUCAUAUUUGCGCAUAACUAAAUUAAACCAUAGAUUAACCCAAACUGAUGGCAAAUUCAUUAUUAGAAAUUGGUGAUUAUCUGGCUAUCAAUCGAUCAAUUUAUGAUAUGUUGUUUUCUUACCCACAAAAAUCAUUUAGUAUAAGCUCAAAGAACAUGGAUUUAAAUUCCACCUUAUGAAAAUUUUGUUGGCAUGUGGAAUUACCAAACAGUUGUAGGACUAGGGAACGAACUUCUGCAGAGCGAACACUAGAAAAUAGUUGAACACGAUGUGAUGACAAGAUCUCUUGAGCAGUUAUACGGCGUAAGUUGCGCCAAUGAUCACCAUAUUGAGCCCAAAGAAGACUAGUGCAAUUGUAAGCAAGGUGUUCUCCCACAAUAAGAUGAGGUCUAUUAGCAAAAGCAAUAUCGUUCUUGGUUAAACAUUCUUCAAUAGCAGAUGAGGAUGAGACGAGUAGGACUUUGCGAAAACCAAAAUGGAGAAAUAGAAUUGAACCAUAUUUUUCAGAAAGUUUGGCUAGUGUUCUAUGGAUGGGUUUCUUGAUGAUGAGGUGUAAUUGUUAAAAAUGUAAUCUGUAAUGUCCAAGUCCAAGAAAAGCCCAGUCCAUAGAAGUGUCCAGAAGCAUAAAGAAUUAUCUAGUCCAUAGAAGUGUCCAGAAGCAUAAAGAAUUAUCUAGUCCAUAGAAGUGUCCAGAAGCAUAAAGAAUUAUCUAGCAUAUAACAGUUAAUAGUUAAUAGAGAAAUCUAGAAUGUAUGAGAAAAAAUCAGAACUAUGUAGAACAAUUAAAGUCGGUUAUAAUGUCCUAUAAAUAGGGAGGUGAACAUGUUGUUUGAAAAAAAAUCAAUCAAGAAAAGAAGUUCUCUAGUACUAGAAGUCCUCUUUUGUAAUAAAAACAAAGUUUCUUUUAUAAACUUGUUAUUUUGUCAUAUUCUUCUUCUUGACUCUCAUAUACCCACUAACACUUCCAUUGUUUUAACAGUAAUGGCCUAGCAUGGGAAGAGGGAAAGGGAUUGAUGGUUUUUCUAUACUGUUUCGAUAAAAGAAUUGCUUGAACAUGAUGACUGCAAAGAAAACCAAGAAGGCUAAACUAAAGGAGAAAUCCAUGAUUUCAAUUAAACUGUGUUGCAUGACUCUGUGAGUUUAAUCUUUCCCAAAAACAUAGUGUAUAUAUAGGCACGAAUUAAUGGCAAAGCUAGCUAUGAUCGCUUCAAAUCUAUUUGUCUGUCCUUUUCAAAUCGAUCAGUGAAUGCAUGGCAGUUGAGAGUAGAUUUCUGCUGUUAUUAAUUUUCGAUACUUCUUACAUAAAUAGAGUUUGCUUGAGGAUGUUGUAAUCUUAUGCUGUCAAUUCCUUAUCAACGUAAAUUAAGAUGGCGGAGUUGAUGAUGUUUGUUGAAAUUUAUUCCUGGAUCUCCACAGUAAAAGGUUACUAUACUCAUCAGUUAUCAGUAUGUGGUUUUCGUCUCUCGCCUUCUUAAUUAAAGAAUUCAGAAUUGUCUAUGCUGUCAGGACAUGGUUUUGUUAUUAAAUUAUUAGGUCUUUACUAGCUAGCACAACAACUAUAUCUUAACCACUGGCAAAUAUCUCAAGAAAAUAAAGAGAAAUGCUAGCGUUACUGCAGAGGUAACGCUCCAGGAUUACCUCUUCACCAAAUCUCGCCAUGUGUACUUGUUGAACUUGGUUAAGGUUUUAGCCGGUUUGCAUAUAUUCCACGAUAUGAAGAGUUUUUUUUAGGAGAGAGAAAUAGUGGAGAAAAAAUAGGAAAAAAAAAAAAAGAAUCCUAAUAAUUACAACAACCUCAUUUUUUUCCAAAUAAUUGAUAACAACCUCUUUAUUUAUUCGUCUUCUCUUCGUUCAUUUGAAAAAAAAAAAAAUCUAACAAUUUAUAACUAGGAUUUGCUUCAUUAUUCUUCUAAUUGCAUAAAAAAAACCACAAAAAAAAAUAUAGCUAAUCAGCUGUGCAACACUUUUUAUAAUAGAUACUAAUAUCACAAAUUGAAAAAAACUACUUCCAAAUUUUAUGUUUUUUUUAUUGUUUUAUGUUCUAGUAAAAUUGAGAUUGAGAUUUGAGAGUAGAGGAAGAAUCCGGGGAAGAGAAGACAAGGAAAGAAGGUUGUCCUAAUUAUUAGGAUUCUUUUUUUUUUUUUCUUAUUUUUUCUCCACUUCCUAAUUAUUAGGAUUCUUUUUUAUUUUUUUGUCCUAUUUUUUCUCCACUAUUUCUCUCUCCUAAAAUCUUUAUGCAAACCGGCUAAAACCUUGACUAAGGGCCUGUUUGAUAACCGGUGAAUACCCUUAUUCACCCGUGUGAAUCGGUUUUACACGGUUUGACCAGCCAAUUACCUUUGUUUGAUAACAAAAAUUUGCUUCAGAUCAUUUUUACCAAAAACAAGCACGUGACCCCAUUUACCCGGAUUCAUCCGGGUGAAUCGGGUCCGGGGGGGGGGGGGGGGGAAAAUUCCCCCCACCGUUUUCCCGGGUUUUUUUUCCCGGGAUAAAGGGGAAUUUUUUCCAAAUUGAAAAGAAAAAAAAAAGAAAACCGGCGGCCCCGGGUUAAACCCUUUUUUUCCCACCCAAUUUUUACUCAAGCGUGAAAGAAAAAAAAACCAAUCCCACCGCCAAGGGUGAAAAAACUUUGAGUUUUCACUUUUUUCAAAAGGGUAAUCAACCCUUCCUUCUCUAUUUUGGAAAAAUUUUCCAUUUUUUCUCCCUUUUUCCAAAUCCCAAACAAAUUUUUUGGUUUUUUGAUUUGGGUGGGGGUUUUCUCCCAAAUUUGCAAUGUUUUUAUUGUUUUAACCCUUUUUUUUUCAAUUUUCGUUUUGGGAAAAAACUAGGGUUUUUAAUUUUUUUGAAUUUUUUAAAUAAGGGGUUCCGCAAUUUGUGGGGGUUUUUGGUAAAUUUGGGUUGGGGGUGGUGGAAUUAUGGUUGUGAGGAGAAAUUUAUGAAAGAUAAUAGCAAAAUUCCGAGGCCUGUUAUGCCUAUGAAAUCUUAACCAAUAUCUGACUGUUGUUCCUUCUUGAAGUAGAAACUGCUUAUUUUUGGAUGAACUCUUAACCAAUAUCUGACUCUGCAGUAUGUCCUCAGAGUAGAAACUGCUUAUAAUAUCCAAAAUAAUUGAUGUUUCUCAUUCCUAUCUGCAUCAGCCUUUUACGUUAUGUCUCGGAACUUCCAUUACGAGGCAAAUGCGCCAAAGUGGCAGACAUCACUUCACGAAACAGACGCGAAAUCUAUUUGCUCAUUAACAUUUAGAAAUACACUUAACUAGAAAACAGAAUAUAGGUGUAUUGAUUUAUAUUGAACCAGCGAGAUUGAGUGAAGCCAAUAUUAUCAUCUAAGAACAUAUAGCCUUGUGCACAAUCAUGGGCAUUCAGUCAUUCUCCCCAGGUGUUCAUAGAGCUACUGCAACAUUUCUCUCUUCAUCAUUAUUUGCAGUCAAUAGUAGGAUUUUAUGAGGUUAAGUGCAGCUUACUGGGCGGAUGUCCUGUUCAUCUUUUGGUUAGUUCAGCUUGUUUUUGCCACCUUGAGAUGGGGUUUAAACAAUAGAAUCUACCUUACAGAUCUCCGUGUGAAUUAUAGAGAAAAAGUUAAAAGACAUUUGCUUUCAAUCUUAAUGCUGUUAUUUUAAUGCAUUUUGAUGGCUUCACAUUCAUAUAUGAUUUGACAGAAGCAAUCGGUAAAGUUAAAUUGGUGGGGAUGCAUUCAGGAACUAGUCAAUACGUGGUUGAAAGACUAGAAUAUUUACUUGAGAUUAAUAUUAAACUAUCUCUUUGUGCAGGUUGAAGACGUCAAUACGUGGUUGAAAGAAAAGUACUGUUCAUAUCCGAAAUUUGCAGAAGAAAUAUCAUCUCCAGGUAAAUAGGUUUUUUUCUUUAUAUUCUUGUUAAUGAUAUUCCUUUCACUGUAUGCUCAUAGACUAGAAAAAAAAAAAAAAAAAUAGUGUGGAAUUGGUGUGUUAGGAAACCUUCAUCUUUUAGCAUUCCGUGCACCAUGUGUGACUUUUUUUUUUCUGUUAUACAGUAUGAUGAUUUUGUUUAGUAUGUAGAUUUUGAGGCAAUUUUCUAUUUUGUAGGAAGCAUAGAAAUAGAAAUAGACGUCCUGCUGUUAUUUAUUGGACUUGAUUGAUCUGAAAAUGAGAUCCAUUUUUCACAGUAGUAAUCUAUUAUAUAUUUAAUUUGCCUGAAGGAGAAAGAAAUAAAUAUACAGUAAUUAGGUAAUAGGUAUGUCCAUUUUAUAGCGGUAUAAUGUUGGGAACAUACACUGUAUAAUGUUACGGUACAUACACUGUUACAUUCAUAUUCUGCAUUCUGCAAUGCAUUUGCAUGAACAUACACUGUACAACUAGAUUACUUUUCUGAGGGGGAUACUUGAUAGCAUUUUUUUUUGAGAAUGCUGCAUUUAUGUUCUUUUUCAUAUUUCAAAAUUUGAACUGAUAUUCACACGACAAUGGGUAUGCCCAGAGCAAACAAAUUUAGAUUAGUCUUCUUCUCCCAUUUAAAUAAAUAGCAUGUUGUCGAAAGGGCUAUUGGUGUCUUCAAUUUGUGUUUUUUUUUAACUGAUUUAUGUAUUUUUUUUUUUUGGUAUGUUUCUCGUUAUGCACAACGGUGGUUUGAACUAUGUGGUGGGGAUAAUUUCUGUAACUGUUUGUUAUUGUGACAUGUACAAGUAAUUCAUUCUUUUGUUCGUUUGAUCUAUUCGACAUAUUUUUGUUUGUAUUUUUAUAACGCAAGGAUCGUUUUACUGUUGUAGUUUCCUGUGCUCCGUGGUCCGCGUCGAUCCAAAGUUUGCUUUCCUAGUUUUGUUGCUGCGCUUAAGGUAUGCCAAUUUUGACCUCUCCUUCACUUUAUAAUGGAUUUUGACAUGGUAUAGUGAUGAAUGUUAUACUAAAAUGCGUAGUGAUGGUCAAUAACGAUGCACGAUGAAAAUUGAUACCCUGUACACGUCUAAAUUACAUCAAGUACCGUUAUUUGUGAAAUGGUAGUUUCUUUGAAUUCGUUUAUAUUACAGCAUGUACCGUUAUUUGUAAUAGGGGUAGUUUGUUUAUAAAAAGAUAUGUGAUUUGUCAAUAUAUUUUCCAGAAAUGGGUAAAUUUGCAUGUUACUUGGUUCGAAAUGGCCGGAACCCUGGUAUUUAUACAAACUGGGCUCAAGCCGAUGCUCAGAUUAGGAAUUUUGAAGGAGCAUGUUGGGAAGGUUGUACUUCAAUCGCACAAGCUCGCUUACUGUUGAAUUACUACAGGAGCUUGGACUCCGAAGUAGAACUUGCAUGCUCCCAACCACUACCCAGCCCCAUUGCCUCUAGGAGCUCUUCUUGUGUUUCUUCUACUUCGACUGACCGUAUCCCCAACGCAAUGCGUGCAAUUUCCUUAGAUGAUACUUGGUGGUUGGUGAAGAACCUAAUUGUAGUUUUGUUAGUUGUAAUCAUCGCGGUGUUGUUGAAGUUGUUAUUUGUUAUUUAGAAUUUUCAAGAAAUUGUAACAUAACUUUGGGAUAUGUUAACGUCACCUUGUAAUGAAAUUUGUAAUGACACAUUUUAAUAUAUGUUUUGAAAUUUUAAAAGUUUUGUUUUACUUAAAAUACAAUCGUGUUUAAAGUGUGUGUUACAAUCGUGGAGUUUUGACGUUGUUGGGGUUUUGUAGAAUGGACAAUGGUGAAGAAGAACGUAGGAUAGUUACUGCCGUAGUCGUUAUUGUUGUGGUUCAUAUGGUAAUGGCAUGGCAGUGGUGGUGUGCAGUACAUAUGAACCACAUGCGACUACCUCGUGCACCUCGUAAGAAUCGAAAUGAAAUGCGACGUGGUAUUCUUAGGAGUUUUUACAUAGGGAGCGACAGGUCCUGUCAUCAUCAACUUAGGAUGAACCGAUUCGCCUUCCAUUCCUUGUGUCGUAGGCUUACAAGACUAGGAUUGCAGGAUACGAGAUAUCUUACGGUUGAGGAACAAGUAGCCCUAUUUCUUAUAACAGUUGGUCACGACCAGCGAAACCGAAGGGCAGCCCAUCAAUUCUAUCAAUCAACCGAAACCGUUAACCGUUUCUUCCAUCUAGUGCUUAAUGCACUUCUACGGUUAUAUAGAGAAGUUGUGACCAAUGUGACAGCGGAGAAUUCUCCGCUCGCAGAUUGAGGAACAUAUCAUCAUUGGCACCAUUAUUUCAAGGUUCGGAGCCUAUAUUUGUCAAUCUUGGGUAUUUGUGCAUCCUUCUUUGAAAUGCAUCCCUUUACUUAACAUGUAUGAAUGGUCGUAGGAUGCUGUGGGUGCAGUCGAUGGUACACAUUUCAAGACACAUGUUGCCUUGGUAGACCAACCUAGAUAUCGUAACCGAAAAGAAGAGAUUACUCAGAAUGUCUUGGUGGCGUGUACCUUUAGCAUGAAGUUUACGUACGUGUUGACGGGAUGGGAGGGUUCAGCGCACGAUGGUCGUUUGUUGAGGGAUGCCGUUAGUCGUCCUGGCCAUAGACUUACCUUACCUCCUGGUAAGUUUGUAUACCUACCAUGUACAUUCCCAUGUUCUGUAAAUCUGAACUGAUUACUUAAAAUACGUCAACAAUCAUUAACUGUAGGGGGUAAAUACUAUCUUGUGGAUGCCGGCUUUGCAUUAGUGCCUGGAUUCCUUACUCCAUAUCGUAAUACUCGAUACCACAUCAGAGAGAUAGGAAGACAAGUAGCGCAGAAUAAGGAUGAGCUUUUCAACUUUCGUCAUUCAUCUUUGAGGAAUGUUGUCGAAAGGGCUAUUGGUGUCUUGAAAAAGCGCUUUGCAUAUCUCAGGAACUCCCCUCACCACAACGUUAGGGUUCAAUCCAAGAUUAUUUUGGCAUGUGUUGCCUUGCAUAAUUUCUUGAGAGAUGUUGACCCUGAUGAUGAGUUUGACCCCGACGCAUUACCUGACGAUGAGGAGGAAGACAUAGCCGAAACUGAGGAAGAACCGGGUGAUGUUGUAGCCCCGGCCAUAAAUAUUGUGCCAUCCCCAAAUUGGACCAAUUGGAGGGAUCAACUAUGUCAUCAAAUGUGGAAAAUGCGUACGUCAAUUUCCAGUACGAAACAGACGAAGAUGAUGAUCUUUGAAGUAUCCCUACCAUGUGUUGGCUAUUGUUUGUUAUGUGUGGUGUGUUUAUUAUUUUGACAUUGGAUAUUUGUUUAUUUUUCUAUUCCUUGUGGACCGAUGGCACAAUUUAUUAAUAAUGCAGUUAUGGUUGGAAUUCAUGGUUUGUAAUCAAGUAUUAUGAUUUUUUAUUAAUAUUCAAGGAAUGUCGACCUCUUCAACAAAAAAACAAAGAGAAGGAACCAACCGACUCCAUCCCACACAUGGAGUGCCCCUCCCGUUCCACCCCCACCCGAACUACCAUCCCAAAGGACCCAACAAAGGUGGGGACCAGCAAUGAUGGAGAUCUUACUUGAUACUCUCUGCGAGGAGGUCAGUAAGUGUGGUAGGCGGGCGGACAAUGGAUUUAAGUCCGACACCUACACUGCUGUCGCAAAUGCCGUGAAUACUAAGUUGGGAAUGGCUGUGACCUCGGAGAAUGUGCGAUCCAGGAUGAGGACAUUGAGGAAAGAAUACAGCGUGGCAAAGGCAUUGUUGAAUGCUAGUGGAUUUGGGUGGGAUCCGGUACACAAAUGUGUUGUUAAUGCCGACCCUGUCGCAUGGGCUGCAUACAUUGCGGUAAUUGACGCCCUUCCUUGUUUGAUGUGUUGUUGUUCAAUAGUGCGAUAUCAAUUGUUAAUGGAUUGUUCAUUGUAGGGGCACCCCGAGGCCAAGAACUUCAAUGGUAAGGUUUUGCCAUUUUUUGACCAACUGGCAUUCUUGAUUGGUGAUGAUUGCGCCACGGGUUUUGGAAGCUAUUCUGGCCAUGAUCUUGAUAUUCCCACUUACGAACCCCCCGGUACGUGGGUUUAUUGUUUGUUACACAACAUGGUUAUUGUGGCAUGUAUGAGUUUGUGAUGUGAAUGAUCAAUCCAAUGCAGUGAACGAAGAUGAGGAUGAGACCUUCGGGGAAGGGGAUGGUGGCGUUGACGGAAUGGAAUCCCAGUUUGCGACAAACACCCCAGUUGUCGAUACACCACCACUUCCUACUGCUGAUUUUGAGGGAGACGGUGGUUCGGUAGCAUCUGCUGCUCGCAAGGGGAAUGAUAGUGCCCCUCCUGUCAUACCAAAGCGUCGUAAGUUGAAGUAUACCAUGGUAGAUAUACCUGAGCCUCCAUCCUUCAAAGGAUUGACUACGGCGGUGCAACAGAUAGCAAGCUCUAUGGGAAAACCCAACAUUUCAGAGGUUUCAAAUGUUGUCAAAGGACUUACCCAAGGAAAUAGACAAGCUUACCUGGACUGCAUGGAUUUCUUAGGAGGGAAUCCAGAAAUGAUCUAUACGUUCAUGGGAAUCGAUGAUGAAUACAAGUUGGAAUGGAUCAUGAGAAAGUUACAGUAGUUGGGGUCUAGCUUUUGGGUGUUGUUGAAUUGUUGAACUAUGUUUGUCUUACUUUUAGGAAUGCUUGUUAUAUGGAUACAAUAUUUUAUUUUGGAUUAUGUUGUGUGAUUACAUUACUAUCGUGCGACAGUUUUAUGGAUACAGUAUUUUAUUUAUAUUAUGUCGCAGAUUGUUAUUUUGUACAUUUUUGUACAUUUUUAUUACCGUUAUGUUGUAGCUUUAUAACUGGCAUUUUCUGAUAACAUAGAUACAGUUCAUUUGUGGUUAUGUGAAUGUGUUAGUCUUUUCAAGACUGUUUUCCCUACGCAGUUUUGUUUUGUUCGUAAUUGUUGUUUUUGGGUUUUAGAAGAAUGGAAGGUCCAAGCACUUUCAAGGUAGAGUGGUACCAUAAAAUGGACAUGGUUAUGCUUGACACACUUGUCAAGCAUAAAGACGAACCUGGUUUCCCUUUCCAAGAACACACGCACGUAGAAGUGGUCUUCCAGGUUUUGGAAGCAACGUCUAUGCCGGUGUUGGUGGAAGAUGUACGCGAUAGGUUAAAGUAUUUUUUCUAUACCUAUUUACAAAUGCGUGGAUUAUUAAAUAUAAAGGGUUUUCAAUGGGAUGCACAUCGUGAAAGGGUGAUUGCGACAAAUGAGACAUGGGAGGAAAAUGCUCCUUGCAGUAGAUUCCGUGGUGAAUGGCUCCCUUACAUGAACAAGCUUCUUGCCUUGUUCCCAAAAUAAAUUGUAUUUUAUAUUAUGUAACAAGACUAUGUAUGAACAAUGUUCUUAUGUUUAUGAAUAUNNNNNNNNNNNNNNNNNNNNNNNNNNNNNNNNNNNNNNNNNNNNNNNNNNNNNNNNNNNNNNNNNNNNNNNNNNNNNNNNNNNNNNNNNNNNNNNNNNNNNNNNNNNNNNNNNNNNNNNNNNNNNNNNNNNNNNNNNNNNNNNNNNNNNNNNNNNNNNNNNNNNNNNNNNNNNNNNNNNNNNNNNNNNNNNNNNNNNNNNNNNNNNNNNNNNNNNNNNNNNNNNNNNNNNNNNNNNNNNNNNNNNNNNNNNNNNNNNNNNNNNNNNNNNNNNNNNNNNNNNNNNNNNNNNNNNNNNNNNNNNNNNNNNNNNNNNNNNNNNNNNNNNNNNNNNNNNNNNNNNNNNNNNNNNNNNNNNNNNNNNNNNNNNNNNNNNNNNNNNNNNNNNNNNNNNNNNNNNNNNNNNNNNNNNNNNNNNNNNNNNNNNNNNNNNNNNNNNNNNNNNNNNNNNNNNNNNNNNNNNNNNNNNNNNNNNNNNNNNNNNNNNNNNNNNNNNNNNNNNNNNNNNNNNNNNNNNNNNNNNNNNNNNNNNNNNNNNNNNNNNNNNNNNNNNNNNNNNNNNNNNNNNNNNNNNNNNNNNNNNNNNNNNNNNNNNNNNNNNNNNNNNNNNNNNNNNNNNNNNNNNNNNNNNNNNNNNNNNNNNNNNNNNNNNNNNNNNNNNNNNNNNNNNNNNNNNNNNNNNNNNNNNNNNNNNNNNNNNNNNNNNNNNNNNNNNNNNNNNNNNNNNNNNNNNNNNNNNNNNNNNNNNNNNNNNNNNNNNNNNNNNNNNNNNNNNNNNNNNNNNNNNNNNNNNNNNNNNNNNNNNNNNNNNNNNNNNNNNNNNNNNNNNNNNNNNNNNNNNNNNNNNNNNNNNNNNNNNNNNNNNNNNNNNNNNNNNNNNNNNNNNNNNNNNNNNNNNNNNNNNNNNNNNNNNNNNNNNNNNNNNNNNNNNNNNNNNNNNNNNNNNNNNNNNNNNNNNNNNNNNNNNNNNNNNNNNNNNNNNNNNNNNNNNNNNNNNNNNNNNNNNNNNNNNNNNNNNNNNNNNNNNNNNNNNNNNNNNNNNNNNNNNNNNNNNNNNNNNNNNNNNNNNNNNNNNNNNNNNNNNNNNNNNNNNNNNNNNNNNNNNNNNNNNNNNNNNNNNNNNNNNNNNNNNNNNNNNNNNNNNNNNNNNNNNNNNNNNNNNNNNNNNNNNNNNNNNNNNNNNNNNNNNNNNNNNNNNNNNNNNNNNNNNNNNNNNNNNNNNNNNNNNNNNNNNNNNNNNNNNNNNNNNNNNNNNNNNNNNNNNNNNNNNNNNNNNNNNNNNNNNNNNNNNNNNNNNNNNNNNNNNNNNNNNNNNNNNNNNNNNNNNNNNNNNNNNNNNNNNNNNNNNNNNNNNNNNNNNNNNNNNNNNNNNNNNNNNNNNNNNNNNNNNNNNNNNNNNNNNNNNNNNNNNNNNNNNNNNNNNNNNNNNNNNNNNNNNNNNNNNNNNNNNNNNNNNNNNNNNNNNNNNNNNNNNNNNNNNNNNNNNNNNNNNNNNNNNNNNNNNNNNNNNNNNNNNNNNNNNNNNNNNNNNNNNNNNNNNNNNNNNNNNNNNNNNNNNNNNNNNNNNNNNNNNNNNNNNNNNNNNNNNNNNNNNNNNNNNNNNNNNNNNNNNNNNNNNNNNNNNNNNNNNNNNNNNNNNNNNNNNNNNNNNNNNNNNNNNNNNNNNNNNNNNNNNNNNNNNNNNNNNNNNNNNNNNNNNNNNNNNNNNNNNNNNNNNNNNNNNNNNNNNNNNNNNNNNNNNNNNNNNNNNNNNNNNNNNNNNNNNNNNNNNNNNNNNNNNNNNNNNNNNNNNNNNNNNNNNNNNNNNNNNNNNNNNNNNNNNNNNNNNNNNNNNNNNNNNNNNNNNNNNNNNNNNNNNNNNNNNNNNNNNNNNNNNNNNNNNNNNNNNNNNNNNNNNNNNNNNNNNNNNNNNNNNNNNNNNNNNNNNNNNNNNNNNNNNNNNNNNNNNNNNNNNNNNNNNNNNNNNNNNNNNNNNNNNNNNNNNNNNNNNNNNNNNNNNNNNNNNNNNNNNNNNNNNNNNNNNNNNNNNNNNNNNNNNNNNNNNNNNNNNNNNNNNNNNNNNNNNNNNNNNNNNNNNNNNNNNNNNNNNNNNNNNNNNNNNNNNNNNNNNNNNNNNNNNNNNNNNNNNNNNNNNNNNNNNNNNNNNNNNNNNNNNNNNNNNNNNNNNNNNNNNNNNNNNNNNNNNNNNNNNNNNNNNNNNNNNNNNNNNNNNNNNNNNNNNNNNNNNNNNNNNNNNNNNNNNNNNNNNNNNNNNNNNNNNNNNNNNNNNNNNNNNNNNNNNNNNNNNNNNNNNNNNNNNNNNNNNNNNNNNNNNNNNNNNNNNNNNNNNNNNNNNNNNNNNNNNNNNNNNNNNNNNNNNNNNNNNNNNNNNNNNNNNNNNNNNNNNNNNNNNNNNNNNNNNNNNNNNNNNNNNNNNNNNNNNNNNNNNNNNNNNNNNNNNNNNNNNNNNNNNNNNNNNNNNNNNNNNNNNNNNNNNNNNNNNNNNNNNNNNNNNNNNNNNNNNNNNNNNNNNNNNNNNNNNNNNNNNNNNNNNNNNNNNNNNNNNNNNNNNNNNNNNNNNNNNNNNNNNNNNNNNNNNNNNNNNNNNNNNNNNNNNNNNNNNNNNNNNNNNNNNNNNNNNNNNNNNNNNNNNNNNNNNNNNNNNNNNNNNNNNNNNNNNNNNNNNNNNNNNNNNNNNNNNNNNNNNNNNNNNNNNNNNNNNNNNNNNNNNNNNNNNNNNNNNNNNNNNNNNNNNNNNNNNNNNNNNNNNNNNNNNNNNNNNNNNNNNNNNNNNNNNNNNNNNNNNNNNNNNNNNNNNNNNNNNNNNNNNNNNNNNNNNNNNNNNNNNNNNNNNNNNNNNNNNNNNNNNNNNNNNNNNNNNNNNNNNNNNNNNNNNNNNNNNNNNNNNNNNNNNNNNNNNNNNNNNNNNNNNNNNNNNNNNNNNNNNNNNNNNNNNNNNNNNNNNNNNNNNNNNNNNNNNNNNNNNNNNNNNNNNNNNNNNNNNNNNNNNNNNNNNNNNNNNNNNNNNNNNNNNNNNNNNNNNNNNNNNNNNNNNNNNNNNNNNNNNNNNNNNNNNNNNNNNNNNNNNNNNNNNNNNNNNNNNNNNNNNNNNNNNNNNNNNNNNNNNNNNNNNNNNNNNNNNNNNNNNNNNNNNNNNNNNNNNNNNNNNNNNNNNNNNNNNNNNNNNNNNNNNNNNNNNNNNNNNNNNNNNNNNNNNNNNNNNNNNNNNNNNNNNNNNNNNNNNNNNNNNNNNNNNNNNNNNNNNNNNNNNNNNNNNNNNNNNNNNNNNNNNNNNNNNNNNNNNNNNNNNNNNNNNNNNNNNNNNNNNNNNNNNNNNNNNNNNNNNNNNNNNNNNNNNNNNNNNNNNNNNNNNNNNNNNNNNNNNNNNNNNNNNNNNNNNNNNNNNNNNNNNNNNNNNNNNNNNNNNNNNNNNNNNNNNNNNNNNNNNNNNNNNNNNNNNNNNNNNNNNNNNNNNNNNNNNNNNNNNNNNNNNNNNNNNNNNNNNNNNNNNNNNNNNNNNNNNNNNNNNNNNNNNNNNNNNNNNNNNNNNNNNNNNNNNNNNNNNNNNNNNNNNNNNNNNNNNNNNNNNNNNNNNNNNNNNNNNNNNNNNNNNNNNNNNNNNNNNNNNNNNNNNNNNNNNNNNNNNNNNNNNNNNNNNNNNNNNNNNNNNNNNNNNNNNNNNNNNNNNNNNNNNNNNNNNNNNNNNNNNNNNNNNNNNNNNNNNNNNNNNNNNNNNNNNNNNNNNNNNNNNNNNNNNNNNNNNNNNNNNNNNNNNNNNNNNNNNNNNNNNNNNNNNNNNNNNNNNNNNNNNNNNNNNNNNNNNNNNNNNNNNNNNNNNNNNNNNNNNNNNNNNNNNNNNNNNNNNNNNNNNNNNNNNNNNNNNNNNNNNNNNNNNNNNNNNNNNNNNNNNNNNNNNNNNNNNNNNNNNNNNNNNNNNNNNNNNNNNNNNNNNNNNNNNNNNNNNNNNNNNNNNNNNNNNNNNNNNNNNNNNNNNNNNNNNNNNNNNNNNNNNNNNNNNNNNNNNNNNNNNNNNNNNNNNNNNNNNNNNNNNNNNNNNNNNNNNNNNNNNNNNNNNNNNNNNNNNNNNNNNNNNNNNNNNNNNNNNNNNNNNNNNNNNNNNNNNNNNNNNNNNNNNNNNNNNNNNNNNNNNNNNNNNNNNNNNNNNNNNNNNNNNNNNNNNNNNNNNNNNNNNNNNNNNNNNNNNNNNNNNNNNNNNNNNNNNNNNNNNNNNNNNNNNNNNNNNNNNNNNNNNNNNNNNNNNNNNNNNNNNNNNNNNNNNNNNNNNNNNNNNNNNNNNNNNNNNNNNNNNNNNNNNNNNNNNNNNNNNNNNNNNNNNNNNNNNNNNNNNNNNNNNNNNNNNNNNNNNNNNNNNNNNNNNNNNNNNNNNNNNNNNNNNNNNNNNNNNNNNNNNNNNNNNNNNNNNNNNNNNNNNNNNNNNNNNNNNNNNNNNNNNNNNNNNNNNNNNNNNNNNNNNNNNNNNNNNNNNNNNNNNNNNNNNNNNNNNNNNNNNNNNNNNNNNNNNNNNNNNNNNNNNNNNNNNNNNNNNNNNNNNNNNNNNNNNNNNNNNNNNNNNNNNNNNNNNNNNNNNNNNNNNNNNNNNNNNNNNNNNNNNNNNNNNNNNNNNNNNNNNNNNNNNNNNNNNNNNNNNNNNNNNNNNNNNNNNNNNNNNNNNNNNNNNNNNNNNNNNNNNNNNNNNNNNNNNNNNNNNNNNNNNNNNNNNNNNNNNNNNNNNNNNNNNNNNNNNNNNNNNNNNNNNNNNNNNNNNNNNNNNNNNNNNNNNNNNNNNNNNNNNNNNNNNNNNNNNNNNNNNNNNNNNNNNNNNNNNNNNNNNNNNNNNNNNNNNNNNNNNNNNNNNNNNNNNNNNNNNNNNNNNNNNNNNNNNNNNNNNNNNNNNNNNNNNNNNNNNNNNNNNNNNNNNNNNNNNNNNNNNNNNNNNNNNNNNNNNNNNNNNNNNNNNNNNNNNNNNNNNNNNNNNNNNNNNNNNNNNNNNNNNNNNNNNNNNNNNNNNNNNNNNNNNNNNNNNNNNNNNNNNNNNNNNNNNNNNNNNNNNNNNNNNNNNNNNNNNNNNNNNNNNNNNNNNNNNNNNNNNNNNNNNNNNNNNNNNNNNNNNNNNNNNNNNNNNNNNNNNNNNNNNNNNNNNNNNNNNNNNNNNNNNNNNNNNNNNNNNNNNNNNNNNNNNNNNNNNNNNNNNNNNNNNNNNNNNNNNNNNNNNNNNNNNNNNNNNNNNNNNNNNNNNNNNNNNNNNNNNNNNNNNNNNNNNNNNNNNNNNNNNNNNNNNNNNNNNNNNNNNNNNNNNNNNNNNNNNNNNNNNNNNNNNNNNNNNNNNNNNNNNNNNNNNNNNNNNNNNNNNNNNNNNNNNNNNNNNNNNNNNNNNNNNNNNNNNNNNNNNNNNNNNNNNNNNNNNNNNNNNNNNNNNNNNNNNNNNNNNNNNNNNNNNNNNNNNNNNNNNNNNNNNNNNNNNNNNNNNNNNNNNNNNNNNNNNNNNNNNNNNNNNNNNNNNNNNNNNNNNNNNNNNNNNNNNNNNNNNNNNNNNNNNNNNNNNNNNNNNNNNNNNNNNNNNNNNNNNNNNNNNNNNNNNNNNNNNNNNNNNNNNNNNNNNNNNNNNNNNNNNNNNNNNNNNNNNNNNNNNNNNNNNNNNNNNNNNNNNNNNNNNNNNNNNNNNNNNNNNNNNNNNNNNNNNNNNNNNNNNNNNNNNNNNNNNNNNNNNNNNNNNNNNNNNNNNNNNNNNNNNNNNNNNNNNNNNNNNNNNNNNNNNNNNNNNNNNNNNNNNNNNNNNNNNNNNNNNNNNNNNNNNNNNNNNNNNNNNNNNNNNNNNNNNNNNNNNNNNNNNNNNNNNNNNNNNNNNNNNNNNNNNNNNNNNNNNNNNNNNNNNNNNNNNNNNNNNNNNNNNNNNNNNNNNNNNNNNNNNNNNNNNNNNNNNNNNNNNNNNNNNNNNNNNNNNNNNNNNNNNNNNNNNNNNNNNNNNNNNNNNNNNNNNNNNNNNNNNNNNNNNNNNNNNNNNNNNNNNNNNNNNNNNNNNNNNNNNNNNNNNNNNNNNNNNNNNNNNNNNNNNNNNNNNNNNNNNNNNNNNNNNNNNNNNNNNNNNNNNNNNNNNNNNNNNNNNNNNNNNNNNNNNNNNNNNNNNNNNNNNNNNNNNNNNNNNNNNNNNNNNNNNNNNNNNNNNNNNNNNNNNNNNNNNNNNNNNNNNNNNNNNNNNNNNNNNNNNNNNNNNNNNNNNNNNNNNNNNNNNNNNNNNNNNNNNNNNNNNNNNNNNNNNNNNNNNNNNNNNNNNNNNNNNNNNNNNNNNNNNNNNNNNNNNNNNNNNNNNNNNNNNNNNNNNNNNNNNNNNNNNNNNNNNNNNNNNNNNNNNNNNNNNNNNNNNNNNNNNNNNNNNNNNNNNNNNNNNNNNNNNNNNNNNNNNNNNNNNNNNNNNNNNNNNNNNNNNNNNNNNNNNNNNNNNNNNNNNNNNNNNNNNNNNNNNNNNNNNNNNNNNNNNNNNNNNNNNNNNNNNNNNNNNNNNNNNNNNNNNNNNNNNNNNNNNNNNNNNNNNNNNNNNNNNNNNNNNNNNNNNNNNNNNNNNNNNNNNNNNNNNNNNNNNNNNNNNNNNNNNNNNNNNNNNNNNNNNNNNNNNNNNNNNNNNNNNNNNNNNNNNNNNNNNNNNNNNNNNNNNNNNNNNNNNNNNNNNNNNNNNNNNNNNNNNNNNNNNNNNNNNNNNNNNNNNNNNNNNNNNNNNNNNNNNNNNNNNNNNNNNNNNNNNNNNNNNNNNNNNNNNNNNNNNNNNNNNNNNNNNNNNNNNNNNNNNNNNNNNNNNNNNNNNNNNNNNNNNNNNNNNNNNNNNNNNNNNNNNNNNNNNNNNNNNNNNNNNNNNNNNNNNNNNNNNNNNNNNNNNNNNNNNNNNNNNNNNNNNNNNNNNNNNNNNNNNNNNNNNNNNNNNNNNNNNNNNNNNNNNNNNNNNNNNNNNNNNNNNNNNNNNNNNNNNNNNNNNNNNNNNNNNNNNNNNNNNNNNNNNNNNNNNNNNNNNNNNNNNNNNNNNNNNNNNNNNNNNNNNNNNNNNNNNNNNNNNNNNNNNNNNNNNNNNNNNNNNNNNNNNNNNNNNNNNNNNNNNNNNNNNNNNNNNNNNNNNNNNNNNNNNNNNNNNNNNNNNNNNNNNNNNNNNNNNNNNNNNNNNNNNNNNNNNNNNNNNNNNNNNNNNNNNNNNNNNNNNNNAAUAAUGGUUUGUAAUAAGAACAAGACAAUAUAUAUAUGAUGGGCUUUGUUUAUGAAUGUUAUUAAAUGUUUUCGUAUUUUUGUGGGUGUUGAUAUGCAUGUUGAUAUAAUAUUCAAUGGUUAUCUUCCAAGUUGUAUAAUGUGUACAGAAUUCUCUAUGGGUAUUCAAUGGUCAUUCUUUGUGGAUUUCUUUUUGAUCCCACGACAAACAUGGUUAUUUUUGAUGAUGUUGCAUGGAAUGAUGUCAUUGAAACAAAGCGGUGGGUGGCAAGCAUGCGGACCAAAUGUUACUAUAUCUUCAAUAAUUGUCUGUUUUAUAUAUCUUCGGAUGAUGUUCGAAGAAUGAACCCCCAACUUCAUCUAUGUAAUCAACUUUUUAUAUCGUUUUAUAUAAUGACACCAUUUUGAAUUAAAUAUAUGUUAUCUAACUUCAUUUAUGUAAUGAUCCCUUUUUUAAUUAAUUAUAUGUUAUGAAAUUUGUUAUCUAACCACAUGCAUGUAAUGACCCCCUUUUUAAUUAAAAAUACGACAAUGACAACCCCCACCCCCAACCACACAACACACCAACUUUAUUUCUAUGUAUGUAAUGUCCCACUUUUCAAUUAAUAAUUGUAUAUCUAUUUCACCUUUGUUAUAAUAGCAUUUGACAACACAUAACAUUAUUUUAAUUUAUAAUGUAGACAAUGGAACAAGGUGGCCCAAGCAACACCAACGACUACUAUGUUUUAAAACCAUGGAACGUUGGUAAAAACGGGAAGGGUUCGUGGAGGAUGGUAAGUACUUUACCAUUAUUUUUUUAAUAUAUGACAUGGGACCACAUGUUGUGCUUUUGCAUUAUUAUCAUGGCCCACAUAUUGAAGUCAUUGUUGUGAUGGCCAUACAGUAUUCUACUUUUGAUGGACUAUUCUUGUUUUAAUGGACCAUACAGUAUGUAUAACAAAAAAUUCAUUCUAGACGACAUGUUUUGAUGGACUUCACAGUAUUUGUUUGUAAUAAUGGUAUUUAUGUUCAUGUAAUGCAACACGUUGUCGACAAUGAAAAAUACAUGUUUGUUAAUUACAUGCAGCCGAUUCCGGCAGUUCUCACCAGUGGCCUUCGACAAGACCAACCGGUCGUGUUGGUUGUUGGGUUGCGGCGGUACAACGACUUGGAGAUUAAUGUGGACGGGUAUGGUCACUUUGCUUUGAAGACUGCAGGAUGGAGAGCUGUAGUUGAAGGGGAGCAUUUGGACGUGGGCGACCGGGUGUUGCUGAGGAUUCAACAUCUCGGUAAGGGGAGACACUCUGGUGUUACCCUUGACAUGCUUGUGAGGAGGAAACAAGCUUCCAGGCAGCAACGAACUUCAUCAGCAACACCCAGGUCUUCAGCAGCAGCAGCAGCAGGUCCCUCAUCAGCACCACCCAGGUCUUCAGCAGCAGUAGCAGCAGGUCCCUCAUCAGCACCACCUGCACCUCCAGCCUCUUCAGAUUCAGACUCCUCUGAUUCAGACUCUUCAGAUUCAGACUCCUCUGAUUCAGACUCUUCAGAUUCAGACUCCUCCUCUACCGGUGGUGGUCUCUCAGCUCAGGCAUCAGCCAAUACCGAUGAGAACGUCUUUAUGGAUGUGAAUGGCAACUUUAUCGACUACGACGACAGUGACUAUGAGCCAGUUGAGACACAGGUAGCAAGGACUGCAUCCGAUCCAAUCAUUAUUUCGGAUUCGGACUGAAGAUGUGAGGGUAGGAAGUCGUUUCAUGACUUUGACAAUUUGGUCACUACUUUAACUUGAAACUGUUUGUGUGUAUUGAUAUUUUUAGGAUUCUAUAGUCUAGGUGGAUUUUUUUUUGAAGUAUGGAUAAUAUGAUAGAUUAUAACAGGUUAUGACAGGUUGUUUAUUAAUAUAGAUAUAUUAUGAUAAUUUCGUCACUACUGAAAUUUAUGUUGCUUGUUAUAACAGUUAUUACGUUUGAUACUUGUUCAGGUAUAUUAUGACAUAUUAUGACUGCCCAUGUUAAGGUAUAUUGUGAAUGUUUAAGAGGUGUAUUAUGGUUGCCCAUGUUUACAAGGGAUAUUUUUCAAUUUUAUCAUGCUAAAAUUGUUUUAAAAUGUAGACAAUGUGAUAAAUAUUGUAAGAGCUAUGAUUGUUUUAGAAAAAAAUAAAACAACAUGUAUGGAAGUUUGCAAUUGUUUAUUGAACAAUUCUGUUUAAUGUAAUAUGGAUUGUUCGUUUCAACAAAAUAUUGGACAAUUCUUUUUAAUGAUAUAUCUGUUGGGUUUUUCUGUGAAAAUAGGACGGAGGGAAGUUUUUGUUCAGGAACGUACGUACGCAUAGGGCGUUCGUACGUUCAGCAUCACAGAUAACGUUUUGGAUCAUGGAACGUACGUACGUAGUUAGGGCGUACGUACGUUGCGUGUCACAGAUGACUUACCCGUGUGGCUCGACGCAUAGUACAAAAUAUCGAUAUCAACUAAUGUAUCGAUCUCUAAAAAAUAGAUAUAUCAAAUAUAUCGACUAAUAUAUCAAUUUGUUAUACAAAAUAUAUAUAAAAUCAAAUUUGGAAGUAUAUUAUCAUAGUAUUUACCUAAAAAACAUCAUAUCUACUUAAAAUGGAAUAAACAAAUUAUUUCCAAAAAAAAAAAUUUGCAAAAAAAUAAUAUUUCCAAAAAAUAUCGGCAAAUAUCAGUGUUUGUCGGAAAUAUCGGAAAAUAUCGGCCGAUAUUUUACAGAAACUUUAUAGAGUAAUUAUCAGGAAUGUAUCGUAUCGGUUUUGCUGGAAAACGAUAUAUAUCGCGAUAUUUCGAGAAAUAUCGCGAUAUUUUGUACUAUGGCUCGACGUACGAACGUCAAUUCGACGUUCGUACGUCCUUCUUUGUUUUUGUGAAUAUGGGCCUGUUCAAGCCCAUUUCGUGUUUGAUUGUAAGACUAUGAUAUAAAGCCAAUGAGAAGGUUGGAAAACCUAAUCUUCAUGUGAGAGAAAUUGUGAGAAGCCAUUAGAGAGUUUGAGAGAGAGCUUUUGUGAGGAAGAACACUUUGGUUUCUUCGUGAGGGCUUGUAUAAUCGUCUCUAUAAGGAAGAUUGUUGUUUGUCCGUGGACGUAGGCAAUAUUAGCCGAACCCCGUAAAUCUUGUGUUUUGUGUGAGUUUAUUUUGUUUUUGUUUGAUUCAUACACUAUUUCAAUCUUGGGUAUUUGUGCAUAAGUUUCCGCUGCGCACAACAAUAUCUUGGUCACAUAUUCACUUUCUACAAAUUAUAUCUUUACUUUCAUAAAAAAUAAUUUAUCAAAUAAAAAUCAAAUAAUAAUAAUAAACAAAAAAUAAGACAUUUGUUGAAGUGGAUAAUAUAUUAACUAUCUUUAUUAUCAAAUACUAAAAAUGAGACACUUGUUCAAUAUUUUUAUUAUCGAAAAAUUAAAUAUUAAUACAUUUGUUGAGGUGUGGAUAAUAUAGAUUUGUAAUGACCCAUAUCAAAUUCAAAGAGUCCAUGGACCAUAGUUAUACUUCAUAUGUUACAAGAAUAGCCCUUUAUCAUAUUUGGGCCGGAGCCCAAUAUGGAUGGAUAAUGCCCAUAUCACAAUCAAAGAGUCCAUGGCCCAUAGUUAUUUGUGAUUCACCAGGUAUGCAAAAAGUUAUCAAACACCGGUUAAUUCGGCAAAUUCUGUUACCUAAUAUUUACCCAAGUUGUUAACAAACACAGGUGAAUUCGGCAAAUUAAUUUCAACCUGGUUGACCAUUCUAAUCCUCCCAUUUACCCGGUUGACCAAAUUUACCGGUAAAUUCUCCCAUUUUAUUCACCGGUUAUCAAACAGGCCCUAAGUUCAACAGGUACACGUGGCAAAAUCUGGUGAGGAGGUAAGCCUGAAGCGUCACCUCUGCAGUAACGCUAGCAUUUCUCGAAAAUAAAUGAUUACAAGGGACAGUGAAAUUUAUCUAUCUAAUUAUUAUCAAAAUGCACAUAUUUUAUUCCCAACAAGAGUAGAAAAUCCUUGCUUGAUAUGAGCAGAUGAGCUGAGUGUGUUACGCGUGGACAGACAACCGUAAUGUAAUUACAGAUUGCUAACUGAAAGCAGAGGCUACUGCUGCUAAUAAAGAUGAUUUUUUUUUUUUUUUUUGGGUGAAGAUAUAAGUUUUUUUUUGCCAAUGUUAGCCCAAUAUUACACGCGUUGCCGUUGCCAUUCCCUCGCCAGAACAUCUUCUUCUUCCUGAUCCAAAUGGAAGAAACUUAAAUCCAUCAUUUACACCUUCAAACCUUUUUGGAUUAUAUUUUAUGGAAUCUAACCAUACAUUUGGAUCCCUAUGCACGGCCCAAAAGUUCAUCAAUAGCAUGGUGUUAAAACUAAGGCUCAUGAAAGGGUUUUUUUAGACUUAACCCAUCUUAUAAAUGGAGAAUUUCGCCUUCACCAUGCUCAAUUUAUUAUUAUUUCUUUUGACAGGUUUGAGUCGCAAGUACAGUUCCGAAGGAACUCUGAAAUAUGGAGUUCAGAAGUUGUUAUGAUGUCUGGCAAAUUAAGAUGAAAAGCUACAAUGGUGUGAUCAUUGUGUUGGAAACGUUUGGCUAAAACUGUCACAAUUUUGACAGUUUUCUGAUAAGAUUUUUAUGAACACAUUUAAUUAUGUUUCACAUCUCGGAUGCGCGAGAUCUUGAUACGUGUGGAUUCCUCUUUCUGAGUAGAUGCUCGUAGUGUAUCCACAAAAAUAUUUUUCAUUUGAAUGAGAAAUUAACGUUUCAAGUUACCCCUCAUGUGGUAAAGCUUGAGAAAUAGCAAGGAAAUAUUGAUAGUCCCCACAUUUGACCCAUGUAGAUAAGUAUUAUUCCUAAUAGACUACAAUUAGACCAUAUGGGGUGUGGCCCUUUGAGUUACAAUGUUUUCCUGCAAAAUGUGCAACCCUUACAUAUGUUUGGGCAUAAAACACACACAUGCACGCCCCGUCCAUCUGAUCGACCGUGCUUGGGUUCUUUGUGAUCUAAUAAUAUAAUCUUUUUAUGAAAAUGUCCAAUGACUUUUCAGUCCCAAUAAGUGCGCGCCCAUACGCAAUCGGUUUCAGAUUGUUCGGCCCAAAAGGUGACUUUCCCAACAGUUACAUACCUUUUCCGAAAAGGUGCUUUCCUGGUAUAAAUAGGUGGUCUGUGUCUGCAUUUUUCAUUCAUUCAAUUUAUAGUCCUUCAUCUCAUUGCGUCUGUGCCCUUGAGAGAGUAUAAUAAUGUUCUGCUUCGCCAUCUUCAAGGUGCUUGAACUUUAAAGUGCUCCUACACUGUGAAUGUACGAUCAUUGUAUUCUGGGAGACAGUUCGCCAUUAACCUUAUAGAACCUGAUUGGGGCGAAUAAUGUCUUAAGGACAGAGAUUUAUCUCGACUCGAUCUUUAAUCUUGUACUUUACAUACAUAAUCUGGUUUGCAUAUUCUGUUUACUUUGGUUUUAUUCAUGAAUAGUAUCAUAUCUCUAUUUCUUGCCUAACACAUUGAAGGGGAUACUUGGGGUAGUGAUGGAGUAUCUUCAGAGUAAGGUUUAUAAUGUGGUAUGGAUUGGUUGUUUGCUAUUUCUGAACAAUUUUAGACUGUCCCCUACUACUGUUAAUGUUAAGCAUGCCAUAAACUUGAACAAUGUGCUAGUAGAUGUGGGUGGAUGAACCACCUCCUUCCUGGUCUCCCAUUACUAGUUUACUGUGUUUAUUACUGUAUGAGUUCAUGAAAGAAACUGGGUUGGCGUCACACUGUCCAUUUUUCACAAGUAGCAAGUUAAUUUUCCUCUAAACUUAAUACUGGAAUUGGGCCAUUCACAUCAUUUUGUGGACUUGAUCUAUAAUUAGCACCAAACUUGCUGCAUAUACAUUGAGCAUGCUUGUUAGAGCUGGUUUGGAAGACAAUCAGUAAACAAUUCGAAGUGAAAUUAUAGAUGAGUUGUUUGCACACUAAGAAAGCUGAACACUUGUGCACCUGUAACUCUGGAUAUAGGUUCGAUGAAGACCUUUCUGUCUUUUUAAAGCUAAAAUAAUGUAUAAGUCUACAUGGUUUUUAUCUGGAAUAUAUAUACAACUCCUUAAUGAAUUGUUGAACUUUUCACUUUUGUCAGUAGAUCCCAGCAAUACCAAAGGAGAAACAAGCUCCAAACUACGCAAACUUGCAACUGUUCUGUUCGAGUCUAAUCUCUCGAUUAAGUUAGUAUUCUGCAUCACUUCAUUGACCCUCAAGCCUUCCAGAUUCCAGAAUAGCCCUGCAGGCUGCAGCUCUUGGUGAAUCAAAGACUUGACCUGUGAAUCUGUGCUUGGGAGUUUUAUUGUGGUUUUUUUAUCUCUAUAUCUUCACGACUUUAGGGGUGUUAAACGAGCCGAACGAGCCGAGCCCAAAUUUUAUACGAGGUUAAUUUUAUGUUCAAGCUCGGCUCGUUUAGCUAUACGAACGAGCUCGAGCCGAGCUUUUAAUGAGUCGAGCCCGAGCCGAGCUCGAGCUACUCCAUUAAAUUAUAAAUAAAAGUAGGAUUUUAUCUAAACGAGCCGAGCUUUGGUAUGUUCAAGCUCGGUUCCUUUAUAAACGAGCCGAGCCCAAAUUUUACACAAGCUUUAUUUGAUAUUCAAACUCGGCUCGUUUAGCUAUACGAAUGAGCUCGAGUCGAGCUUUUAAUGAGUCAAGCCCGAGCCGAGCUCGAGCUGUUCGGUUCGUUUAACAGCCCUACUUCACGUAUGUAAUGUUACAAUUAUCUUAGACUCAAGCAUAGCAUAACCAUGAAUGCCUACAAUGCUAUAAAAAAAAAAAAAAAAAAAAAAACACGAACAAACAUUGAGGUCAUUCUAUCCGUUCGUGUUCUUUCACUGAAAACUAGUGGGAUACUGCAAUGCUUAAAUGUUGUUCGUGUUCUUUCACGGAAUUGAAGAAAAAACAAACCUGUGAAUUUGUUCCUGUUCUUUCACCAAAAUCUCAAUUAAGUUUUGGGACAUUCUAUCUAGCUAGUUAUUGUUAUGGAUUGUCGGACAUUCUAUAUAAGAACACCUUUGCCUCAGGGCAGGAACAGGUCGUAAGGAAAAGUUAGAAAAUUAUUGGUGAAUAUCUAGGUUGCGGGUUGUUGACGUUGUUGGGAUUUAAUUAAUCACUACAUAUAGUUCAACAAAUAGUAUCAGAGCCCACGGUUGAUUGGGCGGGCUUGCAUGGGCCGGGAUUUGGUCGAAGGUGGAGAUUGUUAGGUGUGUCGAUCAAAUAGUCGCACAUCCGAGCCAUAGUAGAUCUCUAAGGGGUGUAUAAGUAAUGGUCUGGUAUCCACUAUUGUCGAGGCCUUUUGGGUAAGUGAAACGCAUAAGGAAAAACCCCACACCAUGGAUAUGGCCUUGGGUCUAGUGGUGACUAAGGUGGGGACAAUAUCGACGGAAUAGUGGUGGACCAUGGGCCCAACAAAUGGUAUGAGAGGUUAGGUUGAAAUUAAGGUUUUGUCAAAGAUGACAGUGACUACAGGUGUUCCUGCGAAUAGUGACGGUAAGAAACCAUCGGUUACUACUCUUGGCGGCGGUGUAAAAGUUGAGAUUAAACCGUUUGACGGUAGAUAUAACUUUACACUAUGGCAAAGGAAGAUGAGAAACGUUUUGAUCCAACAAGAUCUUCAUGUGGUUCUUGACGGGAAAGACAAGAAACCAAAGGACAUGUCAGAUAACGAGUGGAGCAAAACAGAUCUCAAAGCCAUGAGUUCCAUUGAACUACAUAUCUUGGACGAGGUGAUGUUUAAUGUGAUGGAAGAAACUAACGCCAAAAGAACAUGGGAAAAGCUUGAGAAGUUGUAUAUGGGUAAGUCUUUAUCCAAUAAACUUUUCUUAAAGGAUGACCUUUUGAAUCUUCGGAUGGAAGAAGGUGGUGAUCUUAUGGAACAUCUAAACGUGUUCGAUAAGUACAUCACAAAUUUGCUACGGGAGGAUGUGAAGUAUGACGAUGAAGACAAGUCUCUGUACCUGCUCAGAUAUUUGCCUUCAUCUUACAAGCACUUUAGGACCACAUUGAUGUUCGACAAGGAUAUUUUAAAGUAUGAUGAAGUUGUUCAAGAUAUAAUCUCUCAUGUGAAGAUGAAUAAGAACACAGGUGAAGACUUUCAAACAGAAGGACUAUAUGUCAAGAAUUCUAAUGAGAGAUGCUGAAAGAAUAAGAGAAGUAGUAAAUCAAAAGACAGGGGCAGAUCUAAAGACAGGGAUAAAGAAGGUUGCUUUGAAUGUGGUGCGACAGACCACUGGAAACGAGAUUGUAAGAAAUAUAAGGAAAUGAAGAAGAAGGCCGAAAAUUAAAAUUCAACCAGCGUUGUUACAGAUGAUAGCGACGGAGAAAUUUUAGCGACUUCUUCAGGUAAUGAUAUAUAUUUCUUCGCAUUAGAUUUUAGAUUAUGGUGUUUUAUAUCAUAUAUGUUCAAACGAAGACUAGUUUUACACGUUUGAGAAAAGAAAAGGCGACAUAGUUUUUAUGGGGAAUGAUUCCAGUUAUAAAGUUUGUGGAAUCGGUAUGGUAAAGUUGAAGCUGCAUGAUGGAAUUGUUAGGACUCUAGGUAACGUGAGAUACGUUCCUGCACUAAGGAAGAAUCUCAUUUCUCUGGGUUAUUUGGAUAAGAAUGGGUACACAUACAAAUCCAAAUAUGGGAAUCUCGUAGUCUCAAAGGGUUCACUAGCUUGUGGUUAUGAGAGGAGUAAGACUUUCUAAUAAUUUAUACAAGCUUUUGGGAAAUACAGUAAUUGCUGGAGCUGCAAUUUCUACACAAGAAUAUCGCACUCAACUUUGGCACUUGAGUGAAAGACCCAUGGAAGAACUACACAAACAACAAUUGUUGAAGGGUGAGUAUAAACUUGAGUUUUGCAAGUUUUGUAUUAUGGGAAAACAAACUAAAGUACUCUUCAAAACUGUAGAUACAAAGAAAAGAAGUACAUAAGAACUUAACUAUAUUUACUCAGAUGUGUGGGGGCCUUCACCUACUCAAUCAAAAGAUGGAGCUCGCUACUUUGUCACUUUCAUGGAUGAUUUUUCGAGGAAAGUUUGGGUCUACUUCAUAAACGAGAAAUCCGAAGUUUUCACUAAAUUCAAGGAGCGGAAGACAGAGGUAGAGAAUCAAACAGGCAGAAAAAUCAAGUAUCUAAGAACUGACAAUGGCGGUGAAUAUAAGGAUAUGAAGUUUCUACAGUACUACAAGUAUUACAAGGCAUUUUAUCGUGAAGAAGAAUCCCUAACAGAAUGGAGCUGCAGAAAGGAUGAAUAGAACGCUUAUGAAUAAAGAGAGGUGCAUGAGGUUUCAUGCAGGUCUGCCAGAGAUGUUUUGGGCAGAGUCGUUUAACCAUGCUUGUCACUUGGUUAAUCGUUCACCAUCUAAGAUGCUUGAUUUCAGAUGUGCAGAAGAGAUAUAGUCAGGUAAACCGGUAGACUACUCUACUUUGAAGAUAUUUGGAUGUAGUGCAUAUGCUCUUAUUCCUAGUGAUGAGAGAACCAAACUUAAACUCAAAUCUCGUGAAUGCAUUUUCAUCGGCUUCGAGAAGAUAGUCAAAGGUUAUAAGUUAUGGGAUCCAGUGAACCGAAAGAAAAUCCUUAGUAGAGAUAUUGUGUUUGAUGAGAAGACUAUGCCUAUGAAUCAAGACAUGAAGAAUGGUGAGAAAAAUACUAUUGGUGAGAAAGCAACUACAGAGAUAUCUCCUCUAACCAAGGUAUCCAACAAGGAGACUUCUAUUCAGGUGGAGGAGUCAAAUGUAUGGGUUGAAGAGGAUGGGCCAGAGCAACAACAGUGUGAAAAGGAGGUUGAAUCUAAUAAUGAUAAGCAACAACCUUACAGCAUAGCAAAGAACCGGGACCAAAGACAAGUCAAAAUACCUAUUAGACUUGGGUUCGAGGAAGAUGUUCAUUAUGCUUUAAGCAUUAAUGAAGGUGAUCCUACAUCUUAUCGUGAAGUAGUUGAAAGUAACGAAAGAGAAGAGUGGAUUGAAGCUAUGGCUGAAGAGAUAUAAUCUCUAUACAAGAACUCCGUUUGGGAGUUGGUUACUAAACCCGCAGAAAGAAAAAUUGUUGGCUGUAAGUGGGUUUACACGAAGAAGGAAGGAAUACAUGAGAAAGAACCACCAAAGUUCAAAACACAUUUGGUGGCGAAGAGUUACUCACAGAAGGAAGGAGUUGAUUAUGAUGAAAUUUUCUCUCCGGUAGUGAAACAUAAUUCUAUAAGAGUGUUACUAUCACUAGUUGCUCAACAAGAUAUGGAUCUUGAGCAGUUAGAUGUCAAAACUGCUUUUCUCCAUGGUGAAUUAGAGGAAGUCAUCUACAUGGAAGUCAUCUAGUUUGUAGGUUGAAAAAGUCUCUUUAUGGGCUCAAACAAUCUUCAAGGCAAUGGUACAAACGCUUCAACUCUUAUAUGUUGAACAUUGGGUAUAGAAGAUGUGACUAUGAUUGAUGUGUGUACACUCAUGUGUUCGAUGAUGGGAUGGUGAUCCUAUUGCUACUUUAUGUAGAUGACAUGUUUAUUGCUUGUCGGGAUAUGUCUAGAAUUAAGGAGCUGAAGACGUUAUUAAACAAGGAAUUCGACAAGAAGGAUCUUGGUUCUGCAGAGAAGAUCCUAGGUAUGGAGAUAAGGAAAGACAGAAAAAUGGGAAAGUUAUGGCUGUCACAAGUCAAGUACAUUCAAAAGGUACUUGAGCGCUUCAAUAUGAUUGAUGCAGAUCACGUGUCAACUCUUUUGAACAAUAAUUUUAUUUUAAACAAAAGUCAAUGUCCUUCUACAGAUGUUGAAGUGGAAGAGAUGAAGAAGAAGCUGUAUGCAAAUGCAGUAGGGUGUCUCAUGUACUCAAUGGUAUGCACAAGAUUUGAUUCAGCUCAAGCACUAAGUGUAGUAUCGAGAUACAUGGCGGAUCCGGGAAAGCCACACUGGAAACUGUGACGUUGAUUCUCAAGUAUCUAAAAGGCACUAAGACAUUGGGUAUCUUGUUUGAAAGACAACAAGGGAAAACAUAUGUUUCGGGUUAUGUGGAUGCGAAUUAUGCAGGAGAUUUAGAUAAGCGAAGAUCCACCAUAGGGUACGUGUCACGACCCUAAUAUCCAAAAAUUGGCAAAAAGAGAGAAUUUACAAAAUUACCCUCAAUAAGCCAAUAAAAGGACAAAGGAUCGGGACAGUAAUCUAAAUAAACAUUUUGCACAAGGUAAAAUCCAUAACCAUUAAACACAAAUACUUCAACACACAUAAUUUGAACUCCCAAUAAAUUCCAUAUAAAAUCCAAAAACUCCAAAUAUUGAAUUACACAACUCCAAUAAUAAAAUUCAACAGCUUCUACUGAGGUAUUGUCUUCCCCAUCAAUAAUAAUCCAAUAAAUGAAAUAAUGAACUUGAGUAAUCAGCUAACGACAAAUCAAAUGACUAAACCUACUCUGAAAUGGUAACUCCUGCAAAAUCUCAAACUCCCUCUCGAACAACUGGAUCUACACGAGCUUCCUGGUGUUGCUCCCGAUCGUACUCAACUGGCUGCUCUCCUCCGCCUACGCUCCAUAAGGAUACGUACCCACGUGCAAAACAAGCAACAUGGGUCAGCAAAUUAUGCUGGUAUGAGUGGACAAGGGUAGGGAACUCCAGUCCCAAAAACAAUAAAAUAACAGACUCCGCGGUCUUUAUAUAUAUAUCUCGUUUACUAAAUAAAUAUUAUAUAUUAUAAUAAUACAUUACCUGAGCUGCACCUCCUAUUAGGAUAGGUCGAGCCCUGCAAGAAAUGUUAAUUGACCUAUCCUCCUGCAAAACUGUGUUAGUACAAUAAUAUAUAAUUCAUGGCAUCUCAAGUCUCGUCACUAUAUCUCAAUCACUACAAAUCAAUCAUUACACACAAACAACACUUCACAACCUAUACCCAAUCACUAGUACACCUCCCACAGGAUGCACUCCACACAUUUGCCAUACCCACACUGCACCAGUGUGCCUUGACCAUGGUUAAGACCCUCUACGCGGAAACCAAAACCCAAGUGGGUGCUCACCUGCAAGCUUUGGCUAGCCUCGACAUAUGCCUAACUCAUGGCUUCUACUAGCUCCCUUGAGCUUUCUAAUGUGGCGCCCAGACCAACCCCGAAGGCUAUGAAGGUCUGUAGGGUCAGUUCCGCAGGCUAAGCCGUCUAGGAAAUACCCAAUAAAAAUAUAUUCCAAGUGUCAACCCGCAGGCUAAGCCGUCUAGGGUGAUAUCUAAUUUUCUUAAUUCUAAUUCCAUAGGUGCGGCAAAUGUACUAAUGUUUGGGCGACUACAACAACUAAAACUAACAAGCAACACUCGACACGACAAUUUAACAUCAACUUCACAUCAAAUCCAUUUUUGUAUUCCUUUCGCAUUUUCUAGAUUAAUCAAAUACCGUCCAUGGUAUAUAAAGCCAUUCCGAGGCAUUCCAUAAUAAAAGUUCUCAAGUUUAAAAUUUAUCAAUCAUAUCUUAAUUCUUUUCAAUAUCUCUUCAUUAUAAAUUGUCAUAAUAAAUCAUCCAAAUCUAAUGGACACUUCAAAGUAAGAAAUUAAAAGGACUCGGUGUCGCAGAAAAUUUAAAACUAUAGAUAGCUAUAUUCCAAAAUAUCCCAAUCAUAUGAUAACAUUUCAAAUAUCAUGGAAGGCUAGUAGUUGCAGUAAAUACACAUAUACCAGACAAUCAACAGUUAAAACAAAAACUCGGCAACACGGCAAAGAGUGUACAGUACUCAUGCAUAAUGAAAAAUCAUAACUUAGUUAUCUAAUUGAUUUGUCAGAACAUGGUUUUCUAGUACAAAACUAGUGUCCUCUCAAUUUACAGUGCAACAUCAUGAAACGAAUUCUUUAUUUUUUUGAAAUACUACCCACUCAUGUACAUGCUACCAAAAUGACCACUUAAAUCUUAAUUAGGUGUGAAAGAAACCAUCAUUAUAACUUAAUUCAUAAGAUAUAAAAUACCAUCUCUGUUUAAUCUUUGUAAACAAUAUAUGCAUUCACAUGUACCAAGAACUUAAAUAAAUAAACACUAAAUGGAAACAGAUGAAUUAGAAAUGAAUCAUAGUGAGAUAGGCCACUCACAGUUAUACCCCACGUCUGAAAUCAAAAAAAACAACAGCAAACAUAUCUUACACCAUCACUAACAGAAGUCAAACUCAUAGUUUAAUUAAAUUAAGCUAAGCUAAUAAAAUAUCAUCCACUCACAGUUACUGUUCUACUGUUGAUCUUCUUCUCAUGUACUCAAUGGUAUGCACAAGAUUUGAUUCAGCUCAAGCACUAAGUGUAGUAUCGAGAUACAUGGCGGAUCCGGGAAAGCCACACUGGAAACUGUGACGUUGAUUCUCAAGUAUCUAAAAGGCACUAAGACAUUGGGUAUCUUGUUUGAAAGACAACAAGGGAAAACAUAUGUUUCGGGUUAUGUGGAUGCGAAUUAUGCAGGAGAUUUAGAUAAGCGAAGAUCCACCAUAGGGUACGUCUUCACUUAUCGUGGAAGACCGACUAGUUGGAGAUCAAUGCUCCAAACGAUUACUACUUUAUAUACUACUGAGGCGGAGUUUAUGGCGGUAACAGAAGCUUGUAAGGAAGCUAUUUGACUGAGGAUUAGUAAGCACGUUCGGGUUAGAUCAAAGUUCUAUGAUAAUAAGAUGUGACACUCAUUGUGAUAUUUGUCUUGCGAAGAAUCAAAUGUUUCAUGCAGAACGAAACAUAUUGAUAUUCGCUAUCAUCGGAUUCGGAUAGUGGACUCUGGUGAAAUUACAGUUGAGAAGGUNNNNNNNNNNNNNNNNNNNNNNNNNNNNNNNNNNNNNNNNNNNNNNNNNNNNNNNNNNNNNNNNNNNNNNNNNNNNNNNNNNNNNNNNNNNNNNNNNNNNCAUGCUAAAGAUUGGGUGGUACACCUCCUCACUUGAGGUGAGUUGAGGCAAGAGGAUUCUUGCCAAUAUGAGGGUGCUUGAAGUAAUUCAAGCUGCAAUGAUCUUGUUUUGGUCGAUGGCUCACCAAGGUAGAGAUUAUUGUAUAUUGGCUCGCAACAGUUGGGUGCACAUGAUCAUACUUUAUAAGAGGUGUGAUCCAUAGAAUCAGUUCCUAUAUUGUUUAAGGAAACCAUAUACGUGCAGGAGAUUGGACUCGGUUUCGUAUUUAUCUCGGUUUUGAACAAGUAAUCCUAUAUGGAUUUGCUUGCUACCCAUGGGCUAUAAAUACCCAAGUAACUUGGUAUUUGUAAAAAGAUAAGAGAGUAGAAAAUAAUAGAAACAUAGAGAUAGAAAGAGUAUGUGAGAGAGAACUUUGGGGAGCCAAGGGUGUAUUGGGUUUAAGGUGAGAGAUUAAGAUCUUGAGAAAAAUACUAGGGAGAUUAUUAUAAUCGGUGUUUCUUUUCUUAUAGUGAAAUCUACUAAUUGUUCCCCGUGGAGGUAGGCAUUGCCGAACCACGUAUAUCUUGGUGUUAUUGUUUUUUAUUGUUUUAUUCUUCUUAUACUAUUGUUUAUUGUUUGGUAAUCUUUGACUUCAUUGACAAACGGAUCCUGCAUUACAAAGGAGGUGUUCUCACGAAUAUCUAGGUUGCGGGUUGUUGGGAUUUAAUUAAUCACUGCAUAUAGUUCAACAAAUGGUAUCAGAACCCACGGAUUGGGCGGGCUUGGGCCGGAAUUUGGUCCAAGGUGGAGAUUGUUAGGUGUAUGGAUCAAAUAGUAUCACAUCCAAGCCAUAGCAGAUCUUUAAGGGGUUUAUAAGUAAUGGUCUGGUAUCCACUAUUGUUAAGGCCUUUUGGGUAAGUGAAACCCAUAGGGAAAAACCCCACACUAUGGAUAUGGCCUUGGGUCUAGUGGUGACUAAAAUGGGGACAAUAUGAGACGGGACAAUAUCGACGGAAUAAUAGUGGGCCAUGGGCCCAACAUAAGGUUUAGUGGAAUGUGCAGAACCGAUUUCAACAGUGAAGAUUUCUAAGAAAGCAAGAGAGUCAGUACUAGCUUCCUUAGAGACAAGGAGUGCUCCAGAUCUAAAUCUGCUACUCGAGAUACCUCCUCCAAUUCAUCUCAAUGAGGGUGGUGUAUUGGAAUAUAAGAGGCGUCGAUUUAGUAAUACUGUUGUAAUCUUCAAAGUCUGAUGAAAUACGAAACAUACUUGGCAAAAAAAGGGUACAAGUACGUGAAGUCCCUAUUCGAUUAAUUGUAAUUUGUAGUAAUUCCCAUGUAAAUGUAAAUGAGACCACACUCAACAUAAUAACAACAGUAUGUAUGAAGGUGAGUACAUGCAUCAUUACAACCUAAUAUUUUGCUUCUCUCCCAUUAACAAAACCACCAGCAACAACCCUACUUAUUUGUAUAUCUUUCAUUACAUUACACCAAUACACCAUUCGAGGAUGUAUAUCAACAUUAUUGUCGUUCAUUAUGAUCUACAAUCUCCAUUCUGAAAGGUGAUCGAAUUAGAACUUUAUCCAGCCUUGUCUCUCAUCGAACAAAUGGAAUAAGAAAAUAUUCAGCAUUACAUAACUGCAUAUAACACAUAGUGAAAACAAUAAUGUUAUAAUAAAGGAGAAAAUAACAAAAAACUAUAUAGUUAUGAAUCAAAAUAAGUUAAUGCAAUGUGAAAUGUGUAAAUUAUGUGUUUGGACCUUCUUAAUAUUCUUUUGUACGUGUUAUGUCUUUCGAAUCCCUUUUUUAUUCCAGACAAUACAACACCCUUUAAAGGGUUUUUUUUAUAGAUCGAAGACCAAAAGGCCGGUAAUAUUCCUAUCAGAAAUGUUCGAAUGGGGAAUACAAAUUUACUUACUUUCCAAAUAAGUCGGUAAUAAGAAGUUAACGACUUUGUGUUGGAAAGAUCGACAGAUUGAGCUCGAGACCAGAAAAUGGAAGCAAAUGCUAAAUUUCCAAGUAUCUGCAACAAUUAAAACUAUAUUAGUGUAAUAUUUUAUUUAUAUUUACAUUUUUUUUAUAAAACCAGCACUACAAGUAGAGAACAAGCUAGCUCGCUACAAACUGUGCUAGCAAGUCCUUUCAACCCGCAGCUACAAGUCAUUUUUUCUGUACAAAGGAGUUCUAUACUUACGCUCAAAAUCUUGCCAGGCAUGAAUGUUGAAGAUGCCCCUGUCAGCAAGACAGCACCAUAUGCCAUCAUCAUCAAAUAAUUGCAAAACCAAAAUACCUGAUGCAUAUAAUAAACCAACAAAUUGAAUUGAAUUAUUUGAUUUAUCAACUUUCAAAUCUGGCUAAUAAUUUGACUAACAUUUACAAGUACUUACUCUCUCUUUGCCAAAGACCACAGCAAAAGUUUUGGAUCCAAAAGCUUUGUCGCCAUCAAAAUCCGGUAUAUCCUAUGUUAAAACAUAUCAUAAUUUCAUUUUCAGCAAGUGUUAUCAAAUAGAAAGUACACUACAAGUAUUUGAAGGGGGGCGCACUCUUCUAAAUCUACUAUUAGCCAUUUAGCCAUUUUUCACCACUAGCCAAUUCUUAUGGGUAGGUUCUCUAAUUAUAUAGAGUAUAGAUUGAACUCACUCUUUUGGACUUCAAUGGUUACAUCAUUCGUUGACGUGGUCAAACCCAAAUGUCAAGUGUUACUUAAUAUCUCUGAAAUAUCCUUUACUGGUCAUGUUCUUUCUACACCAGUUAGUUGGAAAAUGAGGAUAUUUAUUUAGAAAAUAAGAGUUUUGACUUGGUCAAUAGUAGUUUGACCAUCAAAGGGAUAAAUAGUGAGCAAUCUCCAAUUUUGUUCAAAACAGUAGGCAAUAGCUAGUUUUAAAUUUAAAAAAUGGGCGAAUGCCUAUUUGCCUAUUUGUCGUAUUCAAAUAUAUAAGAAAGGAAAAUUGAUGCAUGUAUUACCUUGCAUAUUGCCAUUACAAGCGUGAAAAUACUAUUGAACAUUGUGAUAACGAUCAGUGGUCUUGUGAAGACUAUAGGUUUCCCAAGUACAUAUCUCUGAGAGUUCAUUAAAAUAACAAUUAGUUUUACAAUAAAAUAUAUGUCAAUUGAUGAAUAAUUGCACAAUAUUUUGAUGAAUACCUGUAUAUGUAUGAAGGUGGCAACAGGAAUAACAAGUCCUCUUGUAAACGUCAUUACAAUAGCAGUAAGAAAUCCAUUUGUUUUCCACCUAAGAAAGGGCAACUAAAACAAGAGAUGAAGUUUAUUCAUCAAAGUCAAGAGCAAGUUUUUGAAGAAAUAUAUUAAUCACAUAUAUGUACGUACGUCAAUCGAGUAUGCAGUCCCAAGAAUAAAGUACGUAAGAAUUGCACAUAACAAUGGAGGAGAUUGAAUCAUCAAACCCAUUCCAAUACUCUGCAACAUUUAGGAAAAACAAACCGUAAUACUAAAAUUAGUGCUUGAUCAGGUUGUUACAAAAUUCAUUCUAUAGCUAUAGCUAGCUAUAUAGUAACUUAGAUCUAACUCACAAUGAAACCUGCAAUGGCCACUAUGAUUAUUCCAGUUUUUAUAGAAAACUCUCCUGAAGCAAGGGGAAGAUAUGGCUUGUUGACCUGUAAAGCCACAAAAAUGGAUUGAGCAGGAAUAAUUCAAAAAGAAAAUGUUAAUUUUUGUGACCAAUCUUGAAAAAUAUAAUCUUAAUUAUAUAUACCUUAUCAAGUUCAACAUCAUACAAUUGAUUUAUUCCCGCAGUAUAGAGGUUCAUCAAUCCCAAAGAUGUCGCUGCCUGCAAUAGCAAUAGUAGUACCACACUUAUAUGUGCACCACCUUUUCUAGCAAAUCAUGCAUCCACCUUAAAGUAGAUGAUCACUCACUGAUAGAAGAAAUGACAGGAAUACGAGGUAAUUUGGCAUGCUUUUUAACGAUUACUAAUAUAUAAAAUUUGUUAUAUAUUAUAUAAUGUUUUCUAUACUAUUUAUUUAUGAUGAAUAAAUAUAUAUAUAUAUAUAUAUAUAUAUAUAUAUAUAUAUAUAUAUAUAUAUGGCUCUGGAUUUUGCCAAGGAGAAAACUGAUCUUGCCGAUGGUUAAUUACCAAAGUGAUUGUAUUACCCUCAAAGUUUUUACUACACAAAAUACUGAAUUUGGCUAUAAAUUUCUAAUAAAAUCUUGAUGAAAGAUUUCAAAUCCAAAAAUUGAAUCUUUAUGAAAUUUAAAUUUUUUACAUAAUUAUAAUUAUGCACCAAUGUUUUCUAAGAAAAUACUUAAAAUAGUGGUCAAUAAUAAAUCAUCAAAUAAUAACAAGCUAAAUUAGGUUUCGUGACUAUCCAAAAAAUCAUUACACAUUUUUUCAGUGUUAUUUAUUGACAUAGUGAGAGAAUGAAGAGUGUUGCUUACAAGAAUUAAUAAAAAAUCAAUUAAAAUUUAUUUUUCUUUUUUUUUAAAAAAAAAAAAUAAAAUUAUUAUAUCUUAGAAUAGUGAUCGGAGGGCAAAUCAAUCAUUUUGGUAGUUAAUCAUUAGCAAGAUCAAAUUUCAUAAAAAAUAAUCAAAAUAUAUGCUAAUGAUAUUCUACAACUUCAUACAUAUAAGAAAUGAAAGGUAUAGUAUGGUAUACCAAAUGCUACCUAAGCCGGAGUCUAUAUAUAUGGUACAAGUACAACCCAAAAAGGGCCUUGUAUAUAUGUCACAUGGCAAAAGUCAUGCCACAAAAAUACCCCAUGCCAAGAACCCAACUAUACUUUGACUGUGAGUUGACUUCAUCAGUCAAGACAUAGAGUCCUAGAAAUUUUAAUAAUAUUUUUUUUGUUUUUUUUUAUUGGCAAGCUUGUUUUAGUAAGAUCAGUAACUCAAAGAUGCCCUGGGAUCAAACCCCAGACCUCUGAUAUCAUCGUCUAGAGGUAUUACCAACUGGGCUCAGGUGUAUCCUUUAAUAAUAUUCCAUUAGUUUCUAUUAUUUGCGAAGUUUAAUUGUAAAGGUUCAACUACUGCCAACCCUUGACAUCAAGUAGCUCUGUCCGUGUCCAAAAGUAGAUCGAAAAGUCGCCAUUUUUCAAUUACCUUUAGUACACCUAUGAAAUACACUGGAGAUAGAUCAGACAUUGUUUGCAAUGGAAGAAGAGAGAUUGAGAAUACAGAUAGAACCUGAUGAUCAUAUUGAUAAGAAACUUAAUUAGAAGAGAGCCGAGACAAUCACACAAUAAGAAUAUAUAUAAAAAAUUUAACUAAGAAGUGUGCAAGAUAUAUACUUACCAAGCCCAAUAUAACAUAAUCGCGACAAAACUUCCUGAAUGCAUAAAGUUUGUUAGUAAAAUUUUCAAACAAAUUUAUUGGAUCGUCAAGUGUCCUUCCAAAUUCAUUCCCUGCUGUUGUUGCUGACAGACUAUGACGUUUUCCAUUCGAUGAACUUCUUUCUUUGGAGAGUGAUAAUGGUUUCUCAAUGCCUGGAGUACCACUGGAUAUACAUUCCACACGCCUUGUCUUCGAGUAACCAAAUUUCAGUAUCUUUAUCGGUUGUUCAGAUGGUAAAACAUAACCUACAUAAAAGAAGAAGUCACUACGCCGCAAAUUAAAUAUAUAAUUAAUAUCUUGCAUAAAAUGAUACCAAUAUAAUAUAUAUCUAUAUCUAUAUAUAUAACAAGAUAGAAAACAAAAGAUGGUCAUAUAUAUAUAUGGUUCACCUGAUCUAUGAGCAUCCAUUUUCAUAGGUGUUAAUCUUUUCCAUAGAGAACCUAUGUAUAUAUCCAACAUGAAAAUGAAAAAAAUCAGGACUAAUGCAUUAUUGUACACAUAGGAAAAGAAGGAAAAAAAGUUCAAUAUUUGCCUUGUUGAAGACAGUAUCCCGACGAAGUAAUAACCAUCUUAAUUAUAACUUUAUAUUUCUUGCUAUAUGCACUCAAAAUCUAAUGCUCUAUAAUGAAAAAAAUGAGCUGAAUUUAUAGUGUUGCUUCAUGUAAUAAUGUUGCUUCAUGUAAUAAUGUUGCAUUAAUUUUCUUCUUUCUUUUGGAUUUUUUUUUGUAAAGUGAAGGCGUCACUUUUGACUCAUAUCAUUGAUGUAUAUAUCUGCAUCUUUGAAUUUGUGUAUAAUUGAAAGUACCAUAAUGUGGAAAUUAUGUACAUUUCCAUAAAACAUCGAUAUAAUUUGAAUUUAUGCAUGACAGAAGUCCUGUCCAUCCUUCCAUGUGUUGGAAAAAUGGAAUUUUCAAAAAGCUGACUGUAGACUAUUCUAAAGCCUUAAAUUUGAAGUACCAAACAAAUCCAUACUGUGUCUUUGCAAAGUAUUUAUUGCUUAGGGGCAAAACUGUAACUGGAAGUGGAAGGGAAAUUAAAGUCUGAUGCAUUUUGGAUAAGAAACACACUUUGACUACAGUUGAAUUUUAUGCACACUGACUCAACUACUCAAGUUGUCUUCUUCAAGAACAAUUCAGUUUGAUUUUCUUUGAGUUCCACAUCAAUCAGUCCAAAUUUUCAUUAUAGUGUGAGUAAAAUUAGGGAUUUGCAACAAAUCAAAGAAAACCAAUCUGAUACAAGUACUGGGGUUUGGAUUUGGUGGAUUGGAUCAGUUCGAUUAUUGGUUUUGAAUUUAACGAAUUCGAUUCAAACCGAAUAAGUCCACCAAGGACUUUGAAGUCCAUAAAUAUCCAAAUAAUUAGGACCUCAUAAUAAUGCGCAUAACCCUAAUACUGUCAAAAAGACAGAAAUAACCUUAAACAUUAGCUAACAAAAGACAAUAAUUAUUUGUGAAUGAGCUUGUGGCUCAAUAAUAGCAUCUCUCUUAUAAAGUGGAGAGGUUGUGAGUUUGAAAGACAACAACUGAUUGUUGAUAUAAGUUUCCACACGUAAUAUAAAGGGGUAGGGGUCCUUUCAACCCUGUUUGCCAACCAAAAAAAUAAAUAAAAAGAAGACCAUAAUUAUUAAAAAUUGAAAAUUUUAAGUUAUGAUUAAAUUUGGACUUUACUCAUCUCUAUUGAUCCAAAACCACAAACCCCAUUCGAAAUAUAUAUAGUUCUUUAGAAGAUUUUAUAAACUAAACAUUGUUUUUCCUAAAAUGACAAAAUUAGAUUGUUACCAAAACGAUUACGGUUUUGCCAUGUUAUUUUGACAAUGUCACAAACUCUCAACUUGCCCACAGACAAGUCUUUGGUAACUAUUCAUACCGCACAUUCAUGCAUGUAUUCUCUAACAAGUCUUUAUCGUUCAACACUUCCAGUCAUUCAUGUAUGUACUCAUCACCAAAUUUUGGAUUCUCUAAUGACAAUGUAUAUAAUAAAUAUCCAGGUGGACUCUCAUUGGUACUGCAGAGACUUCUUGGAAGGGAUUUUGAUGUUAAAAAAGUGUUGUGAUGAGUUUUCAAUGAAGCUUACUUUUCUUUUAGUUAAUUUUCCAUUUAAUAUAUUAAAGCCCACCCAUGUUUACUAGAGACUUUCUUCUGUUCCAAUAUUCAACCACAUCACCACAAUAUGUUUACUAGAGACUUUCUUCUGUUCCAAUAUUCAACCACAUCACCACAAUAUGUUUACUAGAGACUUUCUUCUGUUCCAAUAUUCAACCACAUCACCACAAUUUUCUUCGAAUCGUGGGACUCUAAUGCCUACCAUGAACAAGACCCGAGGGUUAAUCUACCAUGGAGGCUAAAUUAUUAGUUCGAUGGGGAGCUCAGAAUUUAGGCACAGCUACAGAGAACAAAAUAUCCACCAGACUACCUUGCAAGUUUGGUGGUGAUGUAAUGCACGCUAUGUACUUUCAGGGUCUUUACAAUUGUAAACUGUAUAGUCUAUUGGUAGACAAUGAUUCUUAUUGUUUGCCUUCAUUUCUGUCAUGAUUGUAUAAAUUGUGUCACAGUUUCUUCACUGUUUUGAUCCCGACAUUGAGGAUAAUUGUCAACAAGUGCACGAUAAAAGGCCUGGACUAAUGAUUUAGUAGCAAAUGUGUUGAGAACAAGGUCUAAGCCCGUUGUGAAAACCAAUUAAUAUAAGAGUGAUUAGGAAUCAGAGUUAGAUUUCUAAAUAUAGAAAUCUAUUUAGUUGGCAGCAGCAUGUGUCCUUAAAGAACUUGAAUGAGAUUCUAACGUGGAAUUCAAUUUCAUUAGAAACUGUGUAUAAUCUUUUGGUUAUAAAUAGGGAUUGUGACCAUGGGUAAAAUAUAUGUGUAAGAUUCAAUUACUGUGUAGUGACGAAAACCGAAACCUUAGUUUUCAUGUGUUGUUCUUCAUCUUCUAUAUAUUAAUAAAAGCUCUUCACUUUGUUCCGUGGACGUUAGCAAACGCCGAACCACGUAUUUUUCUUGUGUUUUGUUAUUUGUAUUGUUUAUUAUUCUCAAUUAUCGUGUGUGUGUUAUUUUCUAUUCGAUUAUCAACAGUGUUUAUGUGAUUACGUUUCCGUGAGGCGCAACAAAAUAAAUAUAGUACUAUAUAGUCUACUUGUUUUUUCAGGCACCCAGGAUCCUAACAUUGUUGUGCGUGAAAUGGCCAAAGUAUGGGAUAUUGGGAGGGAUCCGAUAAGACGAUGGAGCUGGUUUCUAUACGUGAUUGCUCUAGUAAUAACAUCUAUCUUCUAUCUCUUUUUUUUUUUUAAAAAAAAAAAAAAACAGAAAAUGCACAUAAGUAAAAAUAAAAAUCCUGCAACUUUUUUUCUUUUUCGAUAAUGGUUGCCCGUAAAAUGCACUAUCGACAUCUAGAGGGUGAUGAACCUAUAGAAACAAGCCAAAACCAGUACAUCUAUCAACAUACAAACAGAUUGCAAAUCAAUACUCUCUAUUAAAGUUGGAUUUGCCCUUAAGAAAAAUUUCUCUUUCCAAAUUAGAUAAAUUUGAUGCUUCAAUUGAAGAGAAUUUAACAUAGAUUAAAAUUUAAAGGGUUAUUAUUGUAUGUUUAUGUCUAAUAUGGCUUAAAUAGCUAGACUAGAUGGCUAUAUUUAAUAGGACUAUGGCUAUAUGUCUUUUUGCACAAAUAUAUUAAUGGCUAACCAAAUUUAAUGGCAAUAUAGCUAUAUUUAUCUUAUUAACUCAAAAAAAAAUAAUAAUUAUAAUUUCAUACUUUACCUUCUUCCUUCCUCGACAUCUACCCAUGUUCCUGUUACAUCAAAUUCAAUCUAUCCUCUCUUCCUUCUCCAAAUAGUGGUUGGAAAAAAAACACACACACACACACACACAAACAACAUUCAUUACAAUAGACUAUGUGAAUAUCACGCAAUAGUACAAAACUGUGCGUCUUCCAUUUUCCUUUGAGUACAUGUUAGAAAUAAAAUUAUAUAGGCUUUAUAACCAUAACAUGAUUAUGUUGUGUAAUUAUAUCGUGAAUUUCGGGAUUAGUUUAAUCUUAUUUAUCAAUUAUACUAAAAAAUGGUAAUUUGAAAAGUUGGCCUUUGGCGAAAGGUUAGCCCAGGAUAUAAAUUUAAUAGUGUUUUCUGAAAUGAUGUACAGUCUAGACAUAACCAAAACUCAACCCAAUAACUUAAUGAAGUGAUUUUUUUUAGGCAUUAUUUGGGGAUUACGAAAUAGUAGGGGUACACCUAAAUAUAAAUUUUGAGUUUUUUUUUUCUGAUUUGUUGUGAAAGUAAGGACUGGGAGAAUCGGAAGAUAUUAUUUAUAUAUAGGUUCAACCAUUUUUUUUUUUUUUACUAAAAGUAAAAUUUGAAGUCCAAAAAAAUUGUUUUAGCCAGCAGGUGGGCUUUCAUUGUAGCUUACUACAUGCCUCUUUAUACCAAGUAUAAAAUUGUGUAGAUGAAAUACUUAUUAUAGCAAAUCUAUACUUAGUAUAGAUAUGUCAAUAAGCAUGUGGCUCAAAGGUAGCAUCCCUCUCACAAAGUAGAGAUGUUGUGGGUUCGAAACACGUCAGCAACUGAUUGUUUGAUUAAAAAUUUUCCCACGUAAAUUUAUAAAGGAUAGGUUCCCCUCAAUGUCGCUUACCAAUAAUAAUAGUAUAUGUUACCUAUUAUAAUAAGCUUCAAUAAGCACCAUAUAUUUUGCAAUCUAACAUUUUAUCAUAUAUUUCAACUUGAUAUUUUAGAAGUUUUGUUGGGUGGAUUAGUUGUGAAUGGUUACUUUACUACUAUAAGUUAUUAUAUACUAUGUUCUUGCUAAACCCCUUUUUAUAUUCAAAACUUAAGCCUAGACUCCAAACAAAAAAUGAAUCAGAUCAUAUGUUCAGUCUAAUUCAUGGUUUGAACAUUCAUAAGAAUAAUAAAAAAAAAAAAUUAUACCAUGAUUUAUUAUCACAAUAAAGUAAAACCUUAAUGAAAAAUUCAAUAAUUGCUAGACAUUAUAGCUCAAAAUCUCAGUCAAACAUUCAAAAAACAAACAUUUGACGAUAAACUAUUUGAAAAAAUGAAAUCAACCAUAUUUACAAAAAAAAAUUAGUGGUGUAAUAAAAGUGUAAAAAUGACAAUGAAAGGAAUGACAUCUAUUAACAAAACGUUUUCAAGAGACUACCCCUAAUUUACAUUAUUUAAUAACAUCCAUGCUUUGCACGGGCCUUAUAACUAGUAUGAAUAAUAACUAGACCAAGAAUAAUCUAGAUCACAAUUAAACUAUUUUGUAAUUUACAUUAUUUAAUAACAUCCGUGCUUUGCACGGGCCUUAUAACUAGUAUGAAUAAUAACUAGACCAAGAAUAAUCUAGAUCACAAUUAAACUAUUUUGUUUCUCAUGCAGGUGACCAUUCCAUCUCUAAAUCUUUUUUUUUUGAUGGUAUAUUAGUCAUGGCCCGAAGGCUUACAGGGACAGGGCCCAAAGGGCUUACAAAAGACAAGACCCGAAGGCUACUGAUGCUACCACCUAAGCGUCCACACCGCCACCUUGCAACUCGAGCAAUUCUGCUACUCAGGGACUUGUUUUUGCUGAAGAACACCUAGCCACAUCAUGAUGGGAAUUGAACUCACAACCUCUCACUCGUGAGAGUGUUUGAGAGAGAUAACAAACCAACUGAGCGCUAGCAGUUGUUUGUUUCCAUCUCUAAAUCUUAUAAGAACUUAAGGCGUAAAAUCUUGACGUUCCAAGUUUCAUUUUCCUCGUUGCCCAAGCUACAAAGCAUACCUCCUCUAAUGUAGAGUAUUUUCAAUUUCUUCAAUGCACUAGGCUGCAGCCAGUUUGGUGUACCUGUUUUGGGGAAGCAUCGAAGGUCAAGUUUUUCCAGACUCUGAGGCAUUGAAAGAGAUGAUGAUGUAGUCAUUGUUGCUGCCCUCUCAAGUUUUUUUGAGUUAGUCAUGGUUGCUAAUAACUUCUCAAGUUUUGCAACAGUAGCUUCCUGAGUAACAGAUUUAAUCACUCCUCCCCAUGUUAUAGUUAGAAUGCGAAGUGCUUCAAUCUUUUGCAACUCAAGAAGGUCGUCUUCUGCAACAAUGGCAUCACUCCCAAUAAUUAAGCUCAGUUUCCUCAGCUUCUUUAAAUUAGACAAAUCUUUGAGCUGACACGGAUCCUUACUUACUGAGUUAGCUAUCACAAACCCCUUUAGCACUUGAAGAUCGGUAAGUGCUUGAAGCCCCUUAGGCAUCUGUUCAAGUAAGUAACACUCAGACACAUCCAAGUGUGUCCGUUUCUUCAUUGAUUUGACCCCAGAUGGAAACUUCUCCAAGUUGUGACAUGCACGGAGGUCUAAUACUUGGAGACUGGUGAGCUUGGCUAUGGACUUUGGGAGAUCAGUUAGUCUUGAUAUCCCACAAAAGCUAAGAUACUUUUAAGUGCUUCUGAGCACCCCAAAUGUUGUGUCUUGGAGAGAGUUGUGAGAAUUUGGGAAGGGAAAAAACCUAGGGUUUCUCCAUUAGUUUUAAAGUUUUGUAUUAUCUUCUUCAUAGUAUAAGUUCUAUUUGUUUAACCAUGGAUGUAGGCAAUCGCCGAACCAUGUUAAAUUGGUGCCUCUCUUUUGUUUGUUUGUUGCAUUAAUUAGUUUUAUUUCUUUACUACUUUGCUUUGUUUCUUUCAUACACUACUACAAUCACAAUCAUUUGGGUUUGUGCUUCCGUGCAUCCAACAUGGUUUUGAAUCCAUUUUCAUGGUGAUUUUGAGUUUCCAAAGAAGGGUUUGUUGCUUAAAUAGAUAUCCAACCAGUCAUUCUUCACCAAAACAAAACUAACGAUAAUGGGGUAAGAGAAGUCAACAAACAAAAUAAAACGGUGAAAAAACGGUCAAAUUUUACACAGAUUUUGUGCACAUAAUCAUGUCAUAAAAUAUGAAAAUUCUCUGUUCAUGUGAUUUAUAUGAAAGGAAAUAAUAUAUCCUGUCAACAUCCACAAGAAACAUAUUUUCAUUUGUACCUAAUUACUAAUUUCAACUCUAUUGAUUACUGCAUUGUCAGCUGCUAAUUUCAUCUCUAAGGUGAUGUGAUACAAACAGAAUAACAUAUCAACAAUGUAUAGAUAAGUAAUCUAUAAAAAAAAAGGGGGAACCAUUGAGUGUUUCAUACAUUAGUAGUAGCUAUAAAUCAGCUUGUGUUGGCGUAGUAGCUAUUGAUGAAGGCCCUCUCCAGAAAGACUGAAGCAAGAGUAUCCCUGCAAAAUAAAAAAAAAAUAAAAAAAAAAGAAUGCAUGGCUCAGUACCAAUUGAUUGUGUGAAAACUAGGUUAAAUUGUCGUUAUGUGCUAGUACCGAACUUGCAUCCAAGUUGUGUGAUAAAUACGAACGAACUUCAAAAUUCUUUAUACUGUAUGUUGAUAGUAAAAUCAGUGUAAGACAAUUUCAAUACCAACUAAAAUGAGAAAAUGCCACAAAGCUCAAAUUUAGGUUUAAAUAAAGAAAAAGCAAAAAGAAAUUAGAUCAGUGUGGCAAAUACCUUCAUAUGCAAGUAGAAUUUUAAUGGAAACUAGCAGGAACACUAAGUGAUGCUCCUCAGACAUGGCUGUGUAGGACUAUAAUUCUGUAAAACGCGAGUCCAUAUUGGUGCUUUCAUCUUCCCAUUUCAAGUUCUUCCACCAAACCAAUUCUCCUUUGAUCUUCACACAAGGACUGUUCACACUGACUGGGAUCUUUUGAAGCUUUGGGCAUCCUUGGACUCUAAGAUGUUUAAGUAGUGGCAAUACUCCCCCAAAUAUAGUCUUUAAUUUCGGUAACUUCAGAAGGUUCAAUGUCUUCAAGUUUGGGAGAGUUUGUUCUCUUGAUGUUGUUUCUCCAAAAAUAUUCUCAAGCUCAUCACAAAACUUGAUCUUGAGUGUUGCAAGGUUUUUCAGCUGAAUGUGUGAAGAGAAAACAAUGACAAGGCUUGGGCAGCACUCUAUGUAUAAAUGUUUUAAGCACGCGAAGCUUUCAGAAUCUACCGAACCUCUAAAUAAACUCUUGAGCUCAGAAAGCUUUGACACCCAAAGAUUCUGUAAAUAUCUUCCCAACACAGCAUUCUUUUCUUUUUCUUCCCCAUAGAUAGCGCUUUCCAUACUAUCACAACUCUCUAUCCAGCAUUCUCUCAUGGACUUAACAUUAUCAACACCCAGAUCUGACAGCCGAUUGAUGAAACCAUUCUUCUUUAAAUAUAAAAGUUCCACACUAUUAAGGACUUGUUCAAUACCAGUAGGGAAACUAUGAAAGCCACAUAUCUUCAAAAACUUGUCAGGCUCGUCUGUCAACUGAGGAAUAUGGCUGGUCUGGUAAUAGAUAUCUUUGAAAACAUAUCCCUUUCCUUGCAAGUAAAUGUCAUUUUCUUUACUCCAUUGCUCAGAAGAGCACAAACAGAAAUGAAAUUUCUGGAAGCGAUUCCCCCACAGUCCAGAGUUCUUCUCAAUGAAAUAGAAAAUGUCUGUGUUACUUACAGUAAUAUGUAUGCAUGUCAUGCCAAGAUGCUCUGUUUCAGACAGAUUCAACUGCAGCUGUUUAGUUACAUCCAUUGCAUCUCUCCAAUUAAACCCCCAAAAGUAUUUCCUGUUCAGUAUCGCAAGAAACUUCAAGCAAGUCCAUUUGGAGAUGCCAGCUGGAAACUCACUAAUAUUUGUGCCAGAAAGAUCAACCACCUCAAGCUUCUUAAGUACCUCUGAGUGGGGCAGGAUUGUUAAAUUUGAACAACCUCUAAGGAACAGUUGGCGUAUGUUUUGAAGUUCUGAAGGUGAGGAAGGAAAUAUCCCGAUCUGGGAUCCAGAGAGAUUAAGUUCUUCAAGGUUCAGGAUGCCUUCAAAAGACAAUGUCUCAAAGUUUGAAAGAUCUUUCAGUCUGAGUUGACAAAGAUUUUUGCAUCGUGAAAGGAAAGAGAAUUCUUGCACUUGCGUACCGGACAAAUCAAGUUUUUUAAGGGCAUAACAAACUCCAAGAGGUUCAUCUUGGAAUUGACUGAAAGAAGCAUCCCCAGAAAGAUCAAGCACUUCUAAUCUUUCUAGUUUUUCCAAGUGAGGCAGUGUCUGAAACUUCAGGCAAUCUCUUAUUAAGAGUUGAUUGAGAUUUAUACAAUCUGAAAGGAAUGAUAACUCUACAACCUGGGUUCCCGAUAGGUCAAGUAUUUGAAGGUCACAUAUGUUCCCAAAGGAUAGGUCUUGGAAGGUUGUGAAAGAAGUUGCACCAGAAAGAUCAAGAAGCUUCAGUUUUGUGAGUUCUUUUAUGCAUGAAAGUGUCUGGAGUUUUAUACAUCCCCUUAGUGCAAGCUGGCUUAGAUUUACGCAUCCGGAAAGGAAUGGUAAGUCUACUACCUGGGUUCCAGAGAUGUCAAGUAUUUGAAGGUCAUACUCCAUCCCGACUGAUAUGUCUUGGAAGGUCAUGAAAGAAGUUGCACCAGAAAGAUCGAGAACCUUUAGCCUUCUAAGAUUGUCAAACGCUGGAAGCGCCAUUAACUUUGGACAGUUACGCAGAAACAGUUGACUGAGAUUUGAGCAUCCGUAAAGGAAUUGUAAGUCUCCAAUCUGGCUUCCAGAGAGGUUAAGUAUUUGAAGAUCAAAAUCCUUGCCAAAGGAUGGGUCUUGGAAGGUUGUGAAUGAAGCUGAGCCUGAAAGAUCAAGAACCCUUAGAUUUCCAAGUUCUAACGGCGGCAGGGUUCUAAGGUUUGGACAAUUCCUUAAAAAUAGUUGACUAACAUUUGGGCAUCCGGAGAGGAAUUGUAAGUCUGCAACCUGGGUUCCAGUGAGGUCAAGUAGUUCAAGGUCGCACUCUUCCCCAAAGGAUAAUUCUUGGAAGGUCAAGAAAGAAGCUGCACCUGAAAGAUCAAGCACCUUUAGUCUUCUAAGUUCAUCCAAUGGCGGCAGUGUCCUUAGUUUCUGACAAUCUCGUAGUAAAAGUUGACUAAGAUUAAUGCAACCAGCAAGUAUUGGUAACUCUACAACCUGGGUUCCAGAAAGGUCCAGUGUUUGAAGGUAAUACUUCAUACCAAGAGAUUGGUCUUUAAAUGUCAUGACAGAAACUGCACCUGAAAGAUCAAGCACCUGGAGACUUGCGAGGGUCUCUAUAUGUGGUAAUACCUUUAACUUCACACAACCUUUAAGGAUGAGCUUGCAUAGAUUGUAACAUUCCGAAAGGGAAGGAAUUUCUUGAACUUGCGUGCCAGAAAGGUCUAGUUCUCGAAAAUCUUCCUUUAUUCCUAAAGAAUCAUCAUGAAAUUGUUUGAAAGCAGUAGCACCUGAAAGAUCAAGCACCUCAAGUUUUGUCAGUGGUUUCAACAAUGGAAGUGUUUCUAGUUUUAUACAUCUUCUCAAGAGUAUAUGUCGAAGAUUGCUGCAUUCUGAAAGACUAGGUAGUUGUUCAACUUGGGUUUCGGAAAGGUUCAGUUCUCGAAAGCAUUCCUUUAUCCCUAAGGAAUCAUCUUGGAAUUUUCUGAAACCAGUAGCACCUGAUAGAUCAAGCACCUCUAGUUCUGUUAACGUUGUCAUCGGUGGAAGUGUCUGAACAUUCAAACAAUUUUUGAGAAAUAUUUGUUGAAGAAGGCAACAUUCUGAAAGGUUGGGUAACUGUACAACUUGGGUUGCAGAAAGAUUAAGCAUCUUGAGGCAACUUAACUUCUGAAAACAAUCUUCCUUCAAAUUCUUUAAGUUAAUAGAACCUGUGACAUCAAGCACUUCAAGCUUUUGAAGCUCCAACUGUGGUAGUUCCUCUAGGUAUUCACAUUCUCUUAGUAUGAGUUGAACGAGAUGAGCUUCCAUUGAAAACAUUGGCAGCUUUUGGAUCAAAGUUCUAGACAAGUCAAGAUAUAGCAGACCAUCCCCGAGCGCUUCGUCUUGGAAUUCCUUGAAAGAAAUGGCACCUGAAAGAUCGAGCACUUCAAGCUUUUGAAGCUUCAAACGAGGAAGCUCCUUUAGGUAUUCACAUUGUUUUAGUAACAGUUGAAUGAGAUUAGCUUCCAUUGAGAACACCGGUAGCUUUUCGAUCUGAGUUCUAGAAAGAUAAAGAUACAGAAGAUCAUCCGUAAGGGCUACAUCCUGAAAUUUCUUGAAAGAAAUGGCACCUGAAAGAUCGAUUACAUUUAGUUGUGUCCCCAGGGAUGGCAAUGUUUCGAUGUUGGGGCAACUUCUUAAGAAUAGUUGACGAAGCUUGCCACAUCUUGAAAGAAAUGAAACUUCUGCAAUUUGUGUUCCAGAGAGAUCAAGUUUUAUUAUUGAAGAGUCAGAUCCUGAGUUUUCACCUUGAAAUCCCAGAAACGCACUAGCUCCUGAAAGAUCUAGCACUUGGAGUUCAGGAAAUGCAUCUAUAUCUGCCAUUGUUUGGAGUCUCGAACAACCUCUCAGAAAGAGGUGAUUUAUGUUGGGUGCAGAUGGUAAUCUAUCAACCAGAGUUACGGAUAGAUCAAGGGUUUUGAGUGAACUGAGGGUGUCUGGAAUAUCUUUUAGUGCAUAAGCACCUGCUAGGUCCAGCAGAGAGAGUUGAUCAAAUUCUUCCAUAUAUGAAAUUCUUUCCAGCUGGCCGCAUGCUCUAAGGAUGAGCACGUCAAGUUUAUGAAGGUUCGAAAAGGAGGAGGGUAGCUGUUUAAGAUGGGUGUUUGAGAGGUUCAGAUAUUCAAGAGAACCCAAAUCUUGAAAGAAAUCAUCUGGGAGUUCCUUCAAGCUGCUAGCACCUGCAAGACUAAGAACGAUCAGAUUCUGGAGUUCUCUUACUUGGUUCACCACUUCCAGUGAGGUACAACCUCUUAGCACAAGCAUUUCAAGAUGCUUCAAGUCUGAAAGUGAUUCUGGCAGAGAACUGAUUCCGUAAUGGAGAAUGGAAAGACGACUAAGAUGUAGCAUUUGCGCAAAGUAGUCAUGUGGGAAUCCAUUGUCAGCAUUCCCGUAAAACACCAAAUCUUGUGUCUCAGUUGUUCCUUCAUAGUCAAACCCUCGGGUCUGAAUCCGAUGCAGAGCAUAGCUAUCAAAUGAAACAAUGUCAGAAGCUUUUGUCUGAAUAUACAUACUCACUUCUUUGAUUAAAGGAGUUUGAACACUCACGUGGGUGUAUCCCUUAUCAUCAUCUAUCGAUAUAUCUGAUAAAAGAUGACGACCUAUGAGCUCUUUCAUUAUACUGUUCCCCUUCUCAAAUGCUUCAUCUGUAAAAUAGAAUCCAUCUAAGUAUCCUGAUUUCAUCCAGUUUAGUAUCAACCACUGCUUACUGAAUUUAUGGUAACCUGGACCCAUGUAGCAGUACAAAAAGCAAUCUUUCACAUCCUUGCUCAGCAACAUCUCUAAUAUAAAUUCAAUGCGGGACAUUGAUCGAUUGAAUACCAGGUUGUAUGCUUUCUUCAAAUUAGCCAUCUCCAUGUUGCUCGAAGAAGACUCUCCUAUGUUAUUUCUCAAAGUUCCUGCCAGUACAGCAAUUUCAAAUGGCACACCAUUGCAGUUGUCGACCAGAGGUUGAGCUAAUUCACGCAUAUGGGGAUGUGAAUCAAUUUGUAUGCCAGAUAUAUCCUCAAAAAGAUACAAGGCAUCAUCUUCGGACAACUUUUCCAGUUCCAGUAUCCUGUUGGUCUCUACAUCCCCAAUGUUUGAUUUGGUCCCAGUUAUUAACACCUUGGACGAUGCAUAACCUUCCCUGGGAAGAGGGACCCCUAACGCAUCAAGAUAAUCAAAUGGAUUGGAAGAGCAUAUAUCAUCUAGAACCAGUAAGUAGUGCUUCUCUGCCAGUAAUUUAGAGAUCUUCAUACUAAGAUCAUCCUCGUUGCCAUGCACUUCUCCUUGAUGCUGCGACAAUUGAUUUAGAAUCUGUAUCUGCAUUGUUUUGAUUCCAGGAUUAUCUGGCCCCAUAUAUACAAAGAUAAUGGGGUCAAAUCGCCUUAAGAAUCUUACAGAAUAGAUCACAUUCCGAGCAAGCCAUGUUUUCCCCAUUUCAGUUGCCCCUUGGAUUUUAAUUGUUCCAACAUCAUCAUCAUAUAACCAUGUCUCCACAGUCUUUUCUGCCGAGAAUGCAGUGCCUUUAUAGCAUUUUACCUCUUCAUCUUCACUUGUCGAUUCUUCAUCAUAGGUCCUCAUUGAUUGUGUCUCCCCAUCUUCGCUUUGAUGAUCUUCAUCAUCUUGGCUCAACGGCUCCUCUUCAUCUUCGCUCGUAUCUUCUUCAUUUUCUGUGCUCAUUGCCUGUUCUUUAUCAUCUUCACUUGUUUCUUCUUCAUCUUUUUUCCUCGUUUCAUCUUUGCUUGUAUUUUCUUCGUCUUCUUUGCUUUUCACCUGUUCUUCUUCAUCACUUGUAACAACCAGUACUGCAGAGGGUGCUAAUCUGCACAUUCAUUCCACAAACAAUAAAAAAACAUGAACUCCACAAGAGUCUUUUGUUGUAUCUUACAAUGUACAUUAAAUGUUUAAUCCAAUUCCAUCUCAAUACCUAUAUAUGACAAAGCCCUUCGUGACAGACCUACCUAUCUAAUGAUUCAUCAUAGUCAACUGAGCUAGUUUCAUCUCAAUUAUUUUUGUUUUAAUUGCAAAACAUAAGUUUACAUUAUCUUAUAAUAUUACGAAUCUAGAUUCAUAGAUCAAAUAUCUGGAACUGGAUUGAUUGAACCCAAGAUACUUCACGAAAUUUUGUCAGUUUCUCUUGUGAAGUUUAGAAGUACUUAAUUAACGGCAGUAAGAGUCAUUGGAAAGAAAUAGUAUAAGAAAUUAGGGAUCGUAGUGAUAACACAUGACUUACAUUGAUGAUAACAUCUGCUCAUCAUCUGUAGGGAGACAGACUUCGUCAUUCAAGCCAUUGUCAGAACCUGAGCGGCCAAUAAUAUCAGGAUCAGCAUGACCUCCAACAAGCAUUUCAGACUUCAUUGCAUUCUUUUCCUGUUAAAUACAUUAAUGAAUAAAUGUUGAUAGCCAUAACAAUAGAACACCAAUAAUAUUAAUAUUGAUCUCCUAAUUCAAAUGAUUUUUGAAGGUCUGAGCAGAUCGCCUUUCGUCCAACAACUAAAAUUGCUAGGAAAAACUUUUUUGAUUUUACCUUAUUCUAAAAAAAAAAAAACAUACAUACAUACAUACAUACAUACAUCUUUUCAAGGUCAUCAUCAAAGACUCUAAACAAAGUUCAUAUGAAAGUGAAGGAAAUAUGGUUAAGCUUGUAAACAUAAUAGACUAACCUUGGAGUGUUGGCUACCCAUAGAAACAAGAAAUGAUAAAAAAGAAACACCUUCCUCAGCUCUUUUACCACAAGGCACAAUCAGCAAUUUUCACAAGAUCUCCCUUGUGAUUUUGAGGAAGAUGAGUAGAAAGAUGACCAUUAGCAUGUAUUCACACUUAACUAAACAACAAAAGAUAAAAAUAAUAAUAAGAAAUUAACAACUUGUUGCACAAUUAUAGAUGUUAAUUAAAGAAAUCUCAUGACUUUUUUUUCAAAUAAUUGUUCUGACUUUGUUGGGCCAAGAGGAUACAGGGCGAAAUCAAGAGGACACAGGGCGAAAUCAAUUACCCAAAAGGACAACUGGGUAGAUCUUAUCAGAAGGAUAACAAGAUUUAAUAACCCAAGGACAACUACCCAGGCCUGUUUGUUAUGAUUUUUUAUAAUUCCAUUUAUACCCUUCUUCUUCUUCGAUUUUAAUCGAUGUUUUACUUCUUCUUUGUCCUCUCUCUCUUUCUCUCGUGACUUUUUUCUUUUAUGAUAAAUAUUUUAGCUCAUCAACUGCUUAUCUAAGAUAUAUGUGUCAAACUCUUGUUAUACUUAGAUAGUACAAAAGCUCCCAAGAAGAGUGCAAAAAGUAAUGGACAACAAUAUGAUGACUGUUGGUUCAAUCGAAUAUGUAUUUAGGAGAAUCAAGUUUGAUUUUUACAAAGGGUUUGCAGCGCAGUUUGUAGCGCGCAAUUUGAGUAGUUUCUUUUAAUAGUAGCCAUUUAGCCCAUGCAAUGCAUGGCUUUAAGGUUGCGGCUGAUUUAAGUUUGUUUAAGUUAUGGCCACUUAAAAAUAUUAAUUGUAAAAAUACCAAUUUGACUUUCAUAAAAUUAAAAUGCAAUUCAAUUCUCUUCAAUUAGGCUAUCAAUUAGGAGAGAGAAAAUUUAACAGGGAUUUUGAUUCGUCUGCUUGCCAUAAGGGCCGUGAUAGAAUGUUUACAGACCAAACAUGCCAAGGACUUCCUUAUUGUUAUUCUUAUGGAAAGGUUAGGACAACGCAUGACGACAGUGGAGUACCGUGUCAUUCUCCGGUACUGUUUCAUGAUCCCGUUAAAUACAGAUAGGGACCAUGUUGUACACUGUAAGUAUUAUCUCGGUUUUAAAUACAGACACAAUCAUAUGCGUGAUAUAUUGUAUGAUGUGGUAUGACGAGCAUGAAUACAAUAUAAUUAGUGACACAAUCAAGUGAAGGGAGUAUUCUUAAGCUUGUACUCCCCAUAGUAGACUAACCUUGGAAUAUUGGCUAGCCAUGGAAACAAGAAAUGAUAAAAACACCUUCCCCAGCUCUUUUCCACAAGGCCACAAUAUAAUUAGUGAUUUUGAAGAAGAUGACUUCUAGUAUGUCCUCGUACUAAAGGUAUUUAAUGAUAAUAAUAAUAGAAAAUUAGCAAGUUGCAAUUAAUUAGAUCAGCGUUUUGGGCCCAAGGACAAAAUAUAAGGCUUUAUUAGGCCCAAGGACAGUAGCAACGUUUCAUUAGACUCAAGGACAAGUCUAUUUAAUGACGAAUAUAUCCCUGUUGGUGUUUUAACAACUAUAAAAAAAUCUAACAACGUGGGACAAGGUUUUUUUUUUUUUUUUUUUUUUUGAUUUUCAAAUAAAGCCCUAAUUUCUUUCUUUCUUUCUUUCUCUCUCUCUUUCUCUUUCUCUAUCUCAUCUCUACUGCAAAAACAACGAUUACGACUUGAUUUCUUAGGUUUUUCUUUAAUUUCUUAGGAUUUUCUUCAUUAAAAGUCCGAUUCUCUUUAGAAUUGAACAAAAAUCUAGGUUUUUGAAAGCCAAAACACCUAGAUCUACAAUGGCAAGAAAAAAAAAACAAGUUCCAAGGAGUACAAAUCAUCAUGGAACAAAGAGAAAACGAAAGGAUGAUAAUACAACACAAGAACAAAAAACUUUUGAUUUUGAAGAAGAAAUUUCUGAUUUUGAGGUAAGUUAGGUUUUAGAAUUAUAAUUUUAAUGUAAAUUGUUUUCUUGAAUAACUUCUACAUCACAUGUUCUUGCUUAAUUACUUCACAAUUUCUAAUUUUUUAUGUAAAUUGUCUUUGAUGUUAAAUUAUAUUUCAGUUUUAGUUGAUUAGUAAAUUUAAUCAACAUGUUCUUGCUUAAUUUUACUUCACGAUUAUUGGGUUUUUUUAUGUAAAUUGUAAAUUAUCUUUGAUGUUAAAUUAUAAUUGAUUAAAACAUUAAAUCAACUAUCAAACUGGUGUAAGCAAUUUAUAUCAUACUAUCUGUUGAUUGGUAUAUUAAUCAAUUAAUUAUAUGAUUUUAUUUUUUCUGUUUAGCUGAUUAAUAUAUUAAUCAACUAUAACUUUAGUUGAUUACUAUACUAAUCAACGCACGUAAUAGUUGAUUGAUGUAUUAAUCAACUAAUUAAUUGAUUUUAUCUUUUCUGUUCAGGUGAUUAAUGUAUUAAUCAACUUCAAUAUUUUACCAAACUUUUCACAUUUGAAACAAGCCGAUUAUGUUACUCUAUUGUUGAACAAGAUGCUAAUCAAACAUGGGGAUGUUCGUUUUGAAAAAAGACCUAUAUAUCGAGGAAACACGAGAUUUUCCGCAUCAAGGCUUUUCGUAAGCUCCCUAAACUUGAAUUGUUAAGUUUUAUUAUCAUGAAUACAAUUUGAUUAUUCUGUAAAUUAUAUUUUUCAGCGUGGAUUGUGCAUUGUUUGUAUGCAAAUUCAUGGAUCAUGUUGUUUCUGGACAAGCAAUUUCAUCUAAUGACUAUUCAGAAGGAAUGAUGCAAAUCAUGAACGCGAACAUAACAUAUGAGUUGUUGAGUGAAGUUAGUUUUAACAAGGAAGCGUGGGACCAACAACAACUGCUUGUAAAGCCUGAUGCAGAAGGAAAAGGAAGCAGCUCAAGAAAAGGAAGAAUAGUUUUAUCCAUUAUUGGUUUUUGGUGUUGAAAAACAAAACAUUUCUAAAAAUACAUUUGUGUUGGUGUUUGUCAAAUAUUGUUUGUGGUGUUGAUAAACACAUUUUUUUAUUGAUAACAAUUAAGUGUUGAUACUUUACAUAAUCCUUGUAAACGGUAAUUUUGUUGAUAUAUCAAUGGUAUUGUUAUUUGCUUGUAUUAUGGUGUUUAAAUGAUAAUUGAUAUAAAAAUUUCAUAUGUUGAUUAAUUUAUUAAUCAAAUAUGCAUUAGUUGAUUAAUAUAAACUAAUCAACUCUUCUUUAAUUUUGUAUGAGUUGAUUAAUACAUUAAUUAACUCUUCUAUAACUAUGCAUUAACUGAUUAACUAUGCAUAUAUUAGUUGAUUAAUGAUUACUGUAAUUAUUAUAUUUUACAUUCUGUUCAGCUGAUUACUAAAUUGAUCAACAAAGCUUGAGUUGUAUGGGAAUGGUGAACCGUAGUGGGAAUGUUGUCAUUCUAAAAUCCUAAACGAAUGGGAAUGGUGAACCCUAGUGGGAAUGGUGGUCUUAAAGACACUCUAAACCCUAUUCUAAAACCCUAAACCAAUGGGAAUGGUGAACCCUAGUAGAAUGCGGUCUUAAAGAAAUAAUUUUGUCAUUCUAAACCCCUAAAACCAAUGGUAAUGGUGAACCCUAGUGGAAUACGAUCUUAAAGACUUAAUGUUGUCAUGCUAAAAUCUUAAACCAAUAGGAAUGGUGAACCCUAGUGGGAAUGGUCUUAAAGACACCCUAAACCCUAUUCUAAAACCGUAAACAAAUGGGAAUGGUGAACCCUAAUGGGAAUGAUGUCUUAAAGACACCCUAAACCCUAUUCUAAAACCCUAAACCAAUGGGAAUGGUGAACCCUAGUAGGAAUGUUGUCUUAUAGACACCUUAAACCUUAUUUUAAAAUCCUAACCCAAUAGGAAUGAUCAACCCUAGUGGGAACGAUGUCUUAAGUACACCUUAAUGUUGUCAUUCUAAAACCCUAAACCCUAUAUCAUAAACCCUAAAUAUUAAACCCUAAAUGUAAACCUUAUAUAUAUAUAUAUAUAUAUAUAUAUAUAUAUAUAUAUAUAUAUAUAUAUUAAAAAAAACACUAAAAUAUUUAAAACCCUAGGAAAAAAAGCAAGAGUUGAUUAUUACAUUAAUCAACAUUUCCUUAGUUGAUUAGUAUAUUAAUCAACUUGUCAGUACACUUCCUGAAUACAUGAAAGUUGAUUAAUACAUUAAUCAACCUUUCCAUCUUUGAUUAAGAUAUUAAUCAACUUAUCAGUAAAACUUUCCUGAAUAAAAUAAAGUUGAUUAACACAUUAAUCAAUCAUUACUGAAUGUCCAUCCUUCUCAUAAACUGAAGUAAAUUAUACUGUCACAACUAAAUUAUAUCGUCACCACAAGUGAAAGAAAUAAAAAAAAAACUAAAAUUGAAAAUGAAUUAUAUUACCACCACAAGUUUUAAUCGAAAAAACAGAAAAACAAAACAUCAAAUACAACUUGAAUUUAAUUGUUGUUCAAAUAUGGGCAAGUCCUCCUAUUGUGAUGAUCAAGAUUAAAAGCAUUGCCACAAGUAUGUUUUUCCCCCAUUUUCUUCAACCACAUACGAACACCUUCUUUACUAUACGACUUCAAAUAAAUCAUCCACUUAGCAACAUCAUAUGAAACAACAUCAUCAAUUGAAACAUCAUUUGAAGCAACACUUCCACAUGAUUCCACAUUUGUAUAAAACAACAUCAUGUAAUCAACACAUUAAUACAUUCACAUUAAUAUAGUUAAUUAACACAUUCACCAACAAAAAUAAUGAAAACAGGGAGUUGAUUAAUACUGUUAAUCAACCCGAAUGCUUAAAACACAUAGUUGAGCAACCAAAAAUACUCAAAACACAUAAAAACUAUUGAAUGGCGAGUAGUUCAACAUAAAAAAACAUUAAGCAUUGAAAUUCAAGGACAAAUUGUGAUUCUAAAACAAAAACACAACCAAAAUCAAAAUACAAUCUAAAUUAAUAAAAUAAACUAAAACACACCUAUGCAAUCAAUUAUCCUCAUCUCCAUUUGAAAUCUCGAAUUGCCAAAUCAAAACAAUUGAUGAUGUGAACAAACAAAGUUCUUUAAAAAUCAAAUGAAGAAUCGAUUUGUCAAAUCGAAUUAAAAAAUCAAAAAUCUCCGCUUUUGAUUUGAUUUGCUCUAAAAACAAAUCAAUUGAUGAAGAGAACACACAAAUUUCUUUCAAAACCCAAUGAUAAAGAUCCUGUAAAAUCGAUUUGACAAAAUCAAAACUCUCUUGUCUAUGAUUGAUAAUUCGAUGGAGAUUGUUAAAGAUUCUUCAUCUUGUUGAUUAUUGAGAAGCAAAGAUCCUUUAAGAAACAAAGUUCUUCAAAUUUCGUUCUUCAAUCCUUCAGAAAACCAGAUCUGAGAUUCAAAUCUAAAUUUUGAAAAUUAAAAACUAAACUAAACAUAUCAGCAAUAAGGGAGGGCAGUUCUGGUAUUACAAAAAAAUGAUGGAACGAUUAAUACGCGGCUUGUCCUGCAUCUGAAAAGCUAAACGUAUAAAUGGACUGCAUGAUAUCCAAACACAAACCCGUGUCCUUGGGCCGAGCAAACGUUAGCUUGGGCCUAAAACCCAAACAAACGUUUGUGGUUGGACUUGGAACGAGUUUCUAGUAAUUAGAUAUUUAUUAGUGUUUAAUAAAGCAAUCACAUGACUUUAUUAUAAAAUUUGUUCAAAAGGAUCACUUUACUUAUACCUUAAUUUCCAUCUUGUUUGUAUAUAGAUAAAAGAUGGUGCAAAUCGAAAAUAGGACUGAUAAUGAAUUUGGUUUUGAAUUGUAAACCAGUUAAGGAAAAUGAAGCUAAACAUGAAAUGGAAGAAAGAAAGAGAGAGAGUGAAAAAACUGAAAAUGUGGUGACCAAUUGUAGUGGCUUUGAUGAUAUACGAUGGAAACCACCACCUACAAGUUGGUUUAUGCUUAAUGCAGAUGGCUCCUUGAAGCUUAAUUCAUGUUUCAAGGAGUUGAAUGAACAAUUCUCUAAUUGUGUUUGGAUAUACACUAUGUGUGCGCCAAUGUCAUUUAUGUGAAUAUAGCGUUUGUUUGAUAUAAAAGGUAAGCUUUUGGUUUUAGUAUGUUUAGAUCAAACUUAAUUGGUAUUCGUAAUACUUAGUGAAUUGAUUAUGAUUAAUGUUUAUAUUUCUUGUUGCGUAAAAGACUGGAUUAUACAUUUAGAUGAAAAGUAGACUAGUUAAAGAAGGGGUUUUCCCGAACCUUGAAUUUUUUUAGUGUAUGUGGAUUGCAUUAAGUUAAGCAAACCAAACACACAAAGAAGAGUCAUAAGAAGUACAAAGCUUCUUGAAAUACUUCAACUAGACAUAUGUGGACUUUUGAUAUUCCAUCUUUUGGUGGAGAAAAGUAUUUCAUUACCUAUUGAUGAUUUUUGUCGUUAUUGUAUCUAUCUACCUACUGCAUAAUAAGUCUCAUAUGUAAAUGUUAUUGAAAUUUACAUAAUUGAAGUUAAAAGAUAAUUAUAUAGAAAGGUGAAAACUAUACGUUUUGAUAGAGGUGGUGAAUUUCUUGGAAGGGGUAUGAUGAGACGGGACAACAUCCCGGUUCUUUUGCCAAACUUCUAGAACGAUUAGGAAUUUGUGUCUAAUACACAAUGUAUGGUUCCCUAUAGCAGAAUGGUGUAACUGAAAGGCAUAAUCGAACACUUAUGGAUAUGGUUCAAAGUAUGAUGAGUAUUUCUAUCUUACCCAUAUAGUUGUGGAUGUAUGCUUUAUGAACCAUAGUGUAUAUAUUGAAUUGGGUUCCUCAUAAUGUAGUUACAAAAACACUUUUGAAUUGUGGAAAAGAUGAAAACCUAGUUUUAGACAUUUACACAUUUAGGGUUUAUCUAAAAAAUCUAAAAGGUAUAGAUUUUACUAUCCUAACCAUACCACUAGUAUUAUUGAAACUGAAAAUUAUUGAUUCAUUGUGAAUGACAAAAUUAGUGGGAGUGAUCAUAUCAAAGAGGUAAUCAUUAAAAUUUCGGUACCAAUUUUGUAAUGAUAUUAUUGUUACUUCUGUUGUUUCUCAUGUUUUUGCACGGCUUAACAACAAUUAAUGAAUAAACAAAUACUUGAUCAUCAAUCAUUUAAUGAGAUUAUUGUCAUUGAAUAGAAGGUAAAUGCAUACAAGAAGUAGUAUUAAGAAGAUCUCAAAGAUCACAAUGACCAGCUAUUUCGGAUGAUCAUGUGUUGUAUUUACAAGAAUUUGAUUUUAAUGAUCCAGUUAACUUAUAGUAAUUCUGAUAAAAAAAAGUUAUGGCAUGAAUGAAGAGAUAAAUUAAGUGUGGAUUUUAACUAAGUCCGAGGUUAGUAGAAUUGACUCAAAAAGGUUCUAUUGAAUGCCAUAAAACGAGACUUGUAUCCAAACACUUUACUCAAUAUGGUGGCAUUAUUUACUCGUGAAACCUUCAUUCAUGUGUUAAGGAAGGAUUAUCUUAGAAUUCUUAUGGCAUUGGUGGCUCAUUUAGAUUUAAAGUUACAUCAAAUAGAUAUAAAAAUGGUAUUUUGAAUGGAAGUUUAGAUGGAGUCUACAUGGUUUAAUUAGCCACACAACUUCAUAAAAGAAGGAUAAGAGCACAUAGUCUGUUUGUUAAAAAUGUCAAUAUACAAACUUAAAUAAACUUCUAAAAAAUGGUACCUAACGAUUAAAGUAUCAUGUGUAUCUUUGGGUUUAAUGUAAACACUAUUAAUCAAUGUAUAUACCCAAAGUUCAGUGGGAGUAAGUUUAUCAUUUUUUUAUGUAUGUCGAUGAUUUAUUGUUUGCUAGUAAGGAUUUUGGUAUUUAUUAACCAAAAUUUUUCUUUUUGAACAAUUUACAAUGAAAGUUAUAGUAAGACAUCUUAUGUGAUAGAAAUAGAAAUAUUUCGGGAUUGAUCACAAUAAUUGUUAAAAACAUCUUAGAAAAAAGCAAAAAAUAAAUAAAUAAAUUUCAUUAAUAAAGUUUUGGAUAGAUUUAAUAUGUUAAGGCAUAAUUGUAAUGAUGUUCCAAUUCAGAGGGGGGAUAUUUGGAUUAAAUCAAGAUCCUACAAAGAAUUGGAAUAGAACGAAUGAAAGAGAAACCCUAUGCUCACAUUUUAAGAGAUCUAAUCACUUUGAGGUGAUUGGUUUUAAAUAUUCGAAAUUUAAUGGGUGUGUGGAUAGUCGAUAAAACAUUAUUAUUUCACCCACCAUAUAAGCCGAAUUUGUAGCAUAUUGUAAAGCUACAUGCAAUGUUGUACAGUUGCAAAACUUUAUAUCAUGACUUAGAGUUUUUAAUUUCUAGGCCGUUUGAAUUUUAUUGUAAUAAUGUUGCAAAUAUAUGUCUUUGUAAGAAUGAUAAGUAUUCUAAUGUUUAGCACAUGAUAUAAAAUACCUAUCGAUUAUCGCUUAAGUUUAGAACAAGUGAGUGUCAAUGGAACACAUUAGUACACGUGUUAGUAAAUCCACUAACUUAGAGCUAGAAAUAAUGAUAUUCUAGCAUCAUGUUAACAAGUUGGGUUUUGAAUAUAACCCAUAACUUAAAUGAUUUCGUGGAUUACUUAGUGCUUAUUAUUUGACAUUAUUUUGAGCUCAUUAUUAUUGAUUAAGUUCUGAAUUUUCUGUUUUUCAUUGUUUAUGUACAUGUAUGUGAAUGGAUAAUUAAUUGUUGACAGAAAUAGUCUUUUACGAAGAUAUUACUGGACCAUUAUUGUUACUUCCGUUUAUAGACCUUGUUAAAUAAAUUGUUGAUAUCGUAGUACAUGGAAAGAACCAUGUCAUUUAUGCGAUGUGGAACCGCCAUGACUCAUAUUAAUGAUUUAAUUAAAUGGUAUUAUGAUAACCAUUUCAGAAACUAAUUAUGCUCUUAUUGCGCGCCUUAUGUAUUCUACAUUAAACCGUAUGUGAGAUUUUACUAUAGACCAAGUGGGAGACUGUUGGAAUUUCCACAUAUAAAGCCCAACCUAUAAUGUGGUCCAUGUACCUUUAACCUUGGUUUAAUAUAGAAAUAAGCUAAUUAGUAAUAGGUUAUGUGGAAGUCGUAUCUACCGUAGAUCUUAACUAUGAUGGAAGGUCUAGAUCUAAUGGGCUUAGGUUUGUAGAUUUAGGUCCUCUCUCCACCUCUAUAAAUUGGUGUAUGAUCUCCAUAUUCAAUUCAUACACUUAUUAUUACAACACAUAUUAGGGUUUAAGAGGCAAGUAGAGUGAAACCUAGAUCUUGUGCAGCUUCUCGGAUCAUCAAUUCCUAUGGACAAAGGUAUGUGUAUUGGUUAGUAAUUAAUUACGUGAUUCAUGAUCUUUAUUGUUUAUUGAUAAUAUUAAUUAUGCUUAUAAACCAACCAUAAAAUAAGACCCAAAUGCUAGCCAACAUCCAUAAAAUUACACUAAGAGUCUGUUUGGAAACCUGGAAUUGGUGUUGGAAUUGAAAAUCAUUUUCCAAAACAUGCAACAAAUUUUGGCCUUUGAUUUGAAAUGAAAAUCCCCAAAUAUCAAUGAAUCACACGUUUCUUCUGAAGGUAAAACUCUUGAUUGUAGGCUUGUUUGUAAUUUUUUUUUCUAUAUAAAGAAACUUUAACACUUCCAUUGUAUAUUAUUUUCGUAUUAUAUCACUUCUUUAAUUUCCUUUCUCAUUUCAAUCUAUUUAUCCAAACAGAUAACAUACGUAUUAGCGAUUUGUAGAAAUUGUGAAUAUAUGAAUAAACUUUGAAAUUCUGAUUUUUUCGAUGUAUUCUUAUCCGGGGUUUUUUUUGUGACUUUCCAGGUACACCUGACAAAGGCAAAACGAAGUUAGAAUAAUGCCCCUGGUUAUAUUCUUAGGAGAAGUAUGUACAUCUUUAUUUUUUUUUACAAACUUGUUGGCAUUGAGUAUUGUAUACCAAUUGGUACAUCGACCAUUUAUGUUUCUUCCAAUAGUCUGGAUCGCAUUUUUUUGCUCUGACUUUUCGCAGAAUUUCCUUUCUUCGUUUUCGUUUUUUUCUAGCCUCGGUUGCGUUAUCGACCACUUUUGUUGCUUCCAUUGAGUAUUGUAUAACAAUUGGUACAUCGACCAAUUCUGUUGCUUUCAUUAGUUGCAAUCGCAUUGUAUUUGCUCGAACUUUUAACAAAUUUUUCUUUCUUUCUUUUCGUUUUUUUCUAGCUUCAUUUGUUUUAUCUUCAUCCAUCCUGUAUUGUGAAUAUAGAUUGUAAGCGCGCAUAUUCAGACAUCUCAUUGUGGUACAGUUUGGGUUAUGGGGUUUAUUUAAACAUUUAAUGGUUGUAUGCAGGUGUUAUAUGAAGGGUUACAUAGGUUGUAAUUAGCAACAAUAGGCAUGAAAUAUGAAUUGUAAGAAUAAAACUCUCUGUGCUAUAGUGAUGCCUGUAUUUUGGAGCUCUUUGUGCUAUGGUGAUGCCUGCAUUUUGGAGCUCUCUGUGUUGCAGUUCUGUAUUUUUUUCCUAUGUCUGGUCUGAGUAUGUAUUUGGACAUACAGGAGGGUUGUCUCCUGAAAGUUAUUCUGAUCAGGCUUGUAAACUGAUGUUAAUAUAAUAUUAACUUAAAUUAAAUAAAUACAAAAACAAACAGAGAAAGUUAUACUUUUGAUUUGUAAGACAUCUAUAAACAGUUUUUGCAUGCGUGUAAAAUACGAUAUAUGAACAGUUAUAUGUAAUAUAUGUAAAGUUCUGACCUGUUUCUUCUGAGGAGGAAGGACUGAAUUUCAGAAUUUUUUGAUAUUCGGUGUUGUAGUAUUCUAUUAUUCCUGUAUUCCUUUGAGGAAGUAGGAUUUUAGAAGGUAGAAGGGAAAAUUACAACAUAGGCCAUUUUUUUUUUAUGGUCUGUGCAAUUAUAAUUAUACCCAAAAUUGCUCAAAACUCUCUUCAAUUAGGCUAUCAAUUUCAGUCUAAUUGAAGAGAUAUUUUCUUAGGAAUAUUUUAUACUUUAAUAGAGUAUAAUAGAUUAAUAUAAAAUUAAAAAUUUCAAUUCUCUAAAAUCAUAAGUUUUAGAAAGGAGCUUUUGUAUAAACCCCUAUAUAAGUCGGCUAUAUUUGCACCACUACAGCAUUAUUAGGUUUUUGCAACAUGAAAUUUGUAACAUUUGUAUUAAAAUGUUGCAAAGGUAUAAUUUGCAACAAUAUAUUUAAAAAAUAUUGCAAACGUUGUAAAUAAUAUUUGUUUGCAACAGAUUAAAUCUCUAAUGUUGCAAACCAAAAAUUAAAAAUAAUAAAAAUAUAUAUUUUGCAAUAUUUUUGUAACUAAUGUUGCAAACCAAAAAUUAGAAACGGUAAGAAAAUAUAUUUUGCAACAUUUUCAUUAAAACAUUGCAAAUCAAAAAACCAGUUUGCGGCUUAGUUAAGAUAGUAUUUCGGGUUUCGGACUCGGUUGGAACGAAGGAACGAAAAAUAAAAAGUUAAAAAAAAAAGGGAAAAAACAACAAGAAUUAAUCGCGCAAAUCUCUUCUUCUUCUUCAUCAAUCGCGCAAAUCUCUUCUUCUUCAUCAAUCGCGCAAAUCUUUCUCUCUCUCUCUCAACUGCUUCUAUCUACUCUGAAAUCUCUUCAUCAAUCGCGCAAAUCUCUUUUUCUUCUUAUCAAUCUCUUCACCAACAACCUACUUUUCAUCAACCUAUUCAGGUAGAAUUCGAUCUCAAUUAGCUCUUAUCUUGAGUUUAAAUGCUUCAAUUUGCUCUGUUUUUGAAUUAUUUUUCUCAAAUUUUCUUAGAACAAACAAAAUUACAUGAAAUAUUGAUAUAAUCUAGUUAAUUUUGUUUGAUUAUAUAUAGUUCAGUAUAAUUGUUGUGUUCUAGGUUUUGAUAUUAUGGGAAGUUAGAAUGAAAUUCUGAAAUCUCUUCAUCAAUUUAUUGAAAUUAUGGGAAGUUAGAAUGAAAUUCUGAAAUCUCUUUGUUAUGUUCUAGAUUUUGGUUAUUUGUUUGUGUGUAUUUUUUUUCUUUAAUGCUUCCAAUCUGUUUGAUGAAAUGCUUAAGCCAUUACUUCAAUUCCGAUUUUUUUUUUUAAGUAUUGAAUAUUUCAUCUCAAUUCCUUUAAUUCCGAUUUUUUUGUUAUAAUUCUGUCAUUAGAACACUAGUAAUGUUUAGUGUUGAUUUCUUUACUAAUUAAAUUUAACAAGUUGUUCAUGUUAAGCAACCUGCUUUGGUCAAUAUACCAAUGUCAUUAGAACACUAGUAAUGUUAUUGUCGAUUCUUCAAUCCCACUUUAGUGACAGAUUACAAUUUUACCCACUUUAUCAAAUGGAUUUUGAUCGGGACACACUUUAUGGUUUUCUGUUUGUUUCAUGUCAUUGUUAAAAACAUCUCAUUUUGUAGAAAAUCAAAUAUAUAUUGACUGGAAUCUGGAAUCAUAAAGCAACAUUAAAUUAAUUUAAAGGGCCAACCAACGCAACAAAGGUAUCAUGCUACAUUAAUAUAGUUAGUAUAAAUUCUUAUUCCUGUUUCAAGUCCAUAAACUAAUGUUUUGUAUUGUAUAUUUGCAGCAAAAGUUUAUCCUCAAGGAAGAAGCAAGAGAGUAUGUCAUGAAGGAUGCCGGAUGUUUAUGGAGAUUAGGAAAAUCCAGGCUACACUCAUUGAUUGAUGCAUGUAAAAAUGAAAGUGAGUUACGCGAAGCAAGAGAGUAUGUCAUCAACAAUGGAAGAGCUUGAUUAGACUACAUAGAUCAAAAACAUUUCAGGUUUGUCCCUUUGUUUGUGGUUGUGAAUUGUUAGAGCUUGGAUGUUCAUUAAUGUUUUGUGGGAACAGUUGAAAAUGAACAGUUGAAAAGCUCGGGUUAUUUGCAAGCAAUACAUCAAAAUGUUUGCCACAUUUUUUAAGUGUUGCAAAAAUUUGCAACAUUUAUAAAUUGUUGCAAAAUUUGUAACAUAUAUAAAUGUUACGAAAUUUGCAACAUUUUUAAAUGUUGCCAAAAUUUGCAAUAUUUUCAAAAAUUGUUGCAAACCUUUUGCAACAUAGCCUUUUGCAAAUGUUACGAAAUUUGCAACAUUUUUAAAUGUUGCCAAAAUUUGCAAUAUUUUCAAAAAUUGUUGCAAACCUUUUGCAACAUAGCCUUUUGCAACAUUGUCCUUGCUGACUAGAUGGGCCCAUAACUUAAAACAACUAGCCACAUGUCUUAAUUAAUCUGAAGACAUUUAAUCUAACGAUUGGCGCGGCUAGAAAUUGUCACUGAAGAAAAUAAAAAUAAAAAUAAAGAACUAGUGAUGAUUUCAAAAAAAAAAAAAAAAAAGAGAAGAAAAAAAUAUGUUUAAAAAAAAAAAACGUAGUGAUGUAGAUAGCAAUAUUGGAUGACUAGACAUCUAUACUCUCUAUUAAAGUUGGACUUGCCCUUAAGAAAAAUUUCUCUUUCCAAAUUAGAUCAAAUUUGAUGCUUCAAUUGAAGAGAAUUUAACAAAGAUUGAAAUUUAAAGGGUUAUUAUUGUAAAUUUAUAUCUAAUAUGGCUUAAAUAGCUAGAUGGCUACAUUUAAUAGCACUAUGGGCAUAUCUGUCUUUUUUCACAAAUAUAUUAACGGCUAGCCAAUGAAUUUAAUGGCAAUAUGACUAUAUUUAUCUUAUUAUCCAAAAAAUAAAAAUUAAAUAAAUAAAUAAAAUAUAAUUUCGUAUUUUACCUUCUUCUUUUCUCAAUAUUUACCGAUGUUCCUCAUACAUCAAAUUCAAUCUAUCUUUUAUUUCUUCUCUAAAUAAUGGUCGGAAAAAAACACACACACAUACACACAACCUUCAUUACAACAGACUAUGUGAAUAUAUGCACGCAAUAGUACAAAUUACAAUAUUGUGCGUCUUUCAUUUUCCUUUUAGUACAGGUUAGAAACAAAAUUAUAUAGGCUUUAUAAUCAUAUAACAUGAUUAUGUUGCGUAAUUAUAGCAUAUUUUCUUAGAUUAGUUUAAUCUUAUUUAUCAAUUAUGCUAAAAAAUUAUUUGAAAAGCUGGCCUUCGGCAAGGGCUGGAAACGGGUCGAAUUCAGGUCAGAUGUAAAUAAAUCCGAAGCUGGAUCCAAAUUCGAUUCGAGUUUAAAUAAUUAAUCUGAAUCCGAGAUUUACCCGAAAAUCCGACUAAAUCCGACAAUUUUCUAUAUAAAAUCUUUAAAAAACAGAUUAAAAUCUGAAUCCGAAUAUGAAUAGGUCUCUUAUUUUUAUCAAUCUGAAUCCGAAUUUUAAUUCGGGUGUAUUCUUUUAUAUGUGAAUCCGACAUAUUCGGAUUUGGUUAAUUCGAAUCAAUUCGCAUCCACUUCCAGCCCUACAUUAGGCCAAAGGUUACCCCAGGAUAUGAAUUCAAUAGUGUUUUCUAAAAUGAUGUAUAAUCUAGACAUAACUAAAGCUCAACCUAAUAACUUGACAAUGAAGUGAUUUUUUUUUCCAAAACAAAUUUUAUUGAUAUUUUUAUUUUUAUUUUUUGUUAAAGAAAAAUUAUUUUAUUGAUAAGCUCAAAGAAUUACACAAAAGUAUAGGACAAACGCACUACAAAUUGCGCUGCAAGUUCUUUCUUUGGGGAUUACGAAACAUUAGGGAUACACCUAAAUAUAAAUUUUAAGGUUUUUUUCCUGAUUUUUGUCGUGAAAGUAGGGACUGAGAGAAUCAGAAGAUAUAAUUUAUAUAUAGGUCCCACCAUUUUUUUUACUAAAACUAAAAGCCGAAAUCCAACAAUAUUUUUUGAUUGGCCAGGUGGGCUUUCAUUGUAACCUAUUACAUACCUCUUUAUACCAAGUAUAGAUUUGUGUAGAUGAAAUACUUAUAACAAAUCUAUACAUAGAUUUGUCGAUAAGCAUGUGGCUCAAAGGUAGCAUCUCUCUCACAAAGUGGAGAUGUUGUGGGUUUGAAACACGUCAGUAGUUGAUUGUUUGAUUAAAAGUUUCCCCACGUAAAUUUAAAAGGGGUAGGGUUCCUCUCAACCUCGCUUAGCUAUAAUAAUAAUAAGAAAAAAAAUAUAUGUUACCUACUAUAAUAAGCUUCAAUAAGCACAUAUAUUUUGCAAUCCAAAAUUUUAUCUUAUGCUUCAACUUGAUCUUUCAAUAGUUUUGUUGGGUGCAUUAGUUGUGAAAGUUUACUUUACUACUGUAAGUUACUAUAUACUAUGUUCUUGCUAAACCCAUUUUUAUAUUCAAAACAUAAGCCUAGACUCCAAACAAAAAAUAAAUAAAAUCAUAUGAUCAGUCUAAUUCAUGGUUUGAACAUUCAUAAGGUUAUUCAUACCAUGGUUUAUUGUCACAAUGAAGUAAAAACAUAAUGAAAAAUUCAAUAAUUGCUAAACAUUAUAUUUAGCUCAAAAUCUCAGUCAAACAUUCAAAUAACAAGUAUUUGACGAGAAACCAUUUCAAAAAUUUUAAUCAACCAUACUUACGAAAAUAAAAAUAAAAAUUAGUGGUGUAAUAAAACUGUAAAAAUGAGAAUGAAACUAAUGACGUACAUUAACAAAAACCUUUCCAAGAGACUACCACCUAAUUUACACUAUUUAAUAACAUUCGUGUAUAGCACGGGCCUUAUAACUAGUUCAACAUAGAAUAUAUAGACUCAAAUGGUUAAAAAAUCUGACAUUUUCAUUCAUGAAUUGAACACAAAAUAUUGUUUCUAUCAAACAACAGUUAAUAAACAAUUGUACUAAUGUACCAAGCUCUCAUGUAAUUUGGUUAGAACAAAAUAACGCUCCAAUACACCAAAAGAUAUUGAUUGUCAGAAAACAAAAUGUAACAAAAAAACUGGAAAAAAAAACUCUCAAGGGCGCCAAGAAACUGAUGACGACGCUUGACUAGGAAUGCUCGUGGAAGCUUGGUUGUUGCCUGUGUCAAACCCGAACAAAGCUGCCAUUCUUGUAUGUCCCAUUUGAGGGUUAUAAGUAGGUGUUGGAACCCUGAAGUACUGCCUUCCAUCUGUUGGUGCUCUCAUAUAUGCAUGAGGUGGUGCUUGUUGAUACAUUGGAUUCAAAGGUGGAGGUGCUACAUGUUGAUAGGGUGGAGCUUGUUGAUACAAUUGCUCGGUUGUAUUCUUACCUCGGCCACGACCACUUUUCCCUUUGGCACCCCUUCCUCCAGCUUGUUCAUACAUUGGAUUCGAAGUUACAUGUUGAUAAGAGGUUGGUACUGGCCCUGAAUGUUCUGCAAAUGUUGUAUUCUUACCUCUACCAUUUUCCCUCCCUUUGCCACCUUUUCCAUUUCCACCCCUUCCUCUAGUUGCUGGUGUUUCUGCGUGUAUUUCACCUUGUGGCUGAUAAAAAUUGAGUGGUUAGCCAUGAUUAACCUUCCUUGGCCUUAUCCUAGGCCUCCCUCCCUUCGCAGUUGCUCCUUUCUUUGGUGGAGCUUGAUUUGCCACAUUGAUGUAAGCCUCAUAUUCUGGACCCCCACCUGUGCAUGUUGUCUUGUUAUGACCCCAACCUUUGCAAGCACUGCACCUAUGUGUAACCUUGCCCCCAUGUGGUCCUGGCUCCUCAUCAAACCCUCUUUUUCUAUUGACAGGUGGCCUUCCUUGUUGUCUAGGGCAUAUUGGUGGUGUCACCAAUGUAGUAGGCUGAAAUAUAACACAAUCAUAUGAAUUAAACACAUAGUAUUGUAGUAGUAAUAAUAAUAUAAUUACAUAGUAUUAAAUUUGUAAUAAUUGCAUAGUAUUAAAUUUGUAAUAAUUGCAUAGUAUUAAAUUUGUUAAAUGUGUUGAAUACUCACUUCAUCCCAGUCAGUUUCAUGUAGAAUAGGAUUCACACUCCUUGCGUAUGCCAACCUAUAAGCUUUGACAGUGAAAAAAGGACUACAGUAUCUAUAUAAACCACAAUGCAUACCAAUUAGCUUGAAAAAUUCUAGCGAAAAAAAUUAACUUGAAACAAAAAUGAAAUAUCAAAUAAGAACUCAAAUACAGUUCAAAAAAAAUUUAAAAACUUACAAAUUCCAAUCCACCCUCAAUGGAUUAAUGACUCUCACAGCAUGGACACAUGGAAUUCCCGAAAUUUGCCAUUCGUUGCAUGUACACUCAAGUUUGUGAAGAUCAACAAUCCACCACAUCCCUGAUUGAUUCUUCUUCACUUGAUAUGUGUAGUCAUUUGACGCACCAACAGUAAAUUCCUGCAUUUUUGCCUUCCUCUUCUCAAUUAUGUCAAGAACCCUAGGAACUAAAUCAUUUUCAUCCCAUCUCAUACUUUCUUUCUCCCUUUCAUAGAAUUGUUUCAUGAGCAAUGUCAUUAUUGUUGAAACCAAGGAAACUAUUGGUUUGUCCCUCGAUUCAGAUAUAAAAUUGUUGAAAGACUCACUAAAAUUAUUAGUGGUAUGAUCAGACUUGCACUUCAAAUCAAACUGUGACCUUGCCCACACAUUAGGAUCAGCGUUCAUUAAAUACCCACUAGCUUCACUGUCAAGCUUCUCCAACUCUUUCAUUUUAUAUUUCCAAUAACUUUCUGUCCAUGCCUUAGAAGCUGCCCAUGCCACUUUCUCAAUACCCCUAUAAUAUCUUCUCAUGUUGCUCACAAUAUGCCUAAAACAAAAUCUUUGUCUACAAUCUGGAAACACUCUUUGUACAGCUGAAUCUAGCCCUUUCUGUCUAUCAGACAUAAUAGUUAAAUGUUUCGCAGGAUGUCUAGACAAGUGUGGUUCAAGUAUAUCCAAGAAUCUAUUCCAGUUCUCCAAAUUCUCUCUAACACAUAUGAAAAUAGCAAUAGGAAAUAGACCAUUAUUCCCAUCCAAUGCCGUCACAGACAAGCACACGCCCUUGUAUUUACCUUUUAAAUGACAACCAUCCAGACCAACAAUGGGUCUACAACCAGCAAGAAAACCUUCCAACGAUGCCUUGAAGCUUAAACACAAAAACUCAAAACUACCAAAUUGAUCAUCUCUUGAACAACCACAUAUACCACCAGGAUUUUUUGCGAGGAUUUGCUUACACAACUCUGGAACUUUUCUGAAACUCUCUUCAUAGUUUCCAUAAACCAACUCCAUGGCAAGUGUCAACGAGUUCCAUGCCUGGCCAGUACUUAAUGUCGAGGUGAUGGUUGUAUCACAUAUCUGCUAUUACAUCCCUAGGAGUGUAAGAUCUGUGAUGAAGCUUCAUAGAUUGUUCAAUCUGUUUCGCUAUCCAAGGAGACUUAGCUGUAGGAUUCCUUUCAGCGGUAUAACUUACAUGUGUAUGGUGAUCAUGCAAAUUGCCUAACCUCAUGGUAUGAUUAUCAGUCAUUCGUCCAAUUGAACACCUCCACUCACAUGCUUUAUCAUCCUUAGACUUACCCAUGCAAAGUGCUACUACUCUGUCACUAUCAUUCUUUUUCAUUUUUAAGUGAAACUUAUAGUGAAUGGCAUGACUUUGAAGAUAUAAUCUACACUGAUAAAUAUCAUCCCAUCUUUGAUUUUCAAAUAAUACAAACUUUUCUGUCUCACCUUCUUGUACCCAGUUCUCAUCAUCAUCUAUUCUAGAAGUCUUCCUGAUAAAAUAAAUAUCCUUGUCAAGAGGUCCAUUAUCUUUCUUUGGUUGGCUAUUUAUCUUUUCUUUCCUUUGUCUACCCGGCUUUCUGCGAGUUGCUUGUGUUUGUGCAUGUAUUUGGGUCUCUGCCUCAGCUCUUUGUCUUGCCCUUUCUAUCUCUUCUUCUCUUAAUGGCCCCUCAUCAACCUCAUCUUCUGAAUCUGUACUUUCACCAAAGCUAUGAUACUCUUCUUCAUCAUCAAUUCUGUCAAAGUUGUAGACCUUUUCCUUCCUAACUUGUCUACCAACAUUAACUCUCUCAUGUUCAACAUCAUCAACUCUCACACUUUCAUUAAAAUCAUCACUGAAACCUCUUACAUUUGCAUCAACAUCAAUGAACUCAGCAGCGUCAAAAUCAAAAUUAACAGCUGAAAAAUACCAAUUAAAUUACUAAGCUCAGAGAACUAUCAAUCAAGAUAAUUAUAACACAAUAAUAAUUCUGAACUCACCUUCAGUAAAGAGCUCACUAAAACUAGGACCAUUAACAACUUCAGAUGUUUCAGCAAUUCCACCAAUAACUUGAGACAAAAAAGAAAAACAUUUACAAACACAUAUACUUUAAUCAACAAUUUUUAAUUAAAUUUUAUAAGCUAGUUUAGUUUAAGGAAUUUGACUCACCAUGUGAGGUACUUGGAACAAGACAAGAUGUUUCCAUGUGGUCUCCCUCGUGUGCAAAUAAACCAGGUUUGGUGGGGGUAAGUGCAAAUAUAGGGCUUUAUACAGAAUCUUCCUAUAAAUUAUAAAUUAAUUCCAAUUCUAAAAAAACCGGGCCUGUUUACUUGUAGGAAAUUUUCUCAGUUAAACAGGCAAAUUUUCACAAAACAAAUAGAGUUUAGUUUUCUCUCAAAUCAAACAAAGAGAGAAGGAAGAAGAAGAGAACUUUGUUAGAGAGUUUGAGUUGAAAACAAACACAAUGAUGUGAAAUUGAUGAUGUAGAGAGUUGAAGAAGGUUGAUAGUUGAAGGCUUGAAGCGUCGAUCGUCGUUGUUUGAACCACAAAACUUGAAGCUUUGGUUGGAUUCUACUUAAUUGGAGUUCAAUAAUGGUAAAUCAAACAUACCCAUUAUUUUAAAUCUUGUUUAAUUUAUCGAUUUUUUGAAAAAAAAAAAAAAUGGUUAGGGUUUGUAAUUUGGGGCUUUUAAUAUUUAAUCAUAAAUCAACAAUAUUUUUACCUAAUUUAACAUACUCUUUACAAUUAAAUCACGCCGUGUUUGAUUGUGUUUGAAUUUCGAUAUUAAUCUUGUUGUAUAAAUCAUAUUGUGUUUGAAUCCAUGGUUUGGUUGGUUGCAGUAUGGACCACAAUUUGAGUUUUUGGGUUCUUUCUAUUUUGUAGUAGUUAUAUAUGCUGAAUAAAUCAUUUAAAGGAAACUUUGUUUUGAGAGAAAACUAAACUCUGUUUGUUUUGUGAAAAAUUUGGUUUUUUUUCUAAAAGACUUGGUUUUCAUCUAUUCAGAUGUAACCAUUAUAGAUCAUUAGAUUAAUUUUAAGAUGUGAGGCUAGGAUUAAGCCACGUAUUAAGUAGGUGGGAUAUUUGGUGGAAAAAAUGGUUUAGGAGGGAAAAGGGUAUUUUGGUCUUUUGGGGUUAUUUGGACACGUGUCAUCCUUAUCAGAAAAUAGGGGUAGUUUUGGUAUUAUAAAAAUAUUUUAUAUAAAAAAAAUCAAAAAUUGAUUUUCGUAACUCUGUUUCUUUUUUCCGUCCAUUUGGGGGGAAACUGCUAUAUUUUUUAAAUUGGGGGGGUAACGCAAAUUUCGACUUUCAUUUGGGGGGUAAGUGCCAAAAUCUCAAAAACGUUUAGUUUUUCACAAAACAAACAUUCCAAAAAUGGGUGAUGGGACUCUGUUGUUGCAGUGGAAUUAGUUAGUCACCCAGUUCUUAAAAACACUCCAGAUGAAGUAUUAGUUAGUGACAUGAUUCUUAAAAUUGUUAAAUUAGAUCUGAUUCCAUGUUAAGGGUUCAGAGUAUCAAAAGUUCAACCUAAAGGCUAGACGUAAUCCGCUUGCUUUAUAUUAUGAAAAACACUCUGACUAGUAACCACAUCAUUUCAAAAAUGGGGAUGGCACUCUGUUGCAGUGGAAUUCCCUAGCUGAUAGCGAGAAAUUGUGUUGGUUAAGUGAGUCUACAAUGACGUGGCAUGUAAGUCCUAAGUAAAAGUAGUUAAUUACUGCUCCUUAGCUGCUCAUAACAAUUUCAAAGCAUACACACUUUACAAAUCAAAAUCGAACAAACAAACAGCUUCAUAAAUCAAAUAAAGCGAUAACAAAAACAAUUAUUCCUCUUAAUCAUACUACAUUUCUACCUAAAAUUGAACAAAAUUCACAUAAAUUAAAACUUAAAUCGAAGAGAGUUAAUACCUGAACAAAGAGUUCAAGAUCUUUUCCAAUAGGAAAAAGAUUCAAAUCAUAAUCAAAACAGUAAACAUGAACUCUACUACCAGAACUUCCAGCAUCAAAGAUAACAGCAUAAGAUUUUUUCCCAGGAAGAAAAGUUCUUCAAUUAAGAAUAUAUUCAUGAGAUUGAGAAGAAGAACCAGGCAUAAGAAACAGAACAAAUGAAAUAAGAAUAAGAGGAAUUGAAACAACAAGAAUAGCACCACGAAACCGAUAAAUCUUAUCCGAUACAGAUUCUUGUCUACUCCGUCUAUUAAAGUCAUCAAUUUCACAAAUAUGAUCCAAGACUACUUAUAUGAUCAAAAUUUUCACUAAAUUUCAAACCAACUCAAUAAAGAAAUCACAACUACAAGAAUACCCACUUCUUCAAAAUCCAUUUAAACGAUCAAAAUCAUCAACUUGAACUCACAUCUUAAUCAAAACCAGCUGAAUUACACAAAUAAAAAGUAGAAAAAUGAACAAUUUUUUACAGUAAAUUGGAAAAAUCAAGACAUACCCAGAAUCGAAUAGAACUCCAAAUCCUUGAUUAUGUAAUCUGAUUUGGUAAUUAUGAAAAAUCAGAAACAGCUGAGCAGAGAGAGAGAGAGAAGAGAGGAGGAAGAAGAAUAGAUUGAUGUGCAAUUUCUCCUUCCUUUCGACGACGAUUUGUUUUCUAAUUGGAAAACUCUAAAUUGAUGUUUUCCGUUUUUAAGUUAAGGAUGGAAAACAGAAAAUUAUAGAAAACCAGAAAACUGUUUUCUAAAACUGGAAAAUAAGCUGAAGUAAACAUGUUUUCUAUUUUUUAUUUUCUUUAGAGAUAGUUUUUCGGAAAACUGAGAAAAUUUCCUACAAGUAAACAGGCCCAGGCCUGUUUACUUGCGAAAAACUGUUUUCAGUUUUCCAUUUCCAUUUUUCUUUUCUAUCUCUAGUUUUCUUUUUCUAAUGAAAAUUUUGGAAAAUUGGAAAACGUGUUCACUUGAUUUUAAAAAUUAGAAAACUGUUUUCUGUUUUCUAUUUUUUUUUUUAACAACUUUUUUUUUUCUCGAAAUAAUAACAACUUUUAUUGAUAAGCUCAAAGAAUUACACAAGCUUGAACGUAAAAGACAUAUAAUCCAGGUAUGUUUGGAUAGCCAGCAUCUACAACAUAGUAAGAACCUACAAUUAAAGAAAAUAUUAUUAAUGGGAGAUUAAACUCGGAGAUCAAGCCAUUACAACUGAACUAGUAUUUAACUGAUUUUAACUGAUACAUACUAGCUCUAUGUUUUUAACUGAUUUUUUUUCACUACAGUAUCUAGUAAGCUCCACAUACGCUUGAAAGGUAAAAGACAGACGCAGCUGAAGCAAAUUAUAAUCCUCCAUAGGGCUUAUAUUUAGAAUUUAAGAGGUACGGACUCUCUAUUUUUCUGUGUACAGUGUACACACGCACACACUCAUUUGAAGAUCAUAUAAAGGACAAACACACUCUAGUAUGAAAAAGCAGGUCUUUAUGCUUAUGUCCCAGAUGAUUACUCUGGUCAUCCAUGCAGAUGUAACCAUUAUAGAUCGUUAGAUUAAUUUUAAGAUGUGGGGCUAGGAUUAAGCCACGUAUUAAGUAGGUGGGAUAUUUGGUGGGAAAAAUGGUUUAGGAGGGAAAAGGGUAUUUUGGUCUUUUUAGGUUAUUCGGACACGUGUCAUCCUUAUCAGAAAAUAGGGGUAGUUUUGGUAUUAUAAAAAUAUUUUAUAUAAAAAAAAUCAAAAAUUGAUUUUCGUAACUGUUUCUUUUUUCCGUCCAUUUGGGGGGGAAACUGCUAUAUUUUUUAAAUUGGGGGGGUAACGCAAAUUUCGACUUUCAUUUGGGGGGUAAGUGCCAAAAUCUCAAAAACUUAAGUUUGGACCCAACCUUUGAUUUAAUCUCUGCCUCAGAUCUUACAGAUCUCAAGACGAUCCAGACCAUUGAAGUAUUGAACACAACUUAAGUUUGAACCCAACUAUCGAUUUAUUCUCACCCACAGAUCUACCCACAGAUCUUAAGACGAUCCAGACCAUUUAACACAACUUAAAUUUGGACCCAACCUUCAAUUUAAUCUCACCCACAGAUCUCCCCUCAUCAACAAAUCUCUAGACGAUCCAGACCAUUCUUUGUCUUAUCCAGACAAACUGUGUUUGGGGUAUAGAUUUGAAAUGGGCCUGCUUUCUAGUAGGCACAAUUAACUUUCUAAUAAGAGAUUUUUGGACAUACCCCUAUUUGAAAGUCGAAAUUUGAGAUACCCCGUUUCAAAAUUUCAAGACAGAAGAGCUUUACAGCAGUAGGUGGUGAGUUUUAUGAUGGACGGCUAAGAUAACACCACAUCUUGAAAUGGGGUAUCUCCAGUUUUUUUUUCUUUUCAAAUGGGGUAUCUCAAAUUUCCAGGGGGAGGGUAUGUCCAAAAAUCUCUUUUAAUAAUAACUAGGGUCCAAGACCAAGAUCGAUACUAGUAUACUCUUCUCUCUCUGCUGCUGCUGCUUCUUCUUCUUCUUCUUCUCUACUCUGUUGCUCACUGCUUCUUUGAUCUUGUAUGUCACCUUGAUGAACUAAUCUAAUCCAAUCUGACAUCAGGUCCUUUGUUUGUAUGUUGUAUGUUCGCUCAGAUUGGAUUUACAGCAGAGAUCAAAUGACUUGACAGCCCACGUAAGUUCAUUCUAUUUCAACUUUAAAUUGAACUUGCUUUUAUAUGUUUAUUCUUUCAAUUUUAUGACCUAAUUCCAACUACUUUUGUUGAUUUUUUUUUUCUGGAUAAUUUAAUAGAUCAAUCAUAAAUAAGGCCAUGGUUUUAUCUUUGCAUUGAAUGAAUUGAAACACUAUUUUGGUACCAAUCAAUCGGCAUUUUAUACUAUUAAGGUUCCAACACUGCUGUUUUUCUUAUUGUAGUAUUUUCGUUCGAGUUUCUUAGUAUUAAUCUUGCUGCUGGCCAUGACUGGAUUUUCUGCAAAACCAUUUAGGAGAUCAGUUUCUCAAUACCCAUUUCUUGCUUUGGUUAGAUUUUGUCAUUCGGGUUCCAACUUGCUCUCAAAUUCCUUGCCCAAAACUGCUGGAAAUGUAGCUCUAUUCUGGGAUUUAGAUAACAAACCACCUAAAUCAAUUCCACCGUUUAAUGCUGCUAUUAGAUUGAAGAAGGCAGCAUUUUCUUUUGGCUUUGUUCGAUAUAUGCUUGCAUAUGCAAAUCACCAUGCUUUUCGACAUGUUCAACCUGUAGUUAGAGACCAAAGGAAAGAGAAGAAGAAAGUGAUUCAGUUUGAGAAUAAAGGGGUAAUUAAAUCAGCUAAUCCCAAUGUUUGUCGAGUUUGUGGGAGGAAAUUUUGGACAAAUGAGAAGCUUAUGAAUCAUUUUAAGUUACACGAGCAUGAACAGAUGAAACGUUUGAAUCAGCUGGAGUCAUCGAGAGGGAAGCGAAGGGUCCAACUGGUGGCGAAGUUCUCAAUGAAGAUGGAGAAGUAUAAAAAUGCUGCCAGAAAUGUAUUGCUUCCGAAGGUAGGUUAUGGGCUAGCGGAUGAGCUUAAAAGAGCAGGAUUUUGGGUCAAUCUUGUGUCAGACAAGCCUCAAGCGGCAGACACUGCUUUGAGAAAUCGGAUGAUUGAAUUGAUGGAUAAGAAACAGGCUGAGUGUUUGGUACUCGUAACCAACAAUUCUGAUUUCACCAAUGUUCUCAAGGAAGCUAGAUUUAGGUGUCUCAAAACAGUUGUUGUGGGGGAUAACAAUGAUGGAGCUCUCAAGAGAUGCGCUGAUGCUUCAUUUUCAUGGAAGGAAAUUAUGUUGGGGAAAGCUAAAAAGGAGGCAGUCUCUGUGUUGGGACGUUGGAAGGAUCGUGAUGUUUUGAAAAGACUUGAGUGGACAUACAGACCAGAGUUGGAGAAAGCCAAGCAGAAUUUGGACGAUUCUGAAUUUGAAAUUGAGGAUGGUGACAUCGAUGAUAUCAUGUUUGAUGAAAGUCAUGAUCUUUUGAAAGAUGCAAGGCCUUGGUGGGAGCUACAUUCUGAUGACAAUGACACACCCACUAAAUCAUGAUUGCCUUUUCUUUUGAGCUAAGUUACUCAGUAUUUAAAUUUGUACUCUGAAUUCGUUCUAUACUCUUUAUGUGAACAAGGUUAAGUAUGGGACGUAUUGUGACUUGUUUUGCACUUUUGCUUUCUCCCUUAUUGCACCCACUCUUCCUGAUUUCAUCUUCAUACGAAUGUACUUAUAGCCUAUUUUCUUGAGAAGUUUGUAUGUCUAAUGUUUUGUUAUUACAUUAUUGGGUUAGAAGUUUAGUUAGUCUAUGUUUCUGAUUGUGUUUUGUGUAUUAUCUUAUUUAUUAAACAAAAGGAAGCAGUACCUAUAGAUGAUUAGUUCUAUGCAAAGUAAGAAACACAUUGUCAUGUUUAUGACACCUGAUAUACAAACACAAUUUUCACUAUAUUUCUUAUUCGCAGUGUUUUUUAUGACGAUUUCUUUAAAAAAUAGGGUGGCCUUGUUAAUAGUGGGGUUUAUUUCAAUUCCUUAGGACCCUUCCUGAAACGUAAUAUUUGCGAGCACGUUGUAAGAUUGUGGCCCUUCAUGUGUCCUUCAAGUUUGGGAUCCUUGUCUUCCAAAGUUCCAAGCAAUACUGUCGGUUUGAAUUUAUUAAUGAAAUGUGACUGGGAAAUCCUCAGCACAAGAAGUGGAAGGACUACAUCCAGUGUGCAAAUUUGUUCUUGGUGUAAAGCAAUGGAGUGCAGAUCAAGAAUUGGUUAGUUACAUGGCUUUGAGGGGGGUUCUGUUGUCAUGCUUGUGGUGAAAUCGUUUCCUCAUAGAAUUGCUACAUUUACUGUUAUAGGAGUUUGUACCAAGGUUCUACUUUUAAGAGCACAGAAAGCUAUGUUUUUUUAACUGGGGAAAUUGUUUUGGGGGAUAAAAUAAUAAAAUAUGCUUUAUUAUGUUUCUAGUGGAUGCAUGCUUUUGAUUGUGAGUAAUGCUCUACUUGGUUAUUUUUUCAAUCAUACAUUUAUAGAAAGUGUGGGAAUAAAUGUUUUAUGCAGCCAAGGUGAAGCAUAAGACAAAAUCAGAUAAUUCAUAGCUUGAUCAAGUCUUGCUUCAACUGUCAAGCUUUUAAACUUCUGUCUUGGCGAUGAUACGUAAGGCAGAGAUUUUCAAAAAGAAUCAUGAAAAGCUGCAAUGGUUGGCGCCGACUUGUCAUUUGUCUCCCCAUCAUUUUCUUCCUUCCGUACUUGUUCUCAGGUAAAGAAAAAAAAAAUGCUGAAAUGUUGUUAAUAUGUUAUCUUUUGAUGUUCUUAACUAGAUCCCAUUUAAAUCCCUCUCUUGCAUUCUUCAGUUUUGGAUUUACACCAAAUAUCAAAUAUUGAGAAGUUGCCCAAAAAACAUAGCAACAAAUUCGAUCAUCUAGUUCUUGGGCCUGCUGCUGGUCAAGGUCUGCAUGACCGAUUGCAAUGUCAAGGUAUUUUCUCUGUCUUUCUCCUUUCCUCUUCACAACAAUUUUGGGAUUAACAAUAAUGCACUAGGUCACAAUAAAUAAAUGACUAAAACUGGCAAGAAAUAUAAAGAAGUAAGCUAGAAAGACGGAAAAGGCGAAAAUAACUUGCUGCUUCACAGCUCAUGAGCUUCUCUAAAAAGAAGACCUAAAAAUAAAUCUUUGUAACCUUACGAACACAUGGGAUUUUUUUUUUAAUUUUUUUCUGAUUGUUAACGUUUUCUUCUUGUCUUAUUGUUUUAGGUAAAAACUCAUGUAACAUGUUAAGAUUUGUGACCUAUUAUUAAGGAAUCCAACAAAUUACCACAAGUUAAAAUACAUGCAUCACGCCAUCCCCAAAUUAAUACCAAACAGGGUGUCCCUGAAAUACAAAAUGUUCAAAAUAGUUUCUCCUCAACUCUUCCCAGUUCCCACAACUUAGUCCAAAUACAAAGUUGACUUUCGAUUGAUAGGAUAAACUUUUCAGUGGUCUUAUGCUUUUGGGUUAAUUGGAUAUAGUGAAUGGAAAUAUAGGUAAAGAAGACAUUGCAGGAGAAAGGGUAGGGAUAGACAUAUCUGGCCAUUUGUGGGGACAGGAAUAUCCCACGUAUAUGCUGAAUUCUCCUUGUAAUUGCAUUGAACUCUGUCUGGUUUGGUCUUUCCGACAAUAGUCCAAGCUGAUUUCAAAUUUUGGUUGGGAAAUUAUUGGGGAUAGCCAGAAUGACACUGGUUGCAACUUACAACUCUUUUUUUUUUGGUUGCAACUUACAACUCUUUUUUUUUUUGGUUGGAACUUACAACUCUUUUAGCCUAGCUUUAUUAUCUCGUCUUAUUGUUUUAGAAAACAACUCAUGUAACAUGUUCAGGUUUGUGCUUAUUGCUGGGGAUAUUUUAUCAUCUCAUGUAGUUCAUAUUUAUAUUCUCUCUCCUUACUGCGAUAUCUAUGAAUAAUGAGCCCCCUUAUGUCCAUUUACUGUAUAUCAAACAUGAAGGGAUAAGAAAAGCAAGAAAUACGUUUUGUUCUACAGUGUUCUUUAUUUGUUGUUCUAUUUUCACGGUUAUGUAAAUUCCCUGUUUGCUAACUCCACCCUAUUUUUCAUUUGUUGAUUUUUGCUAGCUCCUCCAUGAUUCCCACUUAUUAAUAAUUAAUGCCAUAAGAUUAAAUAUUUAACAUCUGUUGUGUUAUUUGCAUUGAUGCAGGUCUGAAAGCCCUAAAUAAGACCCAUCUUCCAAAUAUGUCUCACACCCCUGAUUAUAAGGACACCGUUUCUAUGGUAACUGUCUUUACCGUCUACAAUACUUCUGUCUCUGCACGUGCGAAUGAUCGAUCAAAUGAGAUGGUGACUGUUGGAAACACCUCAUAUAGCAAGACAGAAAGGUCAAUGGCUGUAUUGAAUGCCUUUAUUAACUUCAUCCAGGUAAUUUAACUAAAAGGUUCCAUAUAUUUUAUUAAGAAAGUGUAAAGUUAAAACUGUAACUGCAACUUAAUGAGAUGAUAUUAUGCUUAGUUAUUGUUUUGGAAAAGUAAAAAUAAAAAAAUUAAAUUGAACAUUACGCUUAGUUAUUGUUAUGCUCUCCUACAUACUUCGUUGAACUAUAGAGAAACUAACAUCCCCCUCAAUCAAAUCCAUGUCGAUGCUAAUGAUCAUCUUUUAAAAGAAAAGCAAUUUCAUUUAGUAGCAUCCUUAUAACAUCAACAAGGGUUGUGGUAUGUAUUCCUGUUCUGGCAAGAUACUAAAAUUUGUAUCCAAGCCAAGGAUUACAUUACCUCUAAUUUGUAUUUUCAACUAUUGGAAGAAAAGUAAAAGGUGUCCUUUGUGAUGCAAAAGAAUCUGCUCAGUGUAGUUCUAUGUCAAUCUUAUUUGCUGUGUAAUGCUCUAUUCUUACUCCAUUGUCUUUCAUCAGAAAGAACAUAGUGAAAUAUGAAAGGUAUCGAUUAAUAAUUCCCCGAAAGGUAUCAGGUUCUUGUAUUUUAAGCACUACCCUAUGUUACAAUUAUGAAGGUUUGUGUUAACUUGCCAACAAAAGAAUUUGUCAUGAGACACAACAUGUUGUGCAAUUGAUUUUUUGUAACGUUUAGGUUUAUGAUAUGACAUAAAUUGCUGCGCAGAUGCCUGGAUAUAUCGUAAUUCUGAAAAAUCAGCAAAUAACUUUGGCGUAUUUUGCAUUGAUCAUCACUGCAAAUUUUGGUCAUAUACUAGAAGGGAAUAGAAUGGUUUGUGUCUAAGAGUAUGCAUGUACUGCAGCUUAGACUCUUGUUCUUUAUUCAACAUCUAUCAUGAAGUAAUCCUUUUAGGCUAAUUGUGAAAGUAGCUAUAAUUUGUAUAGAUUAAGUACGUCACCACUUUUUGGGGGUAUAUUUGCACAACGUCCUCACUUUAUUUUUUAUUUGUGUUUAGUCACCAUUCCGUCUCAGCCUCGUUAGUUGACCAAGUCAACCUUUAGUUGACUGAUUCAAAUAUACGUUGACUGAGAUCGAGCUUCAAUAAAUUAAGAAAUCGAAGAACAACAACAAUGAAGAGAAAAGAGAGAAAAAAAUACCUAAGUUUUUGUUGUGUGAUAACAGUUUGACCAGGUGAAAGUUGAGUUGACCGUUAGAAUUAACGAAGCUGACACGGAAUGGUGACGAAAUGCAAGUAAAAAAUGAAGUGGUGACGCUGAGCAAAUUUACCCCAAAAAAGUGGUGACGAAACACAAAUUUUCUCUUAAGUAUAAUUUUUUCAGUAAAUAAAAAUAGAUCAAAAUACUAAACUUUCCCUGCCACAUCUAACUUGGAAUUUCUAUGUUGACUUUGUAAUUUAUGCAGGUAUCAAUGCCCCUGAGCAAUAUUAUAAUUCUCACAGAUCCAGCUUCUGAAUUUAAAAUAAACAAAAAUAGGGUGACUGUCGUCCCAAUUAAAGGUGAAUAUUCACGAGACAAGUUGAUGCUUCAAAGAAUCAAGUCUUACAUUGUAAGAGUUUUCAUCGCAUCAAUCAUUAAGUAAUAGUAAUAUUGCAACUGAGAUUAUUAGCUAUCCUGCUACAUGCUUCAAGUCUACUGAUUUUCUCGUUAAGUCUACUGAUUUUCUCGUUAGUUUGAUUACUUUCUGCUUUCUGAUGUACAAUGUCUGCUUUUCACUCUUUUGCUCAUAGCUCUCUCUAUGCGUAUUAUUCCAAGUUUAUUUUUGUAAAUACUUGGAAAAAUUUUAUUUGGAGAGGAUGCAUGAAUAAUGAAAUUAUGUUAUGACUUAUUUUGUCGAUCUUCGGGAAGUUUACCUGUUUUUUAAAAGUGUCUAUUUUCUUGAGGUAAUCAAUCAUGCUUUACAGAUUCAAUUUGUUAUCAUGUGCUUUGUGUUGCGUUUACCAUGUGAAGAAUGAUCCACUUUUGUUUAAAAAUAUACAUGCUUGAUGAAUUUCAGUUUUAAAAUAUAUUAAUCAACUAAGUCUAUUUAUUGGAUUUAUUAUAUUGCCAUUAAAUUCUAUAGAAAAAUUCUAGAACUUGUCUAUAGGGAUACUGUAUCUUAUCACAAUGGCAAUGAAAAAAAAAAUUAAUGUUGAGCAAGAGAUGAAAGAUAUCGUUGGAGAAAUCCAUGUUUCAAGUCUGUAUCCCUACUGUUGAUUUUCUUUAUGCAGGCAUUCCUAGACGCAAGGCUUAUAGAGCUUUCUCGGAGGCAUGAACAGAUUCAUCACUAUAUCUUUACAGAUUCAGAUAUUGCUGUAGUUGCUGAUCUAGGACAGAUAUUCUACAACUAUCCGAAAUUUCAUCUUGCUGUCACUUUCAGGAACAACAAAGAUCAGCCUCUGAAUUCAGGAUUUAUUGCUGUGCGAGGGACCCCUGAUGGAAUUCUGAGGUGGGCUCAUUGUAUAAGUUGCUUCAUCUUUCUUUAAACAGCACAUCCCAGACUGAAAUUUUGAUUGCAGGGCAAAAGUUUUUCUACAAGAAGUGUUAAAAGUAUAUAGUUCCAAGUACAUGAAAGCUUCCCGAAUGUUAGGAGACCAGUUGGCACUGGCAUGGCUGGUGAAAUCCCAUCUUUCAUUUGAUGCUAAAAGAUUUGCCAGACCAAAUAGUUUUUUAUAUGACAUUGGGGGAACAUCAGUGCUGUUUCUACCAUGCGCAGUUUACAAUUGGACACCGCCUGAGGGUGCAGGGCAAUUUCACGGCAUGCCUUUAGAUGUUAAGGUAAGUCUUUAUGACUUUAUGCUAUUGAGUUUAUCCAAACAGUUGGGAAGAAAUCUUUGUUUCUUCUUUUCUAUAAAUCCUUGGUAGGUGGAUUCCAUGAUUUUACUCAUGGAAGGUUGCCAAGGUAAUAGCUAUUCACAAUAGAUAUACAACAUUUGAGUCAUCAGAUUAGACUUCACUUUGUUUUAGAGCUCUUCUGGUUAAGUCAUCAGAUUAGACUUCACUUUGUUUUAGAGCUCUUCUGGUUAAGUCCUCGUAAUAAUGGUUGUUCUGACUUCAGUAUAUCUUGUGUGAUACAGGUUGUCCAUUUCAAGGGAUCGAGGAAACGAAUGAUGCUGGAGUCUUGGAACUUCUAUAACUCAUCUGCCUCAGCUGGCAUUUCCAAUAUGUUGUGCCUUAUCUUAAUGAGUGGGAGAACAAAGUAUGAUUUUUAGAUAUUCGAGUGUGGAACAUCAUCGGUUACUUAGAUUAUACAAUUUUUUGUUAUUCUUGGCGUGAGAAGAGAAAAAAAGAAAGAAGGCCUCAACUGGGAAUCCUUUCCCUUAGAUAAUUGUCUAACCUAUACUUCUGUUAACAAAUCCCAUGUAAUCUUUUGCUCAAUUUUGGCUGUAGCUACUGUUAGUGCUGUACAAUUUGCUGUGUUUUCGUCUUGUGGAGUAAAGGUUUAUAACAAUGAAAACAAGUAAGCUGAAAUCACAGUUGGGACUAAUUUAUCCAGGAAUUCAAAAUUCGAUUUCAAUAAAUAUGCUUGGAUUAUUGCAGAUUAUUUUCCAUCGUGUUGGGGGUGUGUUUGAGGGUUUGAGCUGCUGCAGGGUAUAUUUGUCAAUAACAUGAACAACUUUGAACAAUUACUAUUUUUGUAUCAAAGAAGAUUUGAGUAUGAUGUGAAUAAAAUUGGUAAAACUGAUGGUCUCUUAAUAUUUUGGGAAAUUUAUCAAUGAUUUUAUUGAAGGCCAUAGACAAGCAAAGCUCCAACUCCAGCUAUUCCUGCAACCAGUCCAAUAAUUACUCCAAAAGGAGGCAAUCCCCCACCUAUUGGCUUUCCAGUGUUCACAUCAUAUCCUGUAAACCGCUUCUUUGGCGCGUUACAUUGUGGGCAUGUGUAAGAAUCAGGCUGCAAAAUACGAAAACGUUUUAGAAGGUAACUGCUGCAUUAACACGCCCACAAGAGGGAAUUAAAAGAGGGUUUGGCUUGCCUGUUCUUCAAAAGGUUUGGAUAAGGUGUAAAUGAAUCCACAAUCAAUGCAUAUGUGAGUAGCUCUUGCCUGCAAUAUGGUGCAUCACAUUACAAAUAUAUAAUCUCUAUACAAGAGCGCAUACAGAACAAAAGAGACAGUAUAGAUCAUAGCCUGCCUUUUGUGAGUCAGUCAACUUUCGACCAAAGCGAGGAGGAGCUGGACGCUUAGGUAAACGUUUUACAUCAACCUCAGCACCUCUGCAUUGUAAGAUUAAACAAAGUCAGCGAAAACAAAGCUUCUCUAUGUCCAUUUUGUUUUCUGGUUGAAGUGGCCGCCAUUUCUUGUUUCUAGUUUAGAAGAAAAUCUCUGGUUAGGAUUAUACUUAACCUAAUGCUGCAUUCUUAUUCUUAAGCCAUGUCACUAACUUUAAUACGAGAAGAGAGGAAGAUCGAAGGACCUGCUUAUUACAAAGUAAACAGAAUCGGGUUUUGCUUGGAUAGCAGUUUUGGUAAAUCCCAGUUUAUCUGCUGGCCAAGGUUCAUCCCCAAAAAAGCUGCUGGUGUAUAUCACUUGAUCCCCUGCUUUAAGCCCUGCUUUUGCUGCAUUUCCACCAUUCUCUACUCCCUGUCAUAUUAAGCAACCAUUAUGUUAAUCUUAAUAUUCCAGUGCGAUCGUUGCUGAGGUAGUUUGUACUUAAGCUGACGUAAAGUUUACAAGAUCCUGCUUAGCAGAGGAUUUCUAUCGCUAUUUUAUGUGCUGGAAAAGAGUGAAAGGCAGGGUAUUAUUGUUUUUUUUAGUUAAUAUAGACUUCAUUUCAUCCCUCUGAAAAUCCAUGAAAGAUUGCUAAGUGUUCAGCAGGCUAGCUGGUCAAGCUUCUGGUGGUUGUACUAGGAGGUCAUCACGAGUGGGGGUUUACGUUUCUUUCAUGUAAUACCCGGUAUUUCUUAAUAGAAAUUGGAUUUCAAUUUGGACUUCUUUGACUAUAUAAAUAGGUUUAAUAAAUGGGAUUAGUAUCAUGCCUUUGGGCUUUAUUUUAAACUCAUUUUUAGGUCCACAUAAAUAAAUAUUAGUAUAUAUAAUAUUCUUAGUUAUUAAAUCAAAAAGAAAAACCCUAGAUCUCAAACUUGAAGAGAAAUAUAUGGAUUCUCGUUUUUGAUAACACCCUGUUAGUAUUUCGGUCAUAACUCUCUUUACAGAACUCGGAAUGACAUGAAUCUUACGUCAUUAGAACCCUAUUGAAAAUACGCAUCUGAGCAUAUAAAGUAGAGUAUGUGAAUCUUCCGGACGUGACCUGUACAACUGAUUCUUUGGAGGUCAGAAAAUCUAUGACUGGAUUGCCGUAUGGUGGUUUUGAGUUGUGUUCUUCGUAUAUUUGGUGUUUGGUGGUCUUCUUAUGAGGCAAGUUAUAUUACUUGAUGUUUUCUCUUAAUUUUCAGAUUAGGUUGAAGUGUUAGUUUGGUUAUUAAGUUUGGGAUAGUAGAAUAAUAAUUGAUUCUCAUGAAAAUGCAUGUUUUAAUAAUUAGAAUUUGAUAAAUAUGCAAACUUGUUAAUAUUUAGUUAUUAAUAUUGCUGAAAUUUAUAUUUUAAAAUAUGUUAUUAUUGGAUUUGAAUGUUUGACUUGGUAUUGUAAUGUUUGAUUGAACCCAUUGGUUAUAGACUUUCUUACUUUAGAAAUUCCUGAACUUGACAUCAUACACGUUUAUGUUGUUCGUCAUAUAUAUUUAUAUGGACAAUGAUUGGAAUAGAAUGGUUGGAUUGAACCAUGUGUUGGAUUAGAUUUGGGCGUGUUAAACAAAUUAACACCGGACCUGUAUGAUGGGGAGACGUCCCAGAGUGUUGUCACAUGACAUAACUCAAUGAGUGUAUGGCGUGAUGCGUACGACUCGGUGCUACUGCACAACUUUAUAUAUGAAUUUCAUGUGAGUGUAUGACGUGAUGCGUACGACUCGGUGCUACUGCACAACUUUAUAUAUGAAUUUCAUGUGAGUGUAUGGCGUGAUGCGUACGACUCGGUGCUACUGCACAACUUUAUAUAUGAAUUUCAUGUAAGUGUAUGGCGAUGAUGCGUACGACUCGGUGCUACUGCACAACUUUAUAUAUGAAUUUCAUGGAUUGAAAUUGAUGGAUUUGGAUUGAUAUAAUAUGAUGGAUUGGAAUUACUGAAUAAAGACUUGAUCUGAUAUUGCAGACUGAUUAAUUGAUUGAUUGAUUGAUUGAUUGAAACAGAUUUUGAUUAUUCGAUUAUUGGAACUGGAAAUAUGAUUGACAUUGCGGAUUACCAGAGAAUGAUCUUGUUGAUUUAUUGAUCACUAUGUUAAAUGUUAAAAUAAAUUAAUUACUAUUUAUAAUUGUUUAUCUUUAGGAUGCACGGAUUCCUUUUCUGGGAAUUAAGAUCGAACCUCAAGUUCUGUAACUUGCUGGCGUUUAACGUCUUCCCUUUUCCCUUUUCAGCAUACAAGUGUUUUAGAGAUGAAGUAUUCAAUAAGAGUUUGGUGGAGGUUGUCUUGGGUUGCUCAUAUGUCUAGUUGGAGUUUGAUGAGUUGUAACCUUCGGGCAUGACUCUGAUUUAUAUUUAUACUAGUUGUACCCGUGGCUUCGCCACGUUAGUUUAUACCGUUCAUUUUACUAAUAAUUUUUAGAUUUUGUAAAUUGCCAAUGAAAUUAUAAAUAAAAAUUACAAAUAGUAUUUUUAAUGAAAUUACAAAAUUAUCAAAUUUUUUUUUAAUAUAUUUUAUAAAUUCCAAAUAUCAUUUUUAUCCAGAUGCUUAAGCCGGUUUGAAGGCCUUUAGCAGUUAUGGCCCAUAUAUAUCUGUGGUUGGGAUUUGUCGUUUCUUCGUGGUAUAAACAAUCACUUUAAACAGUGAAAACAACAAAAGAUGUGCUUCAAAUUCUUUGGCUGUUGAACAGUUUCUAACCACACUGGAAUUGAUGGUACCAAACCAUCCAGUCAUAAAUUAAAACCUAAUGGGUAGUAACAUUUUAUUAACAAAAUGAAUGAAUAAAUUUCAACAAACACAAAAUGAAAAAAAAUUGCUACCAUAUUAGGGAAGAAGUAAAGAAUGAAGAUUGAACAUUGAAGAACAACUAUAAUGAUAUUACCAAAAUUUGGAGAACAACUAUUUUUUUUCAUUUAUCUGCAGCUGAUAUCCUAUUGUUUAUACCAUCCAUUGAGUAAGAAUAAUCUAGUCUAUCAAUUUAUUUUUUAUUUUUUUGAGAGCGCUUUCUUUUCCUGUAGAAGAAAUAUGUGUGAAAAUCUGUGAAAAAUUGCAACGGUAUAAUAAUUAAAGCAAUGUGGAAAUAACAUUAUCCGUGGGUGAACUAAUUACUUUGGCUCGGCUUCUUUAUUUUGAGUUACAAUAUUAUUGGAUGCAUUCCUUUCAGAUAAUUCUCUUUCUCUUCGUUUACGUUGGCCUUCUUGAUAUUUGUUUCAUUUAACAAUUUGACUAAUAAAUAUGGAGAAAAUUGAUAUAUCAAUUUAUUGUACCAUACAUUUUAAAAGCAAAAAAAAAUUUUAAAAAGAAAUUAAGUUAAAAAGAAUCAGCCAAUAUAUAAAUAGAACUACGCCUACAGAAUAUCAGUUAUCUAUUCUUCAGUCAAUGUCUAUAUAGCGGUCUAUGUAGUAUGCAUAAAACCAUAUGACAUAACAACCAAUUAUAGUGUGACCAUUAACUGAAAACUGUAAAAGGGUGAAUGAAACUAAUGGAAAUAAAAUUUUGAACAUCAGUUAUCUAUUUGUCAGACAUGAAACCAAUUCUGUGGCUGACUAAAUGUAUAUUAGUUAACAAAAUAUGACUAAAUGUAGAUGCAGUACAAUGUCUCAUCUAUAUUAGUUAAUAUGACGCCUAAAUUGGUAAAGUUGUGGCUGACUAAAUGUGUGAUUGUUGCAAGUAGAUUCUAAAACCUGUUGUGGCUUGCUUAGGUUUACACGGUAACAAAAUAUUAUCGUGUAAAUAAUGACUUUGCUCAAGCUAACUAUCUCAGUGAAGGAGUGCAUAAUGGUGUCUUGGGACGACAGGAGAGAUGACUUCAACAAUUUGGUCGAAUGAAUUUUUGUUUUAUUAUCUAGAUGGUUUUGUUUUUAAAUUUUUAAUUGGGACAUUAUUUUCACAGGAAAUCGUUGUGAAGAAACUUUUCUCGGACACUCCCCGGUCCUUGAAAGAAUUUUACAACGAAUUCUGUUUACUAACCAACUUAGAUCACAUCAAUACAGUGAAGCUUCUAGGGUUCUGUGCCGAUCAAAGAGAAAAGUUUGUUGUGUAUGAAUUCAUGCAGUUCGGAUCAUUAGGGAAGAGCUUGCAAGGUGAGCAUAGGUGUCUAAUUAAGUGUGUGUUUUGUUUACCAAGUAUGAACUUCUCUUGAGUUUAAAUGGAGUGGAAAUUUUGUUUUCUAUUCAUCCUAAUUUUAAUUUGAUUGCAUUUUAUAGAUGGUGGUGAGGAAUUCACCUUUCUCGGAGACUGGAAUUAGAUAGUUCGAAUUGCCCAGGGAAUUAUCAAAGGCCUUGAUUUCUUAUAUAAGAUGAAUAUUAUUCACGGAAAUCUUAGGUCCGAUAAGAUCCUUGUUGGCAGAGGACAUAUUGCUAAGAUUUCAUACUUCCGGAUUGCAAGGGUUGGUUCUGCAACAGAGAAAAAUGAUGAGAUGUACAAUCUUGGCAUCAUCUUGCUAGAGAUCAUCUUUGGGCGCAAAGCAUAUCCUGAUGGGGAUCUGGUUACUUGGGUAAGUUCUGCUUAUACCAAUAUCUGGUCCACUACUUAUUUCUAACUGCAACAUGGUCCUAUGGUCAUUUGGACAAAAUGAAAUUUGCUUCCACCAAGCUAAGUGGUGUUAUAUAGUUUGGAACUAAAGUUUUGUCAUUUUGAGUAUACAGGCAAGACCAAGGUUCAGGGAACGUCAUAACUAACCUAGUAAACCUAAGGCUUCAUGGGAGAUACCCUAAAAGAGGGCUAGCUGUCUUUGCAGUUGUAACUGAAAUGUGCUUGAAUAUGCAUAGGUAGAAUCGACCUUCCACAAACACCAUGGUCAAUGCUAUACAGUUUGUGGUGUAUCAGUCAUUGCGCUUCAAUGCAAAUUUGAAUAGAGCCCAGCCCAGGAAUGAGAAGCAAAAUGAUGAGAUGUACAAUCUUGGCAUCAUCUUGCUAGAGAUCAUCUUUGGGCGCAAAGCAUAUCCUGAUGGGGAUCUGGUUACUUGGGUAAGUUCUGCUUAUACCAAUAUCUGGUCCACUACUUAUUUCUAACUGCAACAUGGUCCUAUGGUCAUUUGGACAAAAUGAAAUUUGCUUCCACCAAGCUAAGUGGUGUUAUAUAGUUUGGAACUAAAGUUUUGUCAUUUUGAGUAUACAGGCAAGACCAAGGUUCAGGGAACGUCAUAACUAACCUGGUAAACCUAAGGCUUCAUGGGAGAUACCCUAAAAGAGGGCUAGCUGUCUUUGCAGUUGUAACUGAAAUGUGCUUGAAUAUGCAUAGGCAGAAUCGACCUUCCACAAACACCAUGGUCAAUGCUAUACAGUUUGUGGUGUAUCAGUCAUUGCGCUUCAAUGCAAAUUUGAAUAGAGCCCAGCCCAGGAAUGAGAAGCGGCCUGAUUGUUUUUCGUGGUAAGAGAUGCCAACGUGUAAUAUCUGACAAACUACUUUGAAGAUAAACUGUUCCCAGUAAGACUAUUACUUCUUGCACAGUCGGGGUCAGAUGUGACAGGGAUAAUUAUUAGUGAAGGCACGGGUAUAAUCUAUUGUACAUGAAUUUUUCUGUACAGUCGUAAACACAUGGCACAUGCCUAGAAUUGCACAGGGUACUUGGAUUGAAUCACCUAAAAAAGUUAAAAUUAUACCUCUCAUAAGAAUUGUACAGGGGAAGCCUAGAAUUGCAGGGGUCUCGGAUCACCAAAAUAAGUUAAAAUUAGGUAUCUCAUAAAAAUUGGAUAGGUGACUAUCUAAGAAAAAAAAUUAUACAUCUUCAUAAGAAAUUUGUUUUUGUCAACAUAUAAGAUAUGAAUAUAUACCUGACAAAAUUUGAGAAAUUUGAGAUAAGAAAUUUGUACCUGACAAAAGUUUUGUAGAAGUCUUUGUGAUUGAGAUCGAUUUGUUUGAUUUAGUGUUUAUUCGAAAAGCUUUGAUUAGGUUUGUUGAUUGGGUUAAAACCAUUAUAUAGAAGUGAAGGAAGAAGAAGUAGAUCAAUUUCCAUUAUAAAUCAAUUUCUUAUUUCUUUUAAGUGAAGAAAUAAGAAGUACAAUUUGUAUUAUAAAUCAAUUUCUAUUUUUAUUUGUAUCUACCCCCUAGUAAUUUAAAAGGUGGGAAAAAAAGCUUAUUUUCUCACUUGAGUGAGAAAAUAACUUAAACAUUUUCUCACCUCCUACAAACCAUUGGAUUGAUAUUGAAGGAUAUCUAGCCAUUGAUUACAUUAUGAUUAUACAUUUGAAGUUUUAAAUUGUUGUUUUCAACCUUGAUGGUGGUAGAUAUGGAGUUUUGGGUGGUGGUUGGUUUCAACUUUUGGGUGGUGAAAUCAAACAUUGAGUUAGUGGGUUUAUUGUUUUGUGAGUGGAUUUAAAGUUUUAAGAUAUAGGUAUUCGGGUUUUUAGUGGUGGAGAUCAAAUUUUAAGGUGGUGGUUGGUGUAUUUUCAUGAUGUUAAGUCAAAUUUAAUCAUUUAAAUGAUGAAUUAUAUAUUGUUGGUGUUAAUUUCAUGUUUUAAACUUGAAAAUUUAACAUUUUGAUUUCAAAAUCUAUGAUUGUGAAGGUUGAUUUCGAAGUUUAGGUGGUGGAUCUAUGAUUUUGGUGGAUUAUUUCAUCAAUUUUUUUUUAAUUUCUUAAUGUAACCAAACAAAACAUGUGAAAAAAUAAUUAGAAUUCUCAUUGUCAAUCAAACACCCUUAUUUGAUCAAGUGAGAAAACUUAAAAAUAUUUUCACACUGAAGUGGGAAUUUUUUUUUAAGUCAUUCCCACUAUAGUAGGAAAUUAAUUAGAAUGCCCAAUGAAAUAAUUCCCACUCCCUUUUUUUCCACUCUGCAAUCAAAGACACCCUAAUUGAUUUGAAGUUGUAAUUGAUUUGAAGUUGUGAAGGAGUCGGCUUUGAAGUGCAAGAAGAUUGGAACAAAGGAAGAAGAAGAAAAAGAAGUUUUAAUAUAAAAAACUUACACAUAAUUUCCUUGUUAAAUCUCUUUAAUCUAAGCCUCCUAUCAAAAUUUCACAUAUGGAUCUCAAGGCUAUCCUAACCAUUGAACACAACUUAAGUUUGGACCCAAACAUUGAUUUAAUCUCACCCACAGAUCUACUCUCACAUAGAUCUCAAGACGAUCCUAACCAUUGAACACAACUUAAGUUUGGACUUAACCACGGAUUUAAUCUCACCCAUCUAUUAUUAUCAACACAUCUCUAGAUGACCUCAAGGCUAUCCUAACCAUUGAACACAACUUAAGUUUGGACCCAACCAUUAAUUUAAUCUCACCCACAGAUCUAUCAUUAUCAACACAUCUCAAAACGAUUUUAACCAUUGAACACAACUUAAGUUUGGACCCAACCAUUGAUUUAAUCUCAUCCUUAAAUCAACCCUCAUGCACAGAUCUCUAGAUGAUCUAUACCCUUGUUUGUUUUAUCAAGACAAACUGUGUUUGUGCCAUCCUCACAGUAUAAUAUAGAUUUAUAUAGUUUGUAUUCUGUUUAGUUUUCCGCUGUUAAUUUAGUAUUUGUUGUUUAUUUUAUUAUGUUCUUCUGUGGUCUAGAGGUGUGAUAUCACGUGACAGUAGUGUGACGCUACGGUCCAUAGAGGACAUAUUGAGAUCAUUAUGACUCUGUUGCCCGAUUUUGGCCUGGCCAGCUAGGAUCGGAUUUCAGGGGCGUUCCAAAUCCAUCUGCACAGAAAACAUAACCAACCAAUUUUAACUUUAACUAUUUUUUCAAUCAAACGAGUAAUGUAAACACUUAUAAAACAACUUCAAGGGAAAAAAUACCUCACAAGAAGAAUAGAAGAUGGAUCACAAGUUCUUUACACAAACAAGUUUAAAUAUCAUUAGAAACUGAAUUUUGUAAGUUGUGAGAGAACUGUCUAAGGUUUUUUUAUUGGUUAAAUGUUUAGGUUUUUUUUUAAGGGGACAAAUCUUGGUCGUUGGAUAAACAAGAUCAAAUAAAAUAAAAUCUACAUACAUGUCAUUGCUCAAUGUUUGUCAGCAAGGACAAUUUAAGGAAAAUAAAUAUCCACGUCAGCUGCUCAACACCCACUAUCAGAUAAAAAUUGGGUGUACAAAUAAACCAGGUUUGGUGGGGUAAGUGCAAAUAUAGCCGAGUUAUAUAGGGGUUUAUACAGAAUCUCCCUAUAAAUUAUAAAUUAAUUCCAAUUCCCAAGAAAAUUUCUAAAAAAACCUAAAAUUUUCAAAAGGAUUUGAAUCCAUAGGUGGAAGAUGCCAUUACCAACUGAGGCAGCAAUUAUUGACCAAACCCAUGAUUGUUUGACUUUGGGUUUUUUAAAAAAUUCCCACUUACUUGUGCACACUGUGUAUGCUUAUACUUCUCUUCCUAAAACAUCCUAUCAGAUAUUUUAGGGUUUUGAUCAAAUUCUAAGGUUAGUCUUUUGAUAAACUGUGAUCAUGUUUCUUCUUGUUCAUUUAAAUUUCUUUUCCAUUUGCAUAUGUUUUUUUUUCAUAUCCUGAUUCAUAUUGAAUUUGUUUAUGGAAUAGAGUUUACCCAUCUAGAAAAUAAAUUUUAAAUGUAAUUUUCACUGAUACUUUUUAAGAUAGUAAUCAAGGAUAAAAUUGAAUAAAUCAAACAUUGAUACUGAUUAACCCCAGAUGGAUUAACCACUUAAUCUUAAUCGAUUCGAUCUAAUGUAUCUAUACAUAUCCCACAGAAUUACGAGUUAACAGUAUCAAUAAAAUGAAGGUUUUCUUAGUUGGAUUAGAGCCAGCUGUGGUUUAAAUAUAUUUUCAAAACCAGUAUGUCGAAAUUUGAUAAUUAGGGGUAAAAUCUGAGUACAAAAUGAGUAUAUGGUUAAACAGAAGAAAAGUUGGAAGAAACGUCAUCACUAUCUUAAAAUUUUCAUCCAUCUAAUGAUAUCGAUAAUCACAGAACUGAUGUACCUCAAGUUAUUGUUACACCAUUUGGUAAUUAUUCACUAUUGUUAGAUACCUGAAUGAGUAUAUGAUUAAACAUCUAACUGUUCAGCUACCUGAAUCUAAAUUGGGGUUAGUUGUUAGAUAUAAUUGUUGUUGCAUUGUUUCAAUUUUCAUCCUUUACUUCUUUUUUUUUUAGCCUCAAGAAGAACACAUAUCAAGGUCUGAAAUACUUAAUGGAGGAAGGUACCAAUUCUACUGCACCUUUGGUGUCAAGCUGUAUGAGUGAAGGUAAUAAAACAAAAGACCCAUGUGUACCACAGCAAGGAGAUGAUUUCGAGAGUGACAAAGAGCUUGUCGGAGGUCAUCAUGGUUUGGAUAUGUGUGAUUCAGAUUAUGACAUUUGCUUGAAUGAUACUGUCACAAGUUCAUUGUCUGUUUCCAGUUUACAAGAAGAUUCACCUUCAGAUGAGAAGAUGCUAUCGUGCAUGUAAGUCAUUUGACAUCAUCCCUUACUCUCUGCCAUUUGCUUUAAGUGCAGCUUAUCUACAUACAGACCCAUGGGUUAUUGACUGAAGCAAUUUGUGACACUGACAAAUUGUCCCAAUUCUAAUUCUUCCAUCAAUUGACUAGUUUGGACUGAUGGGACCAUUGCUCAUUUUGAGCAAAAUAUAUUGGACCCCUGUUUCAUUAUAUUGACCCCUUUACACCUGAAAUUGGGGUACACAUAGACUCAGAUUGCCCUACUAAUCAAGGACUCUAUUCAUGACAAUACUAACUUCCUCAAAACAAAUUGUCAUCCUUCGGAUGAAUUGUAGAUGAACUGGAAGAAGCGAGGUUAUUAUACAUAUAUGACUUGUUGAUCUCUUUAGGGAUGCUGAACUUUUUUCAUGGAAUCAAUUGUGCAGGCUAUUCUCUGCACUACAGACAUCGCCUUCUUCGGCCAGUAUGGUGGUGGCUAAUCUGACGAAAGAAAACGACCCGAGUUUUCACAAUUUUCUGGUAAUUUAUUCAUAAAUCUCUUAUACUUAUACUUUUUCCGAUCCUAGUUCGCCAACCCUAUGAUAUUUGUCUACCUCUCCUUACGAGCAUAUCUAAUGUGGAGAUGGCUUCAGUGCCCAUUUUUAUCACUAUAAUUGAAAUUAGAUACUUUUAUCAGCCGAGGGUAUAAUUUAAACUACCAAGUAGUGUUGCAAUUAUCAUUGUAGUGCAAUUAUUAUUUUCGGCUAUAAGCGAAUGUUCAGAAACAUAAUUUAAUUACGUUUUGAACUGUUCAUUAAAAAGUUCAUUCUCCACACUACAGCCUAUGAGAGAAGAUGAAGAAGAGCAUGAUGAUGAUGAUGCUGUUGAUGUUGAUAGUCGUGAUGAUGAUGAUGAUGUUGAUAGUCGUGAUGAUGAUGAUGGUUGUGAUCAGAGCAAGAAAGCUGAGGCUGGUGCUUGCUCCAGUUCAGCAACAAUCAUAGAGACUGUAUGGGAAUGGUUAAAUGAUAAAGAUGUUGGAACAAUCAAAAUUCAAGGGGAGACCGGAAUGGGGAAAACAUGGAUAGCUAGGCAUUUAAUAGAUAGGGCAAGGAAUUUAAAACUCUUUGACCUGAUCAUCUUUUUGAAUUUCGAUGGCUCUAAUAAUAAAAAAAUUAGAGCCGUGAAGAUGGAUGUUCAAAACCAGUGGUCAAGACAUGAAUUAGAAAAGGAAGGCUAUGGGGGUAACCAAAUACAAUGGCAGUCAAUCUCAGAGUCACUGGCAGAGGAGCGGUACUUGCUGAUUCUUGACGGUUUUAAAAACUUUAAAACUAAUAUAUUAGAGGUUGUUGGCAUUCCUCAUCCUAAGGCACAAACGAGUAUAGGUUCUAAGGUGUUAGUAACUGGGAAGAAAUCAGAUAUUGAGGAUUUAGCAGCAGAUAAGGUUCUAGAACUAGGAAAGUUGCCUGAAGACAAAGCUUGGUUGCUGUUUCAGGAUAUCUGUGGUUUUAAAGUUGAUUCUCUUCCAGAUAUUCGUGAAUUUGCACAACCUUUACUCGAGAUCUGUAAUGGUGUGCCAUUUGAAAUUGCUAUACUUGCAGGAACUUUGAGAACUGACAUUGGAGAGUUGUCUUCUUCUUCUUCUUCAGCAACUGAUAUGGUGCUGGCUAAUUUGAGAAAAGCAUAUGACCUGGUACUCAAAGGACCAAUAUUGUCUCGUGUUGAGUUUAUAUGUGAGAUGCUAUCGAGCAAGGAUGUAAAGGAUUGCUUUUUGUACUGCUGUACCAUUCCACUGUACCAGCGAUACAGCGUGAAAAGAUUGAUAGCGGCUUGGAUGAUAUCAGGAUUUCUUGACGGAUUCAAUUGUUUGGAGAAAGCAUAUGAGAAGGGGCGCAGAAUUUUGAAAGAGCUCAUAGAUCGUCAUCUAUUGUUUAGUAUACCUAAAUAUAACGACGAUGAUACCCAUGUUAGUGUGCAAACUCCGCUAAUCGAUGAAGUAAAUGAUUAUGUUGAGAUGAGAGAACUGCCCACUGUUUUUUGUGAUAAGAUGCAUCUGAAUUUUUUGAUGAAUACAGAAUCGGACUGGGGAUCCUUGAAAGUCUCACUGAUUAAUGGAAAUUUGCAGUCGAAGUUUACAGAUUAUCAAGGCCACAAUGACGGUUUGUUGCUUCAUGGGAAUAAAGGCUGCAUCCCAGAAGAACUCCCAGGUGCAUUCUUCGAUCAAAUACAACAUCUUCAUGAUCUUUCCCUUCUCCAUUGUGGAAUCAGGUCUCUUCCAAAAUCACUUUCAAAGUUAGCCAAUCUUAAAAUUCUUGCAGUGAGAGGUUGUGCCUCACUGGAGAACGUCAACCAAAUAAGAAGACUCUGGAAAUUGUCCUUUCUCAGUCUUGCAGGUGCUAGCAGCUUAAAGAAAAUCCGGGAUGACUUCUUUAGAAAUAUGAGUAGUCUUAUAUACCUGGACCUCUCAGGUACCCAGCUUAAGAAGUUACCCUCAUCCUUUUCCACCCUUCGUCAACUCAGCAUUCUAAUCCUUAGAGGUUGCUCCCAGUUGGAAAAACUCCCAUCCAUGGAAAAAAUGGAUGAACUCACUGUGCUAAUACUAGCAGGUGCGCGUUCUUUGAAGAAAUAUCCUCAAACCUGCAAUUCACUCAAAUUCCUUGAUCUAUCCGAAACUCUUAUCCAUAGAUUGCCAUCUGUUAUCAACCUAAAAUACUCUCUAUCCUGCCUUCUUUUAAGAGGUUGUUCAAGGAUCGAAAGAGUGCCACAUCCAGAUCAAUUUCAUGAGCUACAUUUUCUAGAUCUUUCAGGCGCAAGUGCAUUCAAGACAUUCCAACGCGAAGCCGCUUCUAACAGCCGAAAUGACUCAUCUUUUCAAAAAAUUGAUCUCUCUGAGACAAAUAUUGCGAAAGUUCCGUCUCUUUCAAGAUGCAGCGAGCUACGUGAACUCUUACUAAGAAAUUGUUCCAAGUUAGUGACAAUUCCAUCUUUGGGUACAAAGCUUGAGGUACUUGAUCUAUCUGGUUCCAUUUCAUUGAAUUCAUUUCAAGAUGAAUCCCUUGGGGAUGAUCUUCUAAAUCUUGAUCUUUCUCGAACUCGCAUCGAAAAGCUGCCAUUUUUUUCAGUGGACGCCAAACUUAUUCAACUCUUACUUCGAGAAUGUGAGUACCUAGAAGAAAUACCAGUCUUAGAGCUUCAAAAUCUUGAGGUUCUGGAUCUUUCAGGUUCUAUUAAAUUCAAGAAAUUCAAUAAUGCUUCUUUCGACAAAUUUUCUCGCCUUCAUACCCUCAGUCUUUCUGCAACCAAGAUUGUAGAAUUACCCAGACUUUCAGAAUGCUGCCAUCUUCGAAAUAUCCUCCUGAAAGGAUGUCUGAAGCUUGAGAAACUUCCUCCCUUGAAACAACUAGUGAAACUUGAGGUGCUUGAUCUCUCUGGGGCUAUUUGCUUCAAACAAUUUCAAGAUGAAUCUCUAGGAAUAAAGAAAGAGUUUCGAGAAUUGAACCUUUCUGGAACCCAAGUUGUUAAACUCCCUAUCAUUUCUGAAUGCUACAAUCUUUCCAGGCUUAUAUUAAGAGAUUGUCCAAACUUUGUUAUGUUGUCACACUUGGAAGCACUCACUAGACUUCAGGUGCUGGAUCUUUCAGGUGCAGCUUCUUUCACAACAUUCCACGACCAAUCUCUUGGAGAAAAGUAUGAGCUUCAAGUACUUGACCUCUCUGGAACCCAGGUUGGAGAGUUACCAUCCCUCUCUGGAUGCACAAGCCUCAGUCAACUUUUACUCAGAGAUUGUGCAAAAAUCAAGACACUGCCAUCAUUAGAAGAACUUACAAAACUAGAAGUUCUAGAUCUUUCAUGUGCAGCUUCUUUUACGGCCUUCCAUGACAUUUCCCUUGGGCAAAAGUAUGACCUUCAAAAACUUGACCUCUCGGAUACUCAGGUUGCAGAGUUGCCAUUCCUGUCAGGCUGCAUUAAUCUCAGUCAACUAUUACUAAGAGGUUGUCAAAACUUGAGGGAACUGCCACACUUAGAAGAACUUGCGAAGCUAAAGGUGCUUGAUCUUUCAGGUGCAUCUAAUUUCAUGGCCUUCCAAGACCAGUCCUUUGGGAAGAAGUAUGACCUUCAAGUACUUAACCUCUCUAAAACUCAGGUUUCAGAGUUGCCGUUACUUUCCGGAUGCCUAAAUAUCACUGAACUCUUACUUAGAGAUUGUGCAAAGCUAAAGACAUUGACACCCUUGGAAGAACUCACAAAACUAAAGGUGCUUGAUCUUUCUGGUGCAACUCUUUUCGUGAAUUUCCAAGAUCAAUCCCUUGGAAAGAAGUAUGACCUUCACUCUAUUGACCUCUCUAAGACUCAGGUUGUAGAGUUACCAUCGCUUUCUGGCUGCACAAAUCUCAUUGAACUUAUACUAAGAGACUGUCCAAAAUUCAAGCAACUUCCCCAUUUAGAAGAACUUGAAAGAAUAGAGGUUCUUGAUCUCUCUGGUGAUAGUUCUUUUACAGCACUCCAAAAUGAAUGUCUUCCAAAUAACUGUGCGCUUCAAACGCUGGAUUUAUCUGGAACCCAAGUGCAGGAGUUCUCAUUUCUCUCCAGAUGCAAAAAACUUUCUCAGAUCUCACUUAGAGGGUGUUCGAACUUGGAGACAUUGUCUUUGGCAGGCAUCCUGAACCUUCAAGAACUUGAUUUGUCUGGUACUCUGAUCGAGAAGUUAUCGACCUCCCCUUCAAAUCAUCACAAUCUGCACAAGCUCUUGCUAAAAGGUUGCACAAAAUUCUCGAUGCUUCCGGAUUCAGAGGUACUUAAAAACCUUGAGGUGCUUGACCUGUCAUGCACAAAUAUUAGAGAGAUCCCAGCGAAGAUCUCUGAAUGGUCUUGCUUAAGGUUUCUUGCGAUACUAGACAGAAAAUACUUCUGGGGAUUUGAUUGGAAAAAUGCAAUUGAAGUAACUAAGAAGCUGCACUUGGAUCCAUGUGAAACAGAGCAAUUCAGCCGACCAUGCAUUCACAUAACAGUGAGGAACACUGAAAUUUUCCAUUUCAUAGAAAAGAACUCUGAACUGUGGGAGAAUUGUUUCUGCAAAUUUCAUUUCUGUUUGUGCACUAUAGAAGAAUGGGGAAAAGAGAAAGACAUUUACUUGCAGGGGAAGGGAUAUGUUUUCAAGGAUAUCUACUACCAGGCCAGCCAUAUUCAUCAGUUAACAGAAGAGCCUGACAAAUUUUUUAAGAUUUGUGGCUUCCAAAGCUUCCCUACUGGUAUUGAGCAGGUCCUUAAUCAUGUCGAACUUUUAUAUUUAAAGAAGAAUGGUUUCAUCAAGUCUCUGUCAGACUUGGGUGCUAAAAAUGUUAAUGUCAUGAAAGAAUGUUGGAUAGAGAGUUGUGAUAGCAUGGAGAGUGCUUUCUAUGGAGAAGAACCAGAAGAAAAUGCAGCAUUGGGAAGAUGCUUACAGAAUCUUUGGGUGUCAAAGCUUUCUGAGCUGAAGAGCUUAUUUAGCGGUAGGGUGGAAUCCGAAAGCUUCGUGUGCUUGAAACAUUUAUACAUAGAAUGCUGCCCAAGCCUCGUCAUUGUUUUCUCUUCAUAUAUUGACCUGAAAAAUCUUAAAACUCUUAAGAUCAAGUUUUGUGACAAACUUGAGCAUAUAUUUGGAGAAGUGACAUCCAGAGAAAAAACUCUCCCAAAGCUAUCAACAUUAAAUCUUUUAAAAUUACCGAAAUUGAGGAGUGUUUGUGGUGGAGUUUUGUCAUCACUAAAAAACCUUAGAGUGCAAGGAUGCCCGAAUCUUCAAAAGCUCCCAAUCAGUAAAAACAGUACUCAGGUGAAUAUCAAAGGAGAAUUGGCUUGGUGGAAGAACAUGAAAUGGGAAGAUGAAAGCACCAAUAUGGACUCGCGUUUUACAGAACUAUAGUCCUACAGGACCACAUAAUAGAAGCAUCAUUCCUGAUUUCUGCCUGUUUCUUCUCAACUUGCUUUUGACAUGCAAGUAGAGGUAUCUUACACUGACAACAUUUUAAUUUUUAGAAUUGUUUUAGUUAUUUUGUGAAUGGUUUUAUCAAUUUGAACAUUCCACUGACGCUGAGGGUGUCACGCAAAUCUUUCUUAAAGAAGAGAUAUUAUUCAUUUACAAGUUCAAUGAUUGAUAGAUAAUUUGAUCAAUCAUAGUAAAGAAGUAUAUAGCAUGGCAGAGUACUCUUAUAUAAAUUGAGUGUAAUUAUUUUUGAUUUUUAGGAAUUAAUAAGUUAGAACAUUUAAAUGCAGAAAUACUUUGAAAAAUGCAAUUCUUUUAUCUCUUACUAUUAGUUUAUUAUCUGACAAUAGACACAUACAAGUAUAUUAUGGUCCCUUAAGUUUUUUUCUCAAUGUUAACAGCACAGACCCUUAGAACAGUUAAAUUAUGUGAUGAAAUGUAUCGCGAUGUUGCUUUGAUAAUUUUGUAAUAAGUAUGUAUAGAAAAUCUUGUACACCUUUUAGAUGGCAUUGUAAUGAAAGUCUGUAUGUAACAUGCCUGAUAUUGCAGAUGCUUCAGUAGCAUAUUGACAAAGAGGCCUAAAAGCUAAUGGUACUUUAAUUCCUAUGAUCUAUUUCGAGGGAUUUUUCGUAGCUUCAAUUAUCUGAAUUCAACUUCUAUCAGCUUUGUUAUCCUUGUUGUUUACUGGUCUGGGUUAUAACUUAUAACUGUUCUGGAUACUCCUUUUCUCAAUUUUUACCUUCCGAAAUUGCAGCAAAAUGGGACUGUAGUAUUGGAGUUAGCAGAAUUGUGAUUCUUGCACCUGGGCAGUCGAUGCAUCAUUUGCCGUCCCAGUUCCCACAGAGGGGCAAGCAAACUAUAACAGGUCAAGAGGUAAACAUUAACCACUACAUACCAUGAUAUUACGACAUUAGUGUACUCUUUCUGGACGGAAAACUGUGCUAAUCUUGUUAUUUUUCUGCAUUCCUGUGUUUUCAGAAGUUAUCUUUCUCUAGACAAUUAGUCCCGUACCGCAAUGGAGCUGAGCUUGAUGAUUUGCAAUUUUGCGCACCUGGAGCCUCUAUCAUAAAACUCUGUGCUGUACUGUCACUUACAUAACCAUAGGGAGAAUUGGAACUUGUAUUUACUCCAUAGCCAACAAAAAAUAUCUUCCAAUUCAUCAAGCUUCUAAAAAGAAAGUAACUCCAUUGUCAAUGUAACAUGGUAUUGAAGAUGCUUCAGUAGCAUAUUGAAAAAGAGGCCUAAAGCUAGGGGUACUUCAAUUCCUACGAUCUAUUUAUGGAUUUUUCGUAGCUUCAAUUAUCUAAAUUCAUCUUCUUUCAGGUUUGUUAUCUCUAUUUUAUUGUUUGGCUGGGUUAUAACCAUUUUGGGUACUCUUUUUCUCAAUUUAUAUCUUCCACAUUUGCAGCAAAUGGGGACUGUACUCUUGCGGCAAUGUAUGAAUCAUCUGUUGUUCGAAAAAGUGUAGCAUUGGCAAGCAAAUUAGAACAGGUCAACAGGUUUACAAUAACAACUACCACUGUUGUUCGAAAAAGUGUAGCAUUGCCGUUUUCUAAGAAGUGUAUCCUUCUCUAGGCAAUUAUUCCCAUUCGGCAUGAAACUGAUCUUGAUACAACAAAGCUGAUACCAUAGGACUGUACCAUCUUAUUCCUAUGAGUUGCAGAGGCAAAGCAUAGUGGUACGUUUUAUAUUGACAUAAUAAGAAAUUUGAGGAAACCACAGACAUGUCAAACUUUGUCCUGUAUGUGUUGUCGGACUGAGAUAUAAUCUGAUUUUUUGUGCAGAUACAUUGUCUUGAGUGAUGCGGUACACACAUAAGGGCAUAUGCAUUCCAGCAAAUAUCACAACGUCCAAGCUUAUCAGGGAAAUGAAAUUAUAUCUACAAACUAAGCUAGAUGAUGUACAAGAUACUGGCAUUAACAAGUUCCUACUGGAAAGGAUUGGUCUGGAACUGAAGUACAAGAAGCGGAUCUGCAUAGAGUGCAAGUGGGACAAGCCGCCAGCAAGGUUUACUAAACUUAGUUGUGAUGGAGCUCUUAACACUCACAAAGCUGUCUGUGGGGGGCUACUCGGAGAUCAACAUGAAGAGUUAUUGCGAGCCUACUAUGGAGGUACACCAGAAAGAGAAAUUGAAUGAAAUUUACUAUAUGGAAUAUAAUGCGCAAGGAUGCUGAAUGUAGAGUAAAUUAAAUCAUCAUCGCCACAGACUCAAUGUAUGCACUAAAUAUUGUGAGAGAGUUGGAAGUGGAAGCCCCUCCAUGGUAUGUGAAGAACACUGUUGCAGGUAUCAUCUCACUGUACGUGUAAUGCAGACUGUACUUUCACGGUACUUAUAAUUAGGAUUUAGGCACAGCUACAGAGAAACAAAAUAUCCAUCAGACUAGCUUGCAAGUUUGGGUGGUGAUGUAAUGCACACUAUGUACUUUUAGGUUCAUUACAAUUGUAAACUGUAUAGUCUAUUGGUAGACGAUGAUUCAUAUUGUUUGCCUUCAUUUCUGUCAUGAUUGUAUAAAUUGUGUUAUAGACUUUCGAUGAAGUUUAGCUUUUUGGAUACAAUUUAUCUAUAGAAAAGCUUGUUUAGAUCCUUUGCGCAGGUGUUGUAUUCAUUUUCACCUACUAUUUAUUGAAACAAAGAGACCAGUCAGUAUCCUACACUUGGGCGGACGUUUACUCCAAGGUUUUGGUGAACUGUAGUCAUCUUGUGCUUGAACAAGUAACACUCAGACACCGUGUGUCAGUUUUAUCAUUGUUUUGAUCCCGGCAUUGAGGAUAAUGCUCAACAAGUGCAUGAUAAAAGGCCUGAACUAAUGAUUUAGUAGCAAAUGAAUAUAGUGUUAUAGUCUAGUUGUUGUUGGUGUUGUUGCAGGCACCAACAUUGUUGUGCAUCAAACGGCGAAAGUAUGGGAUAUUGGGAGGGAUCUGAUAGGACAAUGGAGCUGGUUUCUAUACCUGAUUGCUCUGGUAAUAACAUCUAUCUUCUAUCGACUUAAGUUUGGGCAAAUUGGACAUGUUAUUUUUAUGAAUGAUCUUUACUCAUUUCCGAAACAUAUUAUGUUCCCUCGAAUAGCAUUUGAAAAACAUAGGAAGAAGAAAUUUUUUAUUUUCCCUCUAUUAAAGGAUUCCAAAACAUAUUAUGUUCGGAAUCAAGAAAUUUAGAUUCCGACUGCUGAUAUUCCGAAACAUAUUAUGUUCAAGUCUAGAAUGCUUAAUGAGAAAACAUAGGAAUAAGAAAAUUACAGAUAGCAUCAGAAGCAACCCGCCUUUAUUUCACAUAGGCAUAGGCACAUAGCUUACCUUCUGUGCAAAACAUGGAAGAAGUUGGCUGCUUGCACCAUUGCAUGUUUAUGCCUUCUUUGCCUCACUUAGUUUUACCCAAAUACCUUCUUCAUCACAUUGAAAUGAAUCAAGCUUGUCACAUUUUUUGGUCUCAAGAUACUCUAGGUCUGGAAAGGAUUUUUCCAAUUGUGACCAUUCCAUCUCUAAAUCUUUCAAGAACUUAAGGCGUAAAACCUUGACCUUCCAGGUUUGAUUUUCCUCGAUGCCCAAGCUACAAAGCUUACCUCCCCUGAUAUAGAGCCUUUCCAGUUUUUCAAAUUGGCUAGGCUUUAACCAGAUCGGUGUGUUCGUUUUGGGGAAGCAUCGAAGGUCCAGUUUUUCCAGAUCCUGAGGCAUUGAAAUUAGAGACGACGUAGUGAAGGUUGCUGCCCUCUCAAGUUUUUUUGACUUAGUCGUGGUUGCUGUCGUCUCAAGGUUUUCUGACGUUGCCAUGGUUGCUUCCUCCUCAAGUUUAGCAACAACAGCUUCCUGAGUAACAGAUUUAAUCACUCCUCCCCAUGUUAUACUUAGAAUACGAAGUUUUUCGAACUUUUGCAAUUCAAGAAGGUCUUCUUCUGCAACAAUGGCAUCACUCCCAAUAAUUAAGCUCAGUUUCCUCAGCUUCUUUAAAUUAGACAAAUCUUUGAGCUGACACGGAUCCUUACUUACUGAGUUAGCUAUCACAAACCCCUUUAGCACUUGAAGAUCGGUAAGUGCUUGAAGCCCCUUAGGCAUCUGUUCAAGUAAGUAACACUCAGACACAUCUAAGUGUGUCAGUUUCUUCAUUGCUUUGAUCCCAGCUGGCAACUUCUCCAAGUUGUGACAUGCACGAAGGUCUAAUAUUUGAAGACUAGUGAGCUUGGCUACGGACUUUGGGAGAUCAGUUAUUCUCGAUAUCCCACGAAAGCUGAGAUACUUUAAGUGCUUCUGAGCACCCAAAGCUUUCAAGAAUUCAAUUUCUUCUACUUCAAUAUGAUGACUAGCAGAGUUUUGCCAUCUCCCUAAUUGAAGAACAACAAGCUUUGGGUGUUUCGUAAACCACUCUAGUUCAAUAUUAAGGUAUUUCUUAUUCACAUUGAAUAAGGUUAUUGUUCCCUCCUGUCUCGAGGUGCUAGCAUUUGUUGCACUUACACCAUGUGUCAUUACAGUCGCCUCCUGUCUCAAACCGCUAGCAGUUGUUACAUGUCCAUCAGGCUGAUUUACGUGAGCCUGAUGCACUUCCUUCUUUUUUGAACUGCUACCGUUUGAAACACUUCCAUCAGGAGGAGUUACAUGGGCCUGCUGCACUUCAAUCUCUUCCGAACUGCUCGCAGUUAUUACACUGCCACCAGGUGCUUUUACAUGGGGCUGAUGCACUUCCUCCUGUCUUGAAUCGGUAGCCGAUGUUACACUUCCACCAGGAGCCUUUCCUUGAUCCUUGUACACUUCCUCCUGUUUUGAAUUGUUUCCAUCUUUUACUUUUUCACUAGGUGAUACAAAGCACACACGGCGUGAUAUGGGUGACUCUUCAGCAGGUUUUCCACUGUCAUCGAAGUCAAAGAAACCAGCUUUUUUAGCGACUGAAAUCACCAUGCGACGAAUCCAAGGAUGCAUAGUAAAGCUGCUAACCAUUGGUCUCCUAUUUUUUUGCACAGGAUUGAUCAUGCCCUUAUUCAGCAACUUUUCCAAAACCUCUUCUCCUACUUUCUCAGAACUUACAAGGCCUUCACCAAUCCACCAGUAGAUCAGAGGCCUCUUCUUGAUAAAUGAUUUCUGUGGGAAGAUCGAGAAACAAAGCAAGCACAGUUUCAAUUGGAGUUCAAGAUUAUCAUAACUGACCUGAAGAAUUUUCAUGACAGGAUUCACCAAAAUUUUCUUUUCUAUGCUAAGUUGCUGCCAGUCUAAUGACAUCUUCCAAUCUUUUGACGCUGUUUGUUCCGACUGGGGCUUCCCAGAAGUCUUGUUAUCGAUAACUGACUGCAACUCAAUUUUAGAAUUCAUUGCUUUGAUCUUUUCAAUUUUCUCAUUCAUACUCAGAAACUUUUCAUUAAUCUUUUCUUCAGUAAAGUUGGCGAAAGUUUCACCUGCAAUAUCUUGCUCAAGAGCAUCAAAUUCUUGAAUAACAAGUUCUUCCCAAGAUUUGACUAUUGGAAAUAAUCCUGUCAUAUCUUUAAGCUCUUUCUCAAUCUUCUCAAAUUGUUCAUUCAGAAUAUCAGCAUUGCUACUUCCAUCUAGUUUAGCUUUGGCUAUUCGCUGCACCAAAGUUUUGAUAAUAAUUUCUGGAUUCCUUCGAAUUGGCAUUUUGAAAAUGGAAUGAAUAGUGAUAGAAACAAGUUAGAUGAAUGCAGGUUUAGGAUGAAAGCUUAGAAAAGGAGAAGAGUGAUUACAUUAAUACUAUAUACAGUAUUAACUUGGCCAUUGUUUAACAUGUCUUGAUUAGCUGGGCAAUGAGUGUUUACAUUACUACUAACCUAGUCUUUGGCAUUUUCUGCAAUCCACAUAUCCCCAUCCAUAUGCCCAUGUCUUUAUCAAUAUGAUAACCUUGCAAGUGGUGAUUUUUUUUCCCCAGUUGAAUGGCAAGACAGGUAGGAGGGUCUCCUGCCUAUUUAAAUUACUAUGUAGUAUGUAGCUGUAUGCGCUUCGUGCAUAACUUUAUGUUUGAGUAUGGUUUUUAGUCAAAUAAAAAAAAUUAUGGUAUUUUUCUUUCAUAUUUAAGGAUAAUUUAAUAAUUUAGAUGGGUAAAAAAAUGAUAUUAUGAUUAUUUAUUCUUAAAUAGAGAUGUUCUAGUCAUUUGAUAUCAAAUAAAUGUUUUUUGGUUUUCGAAGAGGUAUCAUGGUAAUGUAAAUUAAUAAUAAGAAUAUUCAAAUAGAGGUAUUUUAGGUGAGCUUUUAGGUACCAAAUUUUUUUCCCAUGGGCCAGAUGUGUUUUGGGGUCUUAUAGGUUAUUUAAAUGUUGUUGGGCCAUAUGGAUUAAAUGCUUGGACUAAUAACUAAUCUGGUAAAACUGGUCCAUAUCAUGGGAACAAAUGUCAAUAUUUUUUCAAUUAGGUUACGGAAAGAAAGCUGACGUCAGUUUACUAUUCACAGUCAUGUUCUCAUUAAGGUAGUUUAGAUGUAACAUAACUCUGUCAAUAAUCAGUUGUUGAGGAGUUUUAUUCCCACAAACUUUCCUCAAAGUGAAAGAGAUGUAAUCCACCAAGUUUUUUUUUUUUUUAUUAUUAUUAUUGGUAAACAGGGUUGAAGGGACCCCUACCCUUUAACAAUCAGCUGUUGACGUGUUUCGAACCCACAACCUCUCCACUUUAUGAGAGGGGUGCUACGAUUGAGCCAUAGGCUCAUUUGCAUAAUCCACCAAGUUAGGGGCACUAAUUGAUAUAUAGUUCCUUCCCAACAACUUUAUGCAUUUUAAUACUGAUCUUCAAUCUCUAUUCAACUUGCUUUUUUUAGAAAAAACUAUUAGCAUAUGACAUGGGAAUAAAUUAAUCGUUUUGACGACUUUAACGUUUCUAUUAAGACAAGCAAACAGGAAUGCCAAGAAAAAAAUGUUUAUGCUUACUAAUUUUUUUUUUUUUUUUUUAAUUUGAAUAUAAAUUGAAUUUAUGAAUAUUUAAGUAAAAGUCUCUAGACAGACCAAGGGUUAAGUAGCAAUUAAUAUAAAACAGUGGACUAAAUUAAUUAAUAAACUUAAACUUGAAGAAAAAAAAAUCCCCGAUCACAGUUUUGAUCAUAGGUGAAAAUUUAUACUACUAUUAUAAACCUGAAUAAAUUUCAGGGGUAAGUCCCGGUUAAUGAGAAUUGAGCUAUAGAAUUUUAUCACCCAAUUCUGACUAAAAUACCCUUUUAGACAUGGUUUUUUGGUAAAUUUAUAUAAUACCAUUUAAGUAAUGGUUUUCUUGUAACUUAACAUGUUUUAUUUAUGGACUGAAUUUUUAUAUAUCAAAAAAAGCCUAAUAAUUAAACGAGGGAAAAAAAAAACGGACCCAAUUAAGGUGUGAAAAUAUAAGAUUGGACCAGUUAGGGAACUAAUGGUAAAAUAGGCCCAACCGCUGAUUUCCGUGUCUUAUGGACUAGUUUACCCUUCAACUGAUGCAAAGACUUGUUUGCAUAUCAUAAACAUAUAAACAUACUUACUUAUAUCAGUCACAAUACAAAUAUAAAAUGCAAAGACUUGUUUGCAUACUUGCAAACAACAAUAUAAACCAUAAAAUGUAAAUGCAAAGAAUUGUUUGCAUACUCGAAACGACGACAAGAUAAACUAGAAAAUGUAAAGACUUGUUUGCAUCAGUCACAACACAUAAAGAUUAAAUGCAAAAACUUGUUUGCAUACUCGAAACAAUGACAUACCAUAAAAAUGCAAACAUUUGUUUGCAUAAACCAGAAGGGUAUUAUCGGUAGUGAAAGGGCCGUUUUUACAAUAUCAACGUUAAAUGGGUCUUUUCUUAUUUUACAAAUGCUUAAUGAGGGCCAAUUUUACAAACCGGGCCUUAGUUGGGCCAAUUGUGUUUUAUAGGUGCUUAAUGAGGGCCUAGAACCAUUUCCAACAAAUAAUUAAAUUAACAAAAUACAAUGAGAAUAAUGAAUUUACUUAUACGAUUUAAUAAAUUAGUGUAAUUUAUAAUAUUUAAUAAAAUUAAUAACUUAAAACUCGAAUGCUAACACGGAUAAAUUAAAAUUAACCGGUGCGUAGCACCGGCUAAGGCACUAGUAUCGAAUAAUCUCGAAUAUCCGAUUCGUGAAAAACCGGAUUAUUCCACGAAUAUCCCAAAGCCAGUGUCAAAAUGGGGAGGUUUGGCAAAUAUGCUUCUCGCGAAAUAUAUUCUGAAAAAUUCGGCAGAAUGCGGAGGUUUUCUACUAAUAUCAUAUUUUUCUUCUUCUUUCAAUGUAUAAACUUAUAAUUCAAUAAUAGAAUAUAUAAACACACCCCUUUUUUAUUAUAUAGCCAUUAUCAUCCAAAGAAAGACAUACGUUUUAAUUUAAACACACCCUCUUUUUAUUAUAUAGGUUAUGCAUUUAUAAAUAAAUUUGGGUAUUGAAAUUCGAAAUUGUAAGUAUAGAGAAAACUAGAUAAGUUAUAAAACAAUGUAAGAAUUAUUGAAACUUCGAGACAAAAGGUAUAGUGGUUUUUGCAGACCUUAAAACUGGGGGAAGACAACUCAUAAAUUCCGAAUUUUUUGUAAAUUUCGUAUUUUUCGAAUUUUUUGUUAAGAGGGAGGUUUUUGUUUCGUAUUAUAUCCGUAUGCCGUACCGUUCCGAAUUCCCAAAAAACAAAAAAAUUCGAUAUGAUUUUUCGUUAAGAGGGAGGUUUUUUUUUUUCCCUUCAUAUAGAGAUAGAGAGGCGCAUGGGUCUGUAGUUGAAGUUCAAGUUGUAGACUAAGAAAGAAGUAGUUGCAGAGAUGGGCAACUACUGCAAGUGGAGUUGAUGUAACAACGCGAAUUUUUCUACCUUUUUUAAAAAUAUGAUUUUAAGAUUUAUUGGAUUGAAAAUUUAGUUUAAAAGACGUGGCUAUAAAUUUCGUUAAAAAUCCGGAUGUCACAUGACCAUUGUAGAAUUUUAAUAAUAGUAGGGGUACAUGGUUAAUUUGCAUAGAAGGCAAAACUGUGAUAAUGUUAUCGUAGGUUCAUAGUGGUUAGAAUUGAGGAUAAUAGAUUAAGAAGAAAGAAGAUCUGAUGGCUGGCAUUAAUGGUGUUUCAUUAGCCAGACACUGUAACCAAGAGAAGACAGAGAGAAAGAAACACGAGUAGAGACUUUGAGAGAAAGAAAGAAUUGAAACAAGGGACACUGGGGUCUGGGAGUCUGGGACAGUAACCUUUAAUUGUUUUGGUGCGGGUUUCGAGGACAUGCUUGCAUUUCAUUUGCAUUUGAUUGAUCAACUGUACAUAAUUUUGUCUUAUCCUGGUGAGUGGAAUCUCACUUUGUUUUACUUAAAAUUCACUGUUAUGAUUUUUUUAUUUAAAAGCAUCUAAACUACUUUUUAAGGAGCCUCCUUCCCGAGGUCGUUCAUGAGGCCUGACGUGUCUUUCAUAUACAGUUCCGAUUAUACCCCUAUAUUUUAUACAUAAUUUCGAUUAUACCUCUAUCUUUUAUAAAUAGUUUCAAUUAUACCCCUACCUCUUAUUAAAAUUUCGAUUAUACCCCUAUCUCUUAUAAAUAGUUUCAAUUAUACCCUUAUCUCUUAUAAAUAGUUUCGAUUAUACCCCUACCUCUUAUUAAAGUUCCGAUUAUACCCCUAUCUCUUAUAAACAGUUCCAAUUUUAUCCCUAAAUUUUGAUUUUAUUUCUAUAGUUCCAAUUUUCUCCCUAAGUUCCGAUUUUAUUUUUCCACUUUCGAUUUUACCCCUAAGUUCUGAUUUUAUUUCCACAUUUUCGAUUUUAUCCUAAUGUAUUAAGAGUUGUACACUACAAUGAAAAAGGUAAAAAAAUAAUUUCAAAAAAAGUGGGACCUAUUAUAAUUUAUAUAAGAUAGCGUGUUUAUUUCCACAGUUUCGAUUUUACCUCUUAUGUAUUAAGGUUUGUAUACUACAAUGUAAAGGGCAAAAAAAUAAUUUCAAAAAAGUGGAACCUACUGUAAUUUAUAUAAGAUAAUUUCAAAAAAAAAUGGAACCUACUAUAAUUUAUAAAUAUAAAAAACCUACAGAGUUUUGUUAAAAAAAAAAAAAAAAAAAUAUAUAUAUAUAUAUAUAUAUAUAUAUAUAUAUAUAUUUUUUUUUUUUUUUUUUUUUUUUUUUUUUUUUAUGAAGUAGUUAUAAAUCCAAAUAAACAUUUAAAUAGGUUUUUUUUUUUAUUAGGCAUAAAUAAAUCUAUUAUUUUUUGUUCGCACGCAUUAGACGUGCACAUUCACAUAGUACAAAUUAAUGGAUACCAUGAUACAUGAUACUGUCGGAUAAACAGAGAAACAAACUGAAUAAUAAACAAGGUAAUAGAAACAAAUUACAACUGUUUUUUUCUAUUGAUUGAUGAAAACUCUUAAUACAAAGAUGAACUGAUUCUAACUUAUUUAUAAUAGAAAAACAACAACGAACGUGAAUGAAACUUAAACAACUAAAUCAACAUAAACAUGACUCAAUAAAACUAGCACUUCUCCUAGAUAAUAGCUACUACAUUUCUAACUUGGUAAAACACUAACACACUAAUAUGGAUAGACUUUGUCAACAGCUCAAUACUAACACUUAGUUUAAGGACUUAGACUUACAUUAACUUUUAUCAUUCUCCCUUCAUGUAAAACUGAUAACAUUGAGUAAGGAUCGAAACUUCGCGAACUUAGGAUAUGAGAGUGCCUUGGGUAAGUCCAUUUGCAACUUGAUCUUUUGCAGAACAAUACUUCACCACGAUAUAACCUUUUGCAACUGCAUCUCGAAUAAAAUAAUGACGAAGCUCAAUGUGCUUUGUUCUUCCAUGGAAAAUCGAAUUCUUCGUCAUUGAGAUAGUAGCUUUGUUGUCACAAUAGACCUUUAUUGUUGCUUCUGCUUGAACUUGGUGCAAGUCCUACAAAACUCUUCGCAUCCAAAUGGCAUGACAUGCUGCUGCAGAUGCUGCCAUAUAUUCAGCUUCAGAUGUUGAUAAUGCUACCGUUGCUUGCUUCUUUGAGAGCCAUGAUAUAUCUCCUGAACCCAGGCUAAAAACAAAUCCACUUAUACUUUUGCGGUUAUCUACGAAACCUGCCCAAUCAUUGUCAGUAAAUCUGACUAAGCUGAAAUUUUUUUGAACUGACUUAUACAAUAUCCCAUAGCUAAUCGUUGCCUGAAUAUACCGAAAAAUGCGCUUGGCAGCUCCAAGAUGAUGCACGAAAGGAUUGUGCAUAAACCUUGACACCAAACUGACAACGAACAUUAUAUCCGAACGUGAGUGAGUAAACAUCAGCCCACCAACCAUGCUUCUAAAAAAUCUCUCAUAGGCCUAUGGUGUUCCAUCAUUCAAUGACAACUUCUCAUUCGUGUUCAUGGGAGUCGAAGAUGUCUUGCAAUUCAGCAUAUUGGACCUCUUGAGCAAGUCCAACGCAUAUGUUUCCUGAGUUAUAAAGAUUCCAUCAUCUAAUUGAUGAACUUGAAGACCAAGAAAAUAAUGGAGAAGACCCAAAUCGGACAUAUCAAACUCCUUCAUCAUGCUUUCCUUAAAUUCCUUCACAAGAGUGUUAAAAGAUGCAGUGUAUAUAAUAUCAUCAACAUAUACACAUACAAUAAGAAUAUCACCAGUACCUUUCACCUUCACAUACAAUGUAGGCUCAUUAUCACUUCGAUGAAACCCAUCCUUACGAAGAUAAGAAUCAAGGUGGCUAUACCAGGCUCUUGGUGCUUGCUUGUGUUGUAUAUUGGCUCGCAACAGUUGGGUGCACAUGAUCAUACCUUAUAAGAUGUGUGAUCCAUAGGAUCAGUUCCUAUAUUGGUUAAGGAAACCAUACAUGUGCAGGAGUUCUCAUUAGACUCGGUUUCCUAUUUAUCUCGGUUUUAAAUAAGUAAUCCUAUAUGGAUUUGGUUUCCAUCCAUAGGUUAUAAAUACCCAAGUAACUUGGUAUUUAAGAAAACAAGAGAGUAAAACAAUAAAAACAUAGAGAUAGAAAGAGUAAGUGAGAGAGAACUUUGGGCGCCAAGGGUGUAUUGGGUUUAAGGUGAGAGAUUAAGAUCUUGAGAAAAAUACUAGGGAGAUUAUUUGUAACACCCCUGGUCGGCAGGUGGUUUGCCGAGGGGGUGGGUCCUACGACACGUAAGAGAGGGAUGUCCUGACAUUGGAAUAUAAGUAUAAAUCCAUCAUAUAUUAUCAUCGAGACCUUUUGGGCUAACUUGGCUCCAAAGUUCGAAAGAACUCCGAAGCUUGGCUCUAGAGUUCGAAAGAACUUCGAAGUUAAGCGUGCUCGGGUGGGAGUAAUUCUCAGGAUGGUGACCUCCUAGGAAGCAGGUUGCUGCCCAAUAAAACCCCACACUGUUGGACAUCCACAGUGCCUAAGUGGGGACAAUAUAUCACCACCGAUAUCGAACGUCCGCAAUGGGCUAAGUGUGGGGUUUUAUUGGGCAGCAGCCUGCUUCCCAGGAGGUUACCCAUCCUGAGAAUUACUCCCACCCGAGCACGCUUAACUCCGGAGUUCUUUCGAACUCUGGAGCCAAGUGAGCCCAAAAUGCCUCGGUGAUAAUAUAUGACGGAUCUAUAUCUAUAUUCCAAUGUCAGGACAUCCCCCUCUUACUUGUCAUAGGACCCACCCCUUCUGCAAACAACCUGCUGAUCCGGGGUGUUACAUUAUUGGAAUCGGUGUUUCUUUUCUUAUAGUGAAAUCUUCUCAUUAUUCCCCGUGGAGGUAGGCAUUGCCGAACCAUGCACGUAUAUCUUGGUGUUAUUGUUUUUUAUUGUUUUAUUCUUUUAUACUAUUUUUUAUUGUUUGGUAAUCUUCGACUUCAUUAACAAACGAAUCAUGUAUUGCAAAGGAGGUGUUCUCACGAAUAUCUAGAUUGCGGAUUGUUGACGUUGUUGGGAUUUAAUUAAUCAAUGCAUAUAGUUCAACAAGUAGUAUCAAGAGCUUAGGUUGGAUUUAAGGUUUUGUCAAAGAUGACGGAGACAACAAGUGUUCCUGCGAAUUGUGACGGUAAGAAACCAUCGGUUACUACUCUUGGCGGCGAUGUAAUUAUUGAGAUUAAACUGUUUGACGGUAGAGAUAAUUUUACACUAUGGCAAAGGAAGAUGAGAAACAUUUUGAUCCAAAAAGAUCUUCAUGUGGUUCUUAAUUGGAAAGACAAGAAACCAAAGGACAUAUCAGAUGACAAGUGGAGCAAAGCAGAUAUCAAAGCUAUGAGUUCCAUCGAACUACAUAUCUCGGACGAGGCGAUGUUUAAUGUGAUGGAGGAAACUAGCGUCAAAGGAACAUGGGAAAAGCUCGAGAAGUUGUAUAUGGUUAAGUUUUUAUCCAAUAAACAUUUCUUCAAAGAUGAACUCUUGAAUCUUCGGAUGGAAGAAGGUGAUGAUCUUAUGGAACAUCUAAACGUGUUCAAUAAGUGCAUCACAAAUUUGCUAUGGGUAGAUGUGAAGUAUGACGAUGACGACAAGUCUCUGUACCUGGUAAGAUCUUUUCCUCCAUCGUUCAAGCACUUCAGGACUACAUUGAUGUCCAGCAAGGAUACUUUAAAGUAUGAUGAAGUUGUUCAAGACAUAAUCUCUCAUGUGAAGAUGAAUUAGAACACAAGUGAAAACAGUCGAGCAGAAGGACUAUAUGUCAAGAAUUCUAAUGAGAGGGGCCGAACAAAUAAGAGAAGUAGCAAAUCAAAAGGCAGGGGCAGAUCUAAAUCCAGGGAUAAAGAAGGUUGCUUUGAAUGUGGUGCGACAGACCACUGGAAAUAAGAUUGUAAGAAAUAUAAGGAAAAGAAGAAGAAGGCCGAAAAUUCAAAUUCUGUCAGCGUUGUUACAGAUGAUAGCGACGGAGAAAUUUUGGCAACUUCUUCAGGUAAUGAUAUUUCUUCGCCUUGGAUUUUAGAUUGUGGUGCUUCUUAUCAUAUGUGUUCAAAUAAAGACUGGUUUGAAACGUUUGAGAAAAGAAAAGACGACGUAGUUUUUAUGGGGAAUAAUUCCAGUUGUAAAGUUUGUGGAAUUGGUACAGUAAAGUUGAAGAUGCAUGAUGAAAUUGUUAGGACUCUGGGUAACGUGAAAUACGUUCCUGCACUAAGGAAAAAUCUUAUUUCCCUGAGUUAUUUGGAUAAAAAUAGGUACACAUACAAAUCGAAAGAUGAGAAUCUCAUAGUCUCAAAGGAUUCAUUUGUCGUUAUGAGAGGAGUAAGACUUUCUAAAAAUUUGUACAAGCUUUUGGGAAAUACAGUAAUUGGUGGAGCUGCAGUUUCUACAAAAGAAGAUCGCACUCAGCUUUGGUACUUGAGGCUAGGGCAUAUGAGUGAAAGAGCGACGGAAGAACUACACAAGCGACAAUUCUUGAAGGGUGUAGGAGAGUGUAAACUUGAGUAUUUGCAAGUAUUCUAUCAUGGGAAAGCAAACUAAAGUACUCUUCAAAGCUGCAAAUACAAAGAACAUAAGUACUUAACUAUAUUCACUCAGAUGUGUGGGGACCUUCACCUACUCAAUCAAAAGGUGGAGCUCACUACUUUGUCACUUUCAUACAUGAUUUUUCGAGGAAAGUUUGGGUCUACUUCAUAAAGGAGAAAUUCGAAGUUUUCACUAAAUUCAAGGAGUGGAAGGCAGAGGUAGAGAAUCAAACAGGUAGAAAAAUCAAGUAUCUAAGAACUUAUAAUGGCGGUGAAUAUAAAGAUAAGAAGUUUCUACAAUACUGCAAAGAUGAAGGUAUUACAAGGCAUUUUAUCGUGAAAAAGAAUCCCCAACAGAAUGGAGCUGCAGAAAGGAUGAAUAAAACUCUUAUGAAUAAAGAGAGGUGCAUGAGGUUUCAUGCAGGUUUGCCAGAGAUGUUUUGGGCAGGGUCGCUUAACUAUGCUUGUCACUUGGUUAAUCGUUCACCAUCCAAGAUAUUUGAUUUCAGAUAUGCAGAAGAGGUAUGGUCAGGUAAACCGGUAGACUACUCUACUUUGAAGGUAUUUAGAUGUAGUGCAUAUGCUCUAAUUCCCAGUGAUGAGAGAACCAAACUUAAACCUAAAUCUCAUGAAUGCAUUUUCAUCGGCUUCGAGAAGGGAGUGAAGGGUUAUAAGAUAUGGGAUCCAGUGAACCGUAAGAAAAUCUUUACUAGAGAUGUUGUGUUUGAUGAGAAGACUAUGCCUAUGAAUCAAGACAUAAAGAAUGAUACGUGAGAAAAAAAUUAUUGGUGAGAAAACAACUACAGAGAUAUCUCCUCUUACCAAGGUAUCCAACAGGGAGACUCCUAUUCAGGUGGAGGAGUCAGAUGCAAGGGUCGAAGAGGAUGGGCCAGAACAACAACAGUGUGAAAAGGAGGCUGAAUUUAAUAAGGAUAAGCAACAACCUUACAGCAUAACAAAGAACCGGGGCCAAAGACAAGUCAAAGCACAUAUUAAACUUGGGUUCGAGGAAGAAGUUCAUUAUGCUUUAAGCAUUAGUGAAGGUGAUCCUACUUCUUAUCGUGAAGCAGUUGAAAGUAACUAAAGAGGAGUGGAUUAAAGCUAUGGCUGAAGAGAUGAAAUCUCUAUACAAGAACUCUAUUUGGGAGUUGGUUCCUAAACCCACAGAAAGAAAAAUUGUUGGCUGUAACUGGGUUUACAGGAAGAAGGAAGGAAUGCAUGAGAAAGAACCACCAAAGUUCAAAGCACGUUUGGUGGCGAAGGGGUACUCACAGAAGGAAGGAGUUGAUUAUGAUGAAUUUUUCUCUCCGGUAGUGAAACAUACUUCUAUUAGAGUGUUACUAUCACUGGUUGCUCAACAGGAUAUGGAGUUUGAGUAGUUAGAUGUCAAAACUAUUUUUCUCCAUGGUGAAUUAGAGGAAGUCAUCUACAUGGCUCAACCUCAUGGUUUUGUUGAAGCUGGUAAGGAAAAUCUGGUUUGUAGGUCGAAGAAGUCUCUUUACGGGUUCAAACAAUCUUUAAGGCAGUGGUAUAAACACUUCGACUCUUAUAUGUUAAACAUUGGGUAUAGAAGAUGUGACUAUAAUUGUUGUGUGUACACUCAUGUGUUCGAUAAUGGGAUGAUGAUCCUAUUGCUACUUUAUGUAGAUGACAUGCUUAUUGUUUGUUGGGAUAUGUCUAGAAUUAAGAAGCUGAAGACGUUAUUAAGCAAGAAAUUAGACAUGAAGGAUCUUGGUUCUGUACAGAAAAUCUUAGGUAUGGAGAUAAGGAAAGACAGUAAAGCGAGAAUGUUAUGGUUGUCACAAGUCAAAUACAUUCAAAAGGUACUUGAGCGCUUCAAUAUGAUUCAUGCAGAUCCUGUGUCAACUCCUUUGAACAACAAUUUUGUUUUAAACAAAAGUCAAUGUCCUUCCACAUAUGCUGAAGUUGAAGAGAUGAAGAAUAAGCUGUAUGCAAGCGUAGUAGGGUGUCUCAUAUACUCAAUGGAAUGCAUAUGACCUGAUUUAGCUCAAGCACUAAGUGUAGUAUCGAGAUACAUGGCGAAUCCGAGAAAGCCACACUAGAAAGUUCUGACAUGAAUUCUCAAGUAUCUGAAGGGCACUAAGACAUUGAGUAUCUUGUUUGAAAGACAACAAGGGGAAACAUGUGUUUCGGUUAGCGAAUAUCAAUAUGUUUCAUUCUUGAAUGAAACAUUUGAUUCUUUGCAAGGUAAAUAACACUCUGACUGUCACAUCUUAUCAUCAUAGAACUUUGAUUUAACCCGAACAUGCUUACUAAUCCAUUCAGCCAAAUAGCUUCCUUGCAAGCUUCUAUUACCACCAUAUAUUUCGCAUCAGUAGUAGAUAAAACAGUAACCGUUUGGAGCAUUGAUCUCCAACUAACCAGUCCUUCACCAUAAGUGAAGACGUACCCUGUGGUGGAUCUUCGAUUAUCAAAAUCUCCUGUAUAAUCAGCAUCCACAUAACCCGAAACACAUGUUUUCCCUUGUUGUUUUUCAAACAAGAUACCCAACGUCUUAGUGCCCUUCAGAUACUUGAAAAUCCAUGUCACAACUUUUCACUGUCGUUUUUCCGGAUUCACUAUGUAUCUCGAUAUUACACUUAGUGUUUGAGCUAAAUCAGGUCUUGUGCAUACCAUUGAGUACAUGAGACACCCUACUGCGCUUGCAUAUGGUUUUUUUUCUUCAUUUCUUCCACUUCAGCAUCUGUGGAAGGACAUUGACUUUUGUUUAAAAUAAAACUGUUGUUCAAAGGAGUUAACACAGGAUCUGCAUCAAUCAUAUUGAACCGCCCAAGUACCUUUUAAAUGUACUUGACUUGUGACAGCUAUAAUUUUCCCGCUUUCAUGUUUUUCCUUAUUUCCAUACCUAGGAUCUUCUGCACAGAAUCAAGAUCCUUCACGUCAAAUUCCUUGCUUAAUAAUGUCUUCAGCUCUUUAAUUCUAGACAUAUAUAUCUACACAAUAGCAAUAAGCAUGUCAUUUACAUAAAGUAAUAGGAUCACCAUCCCAUCAUCGAACACAUGAGUGUACACACAAUAACUGCAUAUUCUAUAUCCAAUGUUUAGCAUAUAAGAGUCGAAGCGUUUGUACCAGUGCCUUGAAGAUUGAUUGAGCUCGUAAAGAGAAUUCUUCAACCUACUAACCAAAUUUUUCUUACCCGCUUCAAUGAAAUCCUGAGGUUGAGCCAUGUAGAUGACUUCCUUUAAUUUGCCAUGGAGAAAAGCAGUUUUGACAUCUAACUGCUUAAGCUCCAUAUCUUGUUGAGCAACCAGUAAAAGUAACACUCUAAUAGAAGUAUGUUUUACUACCGGAAAGAAAAUUUCAUCACAAUCAACUCCUUUCUUUUAUGAGUACCCCUUCGCUACCAAACGUGUUUUGAACUUUAGUGGUUCUUUCUCAUGCAUUCCUUCCUUCUUCCUGUAAACCCACUUACAGCCAACAAUUAUUUUUUCUGGAAUUUUAGGAACCAACUCCCAAACGGAGUUCUUGUAUAGAUUUUCCAUCUCUUCAGCCAUAGCUUUAAUCCACUCUUCUCUUUCAUUACUUUCAACUGUUUCACGAUAAGAACUAGGAUCACCUUCACUAAUGCUUAAAGCAUAAUGAACUUCUUCCACGAACCCAAGUCUAAUAGGUGUUUUGACUUGUCUUUAGCCUUGGUUCUUAGUUAUGUUGUAAGGUUGUUCCUUAUCUUUAUCAGAUUCAACCUCCUUUUCACACUGUUGUUGUUCUGGUCCAUUCUCUUCAACCCCUGCAUCUGACUCCUCCACCUGAAUAAGAGUCUCCCUGUUGGAUACCUUAAUAAGAGGAAAUAUUCAGGGACGAACCGAGGAUUUUGAUUCUGGGGGUGGACAAAAUAAUUCAUAUAUACAAAAAAAAAAAAAAAAAAAAAAAUUGAUUAUAACACAAUGUAACUCCGAUCCAUACCAGUAUAAUAUGAAAAUGUUGUAAUUUUUGUAUUUCAAUAUAUUGUCACAAGGCUGCAAAAGUAGCAAUUUUUACUCUUUUCAACACACUAUUUCCUCAAUUCCUCGCUCUUACUUGAAAUUUUGAACAGUGGAAUCUAAGUUUGCCUUUUUGUAGUUCAAUUGUAUACACGGUAGAAAAGAGAGAGAGAGACCAUGCUUCCAUGCCAAUACAAAGAUCUUUCUAUUCUCCAUAUUUUCUUAUUGGGUUUUAAGAAUAGGCUAGGCUUAUUUAAUUUUUUUUUUUUUUUAAAAUUAGAAAAACAUCAAAAGUUCAGGGGGUGCAUCUGCACCCCCUCUGGCUCCUAUGUAGGUCCAUCCCUGGAGAUAUCUCUAUAGUUACUUUCUCAAUAAUAGUGUUUUUCUCACUAUUCUUCAUGUCUUGGUUCAUAAACAUAGUCUUCUCAUCAAAAACAACAUCUCUAUUAAGGAUUUUCUUCCCAUUCACUAGAUCCCAUAACUUAUAACCCUUCAUUCCCUUCUCGAAGCCGAUGAAAAUGUAUUCACGAGAUUUGGGUUUAAGUUUGGUUCUCUCAUCAAUGGAAUAAGAGCAUAUGCACUACAUCCAAAUACCUUCAAAGUAGAGUUGUCUACAGGUUUACCUGACCAUACCUCUUCUGCACAUUUGAAAUCAAGCAUCUUCGAUGGUGAACGAUUAACCAAGUGACAAGCAUGGUUAAACGACUUUGCCCAAAACAUCUCUGGCAGACCUACAUGAAACCGGCCUCAUGCACCUCUCUUUAUUCAUGAGAGUCCUAUUCAUCCUCUCUGCAGCUCCAUUAUAUUGGGGAUUCUUCUUCAGGGUAAAAUGCAUUGUAGUACCUUCAUUUUUGCAGUACUGUAAAAACAUCUUAUCCUUAUACUCACCGCCAUUGUCAGUUCUUAGAUACUUGAUUUUUCUGCCCAUUUGAUUUUCUACCUCUGCCUCUUACUCCUUGAAUUUUGUAAAAACUUCGGAUCUCUCCUUCAUGUAGUAGACCCAAACAUUCCUUGAAAAAUCAUCCAUGAAAGUGACAAAGUAGUGAGUUCCACCUUUUGUUUGAGUAGGUGAAGGCCCUCACAAACCUGAGUGAAUAUAAUUAAACAUUUUUGUACUUCUGUUCUUUGUAUUUGUAGUUUGAAGACUACUUUAAUUUGAUUUCCCAUAAUACAAUACUUGCAGAACUCAAGUUUACACUCUCCUACACCCUACAACAAUUGUCCCUUGUGUACUUCUUGCAUGGCUCUUUCACUCAUAUGCUCUAGCCUCAAGUGUCAAACCUGAGUACGAUCUUCUUGUAUAGAAACUGCAGCUCCACCAAUUACUGUAUUUACCAAAUUCUUGUACAAAUUGUUAGAAAGUCUUACUCCUCUCAUAACCACAAGCUAGUGAACUCUUUGAGACUACGAGAUUCCCAUAUUUGGAUUUGUAUGUGUACCCAUUCUUAUUCAAAUAACCCAGAGAAAUGAGAUUCUUCCUUAGUGCAGGAACGUAUUUCACGUUACCUAGAGUCCUAACAAUUCCAUCAUGCAGCUUCAACUUUACCAUACCGAUUCCACAAACUUUAAAACUGGAAUCAUUCCCCAUAAAAACUAUGUCGCCUUUUCUUUUCUCAAACGUGUAAAACUAGUCUUUGUUUGAACACAUAUGAUAAAAAGCACCAUAAUCUAAAAUCCAAUGCGAAGAAAUAUCAUUACCUGAAGAAGUUGCCAAAAUUUCUCCGUCGCUAUCAUCUGUAACAACACUGGAGGAAUUUGAAUUUUUGGCCUUCUUCUUUUUUUUCUUAUGUUUCUUACAAUCUCGUUUCCAUUGGUCUGUCGCACCACAUUCAAAGCAACUUUCUUUAUCCCUUGAUUUAGAUCUACCCCUGCCUUUUGAUUUGUUACUUCUGUUAUUUGUUCGACUCACCUCAUUAGAAUUUUUAACGUAUAGUCCAUCUGCAUAAGAGUUUUCACCUGUGUUCUUACCCAUCUUCACUUAAGAGAUUAUAUCUUAAACAACUUCAUCAUACUUUAAAGUAUCCUUGUCGAACAUCAAUGUGGUCCUGAAGUGCUUGAAAGAUGAAGGCAAAGAUCUGAGCAAGUACAAAGACUUGUCUUCAUCGUCAUACUUCACAUCCACCCGUAGCAAAUUUGUGAUGCACUUAUCGAACACGUUUAGAUGUUCCAUAAAUCACCACCUUCUUCCAUCCGAAGAUUCAAGAGUUCAUCUUUCAAGAACAGUUUAUUAGAUAAAGACUUACGCAUAUACAACUUCUUGAGCUUUUCCCAUGUUCCUUUGGCGCAAGUUUCCUCCAUCACAUUAAACAUCACCUCGUCUGAGAUAUGUAGUUCAAUGGAACUCAUGGCUUUGAGAUCUUCUUUGCUCCACUCGUCAUCUGACAUGUCCUUUGGUUUCUUGUUUUUCCCGUCAAGAACCACAUGAAUAUCUUGUUGGAUCAUAACGCUUCUCAUUUUCCUUUACCAUAGUGUAAAGUUAUCUCUACUGCCAAAUAGUUUAGUCUCAACUUUUACACCGCCGCCAAAAGUAGUAUCCGAUGGUUUCUUACAGUCGCUAUUCGCAGGAACACAUGUAGUCUUCGUCAUCUAUGAUAAAACCUUAAAUCCAACUUAUGCUCUGAUACCACUUAUUGAACUAUAUGCAGUGAUUAACUAAAUCCCAACAACGUCAAAAACCUGCAACCUAGAUAUUCGUGAGAACACCUCCUUUGCAAUACAGAAUCCGUUUGUCAAUGAAUUCGAAUAUUACCAAUAAACAAUAGUGAACAAAACAAUAAAGCACAAUAACACCAAGAUAUACAUUGUUCGACAAUGGCUACCUCCACAGGGAACAAUGAGAGGAUUUCACUAUAAGAAAAGAAACACUGAUUACAAUAAUCUCCCUAAUAUCUUUCUCAAGAUCAUAAUCUCUCACCUUAAACCCAAUAUACCCUUGGCUCCCAAAAGUUCUCUUACCUUUGCUCUCUCUAUUAUCUAUUGCUUUAUAUUCUUUUUCUUGUCUAAGAUUACCACAAUGUAUUCCAAUGUAAACACAUAAUCACUGGUUGCAUUUGAUUUUCUUGUAUCAGAAAAUCUAUUCGCAUUUACCGAUCCCUCAAAGAUAUUUGGAUGUUGUCCAUAAUGCAAUGUGUAGUAUGUGUUUUCUACCCAAUAUCAAAUAUUUUUUCCUUUUAUGUGUUAAAACUAAACUAAUGAUUAAACUAGUAUAUAGCUAAGCUACGGGUGUCAAUCCACGCCAAGGAAUUGGGUAACUUUAUAUAACGAAAGUGAACUACUUAUGAUGUCGUUUACGAAAAGGGAAUGAUAUAUGAAUAUUGUUUUGAAAAUAGUUUUUUGGAUAUGAUUUGAAUAGAAUAUUAAUAUAAAGUAAACGUAAACUAAAUUAAACUCAGAAAAAAGUAAAUUUAGAGUUUUAAUUAUGAGAUAAAUAUGGGGAUCACUUCACCAUCCUAGACAAAUAUCGAACUUCAUCAAUGUAUUCAAUUUCAUGCAACUAACUAUCUCUACUCUAUGACAUACUUAGUAGUGAGUUCUCUCUCUCUGCCAAAACUCACUCACCUUAAGCUACACUAAAGUCUUUGCGGAUAAUUCUUAUAGUAUAAACCUAAGGGCCUCAAAACAUAAAACAAUGACCCUUAACCUACCCUCGGUAUAGUCGAUACCAAGUAAAGUCUUACAUUUCAACAAAAGAUAUAGAAUUAGUUUAUUUUCUCUCUCUCUCAAUGCCAAAAUAAACUAACUAAGCACACGAGGUAUUGAAAAGUCUCUACACAUGUAAAAAGAUCUCUCUUUUAUUAAAAUUAAGAACAAUGUAUAAAAAUUAUUCUAAGAUGGCCAAUCUCAAAGUAAUUACUUUUUUAUGCAUGAGAAUCAAAUACAUAUCAAAAAUCACAAAUUCAUCUAGUAGGCUAAUUCACCCAAUGUGAAAAUUAGUUGAACAUGAUGGAAGAUGAUGGAAACAUGGAUGUAGAGAAAGUAAAAGACAUAUUUAAACUAUUGAAUAAGAAUACUAAAGAGAAAUUCCAUUAAUCAAUAAAAACAUGUAAGUAAAGGCAUAAACUUAAUUUUUUCUUUUUCUUCUUCUUCAUAAAAGUACAUCUAGGGUUUGAUACUUCAAUUGUGGGGUGAAGCAUACUCCAAAUUCGUGGAGAACAUAGCUUAUAGCCUUAUAUACAUAAGAAGUCCUAGUUUCACUGAAAUUGCUCUUUAAGGGGAGAAAAUUUGACUUUAGGAUUUCCUUGACCUAGGGUUGACCAAAUAACUUGUAAAUUUCCAGUUUAGACCCUUAACAUGGUUGGAAUGGACUGCAAGUGGGCCUUGGAUUUUUGACUUGUCUAUCUUGCCACCUACAAAACUGCAGUCUGUCAGAUUUUCAGGUCUCUUUUCGAGCUGUUUCUUCAACUCUUUUUUCUAAUAUUUCUUGACAGUCUUGAAGUACACAAUGAGAGAUUUCCAAUGGUAUCUUCGGAUCGUACAUCGGAGUUCUCUAACUUGGUCUACCAAAAGCUCAAAGUUGCUCUAUUAACGUUGUUUUCUGCACCUUUUUUAACUGUUUUUCUUCGUUUUAUACUUUCUUCAUGUUUCGAACCUAUAAUCAUGUAAACUAAACAAAACCACGCAUAUCAUAUCACUUUAUAGAUUAACUUGAGAGAAAUAUGGAUGUUUUAGGGGAUUAAAUAUACACUUUUUGGCACUUCUGCAUCCCAGUGAUUUUACUUGGACCAUGUUUACUGAUAGAAUAGGCAAUUUUUGGUCUUGUACAAUUCACAUACAUUGGACUACCAAUACUACGAGAAUGCUCGAGUUGGAAAAUGGUAAGACCAAUCUUUUUAUGCAACACCACAAAUGGAAUACAAUGAGUACUCACCUUAGUAAUUCCAUAUUGCACAAACCUAUAUCUAUCAUUUUCUCAAUGUAAUUUGAUUGAGACAACGCUCUUCCAUUAAAUGAUCUAAUUAUCUUAAUUAUCAAGAUAAACGUCUAGGACCUCUAGAUUUUUCACAUCAUACUUGUUUGUAAGCAUAUUUUCAUAGACUUAAUGACUUCAUUAUGCGUCAAAAAAUGAGCAUAUCUUUGACAUACAAACAAACAAUUAUAUAAAUCUCGCACUUGUUUGACAUAGAGACUCUUGUCAUAUUCAUUGAUGUGAAUCCAUAAUUCCAUUGACGUACAAAUAGGCUCUGACAAAGCCUAUUUGUUAUGACAUUUAUUAUUACUAUCACAUUAUUAUUCAUGCAUAUUAUUGGGUGUUAUAUAUAUCUAUAUAAUAUUAUAAAGCAGUCUUAUAAACACAGUCGUUAGAUGUCUAUUGAGACAACCAUAACCAUUGAUAUACAUUAAAUUAUAUAAUCGAUGUAAUAAUAGCCCUUAGAUGUGGAAAAUCGAUCCUAACCUUUAGUUGUCUAUUGAGACAAUCGUAGCCGUAGGAUUAACAUUAUUUAAGUAAUUUUUAUUUAAUGUACUAAGUAUAACCUAUAAUGAUGUAAUAAGUAAUAACUCCACAAAUUAAUUAUUACAUAACCUCAUUAUACUUUGCUUAGAAUAUAGAAUUAAAUUAAGGAAUAUUUAUUCAUAACAUCAAAAAUAUAAUAGAUAUUUAAAUGAAAACAUAUGCUUCUAUUCACGUUAUAUAUUUUCUUUGUUCCAUCUCUCCCACCCACCAAAACCAAUCCGUUUCACGCAUAGGUUUCCAGGUAAUAUGUUAGUGAUAUAAAAUGCUAAAAAGUCUUACAAUUGUUGUCAAUUCCUUCUUCAUUAGCUGUAUUGUUUUUUCCCUUCUUCUUUUUAAAACAGGUACAAAGUUCUGCUUGCAAUGGCUGCUAUAAAAUUAUUUUUUUUGGCUUCCAAUUAUUACAAAUAAUUUUCACUUUUAUUUUUUUUCCUAGUUUUAUAUAAUGUAGGAUCUAAAACUUCAACACAAAAAUAUAAUGUAUUCUAGGGACUAUCAGUGUAUAAGAACUAAGGUUGUGAUUUAUUGAUUCUUACAUUUCACUUUCUAGGUGAAUUUUCUUCCAUUCACAACUGAAUUUAUUGACACAUGUCCUUGAUUUCUGAAAAAUAAGAUGAAAACAUGAGAAACUUUUGUGUAUACAUCGACAGACAAGCUAUAUAUCGAUGCAAACCAAUCCGAGUAUGUGAACUUAUAUCCUAAUGAGUUCUUGAACUCACUUAAUCCGCAUGGAUUCCCACCAUUCUCUCUCAUGAUCAAAUCAGAUUCAAGGCUUAUACUCUUAAGAGAUCUUGCCCAUAUAGAUGGGAUCCGCACUGGAACUCGAAUAAUGGUGACAUAAUAUGCAAACCAAUACAUUCAAGAAAAAAUUCUUACUGAAAAUAAACCGGGUGAAAUAGUGGUUCUACCACGAAUAACAUUAACUUCAUCGUUUUCCAAUCCUCCGUUCCAAAUUACAAGGACAUAAUUCCCUAUUAUGUUUGAUGGUGGUGAUAAGCAAAUCGACGAUUGCAAUUAAGAUUUCUUUGUGCAGUUUUCUUCAAAAGUUUAUUUUGCUCAAAAUUAUAUAUGUAUGUGACAUAGUAGUUUUUUGCCACCAUUUCAUUAAGGUGAGUCAUUUAUUUUAUUUUUAUUUUUUCUUUGUAGAUUUUCAGGAAUAGAUUCGUAGUUAACAAUCACAGGUUAGUCACUCUACCUAAGGUUGACUUAAACUUCCGUUCGGACUUUCGGCGGCUCUUUCUGUCACCGAAACAGAAAGGAUAAGAAGUAUAUGGUAGUUCUAUCAAUUUAAUUUGGAGACUGUAUAGUUUUUGGUAGGAUAAUAACCUUGAGUAUAUUGGUUGUUCCAUUAAUUUCUAUAUCAAUUUUGUUGCUUUAUUGGUUGUUGAUCUUUUUGUUGUAUAUUCAACACCUUAGUAAUCAUUUUGCAGGAAUGGUCAUUGGUCACUCUUUCCCUUAAUCUAUUAUCAUUAUCUAUAUAUAUUAUCUUUAGAUUCAACAUACAUGGGCUAUGCAUAUAUAGUUAUGCACCUUAGUAAUCUCUUUGCAAAAUAAAUUGUCACAUGUCACUUUCUUCCCUCAGUCUAUUAUCAAUAGUUAUAUUAUCUUUCUCCUUUUUUGGGGGUGAAGAUACUGGUAUAUUAUCUUUCUCCCCAAUCUCUUUUCAAGAUACAUUUUCACCUCUUUUAUGCAUAACAGAAGAAGAAAACGAUGGUUGGAUGGCUAAAGUACAAACGAACACAUAAUAAAGUGUUCUAUUCGUAGUGAUGAAGCAUGACCAUUGUAUUCGACUUUUGUUAAUUGUUACGCCUAAUGCCUUUUUCACAUUUUUAACUUCUUACAUUUGAUUUGUUUAAGAUGUAUCUUUUUACAUAAAAAAUUGUACUUGAUGCAUAAAUGAAAAUGUUGUACAAAAUUAUACACUAUCUAUAUUUUUUUUAUCAUAUCCAUUGCAAAUGAUCAAAUUAAAUAACAAUGAUGUCAAAUGAUCUAAAUUUAAAAAUGGCGUGUGAUCUCAAAAAAUUUAUCGGUUAGAUUCAACUUAACCUUCAAAGUAUCUUGACUUUGUAACUUCUUUAAACUUCAGAUGUUACAUCUGAAAAAAUACUUAAUAAAUUGUUGCAAAAGUAUCCAAAUAUUCAUAUACCUUAUAUAAUAGUUUUCUGAACAAUUGUUUUGCACAGUUCUAUCAAAAUUUUAAAAUUAUAUCAAGGAAUAGCCCCCCAAUAAAAUCAUUAUUAUUUUACAAUAAUUCAUUUCAAUAAUUUUUAAAAAUAAAAUUAAAAUAAUAUCUUAAACAUAAAAUAUCUAUGAAAACAAUUGCAUCGCCUAUUACUGGAUAAAAAAAUUAGUAUGACAACUAUGGCUCAAAAAAAAAAAAAAAACUAUUGUAUCACCUACUUUUAUUAUGAAAAAUAAAAUACCAUUUGUAUUCGUUUCAAUAAUUUUUGAAAAGUAAAUUUUAAAAUCAAAAUUAAAAUAAUCUUGCCGUAGGCACGGGUUAUCACUAGUAUAUAUAUAUUCAAUCGAAAGGCUCCUUAGGUAAUUUAUGUUGAAUAAUCAUACGUGUGUGAGACACAUGUGGGAGAUAUGAUUAAUUCUAAUUAACUUAAAGUAUUCGCAGUUAGGGAUGAAGUUGGGCACUUCAUUUAUACGACUGUAACAUAUACGACCGCUAUAAGAUAGAGUGAUGACGUCUUAGUCGCUGGAAUAGUUGAUUCCAAGUCUAUAUGUUGGUGUAGUCAAUAACUGACACUGAAUGGGAUAGUAAUAACUAUUCACUUUAAAUUCACUGUUAAAGAAAGUGUGCAAUAACUCAUUUUACUAAAUAUUUCCUAGACUUGAAGAAUUGUGAUAAAUCAGAUUGUCUUAGGUUUGUCACUUUGAGAUGUUUUACAGUGAUGUAUAUUUAAAGUAUAUUCUAGGCAUCUUAGGUGGCAAAUAUAUUGACAUGAUGAUAACACGAAUUCUAACAUAGGAUCUACCACUCUUCAGAGUUGAUAUUCACCAUUGUGACAUUGAUUGAAUAUAAACUCGGCCGGUUCAGGAAAAAUGUUUUCCCGAUAUUCAAUUGUUAUUAUUUAUUAUUAUGUCACAAUAAGGCAAUUCAAAUAGCCAUGGGUGUGCAGUGAAGAUUAUGAUCCCAAUGGAUUAUUAUGAAUAUAGUGGUAGAGGGGUUUGAAAUUAAAUAUUUAGUAAGCAAGGGUUUUUUCUUAAAGUUUCCAUUGGCCUUGUUAUAAUCAUGGAUUUGUUAAUGGGCUAAUCCAUGAUCAUUGAGAUGAAGUCCAAAUUUAAUUAGGAUUUACUUGUUGACCAAGUGUUGGAUAAGUGUUGUCUCAGUGAAAUAAGGAACGUCGAUCCCAACUGAAUCCCAUGACCUAUGUUAAUAUAUUUUACAACGUUUUCAAUAAAUAUUUCAAUAAAUAGAAGAAGACGAAAGAAGUGAGGAAACCAUUAGUCUUGUUUUUUCGUAGAGUAAAAAAGCAUUAGGUUGUGUACAUUCGGUAGAUGGUAGAAAGAAAGUCUGUUGAAAUUCGUGAAGGUUUUAUGGCAUCCAUUGUGAAAGGUUUUUAGAAUCUGGCUAUUGAGGAAGAAACAGAAGGUAUGACUUUAAUGCUUUGAUUUUUAUACGAAUAGAUAAUGCAUGUGUAGAUCUUGUUAUAGUAAGUUUUGUUAUACUUUAUCACCAACAUAUACACCUUUCAAAUGAAUGAAAGUGUUGUUAGCAAAUUUGGCUAACAAGUCUCAUACUUAUGGAAUAUGGGAUGAAUUACAUUUCAAAUUUAGGACCUAAUCCCAAACGUGCUUACACAUAAGCAAUGGGUUCAUUUCCUGAAUGAAUUAAAACUUAUUAACUUGAUUCCUUAAAGAAAUAAUUCGUUUAUCAAUGGAUUGAGAUUUAGGCAAGUUUGGAGUAUUUCAAAAUCUCGUUGAAAACAAUGCUACUCUUAGGCGCAAUACACCUCCACAGUUGUUAGAGAUUUUGAGUAAUGUGCCUUUAAAACACAUAAAAGAAAUUUCAUAAUUUGGCUUGCUGAGAAUUACUAGAAACUUCUACGCCCCCACAAUUUUUCAAUUUUCCCACGACAGAUAAAUACCAAUUAGAAUAUUUCUCAUUUAAAUGUGAGUCACUACACUAACAUUAUCCCAAAUAUAAUCGCAUAUGUCUAGUCAUAAAUUCACAAUUUAACUAGAAUAUCUUCCACUUGAAAAGUAAUGUUACUGUACGGCUCUGAAGUCUGAACCAACACUUUGGCAUGGACUUCAAUCACACAGUAAUGGAACAUGAUGCUGCGAGCUCUUCCUCUUAUAUUCCCGAGUUAGUAUACAACAAAGUUUGGAAUCUUAAUGUUCCCUCGGAUCUCAAACUCUUCAUUUGGAAAUGCCUCAAAGAUUUACUUCCAACUGGACAAAAGCUAUCUCAUCAUCAUAUCCCCAUUGAUCCUAUGUGCACUUUUUGUGGUCUAAAGAACGAGUCAAUCCAUCAUUUGUUUUUCUUUUGUCCUUGGGUUAAAGCUGUGUGGUUCUUCAUUUCUUUCUUUAAGAACUAUCCAUGAUUUGUUUACUGGUUUUAAAUGGUUUCAAAUAAUUUUAUCUUUUGACCAGUAUAUUGGACACAAUAGAAAUAAAAUUUGGUUUAAAUCAGGUUGCCUAUGCACAAAAGCUAUUAUUUCUCAUGUUGUUUUUUAAAUGGAAGUUGUGGAUAGAUGCUUGUAAUUCAAAUACCCAGGAGGAUACUUUGCUUGUUAGUAAUGAAGCUAAUCUGGAUAUGUCGAGUUGGAUCUCACCACCACCAGGAUGGUUAAAGCUCAACUUUGAUGCAACUUUUACUUGUUCAUGAAGCAGGGAUAUGUUGUUGUUGUAAUUAGGGAUUGUGAUGGACGAAUUCUAAAUGUUGGUGGGAAGAAAAUUAAAGCUACAGAUGCUUUAGAUGCAGAAUUCUUGGUUGCAGAAGCUGCAAUCAUGAUUGUUUUGGAAAAGAAUCAUAUGGACAUUAUUCUGGAAGGGGAUAAUUUAGAAGUUGUUAAUAUUCAGUCUGGUUUUAUUGAACCUAGUAGUUAUGUUAGAAGCAUUGCUUUGUUUUGUAUGAGUAUGUUAUUUCAAUUUCAUAGUGUGGUCUGUAGGCACACUGUUAGAUCAGGAAAUAGUAUGGCCCACAAGGUAGCUGCUUGGAAUUCUGGUUCAUCAGAAUUUCUUUUGUUGUCUGAAGACUCAGUUUGUAAUUUGUUUAAUUGUUUCAAUGAAAUCAGUGAUGCCUGACACUAUGUCAGGUCUCCGUUAUCAAAAACAAAAAAAAAAUCACAAAGUAAUAUAAUGAGUCAGACUUAAUUUUACUUAAGUUUUCUCUUGGCCCAAUAAUCUAACUGAUGGACCUCACUGUAUUCCUAACCAAACCUAAGAACUAGGCUUGUGAAAUGGGUCGCGUUAGGGCUAGCCCAGCGCUUAAACAUUUGAGCCCUAUAGUCUUAAGGGUUGGACCAACCCUACACGUACUAUUCACGAGGGCCGAGAUAGGGUCGGGCCAACACUUAAACCAUUGAGCCCUUACUCUACCCUUAGCCCUCUCGCAAGGCCUUAGGGCCAGGAUUAAGGGUCGGGCUUGAAGGCCCUUCAUAUUUUCAAAUGUAUUUUUAAUAUCUACAUACUUGUUUUAAUUAAAUAGACCAUAGAAAAAAAAAUUGUUCAAAUUAUAAGUAAUUAAAUAUAGCAUAUUCUUUUGGUUAUGCACAUCAUAUUAGUAAUUAAGGGCUUCUUUGACUUUAGGGUCGGGCUAAGGGCCGUUUUAACAGACCUACCAAGACCUAUAUUUACUGUUUGAUAUAGUUUGUUGAGACUUCAGAAGUACAGAUACUGAUAUUCACUUGUUUGUUCACCUUUUCAGUGUUGCUCUGCAAUGCAUUAGUGUCUCUUAACUCUUUGCAGGAUACCAGUUGCUGUCCAUGCUCAUUCAUUAAAUAUAAAUAGUAGUUACCACUUAUCAGUGGUGUAUUUAUUUCUUUUCGCAUCGAACAGCCAAAGCCAUCUGCCCAUCACUUAUUCCAUCCAAAGACUUCACUAAUUAAACCAGUUGUAUAUUGGUUUUGAUUUUCUAUGUUUAUUACAAAUGAAGUCACAUGCUUCAACUUACAGUCACAUCUCAAUAAUUAAAUAUUUUCUUUUUAAUUCGAAAUAUACUCGAUUGAGACAAAUCUUUGUCAAUCCUCUUGAAUCGAUGAGUCUGUAGUUAGUCAAUCCUCUUGAAUCGAUGAGUCUGUAGUUAGUGGGUUUCUUUCAACAAGUUCUCUGUUUGCUCGUUCCACAAGUGAUAGAGACAUUAAUUAAAGUCUGUGUAACUCUUGUUCAUUGUCAAACAAACUGUUCCCUGUUUUUUUCAUGGUAAUGGUAUGUGAUACCAAUAUACCAUACAGCAAUUCAAAGCAUGAGGAUCUCAUCACGUGUCUUACAGUGAUUUGAUUAUUUGACCAUUAUAAUAGAAAUAUCACUCAACAUCCAACAACCAACAAGAAAGGGUUGUCGUGUGUCGUCACCAUAGUACAAAAUAUCGUGAUAUUUCCGAUAGUAAUCCUUUAAUGUUUCUGUAAAAUAUCGGCCGAUAUUUUCUGAUAUAUCUCGAUAUUUGUUUAUAUUUUCCGAUAUUUUCUGGAAAUAUUAUUUUUUAUAAAUUUUUUUUAAAAAUAAUUUGUUUAUUCCAUUAUUAGUAGAUAUGAUGUUUUUUAGGUAAAUAGUAUGAUAAUAUACUUCCAAAUUUGAUUUUAUAAAUAUUUUGUAUAACAAAUUAAUAUAUGAGUCGAUACAUUCGACGUAAAAUAUAAUAUCCACCGAUAGAUUCCAAUAUAUCCCGAUAUAUCUAUUUUUUGGAGAUCGAUACAUUAGUUUAUACCGAUAUUUUGUACUAGGGUCAUCACUAUGGUGCUCUUUUACUAUUGUCUUAAGUUUGUUGGUAACGAUAUGUGUGAACCAGUGUUAUCAGACCGAUCCAGCCCGGCGGGUUGACAUGGUGUUUUAACCGGGUUGGGUUAGUUGGUGGAUCGUUUUUACAAACAACCCACUUUUAAACCACUAAAACCAGUUGGGUUUUACCGAUUUUUGUGAAACCCGGUGACCCAUAAGUGGUUUUAACUAUAAAUUUAAUUAAAAAAUACAUCAUUAAAAACCGAACCUGCGAUCUAAGAAUAAAAACAAUGCUUUUAUACCAAUAUACUCAUAAUUAAUAAUUGAUGAUAAAAUAUGUAUAGUUUUAAUACAAAUUGUUUUCUAAUUUUAAACAAUAAACAAACACGAAAUUAACAAUAUAUUUUAAUGUUAUUAGACCCAACCCAGACACCAACCCGGGAAAGGGACUGGGUUAGGGUUCAACCAUUGGGUCAACUGGUUGGACCAGUUGAAUCUAAGUUAUAAGACACAAAGGGUGCAUAAGUUGGGGAGACAGUUUAUAAAAGACAAUUUUGAGAGAUAUUUUGGAUCGUAGGAUGUUGAUAUUUUGGACCGUAGGAUGGUUUAUUAAAAUAAUAAACCAUAAUUAAACACCCUAAUUAAACAUUAAUUUGUAAACAAUACGAAACCCUCCUCUCUUCUCAACAAGCCUCAUUCUCUUCUCAUCCUCAUCGAAUCAAUACAGUAUCUGUUGCGAUCUGUUGCACUGGUCUCUGCGUUUCUCUCUCAACCAUCUCCAGCUUCUGCCUUCUCAAUUGGCAUCUGUACGUCUCUCUCUCUCUCUCUCUCUCUAUUGAUUUUGGUUUUUAAGUUUUUUUUGUGAUUUUACACAGCAGGACCUAAGGAUUGGUUAAGAGAGCAGAAGAAGAAAGCUUCAAGGUUCCUUUUAGCUCCUAUUGAUGCUUCACGAGACUACUUGCAAACUGCAUAUCUCAUUCUAAGUACGAAUUUUCUUUGUUUAUGGAGAAUUUUAAAUAAUGUUGAAAUCAAUUUGAUUGAUUGGUUUUGACAGAGGAGAGUGAUUCUAAUGAUUCAAACAAGGAUUUAGAUGAAGUUCAGAGACUUAUGAGAUCUGCUGCUAGAGAUUGUAUCAUUGAAGACAGGAAUUCUGUAGUUUCAUUCCAAGCGAAAACCGGAGUUGAGGUUUGAUUUCUUCAAAUCAUUAAAGAAAAUCAGUUCAAUUGUAUUCUUCUUGUUUGAUGAAUUGGAGUUUAUUUGUUUGUUUGAUUUCGAAAUUUGAUGUUUCUUUCUUGUUUGAUGCUUAAACCAGUAAUUAAAUUAUGGCAAAUUGAUGUUGUUAUUUGUUUGAUUCUUUCUUCGUUGAUGUUGUUAGAAAACAAGUUGGCAGAUUGAUGUUGGGUUCUGGUUUCUAUCUAUAGAUAAAAUGCUCCACUUUCUAUACCAAUGUAUUCUACAUUUAAUUAUAGAUCAAAACUAAUAUUAUCUUAAUUGUUAGGAAUGUCUAAUUCCUAUGAAUAUUUAGGUAAAGAAUGCUAUGGCUGAGAACAACACAAAUAGUAUUUACAGGAUAUUCGUCUGGUCGCGCGGUUGCAAUCCUUGCAACCAUCUGGCUACUACUCUGUGCUCACCUACACUUGAUUCAUGAUAGUAGGCCAGGAAGAAGUUAGAAGAGUGUUGAUUGCACACAUUAAGUUUGCUUUAGUCUCUUUAGCUUCAAACAUCUACCAAUAGUAGAACAGUGUUGAUAGGCACGUGCCGAUAGUCAUUACCCUUCACCCUGUCAACAUGUUUCAAUGUUGUCUAUAUUUACCUCUCAAAACAAAAGAACAAAAUAAUAAUGAUAUUUUCCUGAUAUUGGUCUGUCCAUCGAUUAGGAAAUGGAUAGGUCUUCAUGGAUCUUAUCAAUCUGUCCAUGUUGGCAUAUAUAUCUUAUAAAUGUGACGAUUUAUGCUUCUUGUCUUCUUCUAAAUUAGAACAUAUAUAUUAAACUAGCGUGGCGAAGCCACGUGUACAACUAUAUUAAAUUAGAACAUAUAUUACUGUAGCCUGUGGACAAUUUCCAGUUUUUCUACUCUUUCUCCUGUUUUUCUACUAACUGCCACAGUAUAACAAGUUGUUAGAAUAUCUAUAUUGCAUGGGACUAACACCAUAUGUAGUUUAUUUUCUAUUAGCUAGAAAAACAAUCAAAAUUCGGUACAUAUAUAUAUUGUGGUGUCUCACUUCAAAAUUUGGUAUAAUGUAUAUUGCGGUCUGCACUGGUACCUACGAAUUCCCAGGUACCAGUGCAGAUAUAACUCCAUGCCGAUGUAGAUAUUAAAUAAUGUAUGUUGUUUCCUAAUUCAACCUCCUAUAGACUUAGGAUUUAACUAAGACAUGAAUGGAGUGUAUUCAUUAAAAAACAGAUAUUGGCAGAAGAAAACGAAACAAAACCUUGGUUUAGACGCUAAUAACGUUAUCAAGAACAUGGUGAUCAACAAAAAUAAAGCUUAUCAAUGGGUGAAAUGAACACAAACUAACAUUAAUUAAGAGUGUACCUAUGAGUCCAUGACUUAGUACUGUAUGUAACCAUCAUCUCGAACAUAUGGUUUUUCCCCAAGCUGUGCUACAAUGGUUUGAAAACCAGCAAGAAAUUCUGUUGUAUCAUUUUUUGUCAACCUCUCUAUUUCUCUUCUUUUCGAUCUCUUCUCUGCUUUGGAUUACUAGAGUCUUUCAACCAAAAAAGUUGUAUAAUUUACCACCCUCUCCACCUAAACUUCCAAUUAUAGGACACCUUCAUCGCCUCGGUCCACUGCCCCACCGAUCUUUUCGAGAUCUUUCAGAAAAAUAUGGUCCAUUGAUGCUACUACAGAUGGGGUUUUGCCCAACUGUAAUUGUAUCAUCAGCAGAGAUUGCUAAACAAAUCAUGACGACGCAUGAUGUGAUUUUUGCCAAUAGACCAGCUACAACAGCCUCAAAGGCAUUUCUAUAUGGUGCUAAAGACAUAGCUUUUGCUGAUUAUGGUGAAUACUGGAGGCAAAUGAGAAAGAUUUGUGUUGUAGAUCUCUUAAGUGUCAAGAGAGUGCAAUCUUUCAGUCUCAUUCGAGGAGAAGGAAUAGCAAAUAUGGUUAACAAGAUUAAGCAGUCUUGUUUAAUGAGAAAGGAAGUUAAUCUAACUGAACUGAUAGUGAGUUACACUACUAAUGUCAUCUCAAGGGUUGCUUUGGGUAGAAGUUUGGAAGGAGACUGGGGGAAGAGUAAAUAUGCAGACUUGCCUAAACAGAUGAUGGAGCUAUUCGGGAUUUUCAGUGUGGAAGAUAUGUUUCCUUCUUUGGGAUGGAUUGAUUUUCUAACUCGAUAUGCUCAAAAUGUCAAAAUGGUUGCUAAAUCCAUGGAUCACUUCCUGGAUGAGGUAAUUGAGGAUCAUCUAAAGUCGAGGAAUGAUAAUGAUCAAAUAUCAAAAGGAUGCCACAUUAGGCAUUGAAAUCACAAGGGAAUGUAUCAAGGCUGUUAUCUUGGUAAGAAUCUACUUGAACAAAGUAUAUAUAUAUGUACAUAGCAUCUCAUAAGUAAGCAAGAUUCAUUAGUUAAUUUUGUAACAAAGUAUUUUCUAUUAAUAACACGCAUAUAACAAGUUUACCACAUUUCACCAGGACAUGUAUGUUGGAGGAACAGAUAGUACAAAUGCAACUUUAGAAUGGGCAAUGGCAGAAAUUUUCAAUCACCCCAAUGUGAUGGAGAAACUAACAAAAGAGGUACGCCGAGUUGUUGGGAACAAAUCUAAGGUUGAAGAAAAUGACGUAAAUCAGAUGGAUUACCUACAGUGCGUAAUUAAGGAGACCUUGAGAUUGCAUCCUGCUCUGACAAUAAUAGUUCCAAGAAUACCUUCCAAAAGUACCACCAUAGAAGGUUAUGACAUUCCUGCUCAAACAAGAGUAAUUAUUAACGCAUGGGCAAUUGGAAGGGACCCCAAGAUAUGGGACAAACCAGAAGAGUUUAUUCCAGAAAGAUUUAUUGAUAAACCAGUCGAUCUUGUAGGCCAAGAUUUUGAUUUUAUUCCAUUUGGAGGUGGCCGAAGAAAAUGUCCUGCAAUUUUAUUCGCAACAACAUCUAUUGGAUCAGUUUUAGCUAAUCUCUUGUAUUGGUUUAAUUGGGAGUUGUCUGGUGAUGCAAAAGGGUCUUAUUCGUUUGAUUAUCUUAUUUCAUAGUUGACUUUAAGUUUUUUUUUUUUUUUUUUCUAAUUAUGAGUACAAUUCAUUGAAAGAGAAGGAUUUAUAUUUAUUGUCGGACAACACACACAAGGGGUGCGAGAAUUGUAUUUAUCCAGAUGAGCAUCCUUACAUUUUAUUAGUUAAAAUCAGGAACCAAGAUGACCCCCCCCCCCCCCCCCAAUAAAUUGUUUUUAAAUAUUUCAAAAAAAUAAUCGGCUUUAAUUUUUUCCCCAAAAUCCCCAGAUUUUCCCAAUUUAAUUUGUGGGGCUCCCCCCCAAGAUUAACCUUUUCCACAUUUUCCAAACCUAAUAUUUUCCCCGGUAAGAAAACCCUUCCAAAAAAAUUUGCGCCAAGAUGCUUUCGAUUUCCACGACAACAAAAGGCUUAAAGUGUAGGCCUGUUCAGCUAUCGGCAGCAAAGCCCCAUUUAAAAUCACCAAUAAAUAAGUAAUAAUAAGAAUAAUUCGAAUGUAUUUCUUUAAGCGACUGGUGGGAUUUCCACUCUUUCAAGGCUCGGAAACUCAGGAAGAAAGGAGAAAGGGAGAUUGUNNNNNNNNNNNNNNNNNNNNNNNNNNNNNNNNNNNNNNNNNNNNNNNNNNNNNNNNNNNNNNNNNNNNNNNNNNNNNNNNNNNNNNNNNNNNNNNNNNNNNNNNNNNNNNNNNNNNNNNNNNNNNNNNNNNNNNNNNNNNNNNNNNNNNNNNNNNNNNNNNNNNNNNNNNNNNNNNNNNNNNNNNNNNNNNNNNNNNNNNNNNNNNNNNNNNNNNNNNNNNNNNNNNNNNNNNNNNNNNNNNNNNNNNNNNNNNNNNNNNNNNNNNNNNNNNNNNNNNNNNNNNNNNNNNNNNNNNNNNNNNNNNNNNNNNNNNNNNNNNNNNNNNNNNNNNNNNNNNNNNNNNNNNNNNNNNNNNNNNNNNNNNNNNNNNNNNNNNNNNNNNNNNNNNNNNNNNNNNNNNNNNNNNNNNNNNNNNNNNNNNNNNNNNNNNNNNNNNNNNNNNNNNNNNNNNNNNNNNNNNNNNNNNNNNNNNNNNNNNNNNNNNNNNNNNNNNNNNNNNNNNNNNNNNNNNNNNNNNNNNNNNNNNNNNNNNNNNNNNNNNNNNNNNNNNNNNNNNNNNNNNNNNNNNNNNNNNNNNNNNNNNNNNNNNNNNNNNNNNNNNNNNNNNNNNNNNNNNNNNNNNNNNNNNNNNNNNNNNNNNNNNNNNNNNNNNNNNNNNNNNNNNNNNNNNNNNNNNNNNNNNNNNNNNNNNNNNNNNNNNNNNNNNNNNNNNNNNNNNNNNNNNNNNNNNNNNNNNNNNNNNNNNNNNNNNNNNNNNNNNNNNNNNNNNNNNNNNNNNNNNNNNNNNNNNNNNNNNNNNNNNNNNNNNNNNNNNNNNNNNNNNNNNNNNNNNNNNNNNNNNNNNNNNNNNNNNNNNNNNNNNNNNNNNNNNNNNNNNNNNNNNNNNNNNNNNNNNNNNNNNNNNNNNNNNNNNNNNNNNNNNNNNNNNNNNNNNNNNNNNNNNNNNNNNNNNNNNNNNNNNNNNNNNNNNNNNNNNNNNNNNNNNNNNNNNNNNNNNNNNNNNNNNNNNNNNNNNNNNNNNNNNNNNNNNNNNNNNNNNNNNNNNNNNNNNNNNNNNNNNNNNNNNNNNNNNNNNNNNNNNNNNNNNNNNNNNNNNNNNNNNNNNNNNNNNNNNNNNNNNNNNNNNNNNNNNNNNNNNNNNNNNNNNNNNNNNNNNNNNNNNNNNNNNNNNNNNNNNNNNNNNNNNNNNNNNNNNNNNNNNNNNNNNNNNNNNNNNNNNNNNNNNNNNNNNNNNNNNNNNNNNNNNNNNNNNNNNNNNNNNNNNNNNNNNNNNNNNNNNNNNNNNNNNNNNNNNNNNNNNNNNNNNNNNNNNNNNNNNNNNNNNNNNNNNNNNNNNNNNNNNNNNNNNNNNNNNNNNNNNNNNNNNNNNNNNNNNNNNNNNNNNNNNNNNNNNNNNNNNNNNNNNNNNNNNNNNNNNNNNNNNNNNNNNNNNNNNNNNNNNNNNNNNNNNNNNNNNNNNNNNNNNNNNNNNNNNNNNNNNNNNNNNNNNNNNNNNNNNNNNNNNNNNNNNNNNNNNNNNNNNNNNNNNNNNNNNNNNNNNNNNNNNNNNNNNNNNNNNNNNNNNNNNNNNNNNNNNNNNNNNNNNNNNNNNNNNNNNNNNNNNNNNNNNNNNNNNNNNNNNNNNNNNNNNNNNNNNNNNNNNNNNNNNNNNNNNNNNNNNNNNNNNNNNNNNNNNNNNNNNNNNNNNNNNNNNNNNNNNNNNNNNNNNNNNNNNNNNNNNNNNNNNNNNNNNNNNNNNNNNNNNNNNNNNNNNNNNNNNNNNNNNNNNNNNNNNNNNNNNNNNNNNNNNNNNNNNNNNNNNNNNNNNNNNNNNNNNNNNNNNNNNNNNNNNNNNNNNNNNNNNNNNNNNNNNNNNNNNNNNNNNNNNNNNNNNNNNNNNNNNNNNNNNNNNNNNNNNNNNNNNNNNNNNNNNNNNNNNNNNNNNNNNNNNNNNNNNNNNNNNNNNNNNNNNNNNNNNNNNNNNNNNNNNNNNNNNNNNGAUUCAAUUUUUAUUUCAUUCUUCCACUUUAACACAUUCAAGCCUGAAAUAUUUGAUCAAAACUGCAAGGAAAUGAUACUUCUGGUUGGUAAUUCAAAGUAAACAACAAUGAUUAUGGAUAAUGCAUUGCUUGCAUUUCUGUUUCAGGUAGAUUGGGGAGAAGCGACCAUGAUUCUAGCAGAGCGGAUUUUGCUAAAAAAUGCACUAAAAGAUUCCGAUAACCAGCGGUUUGCUUUUGUAUUAGACAGGCAAGUUCUAUUCUUCAAAAUGGUUGAUUCAAAGCACUUGUUUUUAUCCUCAUGUACGUUUAUUAAAACUUACUGUUUUUGGUUGAUCAAUAUAUACAUAUCAGUGUUCAAAGAGGCGGAAACUAAGAAUCUUUUAUGUUUGUGAACCUUGAUCAAUAAUCAAAGGCAAGCAUCAAUAUUCACAUAUAGGUUUGAAGCAUAUUCACUGGAACUUGAAUGGUUUGAUAUGGGCAUAUAUUUUUUGAUUAACGAAAUUUUUGUAUGAUAGCUGGCUGGGAUGCCAGAUUGGAUCAGUUGCCAUUGGUUUCAAUUUCAUUGAAAGUAACAGUAGAUCACUCAUUUUAUUCAUGCACAUAUUUGUUAUUUUACGGCUCAUCUUUGUACUGUUUGACCUCAUUGCAGUUGCAUACCGCUGUAUAACUUCAGCUACACAUAUGAUUAUAUCAUGUCAACACCAAAUAGUUUUGUUGACAGGUGAGUGAAAAGAUUUGUCUUCUUUUCUUUCACACUGAAACCGCAUUGGUUCUUCGUUUAUAGUCCUGUUGCAUUCCAUGCAAGUUACGCACAUAGAUAGAUCAUUAAGCUAUGUAAGAAGAAUCAGAAAACAAAAGAUUGAGUAAUGUAUUGCUGAUAAGUGAUAAGAGAGUAAGAGAGGGAAAAAAUGACGAGUUGCUUGUCUGUUGGUGCCAAGUACGUACUUGGAGAUAUUCUCUUAGCUAUUUAUUUAUAUAUCCUGUUGCAAAGUUUGGUUCGUCUUACAAAUGCUAUUUCGUAUUUCUAAGGUUUUCAAACUAUAUAGUUUAAGCUGAUCCCCUGUAUUUUGGGAAUUUAAGUUUAUGUUUUGAAAAUGUCAACUAUUCAUCAUAUUGUAUGGGAUUGUAGUACCUACCACCCACCUUGAAAGUUCAUUCUUGGUAACAUAUUAUCCUAGGCUAUAACUGUGGACCAGAAGUUCCCAGUCAGUGUCCUUCAGAGCAGUUUAAGGGAUGCCUUUGGGCUGCUUGUAGAAUCUGGGUUUUUGCCUUUGGAGGAUAGUUUCGUAACAAUGUUAUGCACCUUGUCCAAUCCUGGGUAAUCCAAUAGCAAAACUGUUAAGAAUAAUAUUUUAAUAGAUGUCUUGGUCAUUACUGUUUCUUAUUCUUAUUCUGAAAUAUUUAAAUAAAGAUAUAUAUGUUUUUUUUUCUGGAUUCUGAUUAUAUGAAUGGUGUGAACAGUUUUGCUGAUACAAAAGAGGGCCGGUACAAUCCAAAAAUGGAUCCUAUUGUUCCAGUCCAUAAUUGGAGGAAAGGAUCUCAGGUAUUAUAACUUGAAAUAUUGUGCUCUACUUAGGCCCCAUCCACUUACGCUAAUUACUACUUGUGUUUAAUUAUGCUGCCGUUUCUUGUAUAUGCUGAGGUCAUGAUCAUGUGACUCCCUCUAUAGUUUCAUGUAUACAGUAUUUGCUUAGGCCACUACUUCUAAGUGAAAGUCUUCAUCAUGCUAAUUUAGGCUUAUAUAUUUAUAGUUUGUAAAUUGCAAGUUACCAACGAGCUUGGUAUACAUCUCCAAUAAAAAAAUUAUAUGCAAUGGAUUGUCUUUAUAUAGAGGUCAAACUGUACUAUCUUUCUAUGAUUCUUGUGGCAUAAGUGUAAGGAGUGAAGCACGAUUUGGUGCUAAGAUCUUUUUUUAUCUACUUCUUUUAUACUAAAUGUGCUCGUAGCACAUGGUCAUAAAGUAAAACUAUAAGAGAACUCGACAAGUACAAAGAGUUCACAAAAACCUCAGUUUGAACUUUGAAUUUAGAAAGGUGAGACUGUAUAGGGAAUUAUUUCAAGUCCUUGCUCACAACCAGCUCUUUCAUCGUCAGUGAUCAAUAUUAGCUUUGAAACAUCCCAUCCCUGCCAAUCUCUUUUUCUCCAAGUUUUGAAAAUCAGGUAAUCUUCUUCGUUUAUUAACAAUUGAUAAUUUACUCUAAUAAAAUUUCAUUAAAAUUGUUGAAACUUUAGUUUGUAGAUAGAAUCAGUCCAUCUCUAUAAUUUACUGUAGUUAUAAAUUUAAUUUUUAAUGUUUACUGCCUGCUUUGUUGUAGACUUGUUUAGUUAGAAUGUUGUAUCUCCUUUCUCCCAUUUGAACUGGAUCCUCUCCUUUUUAAUGAUUUCUUCAAUACCUAUUCACUAAAUUCGCAAGUAACUCACUGCCAUCAGCCAUUUCAAUAGUGUCCAUCAUCAUUGUCAAGGUAUGAUACUCAUCGUCUGAACAUUAGCAAUGCUUCUCGAAAUAAAUCUCCAGGUUAUUCAUUAUGCAUACUGCUUCAGUUUUGCUUAUGGUUCUAUGUAUGCUCAGCAAUUUCAAAUUUGAAUUGUCAACUUAUUGAUCCUGACAACACAUUAUCCUGGUCUGGAUCUUAAUUAAAUCUUAGCUUGUGAAUACCCUCAUUAUGCUAUUGACAUGUUGUUUGGUAGAUCCCAAUGGGACGUGCUUAGAAAAUAAGUGUUGAAGUAGUCAUUGGAAUGGAAUGGUGUCAAAUCUCUCCAAGCAAUCGACUUCAUCCAACCUGAUUUAUCAAUAAUAGCCUUGCCUUUGAAACAUCCCUGCCAAUCUCUUUCUCCACACUCCGGUAAUCUUCUUCCGCUUUUUUUAUUCAAAUUCACCAAAUUUGAUAACUUUUUUUCAUUUUAGAUGUGAUAAAUUUGAUACUACCACUUGUCUGGUUGUCCUAUGCAAAGACCAAUAGGAACAAACCCAAACACUAACUCAGACAGUUAGAUCAGAGAACAUAAAAAAGAAAAACACAUACGCAGCUAACCCAAGUCAUUUGAGAGGACCCUAUUUAAUGUGGAUAUGAAUGCAGCGGUGACAUUUUAUUUUGGGUUUGUUACUGUUUCACGUGCUUUGAUAAUAUUCAGUUUUAUUAAUAAUUUACUGAUAAGAGUAAUAUUUAUUUCGAUAGGAUUUAUUGUGCUGGGUCGCGACUCACGAGAAGAAAAGUAGGCAUCUUAAUGGUCAAAUAUUGGUUAUAUGUGUUUCAUUUGUGUUUAAACUUGGGUGUCUGUUUGGGUUUAAUCAACUUGCAGUGGGGAAAAUCCAAUUCCAUGGAUGUCUUAUGGACAUUUAAUUUACGUUUCUUCCUUAUCUGAAAUUUAUCUCAUACCUGUCAUACUUUUUUAGAUAGUUUUUUCUCUCGACAUAUGUGGAGUGAAGAACAUAGUUGGAAUUCCAUUUGGUUAUCGGGGAUUUUUUGACAAGAGCUUAUCUGAAAUACCGGUGAGCACUGUUUUUAUUAACCUAUUUAAUAACCUUAUAUGUUUGAUUUUACUAUUUCUAUAUUGAAAACCUACAUUUGUUUUCAGCUCUCUUGGCAAGUGGCUCGAAACAUUAAUCUUGUUGGUGGAAGUUUGGUUGGAGUUUCUCCUGGUAGUUUGAGUACCGGUGAAAUUGUUAAUAUACUGUUGCCGUUUUUUUUUUUUAAUAUAUUAAAUAUAGACAUGACUUGUUAUUUCAAUGAAUUAUUCCGUUGUAUUUGGUAUGGUUCCUUAGUUGUACUAAAGCGCCCUAACUAAAGAUAAUCAAACUGCGAAUGACCAUAGAUGAGUUUCCAUGAUCUUUCUUUAGUUUUAUUUUAUUUUUUGAUAAAUUCAGAAUUUUAUUAAUAUCAAAAAAAAAAAAAACAAAAAAAACCAAAGAAACAAGUCUGAUCAACACACAUCCUGAUGUGUCAUCAGAUGGUUGAAAACCUGGUGAAACAGAAUUUCACUUGGACAUAAAGAGAAAUUAGAAACAGACCAAUUUUUGUAAUAAUAUUAUAUUGAAUUUUUCAAGCAGAAUCUAUAUUAGAUCUUAGUUUUUAUACUUGGUUUGCUUACCCUUUAAAUUUUACCUCUAACUGAAAUUUAACUUUUAAUUAAUUUCUCCUGAUUUCAGUGCUUUGGUGGUUUAUAUCCCAUGUCACUAUGUGUGUUGGAUAGUGGAAAUUGAGAAACAAUAUGAAAAUAUUUUCUUUGCUUCAUCAGAUACCAAAAUAGAUCACUGACUUCCUAAGAUCAUUUUGAUUCUAAACAUGUACAGUGUUAUUACUACACCAUAACAACAUUAUUCUCCUUACUUUUAUUUUUUUAUUAAAUUGGUUUAUUUUUUACUAAAAUUAUGUGUUCAAUUUAACUUUAAAUGUGUUGUUAAUGAUUGCAGAUUGCCACUUUGAAGAUUAAUUUAAAUUGAUUUGAAAGCCAAGUAAACCGUUUUCCUCAAUUAAAAUGGAAACUGCGAUUUAAUUUGCUGCACUAAGAACCAAUCUCCACUGAAAAAUUAUUUUGGGAACAAUUAACAAUCAUUUUGAACAAUUUAGUCAGUGGAUGUGAGGCUAGAUUAAUGUUUAUGUUCUUGUGUCAAAUGAAAAUCUUAUUUGUUAAAGAUCUAAUGUGUGCAUCUAUAAUCUGUUUAUGUACAGAUUAUGCCUAUAGGAAUGGGGUCUCGUGUCCUGAAAAUUAGAAUGUGUUGUACUGGAGUGUGUAAAUUCCGCAUUAGCUGAGGUAUGUAUCUCACUUGCUUUCUAUUCAUUAAGGUUCUUAAUAAUCAAUGUACUAUUGAACCAUCUAUGGCGGCAAUGAUUUUUGCGUACAUUGUUUAGUUAACAUUAGUUGUGAUAAGGUUUAAUAUAACUUAGAAAAUCCACAGUUUCUUAUCUUAGUGUAUAUAUGUUCACGCCAUUUUCUUUGCUAUGUAAUUGAAAGUGAUGAGUGAAGAAAGUUUAGAGAAAUGUAUCAUGUAUGUAUAGUCACCCACGUCAAUAUUCUUUCGACUCUUUAGAUUCUUAUCUUAGUGAAUAUAUUUUGAUGACAUUUUUCUUUUCCUACAUUGUUGAUUUUGAUAUCUUAUAAUGUAUGAUCCGAUAUCUUUUACUGUUUUUAUUUUUCAAGGAUAACUGAGUUGAGCUUAAUACAUAAUGGUUAAAAAAAAUGAGUCAAAAUCAAAUCCUGAUGCUACUUUUACUAAAUAUUAAGUGAGAAGCAAGUGUAAGUUAGGGAGAGACUAUUAGAGAAAAAGAAGAACACAAACAAUUUGAAAAUGAUGAUCUGAGCAAUAAGUCGAGCCCUUAGGUAUGUCUAACUUCAGUUAUUCAAUAGAAGUUGAAGUAUAUAUAACUAAGACCUCUACUCUCACUGUAAUUGAUUAUUGUUGUUGAUGAUUUACCAAAAAAAAUAAAAUGUUGUUGAUGAUUUAGGGAUUUCAAAUUUUCAAUUACAUGUUUUGCAAUUUCAUCAUAAGUUUUAAUUUUUAUCAUCAAUUUUAAGUUUCAAACAUAAGUUCAUGAUACAGGAUUGGGAUUACUUUGUAUCCAACUUGAAUCAUAGUCCACAAAAUUGACAUAUGGUAUGGAUUGAAGUUGUGUUGCAUUUCAGUUGUUAGUUUAUCAUUUAGAUAGAUCAAAAUAUCUUCUUUAUAAGACAUGAAUGAAUGUAACCUCUAAAUUGUGCAGUGAAACCUUCAACUUCUGUAUAAUUAAGUAAUGUGUUUUGUUCGGUUUUGUAUUGUUAAUCAAGUAAUGUGUGUGUGUUCUGGAGUGAGUUUAGUUGUAGGGAUUCUAAUGUAUGUCUUUUAUUUGGUAAUUAAAGAUUGAUACUUCAUAAACUGAUGUUGUUGCUGUUAGGAGCUCAGAGCCACUUGUGUCGUUAACCCUGUAUUGAUUUUAUACUAGCGCAUCAUGUACUUUGCUCUUUUGUCUACUCUCAAAUAUUGUGUGGUUUGGGUUACCUCUUUUUUUACUGCUUUAUACUUUUUAUGUGAUAAAUUACAAUUACACGCCAAAUUGAUAAAAAAGUUUGUGGUUUGGGUUACCCUUAUUCUUUUCAAAGCGAAUGUAAUAGUAGACUAUGCUUUUUGGAGCAUAUUCUGGAAUAGUUUACUCUAAUGUAGGACAAGUAUAUUCUGCGUAAGCACGCUCUCUUGUAAGUUGUAAUUAUCUGAAAUGACAUGUUUCUUUAAACCUUGCACAAACAAUGCAUCCUACACUUGUAACCUGUCUAGGUGCAGGCAACUCCACAAAAAAAUAUUUUGUAACAGUUGGCUACUUAUAAUUAGCAAAUUGAGCUGAUGUUAUUAUGGUAGUGAUAUCUAUACGUGCAGUAAGCACGCAUACUUCUCUUGUUCAAAUCUUAAAGCUCUUACUAUGCUUCUUGAUGUAUUGCACGUUGGUUUGUCUGUGAUUUCAUGUGUGUACGUGUGUUCAUCUGCAGUAAGGUAGUUAUAGGAAUACAAUAAUGUAGCUAAUACGAAUAUUGUGAAGUUGAGAGUUUUGAAUAGCCAAAUUGUAACACUCUUAUUUUUUGGUGCAGUUUUACUUUCUUUACAGUAAAUAAUUAGUUUCUAAAAGUUUAGUGGUUCAUGUCAUGCUUGCCUAUGCGUAGUAAUAAAUUGUAUAUAACUCUUUGUAGGCUUAUAUACGUUGAGGAGGACACAAUAAAGGAUGAGUUAUAAAGAGGUAUUUUCUUUUCAUCCUUUUCACUUCUGUGCAUCAUGUUAUCAAGUUCAUUGGUGUUAUAUGUUUAUGGAGCUUAUAAGUCAAUAUUCUUAGUAAAAAAUGUACUUCUUUACAGUAAUAUCUCUACUACUUUAUCAAGUACAUUGGCCCUCACCUCGCCCCCACUACAUUGGUUCGUGUUGCCUACCUACACUUUGGCUCAACUGUAAUAUGCCGUCCCAAUAACCCAGUUUAAAAAUCCAAUCAAUUUUUUUUUUUAUAAUAUUAUAAAUAUUAAUAAUAAGAUAUUAAAUAAUAGAAUUUUAUUUUAGAUGUGUGCUUUUUUGGGUUGUGGACAUCCAUAGAAUAUGCACAUUCACAUAGUGCACAUAUAUUACUGCUACGUGGCAUAAAUUUUCUUAAUUUACCAUUUUAUCAGGAUGUGUGUAUUAAUUUUGGAGGUUGUGUCUCUGCUUUAUUUUUGGCAAUAUUUGCAAGCGUAUAACAGAUUGGCUAAAUAAUCAGAAUGCAGAAACAAUUGUAUCAUUGUAACCAUUAUUUUGGUUAUAUCUUUGGCGACAGUGCCAUAGAAAACCAACUUUUACAAGACAACGAACUUCAUGUAGUAUGAACUUCAUUCAUACUUAGUUAGAUUAAUACAAACAUUAAACAUGAAAUUCAUUUAGUACAAUUACGAAAUGUGAAAUCAUAUUUAUAAUUCAUUUUAUAACGAAGUAAAAAAUAAUUCAUUCUAUUCAUCCAAAUAUUUUUAAUUAUAAUCAAUAUAAAUGGCAGUUUGUACAGAUCAUAUUGUUUAAAUUUUGCUUAUAGAUUAAACUUUAAUAGAAUAACUGGUAUUUUGGAUUUGUUAUUCCAUUUAAAGGUUGUUUGUAUUUUAUUGUUACAAUUCUUUUCCACUUUGUAUUAUAAUUGGCAGUGGGCACAGUUGAGUGAGAAGAUUUACAAAUUCGUUGACACUAACGUGGCGAAGCCACGGGUACAACUAGUAUAUCUAUAUAAUAUUUUUAGACAUAAUAUUAUUAACAGACAUAAUUACAUAUGUGAUAUGAUUAGAGUUUAAUAGUGUAUUUACAUGUUAUAUAUAAUCUUAGUUUUCAAUCAUAAAAUGACAUAGCCAUGGUGGUUGUAUGUUUGCAUUAUUAAUUUUAUUGAGGUCUCAUGUUUGAAUCAUUAGAAUUAUAUUUUUUACUUAAAAAAACACGUUAACACAUUAAUUACUGGGUUACUGGGUCUUGCAAAACCCAGUGAAACCCGGACGAUUUAAGUGGUUUAAAACUAGGUCAAUUGCAGAUCUGAUCCUCUACUUAACCCAACCCGGUUAAGUAACUGGCUCACCGGUUUGUCGGGUCGACCCGCCGGGCCGGGCCGAGUCUAAUAACACUGAUAUAUUUAACUCUAUUAUUAUUUGACUGGUCCGACCAGUUGACUCAAUGGUUGAACCACUAACCCAGUGACCCAGUGCCUUCACCGGGCUAGUGUUCGACUUGAGUUUGAUAACAAUUGUGUGAACUCAUAAUAAUAACUCAAGAUAAAUAAAAGUAAUAUGCAUUACAGAAAUAAUUCUAAUAAAAGAAUAAACUCAAAUGAAUUUACACUCAAUAAAUUCAAAUUAAAAAUAAACACUUACUACACUUUGCUCAUAACGAUUUGUUGAAGGAAAUGAACUGAGGCUUGUCCAAGUAAUUUCCUUAAGACAAUAUUACGUCUCUGCUAUGGUGCACACAGUCUUUGGACGAUUUGUCUCCUAAGAUACAACAGUUCUGCACUCUACUAAACUGCACUAUAAUAGCAGAGUACUAGCGAACGAAUAUGAAGAACCCUUCGAAUUAUUGUAAAGAAAUGAAGAAGACUUUGUCUAAUUAAUUGUAUACUAAUUGGCUAGAUUAACACACUAUUUAUGGUCACAUAAGUGUUUUUUCAUAAGUGUCUUCUCAUACAUACACCUUUUAUAAAAAGGUGAUAAGUUGUUUCAAAGUGUUUUUCCACAAGUAAGCACCUAUUGUAAACAAUGGCGAAACUAUGUACAACUUAACUGGAGCACGUGCCCCAGGUGAUUUUAGAAUUUUUUUUCCAUCAGACUUUAGCUCAGGCCCAAGCCCAUGAUCAGAACUGUCAUCUGUCACACAAGUCUGGCCGAAGCCCACAAACAGAACUGUCACACUAGUCUAGCCCAAGCCCAUGAUCUGAAAUUAUCACGAACAGCAACAGAGUUCUCUUCUUCGUGAGUUCGUGGUAGUUUCAAUUAGAAAUUUCAACCUCUCUCUUACUCUCUACACUAUAAAUCCUCGAUCAUUCUUCUCUCUGUUAAUUAAUUAAUUGCAAUUUCUAUUUCUAAGUAAGUUCUCUCACAUUUUUAUUAAAUCUAAUAAUUUCAUUAAAUCUAGUAUAGAAUUUGGUUUUUCUUUUAAUAAACCCUGACUUUAUUAGUAGUUAAUUUAUUGAUUUAUUUAUUAAAUGAUUAAUCUUGUCUUAUUAGAUAUUGAUUUCGUCGUGUUGCGAAUUAAAUAGUGUGUGUUUGUUUAUUCUUUUGUUUACAGAGAUGAAAAAACCGAGACUCGAUAAAAAUUGUCGAAGGAUUGAUACUUUAUUCACAAAGAAAACUCACGAAGGUGCUUCCGGUUCAACGGUUCAUACUCAAAAUGUUCAAAACAAUGAUGAAAUGGAGGUAGAGCCUACACCAAAAAAGGUCAAAUUAAAUCGUAUAGAAAUUUCAACCUCUCUCUUACUAAUGCAUCAAAUCUUCCAUCUAAUCCAAAUUUACGGCCUCAAAUUUCUGACUAUCAUCCCAAUGAUCAAAAUGUGGUUCGGAGAGCUUAUUUACUUAAGGGGCCAAAUCAGCCAAGACAAGAAGUAUAUCCACCAACACCAAAUGGAAAGAAAUUUCGUCGUUUCAAGUUAAAAUAUUAUAAGCAAUAUGUAAAUUGGUUGGAGUAUAGUAUUGACAAAGAUGCAAUAUUUUGCUUACAUUGUUAUUUAUGGAGGGAUGAAUGUGGAGAUCAUAGGGAUGCAUUUAUUAAUGGUGGAUUUAGAAAUUGGAAAAACAUCAAAAGAAUUGAUGAUCAUGUUGGAGACCAUAAUAGUGGUCAUAGUCGAGCAUGUUUGAAGAGUGAAAACCUAAUGAAGCAAGAACAACAUAUUGAGACCAUAUUAGUGAAACAAUGAGACCAAGAACGGAUUGAUUAUCGGAUUCGUUUAACUGUUUCUCUUGAUUGUAUUUGGUUUCUCUUACGCCAAGGACUAGCUUUUCGUGGUUAUGAUGAAUCUAAAAAUUCAAAGAACAUGGGAAACUUCCUUGAGCUUUUCAAGUUUUUAGCUUCUCAUAAUGAAAAGGUCGAUAGUGUCUCUUUAAAAAAUGCUCUGCAAAAUAAUCUUUUGAUAUCACCUGACAUUCAAAAGGAUUUGGUUAAUUCUUGUGUUGUUGAAACUGUUAACGCGAUUAUGAAAUACCUUGGUGAAGAAUUAUUUGUUGUAUUGAUUGAUGAAGCUCGUGAUACAUCGGGUAACGAACAAAUGGCUAUUUAUUUGCGAUAUGUUGACAAACGAGGUUCUGUGAUGGAGAGAUUUGUAGGCAUGAUACAUGUUCCUGAUACAACAUCAACUUCACUUAAGGCAUAACUUGGGGAAUUCUUUGGAAAACAUGGGUUGAGUUUCAUGAGAUUGAUCGGUCAAGGCUAUAAUGGGGCUAGCAAUAUGCAAGGGCAGUUCAACGGGCUGAAAGCACUCAUUUUGAAUGAGAAUAAAUCAGCAAUAUAUGUUCAUUGUUUUGCUCAUCAACUACAACUAGCACUUGUCCAUGUUGCAAAAGAUAUUAAAGAGAUUGCUUCUUUUUUCACCUCAGUUAGCAAUAUAGUGAAUGUUGUUGGAGUCUCUUGCAAGCGUAGGGACAACCUUCAAAAUAAACAAGCUGCCAAAGUGUUUAUGCAACUUAAAAAUGGUGAACUAUCUAGCGGUAAGGGGUUGAAUCAAGAAAUUGGUCUUAAAAGACCUAGUGACACACGGUGGGGAUCACACUAUGGUACACUGGUUAAUUUUAUUGUCAUAUUUUCAUUAGUGGUUGAAGUUCUUGAUGAGGUGAUGGAAUAGAGCUCAAGUUCGGAUAAAAAAGGAGAAGCACAUGUUCUAUUAGAUUUGAUGCAUUCAUUUGAAUUUUGUUUUAUCUUGCAUUUGAUGAGGAAUAUAUUAGGAAUUACUAAUGAUCUUUUAAAAGCUUUGCAACGAAAAGAUCAAGAUAUUGUGAAUGUUCUAGCUUUGGUGAAAGUGUGCAAGGGACGUUUGCAGCAAAUGAGAGAAGGUGGUUGGGAUUCAUUAUUUGUUGAUGUUCCUUCAUUUUGUGGAAAACAUGGUAUUGAUGUUCCUCGAAUAGAAGCUACGUUUAUUCAUCGUGGAAAAUCUCGAAGAAAUGCAGAAGAAACUACGUACCUACAUUAUUAUCAAGUUGGAUUCUUUUAUGGGUGUAUUGAUAAACAACGCGUCGAGCUUGAUAACCGGUUUGAUAAAGUGAAUACGGAGUUGCUUCUUUGUAUGGCUUGUUUAAACCCAACCAACUCGUUUAGUGCCUUUGAUGUUGAGAAGUUGAUUCGUCUUGCUGAGUUUUAUUCUGAUGAUUUCUCCGAGCAAGAACAAAAGGUUCUUAGAAAUCAACUUGAGACUUAUGGAAUUGAUAUGAAGUCCAACAACACAUUUGCAGCACUUAAAGGAAUCAACGUUUGGCUACUACAAUGGUUGAGCGUCGAAAAGAUAUUACUUAUGACUUAGUUUAUAGGCUUAUAAAGCUCUCAUUAAUUCUUCCAGUUUUUACUGCUAUACAGUUGAGAGAUUGUUUUCAGUUAUGAACAUAGUGAAGAUUCGUCUUAGGAACCGAAUGGGAGAUGAGUGGAUGAAUGAUUGUCUAGUCGCGUAUAUAGAAAAUGAAGUUUUUGAUACCAUCGACAAUGAAGCAAUCAUGAGACGUUUUCAAAAUAUGGGUAAAGAACAUGGAAGGGAUCGUAAAGGACAAUUAUAAAUUUUAAAUGUUAAAUAUAAAAGCACAAUAUAUUUUGAAGUGUAAAGCUUUUUAGUCUAUUAAUAUAUGCUUACUUUUUUAUGCAUUAAAUUUUGCUUGUCAGUUUUUUUUUUUUUUUGCUUCGAAUUGUUAGUUACUUAGUGCGGAGUGGCGAAGUGCCCCAGGUGAGGUGAGGGAAAUUCUUGGCUCCGCCACUGAUUGUAAACUAAAGGAAAAGACAUGUCUUUUCAUAAAAGAAUUAUGAAAAUACACUGAAUUUGGUCACAUCAAUUCCCAAAAGGUGUUUUUCAAUGGAUGCACCUUUUAUCCUUAAUUUUCACUCAAAAUUAAAUAUUUUAUUAGAAAACAUAUUUCCAACAAGAAAAUGUAACCUUUAAGAUUACAAAGUUGACACAAUCCGUGGACUUAGUAAAGCUUGAGUGAUUCAAGCCCAUGUGUAGUAAUGGGCCGACAUGGAUACGAGGCCCAAUAUGGAAUAUAUAAGGGUUUUCUCUACAACAGAAAACCCUAAAGAUUCAAUAUCUCUCUAGCCUCCUUCUACCAUUAGAGAGAUUGUUAUCUGUGAGAUAAUCCUUCAUUCUUCAUCAUCAUCCCAAGUCAUCAACAACAAUAACAGAGAUUCGAGAGUUGCUUCUUAGAGUGAGUCUAAGAAAGUGUUGCAGAGAUAGAAGACUACGCAGAGCACUUUUGCAAGUAUCAACUUUUGUUAUUGGGUUAAUCUGAGAUUGUAUUAGUAAGUGUACUUUUCUAUUUCAUAUAGUGGAUUAUUUAUCUUCGUGAGGACAGUCGUGGAUGUUUCCGAGUUAUUGGGUUUUACCACGUUAAAUCUUGUGUAUCCAUUAUUCUUUAUUGUCUUUUGUUUGUUUAUUGGUUAUUGUUGAAUUGCACUUAUUUUCUUCCCUGUAUUGUUUAUUGGUUAUGAUUCUAAAGUUACGGACACAAAUUGAUAUUUAUUUUCUUCCCAACAACUUUAUGCAUUUUAAUACUGAUCUUCUCUAUUGCAACUAGGUGACUGCAACAUCAUAUCCUUUGUCAACAUCUAUCCACUAUUAUAUUUAUGUAUUGUAGAUGAUGACAGGUUUGAUGUUUCUCCUGUUCAAUAAUGGCUAUGAAUUGCGCAGCUGCAGCCUGCAGGUACUUGUGAAGUCCAUAUCAAUAAUGUCUGGUACUUGCUCCUUUACAAAUGAACAAAAAACAAAUGAUGUAGACGCCGUGGUUUUGUUAGAAGUUCUUGAUCACUAAAUCUUUACCCAGUAUACGUAAUCUCUGUAUCUGACAAAAACAUUUCAUGUAGAUUUGCCAAGUGUAUAAUCCUACAACAAUCAUCAGAAAUGAAAGAUAUUGAAACAUAAUACAUUUUGCCUUCAACUACACACAAAUUAAAAAAAAUGAAAUUCAUGAAGCCAAGCUAAGAAUGAAAAUGAUCACUGGUUUCUGGCAACUUAUUUAUCGACAAUCAGUUUUGCUCUGGCAUGUCCUGUUUCAAUACGAAAUUGUUCGCCCAAGCCUAAGUGAGUCAUUAGUAACCAGACAAAUGUAAUAAGCUCUCCACCUCUACUGAGUUGCUGAGCAUGGCUAUUUGCUCUGCACUGAAUUGCAGCAUACGACAACAGCUCUAACCACACUUUGCGCAUCAAUCUCCAUCUCGGCCCCUUGUGUAUGGUUUCUAGGUUUGUAGCCAGUCUGACUGCAUCGAAAAGCACUGAUUUGCUUCUAUCCCCCUUCACAUCUGCAGGUUUUAUUUCUGUAUUUACGCUAAUUAACUUACGACAGGCCACUUCAGGUUUCGUUGCUUCUACUCUAGCAAAAAACAUUUUUGCCUCAGCACAAGUGUCUCUGUAUCUGAUUAGUCCAAUACCUGCCACUGCCGACAUCAUAGUAGGCUGCAUAACCAGAAGGUAUAACAUGUAAUCCGAUAAUAGUUUUGAAAAUUCACGGUCCUGGUCCUCCACUCUAGCAUCUUCAUUGUUCUCUGCACAGGGUUCUUCACCUUCCUUAUGAUAGACGAUUUCAGUGGCAAUAUGCCACAAUAGAAGGCUCUCAUCAUAUUCAACAUCGACGCUCCAGCCUAGUACCCUAUGAUGUAUACUGCGCCCAAGAACCCAAUCACCUCGUGCUGAACAUAUUUCCUUGGCAGUCUUUGGCUCCUUACCAAUAACUGAUUUUUUCUUGAGUUCAUCGAAGAUGAAUUCCUUCAAUGGAAGCUCUAUACUGUUUGAAGACUUGUGACAGACCUCGUCAAAAAGGUCCUUCAGACCAAUAAGAUCAACAAAGCGGUCUAAUCGUUUUGAUCUUUUGGACAAACAAAACUCAAUCAAAUUAAACUGUGACAUGGACUCGGACCACCUGGAUCGUUUCAAGAUGGGAAAUUUGGUGACAAUCCAAGAGUUAAUAGCAUCUACCUUGAAAUCUCUUUUGGCUGCAAUAGUCCAAUCGGAAAACACAAGCAUGAGGAGAGCAAUGCAAUCAAGAAUCAUUGCACCAAUAAGCAAAAAAUAGGUUGUGGUAAUGUCGAAGCGUCGCAGUCCAUUCUUCUCGUAGAACAUGAAGAGCAAGAGGGCUACUAAGGUUGAAAUGAAACAGAUACUACGAAGGAUGUAACCAGGCCGAGUAUGAACCACCUCAACUUUUGUGUACAGAAUCUCAUACAUGAAGCUGAGCUCUAUCUCUAUGACAUCAAAGGCAUCUUUUGCGUACCUUUGGAGGAAGAAUUCUCGGCUCUGAUUUCUAUCGUGGAAGCUGAAGAUGAGGUCAACAAUGAGUCCCUUGAAUUUAUUAAAAAAUUUAUAAGCAUGCUGCACCUUGUCUCUCUCACUAGCCAUUUUGACAGGGUCUGUUUUGGUGAAAUCGUUGUAGGUUUCAGGCUCUGGUAUCCUCUCAAUCUUGGCUGGAAGUUGGGAAUCCUUCAUUGACGAGUACUCAGCCAUGAGUUUUGCAUAGUUUGGACCAGGAUCAGGGUCUGUAAGCAUUGAAUCCCUGAAUCUACCCAAGCUUGCAAGAUAGAGGGCACGAGUUCUCUCAGCAUACUUGACAAGUCCAGUGAGAAACAUGAGUACUGUUGCAGGCCAAAGCUUGUUACGUGGAAGCGUUUGAAAGAAAAUAUAUGCAGCCGCAAAAAAUUGGACAAUUAGGCCUAGCCAGUGCCUAAGCCAAAGCUCGUUAUCCUCAAGUGCAAAAGCAGUGAUUGUAUCAGGGCCGCCAAGGUGCACCAAAAGGAAAGGACCCCAGAAAGCUAGAAGCUCCUCAGUGGCAAGAGACCCAUCAUCGCUGUUGGAGAUGAGUCCAAGGGAAAAAGCAGCAACCCAGUCUGCUAGUAAGUAAGCUGACCAGAUAAGCAUGAUAAUGAAUUUGCUUGACGAUCGUUUCCGUAAGGAUGCACCAAGGAUUAGAAAAGUCUGCAAGCUAAGGCUAAAGAGAACACAUACUCUGAGAUCCCAUACAUCCCAUAGUUUCUGAACACUUUCAGGAAUGGGAUUAGUAAAAGUACCAUUGUUGCUCAUGUUUGGUUAUCACCAGAAGUUUGAUAUCCAAAACAACUUUUGGAUAAAAAAGAAUGAAACUUCUUCUUGCUUUAUUUCUUCUAGUUUAAUGAUUAUUUUGUUCAAAUUUUCUGUCCAUUUUAUUACUUAAUUCAAACUUAAACAACUCACCUACUUCCAUUAAGAUAAAAUAAAUUUUUGGUUGUUGGAUUCUGGUGUGAACAUGUUCUAUACUUCUAUUAAUUCAAGCAGGCCUAUGAAGUCAAUGCCAACUGCAAUCAUGUCUAUGCUCACAGCAGCAUCUAAGUGUUUUCUAUAGUCAUUUUAGAUCCUCUUGCUUUCUUGAGCAACAACUAACAGGUGAGAAGAGAGAGAGAGAGACAGAGUUCAGAAGCUAAGAUGUCUGGUGAGAUUGUUUUAUUUCUCAAAACCAAAUUCAUUGAUGCUCUUCAAGAGGAGGGUCAGCAUCCACUUCCUUUGAGCAAGGUUUUCGUGAGCAUUAAAACAAUUCUGGAAGAGAAGAUAAGAUCAUGUAUGCUGGAUCAUACAAGGGAUAUUCAAAUGAAGGACAGUUUGUAUAAGCUCAAUGAUGCAAUCAUAGAAUGCAGAAUGAUAUCUGAUAAUCGCAGAAAACUUCCUCACCCUCCCUACACUAUUAAAGAUGCGUACGAUCUUUAUAAAAUCAGGCGUCGCUUGUUAAAACUUAAGAAGAUCCUCAGAACUGUUCCAGAUGCAAGUACUACAAGUUCUUCAUCAACAACUGUUGGUAGACAAGCCGAACAGCAAACACCUGAAAUGUCAGCAUCGACAGUUUUCGGCUUUGGUAAUCGGAUGGAAGAGAUAGUUACUUCAAUCCAGAAAGAUAGUUCUGGUGGAAUAAACAAAGUUGGGAUUGUUGGUAUGGGUGGUUCAGGGAAAACGACGCUUGCUCAUAUGGUUUUCGAUGAUGACAGGGUGAAGAAAGAGUUCAUUCCAAGAAUUUGGGUUGCGCCAAAUAAAUCUGAUAUGUUAUCAGAGACUUCUACAAAAAGCAUUGUGGAAUAUCUGCUAAAAGAAUUAGGAGAAGAUGAGGACGACGACAAUGAUGAUGAUGAUGACGACGACAAUGAUGAUGUCCAACAAGAAGAAAAGGAAGAAAAACGCAAUGAACGGAAGAAAACGGAAUCGACAAAAAGUCUUAACGACCUACUCGAUAGACUUCACAAGCAGUUAUCAGGUAAGAAGUAUCUACUUGUGUUUGAUGAUAUCUGGAAAAUAAGUGAUUGGUAUGAAAGCUUAGUUAACUCUAAGAAUGCUCAUCUUCCUCGCGGACUUCCCAAGGGAGAAGGUGGUGGAAUCAUUAUUACUAGUAGGCUUGCUGAAGAUGUAGAAAAGAUGGUUGAGGAUGCGAAUUUGCAUCGUCUUUUACCUACAUCAGAUGAAGAUUGUUGGUCAAUAUUUAUGCAGGCGAUAACAGAAAAUGGAAUCAGUUCAGAGCAUCCAACUCUUACAACAAUGAAAACUGAAAUCCUUGAAAACUGUAAUAACCUUCCUUUAGCCGCAAAGACACUGGGGAAGAUUGUUUCUGAGCAGAUUCGAACUCAACAGUGAUCUAUCAGUCUGUUACCAUAAAUGGUUCUAUUGUAUGCUGGUGAUAUACAUAUUUUGAAGGAAGGGUGUUUGUCCGCGUUUUGAAGAUGUUCUGAAGAUGUUCGUUUAAAUAGGCUUCACAGCUUCACGUGUCUUCUAAUCCUCAACAUCAUCCAUGGUAGGAAACACAGAAAUGGAAGAUGAAUACAUAAUAGAAAUCAUUGGGAGGGGAGUGUGUAGUGUAAUAUCUCACAGGAAAAUGCAAGGAUUUCAACUUUCAAGGCCUGAAAACUAGAAUAUCAAAUACCACAAUGUUCAAAUUUUAUAUUGUCAUUAAUUUACAAGCAUUUGUUACUAUGGCGUUAUCAAAAUCUAUCAAAAAAAGAUCAAACAACAAAACCUUUAUAGUGUACAACUUUAAUAGAAAGAAAAAUUAGAGGGUGAGAAGUUGCAUUAAUAAACAUGGACUCCAGGGAAAUAAAUGCAAUAUGCGCCGAGGAUUUCAAAAUGACACAUGAAACCUUAUAAACCCGAGGGCUCUGACUUUGAUAAAACUUGUCAAGACCGAAGAAGGUUCCAACUUCAUGGAGACAGCUCGCUUUGUGAAAAUCACUGAAGGAGCUUAUGAGCCAUCCAUCAUAGUAUCAUUUGUAUUUGAUGGGGUUACGCCGAAAGGGGUUUCAAUGUUCUUCUCGGUCAUGCCAGCUCCAAAAGUAAAUUCAUGAGGAAUGUUCAAGGCAGCACGAUCAAAUAUUGAGGUGGCAGCAGAAGAGUUAAAAGCAGGAACAGGAACAAUGUUAUUAGUUUUCGGGAAUUCAAAACCCGAUGACGUUGUAUUACAUACAGGGAAGACGGGCAGCACUGGGCUACUUCCGAUUGGUCCAAAUAUCUUCUGCUCGUAUCCCUGCAACUGCUCGUGUACACCUACAAAUCAUGAAAAAAAACAGGGGGGCAUCAGGCAUGCUAAAGCAAAGAACAAGUUUCAGACCGCAGUGACAACAAAAUAACGAUUACAGCAAUGCCACUUAUUAAGUUAAAUAUCAUAGAUGAUGUGGCUUAGCUACGAGAAGAACAAGAAAGAGAAUAUAGAUUUCAACCAUCGUUCUAAAGUAAAUUUCCGAAUUUCAUACAAAAGCUCUAAAUUUGUCGGUAAAAAGUGAUAACAUAGUUAAUUAUGGAAACAAAAUUUCUUUCAUUCUCCAAGACCAAAAAACUAUGAAGCACUUAGAAAAACAUGGGAACCCCAAGAGUACAAUGUAUAUGGUCUUGUAAAGCUCUACAACUAUCAUAGUUACCAGCAUUUUUCGAAAAAAAUAAAUAAAAAUAGAACAGAAGAAUGAACUUCUCUGAAUGAACUUCCAUUAAAUAGGAAACAUAAAAUAAUAAAGCUAAGUAAACAUCAACAAUCCAAUCGGUUUUCUGAUGUUUCCCACUAAUUUUGGGUCAUAUGUGCAUGGGACAAUGUGUACAUGUAAUAGGGCAAAACCCUUGUUUAAAUUAUAAAGUGAAGUCUUCUGUUUCUCAAAAGUGCAUUGACUUGUCUGUUUGACCGAGGAUGAAAAAUCUGUACACAAAUAUACAUACAAGCAUGAACAAAUGUAUAUAAGGCAGGCAAGAACCUUGAGACAGCUCAACCGAAGGCCUCCGAUCUUUCACCCAUUGGUAACUUUGUGCAAGUCUCCAUCUUUUGGAUUUCAUUAAGUAUGCUAUCACAAUGGCUGGAGACCUGUGAAAAAUAAUCAAAAUAUAGCACAUAAGAAUCAAGAAAAAUUCCCCAUGUCUGUAAAUCAAAUAAAAGGUUACAUCUAAAGAAGCAACUAACUUGUUUUUUCCUGACAUGCAGUGCACUAGAACACGAGCCUUGUCCUUUUCGCAUUGCUCUACAGAAAUCAAUCGAUUAAAUCAUUACAAGUAGAAGAGCCAAAUCAAACCCACAAAAGCUAAAUAUGUUAAGUUCAUUAAAGAUCAUGAAUAGAAAACUAACUGAAAAAUCCUGAUUAACUAAAUCAUAAACAUUGUCUUCAGAAUCUUCACAAAUACAUUAAUAACAUCUCAAGCUUAUACUAUAAAGAUUUCCCAACAUAAGGCAAUACCUAGAAAAUGAAUUGCAUCAUCAAAUGGUAAAACCUUUUCCUCUUGGAGGCAGUGAUAAGUAAAAGAAUUCCUGUAAAGAUUUUGACAGGCAGGGACAGUCUGCAAAUUCACAAAACAGAAAAAAAAAACAUUCAGAUUGGCUGCAUUCCUAAUAUAUAAUUUUUCUUUCUUUCCACCGAACUGUUAACAGUUAAUCCACAAAAGGUAACAGACUGACUGAAACAGUCGUUCGAACUUGAAAGAGAACGCAAACAUUUAAUAAAGAACCAUUGCUAUUGAUCCAUAGGAUCCUUGUUAUUAAUAUGCAUCAGUCAAUGUGCCACCAAGCGUACAUCUUACAUUUAAGCACUUCCUUUAAAAUUAUUCUCACCUUAUGUAUUGAAUCAUAACCCUACACUUUUAUAAGAUGCAGAGAAAGCAGUGGUAAUUUGUGUUACCCAAUUCUGCUAUUGUUGUUCAAUUCUUUCUUUGGUUAAUUUGUCAAAAAUAAUUGAAUUUCUUCUUCCUUGCUCGUAUGCCAAAAUAGUAAUACCACAAGUAUUAAUACAGAAACAAACAUUAGUCUACACACACCACCAAUCAAAAUUCUCCUUCUCAAUUUAUUCUUUCUCUAGAAACUCUAAUAUAUAAGGCUUCUUUUUUGGUCGAAUUCCAAAGAUUUAGCAUAAGCCCGUACAAAUUCUUACAGAUACCAGAUAUUUCAUCAUGACUCAGGUCAAGACGUGAAUAAUGUUUUAAGCAUGUCCUCACACAAACUUCGAUUGGCCGAAAAAAAAACACUAAAAGUUUUAUCACAGAAAACAACACCGAUUUCUUCAAACAGAUCAUUCUCAUAAUAUAAACAAUAAAAAUCAGAGUUUAUGUUAUGAGAACGAUUUGUUUGAAGAGUUUAGUGUUGUUUCUUAUGAAAAUACUUCUAGUGUCCUAUUUCCAGCAAGUCAAAAUUUGUGUGAGAAGACUUGCUUAAAAAAUUGUUCAUGACUUGGCCUUAGCUCUAGUAUCUGUAAGAAUUUAUACGGACUUAUGUUAAAUCUUCGGAAUUCAACCGAAAAAUAAAUCUUAUAUAUUAGAAUUACUAGAGGAGAAUUAAAGAGGAAGGAAUUGGGAAGGAAAAUUUUGAUUGGUGGUGUGUGUGUAGUUUAAUGUUUAUUCUUAUAUUAAUACUUGUCGUAUUACUAAUUUGGCAAAAGAGCAAGAAAGAAGAAAUUGAAUUAUUUUUUCUUGAGAAAUUAACCAAAGAGAAUUGAAAAACAAAAACUGAGUAGCACAAAUUAAUGUAAAGAAAAAAGUUAACCUAAGUAACAAAUAUGUCCUUGAUACUAUUGUAUGUUGUUGUGUUGUGAAUUUUUCUUAUGCAAUUUGUAGUAUUUUGGUUAAAUAGCAGUUUCAACUAAAACUUGAAGUCUACCUUUGAUAAACAUAUUGUUUCUCUUUUUACCAUUUUUAAUAGACUUUGUUCGUCUCUGAUAGAAGUAGAUUCUUGUGAGUUAAUUUGUGGUAUAAAAAGUGACUUGUUUGUUUAAGACUUUGAUAUCUAAAAGUUAGCCCCCCUCAGAGAGUGUCAAAGCACUUGGAUGUAUCCCAACCAUACAAAUCUCUCUUCAGCUUUUCUUGUGAUUUAUUUGUGCUUACUCCACCGACCGUAGGGAGGGUUUUGGGAUAUGAAGUAAAAAAACAUUUGUCUUAAAUGAUGUUUGUCCGUCUUUUUUUUGCCCUGCUCUUCUUCUUCCUCCCUCAAUCUCUCCUAUCCUCCCUUCUUUCAGGCACCAUCUCCUUCAAUUUCUUCUCCCUCUCUACCACCUCCUUCAUAUAUUCUUGUUGUUCUUCUUCGCGAAUCCUUCAAUUUCCUCAACUUCAAUUUCAAUUUCCUGAAAUCCCUCCAAUUUAUUGAAUUUCCUCAAUUUCUUCUUCCUCUCUCUGUCUGCGUUGUUCUUCCUCUUCACAGUCAGUGCCCACUGCUUCACAGUCUUCUAUUUAUUAGUUAUUUUUGCUUUAUUUUCUUUUACACUAGAAACUCUAAAGUGAUUAAUCACUUUUGUAGCUUCUAUCAAUCUAAAGUGGUUAACACUUAUUGAUUGUUGUCUUAGUUUUGCCCUAUCGCACAUGAAAGUGACAACAACGCUUAUUAUUCACUUAAAAUCCUUCAUCCACAUCCAGUACUACAGAUUGACCAAAAAUCUAAGAUUGCGAGGGAGCUUUCACCUUUACUAAAAGCGAGAUCAAGAUAAAAUUUAAUCCCCCAAUCGGUAACCCCUUAACGAGUACCAAAAACCGUUUUCCCCCAACAAUUAUCACAAUUUGUUACUACUUAUUAAACAAAUUAACUACUAACAAAAACUAAUUAUUAAUGUAAAUCAAAUCAAAGAUCAAAUAAUUCUAAAUUCAACUAAAAAUCAAUAAAACUUACAUUAAGAAUCCUUGAAAUUCCUUGAACUUUAAGAAGCUCCGAACGCGAUGCAUUAUCAUAGCUUCCUAAAUAAAGAAACUCCGGCAAGAUCUCAGAUGAGAAUGCACUGAUAUGAACAGAAGUUACUUCAUUUGAUACCGGAACCCGGUGACCACAAAUCCCACAAACUUCACCUUCUUCAUACUUAUGAUAAUGCCCACAAACCCCACAUGGGUUUUCUCUUUCUCUUUUCCUCAUCACACACACAACCAAAUCAAUAAAUCAAAGAUACCCAAAUCAAGAAAUCUCAAUUUAGAUUGAAAUUGAAUGUUUUUGUACGGAUUUGAUUGUGAUAAUCAGUAGUAAAUCAGAAGAAAAGUGGCUCUGUUUUCUGUACUUUAUUGAAGUUCUUGUUCUUUUUGUGUUAAGUAGUUGAGAAUAAAACCUAUCAAUCUAUCUAUCAUCACCUUAUUAUCACAAAAGAACUGUCCUUAUCGGAUGUAUAAAGAGGAUUUAUUUAAGAUUCGGUGAGUCAGAAAUCUAAAACAGACUUUCCAAAUCCAUCUUGUUUAUUGACCCAGUUGGAUGAGGGCUGGGGCAAACCUUUAUUGGCAAUUUGCCAAUUUGACUUAAUAAUGGGCUAGCCCAAUUGGAAAUAGUAUGGUUUAGGUUGGGUUUCCGCGGCGUCCAUAUAGGUUUUUAAGAGCAUCUCUAAUGCACAGUCUAAAAUUAGCGUGCCACAUAGGUAACACAUCAGCCAUAUUUAUAGUAUUUUUUAAGAUUUUGCAAUUUUUUAAAUUUAGAACUUUUAUUUUAAGACUAAUGUACAUAAACUUUACAACCUUCUAUUGAUGAUGGGGAAGAAAAAAAAAACUAUUUAUAAAAACAGAUUUGAACAGUAAUAAAUUUAUCUAGUUUUUAAAAAAUAUAAUAAAAAAAUCAUUUAUCAUAGAUAGAUGGUUGUAUAUUUCGUUCUAAAUUGAACCGUGUUUAUAGCAGAUCUAUUUAUAGCAUGAGUGAUAACAUAAGCGUUAGGGACAAAAUUAUAGAAAAAACUUAUUUUAGACCGUGCAUUAGAGAUGCUCUAAAAUUAAGUAAGGUUAUAGAAGUUGAAUAUUUUUUCGAGUGAAUAAGAAAUAGUUUUGCAUGUAUACUUUUGCUUUUUAUUAUUUACAAGAAAGAAAUUUUAUUUAGAUGAGAGCAAACAAAGAAGUAGAAAAGAACCAUAUCUAAUACAACCCAAGAAAUUUGGGAAAGAGAAUUUAUUUUUUUAGAGAAAGACAUAGUUGGAGAGAGAUUUUUUUUUUUUUUUUUUUUCACUUUUUUUAUGUUUAACAGAGAAGGAAGAGAGCAAAGGACUGAAAGAAAAACAAAAAAUUUAGGCUGUAGCCAAUCUGAGUGGGACGUAGAAGGGUUGUAAUGAAUGUGCAUUAGAAAAGAUGGUGGAAGUUAAACGCAUAAAGGCAAAAUUGUCGAAGUUAGCUGAUCUUUAUCUAAAUGUUCACUGUGUUCAUCUACUACAAGGGAUGAUCUCAAGAGUACAAGGUAUUCAAGAGCCAGAACCUGCUUCACAAAUCAGUAUCUGUUUCGUAUAUACUUUAUCUGCGGCAGUUUCAGUCCUUUACUUUAUAUACUCUAUAUGCUGGCUAUUUUAAAAUCACGCAAUACAUGGUAUUUUGUUUCCAAGACAUGACACAUGCACCUUAUCAAUAAUAGAGCUGAUUUUAUGCAGCAGCUAUUGACUUGCUGGAUUUAUUUGCAAGCAACAACAGAUCGAGUGAUGAGACAACUAUGGUCUGGGAAAUGCUUCUAUACAUCUACAUUCUCUAUUCUCCAGAUUGGCAUUACCAAAGUACAAUGCCAACUUUCCUCUGCCUUUAUGGUGCUGCCUUUGCCAUUGCGCAUUCACAAUUACGUUUUGAUGUAGGCUUUAAAGUUCAUUACGUCAUCCUGUGUCUCUUCUGUAUCCCUAGGAUGUACAAGUACUACAUACACACGAACGAUGCAUCUGCAAACCGACUUGUCAAGUUCUACGUCAUAACAUUGUUCGCGGGGAGUAUUUGUUGGUUGUGUGAUCGCUUAUUCUGCAAAGAGAUAUCCCGUUGGUAUUUUAAUCCACAGGGUCAUGCCUUAUGGCAUGUCUUCAUGGGUUUCAAUUCCUACUUGGCCAAUACAUUUUUGAUGUUCUGUCGUGCUCAGCAGCUUGGUUGGGCCCCUAAGCUUGUUAACUUCAUGGGGCACUUGCCUUACGUGAAGAUUCAAACAAAAAAGCCAGUGAAUAACAACAGGAUGGAAAAUAGUCUCCAAGAAAGAAAAUUGUCCAAGGUAGAAGAAGACGACGUACAAUCCCAAUCUCAACUACGUCAAGAAAAUAGAUACCAUUUUCGAAAUGGGCGACACCAUUGGCUACCAAAAAAGAAAAAAAAAAGGUAAGGCUGGUAAACAAUGACGUAAAAGAUGAUUCAUCAUAUAUAGCUGACUUAGGAUGUGCUUUCUUGUGUACCAUAUUUCUUGUAUUGGAGAUCAAGUCAAUUGAGCUUGGGAUAUUUUGUUUUUGUUAGUGCUUUCAUUUGUGUGUAUUUUCACAUUUCAGGAAAGGGUAAAACUGUGUUGAUUGUUUGCGUUGUGUGCUCGGAAUGGACAUUACUUUAUACCAUAGUUAUUUAGUUGCAAAUUUAAUGCACACUUUACAUUUAACAUAUUUUGUAAUAUCUAUAAUGCUCUACUGUUACCGUCUUCUUGUUUCCCUUGUCUCUUUCGCUCUCUGAUUUCCCCGCGCUUUACCCUCUCAAUGUUCUCUUAUAUGUGAUUGUGUCGGAAUGGAAAUGAUUUUGAGACUGUUACACUAUUAACAAGUCAUUGAAUCAAACAAUCACUAUUCCAAAACCACCAAUAUCAGGUUAAAAGUUAAAACAAUUUAAAUUUUCCACUACUUUUAUCACGUUGAUCCCGAAGAAGGAGGGUGUGCUAUCUAUUGGAGACUACCGACCCAUUAGUCUCAUUGGGGGUGUGUACAAGAUUAUCUCUAAAUUGCUCGCAUCAAGGAUUAAACAAGUGCUACAGUUUCUUGUGUCUGAUACUCAGGGAGCUUUCCUUGGGGAUAGACAAAUUCUGGAUAGUAUACUCAUUGCUAAUGAGAGUAUUGAUGCAAGAUUACGACAAGGGGAUCCUGGGAUUUUGUGUAAGAUUGAUAUCACUAAAGCUUAUGAUCAUGUGAAUUGGAAUUUUCUUGAUUAUGUGCUAAGCAGGAUGGGGUUUGGCUUGAGAUGGAGGAAAUGGAUUCGUACCUGUGUGUCGACAGCACGUUUCUCAGUGAUCAUUGAAGGUUCGCCAGAGGGGAAUUUAAGGCCCAACGAGGUNNNNNNNNNNNNNNNNNNNNNNNNNNNNNNNNNNNNNNNNNNNNNNNNNNNNNNNNNNNNNNNNNNNNNNNNNNNNNNNNNNNNNNNNNNNNNNNNNNNNUUGUCCCGUUUCCGCUGAAAUGUAUGCAUGAUGGUUUACUGAGGGGUUUUGAGAUUGGGAAUGGAGGUUUUAUGGUUGGAGUACUACAGUUCGCAGAUGACACCCUUUUUUUCACUGAACCUUCGACUCAGGCUUUGUCUGUGAUUCGACUAGUGAUUACUUGCUUUGAAGCUGUGUCUGGACUGAAAGUUAACCUCUCCAAGUCAUCCAUUUCUGCGAUUGGGGAUGUUCACAACAUUGAGAGCCUAGCUCGGUUUUUUGAGUGUGGUGUGGCCCAGUUGCCAGGGAAGUAUCUUGGGUUGCCUUUAGGGGCGCAGUACAAGAAUGUGGAUGUGUGGAGCUCAGUCGUUGAGUCGUAUCAAAAGAAGCUGAGUGGGUGGAAGCGAAAACUUAUGUCUAAGGGUGAUCGACUACUUCUUGCCAAAAGUACAUUGGCGGGCCUUGCUAUUUAUCAACUAUCCCUCUUCACUAUCCCCACGAGCAUUGCUGAGAAACUUGAGAGGAUAGUAAGAAAUUUUAUCUGGGGAUCUAGUGAAAAUAAGAAGAAAAUGCACCUUGUGGCUUGGGACACGGUGUGCUCCCCCAUGCAAGAGGGGGGCUUGGGCAUUCGGGAUUUGAAGACCAUGAAUCAAGCUCUGCUUGCAAAAUGGAUAUGGAGAUAUGGAUGGAAAAAUCUGCACUUUGGCGAAGAGUCAUUGAGGCCAAGUAUGGUGAGAGUGACAAUAGUGGUAAACCAAGGAAAACGUCUCAACCUUAUGGGUGCAGUUUGUGGCGCGGGAUCCAAGUUGUACAAGAGGAGUUCUUUGAAAACAUCAAGCAUGUGGUGAGACGAGGGGAUAAAACUCGGUUUUGGCAUGAUAAGUGGCUCGGGGAUACCAUCCUCUCAAGGAGGUUCCACAGAUUGUACAAGUAUGCUUCUAGGAAGGAGGGUACGGUGAAAGAUCAUUGUGGUGAGGAGGGGACUUGGGAGCUCCACUUGAGGAGGUCACAUUUUCGUGGAAUUGAAGUUACCCAGUUGAACCAUCUUCAGGAACUUCUUGAGGGUGUUUCUCUUAGUGAUGGGGAGGAUGUUUGGGAGUGGGUUCUGACAGGGGAUAAUGUUUUCACGGUGAAGUCUUGCUACUCAAGUCUAAUGAGCAUUGGUCGAAGGCGAUCUUCCGAACCAUUUGAGUUUCCUUACAGAGUAGUCUGGGAGCCGAAAGUGCCUAUGAACGUCAAGUUCUUCUUAUGGGGUCUGAUGUGGGAUAAAACUUUGACUAUUGAUAAACUCCAGAGAAGAGGCAUGAUCUUGACGAACAGAUGUGAGCUAUGCAAAUGUGAUGCUGAGUCCACGAAACACCUCUUCAUUACAUGUACAGUCACUAAGCAGAUUUGGCAGGGUUUAAUUUCAGUUUGUGCUAGAGCCUGUGCUGGAUUUCAUACGGUGGAGAAUCCACAACAGUUAUUGAAUUGGUGGCCAGCCUUGAACGCUCAUGGUGUUAAAAGUAAGAUCUGGAAUAUCUUGCCGUAUGCAGUGUUGUGGUGUAUAUGGCGUGCGAGAAAUGAAGCAAUAUUUCAGGGAAAUAGCCAUAGUGUGGCUAAGAUUGGGGCUGCAAUUAAGGCAGCUGUGUGGGCCUGGUUAAGCUGUGAUCGAGAUGGCUUAAAGAUGAGAGAAGACAUCAGAUUUGCUGAUCUACUUCGUGGUUGGAGCCAUCUUAUGCAAGAGCAGUGGUGAGGUUGACUAACAGUCCACCUGACGAUAUACAGUCAUCUGUAUGUGCUGAUCAGGCUUGUAAAUCUUGUUUUUGGUGUCAAAUAUAUUGUUACAUUAAUCAAAAAAAAGAAAAAAUUCAAACCGGGAAUUGUACAAAUUUAACCUCUUUUGCAGGUGUCAGUUGGGCUCAACUGGUAAAAACUUUUGGGUGAUGAUAUCAGAUGUCUAAGGUUCAAACUCUGCUAUAAUUACCGAGUUAAUGGUCUCAUUAAACACAAGUUUAACAAAAUCUUUUUUUUUUUUUUUUUUUUUUUUUUUUUGACAAAUAAACCUGUGACUCAAUCGUAGCACCCUCUCACAAAGCGAGAGAUGUUGUGGGUUGAAACAUGUCAACAACUGAUUGAUUGUUGAUAUAAGAUGUUGUGGGUUCGAAACAUGUCUGAUUGUUGAUAUAAGUUUCUACACUUAAUUUAAAAAGAUAGAGAUGUUGUGGGUUGAAACAUGUCAACAACUGAUUGAUUGUUGAUAUAAGAUGUUGUGGGUUCGAAACAUGUCUGAUUGUUGAUAUAAGUUUCUACACUUAAUUUAAAAAGAUAGAGGUCCCCGAAACUCCACUAGCCAAGAAUUUUUUGGUCAAACACAAAAAGCAAAAACACAUCGAAAGGUUGAUGUGCUAGAAUAGAUAGACAUUAGUCAUUAUCACAUAUAAAACUGGAUCGCAUUUUAUCCGACCCAGGCCGACAUCUUUUUGUUGGGUCGGGUCAUAAAUUAUUUGUCCCCGUAUUUGUUUUGUUUUCUCUCUUUCAUCUUCCUUCUCUCUCUUCAGAGUUCCCAAAUCCCUAGGGUUUUUGGAAUCUCUCUCUCUCUUCGCCAUUCACACCACCACCACCACUAUCUAAUCUGUAAGUACACCUACCUUGAAUUAUGGGUAUUUGUUGCUUUUGAUUUUGAACUUUUUUUUUUCAAAUAUGGUGAAUAAUUGAUGUUUUACUGAUAUAUUAUUAUAUUUUCAAUAAAGAUUAGGGUUUAUUGAGAAUGUUUAAGUGCAAUGAAAUCAUGAAAUUAGAGUGUAAUGUAGAGUACCCAAACUGGCAAAGUUGCGGUUUUUCAAGAAUUUGGCAUUUUUUUUUUAUUGAAUUUACAAGAAUUUCAAUUUUCCUUAUUGAGGGUAUUAUUUGUUUCAUUGUUGAAAUUUUUAUGUUAAAAGCAAUAAAUGUCAGGUUUUAUACAUAGAUUGAAGAAAUUAAUGCGGGGUUAUAGAAUUCAUUAUAAAUAUGUUAUAUGAAAAGAAAUAUAUUAGACGGAAUCACUCAAGCACAUUUUUUCGGCAUUUGGAAAGAAGACUGAAGACUCAAUUUUAUUCUCUUGAAUUAUUAUGUCUUAAAAAGUUCCUAGCAAUAAAUAUGUAUAUUUAUAGUCGUGUUUAUUUUGUUGCCAAUAGUAUGAAAAUUAAGAGUUGACUACUGUGUUUUUCGUAUGUAGAGUUAUUAUGUUUUAAAAAGUUUCUAGCAAUAAAUAUGUGUUUAUAGGCGUGUUUAUCUUAUUGCCAAAACUCCGAAAGUAAGACUAUACUGCGUUUUUCUUAAGUAAAACUUAUACCGCGUUGCGGUGUACUAUUACUUUGAACUAAAAGUAUCAAGAGCCACGUGAAUAAAAAAUUGUUUUAAUUUGAGGGAUUCUCUUAAAAAAUAAAAUAGAAUCUAGGUUAUGUGCAAAUGUGUGACGAUUUUCUUUCUCAUUCCUCGACAACUUUACUUUCAUCACCAUUUGCUUUCAAUUUACCAACAGAAAAUAGUUUUUUUUUUCAUAUAGUUAUAGGAGAUUAGAUUCAGGGAAAGGGAGAGAGAAAUCAACAGUGGAAGGCUUUUCAUCAUUGAGCUUGCUUCUUUGCAAAAGUAUCUGUUAGCUGUAUGGCUUUGUUAUAUUGAGUUCUCAUGAUUCAGGGGCGUUUUUUGUCCAUAUGUAUAAUUUUCAUAUAAUCUGUAGAAAGUAGCUGGAUCUGGGAUUUUAUUUAACCGAUAGUCUGAUACCAAGCGUCGUGAACUUUGGUUAUUGAGUUUGAGUUUGUUUUUUAUCCAAAAUGUUUGUAUUGAAAUGAUCACAUAUGGUUGACUUAUGACUGUGGUUUGCGAAAAGUUCAGAUGACCAUAUUCGCAAAUAGAGGGAAAUGCGUUGGUAGUGUAGAAUGUAUAGAAGAUAUGAUAGUUUCUAGACAACCACUAAAUUUUGUAAGGGCUUGUUGCCUUUUUCUUAUCCGUGCCAUUGACCCUGCCAGAUAGGAGCCGCGGUAUUUAUCUAAGGACAUGCAGUUUUUCUUAAUAAAGAGAACCCUGUUGAAGUUUACCAUUUCCCUAUUUUUCAUAGCUUCCUCACGGUGUGGCUAAAACAAUGGAGAAUAUAAUCAAAACUUCUGUGGAAUGGUACCGAGGAAUUCUGUUAAUACUAGGUCUUAGACCCAUUCCGUUUUGGUUUUAAAAUUUGAAGAAUAUUGAUGAUUUAAACUUUGGCCUGCUCCUUAGGUGAUUGAGGUGCCUAGCGGUGGAACGCAAUAGUGUGCGGAAGAAAGUUAAUUCUACGGUUGGUAGUCUUACUAAGGGUAGAUAGUCGUGAGAGUGCUUUAUCUUGUGUGGUUUCUAGAAAGGGUUGGGAGGAUUUCAGAGGUUUCUUUAUCUGGACCUAUGUUCAGAUAACUUUUAUUUAAACCUUAUGUUGAAGGGUUUGCAUCUCGCAUCACCAGAACCAUCCAAUACCAAUCACCAGAGUUCUCUUUUUCCAGUUGACUGGUUGAUCCUCAUGCUGUCUCAAAGUAAUGUAGUUAUAUGUCUUGAUAAUCUCACCCUUGCUAAUGCUAAGUGAUUUUAACAAACUGAAGGUGGAUAAAUCUUUUCACUUUGUAAAAGUAUGCUGUAUGAUAACGAAUACUAGUACCCUCUCCCUUCCUCUAGUUUUCAAUUGAGUUUCUUGUGUUCUUGUUAUGUUGCUAAGAUGAAUCUUUUUUCUUGCAGGCAUACAGUUACUUGGUCUGUUGAAUAUAGAAAUAUCUUAAGCUUUGUUCGCUGCGUACAUUUUGGGCACAGAUUCAAUAUAAUGACAAACACAGCGCCAAGCUUUUGGGGACCAGUCACAUCCACCACUGAGUGGUGUGAGAGUAAUUAUACCCAUUCUUCUUAUAUUGCAGAAUUUUACAACACUUUAUCGAACACGCCUAGCAUUCUUUUGGCGUUUAUUGGUCUUAUCACUGCCUUCAGUCAAAGAUUCGAGAAAAGAUUUAGUGUUCUGCACCUAUCAAAUAUGAUACUCUCCAUUGGAAGCAUGCUAUUUCAUGCCACCCUACAGAAUGUGUAAGUAUGGUUUCUCUGCAAGUAUAUAGUGAAUAUUGUCACAUAGAAUAGAGUGGUAUCUAAGCUCAUUGGUAAUGCUUAUGUUUUGAAUAUGCAUAUCUUAUACUUCUAGUGGGUCUGGAAUUAAUUAUUAUCCUUUUUUUUUGUGUGUAAUUCAAUUUUAACAAAACACAUGUUUUAGAAUUUAGCAUGUUUGGGAAAUUGCUUAUUUAAUAACAAGUCUGGAAAGUCUCUUUGCUGAACAUUUGGGUCCACGAUGUGGAAGGCCAGUUAUCUGUCAAAUUUUGGUUUGCGACACUGCUCCUUGCUUCUUCCACAAUCCUCCCGUAUUGUUCUCAUUUACUGUUCUUAGUUCCCUUGUCGCAAGAUGCAGACCAUAGACAACCUCCGAAGAUGUACGAAAAUAAUACUAACCUUCUGUAUGGUUACGCCUCUGGGAGUGAGCUGGUUGUUGUUUGAUCUAUUGCCCUUUCUCUCUUUCUGUUUAUGGUAACUUCCUUGACUCAGUGUCAGUCGCUUGGAUAUGUCCUAGGUCCGUCUGUAAUCUCUUAUUGAUGUGUAGUGUCGGCUGGGUUCACCUACACUGACUAAGUAAUGGUGGAUUGGAAGUUGGAACUGACAUCAUUUUCAGGUGUGUCAGGGUCCUUUGUAAGUUGGAGGACAGUUUGAUUUGGGCCUUGAGUUGGGAUUUUUUUUUUUUUAGUAUUUCUUUUAGUGAUUCGUGUUGUAUUUUGUUUUCUUUGUGCUAUCAGAUAUCUCACCCCCUUGCGUAUUUCUUAUGUACUUUGAUUUUCUCUAUGACAUGGUUUGAUUGUUUAUUUUUGAAGAAAUAAGUCAUACAUCUUUAGAGUACCUCACUUGUGCACACACAAUUUCUGCAUGGUGGAUCUGGUUAAGACUUAGAUUCAUAUUGAAUUUGAUGGUUAUUGGUUCAUGGAAAUUUUGUUGAAGUUAGUUCCCAAGUUAGUUGUUUUUCUCUACAUUUUCUGUCGUUUUUAUAGUACUAAUUAGCAUCUCAAAAAAGUACUAGAAAGUAGAAACUUAAGGGUAAACCAUGCUUAGUAAUUUUGAUUGGCUGUACCAUUCUGAAUAUUAUUUCCUUGAUAUUUGUCCAUGUAUAUUAGUAUUAUUGUUAUUAUUAUUAUAUGUUGAUAUUUGCCUGUGGUAGUUUCAACUUGUGUAUCUCAUGUAAAAUACCCAGUAAACUAUUAUUUGUAAAGUCAAUCAAGAUGCUGUAUCUGUUAUCAAAACAAAACACUUGCACUUUAUCCUCACCUAGAAAUUACUUGCUGAGCAUGUUUUGGUUUACUGAACUUAUUUGCAGGCAACAGCAAAGUGAUGAGACACCAAUGGUCUGGGAAAUGCUUCUUUACAUAUAUAUACUCUUUUCGCCAGAUUGGCAUUACCGGAGUACAAUGCCAACCUUCCUUUUCCUCUAUGGUGUUGCCUUUGCGUUGGUACAUUCGCAAUUACGAUUUGGCAUUGGCUUCAAGAUUCAUUACGUCAUCCUGUGCCUCCUCUGCAUCCCUAGGAUGUACAAGUACUAUAUACACACUACCGAUGCAUCUGCAAAACGACUUGCCAAGUUCUACGUGUUAACAUUAUUCGCAGGGAGUAUCUGUUGGUUGUGUGAUCGCUUAUUCUGCAAAGAAAUAUCGCAUUGGUAUUUUAAUCCACAGGGUCAUGCUUUGUGGCAUAUCUUCAUGGGGUUCAAUUCCUACUUGGCCAAUACUUUUUUGAUGUUCUGCCGAGCUCAGCAGCUUGGUUGGUCUCCAAAGGUUGUUCACUUCAUGGGGCUUUUGCCUUAUGUGAAGAUUCAGAAACCCAAAAGCCAGUGAUGAAGAAUAGCAUGAAGAGUUUCGCUGAAAGAAAUUUGGCAAUCUAGAAAAGCCAGGACAACUUACAUUCCUAUCUGUUACGAAAAAACAACAUAGACUGCCAUCUUUUUAAUGGUCGAGAACCAUUGGUGAACAAGAGAAAGUAAGCAAUUGAACAUACUUGGUGGAUGUAAUAGAUGAUCGGAUAUGGUAAUUUGAAUAUUUCAGAAUUCUUUUGAUGUAAGUGUGUUCUUGUACCAUAUCUAAUUCCUGUCUUAGAGAAGAUAUCAAGUGAGCUUGGCAUUGUGACCGUUUUGCUUAUAUAUUUUUUUACAUUUACCUUUCAUUUGAGGUUAAAAACUGCAUGGAGUUUGUAAUUUUCUUUCGUCGUGUGUUAGGAAUGUAGAUUACCUUGGCUGGUUAUUCUUGUUGACUAACAUUGUAGCCAUUUUUUCUCUUCAUGUUCAUGUUUCUUUGAAUGGUCAUUAGUACUGGUUCUACAUUCCACAAUAUUAGGCAACUGGGGUUGAUAUUACCUUGUUGAUUUAUCUUGUUGACUAACAUUGUAGCCAUUUUUUCUCUUCCUGUUCAUGUUUCUUUGAGUGGUCAUUAGUAUUGGUUCUACAUUCCACAAUAUUAGGCAACUGGGGUUGAUAUUACCUUGGCUGAUUUAUCUUGUUGACUAACAUUGUAGCCAUUUUUUCUCUUCCUGUUCAUGUUUCUUUGAAUGGUCAUUAGUACUGGUUCUACAUUCCACAAUAUUAGGCAACUGGGGGCAUCAACCGAAUUCCAUUUUGCAUUGACUUUUUUAGGCAACUGGGGCUGACAGUUCUUAUAUGUGCAUUUUAUCAUCUUGCAAUAAAAGAAGGGGAAAAAAAAUGAGUUCCACAGAAAUUUCACAAAAAACUAGCCAUGAAGAUGAAGAUCAUUUUCUGUUCGCUAUGCAAUUAGCAGGGGUUUGUGCCAGGGGGCGUGUGUAGCCAAUGUUGAGGCGAACACGACAAGCGGCAGUUUAUUCCUGUGCGAAAAAGUGGCUUAAGAGUUGUGCCAAGAAGUGUGCUACCAAGGACGAAUACUGUAAGUGGCGUUGUGCCAAUAGAUGCGUGUUGACGAAAACAAACACUACAAACGGUGUUGUACCGUGAAGUUUAGGAGGUCAGACCCAACCAAUUUUUAAGGAAAUGAGAAAAAUGAUGAGCUAGAUGCAGAGAUGCAUUUCUGAAACUCUGAAUAAAUAAAUUUUUGAAUAACUAAUGACAGGUUGUCUAUCGAUUCACUGCGCUUAUUUACAACAAGUUUGUAUCUGAUAUCAAACCAGAGCAGCAACAGCCUAAGUAGUCUGUAGUCGCCUAGUUACAAAUAUUUGAUAACAACGUCUACAGUUCUACUUAAUCGAUACAUGUUUGCCAUAUCAUUCCAUAAUAUCGUAAAUUCCUACUGACCGUAACAUAUUAAGCAAUCAUAAAAAGCGGCAUAAUUUUUUAUCAAUCAGGUUCAUCUUAUGGUGAAAUACACUAUCGUGGUAGCCGAAAUCAUUGUCUGAAGAAGGAUUAUUUUACUCAGUGCAUGCCCAACACAAUGCUUUUAUUUAUCUUAAACAUCUUAAUAAUAUUUACCUGUCCUUUGAAAUCUACAAACCAUGUAAGAACAUAAUCAAUAAACAAGUUGACAGCACUGCAGUGAGCUAAUGUAUACCUAAUUUAGUUGAAAAUGAGCAUCCAUGAUUAAGAAUAUAAUCAAUAAAUUUUCAGAGAAUUCUAUUUUAACAACAGACUCUCCUGCAAAGUUCUUAUACAUGCAUUUUAUCAUCUUGUAAUAAAAGAAAGGAAAAAAUAAAAUAAAAUGAGUUCCACGGAAAUUCCACAAAAAACUAACCAUGAAGAUGAAGAUCAUUUUCUGUUUGCUAUGCAAUUAGCAGAGGUUUCAGUUCUACCUAUGGUCAUGCAAGUGGCAGCUGAGCUUGGUUUGUUUGAUAUCAUAGCUAAAGCAGGUUCAGGUGCACAAAUGUCACCAAAGAUCAUUGCAUCUCACUUACCUACACAGAAUGCAAAUGCUGUCAGUAUGCUUGAUCGAAUUCUUCGACUUCUUACCAGCUACAAAGUGCUUACUUCCUCUGUCAUUACUAAUGACGAUGGCCUAAUUGAAAGAUUGUAUGGUUUGGCACCUGUUUGCAAAUAUUUUGUUCAAAAUGAAGAUGGAGUAUCACUGUUACCACUUAUGCUUUUGGUUCAGGACAAGGUUUUCAUGGAUAGCUGGUGAGUAGUAACUACAAUUUCAUGAUCAAGAAUUCUUCAAAAGUGUUUUGUAAGUUUUGUAAUCUUCCGUUUAUGUCGUGUUAGGGGUCAUUUGAAAGAUGCGGUCCUGGAAGGAGGAAUCGCAUUCAACAAGGCUCAUGGAAUGCACGCAUUCGAGUACCCUGGACUAAAUCCCAGAUUCAACCAAGUCUUUAACAAAGCAAUGUUCAACCACACCACAAUAGUCAUGAAGAAAAUACUUGAAACAUACAACGGAUUUGAGAACUUCAGCGAGGUUGUUGAUGUAGGUGGUGGGGUUGGAACCACAAUUAGCUUAAUCACUGCAAAAUAUCCUUCAAUCAAGGGUAUUAACUUUGAUCUGCCUCACGUCAUUGAACAUGCACCAUCUUAUCCUGGUAUGGUAUUUUUUGUUCAUCUUAAGGUCAACCAUCAUCAUUUUUUUUUCCUCUGUCAUGACACUUUUAAUCCCAGGAGUUGAACAUGUUGGUGGAAAUAUGUUUGAAAGCGUUCCUAGAGCUGAAGCAAUUUUCAUGAAGGUGAGUUAAGUAUGUUUUUAUCAGCUUAGCCAACAGCAAAAUAUGUGCAAAAUCUUACCAUAUUUAACUGUCAUAUUGACUUGCGAUGCAGUGGAUACUUCACGAUUGGAGUGAUGAUCACAACUUAAGUUUAUUAAAAAAUUGCUACAACGCGCUUCCUGAUCAUGGAAAAGUGAUAAUAGUGGAGCAUAUGUUACAUGUUGCAGCUGAGAAUAAUAUUGCUGCGAUAGGGGUUGGCCAGAAGGACCUUAUUAUGUUGUCACAAAAUCCAGGAGGGAAAGAACGCACUGAAGAAGAGUUUUAUAAUUUGGCAAGGAAAGCUGGAUUUGCUUCUAUAAAGAAAGUGUGUUUCACUUAUAAUUUCUGGGUGAUCGAGUUCUAUAAAAAAUGAAAUAUAAAUCUUUUGAUGUACUAGAUAUGAUCACGUCUACACAUCUGUUUACUGUGAGUCUGUGACCAAGAACUUGCUCUCCAUUUUUAUAUUUCAAAUAAAUUUUCAUUGACAUUAUAUUUCAAAUAAACACGGGGUUUCUUGCUCAUCGAUGCAUAUUUCAUAUUCACCAUAUCAUUCCAUAAUAUCGUAAAUUGUCAGUGACCGUAGCAUAUAUUACAUUAAUGGCAAAACAUUAAGGCGAACAACUGGAACACAUCUCAAUGGAUGUGCCCUUGUGAGCAGGAUCCCAGGAGCUUCACUCAUAUCAACAGUUGCUCCAUUUCCGCCCGCCACUGUCAAAUCAAAACACUGAAUUAUAAUUGCAAGUGUUGUUUGUACACUUCGUAAUGCCAAUGAAAUUCCAGGACAUCCUCUUUUUCCACUCCCAAACGACAACAAAUGAUAAUGGUGUCCUCUAACAUCUAACUGACUCUGCACACUUCCUUCUUCAGUUAGAAAUCUGUUUGGACAGAACUCGAGUGGAUUUUCCCAAUGCUUUGCGUCUCUUCCAAUAGCCCAAACAUUAACGAGCAGCGUAGUGUUCUUUGGAAUGUCAUACUCUCCUACCUUGCAAUCUUCACUUGCUCGUCUUGCUAGAAGGGGACCUGGCGGAUGCAGUCUGAGUGUUUCCUUUACUAUUGCUUGCAGAUACGGGAGAUUUGGAAUGUCAGAUUCUUCCACCAACCUAUUCUUUCCAACUACAGAAUCGAUUUCUUCUCUUGCCUUUUGAAAAAUAUGUGGAUGGUUGAUGAGUUCUGCGAAAGCCCAUUCCAUUGUUUUUGAAGAUGUAUCAGUACUUGCAAGAAAUAAGUCCUGUGGAAUGUGGAUAGGUAACUAAAUAGUGUUAGUUUCAGGAAUUGAGGAAGAUCUUAAUGUAAUUGAUGCAUUUGAUUGUUCUCAAUGAUCUUUUAACUUCGGUUGAGUGCAGUUCUAUUAUUGUUGAUCAGACGCCCAAAUAACGAGAUGUAAAUAUAGAAUUCUCUACUGUGUAGUCUUACCAGAAUAACUGCUUUGAUGUUCUCUCUUGUCAACUUGAACUCUGCGCUAUUGUUUUCGGCUACAUCAAGUAAAAUGUCAAGAAGAUGUUUCACAUGACCUCCCUCAAUCUUGUCGUUCCUUUUAGUCCGAAUUUCUUCCUGCUCUUUAAUGAUCUUUUCUAAGAAGGCAUCUAACUUUAGAUGAACAUUCUUACUCCUUUUCAUGACCCCUUGUAAAUCUAAAUGACGACAGAACCAUAUACAAUCUGACAAGUCGAGCAUUGCACUAAGCUCUUCAACCUCAUGCAGCAAGAUUAUAAUUUCUUCAGUCUCAAUUUCAGAUUCUGAAGACCAGCUCUUACUCAUCAUCAUUCUUGAUAUUAAGUUGGUCAUUAAUUUUAACAAUUCGCUACUGACGUUGACCGUCACUUCUGUUGUUAAAGAAACAAGUACAUCAAGAUAGAGUACAUUAAUGUCAUCAAAGAUCAUGAUAACAGUAGCAUAUAUAUUGCUUCUGCUUAUUAAAAUAAACAAUCCAAGCAAGAAAAUAAUGCCCAUAAUGGAACAUCCUUAUCAGUGGCGGAUACAUGACAUUUACGCAGGGAAGAACACCAAAUUAUUGUUUUCACUUUUUGUUUGUAUAUAUUGAAUGAACACAAGAGUUAAGUUUUCCUUAAUUUACCUGUAUCAGAUUUGUGUAACAUCAUCCUCAAGAAUCGUCGUAUUUCCUCAUGUCUGACAGAGUAUAACUGGUCAAGUGUGCGACCAUUUAAGAGCUCGGACGUGCAAAUCUUUCUCCUGAAUCUGUAUAAUGGUCCAUAACUAGCAAAUGUGAGAACUGCCGAACCAUAUGUUAUGUAAUCGCUAGCAGCUAUGAAAGGACGGUCUGAAAAGGUAAGUUCAUGAUUUUUGAGGAACUCUUUCUGAAAAGUCAAGAUGUACGCACGUUCGUCUCGUGUCCGUGUCCUUAUGUCUUUUGUCAAAGUCAGUUUUGGGUACUGGACGUACGUACCUAGUUAGGACGUACGUACGUCCAUUGAGGCAGCAAACUUCUUUUGGUCAGGACGUACGUACGCAGUUAGGACGUUCGUACGUCCAAGCAGGCAGCGAACUUUUACCGUGUGGGGACGUACGAACGUUGUUUCGACGUACGUACGUCCAAUGUGGAUUUCAGCAAUUCCGGCCCAUUUUCAGUGUAUCCCAACCCUAGGUAUAAAUAGGUUUUCUUCUCCAAUGAACGAGUUAGUUCUUUUGGCCGCACAAGUAAGGUGCUCUUGAGAGUUUGUGUGUUUGAUUGGUGAUUGGACUCAACCUUCCUUCUUCUCAAUUCAUUGGUUCCUAUCUUCCUCAUACAGUUGUGAAUUCGGCUUCGAAUCUUCUUGUGUGUUCAUCAAGGAGUCGAGUGUCUUGUGCGUACAUCAAGGUACUCCGGUGAAGUCAAGGUGUUAGAGAUAUCCUGAAGUAUCAGCUCGCAGUGAUUGCAGGUAGUUGAUAGGUUUGUAAAUCUCUUUCGUCUAGUAGAUUAUUUGUUGUCAUCAAGGCAACCGUGGACGUUUUCCAAAUUGGGUUUUACCACGUUAAAAAUUCCUGCGUGUUAUUUACUUUCUGCUUAUCGUUUGAAUUGUUUGAAUAUUAAACUGUGAGAUUAGCACUAUCUGUGUUCUUCACUUUCGCUGUUUCAGCUGUACCGGCUACAACACAAGGUAUAGAACCUAUGAGGACAUGAAUUAAGGGACCAUAUUUGUUGGAUAGCUUGUGAAGUUGUUGGUGAGGGAUUGGUGCAAUGAGGUGAAGAUGUCCAAUAAUUGGUAGGGCUAAUGGGCUCGGUGGAAGGCGAGCACCCCUUCUAGACGUCCAGAUGAUAAUUGCUACGGCCGAGAUGACAAAAAUAAUCCCAUAUACUGUGAAGUUUAGGAGGUCAGAUUCAACCAUUGUGAAAAAAAUGAGGAAAAGAGUAAGUUCGAUGCAGAGAUGAAUUUCUGAAACUGUGAAGAUAUCCAUGUUGAUGUUGCUUUCUGUAAUAAAUCAAUUUAAUGGCAAGAAGUCUACAAUAUGUUGCUUGUCAAACACUUGUUACUUCAAAUAAUUUAGUUUUAAUUUUGCAGGCCUAUUGAAAUAAUUGGAUAUGAUAAACUAAAUUAUCAUUACUAUUUUCAAAGGUGUGAUUCUCUGAUUUGAAUAAUUUAAAUAAUAAAGUAUAUCAGUUGCCUUCUAUGCUUGAUCAGCUCUAUCCACAUUGUAUAUAUGCUACAUAAGAUAGCCAUGACUGCAACAUGCAUAUAUAACUUCCAUGAGUUAGUUGGUAGAGCUCGUUUUCUUAUGGACAAAAUUUUAUUGAUAAAUCAAGGAAUUGCACAAAGGUAAUAUUAAAAAAGAACAAUAAUAUAUUAAUAUACGUCAUAAAACACACCAACAGUUGAUUAUUUGACAAAAAAUUUGUUGACUUAAUUAAAAAGGUCCUUCCAACCUCGCUUGCCAAUAAAAAUUGACACAUAUGGUUGAUCACUACCCCAUGAUGAAAUUUUUUUUAUCAAACAAUCAACUGUUGACGUGUUUUAAACCCACAUUGUACCUCUCCACUUUGGGAGAGGGAUGCAACAGUUGAGCCACAUGCUCAUUUGCUAAGCAAGUGGUUCUUGCAUCCUUGGUACCGGUACCAGGAAGAAAGCCUAACUACCAAGAUUCUCUUUUUUUUUUUUUAGAUUAUAUAUUAAUCAUGGUCCGAAGGCUUACAAGGAUAGGGCCCAAAGGGUUUACAAAGACAAAGCCCGAAGGCUAGUGAUGCUACCACCUAAGCGUCCACAUGCAUCGCCACCUUGCAACUCAGCAAUUCUGCUACUCAGGGACUUGUUUUCGCUGAAGAACACCUAGCCACAUCAUUAUCAUGGGAGAACACCUAACCACAUCAUAAUCAUAAUAGCAUGGGCUUUCUAAUCUCGAACCAGACCCGAAGGCUGACCCACCUAAGAAUUACAUGAGAAAUUCCCCCAAACACAGUUGAUGGGAAUCGAACUCACAACCUCUCACCAUGAGGAUUCUCCUCAUAUCUCAACAAUGGUGCUGCAUUUCCCUGUCUUUUGUUCAUGGAACAUGGUGUAAAAACAUUCAGAUCAAAAAGGACGAAAUCGAAGCUACCAGCAGCAGGCCCAUGGAAGCUACCUGUCAUUGGUCACCUGCACCACUUGGGAGAGGUCUUCUCCACAUCAUACACCCUGAGAAAACUGUCCAAGAACUUGUUAGAUGUAGCUAGCCUCUAUAUCUGUAAGAUCGAAAAGGACGAAAUCGAAGCUACCAGCAGCAGGCCCAUGGAAGCUACCUGUCAUUGGUCACCUGCACCACUUGGGAGAGGUCUUCUCCACAUCAUACACCCUAAGGAAACUGUCCAAGAACUUGUUAGAUGUAGCUAGCCUCUAUAUCUGUAAGAUCUGGUAGUUAGUUGGGGAACUUUUGAGCUUUACUGCAUGAGAUGAGAGAUGAGAGUCUGGCCUCUUUCAAUAUCUUGCAUGAUGAAAGCAUUGCAUGUUUUCCAUCUUUCUUGAAGGCUCUAUAGGUUGCAAGAGUGAGAUCGAUGGGUUUAGGAGUGCAAGCCUUGAAUAUAGAAGAAAAAGAUGGAGUAGUGUAAGGCUUCUUCAUUCUCUGAUGGAGCUAAGGUGUUGGUCAUGGUGUGGUGAAACGAUACCCUACCUAAAAAAUCGCCAGAGCAGAGAGGGGCGCCGCUAUUUUUAGGUUUCAAUUUUUUUUUUUGUCUAGCGCCUUUCUCAUUAGUUAUGUAAUUAGCCCUACCUAAACGUUGCAGUUCACGACAGUACUAUGGUGUACAACAGAUAACUGAAGUCCACCAUCAUAUUCCAAACAUCCAUAAAAUAUGGAUGGUAGAUCGAGCACAACGAAUGUAAGAAACUGCUUGACAUCCAUAUACGUGGUAGAUCGAGCACCUAAAGUAAGAAACUGCUCAAUUUUCAAAGUGUAAAAGUGGAAGUGUGAGACCAAACCAGAGCAGCUAGCAACAGCCUAGUAGGAUGGUUAGUUACUAAUUAAUAUUACACAACAAUUUAUACUCAUUGAUACAUAUUUGCCAUAUCAUCCCAUAAUAUCGAUUAUCGUAAAUUGUCAGUGACCAUAGCGUAUAUUACAUUAAUGGCAAAACAUUAAGGCGAGCAACUGGAACACAUCUCAAUGGAUGUGCCCUUGUGAGCAGGAGCCCAGGAGCUUCAAUCAUAUCAACAGUUGAUUCCUUCUCGUCCACUACUCUCAAAUCGAAACAUUGAAUAAUAAUUGCAAGUGUUGUUUGUACAAUUCGUAAUGCCAAUGAAAUUCCAGGGCAUCCUCUUUUUCCACUACCAAACGGCAACAAAUGAUAAUAGUGUCCUCUAACAUCUAACUGACUCUUCACACUUCCUUCUUCAGUUAGAAAUCUGUUUGGACAGAAUUCGAGUGGAUUUUCCCAAUGCUUUGCAUCUCUUCCUAUAGCCCAAACAUUAACGAGCAGCCUAGUGUUCUUUGGAAUGUCAUACUCUCCUACCUUGCAAUCUUCACUUGCUCGUCUUGCUAGAAGGGGACCUGCUGGAUGCAGCCUGAGUGUUUCCUUCACUAUUGCUUGCAGAUACGGGAGAUUAGGAAUGUCAGAUUCUUCCACCAACCUAUUCUUUCCAACCACAGAAUCGAUUUCUUCUCUUGCCUUUUGAAAAAUAUGUGGAUGGUUGAUGAGCUCUGUGAGAGCCCAUUCCAUUGUUUUUGCAGACGUAUCAGUACCUGCAACAAAUAGGUCCUGCCGAUAUGAAACUAAAUAGUGUUAGUUUCAGGGAAGAUCUUGAUGUAAUACAGGCAUAUGAUUGUUCUGAAUGCUCUUUUUACUUCCAUUUUAAUGCCAUACAUAUGCAUAUUUUAUUAUAGUUGAUCUGACGCCUAAAUAAAAUCGUAUAAGAACUAUUAUAGAAUUCUAUGUUGUGUAAUCUUACCAGAAUAACUGCUUUGAUGUUCUCUCUUGUCAACUUGAACUCUGCGUUAUUGUUUUCUGCUACAUCAAGUAAAAUGUCAAGAAGAUGUUUCAGACGACCUCCCUCAACUUUCUCGUUCUUUUUAGUUCGAAUCCCUUCCUGCUCUUUAAUGAUCUUCUAAUACGGCAUCUAAUUUUUGAUCCACAUUCUUGCUCCUUUUCAUGAUUCCCUGUAAAUCUAAAUGACGACAGAGCCAUAUACAAUCUGACAAGUCGAGCAUUGUAGUAAGCUCUUCAACCUCAUGCAGCAAGAUUAUAAUUUCUUCAGUCUGAAUUUCAUACUCUGAAGACCAGCUCUUACUCAUCAUCAUUCUUGAUAUUAUGUUAGUCAUUAAUUUUAACAAUUCGCUACUGACGUUGACAGUCCCUUCUGUUGUUAAAGAAACAGGUAUAUUACAUAUUGCCACUAUAUUAAUUCCAUAUAAACUGUAAAGAAAUGUCAUCAAAGAUCAUGGAAGAAUAACAGGUAUAUUACUCUUGAGUGGAACAUAGAUACUGAAUGAGCACAAGAGAGAAAUUGUGGGUUUAUCUUUACUUACCUGCAUCAGAUGAUUUGUGUAACAUCACUCUCAAGAAUCGCAGUAUUUCCUCACGUCUGAUGGAGUAUAACUGGUCAAGUGUCCGACCAUUUAAGAGCUCCGACGUACAAAUCUUUCUAUAAAUGAUCAUAGAAAGAAGAGGAAGAGAGACAAUUCCAGCAAGGGUGGAAUGGAAGAGGACUUUGUUGAUGUGUUUAUUAGACUUCAAGAAGAUACUAAGCUUGGAUUCCCUCUCGAAAGCAACUGCAUCAAAGCUAUAAUUUUAGUCAGUAUCGCAUAUCAUGAUAUUUGAUGUCAUCAUUAACCCAAUGAAUUUUUUUUUUCCUAUAUAAAACUAAAAUAGUUUUCACUUUGUUCAGGAAAUGUUCUUGGCUGGAAGUAUAAGUUUAUCAACUUCAACAGAAUGGGCUUUGUCAGAACUGUUAAGAAAGCCAAGACUCAUGGAGAAGGCACAAGCGGAGGUGAGGCGUGUUUUAAAUGGACAGAGGAAGGUUUCACAGUCAGACAUGAAUGAAUUAAGCUACUUGAAGUUAGUCGUCAAAGAAUCAUUAAGGCUACACCCCCCUGGACCAUUAUUGGUCCCUAGAGAAAGUAGUGAGAACUGUGAAAAUGAUGGAUAUGAUAUACCCAAGGGAACAAUCGUCUUCACCAAUGUUUGGGCAAUGGGAAGAGAUCCAGAAUAUGUCCAGGCAUGUAUUUUGGUAUAGCGAGUAUAGAAUUCUUACUCGCGCAACUACUAUACCAUUUUGACUGGAACCUACCUAAUGUGACAAAACCAGAGGACUUAGACAUGACUGAGCGCUUUGGUGGAGUAGUUACAAGAAAAUCAAACUUACGCUUAAUUCCCACCCCAUAUAGCCCGUGUGUUUAAUAUAUGAAGUUGUUAUAUAAGCAUAUAUACAUUAUACUUUGUGAAAUUUUCUUGCGAGUGUAUUGCCGAAAAUAAAGUGUCCUGCUGGGUUGGUUGUAUAUUGGAUUCACUAUAAAUGCAAAUAUCGAAUCUAUGGUUCACCAUAUUGUUGGAUUUUUUGGACGGAGGGAACUUUUUUGUUCAGGAACGUACGUACGCAGUUAGGACGUUCGUACGUUCCAUUCGACAGAUAACUUUGCAGGGAAGGAACGUACGUACGUAGUUAGGGCGUACGUACGUCCCGUAUCACAGAUGUUUGUUUUGAAGCUGAACGUACGAACGUCAAUUCGACGUACGUACGUCCUUCUUUGUUUUUUGUGAAUAUGGGCCAGUUUAAGCCCAUUUCGUGUUUGAUUGUAAGGCUAUGUUAUAAAGCCAAUGAGAGGUUGGAAAACCUAAUCUUGAUGUGAGAGAGAUUGUGAGAAGCCAUUAGAGAGUUUGAGAGAACUUUUGUGAGGAAGAACACUUUGGUUUCUUCGUGAGGGCUUCUAUAAUCGUCUCCAUCCAAGAGAGAGAGAGUUUGUAUCCUCAAUUUGUGAUUGUCUCUUUGAGAGAUUUGGUGAGGAUUUGAGAAGGGAGGAAACCUAGGGUUUCUCCAUUUGUUUGAGAGCUUUGUACUAUCUUCUCCAAUAGUAAAAGUUCUAUUUGUUUGUCCGUGGACGUAGGCAAUCAAGCCGAACCACGUUAUUUUGGUGUCUCUCUCUAUUAUUUGUUGUUGCUAAGUAGGUUUACUUCUUUACUACUUGUUUUGUCAUCUUUCAUACACUAUAUCAAUCUUGGAUAUUGGUGCAAUAAGCUUCCGCUGCGCACAACAAUUAUCGUUUCUCAAACGGUUCAAUAUUUCUUCAAUUCCAAACUGUCAAUGAAAUGUCAUCUGAUAAGCCAUUUAUUCAAUACAUUUUAACUCAGUACAUUAUUGUGCGAGCAACAUUUUCGUCCACACAAUGUGACUAGGACAACUUGGUAACCGGUUAUGCAAUUUUUAUUGUUUCUUUUAGUUUUUCAGUCAAACAUACAGGUGGCAGCUGUAUGGAUGACAAAAUUACUAUAUGGAUGACAAGCAGCUGUAUGGAUGACAAAAUUGUUAUAUGGAUGACAAAAUUCAAGAAACAAUAAGAACAAAUUUUUGUUGACUUUAGACUAACCGGUAGCAAGUUUCCACUUGAGUCCACGUGGAAGAUUGUGUGGUGUACAAGCAAAUGUACCGUAAUACACCAUACCGAAAAUGUACCGAAUAACAGCUACUUUGGAUAGACGUUACAAACUAAAAUAAAAACACAAAGUUUAUCCAAUUAAAUUCAUCAAACACUAUAAUAACUAUCCACCUUUGGGUGAUUAUAUGUAUUUGGUGCGUGAUAAAAACAUUACAUAUACCCGAUAAGAAAACAUUCUUAAUCAAAUAUAUAUUAAUAUAUACAAUAAAUUUUUAUUGGAUCACUUUGGUGAUUACACAGUUAGCAUACUGUAUAUAUCAAAAUAUGCAUAAAAACUAAUAUAACAAUUUUUUUUUUUUUUUUUUUGGAAAGUAUACCAAACAUUUAUAUUGAACAUAAGCACAUAUUUACUAUCUUAUAAAGAGAACAGCCCCGUGAAUAGUGAUAUGACGUCAGCGAUGUCCUUCCGUGACCAGACACAAAGUUUACGACACAUGUCUUACUUACGGGCCUCUGUUCCUAUUUCCCAUUAAAAGCCCAGAUUUAAGCCCAACAUAUCCCCAAAAACCCAAAUUUAAGCCCAACAUUAUAAAUGGGCUUCUCUUUCUGUUUUUUCCCAAAAAACCAGAUUUAAGCCCAACAUCUGUUUUCCCAAAACCCAGAUUUAAGCCCAACAUCUUAUGAUGUGAACUUCUUUCUUCUAUCUUCUCUCAGCCUACUACUUGCAAUUUGUAAGUGUUUUUGUUUUUUUACUUUUUUUUCUACACAUCUAAAUUAUUAAAUUACCCCAAAAAAAUACCAUAAUAUUUUUAUAUAUAUGACUAAAAAUCAUGCUCCAACAUAAAGUUAUGCACAAAGCGCGUACAACUACAUAGUAAACAGAAGGGGUUUUUAGUUUUUGAACCACCUAAAUAAUGCGUAUUUAGGAUGUAGGACGCUUUUAAUCCAUAUUUAGAGUAUAGGACGCCCUUCGUCAGUUGACUGUUAGGACUAACUAUUGACUGAAGGCAAACAAUUUAUAUUUUUAAAAUACCUAUAUUACCCCGCACAUGCACUGCACGUGCUACACUUACAACUUAACAAAAUUUGAAUUUCAAAAAAUACCACGUGUCACAAUCUGAUGUUAUCUAAUCCAACGGUUCACCUAUAUUACCCCGCACAUGCACUGCACGUGUUACAUGUACAACUUAACAAAAUUUGAAUUUCAAAAAUACCACGUGUCACAAUCUGAUGUAAUCUAAUCCAACGAUACACAAAAUAUAGCUGUUGGCAACGGUCACUCCCUCUUCUCUAUAUAACAACCUUCUUCUUUACUGUUCACUCCAACCUUACACUUCCAACUCCAACCUUCUUCUAUUCUCUUCUCCCUUCAACUCCUACCUUCUUCAAUUCACUAAUUAGCCAACCAAACAAAAUUCAAUGGGUGGAGCUCUAAUCUUGUAUUAUGUACCACGCCAGGUGAUGAUAAACAAAUUUGUUUUUCAGAUUAUAAGGUUUUUAAUGGUAGAAAAGUGUCCUCUUCUCUAAUUAUUAAUAACACAGACUGUCUUCUUCUCUAAUUAUUACUAACACAUAUUGUCUUCUUCUCUAAUUAUUACUAACACAGACUGUCUUCUUCUCUAAAUAUUUAAAAUGUUGACAGGUCUGCCAACUGUGUGAAGAUGAAGGCCAUUCAGCACAAUCUUGCCCAUACAAAAGGUACAAAUGUAAUCAAGAAGGCUGCAAAGGUUUCAUGGAUGUUAUGAUAGGUGUAAACCAUGACCAAACUGUGGAGGUAAAGUUCUUAAAGUGCGAGAUUGAUGAAUGUGAAGGGAUGCAAGACAUCAAAACCACCUACUACACUCAACAGUCUGAGUGUCCUAAGUGCAAAGGAUGUAAUCCUAAGUAAUAGUUCCUAGCUACAUUGUUUUCUGUAAUGCAAUGUAAUCACUUAUUUCCUAAAUGAAUGCAAGUUCUAAAUGAAUGCAAGCAGUGAGUUAUAAUAGUAGAGAGAGGAGAAGGGGGUUUGGGAGAAAGUGAGAUGAGAGAGAGGAGAAGGGGGUUUGAUAGAUAGAGAGGAUAAAGGUUUGAUAAGAGAGGCGAAUGAGAGAGAAUGUAAACUAGGGUUUCAAGGGAGAGAGAGAGUCAGAUUGUGGGUCGUGCCUUAUUGGCUAGAGAGUUUCCCGCCAAAUCCACGUGUCCAAAGAUAAGUGAGUAUUGUUUCCCGCCACAUACACGUGGACGGUGAGGAUUAUCUCCAUGAAAUCAACGGCUGGUAUAAUAAAUAUGUAUAUCACAUGCAUUGCACGUGCAGGGGUAUUCUUGUCUAUUUUAAAAUAUUAAUACACGUGUACGGAUAAAGAUGCAUACAUAAAAUCCAUGGUUGAAUUUGUUGCCACGUGUUAUAUUUUUAAUGUUGUUUUAUAUCUUUUGCUCAACACGUGUAGGGGUAGAAAUAGGUUUUCGAAAAAAUCCAACACAUCGUCUAUGGUCAACGUAGUCAACUGACGGAGGGCCUCCCAUACUCUAAAUAUGAAUUAAAAGCGUCCUACAUCCUAAAUACGCAUUAUUUAGGUGGACCAAAAACUAAAAACCUCUAAACAGAAAAUUAACAUCAUGGCAGCAAACAGUACAAUAAUAAAUCUGUCCAGAUGGUGGGGGUCCAACAUAAAUUGUUUAUUCUCAAACUCUUUACUUAAUUGUUUCUUUAAAGAAACAAUACAUGAUUUGCUCUUUGCAGCUACAAGCAUGUCAUCCACAUAGAGUAAGAGAAAUAUAACAAACUCAUCUUGAAGCUUUAUGAAAUAGAAACACAGAUCAUAUUCACUUCUAGAGUACCUCUGCUUCAACAUAAAUGUGUCAAACUUCUUAUAACACUGUCGUGGUGUUUGCCUCAAUCCAUAUAAGGACUUAAUCAGUUUGCACACAUAGUCUUCUUUACCAGCAACUUUAUAACCGUCGGGCUGUAACAUAUAUAUGUCCUCCUCUAAAUCUCCAUGCAAGAAAACAGUUUUGAAAUCUACUUGCUCGAGCUCUAAAUCAAACUGCGUCACCAAAGCUAACAAGACUCGGAUGGAAGUGUGUUUAACAACCGGAGAGAAAACUUCAUUAUAAUCCACACCUUCCGUUUGUGCAUAUCCCUUAGCCACUAAUCUUGCCUUGUAACGUACACCACUAGUUGUACCCUUGGAGUCUAGAAUACCAUCUUUCACUGUGAAAACCCACUUGCAACCAAUCAACUUCUAACCCUUAGACAACUUUACAAGUUCCCAAGUAUUGUUCUUGUGAAGAGAUUUCAUCUCUUCAUCCAUCGCUGACUCCCAUUCAUGAGAAUGAGAACUCCUCAUUGCCCCCUUAAAGGUAGAAGGCUCAUCAUCACUAAAUACUGAUAAUGCAAAAGAUGCACUAUCCUCAAAACCAAGUCGAACUGGUGCUUUUCUCAAACGUGGUUCACGUUGAGAUGCUAAAGAUGACCACUCAUGAUGUUGCUCUAAUUGUUGUUGUUGUAAAGUAUCUUCAAGAGGAACCUCCUCUUCAAUCUCAUCAUCUACACUCUCUGUCUCUGGAUAUGUGUCUGUAGUUACCUGUGUAACCUCUGAACUUGUAGGUACCUGUACAACAGUCACCCCUUUAUCUAUUGUAGAUGAAUAUGGAACAUUAUGCUCCACCUGCAUGGUAUCGUCACCAUCACUGUCAUUAUCAUCACCUCAUGUUGAGAGUCCCAACCUGUGAACUUUUUUGAAUCAAGCAUUGCUUUCUCAUUAAAGAUCACAUCACGACUGAUCUGGAAUUUAUUCAACUCUGGGCACCAUAAACGAUAACCCUUAAUACCUUGUGGAUAUCCCCAAAAAAUAGCUUUCCUGGCCCGGACUCCUAACUUAUCUUCUCUGAUAUGAAAAUAAGCAGGACAACCAAACACCUUCAAAUCUGAAUAAUCAGGAGGUGUACCAGACCAAACUUCCGUAGGUGUCUUACAAUCAAUGGCUGUAGAUGGUGAUCGAUUCACGAGAUAGCACGCCGUAUUUACUGCUUCAGCCCACCAUACCUUAUCCAAACCUGCAUUGGAUGACAUGCACCGUGCUUUCUCUAGUAGUGUGCGAUUCAUACGCUCAGCUACCCCAUUCUGCUGUGGUGUACCUUUCACUGUGAAGUGUCUAACGAUACCUUUUUCUGCACAAUAAACUUUCAAUGGGUCUUCAGUGUAUUCUCCACCAUUGUCAGAACGUAUCAUUUUCACAACACGGCCAGUCUGUUUUUCAACCAUAACUUUCCACUUCUUAAAUAAAUCGGUGACUUCGUUUUUGUGCUUCAUGGUGUACAACCAAACUCUCCGCGAGAAAUCAUUGAUAAAGGUCCCAAACCACCUUGCUCAUCCCUUAGAAACUGUUCUAGAGGGACCCCAUACAUCUGAAUGUAUAUAAUCUAAAAUACCCGUAAUGCGGUGAACAUCGGUACCAAAACGAACUCUGCACUGCUUGCCAAAUACACAAUGCUCACAAGAAUCGAGCUUGCAAGUUUUCAGGCCACCAAGCAAACCCUUUUUACUCAAUAUAGACAAACCUUUCUCACUCAUAUGCCCUAGCCACAUAUGCCAUAACUGAGUAGAAGUUAAUUGUUUCUCAUCAACCGCUUGAGAAACCAUAGCCAUAGCUCCACCUGAAACUAUAUCUCCAAUAAGAAAAUACAAGUUUCCAUGUCUUUCGCCCAUCAAAUAUAACCUGUCAUCAUAGUAAACCUUCAAAAGACCAUUCUCACUGGUAAACUUGAAACCACUAUCUUCAAGUACACCUAAUGAAAUCAAACCCUUUCUCAAAUCAGGAACAUGUCUGACUUCUGUUAAGGUUCUUACAGUUCCAUCAUGUGCCUUAAUCCGUACUGUACCAACACCAACUGUCUUGCAGGCAUUCAAAUUGCCCAUAAAGACUUUACCACUAUUUACUUCUUUGUAAGUUGUGAAAGACUCCCUAUCGGGACACAUAUGAUACGAAGCAGCUGAAUCAAGACACCAUCCUUCAGCUAAAUAGCUAUUUGAUGUAACUGUAGCACCUCAUCCUCAUUGUCUCCAAUAGACUUUGCUACUUCAUCACUACUUUGAGCAAUGUUAGCAACUUCAUUGUUCGGAUUAGAUUUCUUCUUCUUCACUUCUUUAGCCUUAACUUUAGGAGAAUCUUUACUAUAAUGACCCAUGUUAUGACAAUAAUAACACUCAACAUCCUUCAAAUCUCUUUUCCGAGAUUUAGAGCGACUUUUAGAACUCGACGAACCUCUAUGUGAUGAUUUACCUCUAACAUACAUACCCUCAGCCUGAACUUCAUCAUCAGCUUUCUUUUUUCUAAUGGUUUUGGAUUGUAACAUCGAAACAACAUCAUCAUAGACCAACUGCUUUGUGGUCUUUUUGUUUGCAAUAAAAUAAUCAACUGUUGUUUCCCACGAAUAUGGUAAUGAACAUAAUAAAAUUAUAGCUUUCUCACCAUCAGGUAGUAUCACAUCAAUGUUUGCUAAAUCAGAACAGAUCUUAUUAAAAUCAUUAAUAUGAUCAAUCACAGACUUACCAGGUGUAAAUCUUGUAGAAUACAAACGCCUCUUUAGAUAGAGUUCUGACGUCAAGUCCUUACUAAGAUAGAGCUUCUCUAACUUCUCCCAUAACUCCUUUGCCGAGGUUUCACCGGCAAAAUUGUGUGUGAUAUCCCUCGUCAAACAUAACCUAAUCGUACUGCAGGCUUGUUGAUCAAACUCUUCCCAAUCAUCAUUCGUCCAACCUGUUGGCAACUUUGCCGUUUCAGGUUUCCCUUUUAGGGCUUUGAUCUGCUUCAUACUAACAAGAAUAUCUUUUACAUCUGUUUGCCACGAUGUGAAGUUAUUCUUCCCAUUGAAUUUGAUAAUAUCAAAUCCAUGCACCUUUGUGUACUUACUGUUGGAAUUCGAAGAAUUCGAAUCAGCCAUCUUCUCUUCAAUAAUCAAUACCACUAAAAAAACCAAGAUUGGAUUUUUAAUAACAAACUAAGAAAAUCGGAACCGUCAACUUCAGCGAAGUACUGAGAACUGAAUACUUCGAACCACAGAACGUACGAUAUACUGUUAGAAAUCCUGAAGAGUCUACUUUCCAACCCAAAAAACGGAUCGAUGUUUCAAUAUCCGAGCACAAAGUUAUGGCCGGUUUACUACAGGGUGUCGAAUCUGGACAGAUUCCUAAAACCCAACAAAACCGUUCCGAAAUCCCGUCUUCAACCCAAAGGAAUAACCUUCGGCUCUUGAUACCAACUGUUAUGAUAAAUACACAGGAUCUUGAUAUGAUUAAUAAAGAAACAAACACAAAAGAUCUAAACUAAAGCAGAAAUACGGAAACACAAUAAUAUACGUGGUUCGACAAUAUGCCUACAUCCACGGGACAAAAAGAGAUAACUUUAUUGAUAAUUGAGAAGUGAACUACACAAAAAACUAAUGAAACCUUAGUUUAGGUUUCCUCACACAUACUUUCUUCUUUGCUCAAAUUCUUAUAGUUACACAACACCAAUAUUUAUAACCUCUUUGGUUAAUCCAAUUGGUAACCCAAUUCCUAAAUCAACAACAACUUAGAUUUCUAAUAGAUUAGAAAGUCUUAUUAAAUCCUAAUAGAAUUCCACCACACUUGUUGCCAAAUAAGGAAACCGAUUCCUAAUAGGAAUUCAUUACUUGUAAUCUCCACAUGUCACUUUUCUACAAAUCCAAUUGGGAACCUAAUUCCUAAAUCAACAACUUAGUUUUCUAAUAGAUUGAAAAUUCUUAUUGAAUCCUAAUAGAAUUCCACCACACUUGUUGCCAAAUAGGGAAACCGAUUCCUAAGAGGAAUCCAUUACAUGUAAUAACCGCUACAUGUCACUUUUCUACACAAACCAUACAACAGAUCUAUAUAUUCACUUCCAGGCCCAUGCAAAAUUCCCCAUAGUUCUAUGUUGUUCUGUGUUAUAUAUUUUCCUGCUUAGCUACUAUACAUACAACAUUCUCAUGUUCUCGAAUAACUGCAUGAAUAGCUGCAUUAUGGAUGAUUAGAGAUAGUGAUGAACACCAAAACUGUAUGAUAACUACAUACAAACUGCUAUAAUAAAAGACGUUUUUUUAGUGUUUUGUAUUGUAAUAAAAGUCUUGUUGUGCUUCUCUAAAGCCAUAAUUUUUUUUUUAAAAAAAUGUCAUUAUUCGUCUUUAAUAUUGUUGGGUUUCCUGAUGAGCAAUGUUCGAGCCAAAUUUAUUAACGUUCGAACCAUUCUGGGUUAUUAGUUUUCUGAAGAAGUUAGUUAGAAUGGGAUUUCGAGCUGUUCGAACGUCGAAAAAAGGGUUAUGUGUCUGUUACAAUCUGUUCGAAUGGGAUUUCGUGAGUUAAUGAGCCCGAAAUCGGAGUUAUGUAAGGCUUAGAUAUAAAAGCCAAAAUAUUGAGAAAACCUAAUUAAAGACAACAGUGUCUUUGUCCAAUAGACGAGGGUACUUGACUACUAUGAUGCAAUAUUUAGUACUCAGAUUUUGAUCAUCCCGAUGAAUAUGAACAAUUGAUUUUUAGUUUGUUUUUAAGUUUUUUUUGUUAUGUUGCCCAAAUUAUAUUUUUGCAGCAGUAACUAGUAACUAUCUGUUAGUAGUCAACCAAAAAAAAAAUUAUCUUGUCAGUAUCAAGUAGUAUAGUUAACAAGCUAUUGCCAACUACCUUAAACAUGAAAUAACCCAGAAAAAUACAUUUAAAGCGUAGAUAUGAAAUAACUAUUUAUUUAUUUUAAGUGUAUCACCACAGUGCCACCUAAAUUAAAUCUUCCCAACAAUAGAUUGCCGACCAUUAUCGACUAUAAUCAACAAAUUUUUGCCAAGUAUAUCAAACAUGAAUUAACUCAAUUUUAAUUUUGAAGGUGGAGCACUAUACUGCCACCCAAAUUAAAUCUUCCCAACAGUAGAUCGCCGAUAAAUAUCCACUAUAGUCAGCAAGUUAUUGUCGACUACCAUAGACAUGAAAUAACUCAAUUUUUAGUUUGAAGGCUUAGCCAUUGCCGUAUUAUUAGGAUAUUUUACAAAGGUAUUGGUGAUUAACAAAGAAAUGUAUAAAGGAUGAGACAGAGAUCAACAAUACAACAAUUCAAGUAAAACAUGAAAUCAUAGUUUGCAACAAACCCAAGUUGUUGAAACCGGCACUCGGUUGUUUGACAUUAAUUUUGUGACAUUAGAUGUCCAUGGUUAUCUCGCCUUGAGUUCAUUGUUAGGAAAACCUCGUUGUACGCGCAUGGUCCCUAGUCCUUCUCUUCGCGUCAAGUUUGUCAAAAGUAAGUUUUUGGGUUUAGGACGUACGUACCUAGUUAGGGCGUACGUACGUCAUGUUAGGCAGCAAACAUGUUUUGGUUAGGACGUACGUACCUAGUUAGGGCGUUCGUACGUCCAAGCAGGCAGCGAACUUUUACAGUGUGGGGACGUACGAACGUUGUUUCGACGUACGUACGUCCAAUGUGGAUUUCAGCAAUUCCGGCCCAUUUUGUGUGUGUUCUAACCCUAAGUAUAAAUAGGGUUUCUCUACCAAAGAACAAAUUAGUUCUUUGGCCGUCCAAUUGAAGUCUUAUUCUUGGAGUUUGUUUAGGUUGUUGUUUAGGUUGUUUUGGUGAUUGAACUCUUCUUCCUUCUUCCCCAUUCAUCUUCUUCUUCAUUAUUGUUUAUAUUGAUUUAACUUCGAGUCUUCUUGUGUGUUCAUCAAGAAGUCGAGUGUCUUGUGCGUACAUCAAGGUGCUCUGGUGAAGUCAAGGUGUUAGAGAUAACCAGUAGUGUCAACUCGCAGUGAUUGCAGGUAGUUGAUAGGUUUGUACAUCUCUUUUCAUCUAGUGGAUUUAUUUGUUGUCGCAAGGACAACCGUGGACGUUUCCCAUAUUGGGUUUUACCACGUUAAAAAUAUCGUGUGUUCUUUACUUGUUUACUGCUUUAUUAUUGUUUGCCUUAUUAUUGUUAUAUUGCACAUAUAUUGGGUUCUCAAUUGGUAUCAGUCGCAGGGCGCUUGUUAAGGAGCGUAAAGGCUCACGCGUAGAUCCUUAGUGCAAUUUUAAUGGAUUCUGAUAAAUUUGGAACACUAAUUUGUCCUCCUAAAUUUGAUGGAACUAAUUUUCCCUAUUGGAAAGUUCGUAUGGCUGCGUAUUUGCAGGCUAUGAGUGAGGAUGUGUGGAUCGCUGUGGAAGAUGGUUGGUCACCACCGAGAGUUACUACAGGUAGUACAGAUGAGGUUGUUACAAGUGUAAAGCCACGAAACACAUGGAGUGUAGAAGACAAAGUUGCUUCUACUAACAACCAAAUAGGGCUUAAUGCUAUAUUUAUGGCUUUGGAUGCUAGUGAAUUUCGGAGAGUUCAUGGUUGUAUAACAUCCAAAGAGGCUUGGGAUAGGUUGGUAAGAACUCAUGAGGGUGACAUUGCUGUCAAAGAGAGUAAGCUUGAACUUCUUAUUACUCAAUUUGAAACUAUGAAAAUGGAUAAUAAUGAAUCUUUUGAUGAAUUCUUUAUUCGUUUGCAGGAUAUUAUCAACACUAGUGCAUCUUUAGGUUUAGUGUACACCGAUACUCAAAUAGUACGUAAAGUUCUUCGGUCUUUGCCAUCUAGAUUUCGUUCUAGGAAAGAUGCUAUUCAAGAAAGCAAUGACUUAAAGACCAUGUCCAUAGAGACCUUAGCAGGAAAGUUGAGAACUUAUGAACUUGAGGUUCAACUUGAGCAACCUCAAAAUAAAUCCUUUGCUUUUAAAGCUGGAUUUUUUGAGGAUGUGCAAGAUGAAAAAAUUAAUCAUGAUGAGUCUCUUGACACUAAGCAACAUCUAAGUAUCAUUUAUCGUUAUCUCAAACAUAUUUUUAAGACUAUGAAAUAUAAUGGUUUGACUAACCAUGGUUUUGACGAGUGUAAGCUUCCCAAGAAAUUUGGUGCACAAGGGAUAGAACAACAAAAAAUCAAGUUAUCUACCACUUGGGAGGAAGAUGAAAGCGAUGAUGAUGAUGAUGUAGCGGAAGACCAUGCUACACAUUGUGUUGCCUAUGGAGCAUCUUUGAAUGAGAGUGUGGAUUGUCAGGUAACCGAUAUUGUCGAUCAUGAAUUCGAUGAUUCUAUUUUGGUAAGUCCUGGUGAGUUAAGGGAAUUACAUAUGUCAUCUGUUAAACAAUGUCAAUCCUUGCGUAAGACUAAUCAUAUUUUAAAUGAUAUGGUUGAGUCUCUUGUAAAAGAGAAAUCUGUACUUGCAGGUGAUAUGAAUGCCUUAUCUGAGGAGUUUUCCCAAGAAAAGCUAGAUUUCCAAUCUAGAAUUAUUUCUUUGGAAAUAUCCAAUCGUGAGAUAGAAGAUAAGUAUCGUUCUUUGUUGCUUGAGCAUGAAACUGUGAAAAAGGAUUUAUUUGCUUCUACUAAGCGAUUGCAAGGGUUUGAGAAAGCUUCAGUUGAUCUAGACACCCUUAUUAAAAGUGGAAAGUUUUCUUCAGAUAAGACUGGUUUAGGAUAUGAUUGUGUUGGAGCUUCUUCCAGUUGUGUUCCUCUUCCUACUACUUCUUUUGUGAGGCCAUCAUUGCCUCCUUUGUUACCAAAUCCACACAUUCCUACUCCGCCUCCACCUACCAAGGCUUUUGAAUCUAAGCCAAAUGUGAUGACCAAGAACAAGACAAGUCCUAAACAUAGACAUUUUAAGUGUUUUACUUGUGGUCGAUUAGGUCAUACUUCCGCUUUCUGUUGGGAUAAAAAUUCCAUGGUUCCAUAUUCUUCUUCUUAUGGUAAUAAUUAUUGGAACUCACAUUGUUCUUUUCCUGUACAGGCUCAUCAUUCCUCUUGGCCUCCUUUUAUGCGAAGAAGUGGCCCUAAAAAACCACAACACUUCAACAAUAGAAAGAGGGUUGUGCAAAAGGUCACCAAACCACCUCACAUAUGGGAUAGAAGCAUCGAUGCUGCCAAAUGUAGUUUAGAGAAUGAGAGGUUAAGGAUUGGAAAGUCUACUAUCAGGGAUAAUAUUCAAAAAUCCUCCAUAUCCGGGUCCAACUUGCAGAAUAUCUCUCAAGUAUGGGUACGAAAGGAUGACUUGAACAUUCUUUUUUGACUUCUUAAAGUCAGAUUGAAUAUCAUCUUCGUAUUUUUAGUUUUUUGUUUGUUUUCUAGCCUUGUGUUAUUUUAAUUGCAUAUUUUUCUAACCAUAUAGGCUAUUUGUUUGGUGUGUUUUGUCUUUCUGUUUAUGCAUGCUUUGUUUGUUUGGGUUGAAUAUCAUGUUUUUUUUUUUUUUUUUUAAAAAAAAAAAAAAAAAAAAAAAGUUUACUCUGUUAUGGGUGUUUGGGAUACACAUACUUUGUAUAUGUGGUUAGAUUGGUCUAUUACUUUCAAUCAUUCUUGUAUGCUUAGUACUCAUGAAUAUAACUAUUUUAUUACACUUAGCAUACGCUUGUGCUUUCAUGUUUAGAUUUUAGACCAACGUUUAUCUAGUUGUGUCUCAUGCAUAUAUCCUUGCUUGUUUACACUAUGCACAAUUAGGUGGCACUUUGAGAGUUUGUUUGCAUAUCUUUUUCCAUCCUUUGAACAUGAUGAACUUCUAGGAUAAUCAUUAGUUGGAAAUAUACGUAUGCAUGCCUUCUUAUGUUACCUUGAUUAUUAGUAUGAAGGCGGUGUGGUGUGGUAGUGGUCAACAAUUCACAAAAUCCCCAGCCUUUUGAUCUUCUUGAGAAAGAAAUCAUUUGGUAUACAUACCCGUUGGGGCCGUGAGGGUCAUGCAAUGACGGAUGCACUCAAGAGAUGUUAGUUCUUGUGUUGCACGUUACCAUGAUGUUGCACUACUUUAAGUUUGUUCUUAAAGGGGAAGUAAUUUGAAAAGAUGUAGGCUACACCCUACCACAUGUUGCAAAAGAUGAAGGUAAAAAUCCCUUUCACAUGUUAAUUUCUGCACAAUAUAAAAAAAAAAAAAAAAAAAACAAAAAAAGGUUAUAAGUGCAUUUCCCCGUGUCUGUUUAGGCGUUUGUGAAGUGAAAUCCUUCUAAUGGUGAAUACUAGUUGUUUUGAGUGUUCUUAUGGUUUGUGAGUGAGGUGUGAAAAUGACUCUCUUUGUGUUUUCUUUAGUUUUCCCACACACCAAGGAUGUUUGUAUGAUGCAUUUCUAAUAGAUGUUUGGUUUCUUAUCUUAAUUUUUGAUUGGUGCGUACUUUGUUUAAUGAAACCAAGUUUAUUCAUCUUUACUAAGUAUCUUGUUUUAAUUGAGCUUGCAUAUACUCUCUUCUACCCUUGUAUGCAUGGUUCUUUGUGUGUUUCAAAUAUCCUUAUUUGGGUUGUUUGUUCUAGGUGCAUCUUUCUCAUAUGCAUUGCAUUUAGGUGGAGCUUUUGUUUAGGGGGAGAAUUCUUUGUAUUGACAUCGUGUUAACAAGUGUUUAUUUUAUGGCUUCCGUUGCAUAUCCUUUUUGUUGUUAACAUGAUUGUUCUCUUUCUUUUCUUCUCUAAUCUUAUUUGUUAUGGUUUGGUAUUUUCUUCUCUCUUUCUUUUGUUCCCUUGCUUCAUUUGUGACAAAAAGGGGGAGAUUUAUGACUCUAAUACUAACACCUUCUUCUUAUUUGUUAGUGUAUUUUUGGGUCAUGUUUCAGGUAUGCUACACGUAUGGGGGAGUGAACGUGUUGAUGUUUAGAGGUUGUACAGUUUUGGGUCAUGUUUCAGGUAUACUACAUGUACGGGGGAGUGAACAUGUAUGGGUGAGUGAAAGUGAUGAUGAUCACAAAGUGCAUAUACAGUUUUGGGUAAGCUCGGGUAUUAAACCUUGGAGCUCAUGAAGUAUGGGGGAGUUGUUCGAGGAACUUCCGUUGGAUCUUUGAUUGUUGUUGCUUCCGUUCGGUCUCUGAUGAUUGAAGUGUCUUACUCAAGCUGGAUAUCAAGAAUUGGUGACUCGGUAUGUGUUCUACCUUGAGUGUUUUUGUAGGCAUGUUUUAUAAAUGCCAUGGUUUGGGUUUGUAAGCACGUUUUAUAAGUGCUAUUAGAGUCAUAGGUUUUUGUCACAAAAUCAAUGUCAAAGGGGGAGAUUGAAACCGGCACUCGGUUGUUUGACAUUAAUUUUGUGACAUUAGAUGUCCAUGGUUAUCUCGCCUUGAGUUCAUUGUUAGGAAAACCUCGUUGUACGCGCAUGGUCCCUAGUCCUUCUCUUCGCGUCAAGUUUGUCAAAAGUAAGUUUUUGGGUUUAGGACGUACGUACCUAGUUAGGGCGUACGUACGUCAUGUUAGGCAGCAAACAUGUUUUGGUCAGGACGUACGUACCUAGUUAGGGCGUUCGUACGUCCAAGCAGGCAGCGAACUUUUACAGUGUGGGGACGUACGAACGUUGUUUCGACGUACGUACGUCCAAUGUGGAUUUCAGCAAUUCCGGCCCAUUUUGUGUGUGUUCUAACCCUAAGUAUAAAUAGGGUUUCUCUACCAAAGAACAAAUUAGUUCUUUGGCCGUCCAAUUGAAGUCUUAUUCUUGGAGUUUGUUUAGGUUGUUGUUUAGGUUGUUUUGGUGAUUGAACUCUUCUUCCUUCUUCCCCAUUCAUCUUCUUCUUCAUUAUUGUUUAUAUUGAUUUAGCUUCGAGUCUUCUUGUGUGUUCAUCAAGAAGUCGAGUGUCUUGUGCGUACAUCAAGGUGCUCUGGUGAAGUCAAGGUGUUAGAGAUAACCAGUAGUGUCAACUCGCAGUGAUUGCAGGUAGUUGAUAGGUUUGUACAUCUCUUUUCAUCUAGUGGAUUUAUUUGUUGUCGCAAGGACAACUGUGGACGUUUCCCAUAUUGGGUUUUACCACGUUAAAAAUAUCGUGUGUUCUUUACUUGUUUACUGCUUUAUUAUUGUUUGCCUUAUUAUUGUUAUAUUGCACAUAUAUUGGGUUCUCAGUUGUUACUAGUAAUGAACUACAAAUAAGACAACAACAUGAAUAUAAUGCAUAAACUUGUAGUUACAAUCGAUAAUAUUUGAAUAUUUUUUAUUUUAAUAACAAGCUAAGUGCGAUAAUUUAAUUUUUUUUACCGCAACUAAAUAUCUCGAGAAAAUAAAUUUUAAAUCAAUACAAUUGAAAAACAUAUUCAUCUCAUUAAAACAAUAUGAGAAUAUUUUUAUUUGAAAAUAUAUGUUGUAAAGAAAACCAUGUUCUCUAUCGAUCAAAACAAUUUUAUUAAUUAGGUAUGAAUUUUCAGAAAAUCUAAUUGUUAUUGUCGUUGUUGAUUUGUUUAACACAAACUGCUCAGAUAUAAUAUCAAUGAGGAAUAAAGUGAAUGAGUGAUGAUCAUCAAAAUCCGAAUAUUCUCUGUAAAAUUGUAUAUUAUAGGUUCCAGGACCUAUUCUUUAACUGGGAUGCACUGUUAAAUGUAAAUUAAACAGUUGCAGUAUCUUAUUUAUUUGGUUUCGGGUUAUCGUAUAAAAUUCCUUCCUUGAUUAUUAAUAAAAUUUUAAAUAAUCUCGAAUAUUUUUUUAGGAGGUGAAAGAGUUUGUGUUUCAGAGUUUUUAUUUUAGGAGUUGAAGAGUUUUUUAUAAGAAAUAUUUUUUUUUUCUGCCCGAAGUAAAACAUUAAAACCUGUUUAGUAGGUUAUCAUGGGUGUGAAACUUAUUUAACAUGUUAAUUUGAGUAUGUUUAAGCUUUUAUACGAGGAGUGUGCCAAACGUAAGAAGGGGUGUGCCUUUAGCCUUUUUUAAUCAAAAGCUAUAAUUUGAUACAUGUCCACUAAUUUGUCCAACCCAAUAGAUUAACAGGCCCAGUUUCAACCCAAUAAACAAGUUUAAACUAAAAAGUCCGGCUCAAUAGAAGACCUCUCGUGGUGAAUAUACCUCGUCAGACCACUAGCACCAGUCCAACUAUCGACCCACUUACGUAAGUGUAUUUUCUUGCCCAUCCAUUUUUGUAAUAGGCUUCAUGGUUGUAAAAUACAGGGGCAACCAUCAACCCUGUAUUUUUAUUAUUAUUAUUGGCAAGCAAGGUUGGAGGGACCCAUACCCUUUAACUCGGUCAACAAUCAACUACAAGGAAACAAACAACUACUAGCUGAUCAGUUGGUUUGUUAUCCGUAACACCCCGGGUCGGCAGGUGGUUUGUCGAGGGGGUGGGUCCUACGACAUGUAAGAGGGGGAUGUCCUAACAUUAAAAUAUAGGUAUGACCGAGGCCUUUUGGGCUCACUUGGUUCCAGAGCUCGAAAGAACUCUGAAGUUAAGCGUGCUCGGGUGGGAGUAGUCUCAGGAUGGGUGAUCUCCUGGGAAGCAGGUUACUACCCAGAAAAACCCCACUGUGGGACUUCCGCAGUGGCUAAGUGGGGAGAAUAUCGGUGGUGAUAUAGGUCGGGUCGCUACAAAUAGUAUCAGAGCCGACGAUGGUUCUCCUGUCGAGGGUAGGAGAGUAUGCUGAAAAGGUGUCUAGCCCAGGAAGGGGUCACUAAUUUUAUUCCAUUAUUACUAUAUGACAUUAGGUUGCCACUCUUCCUUUUACAAAUUUCUUAUCAUCUGAAUCCAUAAUACUAUAUAUUGCCGUUCAAUGUUCUUCCAAAUUUUUCUGACAUAGGAAUUCUGUUGCCGUUCAUCACACAUUAAAUCAUAUUACAAGUCUUUACUAUGAUCAGAUCUGUUUGAAGUGUAAAGUGUUAUGAAUAUGCAAGUCUUUACUAUGAUCAGAUCUUUAUUAGGUUAGGGAAUUGUAAGAUUUUCUUGGAUUAUUAUCUACAGAUGCACUAAUUUUGAUUAAUACUGUGUAUUAUUAUGUUUUUCUAGAUCUGCUUUUACUAUCGAACUAUCGGUUUUUGAUUAAAGUAUGUACACAUACGUAUUUUAAUUUCUUCCGUGCAAUUCAUAAUUUAAUUUUAUUCUCGAAUGUAAUGGAAGUCAUUCAAAACUUAUUGUGAGAUUUGCUACAAUAAUCGACCCAAAAAAAAAAAUUUGUCAAUAAUCGACAGUAGAAAAUAUUCGACUGUUUACUCCUUUGUGUUUGUUACAAUAGUCUUUUUUCGAAAAUAUUCAACUGUUUACUACUUUGUGUUUUUCUACAAUGCUUUGUAAAUUAAAUACGCUGUGCUAAAAUUAUGUAGCUUUACUUAAAGAAAUUCUGUUUGAUGCAGCAGGCGUAACAUCAAUAACAGGAGAUGGUACUUUAAACCAUUUUAUCGUCUACCUACUCUGCUACUCAGUUAAGUUUGUCAGACAUAUUCUCUAUUUCAAGUUAGUAAUAUUAUAAGCAUAAUUAAUAUUAUCAAUAAACAAUAAGGAUCAUGAAUCACGUAAUUAAUCACUAACAAAUACACAUACCUUGUCUAUAGCCAUUGAUGAUCCGAGAAGCUGCACAAGAUCUAGGUUUCACUCUCCUUGCCUCUUAAACCCUAAUAUGUGUUGUAAUAGUAAGUGUAUGAGGAUGGAGAUCAUACACCAAUUUAUAGAGGUGGAGAGAGGACCUAAAUCUACAAACCUAAGCCCAUUAGAUCUAGACCGCCCAUCAUAGUUAAGAUCUACGGUAGAUAUGACUUCCACAUAACCUAUUACUAAUUAGCUUAUUUCUAUAUUAAACCAAGGUUAAAAGUACAUGGACCACAUUAUAGGUUGGGCUUUAUAUGUGGAAAUUCCAACAGUCUCCCACUUGUCCAUAGUAAAAUCUUACAUACGGUUUAACGUAGAAUACAUAAGGCGCGCAAUAAGAGCUAAAUUAGUUUCCGAAAUGGUUAUCAUAAUAUCGUCAUUAAUUAAACCACUAAUAUGAGUCAUGGCGGUUCCACAUCGCAUAAAUGACAUGGUUCCUUCCAUGUACUACGAUAUCAACAAUUUAAUUAACUAGGUCUAUAAGCGGAAGUAACAAUAAUGGUCCAGUAAUGUCUUCGUAAAAUACUAUUUCUGUCAACAAUUAUCCAUUCACAUACAUGUACAUAAACAAUGGAAAACAGAAAAUUCAGAACUUAAUCAAUAAUAAUGAGUUCAAAAUAAUGUCAAAUAAUAAGCACUAAGUAAUCCACAAAUCAUUAAGUUAUGGGUUACAUUCAAAACCCAACUUGUUAACAUGAUGCUAGAAUAUCAUUAUUUCUAGCUCUUAAGUUAGUGGAUUUACUAACACGUGUACUAAUGUAUUCCAUUGACACUCACUUGUUCUAAACUUAAGCCAUAAUCAAUAGGUAUUUUAUAUCAUGUGCUAAACAUUAGAAUACCUAUCAUUCUUACAAAGGCAUAUAGUUGCAACAUUAUUAUAAUAAAAUUCAAACGACUUAGAAAUUAAUAACUCUAAGACAUGAUAUAAAGUUUUGCAACUAUACAACAUUGCAUGUAGUUAUUUUACAACAUGCUACAAAUUCGGCUUCUAUGGUGGGUGAAACAAUAAUGUUUUAUCGACUAUCCACACACCCAUUAAAUUCCGAAUUUGUAAAACCAAUCAAGGUGAUUAAAUCUCUUAAAAUAUGAGCAUACGGUUUCUCUUUCAUUCGUUCUUGUUCCAAUUCAUUCAUAGGAUCUUGAUUUAAUUCAAAUAUUCCCCCUCUGAAUUGGAGUAUCAUUACAAUUAUGCCUUAACACAUUAAAUCUAUCCAAAACUUUAUUAAUGAAAUCUUUCUGAGACGUUCCAACAAUUAUUGUGAUCAAUCCCGAAAUAUUUUUAUUUCUAUCACAUAUGACGCAUCACCAUAACUUUCAUUGCAAAGUGUUUAGACAGAAAAAAUGUUUACAUAAACGAAAAUCACUGCUGCAAAACAAUAAAUCAUCAACAUAAUUUACUCCCACUGAACUUUGGGUAUGUACAUUAAACCCAAACGUUUGAUACUAUUAAUCAUUAGGUACCAUUUUCGCGAAGCUUGUUUUAAGUCUGUAUAUUGACUUCUUUAACAAAUAGAUUAUGUGUUCUUGGUCUUCCUUUAUGAAGUUGUGUGGCUAAUUAAACCAGCAUGUAGACUUUAUCCAAACUUUCAUUCAAAAUAUCAUUUUCACAUUUAUUUGGUGUAACUCUAAAUCGAAAUGAGUCACCAAUGCCAUAAUGAUUCUAAGAUAAUUCUUCUUUAACACAUAAGUGAAGGUUUCACGCACGAGAAAGUAAUGCCACCAUAUUGAGUAAGCUGUUUGGAUACAAGUCUUGCUUUAUGGCAUUCAAUAGAACCUUUUGAGUCAAUUCUACUAACCCCAGACUUAGUUAAAAUCCACACUUAAUUUAUCUCUUCAUUCAUGGCAUGAAUCUUUUUAUCAGAAUUACUAUAAGUAAUGGCUUGUGAAAAUGUAACUAGAUCAUUAAAUUCAAAUUCUUGUAAAUACAACACGUGGUCAUCCAAAUAGCUGGUCGUGACCUUUAAGAUCUUUUUAAUGCUACUUUUUGUGUGCGUUUACAUUCAGUUCAAUGGCAUUAAUUUCAUUAAGUGGUUGAGAAGCAACUAGUUGUUUAUUGUUGUUAAGCGGUGCAACAACAUGAGAAACAACAGAAGUAACAAUAAUAUCAUUACAAAAAAAAAAUCGAGGUAACAAAAUUGGUACCCUAACUUCUUUAAUGAUUACCUCUUUGAUAUGAUCACUCCCACUGAUUUUGCCAUUCAUAAUGAUCAAUAGUUUCCAGUUUCAAUAAUUCUAGUGGUAUGGUUAGGAUAGUAAAAUCUAUACCCUUUAGACUUUUCUAGAUAAACCCUAAAUGUGUAAAUGUCUUAAACUAGGUUUCCAUCUUUUCCACAUUUCAAAAGGUGUUUUUUGUAACUGCCUUAAUAGGAACCCUAUUCAAUAUAUACACUUCGGUUUAUAAAGUAUACAUCCACAAUGAUAUGGGUAAAUUAGAAUUACACAUCAUACUUCAAACCAUAUUCAUAAGGGUUUGAUUAUGCCUUUGAGCUAUACCAUUCUGUCAUGGAAAACCAGACAUUGUGUAUUAGGCACAAAUUCUUAACCGUUCUAGAAGUUUGGCAACCGGGAUGUUGUCCCGUGUCAUAGAUCAUACUUUCCAAGAAAUUCACUACCUCUAUAAAAAUGUAUAGUUUCCACAUUUCUAUUUAAUUGUCUCUUAACUUCAGUUAUGUAAAUUUCAAUAACAUUUACAUAUGAGACUUAUUAUGCUAUAGAUAGAUACAAUAACGAGAAAAAAUCAUCAAUAAAGGUAAUGAAAUACUUUUCUCCACCAAAAGAUGGAGCAUCAAAAGUCCACAUAUGUCUAUUUGAAUUAUUUCAAGAAGCGUACUUCCUAUGGCUCUUCUUAGUGUGUUUGGUUUGCUUGACUUAAUGCAUUCCACACACACACACACACCAAAAUUAGUAAAAUUAAGGUUCGGGAAAACCCCUUCUUUUACUAGUCUACUUUUCAUCUAGAUGUAUAAUCCAGUCUUUUAUGCCAUAAUAAAGAUAAACAUUAAUCAUAAUCAAUUCACUAAGGGUUAGGAAUACCAAUUAAGUUUGAUCGAACCAUACUAAAACCAAAAGCUUACCUUUUAAAUCAAACAAACGCCAUAUUCACAUAAAUGGCAUUGGCACACACAUAUUGUAUAUCCAAACACAAUUAGAGAAUUGUUCAUUCAACUUCUUGAAACAUGAAUUAAGCUUGAGUGACAUGAUUAUAAUGUUGUUUAAGCCUUGCCUAUACUUGAACUAGUAGUCUCGCCAUUUAAUUCACAUUCCACUUGUCUUUAAUAGUGUAAUAGUGAAACUGAACAUACUAUGUAGGCAAGAAAUUUAGAAUAAAUUGAAGGACAAAGUAAUCAUCCACUAACAUGUCUAAAUUCUUUAAUUUAACAACUAAAUAGGGAAACUCAAGGAUACAAUCAUGCAUACUAUGAGUACUAUGAAUAGUAAUCAGUUCAACAAUUAACUUUUCAGCUAGCAGUGCGAAAAUGAUUCUUAAUAUUAUUCAUCAACAAUUAUUCAUAUAAACAUUGAGUUUAAUUUGCAUGUUCAAUCUAGUUCAUGCAUAAUGCAUAAUUUUCUCCUUUUUACUGCUUUUAUAAAAUAACAGUAGAUUCAACAAUAAGGAAAUAUAUGCCAAGAUCUAGAACUCCCACUAAAAUCAACUAGACUUAUUCAUUCUAGUUCAUUAGUUUUAUUAAGGAUAAAACAUACAAAAUAUACGAAAUACAAGAAUAAUAGAACGAGAAAAAUAAACAUGCUCACAACAUUAGUCAACACAUUAAUUAAACAAUAUGACUAAGAUUUUUAGUAAUACUAUAAAUGGGUGACAUAUCACAUGAUCAAAAUAAGCAUGGUAUCUGUGGAUAUCGUACACUCAUUUAAUCACAAAUACGUGCAACCCCUUAAUUUUAUUCAAUCUAACAUAUGCCUGAUCUACCUGUGGGUAGCUCAAUAAUGCAAGUGAAUAAAUAGGCAAUAAGGUACUUAGUCUAACAUUCAACACAAUAUUUAGUUCACUGUGGUGAAAACCAAAUCAUAAUAUGAAUGGUCAAAGAAGUUUUAAUAUUCAUUAAACAUAUUGGAAUCACUGCAGUGGAUACCAAUAGAAAACUUGAUAUGAAUAUAAAACAGAAAACAAUGUCCAUAAUCGUAAUUGGUUCACUGUGGUGAUACCAAAUCAUGAUGAUAUGAACCUUAAGGGAAUAAACAUACAGGUGAAUAAAUGCGACAAGAUUAAAAUAUUAUAAUGCAUCUUAAUCAUAAGAAGUGCACAAUCUAAUAAAUUCAACUAGGGCACAUGCAUAAUAUAGGUGAAAACCAAGAAUUAUCAUAAUACAUACAAGUCUGAAUUAGACAUGGAAGCAACUAACAUUAACCUACUGUACAUAUGUGACUAAUAUAUGACAGAGGCAUGAAAGUAAAAUACAUCACAAUAUAAACUAGCACAAAAUGUCUAACAGUAAGAUCCAAACACAUUAAUUAUAGACUGUAACUAAUAGGCCCAAAGAUGAUCCCGUUAUCAUUAUGAAAAUCGUGUGCAAACAGUAAUUGAAAAUACCAAACUACCAAAACACUAAUGGACAAAGCGUUAAGUCCAAAACAAAAAUUGGUUCAGUUUGACUUUAUGGUAUAUUCAUAAAAAUCAAUAUUCAUAAACAUACUUGGUUUCACUGUGGUGAAUACCAAUAAAAACCUUAACACGAAUAUUGAAUAAGAAAAAAACAAUUUUGAUAACACUUUAGUUGGAACCAUUGUGGUGAAUACCAACGCGUUUCUUGUUAUAAAUAUUACCAUUAUAAUUUUGCACAAUAUUUAAUCAGUAAAAUACAUCAUCAUAAUACAAUUGGUUGGGUUCUUGUCACUAAGUGAGGCACAAAACCCCAAGGAAUAGUAUAUUAUAGGACCAAAAAUACUUAAUAUGGGUUGUAACAGUAAGGCCCAAAACCCAAAGAAUGAUAUACUAGAUUAUCAUCUCCUUUGGAAAGAUGUGUACUACGGCAGUAAUCGAAGUAGGAAAAUUACCCAAAAAAAAAAAAAAAAAAUAUUAAACUUUAGCCAGUAAGAAUGAAUGGGGUCUUUGGAACCGGGUUACGUAAGAAUUUAACAUUCUACGAAUUAACAUUGAACUUCAUCUAGUAAAGAAAGUCCAGAUUAAUAAGGAUUAUACGUUACUUAGAAGGGGUACUACCAAACAUGCUAAUAUCAAUCAAUUUUGGGACUACAAAGCAUAUAUAUUAGGCUAGCAAUAAAGCCCACAAUUGGACUUAUAUAGCAGUACACACCAAAACCAUAACCCAACAAGAUUAACAAAGUCACUACUGGACGAAACAUGAUGUUAUAAUUAGUGACAGUAAUGGCCUGCUAGCUUCAAACACUAAUCAUAAUGAUCAUGAAUUAAUUCUAGAAGAAGCAGCUAAAACCAUAUAUUGCAGUAAACAAAACUUUGUUGAAGUUGUUCUGUCCUUAUUGACCAACUAAUCAUGCAUCGAGAAUUCAUGCACCAUAAAACCAUAUACAUUACUGCCAACCAUUAACCAAAAAUUCAUAAGUGUUUAUAAUACCCAAAGGUCCCAUAUCAAUUAAUUAGUGAUCACGUACAGUCAAAAAUUUAUGAGUCCAAAAGCAUACUAACGCUAAUCUUGAUAUAAUUUCUAACGGAAAGAAAUACUACCGUAUUUAAUCACAAGGAAUAUCAUCUUAAUCAUACGAAUCAUCAAUCAUAAAAAUAAGAAUUACUGUUUUCUUUAUUGCGGAAUCAUAAUAAACAGUAUUAAAUUAAACGAGGACGAUAGAACUAAUAACAUGAUUCAAAUUGGCGACUGAUACCACAUAUAAGCAUAAUUAAUAUUAUCAAUAAACAAUAAGGAUCAUGAAUCACGUAAUUAAUCACUAACAAAUACACAUACAUUGUCUAUAGCCAUUGAUGAUCCUAGAAGCUGCACAAGAUCUAGGUUUCACUCUCCUUGCCUCUUAAACCCCAAUAUGUGUUGUAAUAGUAAGUGUAUGAGGAUGGAGAUCAUACACCAAUUUAUAGAGGUGGAGAGAGGACCUAAAUCUACAAACCUAAGCCCAUUAGAUCUAGACCGCCCAUCAUAGUUAAGAUCUACGGUAGAUAUAAUUUCCACAUAACCUAUUACUAAUUAGCUGAUUUCUAUAUUAAACCAAGGUUAAAAGUACAUGGACCACAUUAUAGGUUGGGCUUUAUAUGUGGAAAUUCCAACAAAUAUCAGUAAACUUUAAUCUGAAUUACAUCUUUUUAUUUUUCUCAUCUUGUUCUUGUCUUACAUUUUUGCAGUAAUCCAAAUCUUGAUACGGAAAAUUCGAUUCCAGACAGCAAUGUUUAAAAACUUGUAGCACAUCAGACUCUUUGAAGUAGCUUCCUCUGAUUUUUUACUGUGAUUGCGAUGACCUGGUGUGUAAUCUUACAACUUGCAGCACUUCGGACUCUUUGCAGCACUUCAGACACUUUGGAGACUUGUUUUUGUUUAGUGAUUGGGCCAAUUGUCAUUCUGUCCAAGACAUCUUCUCACUUUUCCCCCCUUUCUACGGCAAUCCUCUCGGCAGGAGUAUCAGAAAUAUCAUUCUCUUCGCUCCAUCAACUAAUGGAAAUUCAGUAAUGCUUAAGAGUUGAGGAAAUUUCAAAUGGCAAUUAAAGCUCAGGUCUGAUACUGGUUAGGGGGAACUUCGCGAAACAAGAACUUUCGAUUUGAGAAUACCAUCUUCGACUGGCACAGGCUUUUCUCUCUACUUGAUUCAGUUUUUUUUUCCAUGUUUCUUUUGUAUGAUGGCUUUGGCCAGAACCUGACGAUACACAACAUGUAUAGGGUCGCUUGGAUGCAAAAGGCCCAAUAAUAAUCAUUUGUUUAGUUGGUUCCUUGUUCAGUUGAAAUAAAAUACUUGCUGGUCACUUGUUUACUUGUUGAUGUUGUCUUAUACUUUCUAUUCAUUAGAAUGCAUCAUAACAAGUCAAUUCCUCCACAACAGUGGCGAUCAUGAUAGUUCGUCGAGUAUUCUACUUCACGGCAGGUACUAUGGGCACGAACUUUUGUUGUUAGGUCAUGAUUAUAAUCUUGAAAAUGUGACGAUAACUGCUUUGUGUUUGUGAGAUUUGCUACAAUAUUCAACAGUGUAUGAAUAUCUCCCCAGUGAUAGGGCCUUUGUCGUCGCAUUUUAUUGUGUAUCCUUCUUAAAAUAUGAUAGAGUUGCCUUUCAAAUGUCAAAUACAUUUUCAUUCCUAGAAAACCUUUAUCUUUAUCUAUACUUUUUACUUGAAUUUUAAGGUGUUUAAAAUUAUGUAGCUUACUUUAGGAAAUUCUGUUUGAUGCAGCAUGCGUAGCGUCAAUAAGACAAUAACAGGAGAUUGUAUAAAGCAAUGUAUCCUCUACUAAGUUAAGUUUGUCAGACAUAUUUCAAGAUGAAUGCUGAAAGUGUUUGUGGCCAUUAUCAUUGUUGCUUCUCCACAAUCAUGAGCUAUAAUUUCUUUAGAUAUUAAAUUAGAUUAAUUAAUAUUCAUGCUAUUCCUUUCAUUAAUUGAUUCUGCGAGCAUGAAAUGAGUCUGAACAUCCAUUUAUAUCCUCUGCCCAUUAGCCAUUAGGGUGCAGAGAGUUGGAGAGGACACAGUUUGAGAAACUACAAAUAGUGCUAAUCUAACAGUUCAAUAUUCAAACAACUUAAACGAUAUGCAGAAAGUAAAUAACACACAAUAUUUUUAACGUGGUAAAACCCAAAUUGGGAAACGUCCACGGUUGUCCUCGCGACAACAAAUAAAUCCACUAGAUGAAAAGAGAUGUACAAACCUAUCAACUACCUGCAAUCACUGCGAGUUGACACUCCUGGUUAUCUCUAACACCUUGACUUCACCAGAGCACCUUGAUGUACGCACAAGACACUCGACUUCUUGAUGAACACACAAGAAGACUCGAAGCCGAACUAUGAAACAAGCUUACACCAGAGUUCCUUGAUGAACACACAAAGAUACUCGACUUCUUGAUGAACACACAAGAAGACUCGAAGCUAAAUCAAUAUAAACAAUAAUGAAGAAGAAGAUGAAUGGGAAAGAAGGAAGAAGAAGAUGAAUGGGGAAGAAGAAGAUGAGUUCAAUCACCAAAACAACCUAAACCCAAAACCUAAACAAACUCCAAGACUAGAGAUGAAUUGGACGGCCAAAGAACUAACUUAUUGUUUGGAAGAGAAACCCUAUUUAUACCUAGGGUUGGAAAUCAAGGAAAAUGGGCCGAAAUAGUGUAAACCGACUUUGGACGUACGUACGUCGAUAUGACGUUCGUACGUCGUAUACACGAUCCGAACUUGCUGACUACAUGGACGUACGAACGUUCUAACUCGGUACGUACGUCCUGACCAAAACACGUCUGCUGCCUACUUGGACGUACGAACGUCCUUAAGAGGUACGUACGUCCUGAACCUAAAACUUGAGUUUGACACAAGGACAUGAGAACACAAACUCGGGACGAUGUGCGUACAACUUGGUUUUCCUAACAAUGAACUCAAGGCGAGAUAACCAUGGACACUUUGUCACAAAAUUGAUGUCAAACCACUUCGUGCCGGUUUCACAGUUAAACUUAAAAUGAGAGUGAGGAUGUUUCAUGUUAUUCAGAGUCUGUUUUUCAGUCUUCUCUUUUUGUAAGAUCUUAUAUUUGUUUCAAGUUGGUAAUAUCAGUAAACUUUGGCAUCUCUAAUGGGUCUUCUAUAUCCAAAAUUAUAGGAAUUCGGUAAAAAACCAGCCCUAACACGUCGUCUAUACAAAAAGCAGUCGGCCAUCCACGUAGGACGUGGUGGGUCGCUCUGCUAAAAGUUUGGUUAAAAUUGUUGGAGAGAUAAGAUUAUAGAAAAAAUCUAAAAUCUUUUGUUCCACGCUAGUUCAACUAGCGUGGAACGUUACACGCAAGUCUAACCAGCGUGGAACCAUUUUAAUCGAUUUUUUUUUGUUCCGCGUUGGUUGCACCAGCAUGGAACAUAAUUUUCAAACGACUAUAAUUUCCAAACGGCUAUAAUUUUCAAACAUAUAUAUAUAUAUAUAACUUCAUCUUCUUCAUCAUCUGUACAUAAUUUUUGAGUUAGAAGAAGGAUAAAAAUGGCGGAAAUAAGAGGUAGAAGAUGAAGAUGAUAAACUACUGGAACUAUGGACUGUAAAUAUGGGCCGGAUUUAAACGGGUUUAAACUGAUCCAGAUCCACAAACUUUAGUUAUGGGCCAAACGUAAAUACGGGCCAAACUUUAAUUGGGUCGAACUGUAAUUAUCCAGAUCCAGCAAAAUAAAAACAUUCCAAGCAUGUUCAACCAGCGUGGAAGAAGUAAUUUUAGAAAAAAAAAAAUGAAACUGCGUUAGGGAUGCCCCUGAUAUAGGUUUGAACGACGUUCAUAAUUUUUUUUUUUGAGAAAGGACGUGGCACCUAUGUGUCGUUCAUAAUGGUCUAUGUGUCGUUCAAAUAUAGAAGACCCAUUAGAGAUGCUCUAAGAACGAUCCCACAAAGAAAAUAAAAGAAAAAGAUGUCUAUGCAUGACUCAAAGCAAUUUCUACGCAUUUUUUCCAUUAAGAACAAAAACUAUACGAUUAGAAGAAACAAAAAUAAAUUUCUUCAUUGAAGCAUUAAGAACAAUAAAUCCAAAGGGGUAUUCUCAAAAUGGCAUUAAGAUCAAUAAAUCCAAAAUGGAGUCCAGUUACAAAAUACUGUUUUAUUACCUGAUCAGAACUGGAAGAGAAGAUCUAUCAUGGAACUUCUUCACUGAAUCAUCAUUCCAAACAUUUAAUAGAACAAAAAACAAAGGAAAAAAAUGGUCAAACUAGUAGCAAGUUCAAUUAAAGAGAGAGUAGUAAAGUUAUGGAAAGUUGGGGAGAGAGAGACAAGCUUGAAUACGUUGGGUCCAUCGUUAAGUUCAGUCAUUCAUACCAACUUAAUGAAAAACAAACAUCACCUAAGGGUCUGUUUAAUUAGGCUCAGUAAUCUAAUUUACCCAAAGGUUUGUUGUCGUUAGUAGCUUAAGUGCUUAGCAAAAAAAAAGUAGUAUACAUUUUAAGACCAUCUCCAACCACUACACUGUUAGACCAUCUCCAAAGUCCAACCCAUUGUUAUUUUGUCAAAAUUCUGGUACUGUUCACUGAUUUCAGCCUCCAACCCAUUUUCAUAUUUCUAUUUGUAUUGAUAUUUUGCUAGUUUCAUUCUUAUAUAUGAAAAAACUUUUGAGAAAAUAGCAAAAUAAAAAUAUUAUUAAAAUAUAUUUCAUCUGCCUUUUGCUAAAGGCGUAUGACAAAAGAAUUAAAAAAUAUAAUCACCAACCUUUUGUUUGAAGAAAGAGAAAGGUUCAUGGCAAGAAAUAAUAAUAAUAAAAAAUCACCAGCCUUUUAUGCGAAAAAAGUGAAUGGCUGAUGAAGUAUAUAAUCACCAGCCAUUUGACUAUGAAGACUGGUGAACCUAUUAUAGCAAAAUGGGUUGGAGAUGAUUUUACGAUUUUGUUAUAAAUAUGGAAAUAGAAAUGAGAAAAUAGAAAAAUGGCACUGCAACGGUUGGAUAUGGUCUUAGAUUUUUCCCAUUUUGGUAUUUCUAUAAAUAUAGAAAAGCUAUAUACAGUAAAACCUCGAUAAAUGAAUACCCUUGGGACCAGAUAAAUUUAUUACUUAAGCGAGGUUAUUGAUUUAUCGAAUAUUCAUUUAUCGAGGUUUUACUGUAAACUUCAACUCAUUUUUCUAAUUCACUCCACCAACCUUUUUAAUGAUUUGGUUGAUGACCAAAAACCAUAUUUAAUUGACUAAUUAUAUCUAAAUUAUAAUCGGUAAAGGGUGCAUAAUUUGACUAGGACUAAUAUUUAGUAUAACUAGGAUUAAAUUAGUAUGACUAGGAUUUUUUUUUUUUUUUUUUGCUUAAAAGUGAUUAAUAUUGAUAAAGAAAGGAAAAAAAGAGAGCACAGGAGGGAAAAAGAAUAAAACAAUCUAACACUAGAAGAGUGGUUCAUAGAACACACCAUUCUUCAUAAUACAGAACACAAAAGUUAUGAUUUAAUUUCCCUAAAGUAUGUGGCUGCUGGACUCUCAAUGGAAUUCAGGAAACUAGGCAUGCAGUUCCACCACUAUUAAAUGUACUCACCAGGUCAGCCAUAUGCACUCAUUCACACACAGGUCCAACGAAGUGAAGAAAACAAAUGAGUGUAGAUCAUGUGUUCAUCAAAGCCAUUUAAAUAUUUGUAUUUCGUUCUUUGUUUUCCACACAUCUUUAAUUGGUUUAUAAUUCACAAUUGUUUACCUCUGAAAUUUUCUGGACUAUUGUGUAAUUAGCUACUAAUUAAUACAGUGAAUUAAGUUAGUUUUAUCAUUUUCCUCAUUAUUUGGACAAGAAUAUGCCAUCCUCAUAAUUUUUAUUACAGUCAUUAUUGAGCGCAAAAGGGAUGAAUUCUAAUGUCUGACUGGAUAGAUUCUUUCUCAUAAGGUAUCUGAUUCCCGUUAAAAUUUGAUACUAACAAAAUAUAUAAUUCCUUAAGAUUCCUUCUCAUAAGGUAUUUUUAUUUGAUAUAAAUUUGAUUAAUAGUUUCAAUACCAAUUUUACAACAGUGAAACCUGUACAUAACUGGUCGUCAAUACCAAAUUUGAUUAAUUCUGUUCAGGGGAUCAUAGUCGUCUAUAUAAACUGAAAAUGAAUACUGAGACACUUUAUAAGACUGGAUAAUGGGAAUACAUCUUCUAUUUCUAUAUAAUUGAGUCUCUUAGUUUCUCGAUAACCAGUUCCUUUAGAAUAAGAGCUCUUAAGUAAGAACAUCGUAAAAAUAAGUUUGUCCUCAACACUAGGAUUCCAAACUUCGGAGAAUAAAAUUCGUGUUGCAGGGUUCUUCUCAAAUGGCAAACUAAGUAAUCAAUCUUUAAAUUCAUUAGAUGUCUUUCAUUGACUUUCAGUUUGCCAAUAACCUGAUUUUAGUUGUUAGAAUUUUGACUACGUUAUAUAAGUUAUGGCAAAGGAGACUAUAUAUAUAUUAGUUACCAGUGAAAUUUGGAAGGUCUUUACCAUUGUUUAGAACUAUAAUGUUAGCUGUGGAGAUAAGAUGUUCCACUCUGUAGUGAUCGAUCAAAAUAGCUGGUUCAUGGCGCAUUGGAAGUCUAGAAGAUAUGAAUUGCAGCUACUUAGAUAGUACAGUCCUGAAGAUUUAGUCCGCAACGGGGUUGUAAGCUGCGUCAAAGAAUCAUAUAAAAAUUUAGAUAACGUGAUAUAACUUUUUUUUCCCAAGGAAACCAUAUAUUGCAGAUAAUAAUAUGAUUGUAUUGUCUAAGUACCAAAUAGCACAACGCAACUGAAGAGAAAAUGAACAUUCUGAACAAAAGUGAGUUUCGAACAACCGAUCCGACUUCAUGACAGAGAAAUCACAAAUUUCUGAUCGAAAAUAAAGACAAGAGUCUACUAUGGAAGGAGGACUAUGCUGAUAAGAACAAAACAGUUGUACACAUGAUCCUACUGGAUGAAUUUGUAAGUAAUAUGCUACCUAUAUUUACUACCUUUUAAUUAUAGUAUUAUUUCUUGCAGUGACCUGAUUCCUGCGUUCUAGAUUAUAAUCAUUUACUUUUAGAAAUAAGGAUGUUACAUAAUUUACUAUUUAUUUGAUAAUUGUUAAAAUAUAUCCCUACAUCUUAUACUACUAUUUUUUUUCUUGGGAUUAAUGUAGAAUAUUUUAUUGAAUCUCAACAAUCAAAGUACAACUGAGUUACAUUAUAGAAAUUGCAGACUCCCUACAACACUACCUGUAUUUUACAAUCUGCUGUUGUCACUGAGUCUGAAUAGAAACUAGCUUAGAUUAAAAACAAUAUAACAGAUCUUCAAUUUCAAACUAUACAACAGUACCCCAAGACCUCAACAACAACACAUUAGCCAUCCUUGCCUUAGCCCUUAACCUGAGCUCUGUUACCACCUGUCAAUCAACAAAAAUUUUUAACUGUCCAAUACGGCAGUGACCUGCAAAUUGUUUUUGACAUCCACUUACUUGCCCAUGAUAUCCAGCCAUGACCGUAGAGUAAGCUUGAUUCGUUUCACUGCAUUAUCCAGGCCGAACAAUCUAUUUUCCGAAUCAAUUUAAUUCCUGGUAUACCAUAUGAUCAAAAAAACUGCAUAAGGUACAAUGUUCCAUGUUACUUCCGCUGAGACCUCGGUUAUUGAAACAAAUUUAUAAUAGAUAAUGUUGACAAGUCUACAUACUCCUAUUUAUCACACUCCUACUCAGAAAUUUUUAUAUUCAUAAUGUAUAUGAAUGGGUUUUUUUUUUUUUUUCCGAAUGCAUAUACAUGACUGAAAUGUAGCUUUAUAAGGGAUAACCUUUAAUCCUAAACAAAUUGAUUUCUAUGCGUUGAAACAGAGAGACAAAAUCCAUGCGAAGUUUAAAUUCUCACGACAUUCAAAACUUCGAAGAAAGAAUCGUUCAAGGAAGAAUUUGUACUUUUACCAAAUUCAAAGCUUGGGAAAUCUAGAGAGGAAAUCGUUAUUUAGAUAACGACUGCGAGACCGGGUUGCAAAGCCAUACCAUUAUAGAGACAAUCAAAGAGGACAUCGCAGAUUUUCCUGUGUACGACUAUGACUUUGAAGAAUAUUGUGAAGUGGCCACCUACUGUAGAAGAAAAAAGAAAGAAACAUGGGUAAUAUGAACAUAUACAAUUUUAAAGUCUCUAUUACUCAAUACAAAAACCAACUUUGUAUGAUUACUGAUUAUUUUUUUUUCUUUUUUUUUUUAAUUUGUCAAGAUAUAAUGGGUAGGCUACAUUAUUACAAGAAAAUCACACCAAGGGACGAUGGAGAGCGACAAACUUAUGUUCGAGAUAUCUACCUCAUGAAUGAAAGGUACAUUCAUAAUAAAUUUUUUGGGGGAAUUAAAAUUACUUAGCUGGGGAUGAUUGGAUAUGGAAAGUAUACCUAUCUAAUUAAUAACUUUAGUGUGAGUAAGGCAGAUGCGUUAGAUGAAACAUUUUAUGAUAUUAUCCACCGAUAGUUAGUAUUAUAACCUUUUAUAACAGAACUGGAACUACCACUAGAAUUUCACGUUAAUAUAUAAAAAUUACAAAACGAUACAUAGGAAGGACUGUAUCAUUCUGCACCAUAUGAGAACCCUACUAUGUAGCCCCCAAUAUGGUCGGUAAUCAAUAAAUUGGACAAAGUUCCUAAAUAGAGUUAAUCAAACCUAUAAUAUAUAUGAUUCCUGGACACCCUCCCAUUGAUAGAUUUGUGAUAGAUAAUCAACGUAUAAAUACAACUCAAUAGUAUAAGCUUGAUCUCCUUAGAAAUCAGCUUCUAUUCAGGUAGCAAUAGUUUAAUAAUGUUAAAAUUUGCUCCAUCACAAUUUUACAUUAAUAAUUUUGGUGGAGGUAGAACCCAACAACAAGGUCUGCAUGUAAGUGUUUUGGGUGUGUUAGCAAUCAUGUUCCAACGCCGUAGUCUUUCUUGAUCGUGAGGUGAUUUUCAGUUAUCUUUGUAGAAAGAAUUUCAGAUUCCUUGAUAAAAUUGUGCAUCCUUUUUCCAUUGGUAAGAUUGCAGAUGUAGUUGUGAAACAAUACCAUAAUAAAUGCAGCACUAGCAGUGAUGACUUACAGGCACCAAACCUACCACCAACAAUCUGGUUACCACCUGCAGCAUGUUUUCUCAAGCUGAAUGUGGAUAUUACAUUCACAUCUCCAAAUGACAGAUGUAGUAUUGGGUAUAUUAUUAGAAACUCAACAGGCCAGUUUACUUAUUAUGGCAGAAACUGGAAGUACCCCAGCAGGAACUGCAGAAUGCAGAGGAAUUUUGGCAGCCCUUCAAUCGUGGAUAGACCAAAGAAUCAACAAACUGGAGCUUGAAUCUGACUGUGCUGGUGCAGUGGAUUACCUUAAGGGAAAACCGACAAAUCUUUCUUGGAUUUCCUCAUCUAUCUUAGACUAUGUUUUAUCUCUAUUAUGUAACUUUGAAGUUUGUAAUUUUAAGCACUGUAUGAGGACUGGUAACUGGGCAGUUCAUCUCCUCACGUCCUAUGCGGAUGUAAGCUCCCUGGUUGUCACUUUCUAUGUUGUUGAACUUGAAUGGAUACGCAGCCAACUUCGCAGUGAUAUGUUGUUCUGUAAUAUCUCAGGAAACUGAGGAACCUGCCUUUAUCUAUAUAUAUGUUUGUGGAUUAUUGAAAAAAAAACUAUAAUGUGCUCAAAUAAAGCACAAAUGUAUCAGUGUAUAACAGCAAUUAAGUAUUCUACACAACAUUACUUGGGACCCCUAUUAGAUUUGGUUAAAGUGAAUGGAGCAUUAUUAGUUGUGGGUGCACCAGAGAAGUAGAUCUGUUUAGUUUAUUGUAUCUAAGGGUUGGUAUGUACACAACACCUAAGUUUGUAAUGUUAACCUCUAUUAAUUUUUAGUCUUUCUUAUUCUCUUUAUAUUGUUGGUUGUCUGGGUUGAUAUGUUUGUAAAAUCAACCUAAUUAUUGAAUUUAUGCUUUGGCUAUGUAACAUUUCAUUAAAAACAGCUUUGAAGAAUUACAUUCUCAGACCUCUAGAAAACAUAUUGCUUCCACUAUUAAAGUAAAUAGAACUUUGAAAGUAAAAAACAUAGUGAAAUUAAACGUUUUCUAACGAAUCUUUAAUCCCUUUUUUUUUCGCAUAUGAGCCUUUGGGUCAAGGAAAUGCAUCACUCUCACUUGGCAGCUGAUUGUUUGACAACAUGUUUCCUGACAACGUAGCACUUUGAAAAUGACACCACAAUGACAAUUAGCUGUUUUGGAAGUUUUGGGAUAACAUAGAAAUCUGAGAACAUCAACAUUUUGCCCUACAAGAAAAAUGGCCAGAAAGGCAUGCCUUGAGACUAUCUAUGUUGUAUGUGCCAUCGUAUGACUGCUAGCAGGCAUCAGGUUUUUAGAGUUUCAUAGUCUGUGUUAACUGUUCAUUGAAGAUUUUCAUCAAAGGCCUAUUAGCUCAGUUGGUUAGAGUGUCGCGUUCUUCCUGAAAGAGGGAGAAUAUAUUAAUUUGUUUGAGAAGGCAAGAUUAAAAAAUGUUCAAUUAAAAAGAAUUCGUAUAAACUGGUAUCAUGGGGUUUACCGUCAUGGCCUGAUAAUGGGUUGUUCUGUACUUCUAUGACAGUUAUGAAGCCAUGUAUAAUUGUGGUACAGCUUAAUGCUAAUCUUGGACAUUCACCAAGAUGGCUUGCUAUGUACAUUUUAUGUAUCAUCUUUGUGAUUGUCAUGAUUUGUAGAAUUUUAUUGCAUGAACUUGAAAUUUUAAAAAUUGAUGCACUCUUGCGAUCAGUUUUACAAGAUCAAUGAAUAAGACUAUGCCUCUACAAUAGGUAUAUUAAGGUAUUUAUGAUUUGAUUUAAUCUUUCCGGGUUUUAUUUCAGCAUCACAAACUUUUUUGUUUUGUCUGGAAUAGAGUAAGGUAUGCAAGCAUCACAUAACGGUAUCUCUGACUCCAUGGUGAUAGUAUCAAAGUAAUUUUAUCAAAAAUAGUUAGUAUAUACAUAAUUUGACACUCUUCAUCUUCACAUAUUUAUAUUUAAUAUAUAUAAAAAGGUUGGUGACUAUAUAUGUGAAGGCUGUUGGUUCUCUCUGGCUUGUUUCUUCUAAGUCAAGGUUGUUCUCUCUCUCUCUCUCUCAGAAUUUGGGGCUAAAACAUUUCUUCUGAACUAACAAAAAAAAAACAACUAACGAUUGAUGUUUUAUAUUUAUUUUCUGAUUUUCAAAAAAUGGGGAUUUUUUAUGUGUUCUUUAAAUUUAUUUGUUAUGUGAAUUUGACAUGAAUGUAUUGAUGGGUUGUGUUAGUUUCUGGUGCAGUGUGUUUCUGUUACAAUUUUUGAGUCUGCAAAAGGACUUGGUGGCAAAAUGUCUACAAGGAGGUAAGUUUUAUAAAUAUCUUUUCUUCAGCUGAUAAACUGCUUUGUGUUUGAUUGAAUGCAAGAAAAAAAAAAAUCGCAAAAAUCGAAUCACUAUGUUAAACUGCCAAUGGUUUUGAGUAAAACAAUGUCAUACGGUGUCAAUGUUGCGUUCAUGUUUGAAUAUUCAUUGUCGUAGUCUGUCAUAUUUCUUUGUUUCUAUUUCCCAAAACCUGCUGUACGUGAUGACCUGUGAAUAUCCUAGAAAGUGAAGAUUUUAGUGAAAAAUUAUAUGUAUCACUUGUUAAUGUGGAUAUGAUUAGGAAUGAUCAAGGGAGACAUAUGUUGGUAUUCCAGGAGUGGAAGCCAAGUUUGGAACAACUGUUGGAAUGUUACACUGGUUAGAGGAUAAGAAUUUAUGGUCACCUCGUUUGCAAUACAUUCUUCUCUUCACCUUUUUUUCUUAUCCUGAAUGAUGUCCAUCUUUAUAAUGUGAUGCUUAUGUCAGGGAGAGUGGGUUUCUGUUGGACAUUUGAUAUCAGAUUGUCGAAAAAAUUGUUGGAUGAUUAGUGACUAGUACAUGUACACUGGUAUCGUUUCGAUUAAUAAAUUGCACGAGUAAGUUGUGCAGAUGAUUAGUGAGAGUGGCGAGCGUUCCCUCUAUGUGUCUAUGUAAACAGCUUGAGUGUCACACAUUCUUUUAUUAGUACAAUUAUGCUCACUUUUUUUUUCAUCUUUUUUUUUUUUUUUUUAAAAGAAUCCAACAUUCCAGACAAACUGAACUUAAUUGUCAUACUCAGAUCCAACAGAGAAAGCAAAAACAACUUACAAGAUCAAAAGUAGUAGUACAUAGCCUCACCACUAUUACAGUAAAAACCAGACAAUUUUGUCCUCAACGAUUAGCCUUGGCAACGUGCUCAAUUUCAUCUUUCUUCUUGAUGGCAUAGCUGUUUGAUGAGCCCUUGUGAGCAUUAAUAAGUUCAUCUGCAAGGCAUUCAGCAAUGGUCUUGAUAUUCCUGAAAGCACUCUCGCGAGCACCAGUGGUCAAUAGAUAUAUUGCCUGAUUUACACGUCUAAGGGGUGAAAUAUCAACUGCUUGACGCCUCACAACACCAGCAGAACCAAUACGAGUAGCAUCUUCCCUUGGCCCACUGUUCACCACAGCAUCAACAAUAACUUGAAUGGGGUUGAGAUCUGUAAGGAGAUGGAUGAUUUCCAUGGCAUGCUUGAUGAUACGAACAGCCAUCAGCUUCUUUCCGUUGUUGCGCCCGUGCAUCAUAAGGGAGUUAGUCAGCCUCUCAACAAUAGGGCACUGGGCCUUUCUAAACCUCUUAACUGAAUACCUCCCAGCAGUGUGUGGGACAUAAGUAGCAUGCUUGGAGUGUACACCAAUGUAAUCCACCAAUGAUAUAUCAGUAACCGUAACAUCAUCGAAAGUCCAACGGUUGAAGAGUUUGACAUCAGGUUGACCUGAUGCUACUGCUACUGCUGCUGCUGCUGGCUGGUGGUGCUACUGCUGCUGCCAUGGUUGCAAAGAGUGUUCUACAAUUAUGCUCACUUCAGCGGCAGCAAGAACGAAGGAAAGACCUGUGCAGAAGCUUUGAAUGGGAGUAAAAUUGUGAAAAAAAAUCAUUAUGGUCAAACCGAACCCUGAAUUUCCCUAGAAAGAGUUGGAAUUUCUCUUAUGUGAUGCAGGAAAAAGACCAGAGCAUAUACAACUUACUUUAUACAAGCACAAGUUAGUAUGUUUGCGUGUGUAAGGAAAUCAAGAUCCAACAACCACAGAAAUGUUAUAAAAGGAACAAGUUGCCCUUUGAAAUAAUUAAGUAGUCCAUGGCCAUUAAUUAAUUAUAUAAACUCCAGACAAAACCAGCUAAUUAAUAAUUAAAAAGACCAUCCAAUUUGAUAAAGUCACAAUAAGUGGGUGCCUAGUCCAAAUUUCUUUCUCUAAAAUUCCAUAUUUUAUAAGGGUGCAAAAUUAAAAUAACUAUAAAUGGGCUCCAUAUCCGUUUGCUUGGAACUUCAAUUGUUUUUACUUGGAAAUACCUGAACUAGCUAUAUGCUCUCUAUCAUUGACUCUCCCUAGUCUUCUCUCUGAACAUCUCUGCCUUCUUCUUCUUCAUCUUAGCUUCAAACUUUUCAUUGCGGUUCAAGUGGAUUUUCUGAUAAGGUACGUGUUGCAAAAAACGCGCGUUGAUUUAUUUGUAGGUACUGGGUUUUCUAAAUGUCAGAUCUGUUAAAUUUGAAGUAGAUUUUUAGAGUUGGAAUUCUUGUAAAUUUUUAUAAUCGUUGCUACUACUGUUCACAUGAUCUGUAGAAUUCUCAAACACAUGCAUAACCAUAUGGCCUCUUGGAACAUUCAUAUUAUCACCUUUCCAUUUAUCAUAUGAUGAUAUGAAAGGCGUCUGUAGAACAAUAUACCAACUCUUUUUUAUGUAUAAGAUUUAGUACAUAUCAGGUGUAUUAAAUGAGAUUACAUUUCUUCAUUUUUUAUGUCAUCUUGUUGAAAAACUAGUACAACUCUCUGUCAUGGCAGGAAACUAUGGUUUUGGAAAUUCUGGCCAUUGUGGUUACGCCUAUCAAUGAAGUUGCGAAAUAUUUGUUUGGUUCUCUUAAGCAACAAAUCUGCUAUCUUACUAGCUACAACACAAACAUUCAGAAUCUUCGAAGCCAAGUUUCAGAAUUACAACUAACAAGACAAAGAGUACAAACCUUAGCGGAGGCAGCUCAAAGGAAUUCGGACGAGCUCUUUGUAGAUGUGCAAAAGUGGCUCGAAGACACGACCGUGGAAAAACUUGAAGAACAACAGAGGGAUUUCAACGAUGAAGUCAAUAUUAACAAGAAAUGCUUUAAGGGACUCUGUCCAGAUCUUAGCUCACGUCUCAGGCUAAGUAAACAAGCAGUGAGGAUGGCAGAGACCUUCCAUACCCUUCAAGAAAAGGGGAAUAACUUCCCCGAAACUGGAAUAGCGCAUCAACGACCUCCUCCAAAUGUUGAAUUUGUGCGCAGUACUACCAUUGUUGAGAACGU
RNAcentral lists this long non-coding RNA (444134 nucleotides) under Aquilegia coerulea. RNAcentral's name for it is "long non-coding RNA (ACOE_LNC001520)". The stretch from base 144740 to 144842 matches the Rfam family "Small nucleolar RNA snoR109". The record is from RNAcentral. Lineage: Eukaryota; Viridiplantae; Streptophyta; Magnoliopsida; Ranunculales; Ranunculaceae.